Molecule: long non-coding RNA, 367578 nt
Filed under: Prunus persica (peach)
Lineage: Eukaryota; Viridiplantae; Streptophyta; Magnoliopsida; Rosales; Rosaceae
Description: long non-coding RNA (PPER_LNC001496)
Rfam family: Plant small nucleolar RNA R71 (bases 135230-135336)
Source: RNAcentral
AAAAACGACGGCUUUUGACUUUAUUACGUCGUUGGAAAAGUAUUACACGUCGGUUACGCAAUUUGUAUGUUUGUUUUUUUUUUUAAUUUAAGAAAACCUCAACAAAUUUUUACAUUAUAUAUUAUAGACAAAAUUUGUACAUUAUACAUAAAUAUCAAGUGUUCAAUAAUUCCCCUAUUCCAGGUGAAGGCAAACAAACUCUGACCAUUCAUUCCGGACUUCAUCAAUUGCUUCUUGGGGGUAUGGCGCUUCCUGUUUUCCCUUGGCAUACUGCAUAAACAAUGACUAUUAGGGUUUAUAAAUAAAAAGAAAUUCAAUCACAGACGACGAUAUUUUUCAUAACCGACGUACUAUAUCUAUUCAACGACGGUAAUUUUACAUGACCGUCGUUGAUAAUACAAAAAACGACGUAAAAUGUAUGAAGGUAAUUUCUUCUUACCUUCUUCUCAAACCCCAAGGAAGGAUCCAUGAUGAUGUCCCUCAUGAAGCGCAUCACAUAAUACCCGCAUUCGACAUUGCUGGGUUGCUUUGGUGUCCCUGACAGAGUUUUCCAAAUGGCUGCCUUACGGCCUGGUCUGGCUAUGUGAGAAUUAUAAAUUUUUAUAGCACUGUUCACAAUGUUUUUGGCCUCUUCAUCGACCACACGAUUUCCUGGCAGAGGAUCCAGAAAAUAGACGGUUUCUCUCUUUGCUCUUACAAUCAGCAAGAUCCAAUGACGGCUGCACAAAAUUAAUAUAAAAACGACGGUUAUUUACAAUAACGACGUAUUAUAAUGUUUCACACGACGAAAUAAAGUAGCAAUCGACGACAUUUUACAUUUAUCACGACGAUAAAUAACUACCGACGUGGUUAGUAGUUUCAAACGACUCAAUAAAAUAAAACACCGACGUGGUUAGUUUAUACGCUGUAAUUUAUUGAAAAUCAUAAAAACAAAAUCCUGUUAAGGAGACUAACCCUGGAUUGUAAGGCAUCAGGAAAAUCUGUUCACCGUCAGUCUUUUGAAGUCGAGCUGCUAGUAAGCGUGAUCUGUCAGCUAUUGUGCCAGAGUUGGCACUAACUGUAGCAAGGUCGAUAAAGCCAACCAUAUUGCACAUAUUUGCUCGUUUCAAAACAUCGUGCAAGUGCCUAAAUAUAUAAAAUAAUAUAAACAAGUCAGCACAAAAAAACACACGACGGUUAUGUAUAACAAAACGACGUAUUAUAAAAUUUCACACGACGUACUGAAAUAGACAACGACGUUAUAAUAUAUUUAUCACGACGGUAAAUACUAACGACGUGGUUAGUUAGUUAAGACGACGUAAUAAAUAAACCAACGACGUAUUAUUUUAGAAUGACAAACCUCAUAUAUACAAAAAAACACGACGGUUAUGUAUAACAAAACGACGUAUUAUAAAAUUUCACACGACAUACUGAAAUAGACAACGACGUUAUGAUAUACUAACGACGUGGUUAGUUGGUUAAGACGACGCAAUAAAUACACCAACGACGUAUUAUUUUAGAAUGACAAACCUCAUAUAUACAGCAAUGACAGUGGCUCCUAUUUCUUCCAUGCCUGCAAAUUGUGUAAUAUCUUCAGGCAGGAGGAAGGUAUCGCGCUCUAGACCAAACACCUCCUUAUCAAUUGUAAAGUGCAGGGUCUUAUCCUGAGGCACGAGUGUCGUUUCCACAUAACGACAAAGGGAGUUUAAAGAAGAUGGCGCCUCCAUAUUUGAAUAAUCAACAACUUUAAUAACCUGUUUAAAGAAAUAUAAAAAAUGACGUGGUAAUUCAAUAAAAACGACGGUUUAAGGAAUAAAACGUCGUCUGAAAAGAAUUUAAACGUCGUCUGAAGAAACCGUCGUGGUGAAUAAUUUAUUACGUCUUAAAAAAAAUUCCGCCGUCUAAGUUGUAAACAAACGACGGUUUAAAGAAAAAUAUCGACGUCUGGAAUUUUGAAAAACAAAUAAAAAAGGCAAAGUUAUGUGAACAUACCUGGUCGUCAUCUUCUUUCUCCUUUUCAUCAUGUUUUUCUUCUGUCUUCCCUUCAUCUAUUACGUCGAGAAUGACUAACUCCGUCGUCUAAAAACCACAAAGUUUUAAAAUAACGACGUUUAAUGGCGUGUAAAACAAGUAAACUAAAUACGACGUGGUAUUGAAAUACAAACGACGGUUUAUGUUUAAAAUCGUGGUGGUAUGUAUUUCAAACGACGGUUUUAUUAAUAAUAACGACAUCUAAUGGUUUUUAAAAAAACAGAGAAUUCAAAGUUCAGAUAUGUUACCUUUUCUUCCUGAUGUUUCCCAUUUUUGGCAGUAUCAUCCUCAAAAUGCUGGGAUCUCACAUCACCUCCAGAGCAGCUUGCUUUGUCAGACAUUGGAUUUUUGGGACUUUGGCUAAUUCUGGGUUUAAGCAUGCUUGGAUCAAAAUUGGGAAUUAAUUGGGAAAGCUGACUCAGGAAAUGCUCCCUCUCAGCCUCUACCAAUUGUUUCGUUCUAGCCUCCAUCCUUAAAGCCUCUUCCCUUGCCUUAGCUUCCAUCUUUUUAGUCUCUUCUUGAAGGAGAACUCUUAAACUGUCCUUCAAACGGUCGUCAAAGCUCACUCUCUGUGGUUUGGGUAAAUUGAAAUAUUGCCUUGGUGAGAUCCCAGCACCUACUCCUCUCACUCUGCCUGGAUGCUCGGGGCCCAAAGCCAUGGUCAGCACAUCAUUGCUGCCAGAAACAGUGACUUUGCCUUCCGAGACUUGUUUUUGCAAUUCAUCCUAAAACAAAGAUAUAUAAAAAAGUAAGAACAAAAACACACGACGGUUAUUUAUAUACAAACGACGUAUUAUAUAAUUUCACACGACGCAAUAACAUAUAAAUCGACGUUAUUAUAAUUUAUCACGACGGUAGUUUUUAAACCGACGUGGUUAGUUUUUAAAACGACGAAAUGAAUAAACCACCGACGUCUUAUGCUUUAUUUACAGAUAACAGAGGGAUGAUUCAAUAUUCACACCUUUAACGACCUUGUUUAAAAUAUUUCGACGUAGUAAUUCAAUACAAACGACGCGAAAAUGAACCACCGACAUCUUAUGCUAUAAUUACAGAAAACAGAGUAGUGAUUCCUGAUUUAGACCUUUAACGAUGUGGUAAUAUCAUUCACACGACGCAAAAUAUAACAUAAGACGUAAUAAGAAUUAUUCACAGUUUAAUAAAAAUUUAAAACAGAGUGAGUAGGCUUACAAUUAAUUUUGCUUUCUCUGCCACCUUUGGAUCCGGGAUGUUACCAUGUUUGUCCUGUCUAGCUCUCUUCCAUAAGGUAGAUCGAUCAAUUUCUACCCCAGGCAUGGUUUCCUCCAAUUGAUCCUCCAAACCAGCAUAUCCUUUUCGAGACAAUCGAUGAUUGUACUCAAGUUUCUCCCUAAUCUGUGCAUGUUGAGAAUGCACAGACUCAAAAUCUUUGGAUAACCUUGAAGCUACAAAGGCAUCCCAUUGUGCUUUCUCUAUGAAUUUAUAUAUUUCAGGGGGUUGGCUUAAUCUCUCCCUGUCAUUAGUGUAUGGAAGGAUAUAUUGCCUCGUUAGUGUAGACUUGAAAUCCUUCCAUUUCUUGGCAGCAGAAGCUAACACAGAGCUCUUGCCCCCUUGACCUACCACAAAAGCAAUGUCAACUGCUUCCCAAAUCUGCUCCUUUAUAUCCUUGGAGAUUUGAGCCUAUUUCAUGUCCACAAGUGGAACUCUGGAGCGUGCCAACACACCAAUGUAGGACUGCAUCUCACUAUGUGCUUGGCCAAUUCCUUUCCCCCUUUUAUUGUACUCAACAAUUGGCCUCAGUUUCUGAAGUUUUCUCUUCACAACAUGAGGCAUUGUGCUCAUACCUCGACCAGACUUUGAAUCAUCAGAGAUUGUUGUCGUGCUGGUUCGUUCUGUCUCAGCAGAUGAUGAAGCAAACUUCAUCUUCUUCGAAGGCUUCACUUGAGGAGGUACCAUUCCAAGGUCCUUACCUCCAUUUUUCUUGGAGCCAGAAUCCUUACUUUGGUCUUAGUGAGAAACCAUUUUUACAGACAAAACUGCAAGUGAAAAUAUUUCAGGAAAAGAUUAAGAACACAAACGACAGUUAUUAAUAAAAUACGACGUAUGAUAUGAUUUUAAACGACGCAAUGAAAUAAUCUCAGACGUAAUAAAUGUUUAAAACCAAGGUAAUUAAACAACGACGAAAUAAUUAACUAUAAACGACGUGAUAAUUAACUAUAAACGACGAAAUAUUUAUAUAACGUCGUGGUAUUGAUGUUCACACGACGUCAGUCGUAAUAUACCGUCGUCUAUAUAAGGAUCCAAAACCCUUCUUUCUUUCUCUGUGAAUGUUUGAUUGCAGAUUUGAUUUUUCUGAACCAUGGUUUUUGUUUUCUAAUUUGAUAAAAUACAAGGCCAAGAAAGAAAGUUUUGGAAUCUUAUAUAGACGACGGUAUUUUAAUAUGACGUCGUGGUAUUAACAUUCACACGACGUAAAACAAUAAGAUACUGUCGUCUAUAUUAGAUACCAACCCUACUUUCUUUUUCUUUAUAUUUUAUCAAAUUAGGGAAAAACAAAAACCAUUGUUCAGAGAAAUCAAACCUGCAAUUAAACAAGCAAAUAAAAAAAAGACUAUAAUUUUAAAAACAACUUUGUCAAUUUUCAGACGACGCUAGAACGACUGACGAACCGUCGUGGUCUACAUAUUUAACCACGUACAUAAGAAGCUACCGUCGUCUUAUUUAGUUGAGGUAGUUGUCUUCAAAGUUGGAAACUUUCCCUCUUUGUCUGUAUAUUUUAUUGAACUUGGAAAGAAGUAAAAUGAUUUUGGCCAGAAAAAAGGUAAAAAGAUUUUUCAAACAAAAAACGUAUGAGCAUGCAAAACAACAACCAAAAUAGUGAAAAUGAAAGCUUACCUUUUGCGUGCAAUGAAAGCAAGAGGAAGAUUAUGUUUAAGUUCAGAGACGACGAAGAAGAAGAGAGGAAGACGAUGAGAUACUCUGACAGUGCUCUGACAAGGAAAAAAGUCUAAAAGUUUUCUCUGGGAGAUUGAACUUUUUAAUCGGGUUUGAAAACGGCGCAUGUGUAUGUCAGGUAGACGAAAAGUUGCUUACAUAUAAAACCAUUUCAAAAAAAUAAUACGGCGGUUACAUAUAACUACGACGUAUAAAUUACAAAAUACGACGGUACAUUUAACUUCGGACGUGGUAAAUAAAUACGACAGUAGUGUUGUAGGUACCGUCGUAGUAAACUCAAAAAUUAAAGUACAUAAGUAAUAACUCGCGUCAUGGUAGAUUAUUUAACACGUCGUUUUUAUUAAUUUACCGACGUGGAUUUCUGUAAUAUACGUCGAUAAUACCGACGUUGAUUUUACAAUUUAAACGGCGGUUUUUUUGUAAGGACCGCCGUUGGUUUUAAAAAUUUAUUCUAUAAAUUUGUCGCUUUCAUUCAUUUUCGGUUUACAUUUAAGGUUCCAAGUUCUUCCUCUCUCAGUCUCUCACGUCUCAAAGACAAUAAUUUGGAUGUCUUUCUCAAAGAGAAAUUGAGCUUACUCGCAUCAAAUAUAUGUCCACAAGAAGAAGCUUGUCAACUAGCCUUCUCACUUCCUUGAUCAAGCCUGAUAGGACACUUAGUGCUUCUGAAUACUCCUUGCUUUCCAUCAAAAGAGAUGCAAGCCUGGCCUCCACUCGCUGUCGAAGGAAAGUUCGCUUCUCAGGGAAAUCUUCUUGAUUUUCUUGGCUAAGAAGAUCCGUCAGAUUUGUGAUAGCCUCUUCCUUUAUCCGUAGAGCUUCAGAAGAAGAAGAUGGGUUUCAAGAAUGCGAUAAAGAAUAGAAAUGGCUUCAGAUGGCCUCUAAAGCAUGAGCAAUCGAAUCAGUAGUUGUUGGGAGAUAUGAUGAAGACAUUGUCAAUGCUUUGAACUAUACAAGUCCUGCAGAAAGAUAAAGGACCAAACUGUUAAAGAAACUGAAACAAUGGCGGUUUUCUGUUCUACCGUCGUCUUUUCUCGUCGUCUAUAUUAAGGUAAGAUGGCGGUAGAUUUAUAAUUACCGACGUAGAUUAUUUUGUUAAACGUCGUUAAGUGUACUACAACCGACGUGGAUUUUAUUUUUAAAUUAUAAAUAGAGUUUUUUUUCCCCUAUUCUUUCAGUUUUAGUUUUCAAUUACAAAGCGUGAUAAAUAGAUUUUUCUUUCCCGAGGAAAUUUAAAAUGAGGGAAAUUAAUGUUCUAGAAUUUGUAAACUAACACGACGCAAUAUUUGCAAAUCUGUGUCAUCUGUUAAGAUUAUGAUGUGGAACAGAGUUCCAUCUGGUAAGAUUUCGUAACCCUUGGGAUCUCAGACAAAUCUGAUUAUGUCGGCGGUUUUCUAUAUAAAUCGUCGUGGUUAUUUCAAUUCUUGUCAUUAAGUAGAUCUACCGACGUAGGAUAAGAAAAUCAAAGAAAAAAAUUGUUAACAAAAAUUCUUAUUAAGACGACGGUUAAAAUUAAAGGUACGACGUAUAAAAUGAAUAAAUACGACGUUAAAUUUUAUUGUACGAUUUAAAGAUAACGUCGUAGAACUAUAAGAGAAUGACGUCGAUAUAUUUAUAUUUUCCGUCGUUGUACAUUAAUUUAAUACGGCGAUAUUUUGUAUUUUAAAGCCGUGGAUUUGUUUGUAAUUAUACGGCGUCUUAUACGAAAACCUCGUCGUGUUAUUUUAUGAGUAAAAACGGCAGUUUUUAUUGAAAUCGUCGUCUUUACUUUCUACGUCGGUCGAUUCAUAACUUCUGCCGUUCUUUGUUGGCAUUGAUUUUACACUGCGAAAAUCUGUUUCAAAUAGACGUCGGUUGUUUAAUUAUGUACGUUGUUGUUUUUGAACAGCCAUUUGAAUCUCCAUUUUUUAGUUGUCUAAGGUUGUAUUACACGACGGUGUUUUUAGAACCGUCGUCUUUUUAAAAACCACGACGGUUUUCACUUAGACCGUCGUUGUUUUCUGGUCGUCUUUUUCACUUUUUGUAGUAGUGGCAUAUGAUGACGACACUCACAACAAGAUCAUGGCAUUUGACUCGAGUUGUAUGAUUCUCUCUUAAGUGUAUGUAAAGUGUAUGACAUUUACAUCAAUACGUGUAUUCUUAAUUGAAAUCUACUAUGGCAUUUACUCAAAUUAACAAUCAAGAAUCCAUUAAGAUCAAAGAGAAUAUGAGUGUCACAAAAACCCUAAAACAUGGCAUUUGUUAUUAGGAAUUCAAGAAUCGAUUUCUCAUAACUAGUUCUUAACCCAAUUAUUCGUUGCAAAUAAGAACACAUUCAAUAUGGCAAUUGACCUAUGUUCUACAACAAUUUAAUUCCAAUACAUGCUUCUAAGUUAGCUACUCAAAGAAACAAAAUAUCAGAAUUCACAUAACAUAUAGAAACCGAAAACAUCACGCUUGUAGAAACUAAAAAUCCAUUAACCUUGUUUAUAAAAUUGAAAUCAUGUUUAGGGCUUCAAGAUUAAGCCCUAACUAACAAGAAAUUAGUUACUCAUGGUCUUGGAUGAACUCAAAAAUAAAUACAUAAGAACUGAAAAUUAAAGAAGGAAGGAAAAGAAAGAACUCGUUCGCAGCUUUCUCCUCUUGCGCUGUUGAUCUCUUUAGGACGUGAAUCCUUUUUAUCAGCCUUGCCUCGUCUUUUAUAUCACUUAUAUCAGAGUUCUAAACCCUAAAAUUGACUGAAAAGUCGUCCAAGAAGUCUUGGUAAACAAGGAAUCCAAAUAGGAAAGUAAAAAUCACAAUUCCUAACUCCACUGGGAAAUACAGCUCAGCCCAAUGUUCACACGAUUUUGGGAUCUUCGACCUUGUAGAAAAAUCAUUAAAAAUAUAUUUUAGAAAGAUAAAUGUCUUAUCUUUCCAACCAUAUAUAGCACGUAACUUGAAAAAUUCGGAAAGGCUUCCGUUUCUUCACAUUCACGUAGCAUGUACGAAACUGUCCUGUCUGCACGUGGGCUAACUUUACUUGUAAUACUGUACCAAUUGGCUCGGUAGAAAAUUCUAGAAAAAUCAUAGAUUGAACUUCAAGAUGUUAGCUUUCAUCUCCAAUCAGGGGCGGCCUUGGGGAGGUGCAAGUGGCGCCACCGCACAGGGCCCCCGAAAAAAAAAAUAUUUAUAUUAUAUAUAUAUAUUAAUAUUAUAUGAAUCGUAUAUAUAAUAUAGCGUCUGGAUAUUUGCACAACAGCGUGUUCAGGGGAGUUGGAUGGAGCACAUCUCUCUUUGGCAAAAGGGCCCGAGUUCGAUGCUCCUUGAUGUCGUUCUACUGGCUAGCCUUUUGUGAUAUUAUUUUUGCAUUCAAACUUUACAUAAUUAUUGAACCAUUGGAUUAAUAUGCAACGAUGGGUGACCACAAUCUCUUGGACUCCUGUGGUCCAUGAGAUCGGGACUGAUAUUACAUGACUUAUUUUAUUAAAUUAUUAUCAUGUUGAUGAUUGGUUGUAUGAGAAUAUAGUUUGUAGAAAUAUUUAUCUAUUUCUUGUUGGGGUUUUCUUCCAGGUUAUAGGGUUUUGGAAUUUUUCUUUGUAAUCUAAACAUGCCACCUACUAGAAAAUACGUUUAUGGAUAUACAAAACGGCUUAGAAAAAGAAAAUUCGAGGAAUUGACUCAAUCUCAAAGAGGAGCUCUUGAUAGAUUCAUUGUUAGAGAAUCACAUGCUACAAUUGAUGAAAAUAUUUAAAUUUUUAUGAAUUUAAUUUCUGAUUUUCAUUGCAUAUUUAUUGAUGGUGAAUUUUAGUUAUAAAAAAAAAUUGUUUAUGACAUUAAGUUAUGGCAAAUUUUUAUAGUAUUUUCGUAUUAGAUUAUGCAAGGCCCCAAUUUAAGUUUCGCACAGGGCCCUCAAAAUCUCAGGGACGGCCCUGUCUCCAAUUGGUCUUGUGCUAAAAUUCCUCCGAAAAGUUGAUUUUCCCUUAAAAACCUUCUAAGAGUGCAGAAAAGCUGAAAAUCAGAAAAAUAAAGUAAUAAGCCAUUUUUAAAUCUAAUUCUCUUACAAAACCAAAGUAAAAAGAGUACAUAAAUGAGUAUAUUUAUGGACUUAUCAACGUCUUCUUCGUUGGACUUGGGGUUGUUUUCCUUAUAUGUCCCCUAUAUAUAUAUAUGGCCUUUAGUUGAGCCCACAAAUACCUUCAGUUAGUUUUUGGGUUUAGGGGCCUACAGAACCUGCACUAAACAAUAAAAGAAAAUACCUAAUUAGUUUAGUACGAAUUUAUAAUGAAGGCUUUAUUAGGUGAAGUUUUAUUUCUUAAUCGUUAGAUCAAAUUGGUUAGCAUCUGAAGUCGCCCAAAGAUUUGAGAGGGAUUCCACAAACAUAUAAUAUAAAGAAAGAAAGCAAUAGUAGGAGAUGAACCAGUACAAAAAACAAUAUAUAAAUAGUACAUAAUAAUUCCAUAACCUUGUCACAAACGCACUCACAAAUGCUUUCCAUAAACCUUGCCCUAACAUAUAACAAAUAAAGGCAACAUUGCAUAUGAUGCAACCAUGUCCAAAUCUGAUACGUGAUAAAAAAAAAAGGACAUGGCAGCAACAUAUGACUGAAGUAGAUGGGCUCUUUGCAUCUCGUGUUAUCGUAAUUAAAGACAUCAAAAUAUUAAGGUUGAAAUCUUCUAUAGUAGCAAGCAUUAAAAUAGGUUUGAAGCAGAGUUUAAAGAAAAUUCCAAUUCCACUGAUUUGCCUCUGCUCAAAGACGAGAACCAAAAUGGUUACUUCCCUUGCUGAGUAUAUUUGUUAACGUCGGAAACGGUAAUAGAUGACCAAUCAAACCCAAGUACGACGAGUUUUGCAUAGGAUCAGAAGUAGUUGAAUCCAGCUUGCAUCACACGCUUCUUUGACUCCAUUGCAUUAGAUGAGUUUUUGUAUUUUUGAACAGCUACACUCCGAAGUCGUUUGUGUCUACGCUUCAUGCGCUGCAACUUCGCCCUAUCCAGAUUGGCCUGCCUUUUGUCAUCUUCAAUUUGGCCUUCAACAAAUUCCAAACGUGCCCUUGCCCUUUGGAUUUCAUCACCAAGUUGAAGAUGCCUCUCCUUCCAAAAAGCAAGAACUCUUUCAGACUCAAAACUUCCAACAAAAUGGUCAUUCUAUCUAGGAAUGUGACAUUGCUUGUCUGGUGACUCACCUGCGUUUCAAAGGCGGUCUUUGUUUGGAGGGGUGUUUAUUAUGCUCACAUCAAACUUGGUUAGUAAAUCCAUUCUAUGGGGGGAGUGAGUUUCUGUGGAGGAGAGAGUUUCAGUAGAUGGAGACAGAUUCGGUGGAGGAGUGAGAUUUUUGUGGAGGGAGAAUUUCUAUGAAAUGGGUGAUAGUAAUACCAAUAAAAGGGUUCCCGCCAAAAAGUAUUUGGUUGACAAUGUAUAAAUUAAUUUUUGGUCUGAUACAAUCUAAGUUUAAUCCUAACUAGUUUGGUUAGUUUGGUUGAAUUCACUAACUAGAUGUCACUUCCAUUGAGUUUCUUUCAACCACUAUCAGUGGUGUAAGGAGAGUGUGAGGUUGACAUGCUUGAAAAGCAAAACCUAACACCUCUUUUUUUUAAAAUUGAAAGAAAGUACAUAUGUUGACUACACACAAGCUUUGGUAUGUUGGUCUAUAAAGCUAUGUUCCCUUUCUCAAACGAAAUUGCAUAUGCAAUCCUCGUCCUCCCAAAACAAAUAGAAUUAUUCAAGCAUGUCAACCUCUUCAGGCGCCAACAACACAAUCAAAGAUGACAAAUUGGAGUCGCAGGUUCUAUUUCCACAUUGUACUCGCCGACCCCUUCCAUUUUCAACAUCAUUUGGGAGUGAGGGGGACUCCGAUGAUCCAUUAGAGCUAAUACAUGCAGUCAAUAGCAAGCUGGAUUAUAAUUCCAGACUGAUCAAUUCAUGGCGCGAGAAAUAUGUUGAAGACGAAGCCAUUUUGGCUGAUCUUAACAUUAGAGUGAACAAAGCGUUCUCCCAAAAGAACAAGUACUUGAAGCUGAGUCAUAAAAGGAAGCUGAAAGCUGAGGAGUUAGAUACAGUAAUGAAUGAUGAAAUUAAAGGUUGUUUGAUGAAUCAUAUGCGAUGCGAAGAGCACCACAGUGAACUGGAGUUGGCAUUCAACGAAGGAUUCGAAAAAUUACGAGCAUUUGCAGCAACUACUCAUACAAGUUAUAAUUGGGACUAUGUGUCCCCUGAUGUUGUGAGAGAGAUACUAGACGAUGGUGGUGACAUGAAUGAGCAUAAGCACGUCAAAGCUGCUUGGAAGAAGCCGACCGAUACGACUAAGUGAUUGCGGCUACAGUUGUUCAGUUGGUUGAGAGUGAUCGUGGUAUUGCACAAAUUAGAAGUAUAUUCCCAUAAUGUCAUUAUCUAAUUUAAAAUAACACAAAUAUCAGUUUCAUUUGCUUCAUAUUGUAACACCCCGACCCCAAAUUUCCCCAAAAUUUACCCUCAUUUAAUUAAUUAAUUAUUUAAGGGUAUUUUAGUCAUAUUUUUAACCGGAGAGAGUUUGGGACCAUGACUUGUAUUUUUGGAUAGGUCGUACUGAGACGAGUUCAUAGACACGUAGUGGGCUCGAAUCAGAGUUGUAACGAGAGAGAUAUGGUCAAAAGAAACCCAGUGGCACAAUCGUAAAUAUUUCAAAAUGGGAUUUUUAUAAAAAUCUGGUUUUUCUCUCUCUCUCUCUCUCUCUCUCUCUCUCUCCCGCGACUUCUCUCUCUCUCCCGUCGGCUCUCUCUCUUUCUCUCCUUGUAUCUCCGGCCACCGACCACGGCUGUGGGCGGGGCCGGUACCAAACUGACCGGGACGACGUCCCCUUCCUUCCCCGACCAUUCCCCGCCGGCAACGCGGCCGUUGCUGGCCGGAAAAUGCAGAAAACCGCCGGGAGGUCGUCGAAACUUCAACGCCGUCGAUCUCCCUCCUCCGGCCACCAUUUUCGUCGACCCAGGUAUGGAUCUUGAACCUCUCGAGCUGUUCUAGCUGUUUGUUGGUUGGGUUUUGAUCGAUUCGAUCUCUAGAUCACUCGAUUUUCGAAUUGAAAAUUGGCCGAAACUUCGGCCGCCGUGAUCGGCCAUUUUCGGCCACUUUUUGUGGUAGGUCCAAGAACAAAAGUGGCUCCAAAUAGGGUGUUAUACCUAGGGUAGAAGUUUGGAGCCGAGAUGUUGAGAUUUUCCGGCGAAGCGUUAUCGCUUUGGGCACCCACGCGUGCGGCGGCGCGUGGGCACUGUAGAAAAAGUAGAUGUGUUCCGAUGAGAUCCUUAGGUUGUCACGAGUGCGUAGGAUUUGGCGGAUCUCAAUUCGGACGUCGUUUGACUAUCGAACGGAUAAUCGCAUAUUAUGCGUUAUCCGGGUUCGAUAGGUUGAGACCGUCGGAUGGUCCCAAAUUUAAUAUAUGUUGAUCUAGGUAUUUCUAGGAUCGUGUAGGAUUUCACGGAUCGUGAAUCGGAGCCCCGGAUGUUCCGAAUAAUAAUUUAAAGUUUAUAUUUUAUAUUAACCAUCAGAUUAUGCGAUCGUGAGAAAUCCGACCGUCUGAUCUGAACCAAACUGGCAGGAAAAGUGUCCUGUACCUGGUAGAACCCAUAGGGACCUUCGGAUCGGAAAUUGGAGGUCGUGGGUUCCGCAAGUCUGUUUGACCAGGGUUAGAGUAGUUUGACCCUUGGUUGACCGUGAGUCUCCCGGAGUAAUCUCACCCUUCCAGGGGGAAUUAUCGGGAGCUAGACUAUUGUGGAGGGUUACACAAUAUUAGAAUUAUUUAUAUAAUUAUAUAUGGUUGUACAAGGGUACAACAAAGUCUAGAAUGUCAGUUUGGAGUGCUAUACGCACUACUUUAGGUACCUCCUCGGAUUUUGGAUUCGCUACAAGCACCACCAAGUGAAAGUUAGGUCCCGCGUGGCGUAGGUUAUCCGGCGUUGGGACAGACCCCAUACGUGGCGUUGGUUGUACCGGCGUAUGGGGAGAUUUGCAAUAUGAUGUUCAGGUCUCACGUGGCGUAGGUUAUCCGGCGUUGAGACAGGCCCCGUACGUGGCGUUGGUUGUACCAGCGUACGGGGAGAUUAUGUGAUAUGAUGUUGAGGUCCCGCGUGGCGUAGGUUAUCCGGCGUUGGGACAGGCCCCAUACGUGGCGUUGGUUGUACCGGCGUAUGGGGAGUUAUAUGAUAUGAUAGUAUGGCAUGGUCGCACAUGGCGUAGGUUAUCCGGCGUGUUGACAGGCCCCAUACGUGGCGUUGGUUGUAUCGGCGUAUGGGGAGAAUAUGUGAAAUGCAGAGAAAGGAAAUAAGGUAUCACCGAUGUGUGGAAUUGGGUUUUAGGGAAGAACUACGUGUGGCUUGAUCCCUCAAGGAGGGUACGUAGGCAGCCUAAGGUUAUUGGGUGCAGCCGCAGACUAAAUAUUAGUCAUAUUUGGUAUUUGAAUUGUAUGGUAGUUGUUUGAGAAUUAUUGGAAGGCCAAAGGCCAUUUAUGAGAAUUUGCAUGAAAUUAUAUUGUGCAUGCUGCUAGUUGUGGAUAUUAAAUGUGUUUUUAUGCAGGUUGAAAUUUUGGGAAAUGUCCAAUUUAUAGGGGAGACUCUGCUGAAAUUUCGGCAGGAAGUCUCGGUUUUUAGUAAGUGGGCCUGGCAUCGGGGUGAUGUCAGGAAUUCCAAAGGGUUCGUCUCGGGUUUUGAGAAAAUUCGGGGCGGGUCCUUAAACAUAUAUAAUUAUUGGGACUAUGUAUUGCAAGUCAUCAUGUGUUCCUUCUGUCUAACAUUAUAUUUUGCAAAUAUCAAAAUAUUAUUCAAUAAGCAGUCAAUAUCACAGCAAGUUGGGAAUUAGUAAAGCCCCAUUAUCAUGUCCGUUCACAUUAAAGAGCUGGCGUACUUUUUCUCAAAAAACUGACACGUGAGUCAUAAGUAACAUAACAUGUGCUAUACAUUGUUUAGUGAAUGGUUUAUGGUUUAUUUAUAUAUAAUAAAAUUCCAAAUAUUGCUGAAUAUUUGUUUUUUCUAUAUCCCUGGGAACAUGAGUGACCAUAAGCAUGUAAGACCUGUUAAGAAGAAGCUGACUAAUACGACCGAGUGAUUGUGGCUACCGUUGUUUAGUUGGUUGGGGAGAUCGUGGUAUUGCUAAGAGGGAGCACAUAAUGUGCUUUGCAAUCAAAUUUUCUUUUGUGUGUGGAAUUAUGAGUAGUUCAAAUGUUAGUGUACCCUUUAAUAUUCUUCAACCGUUUGAAAUGUGAUUAGCUGCAAUGUACUUUUUUACACGCUGCUUUCUAAUCACUCUGUUCCAACAAAGUGCUUUAAGUAUCCUUCAGUUACAAAUGUUUACAAAAUCGUGCAUCUAAUAACCAGUCGAGCUCAGAUCUUAAUAACAAGUAAAACACUAGAACAUAACAUUCGGAAAAAGUGGGUGCUGCUGGAAAUCAUUACUGGUAAUGGAAGCAAGAGCUGGCUGCUGGAAAUGCUGCAUUAGCCUGUGAUAUAAUCAAUGAAUCUCUGUUAAAACAUAAUUCACCAUAAACUACCCAUUUUACAUGGUAAAAGUCAUUGCUUCUUCACAUAACUCAAAAUUUGAUACUUUAUCAAAUGUCUAUGAAAAUUUCUAAAUAGGGGAAAGACGUAAAAUUAACAUGUGUCCAAAUUUCAUGCAAGAAUGAAACCAAGCAAAUUUUUAUUUCAAUUAUCAGUGGACAUAGUAAGAACUCAUCGGUGGACAUGAACAAAAAAAUAAUAAUAUUAAAAACUGAAUCUAGAAAACUUCACCUGAUCAUUAGUCUUCAUAACAACCGAAUUUCGUCUAAUAGAAACAUAAAUCAUUCAGUUGGUCCGUGCAUCGUGUCAAAUUCAUAGAAUAAUGGGUCACUACGAUCUAUUGGAGUUGAUUCGUCAUUGUUCGACGGUGAUGUCCUGCAUAGACAUCAAACACAAGCACAGAAAAAAUUUACCUAUUCAAAUUUUAGGUGUUAUUAUAAAUAGUGUUAGCAUCUUACGGUGUGUUCAAAUUUCUUGCGCAUUGUCUUCUAUCAUGACCAAUGUGUCCACACUCCAGACAGUGUCUAAUCCCUCGCUUCAUUGCCUUUUCUUUUGCUCCCGUUACUCGUUUCGACCUUCUUUUGCACCUCACUCUCUUAGGGUCUUUCAUAUAUUGUGUUUGAGAGCUGGACCCUCCAACUUCGUUAUUACUUGGUCCAUCCUUCAACAACUUCAACUUCACCUGCAAACUUUUUAGAGUCUCUGACAGUAGCUCACAUCCUUCUUCACUCAUUAAUGCACCCUCAACCACAUCUUAAGCAAGUCGAGACAUUGUACUCCGCCUUAUUAAAAGACCAGGAUCUGCAGAGUCUUUAAUUUCGUUGCCAUUUGCAUCUGACACCAAUUCAGAUUUUGCAGUUUUCUUCCACCUCUUUAAAAUAUAUUUAUCGGGCAUAUAUUCAAUCUGGUCCCUUCUGAACAAUGCUAGGAUGUGCUUGCAAAUAAUUCCAACAAAUUCAAAUCUUUUGCACCCACACGAUGCGUGGUCAGAAUCUUUAACAUAUACGACGUCUGCCACUCUUGUUUCCCAAUUUUUCCUUUUGCUCACGCGAAAGACAACUUUAGAAGCACCCUCUGUUUUGAGCUCUAGGAAACAUGUUGUACUUUGUAUUAGUUCUUGGUCAAACUUUUGAAACAUUGUCCUUGUGUACAAGGUAGCCAUUUGUUUGUUCAUUGGCAUCGGUAGAAUACAUUGAGCCACUUCAAAUGCAUCUACGUGAUCAGCAACUAACUCUUUUUGACGUUGAUGAGAAAGUGCCCUCUCAAAUCGUAUUAUGAAAUCCAUCAACGAAUUUCUCCUUGAUAUGUAUUGCUUGAAAAAACCAUGAGAACCUUCCACUCUUUGGCUGCUUGACAUUCCAGCGGCAAAAAAUUGUUGUGCGUAGGCUGGAACCCAAGAUUCUCUUAAAUCAAACAUUGAACUUAGCCAUGGAUGGUCAGUCAAACCAGCCUUUGUAACCACAAUAUUCCAUUUUGUAACAAACUUAUCCUUAUUGUCAGUAUCCCAUACGGCUUUCUGAAAUUCACGCCAAUACUCCUUAUAAGCAGAAUGUGGUAACUUAACAGAGAACUUUGAUGUGAUGUGCAAUAUGCAAAGUCGAUGAAAUGUAGUCGGGAAGGGUAUUGAAAUCGCUCUGGUCAUUGCCGCAUCUUGAUCUGUAAUGAUCGUUUUAGGUCCGCCACUUGGCAUGGCUUUCUUAAACUCCUCAAACAUCCAAAUAAACGACUCAGUCGUUUCCUUGCUCAAAAAUGCGCAUGCUUAGACAAUUGUCUGACCAUGGUUAUUAACUCCCAACAUUGGUGCAAAUGUCAAGUCGUAUCGAUUCGUGUUGAAUGUGGUAUCGAAUACAACAACAUCUCCAUAAAACCCGUACGCCCAUCUAGAAGUUGCAUCUGCCCAAAAACAUUGACUAAACCUGUCAUGGCCAUCUCUCUCAAUCUUGAAAUAAAAAGCCUCAUUUUUUUUUUCUGUUCAGCCAUAAAAUACUCGGUCACUAGUUCAACAUCGUGGUUCCUCAACUUCCCAUUCACACUACAUUCAAAAUUGUAGAUAUCUUUUUUGAUAAAACCGAUUUUAUCCAUUCCUCCGGAUUGCACCUCGAAAAUACUUACCUUCUGAUGAAUGAGAAUAUUAACCGAACCCAACUGUUUUGUGAGUACUUUUGUAGAAUCUGAACUAUGACGGUGUGAUCUCAAUAAAUGCAUUCUUUCUGAGGGUGUCAUCUUAUGAUUGUGUCCCUCUGCAAAAAGAGAGAUGGUAUACUUCUUGCUCCCAUUUGUCUUCACAACCACAAUCUUAGCUUUGCAAUUGCAUCUACUUAUUCCCCGCUGUCUUUUUCUCUCCCGAGUUUCAUCUCUCCUGUAUUCACCUUGUUUGCAACAUACAAAUUCUUUCCUCAAAAUCUCUUUCUUAUUUCCCCCCCAAAAGCUGGAAUGAAGUCGAAUACCAAAGCCAGCCAAGAAUGCAUAUCUAUUAUAGAAAUUGUAAACGAGGUCAAGCAAGUCGAACUUCAUCCCAACUGCUGGUGUUUCCUCAUUUCUUACUUCAAGAAUGUAAACCCUCCCAUUAGCUGUUACACAGUCAUCACUCUCUGAGCCCCCAGACAUUUUAUCCACGUAUAUUAUUGAUCCACUUCUAUAUUAUUGCAUAGCAAAUAUUAAUUCAUUAAUAAAUCAUUACUGCAUCACAACAUAUCAAUGCAUUCCACUUACACAAAACAUUGCCCAAAUUGACACAAAACACGCAUAGCCUAACUUGUUGGAUUCCGAUUACACAAAACGCAAGCAAAAUUUAAUAAUAGUUACGUCAUCUCUUGUGAAAUAAUCUAGAAAAAAUAACAUUAGAACCAACAUGUUCAACUAAGAACACAAAUGCAAUUCAAACCAGCAAUCACAUAACUUCACCCAAUAUCCUCUCCAAAUGCUUACUCCUAAUGUCAUUAAGCCUAAGUUUAGGAUCUUUUACCUACAUUUCAUAAUUUUUCACCCCCACCAAAAAUAAUCAACUAAGUAUACUGAAUAUUCAUAAGGAAAUGACGCAUUAUUGAUGCCACAAAUGACGAAUUUCCUACCCUCACAAAAAACAAAUCAAACCCAAUUAAAUCAAUCCAGCAAGAGUGAACUUACCUCUCAAAAUCAAUCGGGAGCUCCGAAGUCAGUAAGCUUGAGAGAAUGUGGUGGACAUUAGAGAAGACUCUUUGGUAUUGGAGACUCCAUCUCUACCAAAAUCGAGGAACGAACUGCUGCUACGGCGUCUAGCUACAGAAAAAGAUAUGCUACUUUACUUUCAUCUGGAAUCUUGUUUGCUGAACGAAAAAGAGAAAGGGUUUUCACUUGAGCCAUAGAAUCAAAACAAGGCAACAUCUAGGUAAGAGCCAUUAAUCGUCAUAUCGAGGAUACCAUAGAUCGCAGGCCUCCCAAGGAGCUGAUGACAAUGGAGCGACUAUAGGGUUUGGGAGCUUUGGAUCCUUCUAAUUGUGGGUUUGCGUUACAUUCAAAAAAAGAGGAGUGUGUUGUUGAGUUUUUCACAUAGAGGGAAAGAGGGAAAGAUCUUCAACUGAAGUUGGGUUUCCAACGGGUCAAAUUUCAACCCGGUUCUACAUGCACCCUCUUUUAAAAACUCACCGUUGGAUUUCAUCCAACGGCUCGUACAUACCCCUCAAAAACACCCCUUAUAACUUUCCACUCACUAUAGAAGCUCUCCCCAGGAAAUGCUUCGAGGUAGAUUUUAUGUUUUGGGCCUUGGGACCCAACUUCACAAAAAGAAAACAAAUUUGACCAAAAAACAAAGUUGAAGGACAUUGAUAUUGUACCUGUAGGAUAGGUUAAAACACUAAAAGGAAGGUAAAUAGUACGUUUACAGAGUUUAAGUGUAAUAAAGGAAUAAAAACAUGCCCAGAGAAUUGAUAAGUGAUAUCAAUUCUUGAAUAUAUAGAACGUAAAAUAAAGGAAUACGUAGAAAAUUAUUUUAUGUGGUAAAACUCAAUCUAUGGGGCCACGGGACUUCUUAGUCCAAAAAAAAUCCAUUGAACGAUGAUUACAAGAAGUACUCACACACUUAUCCUAGACACAUUCUAGAUAAUUUUUACUAACAUCUUUGUAACUCAACUUCUGUCAUAGGAUGAUUUUUUGACACUCCUUAUGUUGAACGCAAUACUGGUCACGAUUUCUUCAAGCUCGCAGGAACUCUCCUUAUAUUGAAUAUGAUACUAGUCACGAUAGAUUCAAGCUCAUCGGAGAAAAACAGCCACAACGGUCUUGGUGCCCUCAAUGGUAUGAGUCACUGAACAUGCAAAUAAAUACAAUAUGAAUGAUAAAAGUGUUUGAUAAAUCACCAAGUUAUGGAACACUUGAUGAUUUAUCUCAAAUAAAAACUCAGCUUUCCAAAGUUUAUGAAUUGAAAAUAUGAUCGUUAAAGCUCUCUAAACAAAGAAGACGAAGAUCUUAUUUUAUAGAAUUUUUCUUUAUAAGAAAGAAAACACAUUGAAAACCAAAUCUCCAAGGCUUGACAGAAAAUCACAAAAGUAUCUUUCCUAUUCUAGAGAUUGGUCACAUGUAGUCCAACCAAUAGGACAUGAGAUAUUUAAGAAAUGAAGAUUUUGAUCAAUAUCAAUAUCAAAUGAAUUCUUAUACGCCUAGUCAACUAUUAAGGGUAUCUUGACUCCUUGAUAUUGUGAUAUGAUUGAAACAUGAUUUCCACGUUAGAAAAUUAAGGGGAUGUUAAAACAUGAAAGUAAUAGGAGAAUCAAAUUGAUUUCGGCCAAAAUUGCCUAAAAAGAAAACACUCCUAAAUAAACUCAAUUCACUUUUAAAAACAGUAAAACGUGAUUGAAUUGUUCUUUAAAACAAUUCCCUAAUAUACAUGCAUGAUAAUGACAUCACUUACCUCUGAAUCAAAUGCCUUUCAUAGGUCAAGCCACAAGUCUGUGUUUUGGGGAUUGCUGAGCUGCAUCAAUCCUGCCAAUGUCAAUGCUGCCCCUAUGCUCUCUCAAAGCACGUUUACAACCUAUGCUAACAUAUACCCUAAACCCUAGUAUCAAGAAAAUGCCAACACUAAUUUCGUAACACGUAGAAAUUGUUAGAGAUUGGAAGUUUUUUUUCUUCAAGUCUCUCCACCACUCACUAAUACAGAUUGCUCAUGUGAUGAGUUUACAAAACCUAUUUCUCUACUCUCACAAAGACUAUACUUCUUCUCAAAAGACUAUAUCACUUUACCUCUAUCUCUGUGAAAUGUAAAAAGUUGAAACUUUAAUGUCAAACCUCGACAAAAGAUGAACUUCCAUAAGUUACGUUGAAUUUGGAUUUGUUGAACUUAAGUGGUUUUACUUUUCUGUCAGUGUUUGAUGACUUAAUUUGGUAUUUACUUCUUCUUUUUUUCCUUGGAAAUGUGUUCCACCAACGUGAGGAAGAAAAAUAUGCACAAAUUAAUAUAUUUAAUAGAAGCCCAAGAUUUCGGAAGCACAUAAUUUCUACAAAAUUCUACAAAGUGUUCUACUUUACAAACUUCAUAUGUCUACCAAUUUUUACUAAAAUUAAUUUAUCUGCAGUGCUCAAAUUCAUCAUAUGUGUGUCCUUAAUUUUAGUGAAAAUUGGAAGUUUCCAUUAUUUUUGUUUUACGGGAAUUUUUUGAACCAAGGAAAAUCAAGUAAAAUUAAUAAAGCAUAAAUUGGAAAGGGAAAAUAUCUAGAGGAUGCAUUGUAGGAUUGCUCAUGCCAAUAAUUGUACCCUCUAAAUAUAUAGGGACAUAUUUUUUUUGCUCAUACCACUUGUUGCAGUACACAUUCACCCGUUUUCAAAGAAAGAAAUUCUACCAAUCGAUAAUGUCUCAAAUUUAAUCACAUAUUUUAUGGACCAUCCAGCUAUGAGGUUUUAUCUCAAAAACCUUCGGUACAUUUCUCCCACAUGCCACAAUUGUAUAUUCACAAUUACGUCUGAUACAUCACAUCAUGCCACUUGCCUCAAAUGAAUUUAAGUGAGUGAGGCAGUUGGAAGUAAUUAAGCUCUAUAUUGGUGGGUGGAGUGUUAGUUCUGGGUACCCCUCAUCAUUCGUCUAUAAAAUGGUGAAGCCAGUUGCUACUGUUACCAUAAGAGCCAGCUCCGACUUUCUUUAAUUUCUUGCUUCAUAUCCACUAGCUACAUCUGUUGCUCUUCUCAGUGUAAGCUCUGCAAUUUGAUUAACUUUCCCAUUAUCUCUCACUGUACUCUAUAUAAAGGAAUAAGUGUCGUCCAUUAAUUCUCUCCGAAAGUGUCGUCCUGAUUUUAAUUAGAGUUCGAAUUAAUGUUGCAGCUAGCAGCGGUUGCACUGGCAAACCAUGCUGCUCAACCGGUACCUCAACUUUACUGGAACUCCGUCCUGCCAAACACACAGAUGCCAAGAUCUAUCAGUGAACUUCUGCAUCCUGGUUUGUGUUUGAGCACUUUAGAAUCUUAGAUAUCUCUUCUACCUGCCAUUUUACUAAAAUAUGUUCAACCACAUAUUUAUCAGUUAACUACUGUCAUUACAUGAGUGACACAUAUUCACAAAUCGGCUGAUCACUUAUUUUCCAUUAUGACGUUGAUAUAUAAUGUUGGGAAUGGAAAGCCAAUUGACCACAAGGGAAAACCUGAAAAUACUGUACUACCACAGCUAGCACGAAGCCCAUUUUCUUACAAGAGUGAUGUGGGGACCAAAUCUCAUGUAUCAUAGCUUAACCCAUAUGCCACAACUAAAAGACGUGGGAUGAUCGAACAGCAUACCCACAUGGUCAUGGAUCUCUUCAGAUAAUCAAUAUUAAACAACCCAUAAACUUCUCCCUUUGAAGAACAAAUUAAAACCAAUUUCUAGAGGAAGGUUACAAAACAUUUUAGCCCGUGAAGAACAAAUCAAGACAAUAUAACCCAUUUGAUAACAAAAUCAAAAUGAGAUUUACCAAUACUAGAUGACCACGGCGCCAGUAUAAUGGUACGACGGCGGCGUUAUUGUAACGGUGGAGAAGUGGAUGGUAUGACGACGGUGUUAGUGUGACGGUGGAGGAAACGAUAUUAUGAAGGAGGCGUUGCUAUGUUCGGUGGAGGAGUCGUGUGUUUCACAGUUCAAUAUAUCCUUUUUAGUCAUUUUAUAUUAGGGUAAAUCAGUAAUUCAAUAAAUAAUUUGAUAGUAUGGUGUACUCAGUUAAUAUUAGGGUUCAUUUAACAGCACUCAAAUUAACUAGUGUAGAGUCUAUCUAUAUUAUUAAUACUAAAAAUAAAUAUAUGACUAAAUAACUCAAAAAAAAAAUAAAUCUACAAUCUUUUUUUUAAAAAAUUUUUUUUAUAGAAUUUUAUUAGAUUAAUAGGCACUACUAAAAAAUCUCCUUAUAAACUACAAAUACACGCAUAACUUAUACUAAUGUGAGCUACUGACACCACCUGCCACAUGACAGUUGUCCAAGCAUAGUGUUGUCAUUCAUUAUUCCCCACAGCAACUAACAUCCAAUAAAGGGUUGGGGCCCACCCAUACUCCACCUCUCUGUAUGUAGCUCUUUGAGAAUACAGAAGAAAUAUUUUUUAGGGAAAUAGCUUAAAAUGAUACCCAUUUCAUAAUUUUAAUUAAAAAUACCACCCCUUUCCAAUUUUUGUACAACUAUCACCUAUAAAUAUAAAAUUAUUGUCCACUUAUUGCUGAUUUUUCACAAGUUCAGAAAUUUUGGAAAGAAGAAGCUCACACAGCUCUCUCUCUCUCUCUCUCUCUCUCUCUCUCUCUCUAGCACAACUCUCUUUCUUUGGUAUCUGUCUAUCACAGCUCUCUGUGUCUCUCUUGGCUCUCUCUAUCUUGGCUCUCUCUCUCUCUAGCACAACUCUCUGUCUCUCUCUUUGCUCUCUUUCUCAUAGCGCAGCUGUUUCUCUCUCUAGCUUCGUUAUGUCUCUUUCUCCCCUAUUCGAUCUCUUGCUUUCUGUUUGGAAUCGCGAACCCCUCCCUUUAGCUAUGUCUUCUGAAUAGCUGCUUGCAACCUUGAAGCUCUAGUGGAUUGCCGACCUCGAAAAGGUAGUGUUGAUGGUUAUUUUCUUAAUAUCAGUGGGAUUAUGUGAAAUGGGUUAUAGUUUGAUUGUUUGGGUUUGUGUUAAAUUCGUUUUGGCUUUAAUUUCUUUGGGUUAGGUUUUGUUGAAUAUUCAUACUCAUUCAUCUGGGUUUGUACCAAUUGCAUUUAGAUUGGUCUGGAUAUGUGAAUCUUGAAACUUGGGAUUUUCUAUUUGAUGUAGUAGAUCUGUAUAGUGUGAUUCUGUUGUGUUCCUCUUAUUUUACAGUCGUAUUGCUGUUAUAUUGUCAUUAUAUUGCUUAUAUAUUGCUGUUAUAUUGUGGUUAUAUUGCUAUUGUAUUGUUUGGUUAUUGUGGUUAUAUUGUGUUAAUGAAAUGUUGUUUUGUCAUGGUCAGAAAUGGAGACAAUUGUUAUUCUCGUGUGCUACAAUGGAAAAUGGGUCACCUCGAAGAAGAUGUGCAAAUACGAAGGGGGUGACUCAAAAGGCUUAAUAGUUCCACGGACCAUCAAAUUUGUUGAACUGUUGGACCGUGUGCAUUAGAUUGGUAAUACAAACAGCAGGGAAGACAAGGUUUGCUUAAAAUUCUCAGUUUUGGUGGCCUCGAAUGAGUGGAAGCACAUAAAUAUUGAGGACGAUGAUGAUAUCAAUUUUUUUAUGAAGUACAAUUCCGAGGUAACACCUUCAAAACUAGCUCCCUUACUCGUGAGUAUAGAAGAUAAAGGAUUGACAAAUGAUGUAGUUCAUAGUAUGCAUAUCACGACAGAUAGUAGUCGGAUGGGUCAUUCUUCAGUUGCCAUUGUUGAAAGCAAUGAAGUAACUUGGAAUAAUACGAAUGUCACUGAUGUGGGAGGUGAAGUAGGGACAGAUUUUGUGGAUAUGAUUGAUUUUAGCGAGGUGUAGGAGAUGCAUGGUGGUGAUAAUAGUACUGAAAGAAAUGAAGUGUCAGUGUACUCUGCCCCUCCUAAUUUGGGCUGCUUCAACAUAGCUGCCCAGUUGCCAAUAAUGCGUUUAGGAGGAGAAUCUGAACCCACUCGUCAACAUUAUUGGAGUCAAAUAGGUGAACAAAAUCGGUACAAUGCAGCCGGUGUAAAUGAUGAAGAAGCAUAUUUGGACAGCGGGUUUUCACGAAGUGAUUGGAAUCCGAAAAUUACAGUUGGGCAAAUUUUCUCUAGUAAGAAAGCAUUGUUGACGGAGUUACGGUUGACGGCAUUAAGAGGCCACUUUGAAUUUAAGGUGCAAUUCUCUUGCACUAAAAGGUUGCUUGUGGUUUGUUGUCAACGUCCAUGCCCAUGGCGGGUCCGAGCAUCGAGAAUUGGAGAAUACAGCUUCAUGAUUGUGAGGUGUACAACUGUCCAUGAAUGUGAUUUGAGGUUCGUAAGUGACAAGCAUCGUCAAGCAACCGCAGCACUUGUAGCCACUUCACUUAAAAGGAAGUGACAUUAUGAGAGAUGUGAAACACAACUUUGGUUGCACCAUCCAUUAUUCGAAAGCUUGGAAAGCAAAGGAGUUAGCUCUAUUGUCCAUUAGAGGAUCAGCGGAGGAGGCAUAUUAUAUCCUUCCAGCUUAUUGCUAUGAAUUGGAGCGUAUGAAUCCCGGCACAAAAACACACAUCCAAACUGAUGAGAACAAUCACUUUGUGUAUUUAUUUAUGGCGGUUGGCGCAUGUAUUAGAGGGUUCCGUUCUUCCAUGCGCCCAGUGAUAGCCGUGGAUGCCACUCAUUUAAAAUCCAAGUACAAGGGUGUUAUGUUUGUAGCAAAUGCAUUCGAUGGUAAUUGAAAUAUAUAUCCUCUUGCUUUUGGGAUCGGGGAUUUGGAGACGGAUGCAUCAUGGCAUUGGUUUUUCACUAAACUUCAUGAAGCCAUUGGUGAGUGUCCCAAUCUUGUUAUUAUUUCUGAUCGCAAUGUUAGCAUAGAGAAUGUGUGGAACAAAAUUUUUCCAACUGCACAACGUGGCAUAUGCUUUUAUCAUAUGAAGGGGAACAUGAAACGCACUUGCUAGUUGAAAAAGCGUGAUCACAUACUUAUGCACUUUGAGCAGGCUGCGAAAUCUUAUUCCAUUGCUGAAUUUGAUUGUCAUUUUUGCAAGAUCAAGCGAAAGGAACAUGUUGCUCAAUAUCUUGAAGAGACAGGGUUACAUAAGUGGUCUAGAGCUCACAUGGAUGGACGCCGCUACAAUGUAAUGACAACAAAUAUUGCAGAGUCAAUCAACUCAGUCCUUAGGUUUGCAAGGAUGCUGCCAGUGGUUCAUUUGAUAGGGGAAAUUGUUAAUCUCCUUGUGAAAUGGUUCACCGAACGUUGUGAGUUGGUUUUGAAUUGCACAACAACAUUGUGCCCCAAUUUUGGAGAGAAGAAGUUGAGGAACAGGUUGGAGGAUGCUGCAAGGAUGAAUGUGGUUAAAGUAAAUAAUGCACAGUUUAAUGUUUUGGACGGUGAUAUGGACGGCCUCGUAGAUUUGGCGAACAGCAGUUGUAGUUGUAGAAAGUUUCAGCUUGAGCAGCUACCUUGCAAGCAUGUAGUUGCAGUUUGCCGCUUCUUGAAAGUAAAUGUAUACGCAAAGGCUUCUCGGUAUUACACUCAGAAAACCUGGAUGAUGCUUAUUCGGAUAGCAUCUACCCGGCACAACCUCACGGAAUGUGGGAUAUUCCUGAAGAUGUUCGAAGUCGAGUUGUGCUGCCUCCCAUGGCAAGGGUCAUGCCAGGCAGACGAAAGAAGAUCAGAAUUCCCUCGCAAGGAGAGGGCACCAUUAGAAGAAAGUGCUCAAGGUGCGGUUCCGCAGGCCACAAUAAAAGCACAUGUAAAAACAAUAUUCCAUUGCGCAAUGUAUCUUAGACAAUAUGAUUUGUGUUGCUUUGGUAGGUCAUGUAAACUCUACUUUUAUUUGUGGUGGGUUUCGUGUUAUGUUGAAUGGGAAUUCUUUUAAAUUUGCAUAAUUUGGGUUGCAUUGCUACAGCAUGCUGUAUUGCUGACAGAUUGCUAUUAUAUUGGACUUUUAUUGUACUGGUAUUGCUUCCAGAUUGCUAUUAUAAUUUGAGUGCGAAAUUAAAGGGACUGGAAUGUAAUUCCAAAUGGAUCCAAAUCAUUAAAGUUCUUAGAAUUCCUAUAUUACACAGUUACUGUGAUACUCCGACUAUACCUUCUUUUAUGAUUACAAAUUCGGCCAAUGCAUAGGCCAGAUGUGGGGCAAAUACAAGGUGAAAUGUCCUAUGUGUUUGACUACAUAUACUUGUUGAAGGAGCAUUACGAAUGCUAACCUCAAUAGAUUGCUCAUGUCUUGCCAAGAACACUCUUGAAUUUAUGCAAUGUGCCCAAGCCAGUCCCAAAGCUGGACUCACCCGUCUGCCUGAUGUGUCCAGGGACUCCAAGUUUCCCAACCUCACCUCAUUCACUUUAUCAUGUGGCCCAAUAAAAUCCACCACUUGGUUGGUGACAACCACCGCCAACCCAAACUUAUUUGCUAAACCCUUCAAUGUCCCAGAUAUGUUGAAAAAUAUUUCAAACCGCCAUUUCAAAUCUGCUGGUGUUGUCUGAUACUGUGAUCGGAACAAUGCAGCAAUGGAAUCAAUGACAAUGAGUUUCACAGGUAGGUGGGUGUGAUCAAUGGCAAUAAAUGCUUCUAUGUCUCCAAGGACAUGGAUGAGUUGUUGAGCAUCAUGAACACCAUGAACAUAUAUGUCUUCCAAUGGCUCCAACCUUAUUAAGUUGGGGUAUGAUGCAUGAUAAAGGUUGCCUAGUUGUUGCAAUCGACGAAAUGGGAAGCUGAAUUCUGUGAAUAUGUAGACGGUGGAGCCCUCUAGUCCGCCAUGUGAGGGUGGGAGCUGAGCUGGUACCGUAAGUUGGAGACAAAGUUGCGUCUUCCCAGAACCACUCUCCCCUACCAAUUCUGUUAUAGAGUUGCAGGGUAUCCCACCCCCCAAGCAGUCAUCUAGUAUUGGGCAUCCAAUGGAUAAUUGAGGGGUUGAAAGAGGAAGGAGCAUGAGGUUUUAGGGUGUCAUAUUUGUGUAAUUUAGGGGGGGAUGUGAUGGUGCUACAAGGCAUGCAUUAUAUAUAUAUAUAUAUGUAGAGUUCAUUUUGAAGGUCUGUAUUGUAGGCCAUAUGUCUUUUAAGGGAUGUAUAAUCCAUCCUUUUUUCAGGUUGUAAUUAAUUUUUUGUUUAUUUAUUAGUAUUUUUUUGGACCAAAUAAUUUAAAAAACAUUAUGAUGCAGUACGUACUGUAAUAGGAUCAUAUUGUAACUCUAUCAUCACUCUAUUGUACUCUUAUUGACAUAAUAUUGCCGUUAUAUGCAUGUUUAUUAUAUAGUUAUUACUGCUAUAUCGCCACUGAACUGGACACCGAUAAACUGUAUACGCACAAAUACAAAAAGAGGCUUCAUCAUUCCAUAAAAUCCUAUUUCCAAACUUACAUAAUACAACAACAGGCCACCCCAUCGUUACAUAAUACAAAAAUACGCCACCUCAUAGUUCCAUUUCCCUACUGUUGACAAAUUCGAAGUUGCAUACUCUUCAAGUGCGGUGACCGCGACGCAUGAAAUUCAUGACCCCGGCCACAGUGAUGUUGGCCUAGUUUCCUGCCGGAUCCACUAUUUUUGCAAACUUACGAAAUAGUUCGAAUCCGCUUUCCACUUCUUCUUGCUUCAACUUGGCCGUUGCUUCUGAUUCCUUGAAUACCAUAAUUGCAGUGGUAGGGGCAAUUUCAAUUUUUGCUUUCAUUGUCUUUAUAUGUAGGAGAUGCAUGCGCGCAUGAUAACGAGAGCGAAUUGUGCGGUUUUUUAUGACACCCCAUCUAGUUUGGCCCUCCACAAUUUUGAAACUAUGUCUGCAUGAAGAUUUUUCCAAAACAUGGUAUUGCCUCGACAUUGCUGCAUGCCAUGGACCAAGUCUGCAGGGAGUGAAUUGGGUGACUUGGCUUGUGUUUCAGUCUUCUCUCCUUCAGUAAUUGAAAGUGUUGGGUGUGGUGUGAGGUUAUGGUCCAUGGUCUUCGAUAUUUAUUGUAGCCUAGUGUACAACUUAAUUGGAAAAAAAGGGGACUAAAUGCGAUGGGAGUGAAAUCAGUGGGGAAGGUAGUGGCUGUAAGCAGGAGUUAAUGUGAUGGAAGUUUUCAUUUCAAACAACUGGGUUGAUUAAUAUAGGCAAGUUUUAAUGACCUGGAGUAACUCAGAGAGUUAUUGGUGGGAGGGAUUAGAGGGAGUAAUUGGCGGGAGGGAUUGGCGGGAGUCUUAGGCGGGAUAGUAUUGGGCGGGAGUUAUUACCCAGUUGACUGUAUGCCUUUUUGUAAUAUAUUUGUAUGUUGGACGUUCCAAACUUGGUAAUUUUCCCAUUAUGUAAUUCAAAUAAGGGAUUUGCCUAUUUGCCUAAUUGACCAACUCAUUCAAAUUGACCAAUAUGGUUAUUGUCUUAUUUCUCAUUUCAGCAAUCUCAAUUCGUUUCCAUUUUUCCAUUCUUCAUAUUUUCCUAUUUUCCAUGUGUCAUCCAAUUUUCCAAUUUUCCAAUUUUUCAUUAUUUUUGCCUAUUUUUUCCUAUUCCCUAUUUUCCUAUUGUGCAAUUUCCCAAGUUUCCUUUUGUUGUAUUUCUAGUUUUCCAAUUUUUCAAUGUUCCCAUUUUCCCAUUAUGUAAUUUAAAAAAAGUUGCCUGCUUUGCCUAAUUCAGAAAGUAAUUAAAAUGGUCCAAUAUGGUAAUUGUCUUAUUUUCCAUUUCCACAAUUUCAAUUCGUUUCCAAUUUUCUUAUUUUCCAUGUGUCCCUAUUUCCUAUUUCCAUUUUUCAAAUUUUAAGUUUUUGUCCAAUUAUCCAAUUAUCUUUUUUCCAAUUGGACUAUUUUCUAAGUUUCCUUUUUUUCCUAUUUCCAAUUUUCCAAUUUUUCAAUUUGCUAACUUUCCUUUUGUUCUAUUUCCAAUUUUGCUAUUUUCCAAGUUGCCUUAUUUCCUAUUUUUCAAUUAUCCAGUUAUCCAAUAUUCCAAUUUUCCAAUUAUCCAAUUUUCAAUUUUCCAAUUUGCGAAUUUGCCUAUUUUCCAAGUGUCCUUUUUUCCUAUUUCCUAUUUCAAAUUUUCCAAUUUUCAUGUUUUCAGAGUUUCCUUUUUUUUUCCUAUUUUCCAAGUUUCCUUUUGUCCAAUUUCAAAUUUUCCAAUUUUCCAAGUUGCUUUAUUUUCCAAUUACCCAAAUUUCCUAUUUUCCAAGUGUCCUUUUUUCCUUUUUCCAAUUUUCCAAUUUUCCAAGUGUCAUGUAAUCCUAUUGCCUAGUUUCCUCUUUCCAAUUUUUCCUUUUUUCCUAUUUCCAAUUUUCAAUUUUCCAAAUUUCCCAAAUUUCCAACUUUCCAUUUUUUCGUAUUUCCGAUUUGCCAAUUUUCCUUUUGUUCUAUUUCCAAUUUUCCAAGUUUCCUUAUUUCCCAUUCUCCAAGUUUUCACUUUUCCUAUUUUUCAAUUUCGCUAUUUUCCAAUUUUCUGUUCUGAAAUUCGCAAUAAAUGCUUAGUUACACAGUCCUAUUUUGGGUUGAAAUCCACAAUUUUCAAUUUCCCAUUAAGGUUUGCUUUUUUGUCGUUUGGAAGCCAAUUUUAUUGUUGUUAAUGUAAUGUUGUACUGUUGUAAAUUACAGCCAAUGAGUUAAUGAUGUAGUUUGCAAUCCCAUCAAUUGAAUGCACCAACUAAAUACCCAAUAUACUUCAUAUAAGUUCGUACAUAUAACUCAACCUUCCUAUACAGAACUGCAACAGAGGCACCUUCUUAACGGGAAAGGUAAUUAGUCUUACUAAAACGCAAAUAUUCUCCACUACAGCUAACCAAUUGUCGUUUACAACUGGAGACUGAAUCUACCUUUAUUUGUUUUGUUGCAGGCAACAGCUGUGAAUUGUCCCCGGCAAUACUUAAAGAUGUCGGAUGUACGCCCUCCAAAUGAGCAUGUCACAGUUACCCGGGGGACCAGCCGUGGCAUGUGCCAUUCCCAUCUCCACCUCGGACUCCCAAUCAUGAUCCCACUUCAUCUGGAAGUGAGGCUGAGAGCAAUGAUCCGCUUGACAAAAUCUCUGCCGUCAAGCACCACCUCCAAUAUAUGUCAAAGGCAACGGAUUGGUGGGAGAGUAAGUGCGAUAUUCAUGGCCAAGUUAUGGGAAACUUGGCCAACAAGUUGAACAAAGCAUACGCUGGAGAGGUGAAGCAAACUCUAAAAGCAAAAAGUCGGAGCAAAGAGUUAGAGUCCUUGAAGUUGAAAUUGGAAGAGAGAAAGAAAAAUGCUGUCGAAAAAUUCACACAAUCUGAAGAAUAUAACCAUGAAAUGGUUGAAUGUUUCAACAACGGCUUUGAAAUGUUCCGAGAUUAUGCUUCGGUCAUCUCACCAGACUACAAUUGGAGUGAAAUUGAUGUAGCUGGUGUUUGGCAGGUGCUGAAUAUGGGUGCUGAGGGAAUGGCUCAUCAUAGCCUCGUGCAUGCAGCAAGGAGAAAGGACAAAGACUUGGAUCUUUUGAUGGACCUGUAGUAACAGUGAGUGCUGCUUCAGUUCAACUCACCUGAGUACAUGGAUCUUUUGUUGCCUUCAUUUUCCCUUCGCAGGCUAGUAUUGUUAAGGUUCGGUGGCGAUUUCUUUUGCAUGUGUAAAAUGUUGUCUGUAAUGUGUAUGUAUUGUAUGUAGAUUGACUUAAUAUUGUAGUUCUAUUGUAUGUAUAUUGCCUUAAUAUUGCCUUUGUAUAGCAUAGAUAGUGUAUGCAUAUUGCCACCGUAUUGGAUGUAUAUUGUAAAACUAUUGGUAUCGUAUUGCCCUUAUAUUGCUCUAAUAUUGCCUCUAUAGUGCACCUAUAUUGACCUAAUAUUGCUCUUAUAUCGUAUGUCAAUGGCAUGUGCUCUAAUAAGUCUCCAGUUCGUUGAAAGUAAUCCUGAAUUCAAAUAUGAUGGACAAGACAAUUGUUAUCCAUCCUUAUAUUACCAUGAAUUGAUUUGGACCUUUCAAAUGAUAGUUGGAGUUGCACAUGGAUUCAUAUUCAAAAGGAAAGUAAUUCUCUCCCUCAAUGAAUUGUCGUUCAAAAGAAGGCAGCUAUCAAAUUUUGGGUACAAAAAGGCAACAUCCACGGUAAAUUAAUUGGGCACAAACCACAUAUUACAAAACCAGGAUGAUUUUUGGCAUGCUUCAAAAGAGAAGGGCCAAAUACAACAGAAAAGAAAAUCCAUUCAAGCUUGUACAAUAGAAUGCACAAUAACCCUUUUACAUGUCCUUCCAACACCAGUGUUUUGCCUACUUUAGAGUCGCAGGAGGAGAGCUUAUUGCCAUUGUGCAAUUCGAGGGGGCAGUCAAUUUGGAAUGGUGGCAUAAACAUGUUUACUCCACGGAUCACCUAUAUGGGACAGAGCUUCCUUCUUCCCUUGUCGUCUGUAGGUUUCAACUUCACACUUUUUAUAUACAUGUAUGAGAACUUGUGGCUAUUUAUUUAUGGCCUUCUAACACUUGUUCUGCCAUUCCAAAGUGGGUUGGAGACUUUUUGAGUUGAAUGACUGGAAAGACUUCAGAUGACAGAAACUAGAGAGUUUGAAGAAAAAGGGUUACCAAGAACAGCAGUCAUGCCCACGACAUAAACUAAACAUGCUAUAAGCUCCACAGUAAUAUUUACUUCAUCUCCAUAAUCAGAAUAUUGGGAAAAAAAUACCACGGAGAAAUACGUGAAAUGAAAAACAACUCGGCAGUUACUGUGAGAUUGUGUACAUAAAACUUGGAACAACCAAACCAAUUAAAGCUAAGCCAUCUCAUACGUAUACCUACAUCAAAUAACAGUGUAUGGUCAUCUUGUUUAGAAUAUUGCAAUCAACACUUGGUUGAGACCGACCUGCAAAAACAACUGGGUUAAGUACAGAUGAAGCCAUUUAUGAAGGGCAGUUCCAGAAUUAAGACCUACGUUAAUUUGUAACUGCCACCGAAUCAGUUCAUAGUGCCAAAUGCAUCUACCAAGCACACAGAUAUGACCAGCCAAAAGAAAAAAAAGCAAAGUAAAAAAGAUAAAAGAGGCAUGCCAUAAAUGGGAACCUCAGCAGAAAUCAUCAGAUAUGCAUACAAGCAGAUUGAGUAACAUCUCACUAAGUAGAGGUCAUGUUGGUAAUCGCAUGUUGUGUUUGCACACAGACAUUUGGUUUUUGCAAACACAACAUGCAAUUGCAUUCCAUGAUGUGUGUGUUGUGUUUGCACACAGACAUUUGGUUUUUGCAAACACAACAUGCAAUUGCAUGAUGUGUGUGUUGUGUUUGCACACAGACAUAUGGUUUUUGCAAACACAACAUGCAAUUGCAUAUUGUGUGUGUUGUGUUUGCACACAGACAUAUGGUUUUUGCAAACACAACAUGCAAUUGCAUAUUGUGUGUGUUGUGUUUGCACACAGACAUUUGGUUUUUACACACACGAUAUGUAACAUUUAGUUUUACCCUUUUAUUCUUAUUUUCUUCGUUCAAACAUGGUGGUGAGAAAAGCACCAAACCAUCCCAUCAUAUAAAGCAAAACUCAUACAAUAUUUUAGAUGCAAAAGUUAUAUAUUUUAUAUAAAUGCAUCAUCCGCAUGGCUUGAAAUUACAAAUUCACGUUCACAUAUUACUUUUCACAAGCGCACAGACUAACAAUAAUAAUAAUCAACCAAGUAGUUGCGACAUUCAUCCUAUUACGUCCAUAUUGAUAAUGUCAGAAGUUUCAUCGAUAAGCCUCAUCAAACUACAAGUUUUUUAAUUUGAAUUAUGAAUUCAGAACUAAAAGCUCAUGAUAUGCAGAAAAUGACAUACAUUGUCCACAAUCGACUUUUCGAUAUAUUUCUGCUCUAGCAAUUUAUCGUCCAAAUUCUGGACUCUCUGUGUCAGGUGCUUCUUUGUGUUCUAUCCAGCAUAAGAAUAUUUAAUAGUGUGAUUUCAAUUGUUUAUACAAAUUCUAUAAGUAAUAUUGAUGAGUGCUGUAAAUCUAUUUGAUAUUGGGAACAAACAUGGUCCCACUAACAGAAACUCAAACAAAACAGGAAUUUUUUUUUAUUUUUUUUGGCAUAGACAGCCGAAAAGAAACUUACAGCAAUAGCCUCUGUCACGCUCUCCAGACGUUUAUGCAAUUUUGAAACAGCAGCAUUCAUACUACGCUUUGUCACAUACAGAAGAUCUGAGAAUUUUAGACCCUAACCAUUUGUGAAGAGCAAAUAUUAGAUUUGCUUAAAGAAGACAACAACUCACAGAACCAAUGGAUGAAAUAAUAUGAACAUAAAUAUAUCAUUUGGAUACCUUCCACCACAUGUAACCAUAACCCAAUGCCCCCAAGGUAGCUGUUGGCAUUAUUAGUGAUGUCAAACCUAUUAAAAAAAUCAAAAAAAAAAAUAUAACCAAGUAUAAAAUGUUUCUAUUGCAUUAUGAAAUACAUACGUGUAAGGAAUUAAUCGUUUUACAACUUAACCAAAAAGUCAAGGCAGGAGCAUGCAUUCAUUGAGUGGUUAUAAGCAAGAGGAAAAAGCACAAAGCAUGCUAAGAAUUCAUUUGAACACAGAAGAGAAAGUAAGCUACCUUGGAAUUUGGCUGUCAUUCCCCUUCAGGACGGCUCUCUGUAGUGACGAGUCUAGUUGUCGGACCUCAGCUGCCAGUCGGCGCACCUAAAACAAAGUAACACAGGAAAAUUGAUAUCCAUUACAAAAAACAAAAAUUGAACACGAGAAAGCAUCCUUCGACACUAAAUUUAUAGCAGUUUUUCCAAUACCUGUGAUGCGAUCGCAUAAAAGUCACCUUCUGAUUGUUCUCCGGUUCCAUUGAACAAAGGCUGCAAACAAAACAGAAAUAGACACAAAUCCAUCAAUUUUUUGAGCAACAAGACACAAGCUCCGAAAUAAAUAAACUAUCUAACUGAUCAAAACCCUAGUUUACCAAAUGCAUUACAAAAUUAAAAACUCAUACAAAAAUAACACCAAAUACAAAUGUUCUGCGAGUUCCACUAGCAAAGCAGAGUACAAAUCAUGAAAAUGGUACCUGAAGUUCACCGAUCAAUUCAGAUAAUUGACCAUUCUUACGCAGGAUGGUGCUCGUAUACCCUGUAGAAAGAGAACAAUCACUCAGAUCAAAUGUAGCUAAAUACACAAGGAAACUAAUCCAGUAUGCAAGAUGAAAGAGGAGUGAUUGGUACCUACUCCAGCGAAGAUCAGCAAACACAGUAUGAGGUUCCAAAUUCAAAUAACAACAUAAUGCUAAGCAGAGAAGUAGAAUUGCUGCCGAAAUUAUUUAAAACGAACUAAGUCAAAACUAAAUGGAGAAAUGUUAACAAAGUUGUAUGCUUCAGUAAGUCCAGUAACAGAUUCCCAAAACCACAGAGACAAAAUGUGAACAAUGGCUACAAAAGCAUCCAUAAAGAGCAACUAUGUUUAUAUAUGGAGGUGUACAAAAUAGUUAACCUUCAAAAUCGAAACAGUGUGUGUGCCAUGUAAGGCAAUUAGCCACUGCUUCUAGACUAUACAAUAUUACACCUCACAAUAAUAACUAAACCAACUAGCUCUAGCAAAAAGGCAGGAUGACCAUAUAAAGUACCCCCAGCAAAGCAUCUACGUCUGCAUCUUCAUAUCAAGGAGUUCCUGACAUAAGUAAUGAGCAAAGUGAAUUCCCAAGUCAUAAGUCCAGAAUGAGGUGAAUUCACGGACAUUAAAACAUUUACCUCAUAAAUAUGCCUCCCCCCUUAAACCCUCAAUUGCAAGCCUCAGCCGGUAAUAUUUGAUCUUCAAAGGGUCAACUUUAUCUACCGAAAUCCCAGCACUGAGAUGCUCGAUGAAUUUGACGGUCAUGAUUCCGCAAGACGUACUGUGAGACCAAUAAGUUGGGAAAUUAGAACUGCAGUUAUGUAAGAUUUGGAUAAACUGCACUAAAUUCACAAAGCUUACCCAUCUCGUUGUUGUGGCACAUCUGCAAUGCUGCAAACUGAGAAUGGCGUAAACGUCAACAUCUUCAGCCCCUUUUGCUUAACCUUUUCAACCUCAGAAUCUUCAUAAAAGUGCAUAUCGUACAGCACUCGUGCCAGCGUAUCGCUAAUAGGGUGCAGAAGUGUAACCAGCUUCGAACAUUUGGUAAAAGCAACAUAUGAGUCAUACACAGUUGCAGUAUGUCAGACGAAAUCAAUUUCGAUUGCAACCCAGUAAGACCCUUUAAGAUUAUAUGGAAUAUAGACCUUCCGGACUUUUGUCCAAGCUUGGCCAUACCCGUGUUGCCACGUACCGCGUACAAAGUAAUGUAUAUUCUGCAGCUUGCUGGGUGGAAGGUCAACGGUGUUUGAAGCAACUGCCUUCUUCGAUCCACGUUUCUUGGCAGUCGGUUUGAACGGAUCUAGAAAUUGCUGCAUAAAUUGAAAUGAAGGCAUAUUAGAAAAUCACAACCGAAAGCAAAUGAAGCAGCGAAUGUAACAUGGUAACAUGUUUACCUGCAAGCAACAAUCUGCUGUUGUCCAGUCAGUUCCAAAUACCAACGGAUGAGAGAGUUGCCUUUUCCAGAUAAGAAAGGUUGCCAUGUCCAGGUGCUGAAAGUUGACACACAUAAUAUCAGCACAAUUUCAUACAACUGUACACUUAAAAAAGGUGAGAAAACAAUUUAAUUAUCGCAAUAAAGUAGAGCUUUGUGUAUUCUUACCCUUGAGCUAAUCCAUUCCGUUUCAUCGAUAAGUCUGUAGAAAAAAUCAGCGCCCACUGAAAAUAAUUCCAGCUGCACCUCCGCACUACAAAAGGCAAACUUGCAAUGGUUACUUUUAUAGUCAUCUCAUAAUUCUGACUUUGUUGAUGACAAAAAUACACAUGUAUAUUAAAGCAAACUCUACGUUUUCUCAUUAGUCUAUGACUACAUACUAGAAUAGGAUGAAGAUUGGAAUUCAAAGGUAAAGAAUCCUAACCUGAUAUCGUUUUUCCAGGCAGUACAAAACUCUAUUACUGCCUUCACAUCUUCAAUGGGCACGGAUUUUGAUGGAUCAAAACAUGGCGGGGUUGCAGUCGCAGCCAACACACUCAUCGUCCUCUUCUUCCUCAAAGGAUCAGUAAAUGGGCUCAACAAUGUCUGCGCCGGGCGCUUCUGUCUGCACCCUUUACCUUCCACUUCUUUUUUUUCCACACUCGAACUACCUUCUUCAUCACCAGCCAUACUAACUGUGGGUAGACUUGGAGGAUUCAUCGGACCUCCCGAUGGCAUACUCUUAGUCACUUUCCAAUCUUCUAACAGAGACAACACUUUUUGGCAGAUUUCGUCACACCCGGCCACAUCUUCCGGGGUAGGCAGCUUCUCGGAUUGUGCCUGCUCAGCUGCUUCAUGCACUUGUAAGUGAGGAACUGAAGCGGCCAUUUCUGCCUCUUCGACUACCAUGGCUGCGGAAGGUUCGGCUCCAUCACCGGGAACUUGUGUUUCCAUUACCGCCGGUUCUGUAGGCGGACUAACAUGGUCAUGUAAUGGCGACAAGUGAUUGUCGCCUCCUUCAUUCAUAUGAGGACUACUGAGGUCCUCAUGUCCUUUCCCACCUUCAUUCACCCCACCAUUUCGUUUUUUCAGCUGCUCUAUCUCCACAUUAAAAUAAUGCUCCAUUAAAGCCAGGGUGUUGCGGAAAUCCUCCACACACUUUUUAUUUUUUUCGAACUCUCUUUCAACUUUCAAUGACUCCUUCCGUACCAUGUCUUCCAACUGAUGCACUCUGUUGCGAAGCGCUCGAUUUGAUAUGGCAACUUUGGCCAAUUCAUCCUUUGUCCUUUGAAAGUCACGCUUCAAAGUGCGUAACUCUCUGGACGCGACUGUACCCUGCAUUCAGUUAUAAUGCAAGUGUUACAAUAUUUUCAAAAUAUAUUGCAACAAUACAGCAGUUAUUUUCCUAUUGUAUUAUGACGUAUAUCUUGGAAAAAAAUGUAAUGCUUGCCUUAGAAGACGACGGAAGGCUAGCAGUUUCGUCAAUGUCCUUAUCUUUUUCUUCUACAGAGGCAGAAGUGCUGGUUUUUUGUUCAGCGUCAUCGCCAAACAACUGAACAAGUUCUUCAGUGUCGUCAACACUGUCACCCCAAGUCCAAUACGGCUGCUGCUUGUCGAUUACAGAUGGCCGGAGAAGUUGCACAUCAACCUGCAAUUUACACAUACAAUAUACAUAUCAGUAAACUUAUUAUAUUAUAUUUUCAUAUGCCUAACAUUAUCAUUAAAAACUUAACUAACCUCACGGUUCUCGAAUACUUGGCUCAUUAGCUCAUAAAAACACGGCGAACUAUUGCUCCUCCAAUGUAGUAAACGAGGGAUGUAGGCAUUAUCUUCGUGCACCACCAAAUGUAGUGCAGCCAACGCUGGAAAAACCUCAUAAGCCCAAAUCUGGUUUGAGGAAUAAAACGUGAGUCACUGUAAACAAAUGAAAUUUAACUUCAACAUGAAUGGAAAUUUGCUCACCUGAAGUGCAUAGGCAAAACCUUUGAGGUGGUACUCUCUUGGUCUACCAGUUGCCGUUGUUUUUGCUUUCUUUUCAGAUUUUUUUGUUUUUGCAGCUUUUUUGGGCACUUUCACUCGCUGGUAAUCUGUACAAAGUGCCCUCAGAAGUGACACAAUUGUCUUGGCAUAACACACAGCACCCCAUGGAUACUUCCCAAACUCUUCAAGGUCUUCCACCAACUUCAAAUAUCGCAUGUCAAUCUGGACAUGUUUUUCACUGCCCAACAGCACAAACACAGCAAAGUAUACAAAUCUGAGCUUCAAUACAUCGUCCGCAUCAACGCAUUUGAGGAAGGCCUUUUCUAAUUCCAAAACAUUGACAGUUUUAUAGUUGCCAAAGUACUUCCUUUUCAAUGAGCAGUUCUCAUUAGUGGGAAUCGGAAUAAAGGGAAGGUUUCCAAACCUUAGCCCUGUCACGAUGCAAAAUUGCUGCGCCGUGAAUUGGAUCACCUUAUUGCCAACGAUGAAUUUGAUCCCGUUGAGUUGGGAAACUGUCUUUGGAUCAGCUUUCCUCAGCAGCAAGCCGUGGACAAUUGGCGAAGUCCACUUGAGGUCCUCAAUCAGUAGGAGAUGCCCAAAACAACUCUCUUCAAACCUUUGUAGCUGUUGUUCACUGAAUUUCUCCUUUAUCGUGCUGAUUGCAGUCUUCGUAUGGGAUAGGGACAAUGCUUUUCCUUGGAACUUUUCUUCCUCUGCAAUCAUCAACUUCAUUUGAGCAACCAUCUUUCCCUGCAUGCCAAUAUUAUAAAAAAAAAUUCAGUCCGUUGCAAUCUAGACAAUAACAAGCAAUAAACAAUCAGCACUUAUCUACAGCCUAUUAUAGGAUAUUAAGUGAAAACAAAAAAACAAAAAAUACAGGGCAUAAACAAAACCCCAGCUAUUUACAACUGACCUACUAAUUCAAUAGCUCAAAGCCACAUCCCAAGACACCCAGUACUCUACCACUCUUGCAUAAUAUAAUAUCUAAAGACACAUCUCAACACACCAGAUAAUCAUGACACAGCUUCAGCUAGAAUGGGAAUGUGCGGUAGCACAAGCCUAAUUGAGAACAAUUCAAGACUAACGAUAGAAAUCUAUCUGACUAGAAAGAGUUUUAAAAAAACAAGAAGACAUCGGGAAAGAAUUGAUUGACUUCAAGGUAUAAUGUAAUGGAACAUCCUAUGAAUUAGUGGCAACCAUAAUAAUGACUCCACUAUGGCCCUCCUUUCAAAUGUAAGAAAAUGAAUGAAAUUGGCACCAUCCCUUCAGUUUUUUCUUAACAAAAUAAGAGAUUUGUAUGUAUUCUCUGCUUUAUCGAUAUCAAAGAUAAAUUAAUAAAUAAACCAUCAAAACUGUAUAAAAUGUUUGUUAGACAUGUACAAUUACAAAAUUAUAAGUUCUCCUCAGAAACAAAGUUCUCUAAGUACGCAAACAAGAAAAGCAAAAGCUUAAAGAGUUAGCUUAUAGCAAAAUCAAUGUCCCCAUUUCUCUAAACCACACCUGCUGGUGGUAGGUUCCCAUCUUCACUCAUUUCCCGCUUUCUUUUAAACAGACAAUGAUCAAGCACAAAAGAGCAAACUUUUAAAUAACUCAUAUUACACCACAAAUAGUUCUAAAGAAAACUUAUUCAUAUCCAAUAUGCAACCCCUAAAGUUAGUAAACAGAGUUAUAAAAAAAUAUGUCAAAUUAACAAGCAUUAUUCUCAAACAAAAAGUAUGAUAUGGUUGGGAGUUUACAAGUUCAAAAUGAUAUACACAGGUUAAUUGUCUUAGACUUUAGAUAUCAUCUUCAACAAAGAAAAUAGAUACCGAUUAGACUUGUAAGAAGGUUAAAUGCAAUGGUCAUAAAGACCCAUAGUAAGCCACCAAAUACCAAUCAAUAACUGCUAUAAAAACCAUAAUAAAACCAUAAUAAACUAAAAAUACAACAGCACUAAAAUGCCAACACAACAUCACUACAUUAGCAAUAUAGUAGCAACAAAACCACAAUACGACAUCAAUAGCAACAGCAAAACAACAGCAGUGCAAGCAUCAGUCCACAAAGAACAAACCCAUUCACUGUUUCAAACAAGGAAUCAUCAUACUAAGAUCAUUUCAGAGAAACCCCAAAACCAAUUUCAGUGAAACCCCUAAACCAAUUUCAGAGAAACCCCUAAACCAAUUUCAGAGAAACCCCUAAACCUUCAACCAAUUUCGAACAAAUCCCUGAACCAAUUUCAUAGAAAUGCAUAAACCCUAAACCAACUUCAAAGAAACCCUAAACUGUAAGAAAAUGACGAUGAACAGUACCUGUUCAAGGUGAACGAUGGAGUUGAGCUUCGAUGAACAAAUUUCGCUCGGAGAGGAAGAGAGAAGAGAGAGUCAGAGCUGAGCGACGAGAGAUUAAGGGCUGAGCGACGAGAGAGUGAGAGCUGAUCGACGAGAGAUGAGAGAGUGAGAGCAAAGUGACGACAGAGUGAAGAGAAAUUGAGAGAAGGAGCCAAGAGAGAGAGCUGAGAGAGAACUUCAGCAAAACUGAUAGAGAACUUCAGCAAAAGUGAUAUGUGUACAAUAAGGGGACAAUAAAUAUAUAUUUAUAGGUUAUAGUUCCAAAUUUUUUUAAAAAGAGUGGUAUUUUCAGUUACAAUUAUAAAAAUGGUGGCAUUUUGAGCUAUUUCCUUAUUUUUUAUUCAACAUGGACGCAGAAACUGUUGCUAAACUGCAAACUUCUUAAAAUAUUUGUCUCACUUUCUCAACCCUAUAUUUGUCUAACUUUCUAGAUCCAUGUACUGAGAUUUAUUAGGGAAAUAUUGUAGAAACUGAUUAUUUUGAAAUAUUAAAUGUGAAAAACUGAACAAAAAUUUGAUGGGUUACAUAUUUCAACUCAUUUCAGCAGCUUAGAUUUUGAAGACCUCGGAAGAGGCCAUGCAGUGAGCCUAGCUAGUGCACUGUUGAUCACUUCAGUGUCUACCGAUCUGUAAUUUUUCCAGAUUGGUUAUAUUUUCCUUUACAUAUUCUUAUAUUAUUCCCAGCUGUAAGUGUUUUACACACUUGUCUAUUAGAAAAGGGGAGACUUAUAAAUAAAUCCAAAAUGGGUACAGUAUUUAUAAAGAAUGACAAAAUUAAAGUGUUUGGGCAAUAAUGCCCUUAUUCAUUUUGAGAUUGCCUAAGGAAUAUUUUUUCUGAUUUUCAGAAGAUGCCAAAGGACCGUUGUUUGAUGAUUGCCGUAAGGAGCUAAGAAAACUUGCUUUGAUAGUUUUGGACAGAUGCAUGCUACUGUUGCUGGGAUGAUCUCUUCACGUGAAAUGAGGAUGAUGAUGCUUCUACACUACACAAUCCAACGAAUUCACAUGUCUAUUUCAGAUACAAGUAUAAACUAACAAGGCUUUAAAAUAUGGGCUGAUGCACUGUUGUUGAUGUUGCUGACACUGUUACUGUGUUGUUGAUACUGUCACUGCGUUGCUGUUGGAAAAAGCACAAGGACUUCACAUGUUGCUUUCGUCUUUUGUGGAGGAGAGAGACCUAGGACUUGCAUGUCUUAGAUAUUUAAGAUAAGGGGCUUUCGUUCCAUUUUGAAAAUACUUUGGGUGUUUUUGAAAGGUGAUUGUUUCUUUUGGGUUUCUCACUAAAUUUCGCUUUAGAAGGGAAAAUAAUAAUAAUAAUGUCAAACAAAGUAGGGUAAAUAUUCAGAUAUGCUCAUAUUAUUAUUCUUCUCCAAUAUUGAGGUAUUUAUACAAGUACAAAGAUGUGUUAACCCUAAAUAAAAUAGGAAAUAUAUCUAAAUUAUAAUAGGCAGUAAAUCUCUAUUACAAUAGGACUAAAUAAUAAUUGGUAAGUAACCAAAAUUCUAAUGAAAUAAGGAAUCAAAAUCCUAACUAAGUAAGGACUCGCCAACACUCCCCCUCAAGUUAGGGCAAACAUAUUUCGCAUGCCUAACUUGACAAGCGAGUCAUAGAACACCAUACUUGAGAAGCACCAAUUGUAGAGAAGGUCUUUUCGUCAACCACGAGUGAAACAAGUGACAAACUAAAGCAAAGUUCGCAGCGGAAACACAAGAGCGAAUCCUAAAAAAUAGGGCACAUAGCAGAACACAAAAAUCCUGGAGCACGACAGUAGAUAAGGCAGAACACAGAAACCCUGUUAGCACGGCAAUAGGUAAGGCAGAAAAAGUCAAGAGCAAAGGCAAGGUCAACAGGCGUGACCACAACGAAAACACACCAGCAAAGACAUGAGCAACAAUAUUAGCACCAUAAUAGACAUGAGCAACAAUACUGGUACCAACAACAGCAAUACAAGGCACUGGCACCAGCAAGAGCAACAAGGCAUGGACAUAACAUGCAUAAUCAAUAGUAAUCAACAUUGUCCCCAACAAGAGUCAUAAUAGGCAUGAGCAAUAACAUUGUCCCCACUAAGAGACUUAACAGGUAUGAGUAACAGUACUGGCACCAGCAAAGGGCAUAGUAGUCAGCAGCAAUAACAAUGACAAAUACUUCUAUUAUUGCAGAGACAACUUCUCUUCACUCCCCAUCUCCCCUUGAAGAGAAGGGGUCAUCGGAACCAUAAGAAAAGUGGCACUUAAGAAACAGAAGUUGACUGACGCUCAAAUGUAGAAGAAUCAGCCAUGGCAAAUAGGUAGCUGAAUUGCAGCGGAAUAGAUGAGCAGCGGUGUCACUCCCCCUCAUAUCUGAUAAUGUAUGAGAGUCGAGAUUUGGAGAAAGCAAUAUCGAAAAAUAAAGUUGCAGAACCCAAAUAAAGUUGCAUCUAUCUCCCCAUCAAAUCCGACACUGGUAAAGGGUCGAGAUUUGAAAGAGGAGAAAUUGAAAUAAUAGUAAAGAGACUCAAACAUGCAGUCUCAUGGCAGAAACAAAUGCAAGAGGGGAAGAUGGUAGCAUACGGUUGUCCCAUGAAGAAAAAACUUCAGAAAAGGAGAAUAGUAAGGGAGGAAACCUAGCAAAUCAUGAACAGAGACAAAGACAAAGAUGCUCAAACUGAGAAGCGGAAAGGCAACUCAAGAGAGCAACCGAAGAAGACAGAGGCCCGCAGAACAGUCAAAGUUAAGGCUCGGCGAGUGGUGACGAUGCUCGCGGAGGAAAGCAACGGCUCGGUGAGCGGUGAUGAGGCUCACGGAGUAAAGAGACUUGUUAUGAAGUUUCAAAGAUAGAGAAGCUGAGACAUCAAGAAAGACCAUCUGGCAUACAAAGAUGAAAAAUAAAAAUUUUGGAACAGUAGCAAAGAAGCAUGUGAAGGCUGGUGCGGUGAAAACACAUAUGAAAGGAUGAACAAAAGAAGAUGACUAUACAAGAUGAAGACCCAUGAUGGGUUAGGAAUGAGGAGUGCCAACGACUCUCAAUUUGGCAGAGGUUAUCGCAGGUUAGGAACCUGGCUCUGAUACCAUGUCAAACAAAGUAGGGUAAAUAUUCAGUUAUGCUCAGAUAUGCUCAUAUUAUUAUUUUUCUCCAAUAUGGAGAUAAUUAUACAAGUACAAAGAUGUGUUAACCCUAAAUAAAAUAGAAAAUAUAUCUAAAUUACAAUUGGAAGUAAAUCUAUAUUACAAUAGGACUAAAUAAUAAUUGGUAAGUAACUAAAAUUCUAAUGAAAUAAGGAACCAAAAUCCUAACUAAGUUAGGACUCGCCAACAAAUAAUAGUACAACUCUUAUUAGCAACAGGUUACAAACUUCUUCUACAACACACCAACAUGAAUCUAGCCCUGAUCCACUCUUUUACAUACUUGAAAACAAAACAAAACACGAAAAACAAAAAACAAGAAACAAGAUAGGGAGAAAAUGGCUACGGAGAGACUUCCUGCUAAUCAGGGGCGGCCCUGGGGUGGUGCAAGUGGCGUCACCGCACAGGGCCCCCGAUUCUUAAGGGCCCCCAAAAAAUAAUUCUUUAUAUUAUAUAUAUAUAUAUUAAUAUUAUAUGAAUCGUAUAUAAAGUAUAGCGUCUGGAUGAUAAAGAGACUCAUUAUCAUUAUCUUAGUCAUAAGAUUCAAAAUGAAUUGAUACUUUUGUUAGCUUCUGAGCUCAAAAGUGCAAUCAUUAAAAAGAUUGAAGAAGCUAAAUAUUUUUCUGUGAUUCUUGAUUGUACUCCAGAUGCUAGAAACCAAGAACAAAUGAGUUUGAUAGUAAGAUGUGUGGAUGUCUCUACUAAUUCAAUAAAGGUUGAAGAAUUCUUUUUGGAAUUUUUGAUUGUGAAUGAUACAACAGGACAAGGACUUUUUGAAGAGUUGCAAACGGUGUUGCAAAAACUUAAGCUUGAUAUUGAUAAUGUGAGAGGACAAGGCUAUGACAAUGGAUCAAAUAUGAGUGGGAAAUAUCAAGGUGUCCAAAGAAAAUUUUUGGAUGUAAAUCCUAGAGCAUUGUACACACCUUGUGGUUGUCAUAGUCUUAAUUUAACACUUUGCGAUAUUGCAAACUCUUGUGGAAAAGCAAAAGAUUUUUUUGGAAUCAUACAACGUAUUUAUACAUUGUUUGCUAAUUCUACAAAGCGGUGGAAGAUAUUGAAAGAUAAUGUUAAACACUUAACUCUGAAAUCAUUGUCAGUUACACGUUGGGAAAGUCGUAUUGAAAGUGUGAGAGCAAUAAGAUUCCAAGCUGCAGAUUUAAGAGAAGCUUUACUUCAGUUAGCAGAAAGUGACGGUGACUCCAAAAUAACAAGUGAAGCUAAUUCUUUGGCAACAUAUGAACUUGGAAAUUUUGAGUUCUUAUUGGGCAUGGUUAUUUGGUAUGAUAUAUUAGGUGGUGUCAAUGUAGUGAGCAAAAACUUACAAUCUGAAGACAUGCUUAUUGAUGUUGCUAUUGAUAAAGUGAAAGGGUUGAUUACUUUUUUUUUGAAAAGUAUAGAGAAAAUGGGUUUACAGAAGCUAUGUGUACUGCUAAAAAAAUUGCUACUGACAUGGGAAUUGACCCGGUGUUUCCUGAGAAGCGAAAAAUUCGUAGAAAAAAACAUUUUGAUGAGAAUACUUGUGAGCUAUCCCAAUCAGUUCCUGAAUCAACUGAAGAAAAGUUUAGAAUUGAUUAUUUCUUGUAUUUAGUGGACCAAGCUAUUGGUUCUUUACGAAGAAGGUUUCGACAAUAUCAAGAGUAUGAGAAUUUUUGGGUUUUUGUUUACUUCAGAGAAGUUAAAUUCAUUGGAUGAUUGCGAUUUGAAGAAUAGUUGCAGUCAUCUGGAAAGCAUUUUGAAAAAUGACAAGUUUUCUGAUGUCGAUGGGGAGGAUUUAUUUGUUGAGUUGAAAGUUUUACAAGAGCUUUUACCAAAAGUAAAUACCACAGCUACUGCAAUAUUAAAUUUCUUGAAAAGAUUAAAUUGUUUUCCAAAUGCAUUCAUUGCAUAUAGAAUCCUAUUGACUAUUCCUGUUACUGUUGCAUCUGCGGAAAGAAGUUUUUCAAAAUUAAAAUUGUUAAAAUCAUACUUGAGAUCAACUAUGUCGCAAGAAAGAUUAAAUGGACUAGCUUUGAUUUCAAUUGAAAGUGAACUUCUUGAAAAACUUGAUUAUGAACAUUUGAUUGAUGAUUUCUCUUCUAAAAAUUCAAGAAGAUCAAUUUUCAGACAUUAGUAUUGUACUAGCUGUGUUUUUUUUUUUCUUCUAGGGUAAAAGCUCUCAUAAUAAUUUUAAUUCUUCAAAUAAGACAGCAAAUACAAUGUGAUGAAUUUUGGAUAAUCAGGUAUGUUUUUGUUGUUGCUUUUGUGUUUAAUGCAAUAUAAUCUAAUUUUUUUAAUGACAUUUGUGUGCAACUACUCUUUGAUUUGUGAUUGCCAAUUUUUUUUUCUUUCUAUUAAACACAGAUUGCUUAUUGGAGGCAGCAAGAGACCUUAUAGGGGCACAAGGAGCUUAUUUUUGUACAAAACAUUUAACUUUAUCAAAUGGAAACAUUUAAAUUUUUAUGAAUUUGAUUUCUGAUUGUCAUUGCAUAUUUAUUGAUGGUGAAUUUUAGUUAUAAAAAAAAAAUUGUUUAUGACAUUAAGUUAUGGCAAAUUUUUAUAGUAUUUUCGUAUUAGAUUAUGCGAGGUCCCAAUUUAAGUUUCGCACAGGGCCCUCAAAAUCUCAGGAACGGCCCUGCUGCUAAUACUUGAUCAAUAACAGAGAUAAUAGAGCACACUGUUUGUAUGACAAUGAGUAUCAGAAGAAUAAUAGCUGCAAAGAGAGAAAUAGCUGCCCAAGGUGUGUUGAAAUACUUUUGUCUCAAAUUUGCCUUCCGUCUGUUCGUGGUCUUCUUGCAGUACUCGUUUAGUUUGCCAGCAAGAUCACCAAAAUAGUAGUUUCCGUGGUUCGGAGCAACUUUACUGCAAAGCUUGUUAAUCAUAAUGGAAACCUUAUUGUUGUCACCUAGCGUGUUUACAACAAUUCCAUUGUCAACAAGCAACUCUACAUCCUUUGGGGUGUUUACAAAUUUAUCCAGGAUGAAAACAUAAUCGCUUAUGUAUUUAUCCACGCAAUGGCCUUGUUCAAAGGCAAUGAGAUUUCUAUGUGUAAGCUGUGUAAUCAUGUAUUUCAAUUUUUGGAAUUUCCAAGGUGUUUUUCUUGAACUGUAUAUCGAAUAAGUUCUUGCUUGAUCCCACGUUAAACUUAACUCCGGCCUGGUGUAGUUUUGUCAUGCUGGGUGUACUUUGGAGCCCUCCAUUUUUUUUUCUUUUGGCAGAUGUAAAGUUCUAAUAAAAUCAACAAAAUGUAAAGGUUUUUUAGGAUCAGGAGGCAUAAAAGACUUACGGAAGGCUGGUGAGUUCUCCAAGUUUUCUAAACGCAGUGCCUGUUGGAAGAACUUGUAAGAGAGUUCAAUUAUUGAAGGCUCCCCAGUCUGAGCACCUGUGAGAUUGUAAAGAUCCUCGAGAAUGAAAAAUGGCAGCUGAUUUACGAGCAUAAGCAUGUCAGGCAAUAUAUUUUGUAGCACCCAUGGUUUUUUAAAUAUCCAAGCAUCAUCAUCCUGCAAUUUUUCUUCCUGAAAUUUUUCUUCGGAUUUAUUCCUCAACAAUAGCUCAAUGACAAAGGCGGCAUCAACUAGAAUGAUAUUCACAAAAGUAGCAAUGUUAAACUUCUUAGGGCUAGUUUGGCGGCGUUGUGCUUUUAAAAAAAUAUGCUUCUGCUGUGCUGUGAAAAUAAUUAGCUGUGAAAAAAAGCUACUAGGCGUUUGGUAAACUGUUUUUGAAAAACUGCUGUGAGUAGUCAAAGUGUUUGGUAAAUUUUUAUCAGAAGUACUUUUAGUGUGUAUAAUGACCAAAAAGGACAUGAUGAUGAAAUUGUUUGUUAUUUUCUUCAUUCUUUUUCUACUUUAAAAAAAAAAAAAACCCAAUUUCACUACAUAAAUUUUUAUUCUUUUUUAAUUCACACCUUUUUAUCAAAAAAUUUAAUCUACAAUUAACAUACAUAUUUUACCAUAAAUUAUAAAUUACUAUUAUAACAAAAGUAAUUCUAAAUAUUGUUAUAUUAAUAUGGGCUUCGGACAUGACAAAAAUACAAAAAUUGUUCAAUUUUAAAAUGCCCCAAUAGAUCACUACAAUAUAAAAGAAGCUAAUUAGAUGCAUUCAUUAAACUUGUAGCGAUGCUAUUUCUUAAUGCAUUCAUUAGCUUCUUUUUUUGGUUUCCAAUGGUUCUCUAACAAUUUUAACUAAAAAAACAACCAUAAUGCUUUGUGAACAAUAAAUUCAAGUCCAAAUCUGCUAUUGCCCACACCAUACAUAUAUACAUAAUUGUUCCUUUCAUAAAACUUGAAGAUUCAAUAGUAAUUACACAGUUUACCAAUCUUGAUUCCAACUAUAUCCAUAAAAUUAAACUAUAAUUAGAAAUAGAGGAGCUACAUGUGAUUACUCAUAAAUGCUUCCCACUCUCAUCAUCAUCAUCAUCAUCAUCUUCCUCCUCUGUACUUUGCCUUUCACAAAUGGACAAGACCAGAUGGUAACGUACACGACAUGGUCCACAUAUAGAUAAAUUUUGGGUUCACUGGAGAACAUAAAAGAGUUUUUACACGAAUACAAAGUUAGUUAAGUAGUGAAUAAAGUAAAACUAUUCUGUACAAUUCUAGCUGAUGCAGUCCAAAAAGAAUAUAUGUCUAAUAACUUAAAUAACAAUAAAGAGAAACAAAAGCCUCAUGAAAAAUGCUAGAGUAAAAGUUACAUAACUGAAUCGAUGGACAGAGAACUCCACAGGCAGAGAAACAGCAACAAAAAUUGUCAAAACAGUAGCAAGACCAUGUUGGAGUCAAGGCCAAAGAUCAUAUUUCCUGUGUAUCUUCUUCCAUUCUGAAUUAUUCUCGUAUUCAAAUACUGUAACUCUAUUUCAAGUGCACCCCAAAAUACUUAUCUAAGGCCAGUACAUAGGACUUCAUAAAGGGUGCGAUAAAAAAUAUUGCCCCUUAAUUGAUAAACAGAACCAAGAUCCCAACAGCACACCAAAACUAUACCAACCACACCUACAUAAUAUGGACAGAAAAUCCUGUUGUUCCGAUCUCUAACCACACCAAUGACAUUCAUUAGGAAAAUACAAAAGAUGGGUACCCUGCAUUUCUAACAUUUAAGAUAAAAUUCACUGCCAGCUAAUCACAAAUUUGAAAAGAUGGCAAGAAAAUUGGCUAAGCUUUAACAAAAACCAGAGCAGUCCUUGCAUAGACCUGACUUUUUGCUCCAAGCUUUAGCAGAUCACUUACUGGUAGAGAGCAGAGAACAUGUAUGUGAAUAUCUGAAGUUGGAAGGGUAAGCCAUCACAAACACCAAGAGAUCUGAUUCUCAUCUCUUGUUACAACAACAAAUCACAAACACCAAUACAUCUGAUUCAGAAUCUCAUAAACAAUGGAGGAACAAACACAUAUUCACACACAUAUAAAUCCCUAAACAGAAAAAAUAAAAAAUAAAAAAAAAACCAUGAAAGUCAUAGGAGAAUCAAAUUGAUUUGGGCCAAAAUUGCCUAAAAAGAAAACACUCCUAAAUAAACUUCAAUUCACUUUUAAAAACAGUAAAACAUGAUUGAAUCAUUCUUUAAAACAAUUCCCUAAUAUACAUGCAUGAUAAUGACAUCAUUUACCCCUGAAUCAAAUGCCUUUCACUGGUCAAGCCACAAGUCUGUGUUUUGGGAAUUGCUGAGCUGCAUCAAUCCUGCCAAUGUAAAUUCUGCCCCUAGGCUCUCUCAAAGUGCGUUUACAACCUAUGCUAACAUAUACUAGAGUUUGUUUUAGUAUCUAGAAAAUGCCAACACUAAUUUCGUAACACGUAGAAAUUGUUACAUAUUGGAAGUUUUUAUCAUUUUUUCUUCCAGUCUCUCCACCACUCACUAAUACAGAUUACUCAUGUGAUGAGUUUACAAAACAUAUUUCUCUACUCCCACAAAGACCAUACUUUUUCUCAAAAGACUAUAUCACUUUAUCUCUAUCUUUGUGAAAUGUAAAAAGUUGAAACUUUAAUGUCAAACCUCGACAAAAGAUGAACAUCCAUCAUCAAUUACAUUGAAUUUGAAUUUGUUGAACUUAAGUAGUUUUACUUCUCUGUCAGCGUUUGAUGACUUGAUUUGUUAUUUACUUCUUCUUUUUUCCUUGGAAAUGUGUUCCAUCAACGUGAGGAAGAAAAAUAUGCACAAAUUAAUAUAUUUAAUAGAAGCAAAAAUUAAUAUUUACAAAAAUAUGCACAAAUCAAGUAAAAUUAAUAAAGCAUAAAUUGGAAAGGGAAAAUAUGUAGAGGAUGCAUUGUAGGAUUGCUCAUGCCAAUAAUUGUACCCUCUAAAUAUAUAGGGACAUAUUUUUUUUUGUUUUCAUGACAUGUGGUCCUAAAAUUAUUGUUCUUAGCGGGCUCUCCACCCCUCUCGACUGAAAACCUAUUGUGUAAAUCUUCAAUCCUGAAUGAUGCACCUAAAACUCAUGUUGCAAUACACAUCCACCCAUUCUCAGGCCAAUUAUUACUCCUAGUGGGCUCUCCACCCCCUCUCAAAUUUAAGUGGUCCAUUAUUAUUAACCGUAUAUUUUAUGGACCAGCCAGCUGUGAGGUUUUAUCUCAAAAACCUUUCUCCCACAUGCCACAAUUUAUGUCUGAUACAUCACAUCAUGCCAGUUGUCUCAAAUGAAUUUAAGUGAGUGAGGCAGUGUUACUUCUGGGUACCCCUCAUUAUUCGUCUAUAAAUUGGUGAAGCCAGUUGCUACUGUUACCAUAAGAGCCAGCUCCGACUUUCAAAAUAAAAAUUCCAACAACGGUCUUAGUGCCUUCAAUUGUAUGAGUCAUUGAACAUGCAAAUGAAUAAAAUAUGAAUGAUAAAAGUGUUUGAUAAAUCACCAAGUUAUAGAACACUUGAUGAUUUAUCUCAAAUAAAAAUUCAGCUUUCUAAAGUUUGUGAAUUGAAAAUAUAAUCGUUAAAGCUCUCUAAACAAAGAAGACGAAAGUCUUAUUUUAUAGAAUUUUUCUUUACAAGAAAGAAAACAUGUUGAAAACCAAAUCUCCAAUUUCCAAGGCUUGACAGAAAAUCAAAAAAAUAUCUUUCCUAUUCUAGAGAUUGGUCACAUGUAGUUCAACCAAUAGGAAAUGAGAUAUUUAAGAAAGCAAGAUUUUGAUCAAUACCAAUAUCAAAUGAAUUCUUAUACGCCUAGUCAACUAUUAAGGGUAUCUUGACUCCUUGAUAUUGUGAUAUGAUUGAAACAUGAUUUCCAUGUUAGAAAAUUAAGGGGAUGUUAAAACAUGAAAGUAAUAGGAGAAUCAAAUUGAUUUGGACUAAAAUUGCCUAAAAAGAAAACACUCUUAAAUAAACUUCAAUUCACUUUUAAAAACAGUAAAACAUGAUUGAAUCAUUUUUUAAAACAAUUCCCUAAUAUACAUGCAUGAUAAUGACAUCACUUACCCCUAAAUCAAAUUGUCACGCCCCGGACCUGGGGGUCAGUGGAAACCCCACGUUCGGUGCGUGAGAAAAUAAAAAGUAAAAUAAAAUAAAAAGAAUGCCGAAACAAGGGUUUAAAAUAAACUUCUCUUAUAAAAAUAACUCCAAAAUCUUACAACUUUACAAGAAAUAAAUAAAGCCCUAUCAUUCUUAUCUAAUUCAGCCUCAACUGGUUUAGUCCUUGUCUUGCCCACUAAUUCAUCUAAAAAAUGAAGAGUGUUGCUAAACGAACCCUAAAAUUAAUUGAGUACACCCUACUACCAAACGAUUUAUUGAAUUUGUCACAUCUCGGGAUCAACUCCGCCGUAGCACGAUAUUGUUCGCUUUGGGCCCUCCCUCUCUGGCUCGCAUGGUUUUGUUUCUGGGAACUCACGAGUAACUUCCCAGUGGGUCACCAAUCCUGGGAUUGCUCUAGCCCACAACUCGCUUAACUUCGGAGUUCCUACGACUCCGAAGCCUGUGAGCUCCCAAAAGGUCUCGUGCUAGAUGGAUGCGGGUGUGCACAUAUAAGGCACAUCACCCCCUCUCCGUUGGUUGAUGUGGGAUCUUAUAGAAUUACUAAUUUAUCCUAAUAUAAAAUGACCAAAGAAGAUAAAAUAAUAUUGGUAUCUAUUGCUUUGAAUCCAUGCCUUCAAACAAAUUGACUUAAUUUUUAACAAACAACACGGAGUCCAGGAGAAGUGUAUUGAUCCAAGUUGAUUUUUGUAUGCGUAAAACUUAAACAAUCAAUAACACAAAGCAGUUCAUGCUGAAAUAUUGGAAACCCACACCCAAAGAGUUCUCCGCUGCGAGGUUGAAGGCAGGAGAGAUGGGUGACAGAUUUUACUUCCACUGCGAAGUUGGAGGCUAGGAGAGUCUGUGACUGCCAUGGUUGAGGGAGAAGAUGCGUUCAAAAUGCCUAUUGAUAUUUUACAUUAUUGGCUUUUUUCAAAAGUGAAAGUUUUUUUAUGGGUAAAACCUAAAUUUACUUUUUCUAUACAAGUUAACAGUGUUUGUGUAUUGUGAAAAGGUGGAGAGACGUGUCAAAAUUUUAGACAAAGGACAGGAGGAGAUAGGGAAUUUGGGGACAGCAGAUCUCAACUCCCUUGAGACCCUAUUCUCUACGCCACCCCUCCCCCUCAACAACCCUAGUCACCAUUUCUCCUUCAACUCCAACGGCAACUCAUUAAAACCCAAUUCUCAAAUGCAACAAUCUAAUCCCAAUCCCAAUUCAGAUGUUUCUAAAAAACCCAUUGUCGUGGUGGAGAACUGCAAUUCCAGGUGGUGGUGGUGGUACCACAUGGGAGAGAGAAAAAAGAAGAAGAAGAAGCAGGAGAGAGAGAGUUUUUUAUUUUAUUAUUAUUUUACUGUAAUUUUUUAAUUUAAAUAAUUAAAAAAAUUAAAAGUUAAAGAGGAUGUACCAUGGGUAUUUUUGGUAGUUAAAUAAGGUGUACUUAGGGUCAGUUUGGCAUUGCUGUGCUGUGAAAAUAAUAGCUGUCAGAUUUGCUGUGAGAGAAAUCAGCUGUGAGAGAAAUCAGUUUGGCGUUUGAUAAAAUUUUUGUUAAAAGUGUGUUGAUAUUGAUUUUAUGCUUAAUCCGAAAAUGAUUGCUGCAUAAUCAUUAAACCCAGCGCCUCUUCGAAACUGAUUCCUAUAUAAUCAGAAAAUGAAAGCACCUCAUUAGCUGCUUUCCUUUAUAGCUUUCUCUCACAGCAAUUUUUAACAAUAAGUGAUUUUCUCACAGUUUACCAAACGGGUUGGGCUUCUCAAAAUUUUUUAAAAAUCACUUAUUACCCCAAAUAAGCAAUACCAAACGGGCACUUAGUUAAUUUUACAUUUUAAUUUAAACAUUAGGGUGUACUCAGUUAAUUUUAGGGUUCGUUCAGCAGCACUCAAAAUUAAACAAGGUGAGGGAUGAGCAAGUAGGGACAUGAGACAUUGCCACAGUAGAUUGAUAUAACUAAAUAUUAUUAUAAACAUAGAAAUAUAUAAGUAUUAUUAUAAUAGGAUUCAUAAUAAUUAAUAUAAAAGUAUAACAACAAUAUUUACAUUUAUGUACCAAGAUAAUUACACAUAUAAAUAUAACCAAUAUAUAUUUUUAUAUAUUUUAAAAUAUAAGUCUUUACGUAAAUGCCUUUCACGGGUCAAGCCACAAGUCUGUGUUUUGGGGAUUGCUGAGCUGCAUCAAUCCUGCCAAUGUCAAUUCUGCCCCUGAGCUCUCUCAAAGCACGUUUAAAACCUAUGCUAACAUAUACUAGAGUUUAUGCUGUAUCUAGAAAAUGCCAACACUAAUUUCGUAACACGUAGAAAUUGUUAGAGAUUGGAAGUUUUUAUCAUUUUUUCUUCCAGUCUCUCCACUACUUAUUAAUACAGAUUACUCAUGUGAUGAGUUUACAAAACCUAUUUCUCUACUCUCGCAAAGACUAAACUUCUUCUCAAAAGACUAGAUCACUUUACCUCUAUCUCUGUGAAAUGUAAAAAGUUGAAACUUUAAUGUCAAACCUCGACAAAGUGUUCUACUUUACAAACUUCUUGUGUCUACCAAUUUGUACUAAAAUUAAUUUCUCUACAGUGCUCAGAUUCAUCAUAUGUGUGUCCUUAAUUUUAGUGGAAAUUGGAAGUUUCCAUAAUUUUUGCUUUAAGUCACUCUUCUGAAGGAAGUUGAGGUUCCACUUCAUAAUCCAAAAUGUCAGGUUGACUUAUGGCAAACAAUGUAAAUAUGUAGGAGUACUAUGACCUUUUAUAGCAUUUUUAGUUUGAAUUUGGGUUUUAUACAUAGAUUUCAAAAUUAAUAGGUUGAUGCCUAGGAAAUAGAAAUUGUAAGGGCCUAUAUUAGAGUAGCCCUCUUAAAAAUAAUAUUAAUUAAUGAAUAUUUGUUCUUCUUGUUGUUUUGAAGUAGUGGUGGGAGGCAGACCAACAAAAAAAAAAUAUAGUGAAGGCUUAUAAGAGCAUUUACAAUCAUGCUCCCUAUUUUUUAGUUAAAAUUUAGCUAAAAAUAGAAAAAAAGUUAUUAUAGGAGCUCUUUAUAAAGCUCCUUUAUAAAAUUUGAACUCCAAUCAUACUCCCUAGUUUAGGGAGUCAAAAAUACUAUAGUUAUUUUUUAAUUCAAUUUGAUUUUGGUUAAUCUCUAUAAAUAUGAAAAAAUAGUUAGCAUUAAUUAAAAGUUUAAACUAUGCAUAAAACAAAGAAACAUUAAAUUAUAGGGAGCCACUAUGAGUCAUUACUCUCUCCUCAGAUUUAGGAGCUCCUAAAGGUCUCCCUAUUUUAUGAGGUGGAUAAGGAGCAUGGUUGGAGUUGUAUUUCUUCAAUUUCCUCCCUAAAAUUUGUCUAAGGAUGUGGUUUAGGGAGCCCAUUGUGAAUGCUCUAACUCUGGUAAAACACGAGUGACAUGGACAACAUAUGUUACGUCGUACUGAAGAUUUUUGGGUUUCUUUAAUUGGUUAAGUAGCAUCCACACAGCUUCCUAAAUCAUCUCCUUAGACAAAUUUUAGGGAGGAAUUGGAAAAGUACAACUCCAACUAUGCUCCCUAUCCACCAACUAAAAUAGGGAGACUUCUAGGAGCUCCUAAAUCUGAUGAGAGAGAAAGGACUCUUAAUGACUCCCUAUAAUUUAAUGUUGCUUUAUAUUAUUUUGUAUACAGACGGGUCAAUUAUAUUAAAUUAAAAAAUAAUUAAAGUAUUUAUGACUCUCUAAACUAGUGAGCAUAAUUGUAGAUCAUCUUAUAUACCUUAAUUUGAAGAUUCUUUAUUUGGGUUUCUUUCAAGACUUAUCACCUUAGCCACGCCACCUACACGUCUGCAAGCUUUCCUAACAAGGAAGGGGAGGCUGCGCAAUACUUAUCACCUUAGCCACACUACACCAAAUUGACGUCUGCAAGCUUUCGUAAUCUAACAAGGAAGGGGAGGCUGCGCAAUACUUAUCACCUUAGCCACACCAACACCACAAGACCAAUAUGUGUAGUCCAGGAGGCUUUCCCAUUUUAAUAUAUAUUAUCAAAUAAAAUAAAAAUCAAUCUAUUAUCAUAUAUAUUAUAAAAUAAAGAUUAUUGCUCCAUCCUCCAUGCACUUGCAUGCCUCUUACAAAGUGUGAAGUAGAUUUUGUGUGCUCCAAGUCAUUGACGAGAGCUGUAACAUGGUUAGCUGGAUUUAUAAGAUCUUUUCUUUUCUGGGAAUUUUCUGAAUCAAGAAAAAUUAAGUAAAAUUAAUAAAGCAUAAAUUAGAAAGGAAAAAUAUCUAGAGGAUGCAUUGUAGGAUUGCACAUGCCAAUAAUUGUAUCCUCUAAAUAUAUAGGGACAUAUUUUUUUGUUUUCAUGACAUGUGGCCCUAAAAUUAUUGUUCCUAGCGGGCUCUCCACCCCCUCUCGAUUGAAAACUAAUUGUGUAAAUCUUCAAUCUUGAAUGAUGCACCUAAAACUCAAGUGUCCCAGGCCAAUUAUUGCUCUCAUACCACUUGUUGUAAUAAACAUCCAUCCAUUCUAAAGGAAAGAUAACCAUCGAUAUUAUCUCAAAUUUAACCACUUAAGUUCAUUAUGAUUAACUAUGUAUCUUAUGGACCAAUCCAAUCAUGAGGUUUUAUACCCAAUUAGAUCGACUAAUACAAAGUUCACACGUGGAUUGAAAAGCGCUAUCAGUAGGGGAGUGUUCGGCACCCUUUACUGCCGAACGCAACACAAGACCCCUUGCAUGCCUUCACUAAGUUGAGCCUAUCUAUUUUUUAGCAUUAACAAUAUAUAUAGAUUGAAAAAAUAAAAUAAAAAUCAAUCUAUUAUCAUAUAAAAUAAAUAUUAUUGCUCCAUCCUCCAUACACUUGCAUGCCCUCUUACAAAGUGUGAAGUAGAUUUUUUGUGCUCCAACUCAUUGACUAGGGCUGAAACAUGGUUAGUUGGAUUUAUAAGAUCUUUUCUUUUCUGGGAAUUUUCUGAAGCACGGAAAAUCAAAUAAAAUUAAUAAAGCAGAAACUGUACCCUUUAAUUAUAUAUGGACGUAUGUUUUUUUGUUUUCAAGUCUUAGAUGACAUGGGGACCUAAAAUUAUUGCUCCUAGUGGACUCUCGACCCCUCUCAAAUUUAAGUGGUCCAUUAUUAUUAACCACAUAUUUUAUGGACCAUGCAGCUGUGAGGUUUUAUCUCAAAAACCUUCGGUACAUUUCUCCCACAUGCCACAAUUGUAUAUUCACAAUUACGGCUGUUACGUCACAUCAUGCCACUUGCCUCACAUGCAACAAGUCUGUGUUUUGGGGAUUGCCGAGCUGCAUCAAUUCUGCCAAUGUCAAUUCUGCCCCUGGACUCUCUCAAAGCACAUUUAAAACCUAUGCGAACAUAUAUUAGAGUUUAUGAUGUAUGUAUCUAGAAAAUGCCAACACUAAUUUCGUAACAUGUAAAAAUUAUUAGAGAUUGGAAGUUUUUAUCAUUUUUUCUUCCAGUCUCUCCACCACUUAUUAAUACAGAUUACUCAUGUGAUGAGUUUACAAAACCUAUUUCUCUACUCUCGCAAAGACUAAACUUCUUCUCAAAAGACUAGAUCACUUUACCUCUAUCUCUGUGAAAUGUAAAAAGUUGAAACUUUAAUGUCAAACCUCGACAAAGUGUUCUACUUUACAAACUUCUUGUGUCUACCAAUUUGUACUAAAAUUAAUUUAUCUACGGUGCUCAGCUUCAUCGUAUGUGUGUCCUUAAUUUUAGUGGAAAUUGGAAGUUUCCAUAAUUUUUGCUUUAAGUCACUCUUCUGAAGGAAGUUGAGGUUCCACUCCAUAAUCCCAAAUGUCAGGUUGACUUAUGGCAAACAAUGUAAAUAUGUAGGAGUACUAUGACCUUUUAUAGCAUUUUUAGUUUGAAUUUGGGUUUUAUACAUAGAUUUCAAAAUUAAUAGGUUGAUGCCUAGGAAAUAGAAAUUGUAAGGGCCUAUAUUAGAGUAGCCCUCUUAAAAAUAAUAUUAAUUAAUGAAUAUUUGUUCUUCUUGUUGUUUUGAAGUAGUGGUGGGAGGCAGACCAACAAAAAAAAUAUAGUGAAGGCUUAUAAGAGCAUUUACAAUCAUGCUCCCUAUUUUUUAGUUAAAAUUUAGCUAAAAAUAGAAAAAAGUUAUUAUAGGAGCUCUUUAUAAAAUUUGAAUUCCAAUCGUACUCCCUAAUUUAGGGAGUCAUAAAUAUUAUAGUUAUUUUUUAAUUCAAUUUGAUUUUGGUUAAUCUCUAUAAAUAAAUAAAAAUAUGAAAAAAUAGUUAGCAUUAAUUAAAAGUUUAAACUAUGCAUAAAACAAAGAAACAUUAAAUUAUAGGGAGCCACUAUGCCAAUAAUUGUAUCCUCUAAAUAUAUAGGGACAUAUUUUUUUUGUUUUCAUGACAUGUGGCCCUAAAAUUAUUGUUCCUAGCGGGCUCUCCAACCCCUCUCGAUUGAAAACCAAUUGUGUAAAUCUUCAAUCUUGAAUGAUGCACCUAAAACUCAAGUGUCCCAGGCCAAUUAUUGCUCUCAUACCACGUGUUGUAAUAAACAUCCAUCCAUUCUAAAGGAAAGAUAACCAUCGAUAUUAUCUCAAAUUUAACCACUUAAGUUCAUUAUGAUUAACUAUGUAUCUUAUGAACCAAUCCAAUCGUGAGGUUUUAUACCCAAUUAGAUCGACCAAUACAAAGUUCACACGUGGAUUGAAAAGCACUAUCAAUAGGGGAGUGUUCGGCACCCUUUACUGCCGAGCGCAACACAAGAUCCCUUGCAUGCCCUCACUAAGUUGAGCCCAACUAUUUUUUAGCAUUAACAAUAUAUAUAGAUUGAAAAAAUAAAAUAAAAAUCAAUCUAUUAUCAUAUAUUUUAUAAAAUACAUAUUAUUGCUCCAUCCUCCAUACACUUGCAUGCCCUCUUACAAAGUGUGAAGUAGAUUUUUUGUGCUCCAACUCAUUGACUAGGGCUGAAACAUGGUUAGUUAGAUUUAUAAGAUCUUUUGUUUUUUGGGAAUUUUCUGAAGCAAGGAAAAUCAAAUAAAAUUAAUAAAGCAGAAACUGUACCCUUUAAUUAUAUAUGGACAUAUGUUUUUUUGUUUUUUUGCUCUCGACCCCUCUCAAAUUUAAGUGGUCCAUUAUUGUUAACCACAUAUUUUAUGGACCAUCCAGCUUCGGUACAUUUCAAAAAGCUUCGGUACAUUUCUCCCACAUGACACAAUUGUAUAUUCACAAUUACUUCUGGGUACCCCUCAUCAGUCGUCUAUAAAAUGGUGAAGCCAGUUGCUACUGUUACCAUAAGAGCCAGCUCCGACUUUCUUUAAUUUCUUGCUACAUCUGUUGCUAAGUUAAUUUCAGUCCUAAUGGGGUUUCAUCUCCCACUCAUCUUUGCUAUUCUCAGUGUAAGCUCUGCAAUUUGAUUAACUUUUCCAUUCUCUCUCAUUGUACUCUAUAUAUAUAAAUGAAAGUUUUGUGUUCCUAUAAUUCUCUCCGAUUUUAUUUAGUACGUACUUAAGUGUCGUCCACUAAUUAAUUACACUUUGUGAGAUUUGAUUUUAAUUAGAGUUCGAAUUAAUGUUGCAGCUAGCAGCGGUUGCACUGGCAAACAAUGCUGCUCAACCAGCACCUCAACUUUACUGGAACUCCGUCCUGCCAAACACACAGAUGCCAAGAUCUAUCAGUGAACUUCUGCAUCCUGGUUUGUGUUCAGCUCUUUAUAAUCUUAGAUAUCUCUUCUACCUGCCAUUUUACUAAAAUAUGUUCGACCACAUAUUUAUCAGCUAACUACUGUGAUUACAAGAAUGACACUUAUUUUCCAAUAUAAUUUGCAGACUCCACAAAUGAAGAAAAGAGCAAACCUGAAAUUUUCCCAUUGCAGGGCAAUAGAGUUUACACUCAAAGCCAUUAUAAAAAACGUCCUCCUCCUCCAUCUGACGAGGGCAAACCUGAAACUUUCCCAUUGGGCAAUAGCCAUUACACUCAAACCCGUUAUAAAAAACGUCCUCCUCCUCCAUCUGACGAGGGCAAACCUGAAAAUUUCCCAUUGGGCAAUAGCCAUUACACUCAAACCCGUUAUAAAAAACGUCCUCCUCCUCCAUCCGACGAGGGCAAACCUGAAAAUUUCCCAUUGGCCAAUAGCUUUUACACUCAAACCCGUUAUAAAAAACGUCCUCCUCCUCCAUCUGACGAGGGCAAACCUGAAAAUUUCCCAUUGGCCAAUAGCUUUUACACUCAAAGCCAUUAUAAAAAACGUCCUCCUCCUCCAUCUGACGAGGGCAAACCUGAAAAUUUCCCAUUGGCACGUUCUCCUCCAUCUGACAGUCAACUAAAGCAUUACAAAGACUUAGCUAUUUUCUUCUUCGAGAAGGACAUGCGCCCGGGCACAACUAUGAAGUUCCAAUUCCCUAGAAAUUCAAACACGGCUACUUUCCUGCCACGCGAAAGUGCUCAAUCGAUCCCCUUCUCCUCUAAGAAACUACCAGAAAUUUUCAACCAUUUUUCAGUGAAGCCAACAUCUGAGGAAGCCAAAACAAUUAAGCAAACAAUCGAAGAGUGUGAAGCUCCAGGCCUUAAGGGAGAGGAAAAAUAUUGCGCCACAUCUUUAGAAUCAAUGGUUGAUUUUAGCACUUCGAAGCUUGGAACAAGAAACGUUGAAGCAAUCUCAACGGAGGUAUUGGAAGAAGGAGCCACCAAGUACAUGCACAACUAUACAACAAUGCCGGGACUGAAGAAGUUGGAAGGUGACAAAGUCGUUGUGUGUCAUAAGGAGAACUAUCCCUAUGCUGUGUUUCUCUGCCAUGCAAUAAAACAAACAGAAGCUUAUGUUCUCUCCCUGAAAGCCGAUGAUGGGAUGAAGGUGAAAGCAGUAACCAUCUGCCAUCUAGACACAUCAGAAUGGGACCCAGAGCAUUUGUCCUUCCAAAUCCUCAACGUUAAGCCCGGAACCACUCCCAUCUGCCAUUUCCUUACCACUGAUGCUAUUGCCUGGGUUCCAAAACACAAAUCUGCAUGAUCAUCACUUAGCACUGUACGUGUAAUAAGCUUGGUCGGGUUGCACCCUAGGCCUGCAUAAUUAUCUCCCUACUUAUUUCUGCCUCUUCAUCAUGCGGUGUAAGAUAUAUGAUGAGAUGAAGUUUUCUCUUGUAACUAUGUAGACUACUUCAACUUGUACUCAUAAUAAAGCACGCUGUUGGGGGGUUCUACUUAAUUUCGUUCUCUCCAAUGUUUGAGUGUUGAAUUGUUACGUUGGAAUAGGCUGCUAAUGCAUGUAGUUAGAGAAGCCUUCAUUUAUAUCAAAGUCCUCAAACUAUCAAGAAUUAAUGUAUCCAGAAACAUAUACCAAGACGCAAAACAACAUAUUUUCCAUUCUCUGUCUGUAACACCAAAGCAAACUUCCUUUAUCACAUCAUUUAAAGGAUCAAAUUCCAGUACUAAUCUAAUCCAUCAUGUAAAGCAUACAAGUGCCUACCUAAAUUUGUCCAUUGGAUAUAUAUGUCACUUUUUAUUUUUUGAUAGAGAUAUAAAUGUUGAAAAAAUUAGAGUACACAACUCUUAUAGACACUACUACGAUUUACUAUUUGCGCGACGGAAGUUUGCGCGACGAACAUUGUUUCGUCGCGCAAAAAGCACUAUUGCGACGAAAAAAAAAUACCGUAGCGCAAACAACAUAACACAAGCGCGACAAACAGUUUCGUCGCGCAAACAAUCUAUGCGCGACCAAUAUUAAUUUCGUCGCGCAAAGGUAGGGGAAAAAAACCCGGUUUUUUUUUUUUGGCGCCAUAAUCUUGCGCGACAACAACAAUCGUCGCGCAUGACAAUAUUGCGCGACAAUUCAAAGAAUUCGUCAGGUAAAGAUGGACAGAAAAUUGUCUCAUUUUUUUGGCGGUAAAAAACUUUGCGCGACGAAAUUUUUCGUCUCAAAAGACAACUUAGCGCGACGGAAAUAUGUACCGUCGCGUAAAAAAACGAGGGAUACUUAUUUUUGGCGCCAAAAUGCAGGGUGGAUAAAAAAAAUUUUGCGCGACGGAAUUACCUUCGUCGCGUAAAGUGUAAUGCCGGUGCUUUCUUGCGCGACGAAAUAAAUAAUUUGCGCGACGUAAUUUAAACCUUGCGCGACGAAAAGUAUUAUUUGCGCGACGAAAUUUUGUGCGACGAAUAAUAUGUUUCGUCGCACAAAAAAGCAGAUGUCGACAGGUAAUUGCGCGACGGAAAUGUUGUUUUGUGCGAUGGAAAAGUGGGUUUUCGCGACGGCAUUUUGCGCGACGGAUAUUGGUGUUCGUCGCGCAAAGUCCUUCUUCUUCAUAUUAGUAUCUGCCAUUGCAGAGGCAGAAUGCAGAAAUUGCAUUCUGCCUCUCUCUCACUCUCCCUGCCGCUGCUCUGCUGUGAAUUCAAUACGUUCAUUGGGUAUGUAUUUUUUGUCGUUAGUUUAAAUGUAUUAAUGUAAAUUCGUAGUAACGCUAUUAAUUUUGUUAUCGUUAGGGAUAUUUGUGAUUAGUGAUUGGUGGAGAACGAUUGAGAAGGUAUGUUAUUGUAAAAGUUUGUUUGUUAUGUUUGUAAUUUUUUUGUGAAGUUAUAUGUAUAUAAUGUUGUGAAAUUGUGCGUGACAUAGCACAAUGUGUUGUGAUGUACGAAGUUAAUUGAAAUUAACUUCGUACUUUUAUUUUUAUGUUUAGUAACACGUAGUUUCCCGUUCGAGAUUAGUUGGAUUUCGUGCAUGGAUGAGUAAUGCAUGACUGCGGUCCAAUUAAUUCUUGAAUUGUCCCAUUAUUUGGACAGUUUGGUAAUGCAUAGUGUUGUCACAUAAUCUUCGGCUACAGGAUUAGGUUUCGAUUGUGGAGAUUUCGGUGUCAUCUCGGUACGUUCUUCGAGUGGUACGUAGGUAUUUAUACCUAUGCCCACUUCAAGAACUGUGUCGAGAUGCUGCCGAAAUUAAUCCACGUCGAAAUCUAAUCUCAUGUAGCCGUAGGUUACGUGACAGGACUAUGCAUUCCCGAAUGGGAUAGGGCCCUUACCGGAGGCAUAAGGUGACAUUAUAACUUCGUAUGAAGUUGUUGUGAUUGUUGUGUCGUGAUUGUGGUUUCAUGAAUUAUGAGCAGAAGGUGGAUACAUAACCCGAAUAGAUGCGCAGACGAAUACUUGGAUGGAAUCGAGGAUUUUAUUGAGUUUGCACAUAGACACAACCCGGGUGCAAGUAGAAUCCGUUGUCCUUGUAGGAGGUGUAACAACACGUUGUGGGAGACAAUUGAAAAUGUUGGAUUUCAUUUAGUAAGGAAUGGAAUGAUUGAAACAUAUAGCAUUUGGAACCUUCACGGCGAACAUGUAGGCCAUGCUUCGUCUUCAAAUGCCCCAAGAGUGGACAAUGUUGAACCUAUUGUGGAUCCUAAUGAUCAAGUCAUGGGUAUUAUACAGGAUGCUUUUCCAUUCGCAUCGACCAACAUCAAUCAGGAAGGGGAAGAUAACGUGCCUACACCAAUAGACAGUGCGGAGUUUGAACAGUAUGAAAAACUGUUAAAAAAUGCCAACCAAGAGUUAUACCCGGGGUACGAGAGCUUUUCCGUUCUCACUUCUAUUGUGGAGCUAAUGCACGGAAAAAUAAAGUAUCGUAUGUCGAACUUGUGUUUCGAUUACUUUUUGGGGGUUUUCAAGAGAAUGCUUCCGACGGAUAAUUAUUUGCCGAAAGACCAGAAACAUGCACAGAAGGUGUUGCAUGGUCUUGGAUUGGGUUAUGAAAAAAUCCACGCUUGCAAAAACAAUUGCAUGUUAUUCUACAAAGAGCAUGAAACGUUGGAUACAUGCCCUAUAUGCAAUGAGUCGAGGUUCAAAAUGACAUCCCAGAAUAGAACGACUAAGAUACCACAAAAAGUCAUGCGUUAUCUGCCCCUUAAACCUGGGUUGCAGCGAUUGUAUAUGUCGACGCAUACUGCCACAGACAUGAGAUGGCAUAAGGAAAAACGGGUAGACGAUGAUGUGAUGCGGCAUCCUGCAGAUGGGGAGGCAUGGAAAGAGUUCGAUCGAACGUUCCCCGAGUUUGCUGCUGAUCCCCGAAAUGUAAGAUUGGGACUUGCCACUGACGGAUUCAAUCCGUAUGGGGUUCUAAACCAACACCACAGCACUUGGCCGAUUUUCGCAUUCCCAUAUAAUUUGCCGCCUUGGAAAUGCAUGAAAAAAGAAUACAUGAUGAUGACUGUUUUGAUAACUGAGGAUCCUGGCAGGUCAAUUGAUGUGUACUUAAGGCCUCUGGUUGAUGAGCUGAAAGAUUUAUGGACAAACGGUGUUCGCACGUACGAUAAAUCAACUGGGAGGAUGUUCACUUUGCGAGCAGCAAUUAUGUGGACUGUGAAUGAUUUUCCAGCAUAUGCAAUGGUUUCUGGGUGGAGCACAAAAGGUUAUAUGGCAUGUCAUGUAUGCAAGGAAGAUGUAACUUCUGGUUGGCACGCGGGAAAAGUUUGUUACCUUGGUCAUCGGAGAUGGUUGCCAUGGGACCACGAGUGGCGAGAAAAAGAUAAAGAGUUCAACGGGAACACAGAGCGUCGCCUCAGACCUGGAGAAUGGUCCGGUGAUGAGAUCUUGGAACAGCUGAACCGUUUGGAUUUUGGUCCGUUCGGAAAAACAAUUAGUCGGACCAGACCUUCUACACAUUUGAACUGGACGCACAAGCCUAUGUUUUUUGAGCUCCCAUAUUGGUCGAAACUGAAAUUGAGGCACAAUCUAGAUGUGAUGCAUGUUGAGAAAAAUGUAUUCGACACAUUGGUGGGCACGAUUCUAGAUAUCGAGGGGAAGACGAAGGACACGAUCAAAGCUCGUCUUGAUUUGGAAAGAAUGGGCAUACGAAGGGGUUUAUGGAUGAAUAGGGACAGUGAUAAAGCUAGAAGGGAUCUUGCAUUCUUUUCUAUGAAACCGAAUGACAAAAAGGAGUUUCUAAAGUUUGUAUCGUCUGUCAAAUUUCCCGAUGGGUAUGCUUCUAAUAUCGCACGUUGCGUGAAUGUCGAUGGGGGUAAAUUUACUGGACUUAAGAGCCAUGACUGCCAUGUUCCUGUGGGUAUUCGACACCUACUGCCGGAAGAUGUGGUGAAGCCAAUCAUGUUGUUAUCCAGAUUUUUUUCCCAACUGACGGCAAAAACAUUGCGAAGGACAGACAUGUUUCAGUUGCGCCAUGACAUUGUCCAAGUCCUAUGCAAGUUUGAGAUGAUAUUUCCUCCGGCUUUCUUUACAAGUAUGAUGCACGUAAUGGUUCACUUGCCAGAAGAGGCAUUGCUUGCUGGUCCUGUCAACUAUCGCUGGAUGUAUCCAAUAGAAAGGUAUAUAAUCUUUAUCAUUUGUGUAUGCAUCAUUAUCGACACUUUGCUAAUUUGUAUCAUAUCGUUUUAUUUUGGCAGGCUUCUCGGAGAGCUGAAAAAAAGUGUACGCAACAGGGCAAAGCCCGAAGGAUUAAUUAUAGAGGCUUGGGUUCAAUAUGAGUCGCUUACUUUCUGUGGAAUGUAUUUAAAAGAUGUGGAGACGGUUUUCAAUCGUCCUCAACGCAAUAAUGACGGAGGUAUGAGAAAUGAAAAACUUUUUGUUUUUGCCCAAAGCGCAUGACCAUUUGGAGAUCCUGGACGAGGAGAGUCGUUUUCUAGAAAUGACAUGGAGGUAGCGCAUUGGUUCGUACUGAACAAUUGUGAUGAGAUAAUGGCCUACUUAGAUGAGCAUGAACAGAUGAUGAAGCGAGAACAUCCAUCACAUUUGGUUGCCCGGAAACAUCGUGAAUUAUUUCCACAAUGGUUUUUGGAUUCUGUAAGUUAUAACUGUUUUGUAAUUGACAAAUAUAAAUUGUAGUAUUUAAUUUUGUCAGACUAACAUGUAAAUGAUUUUGUAUACUAUUAGGUGAAUAAAUUGAAAUCAUCGAAUUCCCCCACUUACAGUGAUGAGUUAUAUAACUUGGCGUUCGGCCCAAUUCGUGCUGAGUUGUUCUCGGGUUGUAAUGUUAACGGCGUCAAAUUUUUGGGGGCCGCACGAGAUGACAAGUUGUGUAUGCAAAACAGCGGUGUCCAUGUCCCAGGUGGAGGCGAAAGUACGGACAUUGAUUUCUAUGGCAAACUGACAACUGUCGUGCAAUUGCUUUAGAAAGAUCGAUACCAAGUCAUCAUGUUUAAGUGUCGAUGGUUCGAUACCAACCCAAAUAGGGCGGGAAGUGUUAAAAUCGACCAUGGAGUACUGUUUGUGAACAUGGCGUCCCAAAUUGUGUAUCUAGAUGACCCUAAAGCCGGGAGCGGGUGAAAAGUUGUGCAGAAGAUGGAUCAUAGGAACGUGUAUGAUAUACCAGAACUAGACCCAAGUGACAACGACGUCGACAAUGUGGCUGACCAACGUUUAGAAUCUUCAAUGGAAAAUGAUGCGGAAACACUUCGAGAUACAAAUGUUAUACAAGAACCGUUUCAAAUAGAAGGAGUGUCUUCAGUAGAAAUACCGAUUCAGUCAAUUACAAUUGACCUCGGUGAUCUUCCCCGAUACGAUGUUGCAGUGGGUCCUAGCAACGCCGAUGAUGCAGUUAUAGAGGAGGAGGAGGAAGAAGAUUGGGAGACCGAGAGUGAUGAUAGCGAUGAUAACGAAAGUUAUUAUAGUUCAGAUGAUGAAUAAUGAAUUUAUUUGUAAAGUUAUUAUGUUAGUGUAUUCAUUUUGUGUAAUACAAAUCUUUGAAUAUAUGUAGUUGUCCAUAUGUAGUUGUGUAUUCAUUCUCCAUAUUUCAUCACAAACUUCAUUGGAAUGUCAAUACUUUAGUCAAUACUUAUUACGACCCCAUGCUUGUCGAUUGGUUUUUAUUUAUUUAUUUAUUAAUGUCUUUAACUCUUCAAUUAUUAUUUUUUUCUUUUGAGAUAUAGUUAUUUCUUCAUGUUUAAACAAAAAAUAUAAGUUAUUUCUCCAAUAUUAUCUGUGUGCCACUUAUUUUUCUUCACUUUGGUUCAUGAUUAGUGGCAUCAAUCUAGUCAAACCGAUAAAAUCGGUCGAUUCAAAUCUUAAUUAUCAAUUUAGUUUGGUUUUGAUGAAGAAAUACAAAGCCUUUCCAAAAAAUACAGAGCAUAAAAAAUGAUGAAUACAAAACCUUUCCAAAAAAUACAAAGCAUACACAAUUUGAAUUAAAUGAGGAUUUAUGGCGCCAAAUCCUUGCGCAACGAUAAGGAGCCCUUCGUCGCGCAAAUAUAUAUUAGGUAACGUUAUAGUAUAAUAUAUACCCACAUAUAUAUUUAAAAUUGGCGAUCGAAGUAGUUCAUUGUAUUCAUAUGAAGUGUAGGACUGUAGCUGCAAAAAAUCAUCAACAUCGGAGUUAAAAUAACCGUUCAAUCAUCACUUUUUAUUUAGAACCGUCGAAAAGUUUUACCCCGUUACUUAAUCUCUGAAUGUUUUUUUUGUCUGAUUUUUGCUGUCUAUGAUCUCGAAGUAUAACAAAACAAGUUUGACGGCUGGAUGACUGAAGCUAGUUUCGUAGACUGCGUGUGCUAUCAAAAUCAUAUAUUCACCAAAAACUCAAAAAUUUGUUCAUACAUUUGUGAAAAUGUAACUUAAUGUUUAUGUGGUAUCCCCUAGUGUAAAAAUAUGAAAUUGAAGAUCAAAUUCAGUCAUUGUAUUCAUAUAGGGUCAACAAAUGUUGCUGUAAAAAAUGAUCAAAAUCGGAGUUAAAAUAACCGUUAAAUCAUGACUUUUCAUUUAUAACCGUCAAAAUAUUUUGUCCUGUUCCCUGAUAUCUGAAUGUUUGGUCGUUUUGAUUUUUGGCGUAUACGAUCUCCAAGUAUAAACAAAUAAGUUUGCCGGUUGGAUCAUUGAAACUAUUUUAGGGUUUAGGGUUUAGGGCUUAGGGCUUAGGGUUUAGGGUUUACAUUUUAGGGUUUAGGUUUUGCGCGACGAAUAAACAUUCCUUUCGUCGCACAAAGUGAAAGUGACAAAGAUUGCGCGACGGAUAAGUCUUCCAUUCGUCGCGUAAUCUGGGACACACAUUUCACCCCUCCAUACCCUUUGAACACUUAGUGAAAAUUUCAACCGAAUGAAAUUCUUGAACCCGCGCGACGAACAAAGCAAAUACGUCGCGUAAAGUGGACGUGAACAAGAUUGCGCGACGGAUAAAUCUGGUAUUCGUCGCGCAAUCUGGGCCACACUUUCACCCUUCCAUCCCCUUUGAACACUUAGUGAAAAUUUCAACCGAAUGAAAUUUUUGAACUCGCGCGACGAACAAAACAAAUACGUUGCGCAAAGUGGACGUGAACAAGAUUGUGCGACGGAUAAAUCUAAUUUUCGUCGCGCAAUCUGGGCCACGCUUUCACCCUUCCAUCCCCUUUGAACACUUAGUGAAAAUUUCAAGCGAAGCAAAAUCUUCAACUCGCGCGACGAAUAAAAGUAUUCGUCGCGCAAAAGGCACAGGCCUCUGAUUUUUGUUAGCAAACAUUGCGCGACGUUUACUGUCUUCGUCGCGCAAAAGGCACAGACCCUUCAGUUUCAGCCUCCCGCUAAACCCAAAAUUUUCCCAAAAUUUUGGCGGAACGACAGCGUUUUGCGCGACGAACAUAUGACUUUCCGUCGCACAAGGUUAACCUUGCUCGACGUUUACUAUCUUCGUCGCGCAAAAGCACAAACCCUUCAGUUUCAGCCUCCCGCUAAACCCUAAGUCCCAAAAUUUGGGCGGAACGACAUCGUUUUGCGCGACGAAUAUAUGAUUUUCCGUCGCGCAAGGAGAACCUUGCGCAACGUUUACUAUCUUCGUCGCGCAAAAUCACAGUUUCAGCCUCCCGCUAAACCCUAAAUCCCAAAAUUUUGGUGGAACAACAGCGUUUUGCGCGACGAACCAUGUAUUUUUCGUCGCGCAAAAGGCACAGACCCUAAUCCCCAUUCAAAAUUUGGCGUUCUGGGAGACCUUGCGCGACGGAUAUUUCAUCGCGCAAGAUUCAUUAAUACCAUUUUGCACGACGCAUUCUGUUCUUCGUCGCGCAAAGUCGAAUAAAUUUGCAGAAACGGCCCGAUGCCUCCUUCUUCCCCAUUUUCUGGUUUCUCUCCGUUUCUUCCUCUCUCUCCGCCGUCACCUUAGCCCUCUCUCUCUGCCAUCACCUCAGCCACCUCCGCUCGUUCCGUAGCCUCCCUGCCGUCACCGUCGAGCCUGCCGUCGCAAUUUCGUCAGUUUUUCCCGAUUCUUCGCCGGCCGAUUUCUCUCUCCUCCGGCCACCAUUUUCGACGCCUAAGGUAUGAUUUCUCGACUAUUUUUUGUGCUCUAGCUGAUGGUUGGUUAGGAUUUCUUGAAUUUUCGCUAUAGGAAAUAGGAAUUAAAACCCUAGGUUUUGGCCGCUUUGGGAAUUUCAAAUCCGGCCACUUCCGGCCAUUUUUCGGGGUAGGUCCGAGAACAAAAGUGGCUCCAAUUAAUGUUUUCAACCUAGGGUAGGAACCUUGGCCCUUAGUUUUUAGAAUUUUCCGACGAAUGUUAUCGCUUUGGACACCCACGCGCUGCCGGCGCGUGUGGUGGCGCGUGGGAUGUUGUGGCAGUGGGGCAUUGGGUCCCAGAGCAAUCCCCUGUUUGUCACGAGCGCGUAGGUUUGCUCGGAUUUGAAUUUGGUUAUCGUUUGAGUCUUGAUCGGAUUUCGGCUAUUGUGCGAUUUCCAGGUUUGAUAUGUUCGGACCGUUGGAUCGAACUCAAACUCACGUAGUUGUACCUUUGUGUUUCUACGAUCGUUUAGGAUUCGACCGAUCGUUGAUCGGUGUCCCGGAUACUUCGAAAUUCCAAACCCUAGGUGAAGCUAUGCUUUUAAUUAAUUAGUUUAAAUUCUUAAUGAAAUUAUAUGUGCAGAUGUCAGAUUUGAUUAGACGUGGUAGGUCGAUGAUGACUGCACCGAGUUCGGAUCCCCCUGCUCAGUCGGCAUAUGCUGCCACUGCUCCAGCUUUGAUGGAGCACGUGCUGGUUGGUCCCGGGGCGUCCCAGGCGCCUGCGUCAUCUGCGUCAUCCGUCGCGCAGCCAGCUAGUGCUAGGCGGCGGCACCGGCCCGCCGACACGACAUCGACCGACGGUACUGGUGCCUCGGGAUCACAGCCAGAUAUAACUACCAUUUUGUAUUGUUAAUUUUAUAUUGAAAUUUGACAAUGUUGUUUAUUUAACAUUAAUAUCUUUUUUCUUUGCAGCGAAGAAGAACACCUGAGGGCCGUGUCGUCAGCUGAAGACGGCGAAGGUCACCCGGGUGACCAACAGUCGUAUCAGCAUCGGAUACGACGAGCGCCAUCGGGCUGCACCGACGGCGGAGUUGCAUAGCUCCUUGGCCCACGACAUUGGCCACGUCGUGCGGACCCAUUGCCUGAUGCAAUGGAAGUCUUGGAGGGUCAUGCCUGACGAGAUCAAGGUGGAGGUUCGCGGCCAGUUGUCGGUAUGUACCUUACAUUUUCAUUAAUUUUCUUUAAAAUUGUGUAUAUUUCUAUUACUUAACGUAUCUAAUUAAUUGAUUGCAGACGAACUAUAACUUGGAGGAUCUCGACGAAGAGUCGUUGGCGUACGUCAACAGACUCUUCGCUGAGAGGUACAAGCAGUGGAAGAGCGACUUGCACCAUCAUUUUCAGGCCUUUGAUGAUCCGCAAGUCGCUCUUCAGGAGGGUUGCCCGAAGGAGCUUGAGGGGCGGGAGGAUAGUUGGGAGUGGCUCUGCGCUCAUUUUCAAGCGUCCGAAUAUGUGGUAUUUUUUUAAUAAUAUUUGUUUAAUUAUUACUUAUUUCUUAUUAAUGUUUAUUUCAUUUUUUUUAUUUCAUUAUUAUUUAAUUUGUUAUGUUUUAACUAAUACGUUUCAUUUUUUGUAUAACAGAAUAAGGCCCAAGUGAAUAAGGGUAAUAGGAAGAAGAAGACCCUUCUCCACCAUUCCGGCUCCAGGCCCUUUUCGUAUAGGAUGGAUGCCCGGCGACGGGUAAUAAUCACAUAAUUUAUAUUUCAUUUUUAAUGUCAUUUUUAUUAAUUUAUUUUUUUCAUACUAAUAUUUUUCUUCUCUUGUUCAAUUUAGGAGGGGUCCAAGUUCCCAGAGAUCGACGUCUUUGGUGACGUUUAUGUUCGACCCGGGAAUGAGUUGGCCGAGUCCCUUCAUGUAAGUAUUAUUUAAUUUUAAUUCUUAUGUUACGCAUUCAAUUUAUAUGCAUGUUUAAAUUUAUAUUUUAUGUUAUGUUCAACAGACGACGAUGGUGGAGAGGAGCCAGUUGGUUCUUCAGGAGUCCGCCUCCCAGCUUCCUCCCGAGACUCCGAUCGAGUCUGUGGCUCCUCCACAGGAUGCUGGAUUUCAGAUCUUGACGGAGACGUUGGAUCAGACUCUCGGGAGGAGGCCGGGGACAUAUUGUCGAGGGAUGGGGAAUGCCCGGCGGAGGGAACCUAGACCUCGUUCAUCGGCCCAGUCAAACAGUCAGGUGACUGCUUUGACAGCACAGGUGGCCGAGCUUCAGGGUCAGAUGUCGGUGAUUCUACAGUCCCUCGCACAGAGCGGCUUUCCAAUCCCGCAGUUUCGUGCGUCAACCUCCCAGCCCGUCCACCCCGAGUAUGCCCACCAGACCACUGCCCCGGUGGACGCCCAGACCUCCGAGCCGCAUACUGGCGACGACCCGAUUGAUUUUGCUUCAUUAUUUGAUUAGUGUAUUUAUUUUCAUCAUAAACAUUUAUUUUAUUUGUAAUACAUUUAUUUUAUUUUAUAACAAAAUUUUGUUCUAAUUUAUUUUUAUUGCAAUUUCAUUGUUUAAUCAAUAAAAAAACCAAUUUUAUUUAAAAAAAAUAAAAAUAAAUAAAAAACAAAAACAAAAAAAACAAAAAAAAAUUGUAAUAUUAUUUUUGCGCGACGGAAGACAUUUCGUCGCGCAAAACCACAUGUAACAAAAAAAAUUAAAAAAAUCAAUUUUUUAUUACUUUAAUUCUUGCGCGACGAAUACAUACGUCUCGCAAACAUUUUUUGCGCGACGAAAUGUUUCGUCGCGCAACAGCUUUUGCGCGACGACUGAAAUUUUCGUCGCCAAAUAGAUGAGCGACGAAAACUUUCUCAUCGCGCGAAUAGUUCUGCGACGAAUAUAUACGUCUCCCGGACUAGUUUUGCGCGACGAAUUAUUUUCGUCGCGCUAUUCGUUUCGUCGCGCAAAUAUACGUGCGCCGAAUACUUUAUCGUCGCGCAAAUAUUUAUGCGACGAACAGUUGUUUCGUCUCCACACCGUUGGUGCAACGAUGGUUUACCCGUCGCACAAUUAUGCGCGACGAAGUGUUGUACCUCGUCGCGCAAAGGCUUUCUUCACGAUCUUCGCGCGACGGAAGGUGCGCGACGAAUUUUUUGUCGCGCUGAAAUUAGGGCGACUAAAUAAGACUUUGCGCGACGUUUUGUUAUUCGUCGCGCAAAGAGUAAAAUGUAGUAGUGAGACUUGUUGGAGACAAAACAGGUAAACAAAUUACUUGUAUUAGACUCACAAAAUAUUACAACAAGACAACUCUCAAAGAAAAGACAAACUCUCACACUUCUCACAAGGACUACUUAACUUUAUAGCUUAUUGCAUAUAGCAUAUGCAAACACAAUUAGAACAUACCUACGUACACUAUGGGAACACUCGUGUAUAUUUCAACACAAGAAAACAUGUGCACCGUGCACGGUUCACAUGAAGUAAGAAAUGAAGAGGAAAUAAAGAAGAAGAAUACAAAAGAAAAUGGAGAUGAGAAAAAAAAAAAAACCGAAUAAUGAAAAAUGAAUUGACAAUUAUAUAUGGUUGACAUUAGAUCUAAUAUUAUAUGUAACAACUAUUGAUCUAAAAUAAACAUUAAAUCAAACAAUAAUUAAAAGAUUUGACAAUAUAAAAAUUUAUUGAGGACAAAAAAAGGCAAAAACUUAUGAAAAAUGGAAACAAUAAAUAUGAACUGAGUCAUCAACUCACCAUGGUAAGUUUGCUGACGUAUAAAAAUAGUCAAUGGACAUCGAAAAGUAAUUGGCUUACAUCAAAAAUUAAAAUCACGUGGGUUAUUCCUAAGAAACCUUAAUAUUUGCCUUCCAUUUGUUCCAGCAAAAUAAAAGUCAUUGCUACUUAUUGUAACCCCUUUUCCAAGCUUAUUAAUCAAAGUAGACACCUCACUGCUGUCACCUAGCCAAUUUUCAACAAUGUCAUACUUAACAAGCAACUCCACAUCCUUUGAGGUGUUCACAAAACGAUCCAUGAGACUAACAUAAUCACUUAUGUACGUCUCCUCGUAGUGGCAUUGUUCAAAUGCGAUGAGAUUUCUAAUUAAUACCUCUGUAUGAUCGCUUAUUUUCAAUCUUGGAAUUUCAAGAGUCCGGCCAGCAAAUCUAAUAAGGUAUUCAUUGAUCCCUCAUUCAACUUGAACCCUGCCCUGUGUAGCUCUGUGAUGCUGGGUGUGUUUAUAGUUAUGAGUUUCCCGUCAUUAGUUUUUAGGGUUAUUCGUUAUAUGAGUCCCUGAACUUAGACCCGAUUUGCAUUUUAGUCCCUCAAUUUCCAAAAUCGUUCCAGUGGUCCUUCAACUUUAGUUUCGUUAGGACAAAUGGUCCUGCCGUCAAAUGAUUAUAAAGUGGAAAAAACAAGAACAAAAAAGGAAGUGAGUUAAAUUUGCACCUGCUAUGUUCAAACGACAAAGUUCGUUUCCGUUUGGUCGAUUACAAGAGAAGCUCAAUGCAGCUUACUUGGUUCCUCUUGGUAGAUGGAAAUAUAAUUUUUCUCCUAAUAACAAAGGUUUAGUGCAAUCAAUGAUGGGCUGUAUAGAACAACUUUUUUGUUUUAUAUGUUUAUGUGAGACAAGUUUUGCCAGAUUGAAUUAAUGUCUUCUAGCUAUGUACCUUAUCUUUUUGCCGGGCCAUGAGUUGAAUGUAGAGGCAGAGCAUGGCCUUGGGUUUGUAAAAGACAAAAGACUGAACCAGACGUAAUUAUUUAGAUUUUGGAUCCAGUUCCACAUCCCAAAGAGAAAACCACAAGUUUGCAAGCAAGUUUGUCCAUAUUAACACUACGUAGAGUAUAGGCAGUGUGCUACUCAUCUCACUUUCUCAACCUACCCUAUAUUUGUCUAAAAGAGUUUCUAAUUUCGUGUACUGAUUCACUACUACAUUUUACACUUUGUGCGACGAAGAGAAUUUCGUCACGCAAAAUACAUUGGUCGCGCAAAGUUUAAAAAAAAUUUUAAAAAAAUAAAAAAUUCCCGCGUCCAAUUUUUGGUACUUGUCCAAAUUUUUUGAGUUUUGCGCGACGAAUACUAACAUCGCGCAAAUAUUUGCGCGACGAAAUAUUUUUUGUUUUAAAUUUUUUUAAUUUAAAAUAAACUAAUUUAAUAGUUUGCGCUACGAAAUAUUUUGUCGCGCAAGGUUUUUGACUUUUUGUUUUAUUAUUUCUUUAAUAUGAAUUUAUUUAUAUGAAUUUUUUGAAAUUUUUACUUUUUAAAUUUAAUUUAAUUGUAUGAUUUCUUUUUAAAAUUACUUUAAUUUAAAUUGAUAUUAAUUUUUACUUUUUAAAUUUAAUUUAAUUGUAUGAUUUUUUUUAAUUACUUUAAUUUAAAUUGACAUAUUCAAAAUAAAAUUACAUAUGAAAAAUAGUGAUUAAAUUAUCCAAUAAAUAUAUAUAUAUAUAUAAUAUUCAAAAUGUACACAUAAAUUAACAAAGCACAAUAAUAAAAUCCUAAUACAAGCGUAUUGUGGUGGUAGUGUCGGAGGAUAUGUUUUGAUAGCUUCCUAAUCCUCAACUUUAGCCGUCAAAGUCUCGAUGAUUCCCUACAAAAAAAAUAAAUAUGGUCAAAUAACCACAAACAAAAAAAAAAAAAAAAAAAAAGGCAUAAUCUCCCCUAAAAUUGUUAUACCACAAAUCCAACCCAAACUCCAAUCCCUCCCCUUUACUCAACCCCAAAACCCACACAAACUCAAAAUUAACUCCAAAAACACAUAUUAAUGAAAAAAAUUUAAAAUUUGGAGAGAAUAUACCUUUUGGCAAGAUUGAGAGUGAAUGAGAGGGAGAAGUGAGUGUGAGAGAAUUAGAGAAGAUAGUGAUAGAGAGAUGAGAGAGAUGAGAGAGUGAGUGAGAGAGAGUGAGAGAUAGUGAAGAGAGAGAUGAGAGAUUAAGUGAGAGGAGUGAGUGAGAGAAAUGGUGGGAUUUGGGGAGAGGGAAAGAGAAAGGAGAGGUAAGAGUAGAGAAAGGCAUUGAGAAAAUGGUGGAUGAGUUAUUUCGGUUUUAAAAACCGUAUCACUUUGCGUGACGAAAAAUAUUGUUGGUCGCGCAAAGGUUUGCGCGACGAAAAAUAUUGGAAUAUUGAUCGCGCAAACUUUUGAGCGACGAAACAUAUUGGUCGCGCAAAGUCUAAAAAAAUUAUUUAAAAAAAAUAAAAAUCCCCGCGUCCCAUUUUUGGUACCCGCCAAAAUUUUUAAAUUUUUGCGCGACGAAUAUAGGAAUAUUGAUCGCGCAAAGUCUAAAAAAAUUAUUUAAAAAAAUAAAAAUCCCCGCGUCCCAUUUUUGGUACCCGCCAAAAUUUUUAAAUUUUUGCGCGACGAAUAUAGGAAUAUUGGUCGCGCAAAGUCUAAAAAAAUUAUUUAAAAAAAUAAAAAUCCCCGCGUCCCAUUUUUGGUACCCGCCAAAAUUUUUCAAUUUUUGCGCGACGAAAAAUACAUAUUGGUCGCGCAAAGUCUAAAAAAAUUAUUUAAAAAAAUAAAAAUCCCCGCGUCCCAUUUUUGGUACCCGCCAAAAUUUUUAAAUUUUUGCGCGACGAAAAAUACAUACUGGUCGCGCAAAGUCUAAAAAAAUUCCCGCGUCCGAUUUUUGGUACCCGCCCAAAUUUUUGCGAGACGAAAAAUAUAUAUUGGUCGCGCAAAGUUUUGAGCGACAAAAAAUAUUGGUCGCGCAAAGUCUAAAAUUUUUUUAUUUUUUUUUUAAAAUCCAGCGUCCCAUUUUUGGUACCCGUCCAAAUUUUUAGAGUUUUGCGCGACAAACUGUUGGUUGCGCAAACUUUUGAGAGACGAAAAAUUGGUUCGUAACACAAUAUUUAUAAAAAUAAUUGUUAUGAAUAAUAAAAAUAAAAUUAUUUUAUUUUACAAUUUAAAAUAUAAAUAAGGUUAAAGCUGCUUAAGAAAUAUAUAUACUAUUCAAUUUCUUAAGUGUUAUACGUACAAAAUAAAUAAAUUUAAAGGUACUUAAUAAAUAAAUAUAUAUACACACACCAUUCAACGAUCCAACCGUCAGACUUAUUUGUAUAUACUUCAAGAUCGUAUACCCCAAAAAUCACAAAAAACAAACAUUUAGAGAUCUAGUAACGAGACAAAACUUUUCGAUGGUUAUAAAUGAAAAAUUACGAUUUAACGGUUAUUUUAACUCCGAUUUUGAUGAUUUUUUUUUACAGCUACACUCCUUGACCAUAUAUGAAUACAAUGACUGAAUUUGAUCUUCAAUUUAAAAUAUUUACACUAGUGGAUACCACAAAAUCUUAUGUUAUAUCUAACGAACGUAUAAAUAACCUCUUAAUUGUUAGUGAAUAUAUUGUUUUGAUGGCAUAUGCAUUCACCAAAACUAGUUUCAACGAUCCAACCAUCAAACUUGUUUGUUUAUACUUCGAGAUCAUAUACGCCAAAAAUCAGAAAAAAUAAACAUUCAGAGAUCAAGUAAUGGGACAAAAAUUUUCGACGGUUAUAAUGAAAAAUCACGAUUUAACGGUUAUUUUAACUCCGAUUUUGAUGAUUUUUUACAGCUACACUCCUUGACCCUAUAUGAAUACAAUGACUGAAUUUGAUCUUCAAUUUAAAAUAUUUACACUAGUGUAUACCACAAAAUCUUAUGUUAUAUUUAACGAACGUAUAAAUAAACUCUUAAUUGUUAGUGAAUAUAUUGUUUUGAUGGCAUAUGCAUUCACCAAAACUAGUUUCAACGAUCCAACCGUCAAACUUGUUUGUUUAUACUUCGAGAUCAUAUACGCCAAAAAUCGGAAAAAAUAAACAUUCAGAGAUCAAGUAAUGGGACAAAACUUUUCGACGGUUAUAAUGAAAAAUCACGAUUUAACGGUUAUUUUAACUCCGAUUUUGAUGAUUUUUUACAGCUACACUCCUUGAACCUAUAUGAAUACAAUGACUGAAUUUGAUCUUCAAUUUAAAAUAUUUACACUAGUGGAUACCACAAAAUCUUAUGUUAUAUUUAACGAACGUAUAAAUAAACUCUUAAUUGUUAGUGAAUAUAUUGUUUUGAUGGCAUAUGCAUUUACCAAAACUAGUUUCAACGAUCCAACCGUCAACCUUGUUUGUUUAUACUUCGAGAUCAUAUACGCCAAAAAUCGGAAAAAAUAAACAUUCAGAGAUCAAGUAAUGAGACAAAACUUUUCGACGGUUAUAAUGAAAAAUCACGAUUUAACGGUUAUUUUAACUCCGAUUUUGAUGAUUUUUUACAGCUACACUCCUUGACCCUAUAUGAAUACAAUGAACUAAUUCGAUCGUCAAUUUAAAAUAUAUAUUUUCUAACAAAAACCCAAUCUGAACAACAAUAAUAUAUUUUUCUAACAAAAAUCCGAUCCGAUCUAAAAUAAUAAAUUUAAAGCUACUUAAUAAAUAUAUAUACUGUUUAAUUUCUUAAGUGUUAUGCAUACAAAAUAAAAAACAAAAAUAAAUUAGUAUAGGCGACAAAAUGUUUGGAUUACGUCAUGCAAAGAUUUUAAAAUAUAUAUAUAUAUUAUUUUUAUAAGGACUUUGCGCGACGAAGUUCAUUGUUUCGUCGCGCAAAGUCACUUUGAGCGACGAUGUAUUGUUGUCGCGCAAAAGUUUGUCGCGCAAAGUUACUUUGCGCGACGAAUUUUUUUUCAUCGCUCAAAAUUUGGUCGCGCAAGACUUUGAGUGACGAUGUAUUGUCGUCGCGCAAAAGUUUGUCGCGCGAAGUGACUUUGCGCUACGAAUUGUUUUUCGUCACGCAAAAUUUGGUCGCGCAAGACUUUGAGCGACGAAGUUUUGAGUUUCGUCGCGCAAAGUGACUUUGAGCGACGAAUAGUUUUUCGUCGCGCAAAAUUUGGUCGCGCAAGGGGUUUUUUUUUACUAGUAUGAGUUUUAUAUACAAUUUAUAACAAUAUUUUCAGGCAAAAAAAUGUCUUGGCAAGAAAAUGUACAAUUUGUUACGUACUUAACUGGAACGAUUACCUUCAAAUUCCUAUGGCCAAUUACCUUCUUUUUUCUUCCUUUUUUUUUUUUUUUUUUUUUUGGUUGUUGUUGUUCUUUUGAUCAAGUUGCAUAUUCCAAAGAACGAAAACCAGUACAGGCUCUUUUCCAAUGCAAGCUCUUUUCCCAUGUUUCCCUCUGUUUUUCUCCUAUUUUUCUUAUAUGGAAGUGAUUAAAAUACACCUCUAAGCUUGUUUUGCGUUUGGUAACCGACUGUAAAAGCUCAAUGCAGAUAGUUUGAGGUAGAAUUUUCUCCAAUUUUACUAGCACAGUGAUAAGCUAUACUAUAUGUAACAACAAAUUGCUUUAAUAAUGAUAAUGAAAAAAGUGUGAUCCAUCGAAUAUUUGCGGGGUUUUGUUCCAAGUCAACACAUCAAAUUCUUUUACACCAUGAAAUUAAAAAAAAUUUAUUCAACCAUCUCGACCUUAUGCUCGAUCAUUUUGCACAAGCAACCGUCCACGUACCCCAAUAAUUUAAAAGGGCUGAUGAUCUUUAAUUUGGCGAAAGCUUCUAUCUACUUCUACCGCGCUAUAUAUGAGCUAUGCAAUUGUGACGGUGUUACAUGACGUCACAAUGUCGUAGGGAUAAAAAAAUAAUAGUCAUGGUUUCUUAUUAAUGUUAAUACAGGCAUAGCAAAAAGCUUGUAUUUCUAGUGGUUAAGAACAAUUACCCAUGCACUUGAGAUAUUAUGUGCUUAAAUCCCCUCUUCCCCAAUAUUUCUUGUAUAAAAAUAAAAAUAAAAAUAAAAAUAAUAAAGAUAUUGAUAUUGUAUUCUAUAAAGUGUUGGACAUGUUUUAUACCCCUUUACUGCAAAUUACAGUUUGACACAUGUACAAAAAUAAUAGGUAAGUGUUGGACAUCAAGAGUACUUACAUAUAGGUUUAAUAGGUAAGUUUUGAAUAUUUCUGUCUUUAGCUUUAAUUAUUGAAAAUCAACCUAUUAUCAUAUUAAAGACUUAUCCAUGUUCAACGUACAUUCUCUUAUUUUUCUCUCAUUGAAGUAAAUACAAAACUAAGCACAUAGUGGAAAAGUAGGUCACGAUUAGGGGUGGGUUUGGUCUGGGUUGGUUCAGUUUUGGGCUCAACCCGAACACCGAACCGUAGACCUCGAUUUGGCUAUUUUGGAAACCAAAACUAAACCAUAAUUAAUGAAAACCGACCACUUCAAUUACCUUCUGGUCUUCCAACCAGAAGAAAACUCAAAACUUUAACCAUACCAAGUGCAACAGAAUUACACCAGGCUGGAGUCAAGUUUAUGAUGGUUAAAGAUAAAAACUUAUUUGACAUACAAUUUGAGAAUGGAAUCCUCAAAAUUCCACACCUGCGAAUACAGGGUUAAACAGAAAUUUUCUUCCGCAAUUUUAUUGCCUAUGAGCAGUGUGAGCUCCAUGAUCAUUACAUCAACAACUAUGUCUUCGUCAUGGACCGCCUGGUCGACAGUGCCAGGGAUGUGGAAUUGCUUGUGAAGAGUGGAAUUCUUGAAUCCAUGCUACCGGACAGCGAGGCAGCAGGGGAAUUUAUUAAUUCUCUUGACUUGGGGCCUAUUUUAGGCAAGCUUGAAACAAGACUAUUUCAGUUCACCAUGGGCUGGCCUGUCUAUUAUUGUAGCCGCUAUACUAGUUGUGCUCACAUUUAUUCAAACAGUGUGCUCCGUAAUGGCGCUGUAGGUUCUUCAUUUCCUCAAUUUCAUGUUUAGUGGUUGCAGAUUUGUUGCUCAUGUACGUGUUUAUCUAAAGUUAAAUAAGAGUGAUUGACUGAUAGUCUGUUAGUUUGUUUUUCUGGGGUUUUUCCCCUGUUCGUCAAAAAAGAAAAAGAGAAAGAGUGAUUGCUUGUGCCUGUUUGGGCCUAAUUUGACACACCCAAUCCAAAAUCAAAAAGUCCAUGUCAAUUUUGGACAGCCACCAGCAUUCCCUUUGUAAUUAGGCCAAAAACUGCACACCCAACCUAGCACUGGAGCCUAGAACAAACAAGGUAAACUCAGGACCCAAGCAGUUUGAUUUUUUCAUUUAAAUUGGAAUCAAGGGCCCCAAGUCAAAAAAGCCCAAGCCCAAGGCAGAUUUUUUACCAAAAAGACCCAAGGAAGCCCAGUGCAUGCGAAUUGCUUAGCCCACAAUCCCAAAACUCAAAACUAAGUUUGGCAUGAUUAAAUAAAGAUAGAGAGAAGCCCAAAAUUGAAGAAACCCAAAACAGUUUUAUCAAAAUUGUCAGCUCUCUACCCAAGACCUAAAAAGGGUCAAAAAUACCACUAUUGGCAAAAUUGACGCACUCAGCCUUGGAUCACAAAGAAAUCCACGUGACUAUUUGACUUUGAGAAGUCAACAAUUUCAACUAGUCACAAGAGAAGUUGAUUGGAAUUAAUGUAGGCAGGUCAUUACAGAAAAGACUUCUUUGAAACUCUGUAGCCAAAAGAUCAAAAUCCCUUUCUAUAUAAUUCUGCAUCAGAGUAGGUGGUCUUUCCAAGAGAUAAGCAGACUACGUUUUCAAGAGAUAAGUAGAGAAUGAGGGAGUUGUUCAACAAGAAAAGCAAACUAACCAUCAUGAUAGGUUGUGUUCUUUCUCUCUACAAAAAACAAUAGGGAACAAAGAAGAGUUGGUUUUUCUUUCAGAAAAAGGAAGGAAAAGACCUACAUGAAAACUAAUUAUUGAUGGUUCUUCUCUGCCAGAACAGAUAACUUCUCAUUUUCUUUGACAUUUAAAAAUGAAAGGUCUCGCUUUUACAAAAUCUGCCGCCCAUUAUUUAAAGAUUAGAAAACCCACUCCAGCAUUUCCUAUAAAUAUGAGAGGAGGUGAUGUCACAUCACGGGAUUGGCUCUGCCGUAGCACGAUAUUGUCCACUUUGCGCCCCCCUCUCUACCCUCACGGUUUUAUUUUUGGGAACUCACGAGCAACUUCCCAGUGGGUCACUCAUCUUGGGAUUGCUCUAGCCCCCAGCUCGCUUAACUUCGGAGUUCCCAUGACUCCGAAGCCAAUGAGCUCCCAAAAGGCCUCGUGUUAGAUGGAGGCGGGCAUGUACAUAUAAGGCACAUCACCUCCUCUCCGUUGGUCGAUGUGGGAUGUUACAGGUGAACAUAUCAAAGGACAGCCAAAAAAUCAAUCAAAGACAAAAACUCAAAAUGAUCACUUGAUCUCAAAAGCCUUCAAAACACUGAAGCAAGCAAAGCUCAUUGAGCCACAACGAACAAGUCAGCUAGAAUUCAGAAUCUUUAGAGUCAGUUCAGUUUCAGAGAAAUAAUCAAAGAAAGCGAGAUCUCUCUCGUUACAAAUUUGGUUCAGCUUAAAGCCAAAACAAGCAGAGUUCAGGUUCUUACAAAUAUGAAAACCUCAAUAAAUUUAUGGAGAGCCCUGAUCAAGCAAAACAGGUACUACAGUGCAGUUCUAGCUUAGUAAUAAUCAAAUCCACCCACUUCUGCCCCUUCCAGAUUGAGAAGGUCCCAAUUCUGCCCAUUCAAAAAGCCUUCCAAGACUUGAAAUAGAUUAAAGCUCUGCCAAACUCAAAUGUUGGAAUCAAUUCGCAGCUGAAACAUGACAGUUGAAGGUGUUGAUAGUCCAGUCCAGCACAGACAUACCCAGUCUAGCCCAGAUCAGAAGCAUUCACCGAGGCAGAAAUUGAAGUCCAAAGCUCUUUUUGUCUUUUUAGAGUUGGUCUUCCUUUUCUGAGCUUUGUAAAAGGCAAUUCUGCCUAAAACAGUUCACUUUCUUAUCAUUUAUUCUGGCCAGAACUACCAGUUUUGUACUGUGAAAAAUUAUGAAGUCCUCACCAGUCUAAGGCAAGAAAAGAACUUACUUGGGAGAUAUUCCUCACCAAAUUCACAACCGUUUGUUUAGAAAUCAGUAACUUGGUGUAACGACCCGGUCCUAAAUAAAUUGGUAAUUAUUAAUUUAUUCAGAUAAAAGACCAUUUUGCCCAUAGAAUAUUUUAAUAGGUUUACAUGUUGACCCGGGAGGCUUCGGUGAAAUUGUUACAUCUCGGUCCGAAAAAGUGUUAAAAUAAUUAAAGUAGAGUGCUGCUAAAAGAACCCUAAAAUUAACUGAGUACACCCUAUGAUCUAAGUACACCCUAAUAUUUUAAUUAAAAUAUAAAAUUAACUAAGUACACCCUAUAAAACUAUCAAAAAUAACACUGAUACACCCUAAUACUUGUAGCAUUAUUUUAUAGUUGAUUAUUUUAAUAGUGUUUAUAAAUCUUUGACUUUUCAUAUGGAUUUAUGCUUCUACUAAAAUUGUUGCCACUUUUUUUCCAAUUCCAAGUUCUUGCAAUCACCACAUCUUUCGUUAAAAACACAAUAGGACAAGCAAUCUCUUGAUUAGGGUUGAAUAUGGUUAGUAGGGUGUACUUAUUAAUAUUAUAUUUGUUUCACAAUUCCAUAUAUCCUUUUUGGUCAUUUUAUAUUAGGGUAAACCAGUAAUUCAAUAUAUACUUUUAUAGUAGGGUGUACUCAGUUAAUUUUAGGGUUCGUUUAGCAGCACUCUUAAAGUAAGAGAGAAUAAAAUGAAAUAAACAUUAAAAUAAAAUGAUUUGAAUUAAUUAAGGUUUUUGAGAAAUUAAAAUAUUAUUUAAUAUUAUAAGGGGAAAAAGAUCAUUUUAAGUUUGGGAAGGAAUUUGGAAAUUCCAAUUGUACCGUUGUGUAGAGCAUGUCGAAACGAGUCCGUAGACACGUAGUGGACUCGAAUCGUAGUUAUAACGGAGAAAUGGCGAUCAAAAGAAGUUCAGUGGCAUAGCCAUAAAUAUUUCGAAGUUCAGUUUUUUUAAAACCCAAAUUUCUUCUCUCUGGGGAGUGGGAGAGCCAACUUCAAAUGGUGAUUUCUCCCAACUCCGACCACCACACUUCCCUCUUCCUUCAGUUUUGGCAUCAUGAUGGGUUCCAUCCCGGAAUGACACAUUUUCGACGCUAAGGACGUCACAAAUGGUAUUUGAGAUGCUUUGUAAAUUUGUAACCAUGGAAAACACAAUGAACUUUAUGUUCGGAGUUGCAAGAGAACAUUAAGGGGAAUAUGGAGAGUGGGAAAAUAGUAAUAAGUGGAGAUCUGUAUGCUUACUUACUACUGAACUUCCGUCGUGGUGGUUAGUAUGAAAAAGUGUUAGAGAUUAUAGAUUUUAUGGAGGAACAUGGUUGUACACUGAUAAGUAGUCGGUAGGAGUUGAUUUAAGUUCCAAGAGAAAUUCAUUAUGAACUGGGAUGAAUUACUGCAAGAUUCUUGCUGUUUUGAAGUUAUUGAUUUUAGGGGCAUCACCUCUGAAUGAUCAUAAUAACCAUGCGUGGGCUCUGCAUGAGGUUUCUUUGACAUUGUUUGAUUUUGUGUAUUGAUAAUUACACUUAGGGGUGUCACGUUUCUAGAAACGUGUCUAUCCAAAUUGUUGUAUCUCAAUAUCCUAUGGAAGGAAAGCUGAGAAGCUGAAAAUACUGGAUUUAUGGUGGUGAGAUAAAAAUUGUCAGGAACUUUCAAAAGUCAAAUUAUUUCACAAAGGGAAAUACUGGAGAGAAGUAUUAGAGAAUUUUCUUUGGAUAAGUUAUAUAGGAGUGGAGGAGUUGCGAGUUUAACCAAGGAGGGUUGUGACAAUUUAAAUUGAGAAGUAGUGGUGUUGGGUGAAGUAUUAUUUCAUUCGCGUGGGCUUGAAUGCCGCGAUUGACAGGAAUGGAACAUUAGGGUUCUUCUUCCUUGCUCUCUCACGCGAGCUCGCCAUAGAGAGUAUUUCUUGGCGUGGUACUGGCUUCGUCCGACCUCCGAUUACUGUGAUUUUUGAAAGGACCCGGCCCAAAUUUCUCAAAAUCCGAGGCGAAUCCUGUGAAAUUCCCGACAUCACUCCGAUGCCAGGCCCACUUACUAAAGACCGAGACUUUCUGCCGAACUUUCGGCAGAGUCUCCCCUAUAAAUUGGACAUUUUCCAAAACUACCACCUGCAUAAAACACAAUUUAUAUCCCCAACUGGCAGCAUGCACAAGAUAAUUUCAUGCAAAUCACAUAAUCGGCCUGCGGCCUUCAAAUAAUUCAAAACGAAACCACCAAGCACACUAUCAAAUUAAUUCCUACCUUAAACAAGGCAAACAAUAAAUUUAAAUAUGAAUUAUGACUACUAAAUUUCAACAUACGAGGUUUUAACCUCCUAACACAAUCACAUCUAUGUCCGCGGCUGCACCUAAUAACCUUAGGCUGCCUACGUACCUUCACUGAGGGAUCAAGCCACACGUAGUUCUUCCGUAAAACCCAAUUCCACACAUAGGCAAUACCUUUAUUCAUUUCUCUGUAUUUCACAUAAUCUCCCCAUACGCCAGUACUACCAUUGCCACGUAUGGGACUUGUCAACAAGCCGGAUAACCUACACCACGUGCGAUCUCAACAUAAUAUCACAUAAUCUCCUCAUACGCCGGUACAACCAGCGCCACGUAUGGGGCCUGUCAACACGCCGGAUAACCUACGCCACGUGCGACCUCAUCAUACUAUCACAUGAUCUCCCCAUACGCAGGUACAACCAACACCACGUAUGGGGCCUGUCUCAACGCCGGAUAACCUACGCCACGUGAGACCUGAACAUAAUAUCACAUAUCUCCUCAUACGCCGGUACAACCAAUGCCACGUAUGGGGCCUGUCAACACGCCGGAUAACCUACGCCACAUGCGACCUCAAUAUACUAUCACAAUAUCUCCCCAUACGCCGGUGCAACCAACGCCACAUAUAGGGUCUGUCUCAAAUUGGAUAACCUACGCCACGCUAGACCUCAACAUCAUAUCACAAUAUCUCCUCAUACGCCGGUACAACCAACGUCACGUAUGGGGUCUGUCCGCAUGCCGGAUAACCUACGCCAUGUGGGACCUAACUUUCACAGAGUGGUACUUGUAGUGUAACCAAAAUCUGGGGAGGUGCCUAAGGUAGUGCAUAUAGCACUUCAAACUGACAUUCUCUCACUUAUCUAAACUAAUACUAGAGGUCUUCCCAUUUUAAUGGUACCAGUCUAUAGUAGAUUGUAACGUAAUUUAAUCAUAAAAAUAAUAUUAUUUCUAGACCAACGAUUAUUCACAUAAACAUGAAUUUCAUAAUUUCACUAUUUAAAAUAAUAUCUAAAAGUUUCCUAUAAUACAAAUAAACACUCUAAAGAUCCCAACUUAGUCAACACAGCUCAACAAUGCUCAAGACCUGUCAUUAGGGUCAUUAUGAUCCUUCUAGGAAGGUAAAACUACCUCGAAAGACUCAAGGUCAACCAAGGGUCAAACCACCCACAAUUGGUCAAACGGGCCCACGGGGCCCACGACCUCCAAAUUCCAAUCCGAAGGUUCCUAUGGGAUCUACAAGGUAUAGGACACUCGUCUUGCAAGUUAAGCCUAGAUCGGAUGGUCAGAUCGCUCACGAUCGCACAAUCUGAUGGUUAAUAUAAAACAUAAACUUUAAAUUAUUUAAUCGGAACAUCCGGGGCUCCCGAUUCACGAUCUGUUCCUACACGAUCCUAGAAAUACAUAGAUUAACAUAUAUUAAAUUUGAGACCAUCCAACGGUCCUAACCUAUCGAACCCGGAUAACGCGCAAUAGGCGAUAUUCGUUCGAUAGUCAAACGACGUCCGAAUUGAGAUUUACGAAAUCCUACGCACUCGUGACAACCUAAGGAUCUCAUUGAGACAUAUUGCUAUCCCAAAACCGACCGAAAUCCAAUUCGAAAAUCGAGUUACUUACGUUAAGAAUCGACCGAAUCCUACCCAACAGGCAGCUAGAGCAUGAAAAGUAUGUGAGAAACCAUACCUCACUCGUCGAAAUCAGUGGCCAAAGGAGGGAGAUCGACGAUAGAGAAGUUCGGACGAACUGACCGCUUCUUCUCCAUUUUUCAGCGAAACCACGGUAGCUGGUGGCGGGACCUAGCUGGGGUUGGAAGAGGAUGACGCCCCGGUCAUUUUGGUAUCGGCCUCGUGGUCAUCGGUGGCCGGAUGAGAAAACAGCCGGCGAAAAUGUGACCGGCUGCCGUUGCGCACGCGAGAGAGACCACGAGAGAGAGAGAGAGAGAGAGAGAGAGAGAAAUCUGAUUGUGCCACUGAGAUUCUUUUGACCAUAUCUCUCUCGUUACAACUCCGAUUCAAGCCCACCACGUGUCUACGGACUCAUCUCGGUACGACCUAUCCAAAAAUACCAAUCACUACCCCAAAUACUUUUUGGAUCAGAAAGUGACCAAAUUACCCCUACCUCAAUGGUAACUUUGUAAUUUCACUUAAAUAAUUUAAAUAAGGGAUUAAAUUUGGAGUCGGGGUGUUACAAUUUUUGUUGCUAAAUGUUGUCAUCAUUUCUCCUCUACAUCACUCAGUGAUCAUUCACUCCCAUUUCUCUAGUUUACACGGUGAAUUUUAUUUCUAAAAUUUCUUAAAAUUCCGGCCACUGUGAGUUUGACCAGCGACUUGGGUUACUUUUGCCCAUCUUUUUGGAAAUGGAACCGAUUUGAGGAAGAUUAGGAGGAAAGAUACAUAGGCCGCUGAGGCAGAAGUAAAGCCGGAGCUUUACCAUAGACAGAAGUUGUUUUAGAAGUCCUGGAAGAUUGUGAACAGGAAUUGGAAGUUUGCAUGGGGUGAUAGGAUUUUUAGUACUUGUGCAAACAGUGUUAAAAAUCACAUAAAAUACUUGCAAGAAUACAAGGCUAUUGUAGUCUAGAUGCUCAUGCAAGGUCGUUUUCCUCAAGGACUAAUUAGCAAUUUAUGUAAAAAUAAAUUCCAAUUACUACUUAAAAUAAAAAGUCAAGAAAGAUGAUUAUAAAUUUGGUUGAUUCUAAAAAACAAAUAUUAAACAAAAACAAAUACGAUUGAAAGAAAGAGUUUUGAAUAUCAAUUUAUAAAAACACUAGGGUUUCACCAUCACCUAGCAAUCCUAUGAACUUUUACCAAUUACUUAUGAUUUGCACAUGCCACUUUGAAGGUUAGGUUUUCCUAAUGUAUAUUCUACUUAGAACCUCCAACACAGAAUGUAUAUCCAACAUGCAACCCGUCCGGACGUUCGGAUCAAAUCUGAACAUGAAAGACUCAUUAAGUUUUGUGAAAACCCUUUGAAAAACCAUGCAACCCUUAAGACGUGGUGUUCAUCUUAAGUGAAAUUACAAUUAUUAAUCAGAAGAAGCUAGCAUCAAUUUCAGGGAACCUUCCGACCAAAAUUGCAUCCAAUUACUUUUCUAAAGAUCCUAAUGGUGAUCAGGCAUUAAGACAAUUAGAUAGUUUAAAACAGUGAUUAACAAUUCAAAAUACGCAUGCACUCAUCAUAAGCAAUUAAAUAAAAAUCACAUAUUCAUGCUAAGGUUCAAGGCUUCACCCUAGCAAAAGAAAUUUAGUUACGCAUACUCAUAAUUGAAAUCCAAGAAAAUAUCAUUAAGAAGAAAAGAACGAAAACACCUGAAAGUUGUGAAAACCCAAAACCCUAGCAAUUGCUCUCCACAAUGCAAAGUUCAAAAGUGAAAAGGGAGUCCUCCAUUCCUUGUGAGAAAGAGCUUAAAUACCCCUUAAAACCUAGCUGCCAAUGUACAGCUUUUCUAUCCCCACAAGGAAACUAAUUAAAAUAAAAUAAUACUAGGAAAUAAAGUCCAAAUUGGAAUAGGAGAAUCUGCUCAAAAUCUGCCCAGCCACGUUUUGGCCCCAAAUCUCCUCCAAAUCUGGCCCAAGAUAGCUUGUUUUAAAGAUAAAAAAUGUUCUGAACACUUCUUUAGAAGGCCACGAACCCAUCCGAGGUCAUCUUGGGCUCCAAAAACGCAAUAAAAGCCCAACACGUCACUAUUCCAGCACCGCGCACUGCUCCUUUAUUUUGUUGCCAGAAAAUAACCGCUUGGAAGAAAAAUCUGAAAUUUUGAUACGAUCAAGCUAAGUGACUCAAGAACGUCCUCCAACUGGAAUUACUCCAAAAUUCCUCAAUUUGAUUAUGUUUUGCUCCAGAGAGAUUCGAAAGUCCUAUAUUGGAAAUAUAAUUCAAAGUAUCAAAAGUCUUCCAAAAUAAUAACCAAAAUAUACUAAGAAUGAGGUUAAAUAUAUAAUAUAAAAUAUGUCCAUCAAAAUACCCCCAAACUUAGCUUUUGCUUGUCCUCAAGUGAAACAAGACUCAAACAAAAAUAAAAACUUAACAGAUUAGACAUCUGGCUAACACUUAACUAGGACAAAAUUUCCACCUUCAAGUUGCAAUCCAUAGAAAAUUUUAAAAACUAGAACAUCCUUUCAAUAGAUCUAAGUAAUCCCACCACAAAGUCUAAGCUAUUUAGACUCAAUUAGAAAAGAAUUCACAAACUUCUUUCGGUGCAAAGUGAACCAUUAUGGUUAUGGAGACUUGACUAAAACCCUUAACUCUCAUCCCUUUUAUUCAUACUUCACACACUCCACACUUUUUGUUUUUUUUGUUUUUUGUUUUUUGUUUUUUUGUUUUUUUUUCUUUUUGUUUUUAUAGUAACAGUAGUGGUUGUGCAAUGUUGGUUCCCUUAAGCUUUCAAUCCAACCGUGUAGCCAGCUUUAGGUCAAUGUCUCCCAAACCACUCGGGUUUUAGGGCACUAGGUGUAGAACACCCCUAAGGACUUAUUAACUCAAGCUGAAAAGGCUACGAAACCAACUAACCACCCUGCCUCAUGCCAAAACUCUACCUUUUGUCUCGAGAAUCACUGCUGAUUAGGCAGGAUUGACCCGGUUACUAGCAAAGCUUCGGGUGAGGUAAUUAUUACUUUAUAACACAAACUAACUUUAUUUAUAUUGAACAUAAAUUAAAACACAUUUGGACAAAAAGUAAGUAUUCCAAUCUCACUCCCCAAAAACCAUGUUGGUGUGAUGUGCAAAUUUCAAAGUAUAAUUCAUGAAUUAAUGUCUAAGCAACAAUAAAUAGAAAAUACUCUACCGUGGGAUUGAUUUUCACCAUGUCCAUUUGUUCUAACGUUUAAAAUAAUCUAUGGAUAUUGACUGAAAAACGAAAAUUUGUAAACAAGACUCAAAAAAUGAAAAAUAAAAAAAAUUACGUUCCCACCCCCUAACUUAAAUCACACAUUGUCCUCAAGGUGGGGUAAAUAAUCAAAAGAAACAAGAGCAGAAACAAAACGACUAAAACUUAGAAAAUGGAAAUCAAAAAUAAAGAAAAUACUCUAAGAAAAGAAAUUAGGAAGGCAAAGGAUGAGAUCCAGAUGGAUCUGGUAAUCCUAUCCGUAGAGAUGGAAAGAUUCUAUACACGCCAUUGAGACUGGAUUUGGAGAUGAGGAUUUGACCCUACCUUGUUCGACGAAUUCCCUCAAGGGGAAUUAUAGCAAUAAAAUACAUAUGCUUCUACAAACAUUUAAUUGCACUGCUACGACGUGGAAAGAGUGCUUUGGGGUCUCAUCUCAUGUGAACCCGUUCGAGUAGAAAUCUUUCAUUAGAAUCAGAAAUGGGUCAUGGUAAAGAGAGGUAGAUGAUGAUUACAGUUCGGUAAAAAUGAUCAUUUCUGACAUUCCUCUCAAAGAACCGUGUUGGCAAUGUCGUUUAUCGAUUCUAAAGAAAGAAGAAAAAUAUCAACAAGUCAAAGAACGUGGAUUUCUUUUAAGGGGAGAGCUAGAACAAAAUCAAAUCACGAAUGGAAGAGUUUAGCUUUCAGAGGAAGAUUGAGCAUUACAGCAGCUAUUAAAGGAUAUUUUUAGUUGAAGAAUGAGAUUUUUCUUCCUCUGAUUGUUUAGCUAGAGCUUUUGGCUUGACUGCCAACGUGGUUGUGGAGGAAGAAACUUGGGAACCCGAGUAGUAGAUGCGAGCCCACUACCCAUACCCCUUUUGAGUGACAGGUAUGAAAUUUCAAGGAUGAAAUUUUUAUAAGAGGGGUAGAUUGUAACGACCCGGUCCUAAAUAAAUUGGUAAUUAUUAAUUUAUUCAUAUAAAAGACCAUUUUGCCCCCAUAAUAUUUUAAUAGGUUUACAUGUUGACUUGUUGACCGGGGAGGCUUUGGUGAAAUUGUUACAUCCCGGUCUGAAAAAGUGUUAAAAUAAUUAAAGUAAGAGAGAAUAAAUUGAAAUAAACAUUAAAAUAAAAUGAUUUGAAUUAAUUAAGGUGUUUGAGAAAUUAAAAUAUUAUUUAAAAUUAUAAGGGGCAAAAAGAUCAUUUUAAGUUUGGGAAGGAAUUUGAAAAUUUUGAUUGUACCGUUGUGUGGAGCACGUCGAAACGAGUCCGUAGACACAUAGUGGACUCGAAUCGGAGUUGUAACGAAAAAAUGGCGAUCAAAAGAAUUUCAGUGGCAUAACCGUAAAUAUUUUGAAGUUCAGUUUUUUUAAAACCCACAUUUAUUCUCUCUGGGGAGUGGGACGUGCCAACUUCAAAUGGUGAUUUCUCCCAACUCCGGCCACCAAUUCAAGUAAGACCGGCCCCGUUAGAACCACCACACUUCCCUCUUCCAGUCCCAGCCCAUCUCAGUCUCGAUCCGCCGUCGUAGUCGCCGAAAAUCGCCACGAAACAAGGUGGUUUGGAUAGUUUUUGUCGAAAUUUCGUGGAGCUCGUUCUCCCUCCUCCGGCCACCGUUUCAGGCGAGUGAGGUAUCAUUUCUCACCUAUUUUCUAUGAUAUAGCUGAUGGUUGGAUAUGAUUUGAUAAAUUUUGAGCGUUGAUAGUUCGAUUUUCGAAUCAAAGUUUGGCCGAAUUUCGGGAUGAAAUUCCGGCCACUUUCGAUCACUUUUUGGGGUAGGCCCAAGAACAAAAGUGUCUUCAAUUGAUGUCCUGAUCCCAGGGUAAGAGCAUUGGUCGAAAAUUUUGAGAUUUUCCUGCUGGUGGUAUCGCUUUGGGCACCCAUGCGCUGAUGGCGCGUGUGGCAGCGUGUGGGCACUGUAGCAGAGGGCCAUUGUGUCCCAAUGCGACCCCCUUGUUGUCACGAGUGCGUAAGGGUGCUCGGAUUCCAAUUUGGUUGAGGUUUGAACCCCGAAUGGAUUUCGUAUAUUGUACAUUAUCCGGGUUUGAUAGGUUUGAACCGUUGGAUAGUCUUGAAUUUAAUAUAUGUUAGUCUAGACAUCCCUAGGAUCAUAUAGGAUUUCGCGGAUCAUGGAUCGGAGCCCCGGAUGUUCUGAUUUAAUAAAUUAAAGUUUGUGUUUUACAAUAACCGUCCGAUCGUGCGAUCGCGAGCAAUCCGACAGUCCGAUCCGAACCAAACUUGCAGGACGGGUAUCCUAAAUCUUGUAGAACCCAUAGGAGCUUUCGGAUAAGAAUUUGGAGGUCGUGGGCCCGGUUGACCAAGAUUAGGUAGUUUGACCCCUCGGUUGACCAUGAGUCUUCCGAGGUAGUUUCACCCUUCGAGGAGUACUAGAAUGACCUUAUUACAUAGUCUCGACCUUUAAUUGAGCUAUGUUGACUAUGUUGAGAUUUUUAGAGUGUUUAUUAUUAUCGUAUGAAAACUCUUGGAUAUUACUUUUAAUAAUUGAAAUUAUGGAUUUGAUGAGCGUGGGUAAAUUGAUUUGAUGAGUGGUGAAAAGAAGUCGUGGGCUUGGCUAUGACUAUUAGGAAGUGAGGGGACAUUUAUGUUGAAUAUGCAUUAAUUUCAACAAUUGAAAGAACAUGCAUGGAAUGGGUAUAUAUAUAUAUAUAGAUAAAUUGGAUUAAAGAUUGAGAAAUUAAUAAGUUGAGAUAUUAGUAAUAUUUAAUUGAGAAAUGGAUUUUGAGGUGGAAAUUGGAAGGUUGAAUUUGGGGAAUUUUGGAAUUGAGAAUUAUGGGUUAAUACUGAAAGAUGUAGGAUUAUACUAUGUAAGUACCAUCCCCUAGUUACUAGGCUUCCCAUACGUGGAGUUGGAAUUUCUGGCGUGUGGGAAGGAUAUAUGAUUAUUAGAUCUCACAUGCCGUUGGAUUUUCCAGCGUGAGACAGACCCCAUACGUGGGGUUGGAUUUUUCGGCGUAUGGGGAGAUUAUGUGAUGGUUAGGUCACACGUAGGGUGGGAUUUUCCAACGUGUUGACAGACCCCAUAAGUGGCGUUGGAUUUUCCGGUGUAUAGGGAGAUUAUGUGAUGGUUAGGUCACACGUGGCAUAGGAUUUUCCAGCGUGUUGACAGACCCCGUACGUGGCGUUGGAUUUUCAGCGUAUGAGGAGAUUAUGUGAUGGUUAGGUCCCAUGUGGCGUAGGAUUUUCCGGCGUGUUGACAGACUCCAUACGUGACGUUGGAUUUUCCGACGUAUGGGGAGAUUAUCUGAUGGUUAGGUCACACGUGGAGUAGGAUUUUUCAGCGUGUUGACAGACCCCAUACGUGACGUUGGAUUUUCCGGCGUAUGGAGAGAUUAUGUGAUGGUUAGGUCACACGUGGCGUAGAAUUUUCUGGCGUGUUGACAGACCCCAUAUGUGGCGUUGGAUUUUCCGGCAUAUGGGGAGAUAAUGAGAUGGUUAGGUCACACGUGGCAUAGGAUUUUCUGGCUUGUUGACAGACCCCAUAUGUGGCGUUGGAUUUUCGCGCGUAUGGGAAGGAUAUGUGAUUAUUAGGUCUCACAGGUGGCGUUGGAAUUUCCGGCGUAUGAGACACUAACAGUGAGAAGAGAAUGAGAUUAUUUUUCUAUAUCAGAGAAAGGUUAGAGUAUAAAAAGAAAUAUGUUUGGUGUGUGGUAAUUUAAAUUAAAACAGGGAAAGAUAACUUACCUGUACUACUGAAACAGUUGUGUAACAUUUGGAGCAUGAUUAUGGAGUGAAAGAACUACGUGUGGCUUGAUCUCUCAGUAAGGGUACGUAGGCAACCUAGGUGCAGUCGUAGACUAAACGUUAUUUAUGUUGUUUUAUUGAGAUUGGUUCUGACCCUGUCGUUGGUCCUGAAAUUCGGUUGAAAACUAGAUGCGAGUAAAUAAUUGUUCAUACUCCCGUUUCGUUGAGGGAGGAUUGUGUAAAUGUGUUCUGGUCAAGACAGGUAUAAGAACUCGUUUAGGAUUGAUGUACGAUUUGGGCUAAGGCCUUAAACUACUUGUUGUUGUAUUAGGAGAUUAAAACCUCGCAUGUGGGAUAAUUGGGAAAGUUAGAUGAUGUAAAGUGCACUUAGGCAUUCAUAUAUAUGUUUAAAUUUAUUAUUUGUCUUGCUUAACGUAAUUGUUUGACUUAUGGGCUUUAUUGGUGAUUUGCUUCAGAUUAUUUAAAGGCCGAAGGCCGUUUAUGUGAAUUGCAUUUUGAUACAUUGUGCAUGCUACUAGUUGUGGAUAUUAAAUGUGUUUUAUGCAGGUUGAAAUUUUUGGGAUUGUUCAAAUUACAGGGGAGACUGCCAAAAUUUUGAUAGAAAGUCUCGGUCAUUAGUAAGUGGGCCCGGCAUCGAGGUGAUGUCGGAAUUUACACAAGAUUCCUCUCGGGUUUUCAGGAAUUCGGGGCGGAUCCUGUUACUUGGGGUGCAAAUUAUCCAUUUGUUCACCCGUUUUCGUGUUUUACUUCUGAGGUGGAAGGGCGAAGUUUCCCACUGGCUUGGAGACCACUUGUUGGUCGACAAGUCAGCUUUCUUUGGUGUGUGUGAGCGUGCCACUGCUAGCAAUGUAAAUUCUAGCAGACUUAUUUUUUAGAGUGGAUAACUUGCGCCUCAAGUUACUGACUUCUAAAACAAAUGAUUGUGAAUUUGGGUGAGGAAUAUCUCCCAAGUAAGUUCUUUUCUUGCCUCAAACUGGUGAGGACUUUCACAAUUUAUCUCAGUAUCAAAUGGUUGUUCUGGCCAGAAUAGAUAAUAAUAAAGUAGACUGUUUCAGGCAGAACUGCCUUUUACAAAAUUAAGAAGGGAGAAAUCAACUCUAGAAAGGAAAAAAGAUGGCUGGAAUCCCAUUUCUGCCUGGGUAGAAACUUCUGAUCCGGGCUGGACUGGGUAUGUCUAUGCUGGACGGUGCUGUCAACAACUUUAGCUUGCUCGGCUUUAGUUGUAAAUCGAUACCAAAGUUCAAUUUUGGCAGAGCUUCAAUCUACUUCAAGCCUUGGGAGACUUUUGAGUGGGCAGAACUGCAGCUUCUUCAGUUUGAAGGGACAGAAGUGGCUAUUCUCGAGGAUUUAGCAAGCUGGAACUAUGCUAUAAAAUUUGUUGAGGUUUUCAUAUUUGUGAAAACUCAAACUAUGUUUGUCUUGGCUUUUGCUGAACCAAAUUUGUAACGAGAGGGAUCUUGUUUUCAGAAGACUUAUUUUCUAAGUCUGAACUUUGGAAUUCUGAUCUAAAGCUGUUUUCUUGUUUGUUUUUUUUUGAUUGACUGAUGAAUUGAGUGUCCUUUGUUUCUUUGCCUUCUUUCGCUUUUAUAAGAGAUCCUCCUAAGGAGGUCAUUUUUAAUCCUAAACAAUGGGCGGCAAAAAGAUCUCUUAUAAUGUAAAGUAAGAAGGGUUUCUUAUCAAUCAAGGCAGAUAGGUUCUGAGCAGUCACCUCCUAAAAACAGUCCAUUCCCUGGUUUCCUGGGUGGCAGCUUUCUAAUUCAACCAACGCCACCGUCUGUGUGGGCUUUUUAUGGCAGUUUUGGCUCUUUUCUUUUGUAUUUUCUGAGUGGUUCCCUGUUUCCCGUUCUAAUUUAGAAAGCGUGAUUCGUGAAUUCCUUGGGAGAUGGUGUAUUGAUUUGGAGCAAAAUCUUGAACACAGAUGGGUUUUUGAUCUUCAAUUGGCAGUGUUUCAGAGACGUCCCUCUCACAUUUUUAAACUUUAGUUGGAAUUGCUGACUUUUCCAAAGUUGAGGCAAUCACGUGGGUGUGUCUUUGAUCCCUUGGUUUUGAAUCUAUCGAAAAUUACGGGCUGAUCUUUGAAGCCCAUUUCGAAAGUUUCCACAUCUGGGCUUUCUUUGGGCUGAGGCUUUAUUUCCAACAUUCUUGGUGUGAAGCCCAAACUGUCUGGGUCUUAUUUUCGUUUUUCUCAAGUCUCUGGGCUGGGCAGGCAAUUUUAUCAUGGGCCUGUCUUCUGGUCUUGGGCGUGCCGAAUUUGGGCCCAAACAAUGCCCCCUAAGUCUGAAUCGUUUUGGAAUGGUUUCAGACUUAAUGUUUUGCCAUUUAAUUCACGUGCCAGUUUCUUCCGUGUUUUCGCCCACGUCUGCCACGUUUGCCUGCUACGAACUAGAGUUCGUGGGAAAACGGCUAGUUAUUAUCUAGUUACUAGCUAAUAAUCAUCAGGUGCCGUCCCAUCUUCUUCUUCCCACGUUUUCGAGCCCCUCUUUAAAAGAAAUUCAAAUUCAUAGCUUCUGAAAAAAGAAACCCUAAACCUUCCAGCUCUUGUUCCUGCGAGUUCUUUCUUCGAGAUUUCCAAAGCCUUCUUUAGACCUUCCUUUCUUCUGCUUCUUCCCUUGAAUCAGAAAUGUCUUCCCCAAGGUCCCGCGCUCAGUCUUCUUCCGCUUCAGUUCCUCCCGAUUAUAUCACUGGGAGCGGGAUUGAUGCUCACGCGAUAGAAAUCAGGAGCAAGCUUCAUCCCUUUGCCCAGAAGAAUCUGGACGAGAAUGUCCUCCAUUUGUUUGAGAACACCCUGGUGUUAGGGCCUCACUGGUUUGGUCCUGUUCCAGCUGAGAUGGCAGAAUUGCUAAAAAAGGAUGCCGAGGCUCCUUUGUGUUUUGAGAGCUCUUCUGCCCUGGCUUCUUAUUCUUGGGUUAGCAAGAAUUUGAGCCGGUCCUUCCCGUCCAGCGAGGUGAGGAAUAGUCUGGUCAAAUGGGCAGACUGGAUUGAUAGACUUCUCCCGAGAUAUGGGGGUCACUGGAGGAGAGCUGGGAUUUAUGACGCCAUUUUUCUGUCCAAACAAUCGAUUAACAGAGAUGAGAAUCUGCUUGCUGCUGCUUUAUGCUUCUGGAAUUCUGCCAGCAAUACAUUUGACUUCCGCGUGGGUCCUAUGGCGCCAACCUUGCUGGAUAUGGCUCAGAUUUUUGGGUUCAGGCCCCAUGGUAGGCCUGUUGAUGCCAUUGGAGAUUAUCACAGGCGAAGGAAUCAAGAGAAAGUGGCCACCCCUUUUACUAUCCCUCCAGCCGUGAUCAACCAGAACUGCUCUUUCUCCAACUAUCUGAAGAAGUUCAGUGCUGAUAAGGACAAGGAUCAGCAACAUAUGUUGUUCCUUCUGUAUUGGCUGAAUUGGUUCGUUCUCCCCAAUCGGUCUUCUGCAGUUCUGCUAGAGUACAGACACUUGGCAGAAGCACUCCACAAUCACACUGAUGUGGGGCUCGGGCCUACAGUUCUGGCUCACCUUUUCAAGAAUCUGCAUACUUCCACCCUGGAGAACCCAUUGAACCUGUCAGCCCCUGGCGCAUUCUGGAUGAUCCAGAUCUGGCUGCAGGUUUAUUUUCCAGAACUAAGGUUCCCAGACAUAGUUCUGCCUGAAGAUCAAGUCCUGGCUCUUCCUCUGAUGUCGGCAGAAGUGCCCAAGCAUUCUAUUGAGGAGUAUUUGAUGCUCUUCAGGCAUUGUACAAAGAGGUCGGCAGCUCAGUGGCAAGUGGUGAUCAGGAGGACCUAUCCUUGGUUCCAGACCGGAUUUCGGUUGUUUGAGAAGGAGCCAGAAGAUGAAGCUGCCAGAACAGAUUUCAGGAGGAAAUUUCUGAGCAUUACUCUGCCCAGAGAUCUACCCCAUGGUGGGGGCAAACCUCCAAACUAUCAUCUGGGGGCAGAAGUCUACCAUCCCAACUUCUGCGCGAGGCAGCUUGGUUGUCCCCAACUCAUUCCGCUGAAAUCAUAUCGGAGUUGUAACCGGGCCUCUUCUUGGAGGGAUGCAGAUGAUCUGGAGGUGCACAAGGAUGCCCGGUGUGCAGUGAACAAAAUCAACAACAGCACGGAUGCCCUCUAUCCCUCGUGGGAGCUGAAUUCCUGCAGUUCUGCCGACUUUGACGCAUGGUGGAAAGCCAGAUUCCAAAGUCUGCCUGCUUCUGUCACUGCCCUCAAGGUGCUGUUUGAUGGUUGGGAAAACUGGGUCGUUUUUGCGAAUGGGGAUGCCAAGACGCAUAUGAUCCAGACCAUCAAGGAUAUUAACGCGCAAAUUAUAGAAGGUAGAUUUCUGAUUCUGUAUGGGGUUCGUUCUGUCCUGAUGAUUGAUUUCUAAUGUCUAUUCUGCCUGUAUCAGAUCCUUCUUUGACCAGCGUAGGUGGGCAGUCUGUUCAUGCUGGGGAAGUGAUUGGUAAGUCUUUUCUUUUAAUUCUAUUCUGUCUUUUCCUGCUGGAUUGGUCUCUAAUGUCUAAUGCCUUGGUGCAGUCUCUUCCGUUAUUGCUGCCGGGGACUUGGAGCUCCCUUCUGCGGAUGAAGGAGAUGAGGUCCAGACAGAACAAACACCUACCGAGGCCGCUCUUUCUGGCAGAAGAAAAAGGAAAGGACCUGCCCCUCCUUCGGAUAAUCCCACGCGGCCUGGUAUUUCAGGUAAGCUCGUGAUGUUCCAACCAUUCUCUUUAAAUUUAUUAUGUCUUGCCUUCUUUUCCCUAAUACUGCUUUUUGUUCUGUGCAGCUGGAAGUCCUUCCCCUCCUCCUACCAAGUUGAAAAAACUUAAAAAGAGGAGUGAGGAGGAGUAUGUCGCCGCGGAAGAGACGGCAGCAAUUCCCACCACUACCUCCGGGACGGAUGAAGAGCUGCGAGAGGCUUUUGAGGAGGUGGAGCAGGAAAAAGAAUUGGAAGAGCUGGAAGAAACGCCUCAGGAAAAAACGGCAGUGGCGGAAGGAGAGGUAAGUUUUAUUUCUGUGAUUCGCAUCAGUUCCCUUCUCGCCCUGUUUCUUCCGUUCUGACCCUUAUUUUGUAGGAGAAGAUCCCUGCUGAGGUGAUUGCAGAGAGCAUUGCCUUGGCGCAGAAGCAACAAGGGGGUCCAAGGGCUGAGCGGACUAGCUCAGAACUAGCCCUAUUUGAGGAUGCUGAGGCAGAGCAUUCUACUGCCGUUCCAGCGGCUGAGGAUCAGGCGGAACGGUCUGCAUCAGAGCCUGUGGAUCAGGCAGAGCUGUCUGUUGUGGUUCCGGAGGCUGAAGUGGAAACAACCGCCGCUGCCCCUGUGGUUGUGGUAACUUUCUUUCUUUAUCUGUCCACACUCUCCUGCAUUUCUGCCUUGUUCUUUAUUUUUAACUGUUGUAGCCUUUUCAGGUAGAAGUGCCUAAAGCUGUUGGCGUCCUGGCAGCGGUUACCAGUCCCCAGAAGCCUCCCAUUGUUGCUGUAAGUUUUCAUAACUUUUGGGCCUUUAUUUUCCACUUUCUGCCUGGUCUUACCUUAUGCUUUCUUCUUGCAGAUGCCAAUUCAUUCCCUUCCAGGAUCAUCUGCCACGGCUUCUUUUGCUGAUCCAGAACUCGAAGAGUUUGAAGCCAUGGAUCUGGAUGCCCAAUUGGACAGAUUGGAGAAACUCAGCUCUCCUCCAGGCAAGGCAAAAUCUAGGGCAGUGGAGGAGGCCAUGGAGAGGUUGAAAAUCUGGCAGUCUAAUGAGCUGGAGUUUGAUCAAGACAAUGAAGCCUUAAAUCAGCUGAUGAAGGACCUGGACCUGCUUCACAGACAGAACAUGGCUCCAAAACCUAUCCUUGAGAUGGGCCUAAGCUUGGCCAGAGAUGUGCUCAAUCUGCAUGAUCGCUAUGAGGAUCUCAGGCCUACUUUCAAGACUUCUGAAUUCUGCAAGGCCACUCAUGAAGCCAACCUGGCUGAUUUUGCAAAGCAGAAAGCAGAACUGGAUCAGAUGGUGGCCGGAUAUAAGGAAGCCAGGGCCACUGCGGACAAGCUGGAGAAGCCGAUGGAAGAGCUCCAAAAACAACUGGCAGAAUGCAGGGAGGUGCAGAGCAGGCUUGGGGCUGGACUGAGUUCUAAAACUAAGGCCACUUUCCUUGUGCAAAGUAUGGUUGCAGCUUCCAGGACAGCCUUGGAGAUUGCAGAGGCUUCAAUUCACCAGGGGGUGCUGCUCCAGAAAGAGCUUUCUGUCAAGAAAGCGAACCUGCAGGAGACUCUUAGAAAACUAGGAUUUUAGCUUCUUCUUUCCUUUUAUUGUUCGAAUAAUUUGCCGCAAAGGUGGCUAUUUUUAUAUAAGCUUUCAAAGCAUUUUACUGCUUUUCAUUUAUUCUUGAUGCAAUAACUGGAUACGGCUUUGAAAGUAAAAAACAGAACAACUUUAAAGCAAAAAUAAAUCUAAACAAAAUUCUUUUCAAGAAACAAAAAGGUCAAACUUGUUCCUCUUCUAUCCCGGGAUCUGUUUAUACAGCCUGCGAAUCCCACGUGGUUGGAUAGAACUUCUUUAACCAUUUACCAUUGAUUGGGGCAAAAUGAACAACUCCAUCUCGGUCCUGCAACCUGUAUGCCCCCAUUCCGAGGAUUUGGUUAAUUAUAAAAGGGCCUUCCCAUGUAGGUGACCAUUUCCCAUAUCCAGCUAUGUGUGCUCCAAGGGGCAGAAUUGCCUUCCAGACUAUCUCUCCCUCUUCAAAACUCUUGUUUUUGACUCUUUUGUUGUAGGCCCUUGAUACAGCCUGUUUUCCUGCUAAGAGUUUGUUGAGGGUGUCAAUUCUGCUUGCAUCCAAUUCUUCCAAUUCCAGCAACAUGGCUUGAGAGUAAUCCUCCCCAGUGAGACCAUGCUGGUGAGCAAUUCUAAGAGACUGGACCGCUAUCUCCAUGGGAAGAAUUGCAUCGUGGCCGUAGGUUAGAGCAUAGGGGGUCAUGCCAGUUGCUUCUCUCUUUGAAGUUCUGUAUGCCCACAAAGUUUCUGAUAACUUCUCAUGCCAUUACUUUGGAUUCUUCUCUAGCAUCUUUUUGAUGAUAUUGAUAAUCACCUUGUUACUUGAUUCCACCUGUCCAUUAGCUUGAGCAUAGUAAGGAGUAGAUUGAAGCAGUUUGAACUUGAACGUUUCUGCCAUAUCUAGCAUGUCCCUAGAUAUGAAAGAAGAACCCCUAUCGGUUGUGAUUGAUUCUGGAAUGCCAAACCUUUGUAUGAUCUGUUCUUCUAUAAAGGUGAUGAUCUCUUGAGAUGUUGUGGUUUUUACUGGCUUGGCCUCUACCCACUUGGUGAAGUAAUCUGUGGCAACGAUAAUGAAACAGUGCUGCUGGUUGCUGGCUGGAUAGAUUUUGCCAAUGAGAUCCAUUGCCCAUCCCCUGAAAGGCCAUGGUUUUACUACUGGAUUCAUGGGAACCGAAGGAGCCUGCUGGAUUGGGCCGUGCCUUUGACAGGCUUCACAUCCUUUGGAGUAGUUGAUGCAAUCCUUCAUCAUGGUUGGCCAGAAGUAGCCAUACCUUCUGAUUAACCAGCACAUCUUUCUUCCCCCUUGGUGAGCUCCACAGAUCCCCUCAUGGGUUUCUCCCAUGGCUUUCAUAUAUUCUGUCUUCCCGAGGCACCUUAAUAGUACCUCAUCCUUACUUUUUCGGACCAAAUCUUCAUUCCACAUGAGGUAGUUUGUAGCCAUGAUUCUGACUCUUUUCUUAGAGGGCAGAGUGGGAUAUCGUAAGUAAGUCAUGAUAGGCUCCCUCCAAUCAUCUUCAGUGAUCAAGGCAGAAUUGACUUCUAUCUCCAUUCCUCUCGUCAAAACAGAUGGUAGACUUUUCCUUCCUAUCUUGAUGAUCCUUUGGACGCAGUCUUCGGGCAUUUGUAUGCCUGAUGCCACCUGAGCCAGUUCAUUGGCUGCAAAGUUUUCCUCCCUUGGGAUGUUCUCCCAAGUAGCUUCUCUAAAUUCUGUUAGCAGAUUUCUAGCUGCUACUAGAUAUACAGCCAGAGAAGGAUUCAGACACUUAUAUUCUCCAGCAAUCUGUUUUAGGACAAGCAUGGAAUCUCCCAAGAUCUCCACGGACUGGACUCAUAAUUCUACCAACAUCUCGAGCCCUAUAAUCAAAGCCUCAUACUCGGCCAUGUUGUUGGUGCAUUGGAAAUCUAGCUGGAAGGAAUAGCAAUGUCUGACCCCUAAUGGUUCUUCCAGAACAAUCCCUGCUCCUGAAGCCUUGUCUGUCUUUGAUCCAUCAAAAUAUAACUUCCAAGGUGUGAGAUGAAUCGAGUAGAUUGGAUUGUUAAGGCAAACAUGAGCUCUAGUUAGCAGAUCUGCAUUUGCUAUGUCCAAAGAAUCCAUGUUUUCAAUUUCCUCUCCCGAGUGAUCUACCAAGAAGUCUGCCACAGCUUGCCCUUUGACAGCUUUCUGGGGGACAUACCUGAAGGUGAAUUCUGUCAAAGCCAAAGUCCAUUUCCCAAUUCUGCCCCUCAGCAUUGGUCUUGUUAGCAUGUAUUUGAUUAAGUCUGUUUUGGCAAUGAUGUAGAUAGUAUGUGGCAGCAUGUAGUGCCUGAGCUUUACAGCAGUGAAAUAUAAGGCCAGGCAAAGCCUUUCUAUUGCGGAAUACCUUCUUUCCACUUCUGUCAAUGUUCUGCUUAGAUAGUAGGCUGCCUGUUCUUUUCCUUCUUUGUUAUCUUGAACUAUUAGACUUCCAAUGGAUACUUCUGAUGCAGAUACAUAAAGCUUGAGGGGUCUGCCCCUUUUUGGUGGGGACAGAACUGGUGGAUUUGAGAGGUAAUGCUUUAUUUCCUGGAAAGCCUGUUGGUGCUGUUCUUCCCAUUUGAAUGUCUGUUCCUGCUUCAGUCUUAACAGGGAAGAAAAAGGUUGGAUUUUUCCUGCAGAAUUGGAUAUGAAUCUCCUUAGAAAAUUGAUUUUUCCUAAGAGACUUUGAAGUUCCUUCUUGUUCUGAGGUGGUAGAGCUUCUAUGAUGGAUGUUGCUUUAUUUCUGUCAACCUCUAUACCUCUCUGGUGGACCAAGAAUCCUAAGAAAUUCCCUGCUUGGACUCCAAAAACACAUUUUUUGGGGUUCAUUUUCAGUUUGUGCUGCCUCAUUCUUAGGAAUGCCCUUCUCAGGCUUGCUACGUGAUUUCCUUCCUCAGGGGAUUUAAUCACCACGUCAUCUAUGUAUACUUCCAAGGAAUGUCCUAUCAUAUCAUGAAAAAUAGAAUUCAUUGCCUUUGGUAGGUGGCUCCCGCAUUUCUCAAACCGAAAGGCAUUACAGUAUACUCGAAAGCACCUAUAUGUCCUGGACACAUAAAGGCUGUCUUGUGGAUGUCCUGUUCUGCCAUCAUGAUCUGGUUAUAACCUGCAUUGCCGUCCAUGAAAGAUAGCAUCUGGUUAUGAGUGGCUCCAUCCACUAGCAUGUCUGCCAUUGGCAUAGGAUAUUCGUCUUUAGGAGAUGCCUCAUUCAGAUUUCUGUACAAUAUUUGCUAACCAAUCGGAAUAGACGGCUGGCCUGAUGAAUCCUGCCUUGAGCAGCCUUUCUAUCUCUUCUUUGACCUUUAGUUCUGUGUCCAUAGACAUUCUUCUUCUGGCCUGUUUGACUGGAAGGUAGCCAUCUUUAAUUGGCAGCUUGUGCUCCACUCACUGCCUGUCCAAUCCUGGCAUUUCGUGGUAAUGCCAGGCAAAACAAUCUCUGAACUCCUGUAAAAGUGCCAUGAGUUCAGUCUUGAGUGGUUCCUUCAAAAGUGUGCUGAUGAAAGUAGGCCUUGGAUCUUCUUCUGUUCCUAAGUUUAUCUCCUGUAGAGGAUCCUCUACUUCUGGCAGGGAGUCAUCCAGUGCUGCUGGUGCAAAAUCUAAUACUUCCUCCUGUAAAAUUUCCUCCUCUUGCUCUUUUGUGCUUUCAUGGGUGAAUUCUGCCAUAUUGAUGGCUGGAUUCUGUAUGAAAAGCCUCCUUUCUCCCCAGUAUAUCAACAAUCUUUUUGUGAUGGAUCGGAUUGUUGCAGCUCGAUCCUUGUCUAGUUGAUUCGGACUAAACAUCAGAGUUCUGGAAGUUCAGCACAAAAAGGUCUAUUCCAGUCCUCUAGAGAACUGGCUAAACCUUCUUCAAUGAGUCUUUGGGCCGUGACACCAUGUGGACGGCCGUUCUGAUUGACUCCAAGGAAAGUGAAAGGACCGAGGUCAUCAUGAUAAUACCUUGUUUCAAAGCACAUGGCAGAGGGCAGGAAUGGCCGUGGAUCAGCCUCUAUAAUCUCCAUGCAGCCUUCUUCAUUCCAUAGUGCUAACUGCGGGUGGAGGGUGGAAGGAAUACAAAGGCUCUGGUGAAUCCAAUCCCUGCCAAGUAGUGCAUUGUAGGUGGUGGAAGUAGUGUCUAUAACAAAGAAUGCUAUUUUCAACUCUUUGCUUCCGAUUAUGACAUCCACAUCUAAGAUGCCAUGUAUUUUGGUGAUGCAACCAGAAGUUGGUGACGGUCAAUCGUGUUGGAAUCAGAUCUUUCUCUGUCCUGCCCAGCUUGGUCAGCAUUCUGUGGGGUAAUAGAUUAAUGGCUGCACCUCCAUUUACCAUGAUCUUGGAAAUAGGAAUACCCCCAAGAUUUGCCGUUAUAAACAAAGGUCUGAGGUGAAACAAGGUUGCUCUGUAGCUGGUUUAUUGGCUGUUCUGCCUGUCUUGGGGUUUUCUGCUUGUGGUUCUGGUGGCUCCUCUGCUUCUGCCAAUCUACAUUCAAAGCUUUCCUGAGAGAAAACAUCCCCUUCCAGAGUGCUUUCUUGUCCUUCGGCUGCCCUGAAUUUACUUGGUAGGAUGAAUACCAUGUUAAUUCCCAGAUCACCCUGUAGGAGGUCUUCUAAUUCUGCGCCAAAAGCUUCUGUUUCUGGGUCCAAUUCUACACCAAAUUCCAUUAAUUCUUCCCCGUAUUCUUCCGUCCAGUCAUCCUGUUCUGCUACUUCGAGGGGCUCUUUCUGAUCAUCUGCGGAAGGUUCAUAGUCCAAUUGCUCUUCUUCAUAUUCCUCAGUGUAGUCGUCUUCUCCUUGUAACGGGGUAGACCCAGAUUUCUCUGGUGUCUGCGUGGUGUCAGGACGGCUGCUGGACGACGAGGCCACAUGGAUAGGAGACCUGGCUGGGGGUUCUGUUUUCAGCAAUUCCCUUGACUGGCAAGCUUUCUGUUCUGUCUGGGGAAGUGUUUCAGGAUUUUUUCCUUUCCUAGCAGAACUGGGUUGUGAACGUACCUGCGUAUUAUCUUGGCUCUUAAGAUAUGUGCAGUAUUGCCUCUGGAUUCUCCUUUUCUGGGUUCUGGUUAGCUCCAGAGUCGGUCUACCGCUUCUUCCUACGGAAUACCAUCUCCCUUCUAUGAUCGUUGCCAAGGAUCUUUCGUUUCUGGGCAUCUUGACUGGUAUUUCCUUUCUGGGUUGCUCCAUCCUCCUCUCGCUGUAUUGUGUAGGCCUAAGACAGCUCUUCUGCCUUGUUUUGUCUCGGGAUGAGGUUCCAAUUCUGUCAAAGACACUAGGUGUGGGCUGAUUUUGUCUGUCUAGAACCACCUCUAGCUCUGUUUCACAUUUGCACCUACUGCAGAGCACUACCCCAGCCGAGAUGGUCGCUCUUGGUAUUUGACUGGUCUCCCUUAUGAUUCUUCUGCCUCUGCUGCAACCAGCAUCUGUGAUUGGCUCGGUUUUCCUCUGUUCUGGCCAAUUUAAGUUGACCAUAUUGACUUGUGGUUGAGGAAAAGGAUCCGUUGUGACGGAUGGUGGUUUUUCUGCCAGUUUCAACCUUCCUGCCGUUAUCCCUUCUUGUAUUACGUCCCUGAAAACAACACAACUAUUGGUAGAAUGGUUCCAAGAGUUGUGCCACCUGCAGUACUGUCUGCCCUUGAGUUCUUCCGGCUUCGGUAUUCUGUGAGGCGUCUCUAUUGCCUUCUACAGUAGCAUUUCGUGGAACAAGGCAUCAACCUUGGUUAAGUCAAAAGAGUAAACCUUGUUUUACGUUGGUUUGUUUGGAACGAAUCCUCCUGUGAAUGGUGGUGGCUUUUGGUCUUUAGGUGGCUUUGUGAGGGCUUUGCAACUAAUGGGAUGUUUUAGUUUUGCCAUUUCUGCCACUGAAACCUCUUUCUCUUCUGAUUCUUCUGCAUCUUCUUGUGAUUCCACCUCGAUCAGGUGGACUGAAGAAGAAGGGGUUUUAUAGUAUGUACCUUUGGAGGAGUUCCUCCUUUGCUGUUCCUCCCUGAGUAACUCCUCAUAUUUGGAUGCCUUAUCAGCCAGUUCUGCCAGAUCUCCGAACAAUAUCCCGUCGAACCUUUUCCUGAGAGAGAUUUUAAGGGCAACUUGGGCCAUCUGGAUGAAGUGUCUUUCUUCCAUCGGGAUUCGGCACUUCAUUUUGAGCUUUCUGAACCUGGUUAUGAAAUCUUGGGCCGGUUCAUCUUCACUUUGCUUGAGGGCAGCUAGAUCACUGAUGGUGACUUCUGGCUGAAUCCUGUAAUAGUAGUCAUGGAAGACAUUUUCCAUCUGUUCCCAGGUUUGAACAGAGUUAGCUGGCAGGCUGGUGUACCAGGUAAAAGCUUGCCCAAAAAGAGAGUUGCCGAAAAGCCUUAAUUUCAGCAGAGGGUUGCUUUCUAUAGCUAUGCAUUGGACGGAGAACCUGCCUAUAUGUUCAACUGAGGAAGAAUGGGGGUCUUCCCCAUUGAACAAAGUGAAGUUUGGCACUUUGAAACCUGGAGACAACAGUAUUUGAUCGAUAUAGGCUGGGUAUGGCUUUCUGUAAGUAGGCCUUUCCCCUAUUCUAGCCUCGGGUUCCAUGAUUUCUCUGAUCAUUCUUUGCAACGCUCCUAUGUCAUUCAAAGCAUUGACUGGGGGAAGAUUUUGUCCCUGUUCUGGCUGAACGUAAUCAAACCUGGGCUCUGCUCUGUGUGGUCUGGGUGGAACUUCCUCCCUGUGUUCUUCCUGCUCUUCGACUUCUGGAUGAUUCCUCCAGUUUGCCCCCGGUCUAUUCCUGUCAUGAUUAGCAAAAAGGUUGUUCCCUCCUCGGCCUCUCCUCCUUCUUGCAAGUGGAGGGAAUGGAUUAGGGUCCAUCCUUCUGGGUCUAUAUGGCAAUACUGCCGGUGGUUCAGGCAGAAGCGCCAAAGGUUGAUCAUGUGGGAGCACAUGAAGUGGAAUGGGCUGAGGUUCUGGCUGGUUCUGAGCCAGUGCCAGGUUAUCUGGUUGAGCUGGGGCUUCAUGUUUUUGAUUAGGAAGGGCUCCUUCCCUCGGACCAGCCUGAAUUUCUCCGUGGUCUGGCACUCCAGCCAUCUGUGCAACUAGGAAAUUUUCCUGGUAUGGCCAUAUUAGUCCUGGCGGAGGGCCAUAAGGGAGAUCCAACUGCUGGAUUACAGGAUCUGGGUUUGGGUUUCUGGCCAUGGCGGAUUCUCGGUCCUUCCGGAACUGUCUGUUUACCUGCCAUUACAUCAUGGCUGUCAUGUUAUUGAGAGUGUCCUGGCUCCUUCGUACUGUGAUCUCUUGUCGGAGUACUGACUCCUGUAUUUGAUUCAUCCUUUUGGAGCCAGUCCUGGAACGUCUACUUCCUGUACUGCCGUGGGCAGAUUGCCUAGCAUCGCUUUUUUCUGAUUCGAGGCCUUCCCUGAGAACCAUCUUGUUUUUCUCCAUAUCUGGUGUGGGUUCUGACUAGAUCUUCCGGUAUUUGUGAAUCUGUGAAUGAUUCUGUCAGAGUAUAUAUACUGAGAAGUCCCACUGGGUGUGCCAAAUUAUUCACCCGUUUUCGUGUUUUACUCCUGAGGUGGAAGGGCGAAGUUCCCCACUAGCUUGGAGACCACUUGUUGGUCGACAAGUCAGCUUUCUUUGGUGUGUGUGAGCGUGCCACUGCUAGCAAUGUAAAUUCUAGCAGACUUAUUUUUUAGAGUGGAUAACUUGCGCCUCAAGUUACUGACUUCUAAAACAAAUGAUUGUGAAUUUGGGUGAGGAAUAUCUCCCAAGUAAGUUCUUUUCUUGCCUCAGACUGGUGAGGACUUUCACAAUUUAUCUCAGUAUCAAAUGGUUGUUCUGGCCAGAAUAGAUAAUAAUAAAGUAGACUGUUUCAGGCAGAACUGCCUUUUACAAAAUUAAGAAGGGAGAAAUCAACUCUAGAAAGGCAAAAAGAUGGCUGGAAUCCCAUUUCUGCCUGGGUAGAAACUUCUGAUCCGGGCUGGACUGGGUAUGUCUAUGCUGGACGGUGCUGUCAACAACUUUAGCUUGCUCGGCUUUAGUUGUAAAUCGAUACCAAAGUUCAAUUUUGGCAGAGCUUCAAUCUACUUCAAGCCUUGGGAGACUUUUGAGUGGGCAGAACUGCAGCUUCUUCAGUUUGAAGGGACAGAAGUGGCUAUUCUCGAGGAUUUAGCAAGCUGGAACUAUGCUAUAAAAUUUGUUGAGGUUUUCAUAUUUGUGAAAACUCAAACUAUGUUUGUCUUGGCUUUUGCUGAACCAAAUUUGUAACGAGAGGGAUCUUGUUUUCAGAAGACUUAUUUUCUAAGUCUGAACUUUGGAAUUCUGAUCUAAAGCUGUUUUCUUGUUUGUUUUUUUUUUAUUGACUGAUGAAUUGAGUGUCCUUUGUUUCUUUGCCUUCUUUCGCUUUUAUAAGAGAUCCUCCUAAGGAGGUCAUUUUUAAUCCUAAACAAUGGGCGGCAAAAAGAUCUCUUAUAAUGUAAAGUAAGAAGGGUUUCUUAUCAAUCAAGGCAGAUAGGUUCUGAGCAGUCACCUCCUAAAAACAGUCCCUUCCCUGGUUUCCUGGGUGGCAGCUUUCUAAUUCAACCAACGCCACCGUCUGUGUGGGCUUUUUAUGGCGGUUUUGGCUCUUUUCUUUUGUAUUUUCUGAGUGGUUCCCUGUUUCCCGUUCUAAUUUAGAAAGCGUGAUCCGUGAAUUCCUUGGGAGAUGGUGUAUUGAUUUGGAGCAAAAUCUUGAACACAGAUGGGUUUUUGAUCUUCAAUUGGCAGUGUUUCAGAGACGUCCCUCUCACAUUUUUAAACUUUAGUUGGAAUUGCUGACUUUUCCAAAGUUGAGGCAAUCACGUGGGUGUGUCUUUGAUCCCUUGGUUUUGAAUCUUUCAAAAAUUACGGGCUGAUCUUUGAAGCCCAUUUCGAAAGUUUCCACAUCUGGGCUUUCUUUGGGCUGAGGCUUUAUUUCCAACAUUCUUGGUGUGAACUGGACUAAACAGUUAGUCGGACCAGACCGUCUACACAUAUGAACUGGACUCACAAGCCUAUGUUUUUUGAGCUCCCAUAUUGGUCGAAACUCAAAUUGAGGCACAAUCUAGAUGUGAUGCAUGUUGAGAAAAAUGUAUUUAACACAUUGGUGGGCACGAUUCUAGAUAUCGAGGGCAAGACAAAGGACACAAUCAAAGCCCGUCUUGAUUUGGAAAGAAUGGGCAUACAAAGGGGUUUAUGGAUGAACAGGGACAGUGAUAAAGCUAGAAGGGAUCUUGCAUUCUUUUCUAUGAAACCGAAUGAUAAAAAAGAGUUUCUAAAGUUUGUAUCGUCUGUAAAGUUUCCUGAUGGGUAUGCUUCUAAUAUCGCACAUUGCGUGAAUGUUGACGAGGGUAAAUUUACUGGACUGAAGAGCCAUGACUGCCAUGUGUUUAUGCAACGCCUACUUCCUGUGGGUAUUCGACAUCUAUUGCCGGAAGAUGUUGUGAAGCCAAUCAUGUUGUUGUCCAGAUUUUUUUCCCAACUGACGGCAAAAACAUUGCGAAAGACAGACAUAUUUCAGUUGCGCCAUGACAUUGUCCAAGUCCUAUGCAAGUUUGAGAUGAUAUUUCCUCCAGCUUUCUUCACAAGUAUGAUGCACGUGAUGGUUCACUUGCCAGAAGAGGCAUUGCUUGCUAGUCCUGUCAACUAUCGCUGGAUGUAUCCAAUAGAAAGGUAUAUAAUCUUUAUCGUUUGUGUAUGCAUCAUUAUCACAGACUUGCUAAUUUGUAUCAUAUCGUUUUAUUUUGACAGGCUUCUCGGAGAGCUGAAAAAAAGUGUACGCAACAGGGCGAAGCCCGAAGGAUCAAUUAUAGAGGCUUGGGUUCAAUAUGAGUCGCUUACUUUCUGUGGAAUGUAUUUAAAAGAUGUGGAGACGGCUUUCAAUCGUCCUCAACGCAAUAACGACGAAGGUAUGAGAAAGGAAAAACUUUCUGUUUUUGCCCAAAGUGCACGACCCUUUGGAGAUCCUGGACGAGGAGAGUCGUUUUCUAGAAAUGACAUGGAGGUAGCGCAUUGGUUCGUACUGAACAAUUGUGAUGAGAUAAUGGCAUACUUAGAUAAGCAUGAAGAGAUGAUGAAGCGAGAACAUCCAUCACAUUUAGUUGCCCAGAAACACCGUGAAUUGUUUCCACAAUGGUUUUUGGAUUCUGUAAGUUAUAAGUGUUUUGUAUUUGACAAAUAUAAAUUGUAGUAUUUAAUUUUGUCAGACUAACAUGUGAAUGGUUUUGUAUUAUAUUAGGUGAAUAAGUUGAAAUCAUCGAAUUCCCCCACUUACAGUGAUGAGUUAUAUAACUUGGCGUUCGGCCCAAUUCGCGCUGAAUUGUUUCGGGUUGUUAUAUUAAUGGCGUCAAAUUUUUGGGAGCCGCACGAGAUGACAAGUUGUGUAUGCAAAACAGCGGUGUCCAUGUCCCAGGUGGAGGCGAAAGUACGAACAUUGAUUUCUAUGGCAAACUCACAACUGUCAUUCAAUUGCUUUACAAAGAUCGAUACUAAGUGAUCAUGUUUAAGUGUCGAUGGUUUGAUAGCAACCCAAAUAGGCCGGGAAGUGUUAAAAUCAACCAUGGCUUACUAUCUGUGAACAUUAACAGAACUUGGUAUGAUGACGACCCUUACAUUUUGGCAAACAUGGCAACACAAAUUGUGUAUCUAGAUGACCCUAAAGCCGGGAGCAGUUGGAAAGUUGUUCAGAAGAUGGAUCAUAGGAACUUGUAUGCUAUACCAGAACUAGACCCAACUGACAAUGACGUCAACAAUGUGGCUGACCAACGUUUAGAAUCUUCAAUGGAAAAUGAUGCGGAAACACUUCGAGAUACACAUGUUAUACAAGAACCGUUUCAAAUACAAGGAGUGUCUUCAAUCGAAAUACCGAUUCAGUCAAUUACAAUUGACCUCGGGGAUCUUCCAAGAUUCGAUGUUGCAGUGAGCCCGAGCAACGAAGAUGAUGUAGUUAUAGAGGAGGAGGAGGAGGAUUGGGAGACUGAAAGUGAUGAUAGCGAAGAUAACGAAAGUUAUUAUAGUUCAGAUGAUGAAUAAUUAAAUUUUUUAUAUUUUUAUUAUGCUAGUGUACAGACUUUGUGUAAAACAAAAGUUUGAAUAUAUGUAGUUGUGAUAUCCAAACCUUAUAUAUGUGGACAACUGAAACAUUAUUAAAAUAAAUUUAGUUAUAAAACAUCGGUAAAUCAAUAUAUCCAAACCCUUUUAAUAUUCAUUUAAAAUUUUUUUUUUUGACAAAAACGUUUACAAAAUGAAAAUGAUAAAAUAUUUGUUAUAAAACAUUGAUAAAUAAAUAUAUCCAAACCAUUUUCAUACAAAGUUUGAAAAUUAUUGACAACAAACAUUUUUCAAAAAUGAAAAUCCUUGCGCGACGAAGUACACCUCGUCACGCAAAGUUUGCGCGACCCAGUAAACAGUCGUUGUGUAAAGUUAAAACAUUGCGAGACAAAUUAUCAUCCGUCACGCGAUAGAAUUUUGCGCGACGAAUAUUUACUCUCGUCGCGCAAAUGUAUAUUCUUUUAUAAUAUAUUUUAUAUACACAUAUAUAUUCGAAAUUGACGAUCGAGUUAGUUCAUUGUAUUCAUAUAGGGUCAUGGAGUGUAGCUGUAAAAAAUCAUCAAAAUCGGAGUUAAAAUAACUGUUAAAUCAUGACUUUUCAUUUAUAACCGUUCAAAAAUUUUGUCCCGAUACUUGAUCUCUGAAUGUUUUUUUUUUCCGAUUUUUGGGGCCUAAGAUCUCGAAGUAUAAACAAACACGUUUGACGGCUGGAUUAUUGAAACUACUUUCGUAGAAUGCGUAUGCCAUCAAAACUAUAUAUUCACCAACAAUGAAUAGUUUACUUAUACUUUCAUUAAAUAUAACAUAAGAUUAUGUGGUAUCACCCUAGUGUAAACAUCUUAAAUUGAAGAUCAAAUUCAGUAAUUGUAUUCAUAUAGGGUCAAGAAAAGUAGCUAUAAAAAAUCAUCAAAAUCGGAGUUAAAAUAACCGUUAAAUCAUGACUUUUCAUUUAGAUUCGUCGAAAAGUUUUGUACUGUUACUUGAUCUCUUAACGUUUUUUUUGUCAGAUUUUCGGCGUAUACGAUCUCGAAAUAUAAAAAAACAAGUUUGCCGGUUAGAUCAUUAAAACUAGUUUCGGGUUUAGGAUUUCUGCAGUUUAGGGUUUAGGGUUUGCGCGACGAAGCCAUUUCGUUGGUCGCACAAAGCCUGCAAAGAACAGUCUUGCGCUACGAAACUAGGAUUCUUUGUCACGCAAUCUCAACCAGCCCUUUCACCCUCUUCCUCCUUGGACACUUAGCCAAAAAAAGUUGCGAGUUUACAGAAAGCGGCUUUGCGCGACGCUGCCGGUAUUCGUCGCGCAAUAUGUAUGCCAAUAAAACCUAAAUCCCAAAUUUUGGCGAAUUACAACUUUGCGCGACGAAUAUGGGAAGCUUCGCGCAAAGUUUUCAAUCUUUCCCGCUAAACCCUAAGUCCCAAAAUUUUGGCGGAUUGACAACAUUGCGCCACGAAAGAAGGUACUGUGCGUCGCACAAAGUUUUCAAUCUCUCCCGCUAAACCCUAAGUCCCAAAAUUUUGGCGGAUUGACAAUAUUGCGCGACGAAAGAAGGUACUGUGCAUCGCGCAAAGUUUUCAAUCUCUCCCACUAAACCCUAAGUCCCAAAAUUUUGGCGGAUUGACAACAUUGCUCGACGAAAUAUGGUACUGUGCGUCGCGCAAAGUUUUCAAUCUCUACCCAAUAUUUUGCCGGAUUGACAACAUUGUGCGACGAAAGACGAUACUGUGUGUCGCGCAAAAACUACCCUGAUACCAAAUUUUGGGAUUAACAAUAUUGCACGACAGAAGUUAUACUUAUGUCGUCGCGCAAGUGUCAAUUAAAAUAUUUUGCGUGACGCUUUUGUUUGUUCGUUGCGCAAAAUCGAAUAAAAUUGCAGAAACGACGCGAUAGCCUCCUUCUUCCCCAGAUUUGUUUUUCUACCCUAACUCUCUCUCUCUCUCUCCGCCUUCAGCUCAGCCCCCUACCCCAGUGGAUUUUGGACGACGGCGCCACAACAGUGGUACCCCGGAGGUUUCCCGCCGUCACCGUCGAGCCAGCCGCCCUAAUUCCUCGAUUUUCACCGAAUCUGCGCCGCCGUCGUUCUCUCUCCUUCGGCGACCAAAUCCGACACCUGAGGUAUGGUUUCUGUCCUAUUUUUGAUGCUUUAACUGAUGGUUGGGUAGGAUUUGUGUAAUUGUUGCAAUAGGGCAGUGGAUUUGAAACCCUAAAUUUCGACCGAUUUUUGAAUUCCAAUUCCGGCCACUUCUGGCCAUUUUUCAGGGUAGGUCCGAGAACAAAAGUGGCUCCAAUUGAUGUUUUGAACCUAGGGUAGGAACCUUGGCCCUUAGUUUUAAGAAAUUUUCGACGAUUGGUAUCGCUUUGGACACCCACGCUCUGCCAGCGCUUGUGGUGGCGCGUGGGGUACUGUAGCAGUCUUGCAUUGGGUCCCAGUGCAAUCCCAUAUUUGUCACGAGCGCGUAGGUGUUUUCGGAUUGGAAUUUGGUUACCGUUUGAGUCUCGAACGGAUUUUGCCUAUUGUGCGAUUUCCGGGUUUGUUAUGUUCGGACCGUUGGAUCGAACUCAAACUCACGUAUGGUGUACCUUGUAUUUCUUGGAUCGUCUAGGAUUCGACGGAUCGUGGAUCGGAGUCCCGAAUACUCCGAACUCGCAAACCCUAGGUCAAGAAUCUUAAUAAAAUUGUAUGUGCUUUCAAAUAUUCGUAUGUUUUAUUAAUUUGUAUGUGUAUUAAUGAAAUUGUGUAGAUGUCAGACCUGAUUAGACGUCGUAGGGCGGUGACGACUACGCAGAGUUCUGAGCCCCCGGCUCAACUGACAUCUGCUGCCACUGCGCCAGCACUGAUGGACCACUUGGCAGUUGGUCCCGCGGGGUCCCAGGCUCCUGCUUCAUCAGCUUCAUUAGUGGCACAACCUGUUAGCGCCAGGAAGCGUCAUCGGCCUGCCAGCACCACCGACACCACAUCCACUGAUGCGUCGGGGUCACAGCCAGGUAUAGAUUUCCUUAAACUCCAGUUAUUUAUAUUUUUGUUUUUGUUUUUAUUUUUGUUUUUGUUUUUGUUUUUGUUUUUAUUUGUGUGUGUAUUUUAUAGUUAAAUUUGUUAUUUAUUUAACAUUAAUGUCAUCUUUCUUUGCAGCCAAGAAGAACACCCGAGGGCCGUGUCGGUAGUUGAAGACGGCGAAGGUCACUCGGGUGACCAACAGUCGUAUCAACAUCGGAUACGACAAGCGACAUCGGGCUGCACCGACGGCGGAGUUGCAUAGCUCCUUGGCCCACGACAUUGGUGAUGUCAUUCCGAGCCAUUGCCCGAUGAAAUGGAAGUCUUGGAAGGUGAUGCCUGACGAGACCAAGAUGGAGGUUCGCGGCCAGUUGUCAGUAUGUAGGCCUUUUAAUUCUUUUUCUUUCAAAUUUUAUAUUUCUAUUAUUUAAAUGUAUUUAAUUAAUUUAUUGCAGACGAACUACAACUUGGAGGACCUGGACGACGAGUCGUUGGCGUACAUCAACAGACUCUUCUCUGAGAGGUACAAAUAGUGGAAGAGCGACUUGCACCACUAUUUUGAGGCGUUUGAUGAUCCAGAAGUCUCUCUUCAGGAGGGUUGCCCGAAGGAGCUUGAGGGGCGGGAGGAUAGUUGGGCGUGGCUCUGCUCUCAUUUUCAGGCGCCCGCUUUUGUGGUAAUUUGUAAUAUGAAUUUCAAAUUUAUUAUAUUUUUCUUACUAAUGUUUUUUUAAUGUUUUAUAUUUAAUUUCAAUUUCAACUAAUACGUUUUAUUUUUUGUAUAACAGAAUAAAGCCAAAGUCAAUAAGGGCAAUAGGAAGAAGAAGACUCUUCUCCAUCAUUCGGGUUCCAGGCCCUUCUCCUAUAGGAUGGAUGCAUGGCGGCAGGUAAUCAUAAAAAAAAUUUUAUUUAAUUUUUAAUAUUUAAUUAUUCUUAAUUUAUUUUUUUGUACUAAUAUUUUUCUUCUCUUGUUCAAUUUAGGGGGGUCCAAAUUCCCAGAGAUCGACGUCUUUGGCGACGUUUAUGUUCGACCUGGGAAUGAGUUGGGCGAGUCCCUUCAUGUAAGUAUUAUUUAAUUUUAAUUAUUAUGUUACGCAUUCAAGUUUAAAGGUUAUUAUAUGAAUGUUUUAAUUUAUAUUUUAUGUUAUGCUAAACAGAUGACGAUGGUGGAGAGGAGCCAGUUGGUUCUUCAAGAGUCCGCCUCCCAACUUCCUUCCGAUACUCCGAUCGAGUCUGUGGAUCCUCCACAGGAUGCUGGGUUUCAGAUCUUGACGGAGACAUUGGAUCAGACUCUAGGGAGGAGACCGGGGAUAUAUUGUCGAGGGAUGGAGAAUGCCAGGCGGAGGGAAGCCAGACCCCGUUCAUUAGCGCAGUCAAGCAGUCAGGUCACUGCUUUGACAGCACAGGUGGCCACUCUUCAGAGUCAGAUGUCGGACAUUCUGCAGUCCCUCGCACAGUUCGGCAUUCCAGUCCCGCAUUUUGAUGCGCCGACCUCUGAGCCCGUCCAUCCUGAGCAUCCCCACCAGACGACGGCCCUUGUAGACCCCCAGACCUCUGAACCGCAUGUGCCAGACGACAAUGUAGAUUUUGGAACAUUAUGAUUAGUUUUUUUAUUUUCAUAAUUAUUUUUUAAAUAUUUCUCUUGCAGCAUACAUUUAUUUUAUAUAAUAAAUAUGUUCUUUACAAUUCUUUUUUUUAUUGGAAUUUCAUUUUAUUACCCAAAAAAAAAAAACCAAAUUUAUUUUUUUAUAAAAUAAAAUAAAAAGUAAUAUUAAAAUUAAAUAAUAAUUAUAUAUAUUAAUUUUGCGCGACGAAAUCUUUCUCGUCGCGCAAAUUUAUAUAUUACGAAAUAAAAAUGUUUCAUUUUUUUAAAUACAUAUAAUUUAUUCUUGCGCGACGAAUAUUUUCGUCUCUCAAAAAGGAUUUGCGCGACAACAGUUUUUCGUCGCGCAAAAUGUGUUGACACGAAUUGCACGACGAAGAUAUCUUUGUGCCGCAAAUAUCUACGACACGUAUUGCGCGAUGAAAAUGUUCGUCGCGCAAAAAACGUAUGCGCGACAACAAUGUUUCGUCGCGCAAUACGUGUAGACAUGAAUUGCGCGACGAAGAACUCUUGGUGCCGCAAAUGUGUACGAGACGUAUUGUGCGACGAAUAUUAUUCGCCGCGCAUCGUUGUGGCGACGAACCCGCUUUCGUCGCGCAUAAGUUUGUGCGACGAACUAUUGCAUCGUCUCUGAACCUUUUGUGCAACGAAGGGUAACCGUCGCACAAAUUUGCGCGACGAGUGAUACAAUCAGUCGCGCAAAGUCUUUCUUCACCAUCUUUGCACCACAGAUUACGCGCGACGAAUUUUCUGUCGUGCUUGAGUUUGUGCGACCAAAUUUAACUCUGCGCGACGAAAUUGGCUUCGUCGCGCAAAUCGUAAAAUGUAGUAGUGGAAGUUAUCAACAUCUAUAGGAACCCCAAUGAAAAGGCUGUUAACUAAUAAUGAAGUAAACCCCUCAAUGUUUCCGCGUAUCAGAUAUCUCUCAGAAUAUGCGAUUCCAUACUCAAUAAGCAACUCCACAUCCCCUGAGGUUUUCACCAAACCACCCAUUAAGGAAACAUACUGACUCAUGUGUAAUUAUCAUUACUCAUCGGGUAAUGCAAUUGUUCAAAGGCAAGGACAUUUCUCAUUAUUUCUGUAGUGAACCCCAAUGGAAAUGGUGGGAUCUUCAGAACCCCAUUGGUGCUACUGAAUUGUAUGUCAAAUAUGUUUUCACCUUGUCGCGCCUCAAACUUGACUCCAGCGUGCUGUAAUUCUGUCAAGCUGGGUAUGGAUGAUGGGAGUUCCCCUCCAGCUUUUGAUUCCAACGGUUGAUAGAGUUUAAAUAUUUUCCUGUAAAGAUCAACAAUAUGUGCCACUGAUCUAAAAGUCUCCAAAUUGUCUUCCAUUUUGUCAACAGGCAAUAGAUGUUCGAAGAAACUGAAAGAAAGACUAAUUAUUGAAAGCCCCUCAGUAAUGCAGUUAUUGUCAGCAUCAGCAGGGAGUGUAAUUUUCUGUGGGUCGAAAAGAUCCUCGAGAAUGAAGAAUGGCAACUGAUUUUCAAGCAACCACAUAUCUGUCCAUACAUCUUGCAACAUACCUGGUUUGUCAAAUAUGCGGUCAUUUUCAUCCCAAAAUUUGAAGUAGUCCUUCAAUAAGAGCUCAAUAACGAAGGCGGCAUCCACUAGAAUGAUUGUUACAAAUUCAUCACUGCUAAACUUGAUGGGUUCUCCAUAACAACGUCUCAAUCUUGCUUCGUGGUCCUUUAUUUUCUUAAUAUAAUCCUCCAAACUCACAUUGGUCCGACCUAUAAAAUCUUGCAGGUAUCUCUGUUUGUGCUCUUCCUAUACGACAUUCAAGCCUUCCUUUCCAUGGUGAAGUGGGCCUAUAGAGACCACCUGAGGUGUGCAGAGCUUUUCAUUCACACUUCGUAGUCGUUGAGGAACUCUGUAGAUACAGCACUUGGAGGAUGGGGGAGACAAGCUAUUGAACCCUUUUCUCAUCGAAUUUGCUAAUGAAAUGUAUGGGUUUUCUAUGUCAUUUUGAGCAGAUUGAUGGCUUCCUGCCAUUUUCCAGCUCCUGACUAUAUGUGGUGUUCCGAUUGUAACAGAUUACAAUAAUGAUGAGUAUGGAUAACUGAAUUACUGAUAAAACAAUCAAGAAACAUUUCGUUAUUUUCCAUUCCCAAUAACGAAAUCAAAAUGUUCAAGGAAAUAUAAUCAGGAUAUUGCAAUUAUAUAGCCAUUCAUAAGCUGCCUGGCAUGGAAUAAGAGGUGGAAACCAAAUCUACUUAUUGGCCAAAGUUCGAAUUCACUAUAUAUAGAUAUAUAUUUUGCCAAAAUCUAAAACUGACCAACCUUAGAUACAAAAACACGGUACAGCCCGGUUAAAGUAAUUCCAAGUGCGAAGAAAGAAAGGAAUUGAGCGUUUGUACCUCUACAGCUAGCCAAAUUUUCUAUUGAUUCUUUAAAUUUUAGAGAGCAAUUACUCUUAAUUUGGUAGGUGUAGGACUGUGCAACUUCAAGCUUUAAUGAAAGAAGCCAAGUUUAUUCUAAGGGGACAAGUCAGAGACAACGAAAUUUUGCUCAGCUUCAUUUUCAAAUUUGCUGCUUAAGAAGGAAAUUUAAUAUGUUUGUUUCACAAAUUGUAUUGUCAUCAAUGAAACUCGUGCACACCCAACGAAAUUUGCAUGGCUUAUUUUCAAAGGAGUACUGCUAUUUCCAUCCUCUGUCCUAUUUUUCCACUCACCUUAUCUUCAAAAUUUUAAAGACAAAAAUAAACCCCUUUGUAAAAUGCUUAAAAAGAAAUUUAAUAUGUUUGUUUCAAAAAUUGAUAUUGUCAUCAAUGGUUAAAGAAUUGCUGGUGACAACAUAUACUUCUUUUCUACUGUAUUAAUUUCUUUCUUUAUUUUUUCUUCAGUAUAGUUCUGCCUUUCUUUUACAUGUUUAUGCGCAUAUUUGACACGUUCAAGUAUACUUAUAUAACAAAUGCAAUGAGUUUGUAGUCACAAAAAUCAAGGAUUGAAAACAAAAAGUAAUAUUAUGUGCAAGAGAAACUUACCUGCAGAAACUGAAGAACUCCUCUAGUUUCUUCUCUGUCGCUAUGUACUCCCGCGUUCAAGUUAUUAUUCUUACAAUGUACAUACACUAUUAUAUAAUGGCGAGAAGGCUCUGAUUAACCUCCUUUUUGCUUCAUUGGAUGGGGCAAGAAUGGAAUUGUCACCGUGGGUGUGGAGGUGAUCUACCAUUUGAGCAAGAAAUUCCCACAUAUUCUUUAACUAUUUUUCAAGCAUGCAUAUUCCUCCCUAUCAAUCUUUGGUCUCUUCUUUUACUAUUUUUCAAGCAUGCAUACUUUGAUUUUAAAUCAUCUUUUCCGCACUAAUUUGCUUCAAUCAAGAAACAGUUAAUAUAUUUUGUAUCAUCAUUAGAGAACACUUGAAACUGCAUAAGUUAAUUUUGAAGAUGAUGGCAGAACCAAAAUGUGUAUAGCUUAUAACUAUAAUUUCUUGAUUACAACAAGAGGUUUCAAGUUUUCAACAACACAAAUAUGAAUCUCCCAAGCAAAGAUAAACAAUAAAGCAAGCAUACGGAUUGUCAAAUUGCCUUCAAUCACUCUAAAAUACUUCAUACCGUCCGACACUGGCUUCAAUUACUCUACAAUACUUCAAUUCAUAUAUUGUCCUAUUUUCACAUGUACAUCCUGCUUUUACUUAAGGGUUAAUUGUUGAUUUACCCCUUGAACUUGUACUCUACUUUCAAUUUGCACCCUCAACUUUUUUUUUUGAAAAUUAGGUGCAUGAACUAAUUUUUAUUGCCAAUUCCCCCUACCAACAUGUCAUCUAAUAGUCUGUCAAAUCAUUAAAAAAUAUAAUAUUUUUGGAAAAAAUUAAAGAAAAAAAAAUUCCUAAGGACCCACAGACCCAGAACCCACCCUCCGUUGCCCCCGCUUGCUGUUUUCUUCUCCUCCCAGUCCCCCAUGACCACCACCCUCCACUGCCACACCAAUCCCCUACCCAACAGACCCCUCACCCCUUCUUUUUUUUCACCCCCGAACCCAGCAUGAGUUAUUGGUUAAUACCAUUUUCUUAAUUGCCAAAUAAAAAAAAAAAACAGAGUUAACCCUCUGUUAAGCUAGCUGACUAGUGGGGCGAAAUGGAGGAAAAUCAAUAUGGAGACAGCGGAUCCGGUCCCGUGUAAGUGUAUCUGAUGGAAUAAAAGAAUGAUAUUAUUGGUGGUGGGUACGGUUAUGUGGAAGUAAUAAUGGGUAAGAGAAGAAACUUGUUCUCUUGUGAUAAUCAAAAGACAGAAAGUAGUGGGAAAAGACAGAAAGUAGUGGGACACUAUUUUAGAUAUGAUAAUGUUCCUUCCUUGAUUGAUGCAAAUGAAGAGAAAAGGGUGGCUUUAUAUAAUAGCCACUACCGACCUAACACAUUAAAAACACAACUAACACCAAACAUAGUUAAUUCAACUAACUUCUACCACACCAUUAAUUUAACACACAACUACUAACAAACUGCCAACUAUUUCAAAGUUACCAGCCGACUAUUAAUGAAGUCUAGAUUACUUUAACAUCCUCCCUUAAGCUAGACUUCAUUUACGCCAAUUAAUUUUCUCAUCUUGAUGAGCGGCUCUUUCUUCAACGGUUUGGUGAACAAAUCUGCCAGCUGAUCUUGGGACUUGCAAUACAGAACCUCAACUUCUUUAUCUUUGAUUAGCUCUCUGAUGAAAUGGAACUUGAUCUUGAUGUAACACCCCGACCCCAAAUUUUCCCAAAUUUUACCCUUAUUUAAUUAUUUAAUUAUUUAAGGGUAUUUUAGUCAUAUUUUUAACCGGAGAGAGUUUGGGACCGUGACUAGUAUUUUUGGAUAGGUCGAGCUGAGACGAGUUCAUAGACACGUAGUGGGCUCGAAUCGGAGUUGUAACGAGAGAGAUAUGGUCAAAAGAAGCCCAGUGGCACAAUCGUAAAUAUUUCGAAAUGGGAUUUUUUAUAAAAACUCAAAUUUUUCUCUCUCUCUCUCUCUCUCUCUCUCUCUCUCUCUCUCUCUCUCGCGACUCCUCUCUCUCUCUCCCGUCGGCCUCUCCUCUCUCUCUCUUCGUAACUCCGGCCACCGGCCGCGGCUGCGGACGGGGCCGGUGUCAAAAGAACCGGCUCGACCUCGGCAUCACGACCCAGCCCAUCCCCGCCAUCGGCCGCCGCUCCAGCCGCCGGAAAAUGGCGAUUUUCGCCCAGAUGUCGCCGGAACUUCAACGCCGUCGAUCUCCCUCCUCCGGCCACCAAUUCCGUCGACCCAGGUAUGGAUUUUGAACCUCUCGAGCUGCUCUAGCUGAUGGUUGGGUAGGAUUAGAUCGAUUCUUAGCGUAGAUCACUCGAUUUUCGAAUUGAAAAUCGGCCGAAACUUCGGCCGCCGUGAUCGGCCAUUUCCGGCCACUUUUUGGGGUAGGUCCAAGAACAAAAGUGGCUCCAAAUAGGGUGUUAUACCUAGGGUAGGAGUUUGGAGCCGUGGUUUUGAGAUUUUCCGGCGGAGCGUUAUCGCUUUGGGCACCCACGCGCUGCUGGCGCGUGCGGCGGAGCGUGGGCACUGUAUAAAAAGUAGCGAUGUAUUCCGAUGAGAUCCUUAGGUUGUCACGAGUGCGUAGGAUUUUGCGGAUCUCAAUUCGGACGUCGUUUGACUAUCGAACGAAUAAUCGCAUAGUGUGCGUUAUCCGGGUUCGAUAGGUUGGGACCGUUGGAUGGUCCCAAAUUUAAUAUAUGUUAAUCUAGGUAUUUCUAGGAUCGUGUAGGAAUUCACGGAUCGUGAAUCGGAACUCCGGAUGUUCCGAAUAAUAAUUUUAAGUUUAUAUUUUAUAUUAACCAUCAGAUCGUGCGAUCGUGAGCAAUCCGACCGUCCGAUCUGAACCAAACUUGCAGGACAAGUGUCCUACACCUGGUAGAACCCAUAGGGACUUCCGGAUCGGAAAUUGGAGGUCGUGGGUUCUGCAGGUCCGUUUGACCAGGGUUAGAGUAGUUUGACUCUUGGUUGACCGUGAGUCUCCCGGAGUAAUCUCACCCUUCCAGGGGGAAUUAUCGGGAGCUAGACUAUUGUGGAGGGUUACACAAUAUUAGAAUUAUUUAUAUAAAUUAUGUGGUUGUACAAGGGUACAACAGAGUCUAGAAUGUCAGUUUGGAGUGCUAUACGCACUACUCUAGGUACCUCCUCGGACUUUGGAAUUUCUACAAGUACCACCAAGUGAAAGUUAGGUCCCACGUGGCGUAGGUUAUCCGGCGUGUCGACAGACCCCAUACGUGGCGUUGGUUGUACCGGCGUAUGGGGAGAUUUGUGAUAUGAUAUUGAGGUCCCGCGUGGCGUAGGUUAUCCGGCGUUGGGACAGGCCCCAUACGUGGCGUUGGUUGUACCGGCGUAUGGGGAGAUAUUAUGAUAGUAUGGCAUGGUCGCACGUGGCGUAGGUUAUCCGGCGUGUCGACAGACCCCAUACGUGGCGUUGGUUGUACCGGCGUAUGGGGAGAUUUGUGAUAUGAUAUUGAGGUCCUGCGUGGCGUAGGUUAUCCUGCGUUGGGAUAGGCCCCAUACGUGGCGUUAGUUGUACCGGCGUAUGGGGAGAUAUUAUGAUAGUAUGGCAUGGUCGCACGUGGCGUAGGUUAUCCGGCGUGUUGACAGGCCCCAUACGUGGCGUUGGUUGUACCAGCGUAUGGGGAGAAUAUGUGAAAUACAGAGAAAUGAAAUAAGGUAUUGCCCAAGUGUGGAAUUGGGUUUUAGGGAAGAACUACUUAUGGCUUGAUCCCUCAAGGAGGGUACGUAGGCAGCCUAAGGUUAUUAGGUGCAGCCGCAGACUAAAUAUUAGUCAUAAAUUGUAAUUGAACUGUUUGGUAGUCGUUUGAGGAAGUAUUGAAAGGCCGAAGGCCAUUUGUGUGAAUUGCAUGAAAUUAUAUUGUGCAUGCUGCCAGUUGGGAAUAUUAAAUGCGUUUUUAUGCAGGUAUAAAUUUUGGGAAUGUCCAAUUUACAGGGGAGACUCUGCCAAAAUUUCGGCAGGAAGUCUCGGUUUUUAGUAAGUGGGCCUGGCAUCGGGGUGAUGUCAGGAAUUCCAAAGGGUUCGUCUCGGGUUUUGAGAAAAUUCGGGGCGGGUCCUUUCACUUGAUAUGCUUACUCUUGCUGUGAAACAUUGGAUUUUUGGAAAGACAAAUAGCUGAUUUGUUGUUGCAGAACAGCUUUGUAGGUCCUUCUUGAACUUGACCCAUCUCUUCUAAAAUACUUUUCAGCCACCUAGCUUGACAACCUGCUGAUGCAAGAGCAACAUACUCAGAUUCUGUAGUUGAAAGUGCCACUAUAGAUUGCUUUUUGGAGGACCAUGAAAUCGCACUUGAGCCAAUGCUAAAGACAUAACCAGAUGUGCUUUUGCAAGUAUCAACAUCUCCACCCAAGUCACUGUCACUGUAGCCAGUCAAAUUUAGAUUCUGAAUAGGAUAAUAAUGCAAACCAUAAUUGAUAGUUCCAACCACAUAUCUUAGGAUUCUCUUUCCAAGCUCCCAAUGAACAUCUUUUGGUGACUCCACUAAACGGCUGAGGAAGCUUACUGCAUAUGUAAGAUCUGGCCUUGUUGUAGUUAAAUACAAGAGGCCACCCACUAGACUUCGAAACAAAGUUUGAUUUACCAUUGUGCUUCCAUCAUUCUUACCUAUCUUAACACCAACCUCCAUUGGAGUAGCAAUUGACUUUGCAUUUUCCAACCUGAACCUUUUCAACAAUUCCUUUGCGUAUUUCUUUUGAGAAAUAUAGAUACCAUUCUCAUUUUGUUUGACUUCAAUUCCAAGAAAGAAAUGAAGCAAACCAAGGUCUGUCAUUUCAAAUCUUUGUGACAUAAUCAUCUUGAAAUUAUCACACAUUUGAGCAUUACUUCCAGUAAAUAUUAAGUCAUCCACAUAUAAGCAGACAAUCAAAAUCUCACCUUGAGAGUUCUUCUUGGUGUAAAGAGUAUGCUCAUAUGGGCAUUUGUGAAACCCAUACUCUUGGAAGAAUGCAUCAAUCCGACUGUACCAAGCUCUUGGAGCUUGUUUCAAACCAUAUAAAGCCUUCUUCAAUCUACACACUUUUGUUUCUUCAUUUCCCUGCACAUAACCUGGAGGUUGAGCAACAUACACUUCUUCUUCCAAAAAACCUUGCAAGAAUGCUGGUUUAACUUCCAUUUGAAAGACUUUCCAACAAUUUUGGGCAGCAAGAGCUAACACCAUUCGGAUGGUGUCAAAGCGUGCAACUGGAGCAAAAACUUCAUUGUAAUCAAUUCCAUAAUUUUGCUUGUAGCCUUUAGCUACCAAGCGAGCUUUGUAUUUCUCAACUUCUCCUUGAGCAUUCAGCUUGGUCUUAUACACCCAUUUUACUCCUAUAGGCUUCUUUCCUUGAGGAAGAUCAACCAGCUCCCAUGUGUCAUUUUUCUUAAUGGAAUCAAUUUCUUGAUCCAUAGCCUUCACCCAAUUUUCAUCCUUUGAAGCCUCUUCAAACAUAAUUGGGUCUGCAUCUACAAAUAGAGCAAAAUUUGUGCCACCAUUAGUGAUCAAAACAUAAUCACUAGAUGGGUACCUUGUGGAUGGUUGAUGAGCUCUUGUUGAUCUCCUUUGUCCUCUGCAAAUUUCUUCUUCCUCACUGCUAUCACUAGAAGAAGUUGAUGAUGACCCUUGUGAUGAAGAUUCCUAUGAUGAUAGAGUUGUUGGUGGAGUUAAAUCUGGAUUUUCAAGGCCAAUGUCCAACAGUAUUGGACUUUGAUUUUCAGCUUCACUCCAAUUCCAUGCUUCUUCUUCAUUGAACUUGACAUCACGACUAACAAUAAUCUUGUUAGUCAAUGGAUUAAACAACUUAUAUGCCUUGGCCUUUUCACUAUACCCAACAAGAAUGCACUUUUCUGAUUUGUCAUCCAAUUUUCUCCUUGUUUUAUCAGGAAUAUGAGAAUAAGCAAUGCUGCCAAAUAUCCUUAAGUGACUAAUACAUGGCUUGAGGCCACUCUAAGCUUCUUGAGGAGUCUUGCCUUCCACACUAUUGGACGAUGCACGGUUCAAGAGAUAUACAGCACAUGCCACUGCUUCUGCCCAAAAACGAUUAGGCAUUGCUUUUGCCUUCAACAUGCUUCUUGCCAAUUCCAUAACGGUCCUAUUUUUUCUCUCGGCCACACCAUUUUGCUGUGGGGUGUACCGAGCUGUGAACUGAUGCUUAAUCCCAUUUUCUUUUAGAAAAUUUUCGAACACAUUGGAUGAGAAUUCUCCACCUUGAUCAGACCGCAAGGUUUUCAAUGCAAAUCCACUUUGCUUCUCAGCCAAAGCUUUGAAAACUUUAAAGUAAUCAAACACCUCUGAUUUAUAUUUGAGAAAAUAGACCCAUGUCUUUCUGCUAUAAUCAUCAAUGAAUGUAAGAAAGUAGCGGUUACCUCCUGUUGAUGUUGUGUUCAUGGGCCCGCAUACAUCUGAGUGCACCAGCUCAAGAGGAUGGGAUGCUCUCCAAGAAUUUCCUGUAAGAAACGAAUUUCUCUGAUGUUUUCCCAGCACACAUGCUUCACAAACUUGUGUUUGAUGCUGUAUCGUUGGUAGGCCUCGUACCAUAUGUUGUUUCCCCAUCAAUGAUAGUGUAUUGAAACUCAAAUGCCCAUAGCGUAGAAGCCACAACCAUGAGGAAUCCUUGAUAAGUGCACUUAAGCAAGCAAAAGAUUCAUACUUUAUGUUCAGAGAAAACAUAUUGUCUCCUGACAUCUGCACCUUUGUAAUUAGAGAGUUGUACUUGUCUCUAAUUACACACUGGUCUUCCCUGAACUGAAUAUUAUGGCCUUUAUGAAGAAGUUGCCCCACACUAAGGAGAUUGUAAUUUAAAUCUGGAACAUAUAACACAUCAGAGAUUCUUUUUUGUUCUCCAGACUUGGAUAGAAAAAGAAUAUCUCCACAUCCUUUGGCCACUAGCUUUCCACCAUCACCAAUCCUUACUUCUGAGUUGUUGGUAUGCUUGAAAUUGACAAAGGCACUUUUGUUGCCUGUCAUGUGAUUACUACAUCCGCUAUCAAGAUACCAUUUUUCUGCACACACGUUUCCUUCCCUGGCAGCUGCAUAUGCAAGUAGAACCACAUUAUCAUUUUCCCUUUCAGAAGCUUUUUCAUGCACAAAGCUUGAUUCGGCUCCUCCAUUUGUUUUGUUUUUGCAUGUUGACUUGAUGUGCCCAUAUUGCUUGCAAUUGUAGCACUGAAUAUUAGAAAGAGAGGAACCUUGUUCUCUUCCUCUUCCUCUUGAAUAACCACCAUAAUCUCCUCUUCCUCUUGGAUAACCAUAAUCUCCUCUUCUUCUUGAAUAACCAUAAUCUCGUGCAGAGCCUUCAUCAUUAGUUUUUUUUAGGUCAUUUGCAUAGCCACGUCCUUGAUUAUUUCUUCCUCGUCCACGAGUAAAGCCGCCUCUUCCUCUUCUAGAACUUCCUCUGAAUGAGACUUGAGAUUGAAAAGCUUGCUCAACAGGGCCAGAGUCAAACUGCUUCAGUCGUAACUCAUGGGAUUGAAGAGAACCCAUUAAACUGUCAAGAGACAAAGUAGACAGAUCUUUGGAUUCUUCAAUUGCCACCACAAUAUAUUCAAACUUUCGGGGACAUACUUCGAAGAAUUUUUUCAGCAACUCUCUGAUCUUCAAUUUUUUCUCCAUUAAUUCUCAGUUGGUUGACUAGAGAAAUGACACGAUUGAAAUAGUCUUCAACAGAUUCUGACUCCUUCAUACGUAACAUAUCAAACUCACCUCUUAGAGUUUGCAGUCUUGCCAUCUUCACUUUAUCUUCUCCUUUAUAUGAUGCAAAGAGAGUGUCCCACGCCUGUUUUGAUGUAAUGCAUGAUGAGAUUCUUUCAAAGAUAGCUUCAUCCACUGCUUGAAAGAUAAAGAAUAAAGCUUUUUUGUCCUUCUUACGUGUCUCCUUCAGCUCUGUGAGUUGUUGUUGAGUGAGGACUGCUUGAUCAUUUGGCUCCACAAAGCCAUUUUCAACCACCUCCCACAAAUCUUGAGCAGCAUACAACACCUUCAUUUGGAUGCUCCAUUGACUAUAAUUCUUCCCUGUAAACUUUGGAAGCUGGGGCUGUAACAAGUUGUUGUUUGAAGCCAUAUGAUUCUGAGUUUCCAGCUCUGAUACCACUUUGAUGGAAUAAAAGAAUGAUAUUAUUGGUGGUGGGUACGGUUAUGUGGAAGUAAUAAUGGGUAAGAGAAGAAACUUGUUCUCUUGUGAUAAUCAAAAGACAGAAAGUAGUGGGACACUAUUUUAGAUAUGAUAAUGUUCCUUCCUUGAUUGAUGCAAAUGAAGAGAAAAGGGUGGCUUUAUAUAAUAGCCACUACCGACCUAACACAUUAAAAACACAACUAACACCAAACAUAGUUAAUUCAACUAACUUCUACCACACCAUUAAUUUAACACACAACUACUAACAAACUGCCAACUAUUUCAAAGUUACCAGCUGACUAUUAAUGAAGUCUAGAUUACUUUAACAGUAUCGAAUCUAGCUUUAAUAUGUAUUGGGUCCUCUGGACAAGAAUUCUAUCCUUUUCGUCCUAACUAAUAUGUAGGGGAAAAACAAUACAUCAAUUAUCCUUUUCGUCCUAACUAAUAUGUAGGGGAAAAACAAUACAUCAAUUAUGAAUUUUUUUUAUCUGGGUUCGAAAUUAAAUAUGAAUGGAGUUUUGGAGGCUUAAAAGUUAUAAGCUCAAGAAAGGAAGGAAACUAUAUGUACAUUUGGGUCGGAGGCAAAGGUCCAGUCAUCUACCGUCCAGGAUAUACAGUAUCAAAAAAGGCUUAAGAAUUGUAAUAAGGUGACAUACGCCCACAUACGGCCAACGCUAGCAUAUUUCGUAAGUGUAUUAUAUGUCUUCUAAGUAUAUCAUAGUUAUGUGUCAAUUUUAGAUCCAAUUGCACACCCAAAAUACAGAAACAAAAUCAUUGAGAAUACACUUUUUUUCACUUAUAUUUUGAAUAUGCAUUGCCUGUAUUUCAUGUGUAUGAUAUAGGGGCUUCACUUAUAGUUUUUGCACAAAACCUCCCUUGAUGAAGGAUGUCUUAGAUUAAUGACAUCAAUGAUUUGUUACAUUUGGAGUACCCAACAUAACAGCUCUCUGAUUAACAAUAAAGUUAUAAAAUUUCAACAGUUUCAUACCUAACAAGCAUAGAGAAACAAAUAAAACAACCACAUUGCUUCGAUCACUGUACAUGCACACAGCUCACUUUCACUAACUACAGAGGCUAUAUUUUCUACAUAUACACUAACUUUUUCUUUCUCCAGCUCUCUUACACCACCAGGCUGGUGACAAACCCAGCUCGCGUCAUGUGGAGGACCAAAAGGAAAUGACAAGGAGAAAACGGCUAAGGAGAGACUUACUCUCAACACUUAGAAGGCAGAGCAGAGAUAACAGAGCACACUGCUUGUAUAAAAGUGAGUAUGAGGAGAAAAAUAGCGGUAGCAAUUGAAAUAGUUGCCCAAGGUGUGUUGCAAUAGUUUUGUCUCAAGUUUGCCUGCCAUUUGUGCCAAGACGUUCUGCAGUACUUGUUGAGGUCUGCACAAAGAAUAGCAAAAUAGAAGUCAUUAGAGUCCACAAUGACCCCAUCUGCAAGGUUGUUGAUCAGAGUAGACCCUCCACUACUGUCACCGAGCAUAUUUUCGACGAUUCCUUGCUUAACAACCAACUCCACAUCCGUUGCGGUGUUCACAAAGCGAUCCACGAUGACAACAUAAUUGUUUAUGUAAUUCUCCAUGCAAUGGCAUUGUUCAAAGGCAAGGAGGUUUCUGAUUGUAAGCUCUGUCUCAUCACUUAUUGCUAAUUUUGGAAUUUCUAGAAUCCCAUUAGCGAAUUGUAUGUCGAAUAAGUUUUUGGGUGAUCCCACCUUAAACUUGACUCCUGCUCUGUGUAACUCUGUGAUGCUGGAUGUGUUUAAGAGUUUCAAGUCGCCCCUUAGCAGGUGGUUUCAAUGGUAGAGGUAGAUACAAAUUUCUACAAAAAUCUACAAAGUGUUCUACUUUAGAAGUACAUAAUUUCUCCAUAUUGCCAUCCGUUCCCUCUAUGUGCAUUAGAGUUUUGAAGAAAUUGUGGCAAAGGUUAAGCAUCGAAAGCCUCUCAAUAUUGUUAUUGUUAGAAGAGACUUUGAUUUUUUCGGGGUCAAAAAGUUCCUCAAGAAUGAAGAAUGGCAGCUGAUUUUCAAACAACCGCAUGUCAGGCCAUACGUCUGGCAACAGCCAUGGUUUGUUAAAUAUGCGGUCAAUUUCAUCCUGCAAUUCAUCGAAACGAUACCUCAACAAGACCUCAAUGAUGAAGGCGGCAUCCACUAGAAUGAUUCUCACAAAUUCAUCACUGCUAACCUGAAUGGUUUCUGCAUAACAACUGCGCAGUUUUGCUUCUUGGUCUUUUACUUUCUGUACAUAAUCGGCUAGGCUUACCCUGGUCCGACGUAUAUAAUCUUGUAAGUACCUCUUUUUGUGAUCUUCCAUGGCUUUUAGGCCUUCCUCGCCAUGAUGAAGUGGGCCUAUAGAGACUACCUGAGGUGUGUAGGCCUUUUCACUCACACGCCGUAGUCGUUCAGGAACUCUAUAAAUGCAACACAAGGAGGAGAGGGAAGACAAGCCAUCCAACUCCUCACUCAUUGAAGUUACUAAUGGAAUGCAAGGGUUUUCAAUAUCAUGUGGAGCUUGAUCGCUUCCUUCCAUUUUCCGCUGAUGUGUUUGUUGUUGUCAAUCAUAAUGGAUGAUAAUGAAAUGAUAGUCACUGACACAACAAUAAACAAAUUUUUCAAGAUGGCUGAGAAAAUUAAUACAAACAUUGCAAUUAUAAGACCAAACACACAAAGACUUUUGAUCCUUGUAACUCUUACAUACCACACUAGUGCCUUAAGAAUUCGAUUUGAAUGCACCAAAUUCAUUCAAAACUCUUCUGGUCAACUCUGUUUCUUGUAAUUAUUCUUGGAAGAUUCUAAUACAUUUUUGAUUGAAAAAUUCCUACUAAUCAUGUGAAUCAGUACCAAAGUUUAUUUCAAAUUAACAUACAAACCCCACUUUUUUUUUCCUACAUAUAUACUUCUUUAUUUCCCCUCAACUUAUUGGAGCUUCUAAUAAAGCAAAUUCUUUCUGUGAUGAUAUCAGAUAGUAGAUUAUGCUUCCAGUCAAAACAUAGACAAACCAAAAUCCCAUUAGAAGAGAAGAAAAUAAUAUACGACAUUCACAUAACCUUCUGCUCAAUUCCAAUUUCCAACUACAAUGAAACAUAAGACACUUAAAAGCUUCAAGAAAUUGGAUGUGCAAGCAAACAUAGCGAAAUUAUGAAAGACAGAGAAAGGUGUUGGGCAUUGAAAACAUACCUGAUACGUAUUGAAACACAAUUUUUUUUUGCCUUUGGUAGAUGGAGUAGCUAGAAAAGCUCAAUGCACUUGCUCUUCUGCUACAUUUCAAUAUAAGAACAUUGUUUGGAAGUCCGGUCAAUUCCUCAAAGCUUCCUUGCCUUUGUUUUGACAUGCCGAUGCCCGUCUUGGGGAAGUUUGAAUAAUCCAUUGCAGGCCCCAUGAUAGGAUUUUUAGUACUUGUGCAAACAGUGUUAAAAAUCACAUAAAAUACUUGCAAGAAUACAAGGCUAUUGUAGUAUAGAUGCUCAUGCAAGGUCGUUUUCCUCAAGGACUAAUUAGCAAUUUAUGUAAAAACAAAUUCCAAUUACUACUUAAAAUAAAAAGUCAAGAAAGAUGAUUAUAAAUUUGGUGGAUUCUAAAAAACAAAUAUUAAACAAAAACAAAUACGAUUGAAAGAAAGAGUUUUGAAUAUCAAUUUAUAAAAACACUAGGGUUUCACCAUCACCUAGCAAUCCUAUGAACUUUUACCAAUUACUUAUGAUUUGCACAUGCCACUUUGAAGGUUAGGUUUUCCUAAUGUAUAUUCUACUUGGAACCUCCAACACAGAACGUAUAUCCAACAUGCAACCCGUCCGGACGUUCGGAUCAAAUCUGAACAUGAAAGACUCAUUAAGUUUUGUGAAAACCCUUUGAAAAACCAUGCAACCCUUAAGACGUGGUGUUCAUCUUAAGUGAAAUUACAAUUAUUAAUCACAAGAAGCUAGCAUAAAUUUCAGGGAACCUUCCGACCAAAAUUGCAUCCAAUUACUUUUCUAAAGAUCCUAAUGGUGAUCAGGCAUUAAGACAAUUAGAUAGUUUAAAAUAGUGAUUAACAAUUCAAAAUACGCAUGCACUCAUCAUAAGCAAUUAAAUAAAAAUCACAUAUUCAUGCUAAGGUUCAAGGCUUCACCCUAGCAAAAGAAAUUUAGUUACGCAUACUCAUAAUUGAAAUCCAAGAAAAUAUCAUUAAGAAGAAAAGAACGAAAACACCUGAAAGUUGUGAAAACCCAAAACCCUAGCAAUUGCUCUCUACAAUGCAAAGUUCAAAAAUAAUUAAGAAGUCCUAAAUUCCUUGUGAGAAAGAGCUUAAAUAUCCCUUAAAACCUAGCUGCCAAUGUACAGCUUUUCUAUCCCUACAAGGAAACUAAUUAAAGUAAAAUAAUACUAGGAAAUAAAGUCCAAAUUGGAAUAGGAGAAUUUGCCCAAAAUCAGCCCAGCCACGUUUUGGCCCCAAAUCUCCUCCAAAUCUGGCCCAAGAUAGCUUUUUUUAAAGACACUACUACAAAAAGUGAAAAAGACGACCAGAAAACAACGACGGUCUAAGUGAAAACCGUCGUGGUUUUUAAAAAGACGACGGUUCUAAAAACACCGUCGUGUAAUACCACCUUAGACAACUAAAAAAUGGAGAUUCAAAUGGCUGUUCAAAAACAACGACGUACCUAAUUAAACAACCGACGUCUAUUUGAAACAGAUUUCCGCAGUGUAAAAUCAAAGCAAACAAAGAACGGCAGAAGUUAUGAAUAGACCGACGUAGAAAGUAAAGACGACGAUUUCAAUAAAAGCCGCCGUUUUUACUCAUAAAAUAACACGACGAGGUUUUCGUAUAAGACGCCGUAUAAUUACAAACAAAUCCACGGCUUUAAAAUACAAAAUAAUCUUAACAGAUGACACAGAUUUGCAAUCAGAGAGACAAUUUUUUGGAAGUUGAUCAACGUCGUUGAAAAUUUGCAAUCAGAGAGACAAUUUUCAACGACGGUUAUAUUAUACCUAACGACGUUUAAAAACAAAUCAACGUCGCUCAACAAAUAUAUUACGUCGUCUUAGUCUUACUUAAGACGACGAAAAACGACGACAGUAGUAAAAAAACAGUCGUUGUUUUUAUAUUCUUAUUUUAUUUAAAUCUGUCGUGUUAGUUAAAAACGACGGCAUAACAAAAAACCGUCGUUUUGUUUCAAACUGAAUUAAUUUAAAAUUUCUUCAGGAAAGCAAAAUCUAUUUAUAAUUUCCUCGGGUUAGUAAUAUUGUGUCGUGUUAGUUUACAAAUUCUAGAACAUUAAUUUCCCUCAUUUUAAAUUUUCUCGGGAAAGAAAAAUCUAUUUAUCACGCUUUGUAAUUGAAAACUAAAACUGAAAGAAUUCUGGAAAAAAAACUCUAUUUAUAAUUUAAAAAUAAAAUGCACGUCGGUUGUAGUACACUUAACGACGUUUAACAAAAUAAUCUACGUCGGUAAUUAUAAAUCUACCGCCAUCUUACCCUAAUAUAGACGACGAGAAAAGACGACGGUAGAACAGAAAACCGCCGUUGUUUCAGUUUCUUUAACAGUUUGGUCCUUUAUCUUUCUGCAGGACUUGUAUAGUUCAAAGCAUUGACAAUGUCUUCAUCAUAUCUCCCAGCAACUACUGAUUCGAUUGCUCAUGCUUUAGAGGCCAUCUGAAGCCAUUUCUAUUCUUUAUCGCAUUCUUGAAACCCAUCUUCUUCUUCUGAAGCUCUACGGAUAAAGGAANNNNNNNNNNNNNNNNNNNNNNNNNNNNNNNNNNNNNNNNNNNNNNNNNNNNNNNNNNNNNNNNNNNNNNNNNNNNNNNNNNNNNNNNNNNNNNNNNNNNNNNNNNNNNNNNNNNNNNNNNNNNNNNNNNNNNNNNNNNNNNNNNNNNNNNNNNNNNNNUUUUUUUUGGGGUUGGUUUUUUAUAGUAACCAGUUAUAACAGUAGUGGUUGUGCAAUGUUUGGUUCCCUUAAGCUUCGAUCCAACCGUGUAGCCAGCUUUAGGUCAAUGUCUCCCAAACCACUCGGGUUUUAGGGCACUAGGUGUAGAACACCCCUAAGGACUUAUUAACUCAAGCUGAAAAGGCUACGAAACCAACUAACCACCCUGCCUCAUGCCAAAACUCUACCUUUUGUCUCGAAAAUCACUGCUGAUUAGGCAGGACUGGCCCGGUUACUAGCAAAGCUUCGGGUGAGGCAAUUAUUACUUUAUAACACAUACUAACUUUAUUUAAAUUGAACAGAAAUUAAAACACACUUGGACAAAAAGUAAGUAUUCCAAUCUCACUCCCCAAAAACCAUAUUGGUGUGAUGUGCAAAUUUCAAAGUAUAAUUCAUGAAUUAGUGUCUAAGCAACAAUAAAUAGAAAAGACUCUACUGUGGGAUUGAUUUUCACUAUGUCCAUUUAUUCUAACGUUUAAAAUAAUCUAUGGAUAUUGACUGAAAAACGAAAAUUUUAAACAAGACUUAAAAAAAACUAAAAAUCUAAAAUUUACUUUCCCACCCCCUAACUUAAAUCACACAUUGUCCUCAAGGUGUGGUAAAUAAUCAAAAGAAACAAGAGCAGAAACAAAACGACUAAAUCCUAGAAAAUGAAAAUCAAAAAUAAAGAAAAUACUCUAAGAAAAGAAACUAGGAAGGAAAAAUAGAAGAAUAAUAAAAUAAAAUAAAAUAAGAAAGAAAAGGAGAAAAACAACAAUAGAAAAGAAAUAGGAAAGAAAAUACCCAAAAAUGAGACACCUUGGGGAUUCAAAGGCAGGACCAGGCGGAGUGUUGCGAAAAAGCGCUGACCAACUCAACCACGUCCACACUGGCAUCAAAUAGGAGCGACAGCUACAAUAUAACCUGCUGUAGCUGCUGCAUCUGUCAUUUGAAAAAUAUUGGAUUCCCUUCUCCUACCCCGAGCUCAGAGCCGAAAGGCUCUCUUCUGUCCAUUCCCAUUUUGCAGAAGAAAAAAGAAUAUUGCUGGAUAAACCAAAGCCUCCGCUGUGUCCAGAGAAUCAGAAAAGGUCUCUGAUUUCUCUCUUCUCAAGGCCAUCCAUCUCCGCCUUCACUCUUCUUCAUUCUCUCCAACACUCACGAUCCUUUCCUCUCUUUCAACCCAAUUACACCAGCGUUUUCAUCUGCGUGAGGAGGCCACAUUUGCAGCAAACACAACCAGUGAGGUUGAAUUAUCUGAUGCACCUGAAUUUUUGGAUGGUUUUGGAGUCCCUAGAUUCCUCAAAUUCAGAUCUGUCUCCAUCCAUGUCACCAGAUGCUAACUUGUUCCAAGAUGAAAACAAGCUGAAGCCGAACAAGAGUCUAUUCUCCACCAGUAAGGACCCCAGAUCUGUGCAUCCCGUAGGUAAACUUUCGAACCCCAGAACUGGUUUUUUUUUUUUUUUUUUUCCGUUUUUUUUUUGUUUUGAAAAUAAAAGAAGUAAAGAGUUUAGAAAAAUUGGGUUGCCUCCCAAUAAGCGCGCUAUUUUAAGUCUGUAGCUAGACUUUGCAGAAGCCUGGUGGUCAAAUCACUGGUUCCUUCAGAGUCAAAGACUCGGCUGCAAUGUCAAAGGGUGUCUCCACGUAGGGUUUUAGCCUAUGACCAUUCACCUUGAACGUGUUGCCUUUAUCUUCAUUAGUGAUUUGAACUGCUCCAUGAGGAAAAACUUGAGUCACUAGGUAGGGUCCAGUCCAGCGAGAUUUUAAUUUCCCUGGAAACAACUUGAGCCUUGAACUAAAUAACAGAACCUUUUGCCCUGGCUGAAAUUCCUUCCGUAAAAUUUGACUGUCAUGAAAUGCCUUAGUUCUUUCCUUGUAGAUGCGAGAACUAUCAUAAGCACCUUGACGAAUUUCCUCUAGCUCAUUUAACUGCAAUUUCCGCUUUUCCCCAGCUGAGUCAUAUGCAAAAUUUAACUCUUUAAUGGCCCAGUAAGCUUUAUGCUCCAGCUCCAUAGGUAGAUGACAGGCUUUCCCAUAAACAAGUCGGAAUGGUGACAUCCCAAUAGGAGUUUUAUAAGCUGUCCUGUAUGCCCACAAAGCAUCAUUUAGUUUGAAACUCCAAUCCUUGCGUGUAGAGCUCACUGUUUUCUCCAAAAUACGCUUUAUUUCUCUGUUUGAAACUUCAACUUGACCAGAUGUCUGUGGGUGGUAUGGUGUAGCCACGCGAUGAUUAAUCCCGUAUUUUGCCAGUAGGUUAGCAAAUGGUUUAUUAAUAAAAUGCUUCCCCCCAUCACUAAGAAUAACACGCGGUAUUCCAAAACGUGGAAAUAUAACCCCCUGGAGGAACUUCAGGACCACUGAUCCUUGAUUAGUUGGUGCUGCAAUGGCCUCGACCCAUUUUGAAACAUAUUCCACAGCCACUAAAAUAUAUUGGUGCCCAUUAGAAGAUGGGAAUGGCCCCAUGAAAUCAAUACCCCAAACAUCAAAUAGUUCAACAAUUAGGAUACUUUGUUGGGGCAUUUCAUUCCUUCUGGAUUGAUUGCCGACCCUUUGACACCGAUCACAUGCCUUGCACCAAUUCUGUGAAUCUCUAAAAAGUGUUGGCCAAAAUAACCCACUCUGUAGGAUUUUCUCUGCUGUCCUUUUCUGCGCAAAAUGUCCUCCUCAAGCAUAGUGAUGAGCAAACUUUAAAACACUUUCUUGUUCAGCCUCCGGAAUACACCUGCGAAUAAUCUGGUCUGCACAAUACUUGUAUAAGUACGGUUCAUCCCAGAAAUAGUGCUUUACAUCAGAUAAAAACUUCUUUUUCUGCUGGUAGGAAAAAUCUGGAUGCACCACACCCUUAGCCAAAUAAUUGACAAUAUCUGCAAACCAAGGUGUGUCAAUUUUGACAGCAAAUAGCUGUUCAUCUGGGAAACUUUCACUCAAUGGUAGAGAAUCUGCCUCUGUAGCUGCUGGAAUAAUUAAUCUAGAUAAAUGAUCAGCCACAACAUUCUCACUGCCCUUCUUGUCUUUAAUCUCUAAGUCAAAUUCUUGAAGUAAGAGAACCCAACGAAUCAAUCUAGGCUUUGCAUCCUUCUUAGACAACAAGUAUUUUAGUGCAGCAUGAUCUGUAUAGACAAUUAUUUUAGCCCCAACCAAAUAAGACCGAAAUUUCUCUAGUGCGAACACAACUGCCAACAAUUCCUUCUCUGUAGUUGCAUAGUUAAGCUGUGCAUCAUUUAGAGUACGACUUGCAUAAUAGAUGACAUGGGGAAGCUUAUCUUUUCGCUGCCCUAAAACUGCCCCGACAGCAUAAUCUGACGCAUCACACAUUAGUUCAAAUGGUAAAUCCCAAUUUGGUGCAGCAAUGAUGGGUGCCGAAGUUAGGAGUGCUUUCAACUUGUUGAAUGCUUCUAAACAGGCCUUAUCAAAAUUAAAUGGUGCAUCCUUAGCCAAUAAAGUGCACAAAGGUCGACUAAUCUUGGAGAAAUCCUUGAUGAACCGACGAUAAAAACCUGCGUGUCCUAAGAAGGACCUCACACCUUUUACUGAUGUAGGAGGUGGCAGCUUUGCAAUAACUUCAAUCUUUGCCUUGUCAACCUCGAUGCCUUUGCUAGAAAUUGAAUGACCCAAGACAAUUCCCUGUUCAACCAUGAAAUGCCACUUUUCCCAGUUUAGCACUAAAUUUGUCGCUUGACAUCUCUGAAGAACUAAUGAUAAAUUCUGUAAGCAUUGAUCAUAUGAAUCCCCAAAAACAGAAAAAUCAUCCAUAAAAACUUCCACAAUAUUUUCGACCAAGCCAGAAAAAAUACUCAUCAUACAACGUUGAAACGUAGCAGGUGCAUCGCAUAAUCCGAAUGGCAUCCUCCGAUAAGCGUAAGUACCAAAUGGACAAGUGAAAGUAGUCUUCUCUUGAUCCUCUGGUGCUAUUGGAAUCUGAUUAUACCCAGAAUACCCAUCAAGAAAACAGUAAAAAGCCCGCCCAACCAACCUUUCUAACAUCUGGUCAAUAAAAGGCAAUGGAAAAUGGUCUUUUCUCGUCCCUGUGUUAAGCUUCCGAUAAUCUACACACAUUCUCCAACCCGUAGUCAAUCGUGUAGGAACUAACUCAUUAUUAUCAUUUUUCACCACUGUAAUACCGGUCCGUUUAGGCACAACUUGAGUCGGGCUAACCCAUUUACUGUCAGAAAUAGGAUAAAUCAUACCUGCAUCAAGUAAUUUCAUAACCUCUGUUCUAACCACCUCUUUCAUAAUUGGGUUAAGGCGGCGUUGAGCAUCAACUGUUAGCUUUACGUCGUCUUCCAUUAAUAUUCUGUGCAUACAUAGUGCUGGGCUGAUUCCCUUGAUAUCCGCAAUUGUCCAUCCCAAUGCAUCUUGAUAUUUUCUCAAUACACGAAGCAAUUUAUCCUCCUCUGUCGGUGUUAAAUCUGCUGCAAUUAUAACUGGCAACGUCUCUGCAGCUCCUAAAUAUGCAUAUUUAAGAUGUUGUGGUAAAGGCUUCAGCUCCAAUUUUGGCGGCUGCUGUCUGGAUGGUUUAAGGGGCUGUUUGGGCUCCCCUAAACUCUCAUACACAUUCCUAAAUUUUGGCAACACUGUGGGCAGACUGUUCAAUGCGUGUAUGUACUCAUGAACACCUUCAUCUUCAAAAUCUGUCUCAAAUGCCCCCUGUAAAACAUGCAACAACUGAUCUGUUUUUGAAUUAGCAUAAAAUCUGUCCUGCACCAUACUGUCUACCAUGUCAAUACGCAUACAAUCUAGCUGUUCAGCAGGACGUUUUGUUGCCGCAAACAAAUUAAACACCACAGAUUGGUCCUGAACCCGUAAAGUCAAUGUUCCAGCUUCCACAUCAAUUAAGGUCCUAGCUGUUGCCAUAAACGGCCUCCCCAAAAUAAUAGGUGUUUGAAGGUCUUCAUCCAUGUCUAAAACCACAAAAUCUGCCGGUAGAUAAAGAUUAUCAACCUUAAUAAUUAGAUCUUCAAUAACACCUCUUGGAUAAGUGAUUGAACGGUCAGCUAGUUGAAGUAUAAUUGAUAUAGGCUUUAAAUCUCCUUGCCCCAAUCGCUGAAAAACAGAAAAAGGCAUCAAAUUAAUACUUGCACCCAAAUCAAUUAAAGCACUCUUAAAAUUAGAAUUUCCAAUAGUGCAAGAAAUAUUAAAACUCCCUGGAUCUUUUUUCUUAGGUGGUAGUUUGUGUAGCAAAACUGCAUUGCACUGUUCUGUCAAAAUAACUUUUUCCAAAUCUGAAAGCUUCUUUUUGCUGCUGCAAACUUCCUUCAAAAAUUUGGCAUAUGAUGGAAUUUUCUUGAUUGCAUCCAGUAAGGGAAUGUUGAUUUGAACCUUGGAUAAUGUCUGCAUAAAGUCCUUGAGUUGCUGAUCUUUUACUUUUGGCUUCAAACGUUCUGGAUAUGGAAUUGGGGCCUCAUAAACACGCUCAGGUACUUGUUUUGGAACAGUUUCUAGAUCUGCCAUAUUAUGUUUUUCUACAGGUUUGGCAGGUUCUGCUGCUGCAAAAUUUUCUGUAUGAUCCUCCACUGCAUGCUGCUCCUUUUCAAUGUUAUUUUCACGAUUGUCAUAGCUUUUUCCACAUCGUAAAGUCCGAACAACUUUGCAAUCUUCACGUCCAUUUGGAUUAGGAAUUGUUUGACUAGGAAAUUUGCCCUUUUAUCUGUCUGAAAUCUGUGUAGCUAGUUGUCCAAAUUGUUGCUCCAAACUUUUAAUAGAUGCUUCAACAUUUUGAAAUCUUUGAUUGUUGCCCUCGAUGAAUGAUUGAGUUGUUGCUGCCAGUUUAGCAAGUUGAUCUUCCAUAGAUGGUUUGGAGGGAACAAAAGGUUUUUGUGCAUGCUGGAAUGGUUUGGCAUUAGUCUGAUUGUCACCCCAUUUGAAAUUAGGGUGAUCCCUCCAUCCAGGAUUGUAAUGAGUUGCAUAUGCAUCAUUCCUAGGCCUUUGAUAGCUGUUCAUCAUAUUGACAUGUUGUUCAACAAGCUCUGGGUAAGAGUCUCUAUGUGGGCAGCCCAUUAUGUCAUGUGUAGCCAUACUGCAUAUAGUGCAAACUGUUGAUGUAGGUGGCUGCUGUGUAGAACUUGCUAUAUGUUGUAGAAGCAUAUCAAACUUUGCAUCAAUUUUCUUAUCCAUUUUUUCCAUUUGUGCAGACAUGUUGGGAGAACCUACUGAUAACUCAAAAAUGCCCCUUUUCUGUGAAUGUUCUGCUGCCCAUUGCUGAGAUUCUGUAGCCAUCAUAUCAAACAGUUCAAAUGCCUCUCUUGCAGAUUUAUUUGAUAAUGAUCCUCCAGCUGAUGCAUUCACAUGGCUCUUAGAUGUAGGAUUAAGCCCAUCAAAGAAAAUAUUCAUUUGUGUAUCUGAAUCAAUUUUAACAUGUGGACACUUUAUGUACAUCUUUGUAUAUCUCUCCCACGCUUCAUGAAACUCUUCAUUAGGCUUCUGUGUGAAUGUCAAAAUCUCCCUCUUGUAAUUCAAUGUCUUGGAUGCUGGAUAAUAUUUGUUCAGGAAUUUUGUGUGUAACUGCUGCCAAGUAGUAAUGCUAUUAGCUGGUAGAGUGAAUAACCAAGUUUCUGCCUUGUCCUUCAAAGUGAAAGGGAAAAGACGUAACUUAAUAGCCUCAGCAGAAAAACCCCUAAUCAAAAUAUUCUUGCAACCCACAAUAAAUUUUGCAAUAUGUAUGUUUGCAUCUUCAUUAGGCAAUCCCCGAAAAGUAGGUAGAAUUUCAAGCAUAUGGUGCCUGAUCUCGAACGAAUCACCCUCUUCUUGUUCAGGAUACACAAUGCAAUUGGGAACAUCAGUGGCACGGGCUUCCAAUGACUCCCUGAGUGGUCUACCUGCCGCAGGUAAUUCUAACGCCAUGUUACUCUCGUUUGCAAACAGAUCCUGCAGAAAAGUGCCCUGCAGUGAACAGUCCCAAGCCCAAGUAACUUCUCUCCGCUGUCUAUGCAGUGUGCGCUCUGGUUCUGGAUCAAAUUGUACAAUCUGUGUAGUUCCUGAUCUGGUCUGGACCAUGCAGUCUGCAAAAUCUGCAACAGAAACAAAAUUGUUCAAUUUCAAUUUUUUUUUUUGGACGAAAAUUAAAAAUAAAAUAAAAUGAAAUAAAUCAGAAAAAGGUUAAACAAAAAUUGUCUAAAAUAGUCCCCAGCAACGGCGCCAAUUUCUUGAUAGGAUUUUUAGUACUUGUGCAAACAGUGUUAAAAAUCACAUAAAAUACUUGCAAGAAUACAAGGCUAUUGUAGUAUAGAUGCUCAUGCAAGGUCGUUUUCCUCAAGGACUAAUUAGCAAUUUAUGUAAAAACAAAUUUCAAUUACUACUUAAAAUAAAAAGUCAAGAAAGAUGAUUAUAAAUUUGGUGGAUUCUAAAAAACAAAUAUUAAACAAAAACAAAUACGAUUGAAAGAAAGAGUUUUGAAUAUCAAUUUAUAAAACCACUAGGGUUUCACCAUCACCUAGCAAUCCUAUGAACUUUUACCAAUUACUUAUGAUUUGCACAUGCCACUUUGAAGGUUAGGUUUUCCUAUUGUAUAUUCUACUUGGAACCUCCAACACAGAACGUAUAUCCAACAUGCAACCCGUCCGGACGUUCGGAUCAAAUCUGAACAUGAAAGACUCAUUAAGUUUUGUGAAAACCCUUUGAAAAACCAUGCAACCCUUAAGACGUGGUGUUCAUCUUAAGUGAAAUUACAAUUAUUAAUCACAAGAAGCUAGCAUAAAUUUCAGGGAACCUUCCGACCAAAAUUGCAUCCAAUUACUUUUCUAAAGAUCCUAAUGGUGAUCAGGCAUUAAGACAAUUAGAUAGUUUAAAAUAGUGAUUAACAAUUCAAAAUACGCAUGCACUCAUCAUAAGCAAUUAAAUAAAAAUCACAUAUUCAUGCUAAGGUUCAAGGCUUCACCCUAGCAAAAGAAAUUUAGUUACGCAUACUCAUAAUUGAAAUCCAAGAAAAUAUCAUUAAGAAGAAAAGAACGAAAACACCUGAAAGUUGUGAAAACCCAAAACCCUAGCAAUUGCUCUCUACAAUGCAAAGUUCAAAAAUAAUUAAGAAGUCCUAAAUUCCUUGUGAGAAAGAGCUUAAAUAUCCCUUAAAACCUAGCUGCCAAUGUACAGCUUUUCUAUCCCUACAAGGAAACUAAUUAAAGUAAAAUAAUACUAGGAAAUAAAGUCCAAAUUGGAAUAGGAGAAUUUGCCCAAAAUCAGCCCAGCCACGUUUUGGCCCCAAAUCUCCUCCAAAUCUGGCCCAAGAUAGCUUUUUUUAAAGACACUACUACAAAAAGUGAAAAAGACGACCAGAAAACAACGACGGUCUAAGUGAAAACCGUCGUGGUUUUUAAAAAGACGACGGUUCUAAAAACACCGUCGUGUAAUACCACCUUAGACAACUAAAAAAUGGAGAUUCAAAUGGCUGUUCAAAAACAACGACGUACCUAAUUAAACAACCGACGUCUAUUUGAAACAGAUUUCCGCAGUGUAAAAUCAAAGCAAACAAAGAACGGCAGAAGUUAUGAAUAGACCGACGUAGAAAGUAAAGACGACGAUUUCAAUAAAAGCCGCCGUUUUUACUCAUAAAAUAACACGACGAGGUUUUCGUAUAAGACGCCGUAUAAUUACAAACAAAUCCACGGCUUUAAAAUACAAAAAUAAUCUUAACAGAUGACACAGAUUUGCAAUCAGAAGAGACAAUUUUUGAAGUUGAUCAACGUCGUUGAAAAUUGCAAUCAGAAGAGACAUUUUCAACGACGGNNNNNNNNNNNNNNNNNNNNNNNNNNNNNNNNNNNNNNNNNNNNNNNNNNNNNNNNNNNNNNNNNNNNNNNNNNNNNNNNNNNNNNNNNNNNNNNNNNNNGGAAGUUGAUCAACGUCGUUGAAAAUUUGCAAUCAGAGAGACAAUUUUCAACGACGGUUAUAUUAUACCUAACGACGUUUAAAAACAAAUCAACGUCGCUCAACAAAUAUAUUACGUCGUCUUAGUCUUACUUAAGACGACGAAAAACGACGACAGUAGUAAAAAAACAGUCGUUGUUUUUAUAUUCUUAUUUUAUUUAAAUCUGUCGUGUUAGUUAAAAACGACGGCAUAACAAAAAACCGUCGUUUUGUUUCAAACUGAAUUAAUUUAAAAUUUCUUCAGGAAAGCAAAAUCUAUUUAUAAUUUCCUCGGGUUAGUAAUAUUGUGUCGUGUUAGUUUACAAAUUCUAGAACAUUAAUUUCCCUCAUUUUAAAUUUUCUCGGGAAAGAAAAAUCUAUUUAUCACGCUUUGUAAUUGAAAACUAAAACUGAAAGAAUUCUGGAAAAAAAACUCUAUUUAUAAUUUAAAAAUAAAAUGCACGUCGGUUGUAGUACACUUAACGACGUUUAACAAAAUAAUCUACGUCGGUAAUUAUAAAUCUACCGCCAUCUUACCCUAAUAUAGACGACGAGAAAAGACGACGGUAGAACAGAAAACCGCCGUUGUUUCAGUUUCUUUAACAGUUUGGUCCUUUAUCUUUCUGCAGGACUUGUAUAGUUCAAAGCAUUGACAAUGUCUUCAUCAUAUCUCCCAGCAACUACUGAUUCGAUUGCUCAUGCUUUAGAGGCCAUCUGAAGCCAUUUCUAUUCUUUAUCGCAUUCUUGAAACCCAUCUUCUUCUUCUGAAGCUCUACGGAUAAAGGAAGAGGCUAUCACAAAUCUGACGGAUCUUCUUAGUCAAAAAAAUCAAGCAGAGGAUCAGGCACAUCUGAUCUUCAGAUUUCCCUGAGAAGCGAACUUUCCUUCGACAGCGAGUGGAGGCCAGGCUUGCAUCUCUUUUGAUGGAAAGCAAGGAGUAUUCAGAAGCACUAAGUGUCCUAUCAGGCUUGAUCAAGGAAGUGAGAAGGCUAGUUGACAAGCUUCUUCUUGUCAACUAGCCUAAAUGUAAGCUCAAUUUCUCUUUGAGAAAGACCUCCAAAUUAUUGUCUUUGAGAUGUGAGAGACAGUGUCUCUGAGAGAGGAAGAACUUGGAACCCUAAAUGUAAACCGCGAAAAUGAAUGAAAGCGACAAAUUUAUAGAAUAAAUUUUUAAAACCAACGGCGGUACUUACCAAGAAACCGCCGUUUCAAUUGUAAAAUCAACGUCGGUAUUACUGACGUAUAUUACAGAACUCCACGUCGGUACAUUAAUAAUCACGACGUCUUAAAUAAUCUACCAUGACGCGAGUUAUUACUUAUGUACUUUAAUUUUUGAGUUUACUACGACGGUACCUACAACACUACUGUCGUAUUUAUUUACCACGUCCGAAGUUAAAUUUACCGACGUAUUUUGUACUUUAUACGUCGUAGUUAUAUGUAACCGCCGUAUUAUUUUUUUGAAAUGGUUUUAUAUGUAAGCAACUUUUCGUCUACUUGACUUACACAUUAGUUGUUUUUAUAUUCUUAUUUUAUUUAAAUCUGUCAUCCAAAAAAGAAACUUUACAUAUUGCAGAAUAUUAAUUUCCUUCGUUUUAAAUUUCCUCCGGAAAAAAAACUCUAUUUAUAACGCACUGUAAUUGAAAAAUAAACUGAAAGGUCACGGGAAAAAAAAUUCUAUUCAUAAUUUAAAAAUUAAAAUCCACGUCGGUUAUAUUAAACCUAACGACGUUAAAUGAAAUGAUUCCACGUCGAACGAAAAAUAUUUCGUCGUGUUAGUUAAAAACGACGUAGUUAAAUGUAACCGCCGUAUUAUUUUUUUGAAAUGGUUUUAUAUGUAAGCAACUUUUGGACUUACACAUGCACUGUUUCCAAACCCGAUUAAAAAUUUCAAUCUCCAGAGAAACCUUUUCGUCUUUUUUCCUUGUCAGAGCAUUAUCAGAGUUUCUCAUCGUCUUCCUCUCGUCUUCUUCGUCGUCCUUGAACUUAAACAUCGAUCAUCUUCCUCUUGCUUUCAUUGCACGCAAAAGGUAAGCUUUCAUUUUCACUAUUUUGGUUACUGUUUUGCAUGCUCAUACGUUUUUUGUUUGAAAAAUCUUUUUACCUUUUUUCUGGCCAAAAUCAUUUUACUUCUUUCCAAGUUUGAUAAAAUAUACAGACAAAAAGGGAAAGUUUCCAACUUUGAAGACAACUACCUCAACUAAAUGAGACGACGGUAGACCACGACGGUUCGUCAGUUGUUCUAGCGUCGUCUGAAAAUUGACAAAGUUGUUUUUAAAAUAAUAGUCUUUUUUUAUAUGCUUGUUUAAUUGCAGGUUUGAUUUCUCUGAACAAUGGUUUUUGUUUUUCCCUUAUUUGAUAAAAUAUAAAGAAAAAGAAACUAGGGUUGGUAUCUAAUAUAGACGACAAAAUAUCUUAUUGUUUUACGUCGUGUGAAUGUUAAUACCACGACGGUGUAUUACUAUUAACGUCGUAUGAACAUAAAUACCACGACGUUAUAUAAAUAAUAGUUUACCACGACGGUGUAUUACUAUUGACGUCGUGUGAACAUAUAUACCACGACGUUAUAUAAAUAAUGGUUUUAAACAUUUAUUACGUCUGAGAUUAUUUCAUUGCGUCGUCUAAAAUCAUAUCAUACGUCGUAUUUUUUUAAUACCGUCGUUUGUGUUCUUAAUGUUUUCCUGAAAUAUUUUCACUUGCAGUUUUGUCUGUUAAAAUGGUUUCUCAACAACAAACUAAGGAUUCUGGCUCCAAGAAGCUUGGAAUGGUAGCUCCUCAAGACAAGUCUUCGAAGGAGAUGAAGUCUUCGAAGAAGAUGAAGUUUGCUUCAUCAUCUGCUGAGACAGAACCAACCAGCCAGACAACAAUCUCUGAUGAUUCAAAGACUGGUCGAGGCAUGAGCACAAUGCCUCGUGUUGUGAAGAGAAAGCUUCAGAAACUGAGGCCAAUUGUUGAGUACAAUAAAAGGGGGAAAGGUGUUGGCCAAGCACAUAUUGAGAUGCAGUCGUAUAUUGGUGUGUUGGCACGCUCCAGGAUCCCACUUGUGGACAAGAAAUGGUCCCAAAUCCCCAAGGAUAUAAAGGAGCAGAUUUGGGAAGCAGUUGACAUGGCUUUUGUCGUAGGCCAAGGGGGCAAGACCUCUGUUUUAGCUUCUGCUUCCAAGAAAUGGAAGGAUUUCAAGUCUACACUAACGAGGCAUUAUAUCCUUCCAUACACCAAUGACAGGGAGAAAUUAAGCCAACCCCCUGAAACAUAUAAAUUCAUAGAGAAAGCACAAUGGGAUGCCUUUGUAGCUUCAAGGCUAUCCAAAGAUUUUGAGUCUGUGCAUUCUCAACAUGCACAGAUUAGGGAGAAACUCGAGUACAAUCAUCGAUUGUCUCGAAAAGGAUAUGCUGGAUUGGAGGAUCAAUUGGAGGAAACCAUGCCUGGGGUAGAAAUUGAUCGAUCUACCUUAUGGAAGAGAGCUAGACAGGACAAACAUGGUAACAUCCCUGAUCCAAAGGUGGCAGAGAAAGCAAAAUUAAUUGUAAGCCUACUAUCACUCUGUUUUAAAUUUUUAUUAAACUGUGAAUUAUUCUUAUUACGUCGUAUGUUAUAUUUUUCGUCGUGUGAAUGAUAUUACCACGUCGAAAAGUUUUUAAAAACGUCGUUAAAGGUCUAAAUAGGAAUCACUACUAAUUUUCUGUAAUUAUAGCAUAAGACGUCGGUGGUUCAUUUUCGCGUCGUUUGAAUGAUAUUACCACGUCGAAACUUUUUUAAAAACGUCAUUAACGGUCUAAAUAGGAAUCACUACUCUGUUUUCUUUAAUUAUAGCAUAAGACGUCGGUUGUUUAUUCAUUUCGUCGUUUUAAAUAAAUAACCACGUCGGUAUAACUACCGUCGUGAUAAGUUAUAAUAACGUCGGUUUAUACGUUAUUGCGUCGUGUGAAAUUAUAUAAUACGUCGUUUGUACAUAAAUAACCGUCGUGUGUUUUUUUGUUUAUCUUUGUUUUAGGAUGAAUUGCAGAAACAAGUCUCGGAAGGCAAAGUCAGAGUAGAUGGCAGCAAUGAUGUGCUGACCAUGGCUUUGGGCCCCGAGCAUCCAGGCAGAGUGAGGGGAGUUGGUGCUGGUGUUUCCCCAAGGCAAUAUUUCAAUUUGCCCAAACCACAGAGGGUGAGCUUUGACGACCAUUUGAAGGACAGUUUAAGAGUUCUCCUUCAAGAAGAGACUAAAAAGAUGGAGGCUAAGGCAAGGGAAGAGGCCUUAAGAAUGGAGGCUAGGACAAAACAAUUGGUAGAGGCUGAGAGGGAGCAUUUCCUGAGUCAGCUUUCCCAAUUAAUUCCCAAUUUUGAUCCAAGCAUGCUUAAACCAAGAAUUAGCCAAAGCCCCAAAAAUCCAAUGUCUGACAAAGCUAGCUGCUCUGGAGGUGAUGUGAGAUCCCUACAUUUGGAGGAUGAUACUGCCAAAAUGGGGAAACAUCAGCCAGAUGAAGAGAAGGAAGAAGAAAAAAGAGAUGAAGAGAAGGAAGAAGAAAAGGAGAAAGAAGAUGAAGAAAAGCAUGACGACAAGGUAUGUUCACAUAACUUUGCCUUUUUUAUUUGUUUUUCAAAAUUUCAGACGUCGAUAUUUUUAUUUAAUCCGUCGUUUGUUUAAAACUUAGACGGCGGACUUUUUUUAAGACGUAAUAAAAUAUUUAAACGACGGUUUUUGCACCGUCGUUUAAAUGGUUUCAGACGACGCUUUAUUCAUAAAAUCGUCGUCUUUAUUGAAUUACCACGACAGUUUUUUCACCGUCGUUUAAAUACUUUUAAGACGACGUUUUAUUCCUUAAACCGUCGUCUUUGUUGAAUUACCACGUCAUUUUUUUUAUUUCUUUAAACAGGUUAUUGAAGUUGGUGCUUAUUCAAAUAUGGAGGCGCCAUCUUCUUUAAAAACCCUUUGUCGUUUUGUGGAAACGACACUCCUGCCUGAGGAUAAGACACUCCAAUUUACAAUUGAUAAGGAGGUGUUUGGUGGUGAGCGCGAUACCUUCCUCCUGCCUGAAGAUAUUACACAAUUUGCAGGCAUGGAAGAAAUUGGAGCUACUGUAUUGGCUGUAUAUAUGAGGUUUGUACUUCUAAAAUAAUACCUCGUUGGUUUAUAUAUUGCGUCGUCUUAACUAACUAACCACGUCGUCUUAACUAACUACCGUCGUGAUAAAUAUAUUAUAACGUCCUCAUCUAUUUCAGUACGUCGUGUGAAAUAUUAUAAUACGUCGUUUUUUUAUACAUAACCGUCGUGUUUGUUUGUGCUGACUUGUUUAUAUUAUUUUAUGUAUUUAGGUACUUACACGAUGUUUUGAAACAAGCCAAUAUGUGCAGCAUGGUUGGCUUUAUCGACCCUGCUACAGUUAGUGCCAACUCUGGCACAAUAACUGAAAGAUCACGACUGGUAGCAGCUCGACUUCAGAAGACAGACGGUGAACAGAUUUUCAUGAUGCCUUACAAUCCAGGGUUAGUCUCCUUAGGAUUUUGUUUUUAUGAUUUUCAAUAAAUGACAGCUUAUAAACUAACCACGUCGGUGUUUUAUUUUAUUUAGUCGUUUGAAACUACUAACCACGUCGGUAUUUAUUUAUCGUCGUGAUAAAUAUAUAAUGUCGUCGUUAUCUACUUUAUUUCGUCGUGUGAAAUACUAUAAUACGUCGUUUUUGUAAAUAACCGUCGUUUUUAUAUUCAUUUUGUGCAGCCGUCAUUGGAUCUUGCUGAUUGUAAGAGCAAAGAAGGAGACCGUCUAUUUUCUGGAUCCUCUGCCAGGUCAUCGUGUGGUCGACGAAGAGGCGAAAAACAUCGUGAACAGUGCUUUAAAAAUAUAUAAUACCCACAUAGCCCGAGCACGACGUAAAAAUGUAAUUUGGAAAACUCUCUCAGGCACACCAAAGCAACCCAGCAAUGUCGAAUGCGGGUACUAUGUGAUGCGCUUCAUGAGGGACAUCAUCAUGGAUCCUUCCUUGGGGUUUGAGAAUAAGGUAAGAAGAAAUUACCUUCAUACAUUUCACGUCGUUUUUUGUAUUAUCAACGACGGUCAUGUAAAAUUAACGUCGUUGAAUGGAUAUACUACGUCGGUUAUGAAAAAUAUCGUCGUCUGUGAUUGAAUUUCUUUUUAUUUAUAAACCCUAAUAGUCAUUGUUUAUGCAGUAUGCCAAGGGAAACCAGGAAGCUUCAUACCCCCAAGAAGCCAUUGAUGAAGUCCGGAAUGAAUGGGCAGAGUUUGUUUUCCAAAUUAUUAAACAGGGCAAUUAUUGAACACUUGAUAUUUAUGUAUAAUGUACAAAUUUUCUCUAUAAUAUGUAAUGUAAAAAUUUGUUGAGGUUUUCUUAAAUUAAAAAAAAAACAAACAUACAAAUUGCUUAACCGACGUGUAAUACUUUUCCAACGACCUAAUAAAGUCAAAAACCGUCGUAUUUUGUUGUUUCGUGUUUUAAACAAAUACGACGUAAAAAUAUAGUUAGACGACGUUCUUUGAACAAUUGAGUCGUUUAUGGUUUACAACAUCUUCAAUUUCUUAAGGGUUCAGGGUAUCAUCGACGACGUUUAUGUAACGACAGCGGUUAAGUCGUGGAAUAUAUAUUUUACGUCGUAUAGUUAAAUAGCCGCCAUGGUUUCUCAUUUUAACGACGUCAUUUUAACGACUUAGUAGUCUAUUACAAUUUACAACGUCUACAAUUUAUUAACACCGACGUGGUUUGUUGUUGUGGUAAGAAUAUUUUAUUAUUUUUAUAUCAAAAUAUUCAAAAUAAAUUUAAAAUAAAUCAGAAAAUUGAAAAGUCAUCUCCUAUGAAGUCAUUGAUAUAUUUUCUUCCACAUAAACCUUGAAAAAAUUCAUUUUGAAUAACAAAAAUUUAAAAUGACCAUCCAAAACAAAAUUGUUUUGAUGAGUCAUAAAAUCACUUCUAGUUUUAUGGUUUAGGGUUUAGAGUCUAGGGUUUAGAGAUUAGGGUUGUUAUUUGUUGGGGUUUAUUUUUAAAGUAUAAUUUUUGGGUAGUCUAGGGUAUAUGUUAGGCUUUAAAACCAUAAAACCUUUUAUAAACUUAAUUUUUUAAAUUGUAUAAUUUAGUUUUAUGGGUUUAGGGUAUUAAUUUUUAACGACGGUGGUUGCGUCGUGGAAUACAUAUUUUACGUCGUACAGAAAAACAUACGACAUGGUUUACGCUUUAAACGACGUCAUUUUAAUAUGUAAGUCGGUUUAUAUAAUUUACAACGUCUUUAAUUUCUUAACACCGACGUGGUUUUUCAGUCGUCGUUAUAUAAAAAAUUCAAAAUAAAUUUAAAAUUAAUCCGAAAAAUGAAGCUUCAAAAUGAACGGCCUUACGUUCUUAAUCCGAAAAAUGAAGUUUCCGUCGUGGAAUAUUAAAUUUACGUCGGUACUUGUAGAACUUUCGCCUUGGUUUUUCUUUCGACGUUUUAAAACGCGCGAGCUCUAAAAAUUUUCGCGUGACCUAAAUUUUUUUAGAUUUGGCUCUUAUUCUUAUACUUCGAACCCUGAAACCUAAAAUUUUCAGAUUUCGCUCUCUCACUUCUGCUCUAAUUAAAAGUUGCACUCUCCAGGCUUCGUCGAAUCUGUGAGCUCGUCCAACCUGUAAGUACAAACCCUAUCUUCCCCUUGUAAAUUCAUUGAAUGAUAUUAGGUUGUUUUGUUAAAGGGUUUUAUGUGUAUGCUUUGCGAUCUGUUAAUAAUGUGCUUAUAGGUAUGGGUUCAUAGAUUUUCUGUUUAAUGGGUUCAUGGAUUACAUUAUCUGUUAUGUUGAAUUGGGAAUGGAUUUAAUUUUGUCGUAUCUUUUAAUCACCCUAUGUUAUGUUGAAUUGGGAAUGGAUUUAUUGUUUUCAUGCUUGGUUUCAUGUAUAUGUUGGUUUCUUGCUUGGUUUCAUAUAUAUGUUGUGUUCUUAAUGGGUUUUGUGUUCUUGAAAAUAAACUGAGACACGACAAAUUUUAAGGCAUACGACGACGAUUACACGACGGUUUUUUUAAACUACCGUCGUUGUAUUACUUAUACAAGACGGUUUUUUCAUAAACCGUCGUUUGUAUUACUUAUAAUAGACGACGUCUGUUGAAAAUCCGUCGUCUAUAUAUGCCAAAUACGUCUGUUUUUGUUUAAAACCCGUCAUCUCUGUUGUGUAUUACUUGCGAUUAGAUCAUUGUAUAAUCUGCUAUAGUGAUGGUCAUUGCCUGUAUUUUCACUUUAUUAUAGAUAAUAGGUUAUAGUGUCGGAGAUGGAUAAGUCAUGGAUGCACUCGGAUAGAAGAUCGAAGGCAUAUGAAUUUGGGGUGGAAGCAUUUUUGAACUUUGCUUGAGAAGUACUUUCCCCCUUCAUUCUUUGAUAUCAUGGUUCAUCUAGUAGUACAUCUUGUCAGAGAAGUUCGUCUAUGUGGGCCAGUAUAUUUUAGGUGGAUGUAUCCGUUUGAAAGAUAUAUGAAAGUGCUGAAGGGGUAUGUUCAGAAUCGUACUCGUCCCGAAGGUUGCAUUGCUGAGCGGUAUAUAGCUUAAGAAGCGGUAGAGUUUUGUACUCAGCAUUUAUCUGAUGUUAGUACAGUUGGAGUGCCUUCAAGCCAAAAGAUGGGACUUUCAAAGCCAUUAUCAGGUUGCACAGUGAGCGUAGUUGAUCAGGACCUGUUGAAUCAAGCACAUCUAUAUGUCUUGGAGAAUACGGAGGAAGUCCUACCUUAUAUCGAGUACGUAUGAGCUUUAUUCUUUAAGUUUCCAUUUUAAAUUAUUUCUUAUGUUUAUCUUCUAUAUUUGGGACCGUAAUGCUUGAAUUUUUCGUGUCAUGUAGGCAACAUAUGAUCCACAUCAAGAUUGCUUAUCCAAAAUUUAGAAAGAGAACAAAGUGGCUGCAGGAUAAGCACAAUAGCACUUUCAUUCAAUGGCUACGCUUCAAGGUAUAUGUUGUUGAAUAACAUAUUUCUCUUUUAAUUUUCUUCUUAUUUAUAUGUUAGAUUGAAUUAAGAUAUGAUUAAUUUGCAGGUUCAAAGUGAACUUGAGGAAGACAAUCAUGGCGUAUCAGAAAAUUUAAGGUGGCUAGCAGCUGGUCCAAACAUGUCAGUGCCAUUAUAUAGGAGCUAUCUUAUUAAAGGUAUUAAAUUCAAUAUCAAGGCACAAGAUGAUGUGCGGACAACUCAAAAUAGUGGAGUUUAUUUACUUGCACAUACCAUGCAAGUUGCUAGUGCCAAGGAUAAAAACCCAAUUCUCUCAAACAUGGGUUUCUAUGGUGUCAUUCAAGAAAUUUGGGACCUUGACUACCAAAAGUUUACAAUCCCAGUCUUUAGGUGUGAUUGGAUAGAUAGUUCUGGUCUUGUAGUCGACGAACUUGGAUUUACCCUUGUAGAUUUGAGUAAAAUUGGACAUAGGAAUGACCAAUUUGUUUUGGCUUCUCAAGUCAAACAAAUAUUUUUUGUUGACGACCCGAUGCAUCGUGGUUGGUCGGUAGUGUUAUCAAUGCCUAAUAGAGAAUAUAAUGAUGUUAUUGGUGAUGAAGUCUUAGGUGAUGUGAUAAUUGAGUGUGAGCCAUUUACUAGAGGGAUGCCAAAUGUUGACACAUUUGAUGAACUGGUGGGUGAGUUAGGCGGUCAAAAUAUUCGAGAUGGGUGUGAAGAUAUAUGGAUUGAAUGAUGCUUAUGUAAUUGGCAGUGUAUGACAUUAAUUUUGUAAUAUAUUGUAAUGUGAUUUCUUCACUUUCUACGUUCAAAUAAAACACGACGUUAUUGUGAACCAGUUAUUCAGCAUAUUUACCGACGUCUUAAAGCAACGUAACAAUGAAGAACCACGACGCUAUUGUGAAGCAAUUAUUCAGGAUAUCACGUCGGGGAAGGAUUAAGAACCGCCAUGUAAUUCAAAAUAACACGACUCCAAUCCCAUAAUACCGACGUCUAAAAAACGAGAUAUAUAAUCUGAACGUUAAAAAAUACGACGUCAUCAUACAUUUUCCACAUCGCAAGUUCUUUUAUAAACGAAGAGGAACGAAAUGAAUUCCGACGGAAAUUCAUUAUAACCGCCGUCUAAUAACAAUUAAACGACGUUAUUUGUAAUACGGCUCUCAUCAUAAUCAACGCCGUCUAUAUGUUCUGUAAUACGGCUCUCAUUUAUUUGGAACCGACGUUGUUUAGAAGUUCAACGUCGUCUAUAUUAUUAAGUGCGUCGUGAGUAAUGAUGAUAGAUAUAAAUACAACGUCGACUAUAUAAAUGCCACUGACGUUGUUUCGCAUUUCAACGUCAACUGUAUAAAUACAUACGUCGUAAAUAAUGACACUGACAACUAUUUCCACGUCAUCUUUUUUAGAAAAAUCGAAGUGGAAAAUUUAUUUCACGACGGUUGUUUGUAAAUAAGAGACGUAGUAUAUUUCAAUAACGUCGUCUUCUCAUGUAUUUAAAGACGUCAUAUUUUUUCUUGUCGUGUAAAUUAUAUUUAACGGCGUAGUAUUUUAGUUGUCGUCGUUGUAUGUAUAUCUUGCGGCCUUGUUCUUUUAACAUGUGUCAUAUUUUUCCUUUUUAACGACGGUGAUUUGUUUGAGUUGGUCGUCUAUUCUCAUCCUCGACUAUUUUCUAGAACUUUAGCAGACUAAACACGUCUGUUUUUAUUGUUUUCCGACGUUGUUUUAUUUAACAACGUCUAAUAUUUAUCGUCGUUGUUUGUUUCUGAAAAUAUGACGUAUAAAUUUUGUAAUACGACUCUCAUAUAUUUGUAACCGACGUUGUUUCGUUUUUCAACGUCUACUCUAUAAAUACAUACGUCGUAAAUAAUGACACUGACAACUAUUUUCACGUCAUCUUUUAUCGAAAAAUCGAAGUGGAAAAUUAAUUUUACGACGGCUGUUUUUAUAUAUGCGACGUAGUAGGUAUCAAUAACGUCGUCUUCUAAUGUAUUUAAAGACGUCAAAUUUUUUAUUGUCGUGAAAAUGAUAUUUAACGGCGUCGUAUUUUUAUUUUCGUCGUUGUAUGUCUAUCUUGCGGCCUUGUUCUCUUAAUAUGUGUCAUAUUUUUCCUUUUUAACGACGGUUUUUUUAGAGAGUUGGUCGUCUAUUCUCAUCCUCGACUGCUUUUUUAGAUCUUUUUGCAGUACAAAGACGUCGUUUUGUAUUUGUUGAUGACGUUGUAUAUUUUAACAACGACGGUGAUUUUGCGUCGUGGUUUAUGAGGGAAAAGAUGACGGUGGAUUCCACGACCAUUGAAAAACCGAAUACACGACGGUGAUUUACCGUCGUCUUUUUGCUUUUUUGUAGUAGUGAGAUAAAAAUGUUCUGAACACUUCUCUAGAAGGCCACGAACCCAUCCGAGGUCAUCUUGGGCUCCAAAAACACAAUAAAAGCCCAACACGUCACUAUUCCAGCACCGCGCACUGCUCAUUUAUUUUAUUGCCAGAAAAUAACCGCUUGGAAGAAAAAUCUGAAAUUUUGAUACGAUCAAGCUAAGUGACUCAAGAACGUCCUCCAACUGGAAUUACUCCAAAAUUCCUCAAUUUGAUUAUGUUUUGCUCCAGAGAGAGUCGAAAGUCCUAUAUUGGAAAUAUAAUUCAAAGUAUCAAAAUUCUUCCAAAAUAUUAACCAAAAUAUACUAAGAAUGAGGUUAAAUAUAUAAUAUAAAAUAUGUCCAUCACCCCACAACAACUAAAGAACCAACAUUUUGUAGAAGGUUUUGUCUAUACCUUUGACUGUAAGUAAAUCUCUUGUAUCUGCUCCUGUGGUUCGGUGAAGUUUCUUUGUGUCCUUUCUGCGGAGUCUCCCAUGCUUGUUCCAUGAAAAUGUUCUAGGAGAAAAUACGGUUGUUUCUUACUAGAUUCAAAUGAUUAAGAAAAAUAAAAACGCAAGAAAAAAGGUAUUUUCUUGAUGGACUUGGUGAUGAAAAAUAUCACUCUCUUUAUAUGUCGUCUUCCUUGGACUUUGAGACCUUGGGUUUCGAUUCUUCUUGAGGAUUGCAUAGGGUUUCUAGGCCCAAGAAUACUUUGAGUUAGUUUUUGCGUUUUGGGCUUUGAGACUUUGAGACUAUAAUGAGUGGAAAGUUAUAAGGGGUAAGUUAUAAGGGGGUCACUUUAUAGCCAUCAGAUUAAUCCAAGGGCUGGGGAGAAUUGAGAUAAAGUUUCACAAUUGGGUAGGUGAGGAACCCAAACCCGAAUUGAAUAUCCAGCACGUCCAAAAAGAAGAAGAAGAGGGAAACACGUCCGAAAAAGAAGAAGAAGAGGCAAGUUCGAAGUUUGAACAGAAAGAACUCAUCUCUCUAAAACACAGAGGUCUGAGAUACCCAAUGAAGGCAACGGCUAACGACAGUUGAAGGCAACAAUUCGCCACUCCGUUCUCCAGACCCCGAAAAAGUAUUUAUUUGGAGUAGAAGGGGCAAAGGUGUGGAUUCCAAAUCAGUGAAGGGGCGAAGCAGUGGAAGGGGAAGGGGAGAAGCUGUAUUCGUUGGAAGUGUAGGUUCCAUUUGUGGAGCAAAGAAAUAGAAAGACCCCACACAGACACCUUGCAAUAACCAGCAUUUGGUGAGUAAUUUAUGGAAUUUGAGUUUAGGGUUAGAGUAAUGGUUUUCCCCAAUUUGUACCAUAAAUUUUGUUGGAUUUGGCAUCUCUUCGUUGUGCUUCAGUUGCAUGUUAAUUUUUGCUUAGGUAUAUGUUAAAAAAGGAAUGAAAAUUAAGUCAAUAACAAGUGAAUAACAUGUCAAUAAUGAUAUGAAUAAGAUAAUGGUGUUGAAUUGGAGGAGGCCCUCAAAACCUUCCACAUUUGAAGCAGUGCAUAGUGCAGAUUAAGAAGAGGCGCUAGAAUAUAUAUAUAUAUUUUAUGAAGUAAAUAUGAUUUCCUUUGUUACUAAAUUUGCCUGAGAAACAUUUGAACAGAUAAUAAUAAACUCAUGAAUAGAACUGCAAAGCAUUUGAUGAGCAAUGUAAGGAAUUUAAGUUUAGGGUUAGAGUAAUGGCAUCUCUUAUUUGUGCUUCAAUUGCAUGUUAAUUUUUGCUUGGGUAUAUGUUAAAAAAUGAAUGAAAAUAAAGUCAAUCACAUGUCAAUAACAUCUCAAUAACAUGUCAAUAACAUGUCAGUAAUGAUAUGAAUAAGAUAAUUGUGUUAAAUUGGAGGAGGCGCUCAAAACCUUCACAUUUGAAGCAGUGCAGAGUGAAGAGUACCUCUCUGGCACUAGAAUUUAUAUAUUUUGUGAAAUAAAUAUUAUUUCAUUUGUUACUAAAUUUGCCUAUGAGAAAUGAGAACAGAUAAUAAUAAACUCAUGAAUAAAAGUGCAAAGCAUUUGAAAUGAAGGUUGAUCUAUGACGAUUGUGGGUGACUGAAGAAAAAGGUAGAAAGAAAGAAGGAUGUGGCAAUUGCUUAGCAAGCAGAUAGCAGAGUACAUGCUUUGCUUUGCUUCCUUCCACUAUAUUUCUUAUUUAUUUAUUUUGGGUUGUGUAUGAGAUGACAAUAAUUGUCAUGUGUGUGAAGUGCAGAACUUGCCUACAUUGCACUCACACGAGUAUGGAUGCAUAAAUAAAACACGUGAAAUUGUUUGUAAUUCACAUAAUCAUUGCAUUAACAGGUAUUUGCACAAAAAUUGUCAUAUUGCUUUGAUGAUGUUAAAGGCUGUGAUGAGUAAUCCCUAUGCUCAUGUACUUUGUAAAAGUUGUAAUGUGCCUGGUUGACUAGUUGUGAUUGUGCAAAUACGUGGUAGUAUAUAUGUUCACGUUAUUUCACAUUGUAUUUGAGGAAAUGGGAUCCAACGUGGAGCUGGUAUGGCCAGAGGCAGAGGUAUAUUCGUCACGGGUGAACAACUGCUCACAUGCAAAUUCAUCUCUAGCUGCAAUUCGAGCGAAGUUGAGUGCGGAACAAUUAGAACAAUUCAAGACAUCAUGCUUUGGCCAUCUUCUGAAUAUAGAUAAGAUUCAGUUUAGCGGGCAGAUUGUGCAUGGGGUUGUGUUGCGUAGAGUAGCGGGGCAGGGUGUGAAAGACUUGGAUGGACUGAGUUUCUUAUUAGGGUGUGACGUUGCUCAGUUCACUCGUCAGGAUUUCUGUUUGAUCACAGGGCUUCGUUUUGGGGAAGUGCCUGAAGUUUCCAGUGGAGAGAGUGAUGAAAUCAGACUUCAGAAAAGAUAUUUUAUAGACGAAGGAAUUACAUGCAAUGCUUUAGAAGAAGCAUUUGUGAGGUGCACAGAGGAAGAUGACAUCUACAAGCAAGCUCUUGUUUACUUUGCUGAGUUAGUGGUUUUGGGAAGGGACAAACAUUUGAACAUCAAUCUAAAUUACCUGACCCUUGUAGAGGACUUGGAUGCGUUCAACAGGUAUCCGUGGGGUUCGGUGUCCUUUGACAAAACCCAAGACAGUCUAUUUUCUGCACCAACAAAGUAUGUGAAAAGCUUGGAAAAUGAAGAGGGAAGAGGGAAGGGGAAAAGUAAGGUAACGGGAACAAGCCGGAGAAAUGAGAAGGGCAAGAAGGAUAAGCAUGGUGAAGCGCAAAUGAGUGGCUGGAGUUUUAAAGGUUUCACGUAUGCUUUCCAGGUACAUGGUAAUAAUGUUCAUGUCAGUUAUGUUUUGUUUUUCUUUAAAACAUAAAUAAUGACUUUUGUCCUGUGAAUUGUGUAGAUUUGGGUAUAUGAAUUAAUUCCUAGAAUGGCGGACCUGAAUUACUGCAAGGUUGUUGAUCCGACCGUUGUCCCGCGUAUUUUGCGAUGGAGAACUACUACGUCUGUUCCAGAGAUGAGAAAGUUGAACAAUUAUUUUUUCCAGAGCAAAGAGGUUUGGUUUGCAGCCCUUGGAACUAUUGAUAAGAUUGAAUGAAAUUAUGAAGUAGAAUGAUUUGAUAUGACUCUUGUCUGUAUUCUGAAACAGUCAGUUCAGUUGCGGGCGCUAUGUCCGAGUGAAGAGGAAAUGAGACAGCCAUAUUGGAGUUGGCCACAGGAUCGCCCUGCUGUUGUCUCAGCAGAGUCAAUUCCUUCUUCAUGUGGUGAUCUUGAUGAGUUGAACAAGGUGGUAAGUUGGUUGAGGUCCGAGUUGUUUCAAGUAAAGCGGGAAAAAGACGUCCUUCACUUAAAGGUCAUACGGAUGGAAAAACUGUUGGACCAAUGUUUAGGUCCUCAGUUUGAGCAGGAAGUAAGGAGGGACCUAGCUUUACUGAAACAGAGGACGAAUCGUUGUGUCAUCUCACAUCUAUUUAAGGGAUAUGGGGAAAUGGAUGACAUUCAAUGGGAUGAAGGGCCAAGUAACAGAAAUGAGGGAGAGGAAAAGGAAGAUGAAGGGAUUGAAGGGGGUGAAGGGCCAAAUAAUAGAAAUGAGGGAGCACAUAAGGAAAAGGAGGGGAUUGACGGAGAGGAAAAGGAAGAGGAGGGGAUUGAAGGGGGUGAAGUGCAAGGAAAACCAAGUGAGGUAGAGGAAGGGCAAAGGAAAAGAAGUGAAGGAGAGCAAGUGCAAGUAAAAAGUAGCAAAGGAGAGGAAGCCCAGAGACAGAGCAGUGAGGGAGAGGAAGUGAAAAGAAAAAGCAGUAAGGGAGAGAAACUGCAAAGGAAAAAAAGGGAGGGCAAGGAAGUGAAAACACAAACAAGUGAGGAAAAGGAAGUGCAAAGAAACCAAUGUGAGAAAGAAGAUAAUGAAGUUAUGUUGCUUGGGGGUGACAUUGGCGAGAGCACGGAGGGGACACUGCUUGAGUUUACUGUCGGGGACAUUGAUUUGGAUGAACCUACAGCUGUGCUAUCUCAGUUGAACGUGUGGUUGAAUGAUAAAGGUAAAGCUCUGGCACAAGGGGUCCAAUUACGGAAAAGGAAGAGGAUCAUUCCUUUGUGGAAGAUCAUUGAAGGCAGUGAAUUGGUUCCAAAAAUUGGGGCACAGACAACCGGACUGAAGAUGUUAGACCCAAUGAAGGCGAUUUCGCAUGAUGAUCUGGUGAAAUUGCUGAAACUUUGUUGGGAAUGGCGCCAGGACCCAAAGUAAGUCCCUUGCAAUUAUAAGAUACAAGCAUGACUGUAUAUAAUUUUUUAUAUACAGUGUUCUAAAACUGUUUUAUAUUCAUAGUUUGGUGAUGCAAUUUGGCAACGUGGAAGCUGAGAUUGAAUUCUUCGCUUCCCUCGUGAAAGCUGAUGGUUGGCUGAAAGGAGAUGUAAGUGUAAUUGAUUAUGCAUUUGUUUUAAUGUACAUACAUUAUGAGAUUGACAAGAAAAACAUGUUGCAGCACAUUGAUUUGGGGUUGUAUCUCAUCCGGAAGCGACAACAACAGUUGGAGACAGAUUCGGUAGAAGUAGCGGACUGGACAACGACCGAUGUUUUUUUUAUGGUAUGUCAUCGGCCUUGACCAAGUGCCGUUAAUAAUUACACAUUUUCCAUACACACACUAGUGGAGGUGUUUAACCAUUGAUUGUUUUGUAUUUCACAGAAUCACAUUCGUACUUGCUUUGCGGAUAAUAAAAGAAAAAAACAGCAGCUUGGGUGGAAAAUCAGGAAAAGUUUACUAACCGUUGUAAAUGGGAAGGUUCCUCCGUGUGGGUUGGAUUGGCAGACCGUCUAUAAGGUGUAUACCCCAUUUAUGUUGACGAAGUACAAGCAUUGGGUGGCUGUAAUGAUUGAUCUGGUAUUGUGUGAAAUCAAAGUGUACGAUUCAAAGGUUUCACUAAUUCCAGAUGACAUCGUAAAGGAAGAACUCGGCCCGCUAUCAAUUACGCUUCCAAAUCUUCUCAACACCAUCGACUUUUAUGAAAAAGGUGUUUAUGCAAACAAUUGCAGCCAAGAUUAGUGGUGUCCGUGGCCAAUAGAGCGUGUGGAUGUUCCACAACAGUCUAAUGAGUAAGCACAACUUGCAAUUUAAUUUUAUUACUUUCAAUUGUCAAUUACGUUAGAAUGUCAUUAGUUGAAUUGAUCGAGUUCUUGUUUUGCUUCAGAGGCGAUUGUGGCAUGUUUGUGUUAAAGUACAUUGAGCUUUUCAGCGCUGAGCUUCCGUUAGCUACUUGCACCUCGCACAACAUGCCUUUUUUUCGGUUGAAAUUGGCUGCGGAGAUAACAAGGGGAGAUGCUUACUUCCCAUGAUAUUGGUUGAAGAUGACAAAUGGUACAUGAGAAGGUUUUGGGAAUGUCCAUUCUCAAACUAAUGUAAAUACACAAUAGAGAAGUACGGGUCCUUAUCGAAUUCUACCGCUAACUCCUUCAUGACAUUUACAUGUUUGUUAACCAAACUGCAUUGAAUUGGAAUUUUAAGACUGCAUAUGUGAAUUGGGAUUUGAAGAUGGCUUUUUAAGUGUAUUACAUCAUUGCAAAGUGAUAUGUCAUUGUUGAUGCAAGCCACCAUUAAUCGCAAUGUGUUGCAUCAUAAUAGGUGUCUAAACAUGCGAAAGGUUUUCCGCAGCUCAGUAGCAUAAAAGUAGAAACAAAGACAAUAUACACAAAAUGAACAACAAUUCACAAAUGCACCGACAAGCAAUACACACACAACAGACAAACAAUAUACACAAACUUGGCCUGCCAUAUACAGAGAAUAGACAUGCAAUAUACACACAGUAGACAUGCAAUAUACACACAAUAGACAUGCAAUAUACACACAAUACUCCCUUAACACACACAAUAGACAUGCCCUUGCCCACAAUAAUGAUGCAAUAUACUUCAGUCCCCAAGUACACCAACCAUAGGGAAGUCGUAUUGAAUAGGAUAUUAAACUUAACAGUUGUUCUUCCUACUAAAAGAAAGAAUAAGGUUCGUUUCCCCCCUUCAUUCUUACUUGAGUGAUACUUGUGGCCCCAAUAAACAUCCAAUUUUGGGGCAAUGAUAUUCCAUAUACAUGCAGCAAACUAUCAAUAAACCUUCAAUAAACCUUCAAUAAACAUUCAAUAUCGUUUCUAUAACAUGCGAAAUACAUGCAGUUACCAAAUAUUACAAAAUGGGUUUAGGGUCUCAUUGGUGGUGCGUGCAACAUGUCUUGUGCGGGAGAACUUUCACAAUCUUUUAAACCGUGCAGUUAAAUGAUCAUUAAAAGAACAAAUAAAAUGACAAUUGAUACAACUAAUAAAACUAAUACCAAGUCCUUAAUGGACUUCAGCAUGUUCAGCACUCUAGCAUCAUACGUGUCAUCUUGAUGUUCUGCUUCAGCGGAGGUUACAUCAACCCAUUCGAAUCCAUUGCAACUGGUGGCUCCCUAAUUGCAGGCAUCAUAUAUGGAAUAUAAUUCUGUCAGAGUUAGACAUAGGUUUUUUUUCACCCACAUACAUAUUCUUUAAAUUAAAACUUACAUAGGAGGUUAGACACUUCCAGAAUGGCUUCCCUCGAUUUUUGUCAGAUUUUGAAACCCGAAGCACCAUUGUAGCUCCACAAUACUGACACCUCUUUGUUUGAGCGGGAGAUGAAGAUGAAGACAUGUUUAAUCUUCUCAGUUGUACCUCUUCUCACUCAGAUCUUCUCACUGAAACCUCUUCGGACUCAUACCUUCUCACUCAUAGUUGUCAUUCAUACCACUUCACUCAUAACCCUAAACUUGUCACUCAGCUCUCUCUCAUCUCUGCCCAAAUCGAGUUAUAUUUCUUUUUUUUGGGAUCAUUUGGUGGGUUGGUCACGAUGUCGACACCUGUACCGUCAGCAUUGUGACAUCUUUUAGCCCGAAAAGCAAUAUAAACUACUUCACUACCAAAUAUAUUUUCUGAAUAAUGACGGGACACUGCUUCAAUUUUAUUAAUUUAUUUAUAUUUCAUUAAGGCAACUAGUUGGAUAAGAAUCCGUCAUUAUUGGUUCCAUUUUAAUAACAUUACUAGGGGUAAUUGGGUGUGGGAAAAUGAAAAAGUAUAUGAUGGGACCUUCUGUCACUAGUCAGUAAUCCAUCACAUUUGUAUCAAUGAAUUUGAUAGUGGGAUAAACCCAAAAAUGGCUAUGCAAAUAGCCAUUUAAUUAACUUUUUGACUGUCUGACUCUGUAUGCACCGUUAUGACGUUUUCCCUUCUUUUGUCUUAAGUUUUAAUUCACUGGGGUUCAGUUUCUUUCAAAAGGGUCAACUUGGAAAAACCCCAACUGGAAACACCUUUUCAAAACACUAUAAACAGAGGCUAAAACAAAACGUGUACCCCAAAUAUUAUCAUUUAUCCCCUCUGCCACUCCUCAAAUCGUUCCAUUCCAAAAACUUUUCAAUGAAUUCGAAACACUUCACUACAGUCGGAGGAAAGAGAAGGAAGCAUGUCCAUUUCGAUAUGCCCGAAGCCUUCAUCCCGGAGUCCGCUUGGUUUCAAGUCAUGUUAUACGUGGCAACCGAAUCAUCGGAAGAUCUCUUCCGUAUGGCAUCUGUGUGACGAUUGUUCCGAACUUUGGCAAACAGUUCACAAGUGUGGAACACCAUUUCAAUGGCAAAGUACCCAGACCAUCCUAUAUGGUACCGUGCCAGACCUGCGGUCCAGCAUUUCUUGCAACAAUGCAGGGCUUGCGAUAACCCUGAGUCCAUAUUUAGAGAAGCAUUCGAAGGUUUUUUCAGGCACGGUAAGGUGGAAGCGUUGUAUGGGAUGCGCAUUGCAGCCACGGCAGGCCAUAUGGAAGCGGCAUAUGUAGUUGGACUACUUGGUAUGUCCGGAAUUGGUCAGUCAAAAGAGGAUGCAUUACAAUUCUUGUGUUCUUUGAAUCAACGUAACAACAUUGAUAUGAAAGGAACCAGGGAUGCUUUGACAGGAAGAUUUCACGGAGCAUUUGUUGCAAGACAUAUCGUAGAUAUGUUUGACUAUGGGAAGAUUAAGUUCAAUCGGUGCAGCGCUUGUAACAACAAUGAAUGGUAUUUUGUUAUUCCAGGCUGGCCUAGUGAAGACAAGAUAAAUCCUGCGUUGUGGACUUGUUGCAAUCGAUGCAAAUGGCACCGUGAGAGUAUUUUUUGGUGCAAACUGAUGCGUGAGUAUGUUGUGCGAGGGAAUCACGUAUUUUUGCAUUAGUUUUAGUACGAAUUUACGGUUUUGAUGCAUUGUGGACUUGCUUCUCUUCACUUCUAGGUUGGCUGGCUACGUUAUACCUAUCUCAGUUUAAAUGUUGUUCAAAUGUUGGUAUUUUGUCAUAAACCGUUUUAUAUAUAAAUGUAUAAUAUUUAUUAUAUAGCGGAAUUAUUACUUACAUCAUAGACGGCUAGGAAUGACAUUUUACUGACACAGAUAUUUUGCUCACCGACCCCAAUCUUCAUAUUUGAUAAACGAAAAGUUAUGCAUGGAGUAAAUAGGUGUCUUUUCACCAGUGCUUGGGAAUGACAUUUUCCCACUUAGCAUAUCCGAAAGGAUUUGGUUACACGUUUCUUAACCUAGGGGGUUGAACAGUGAAUGACGUAGACUAUUUUUUGUGUGUGGAAGGAGUACAAUGGAUGACUUGUAUAUUUCCAUAUUAUGUUUCAAAACAUCCCUUCAACCUAAAAAAUAAAAAAAUUAACAAAUUGAAGAACAGAGAAACCGAUGAGCACUACAAAUGGCCUAUUCGCACGGAAAAUAAAAUUGUUUUCAACAAGUUGGACUAAAUAUAAUUAACAAAUGGACAGCCUAAAAAGUAAUAUCAUAAUAAUUAUAAUAAUUGUGGAUAAAUAAUAAUAAAAUACUAAUGUAACAUAACCAUUAAACAGGGAAUGCAGUAGGAAGAUGAAAUCGCAAUAAGUUCGUAGAAAUUUUGGGAUCGUUUUUCUAAUUUUUGUGUAUUUAGUUAUGAAUUUUCCAAGAAAAAAGGUAAUAAAAUAAUAAUUUAGGGUAAAAUGGGAGGAUGUGGCCAUGUUCGGUAACGUACACUUGUGCAAGUAGUCAAAAGUGACGGGCUGAGAUCGCGCCAGGUGUCAUAUUCUUGUUAAUUUUGGAUUCUUUUGUUAAAAAAUCUUUGAAACUAGGUAAUAAAUAGUAGGAAAAUCGUAAAAAUGGCCCAAAAAUUACUCCGGCCUCCUUUUGACGUCCUAAAACUAGGAGAACCUAUAAAUCAUUCGUCUCGCAAUGAAAUAAUCCAAAUUGUGUUACAUAACUCACUUUCCUCUUAACCCUAAGUAUUGAUGUUUGUUAACUUCAACUUGAAUAACCUACUUCAACAAGCAUCUCCCGUUAAUAUUGGGAAUUAAUUUUACAAAUGCGUAACAAUGAAUCGGAGAAUUCAGCAACGGAGAUGGAGUGUCAAUGAGUUCGUAGCAAUUUUCGGAUAAUUUUUUUAUUUUGUGUGUAAUUAGUUCUGAUUUUUGUAAGGAAAAGUAAUAAAAUAAUAAUUUAGGGUAAAAUGGGAGGGUGUGGCCAUGUUGACUGACGUACACUUGUGCAAGUAGUCAUCAGUGACGGGCUGAGAUCGCGCCAGGUGUCCUUUUGCUAUUAUUUUGGCUUUUUUAGUGCAACAAUCUGUGGACAUAGGUAAUAAAUUCUACGAAAAUCCAAAAAAUGCCCGGAAAAUGAGAAAAUGAAAAUUAUUUGUACAUAACUCACUUUCCUCUUAACCCAAAUUCACGUUAACACGUAUAUUUCGGAUAAUAUUCGAAAUAUAAUUUCUAAUAAUACAAUAUUUAGUUUCACUAUAUACAAUAAUAUGUUUUUUUUAUAAUAAUGUACAUAAAUAAUAAUUGCACAUGCUUUGAAGCCAUCAUUGCAACUACGCCUAGAGCUUUGAAGACGUCAGUUCGUAUUCAAUAAGUUGUCCACAUGCAACUGCACCUAGAGUUUUCAACACGUCAGAGGUAUUCAAUAAGUUGUCCACAUGCAACUGCACCUAGAGUUAUUAACACGUCACAGGUAUUCAAUAAGUUGUCCAUAUGACGCCGCAUUGGGAAUCAGUAAUAUAUUUUCAAUCAUGUCAAAUCACAUAAAUAAUGCCAUACUUUUUCUCAAUAACCUCACACAAGUGAAGCAAUUUUAAAACCCUUAGUGAAUAUUUAUCCUAGUCUAUAUGAGUGAUUAUAUAAUCAGUUGCAUAAUAUUUUUUUCACAGUAUAUGUUAACUUUGAGAGGGAUUCCACAAACAUAAAAUAUAAAGAAAGCAAGAAAUAGUAGGAAAUGAACCAGUACAAAAAACAAUAUAUAAAGUGUACAUAAUAAUUCCAUAACCUUGUCACAAACGCACUCACAAAAGCUUUUCCAUAAACCUUGUCCUAACAUAUAAUAAAUAAAGGCAACAUUGCAUAUGAUGCAACCAUGUCCAAAUCUGAUAAGUGAUCAAAAACAAAUGGACAUGGCAGCAACAUAUGAUUGAAGUAGAUGGGCUCUUUGCAUCUUCUGUUUUCGUAAUUAAAGACAUCAAAAUAUUAAGGUUUAAAUCUUCCAUAGUAGUUAGCAUCAAAAUAGCUUUGAAGCAGAGUGUAACGAAAAUUCCAAUUCCACUUAUUUGCCUCUGCUCAAACACGAGAACCAAAAUGGUUACUUCCCUUGCUGAGUAUAUUUGGUGACGUCGGAAACGGUAAUAGAUGACCAAUCAAACCCGGGUACGACGAGUUUUGCAUAGGAUCGGAAGUAGUCGAAUCCAGCUUGCAUCACACGCUUCUUUGACUCCACUACAUUAGAUGAGUUCUUGUAUUUUUGAACAGCUACACUCUGAAGUCGUUUGUGUCUACGCUUCAUGCGCUGCAACUUCGCCCUAUCCAGAUUGGCCUGCCUUUUGUCAUCUUCAAUUUGGCCUUCCACAAAUUCCAAACGUGCCCUUGCCCUUUGGAUUUCAUCACCAAGUUGAAGAUGCCUCUCCUUCCAAAAAGCAACAACUCUUUCAGACUCAAAACUUCCAACAAAAUGGUCAUUCUGUCUAGCAAUGUGACAUUGCUUGUCUGGUGACUCACUUGCGUGUCGAAGCCGGUCUUUGUUUGGAGGGGUGUUUAUUAUACUCACAUCAAACUUGGUUGUGCUUAUGCUCAUUCUUUGGGGGGAAUGAGUUUGUUUGCUUGAGAGAGUAUCGGUAGAUGGAGACAGAUUCGGUGGAGGAGUGAGUUUUGUGUGGAAGGAGAUUUUAUAUGAAAGGGGUGAUAGUAAUACCAAGAAAAGGGUUCCCGCCAAAAAAUAUUUGGUUGACAAAGUAGAAAUUAUUUUUUUAGUCUGAUACAAUCUAAGUUUAAUCCUAACUAGUUUGGUUGAGUUAACUAAGUAGAUGUCACUUCCAUUGACUUUCUUUCAACAACUAUCAGUGGUGUAAGGAGAGUGUGAGGUUGACAUGCUUGAAAAGCAAAAGCUGACACCUAUUUUUAAAAAAUUCCCGCCAAAAAGUACAUAUGUUGACUACACACAAGCUUUGGUAUGUUGGUCUAUAAACCUAUGUUCCCUUUCUCAAACGAAAUUGCAUAUGCAAUCCUCAUCCUCCCAAAACAAAGAGGAUUAUUCAAGCAUGUCAACCUCUUCAGGCGCCAACAACACAAUCGAACAUGACAAAUUGGAGUCACAGGUUCUAUUUCCACAUUGUACUCGCCGACCCCUUCCUUUUUCAACAUCAUUUGGGAGUGAGGGGGACUCCGAUGAUCCAUUAGAGGCAAUACAUGCAGUCAGUGGCAAGCUGGAUUAUAAUUCCAGACUGAUCAAUUCAUGGCACGAGAAAUGUGUUGAAGACGAGGCAAUUUUGGCUGAUCUUAACAUUAGGGUGAGCAAAGCGUUAUCCCAAAAGAACAAGUACUUGAAGCUGAGUCAUAGCAGGAAGCUGAAAGCUGAGGAGUUGGAUACAGUAAUGAAUGAUGAAAUGAAAGGUUGUUUGAUGAACCAUAUGCGAUGCGAACAGCACCAUACUGAACUGGAGUUGGCAUUCAACGAAGGAUUCGACAAAUUCCGAGCAUUUGCGGCAACUACUCAUACAAGUUAUGAUUGGAACUAUGUGUCCCCUGAUGCUGUGAGAGAGAUACUAGACGAUGGGGGUGACAUGAAUGAGCAUAAGCACGUCAAAGCUGCUCGGAAGAAGCCGACCGAUACGACUAAGUGAUUGCGGCUACCGCUGUUCAGUUAGUUGAGGGUGACCGUGGUAUUGCACAUAUACUCCCUUAAUGUCAUUAUCUAACUUAAAAUAACACAAAUAUCAGUUUCAUUUGCUUGAUAUAUAAUUAUUGGGACUAUGUAUUGCAAGUCAUCAUGUGUUAUAAUGUCUAACAUUAUAUUUUGCAAAUAUGGAAAUAUUAUUCAAGAAGCAGUCAAUAUCACAGAAAGCCGGGAAUCAGUAAAUGCUCCUUAUCAUGUCCAUUUACAUUAAAGAGCUGGAGUACUAAUGUGUUCAAAAAAAACUGACACGUGAGUCAUAAGUAACAUAACAUGUGCUAUACAUUGUUUACUGAAUGGUUUAUGGUUUAUUUGUAUAUAAUAAAAUUUCAAAUAUUGCUGAAGAUUUAUUUCGUGUAUAUCACUAGGGAUAUGAGUGGCCAUAAGCAUGUGAGACCUGCUAAGAAGAAGCUGACGAGUACGACCCAGUGAUUGGCUACCGUUGUUCAGUUGGUUGGGGAGAUCGUGGUAUUGCUAUGAGGAAGCACACAAUAUGUUUUGCAAUCAAAUGUUCUUUUGUGUGUGGAAUUAUGAGUAUUUAUGUAAGUUAGUGUACCCUUUAAUAUUUUUCACCUAAGUAUCGAAAUGCAGUUUUUGAAUGUUAUGUUUUUUUUUACCCGCUGCUUUCUAUUUGCUCUGUUCCAACAAAGUGCUUCAAGUAUCCUUCACUUACAAAAGUGUACAAAAUCGUGCCCCUAAUAACCAGUCGGAAAAAGUGGCUACUGCUGGAAAUGAUUACUGGUAAUGGAAACAACAGCUGGCUGCUGUAAUUGCUGCAUUACCGUGAGGAUUUGAAAAAUGAAUCUCUGUUAAAACAAAUUUCACCCUAAACUGCCCAUUUUACAUGGUAAAAGUCAUUGCUUCUUCAAAUCUUUUGCAGCUACACGAUGCGUGGUCAGAAUCUUUGACAUAUACGACUUCUGCCACUCUUGUUUCCCAAUUUUUUCUUUCGCUCACGUUGAACACAACUUUACAAGCAUCCUCUGUUUUGAGCUCUAGGAAACAUGCUGUACUUUGUAUUAGUUCUUGCUCAAACUUUUGAAACAUUGUCCUUGUGUACAAGGUAGCCAUUUGUUUGUUCAUUGGCAUCGGUAGAAGACAUUGAGCCACUUCAAAUGCAUCUGCGUGAUCAGCAACUAACUCUUUUUCACGUUGAUGAGAAAGUGCCCUCUCAAAUCGUAUUAUGAAAUCCAUCAACGAAUUUCUCCUUGAUAUGUAUUGCUUGAAAAAACCAUGAGAACCUUCCGCUCUUUGGCUGCUUGACAUUCCAGCGGCAAAAAAUUGUCGUGCGUAGGCUGGAACCCAAGAUUCCCUUAAAUCAAACAUUGAACUUAGCCAUGGAUGGUCAGUCAAACCAGCCUUUGUAACCACAAUAUUCCAUUUUGCAUCAAACUCAUCCUUAUUGUCAGUAUCCCAUAUGGCUUUCUGAAAUUCAGGCCAAUACUCCUUAUAAGCGUCACGUGGUAACUUAACAGAGAACUUUGAUGUGAUGUGCUAUAUGCAAAGUCGAUGAAAUGUACUCGGGAAGGCUAUUGAAAUCGCUAUGGCCAUUGCCGCAUCUUGAUCUGUAAUGAUCGUUUUAGGUUCCCCACCUGGCAUGGCUUUCUUAAACUCCUCAAACAUCCAAACAAACGACUCAGUCGUUUCCUUGCUCAAAAAUGUGCAUGCUAACACAAUUGUCUGACCAUGGUUAUUAACUCCCAACAUUGGUGCAAAUGUCAAGUCGUAUCGAUUCGUGUUGAAUGUGGUAUCAAAUACAACAACAUCUCCAUAAAACCCAUACGCCCGUCUAGAAGUUGCAUCUGCCCAAAAACAUCGACUAAACCUAUCAUGCCCAUCUCCCUCAAUCUUGAAAUAAAAAGCCUCAUUUUUUUUCUGUUCAGCCAUAAAAUACUCGGUCACUAGUUCAACAUCGUGGUUCCUCAGCUUCCCAAUCACACUACAUUCAAGAUUGUAGAUAUCUUUUUUGAUAAAACCGAUUUUAUCCAUUCCUCCGGAUUGCACCUCGAAAAUACUUACCUUCUGAUGAAUGGGAAUAUUAACUGAACCCAACUGUUUUGUGAGUACUUUUGUAGAAUCUGAAAUAUGACGGUGUGAUCUCAAUAAAUGCAUUCUUUCUAAGGGUGUCAUCUUAUGAUUGUGUCCCUCUGCAAAAAGAGAAAUGUUAUACUUGUUGCUCCCAUUUGUCUUCACAACCACAAUCUUUGCUUUGCAAUUGCAUCUACUUAUUCCCCGUUGUCUUUUUCUCUCCCGAGUUUCAUCCUUCCUGUAUGCACCUUGUUUGCAACAUACAAAUUCUUUCCUCAAAAUCUCUUUCUUAUUUUUCCCCCAAAAGCUAGAAUGAAGUCGAAUACCAAAGCCAGCCAAGAAUGCAUAUCUAUUAUAGAAAUUGUAAACGAGGUCAAGCGAGUCAAACUUCAUCCCAACUGCUGGUGUUUCCUCAUUUCUUACUUCAGGAAUAUAAACCCUCCCAUUAGCUGUUGCACAUUCAUCACUCUCUGAGCCCCCAGACAUUUUAUCUACGUAUAUUAUUGAUCCACUUCUAUAUUACUGCAUAGCAAUUAUUCAUUCAUUAAUCAGUCAUUACUGCAUCACAACAUAUCAAUGCAUUCCACUUACACAAAACAUUGCCCAAAUUGACACAAAAUACGCAUAGCCUAACUUCCGAUUACACAAAACACAAGCAAAAUUUCAUAAAAGUUACGUCAUCUCUUGUGAAAUAAUCUGGUCAAAAUAACAUUAGAACCAACAUGUUCAACUAAGAACACAAAUGUAAUUCAAACCACCAAUUACAGAACUUCACCCAAUAUCCUCUCCAACUGCUUACUCCUAAUGUCAUUAAGCCUAAGUUUAGGUUCUUUUACCUACAUUUCAUAAUUUUUCACCCCGACCAACAACAAUGAACUAAGUAUAUUGAAUAUUCACAAGGAAAUGACACAUUAUUGAUGCCACAAAUGACGAAUUUCCCACCCUCACAAAAAAUAAACCUAACCCAAUAAAAUCAAUCCAGCAAGUGAACUUACCUCUCAAAAUCAAUCGAGAGCUCUGAAGUCAGUCAGCUUGAAAGAAUGUGGUGGACAUUAGAGAAGACUCUUUGGUAUUUGAGACUCCAUCUCUAUCAAAAUCGAGGAACAACUGCUGCUGCGGCUUCUAGCUACAAAAACAGAUAUGCUACUUUGCUUUCAUCUAGAAUCUUGUCAGCUGAAUGAAAAAGAGAAGGGGUUUUCACUUGAGCCAUAGAAUCAAAACAGGGCAACAGCUAGGUAAGAGCCAUUCUUCGUAAUACCCAGGAUACCAUAGAUCGCAGGCCUCCCAACGAGCUAAUGACAGUGGAGUGACUAUAAGGUUUGGGAGAUUUGGAUCCUUCUAAUUGUGGGUUUGCUUUACAUUCAAAAAGAAAGGAUUGUGUUCUUCAGUUUUUCACAGAGAGGGAAAGAGGGGAACAACUGAAGUUGGGUUUCUAACGGGUUAGAUUUCAACCCGAUUCUACAUGCACCCUCUUUUAAAAACUCACCGUUGGAUGAAAUCCAACGGCUCUUACAUACCCCUCAAAAACACCCCUUAUAACUUCCCACUCACUAUAGAAGCUCCCCCAACUAAAUCCCAAAAGGGAAACAGAUUUGAACAACAUACAAAUUUGAAGGACACACAAAUAUGAAUCUCAGCACCGGUGAGAAAUUAAUUUUAGUUGAGGUUGGUAGGUAGGCAUUGGAAGUUUUUAUUGUUUUUGCUCCAAGUCCCUCCUCCACUCACUAAUACAGAUUACUCGCAAAUGAACUAAAGUCUGCAGGGAUAUAUGGACUCCCCUGUCCAUACGAAUGUUGGAAGAAAUGUGUGUUAAAUUUUAGAGAGACGGGUCUGUGACCCACCACUAGCAACGUUGAUAUUGUCUCCAACUUAACUACAUGUUUAGUAGAUGUGGGGUUUUAUACAAAAAGUAUUGAUGUUAUUGGGAAUGGAACCACUUAUUAUAAGUUAAAAUUUAUUUAGUCAAGUUUCCUAUGUGGGACUUUCUAUUCUUCAACAAGCCCCUUCAUGUGGGACCACCACAUAGUGGGCCACACGUAGAGCCAAGUCCACAUCGGAGUCAAUCAUUCAAGCCCAAUACCUAAACACCACGUAUUGUGUGAGGGGUAGGGGUAAACAUUCAAGCCCAACAUAUGAACACUGUAACAUCCCAACUCCAAAUUUAAUCCCUUAUUUAAAUUAUUUAAGUGAAAUUACAAAUUUACCCUUGGGGUAGGGAUAUUUUGGUCAUUUUCUUACCCGAAAAGAGUUUGGGGCAGUGACUAGUAUUUUUUGGUAGAUCGUACUGAGAUGAGUCUGUAGACAUGUAGUGGGCUCGAUUCGGAGUUGAAACGAAGAAGUUACGAGCAAAACAUCACCAAUGGCAAAACCGUAAAUAUUUCAAAAUGAAUUUUUAAUAAAAAAAACCUGAAAAACCCUCUCUCUCUCUCUCUCUCUCUCUCUCUCUCUCUCUCUCUCCUGCGCACAGCCCCUUUCCCCCCUUCGUUUUUUCUUUCCGUGGCUUCCAAGAGCCACCAUCGCCACCACGAAUCACCACCGGCCAUGAGGCCGGACUCGUUCGAACUGCCGCCGCAUCCUCUUCCUGUUCCGGUCGCUCCCAGUCGCUGCCAUCCGCUGUGCUGGCCGGAAAUCGAAGAAAACCAGCCGAUUUUUGUCAAACUUUCGGCCGCUCGUUCUCCCACUUCCGGCCACCAUUUUGGCCAUCCAGGUAUAGAUUUUGAACCUCUCGAGCUGUUCUUGCUGCCUGUUGUGUUAGAUUUGGGAGAUUUCCGCGUUUUGAAGGUCGAUUAAACGAUGGAAGUUUGGCUGGUUUUUGGCCUCCGAUUCCGGCCACUUUCGGUCACUUUUUGGGGUAGGUCCAAGAACAAAAGUGGUUCCAAAUAGGGUGUUAUACCUAGGGUAGGAGUCUUGAGCCGUGGUUUUGAGAUUUCUCGGUGAUGCGUAAUCGCUUUGGACACCCAUACGCUACCGGCGCGUGUGGUGGCGCGUGGGCACUGUAGAAAUGGGGUAUUGUGUCCCGAUGCGAUCCCCUUGUUGUCACGAGUGUGUAGUGUGCUCGGAUUCCAAUUUGGUUGACAUUCGAACCCCGAACGAAUUUCUCCUAUUGCACGUUAUCCGCGUUUGAUAGGUUUGAACCGUUGGAUAGUCUUGAAUUUAAUAUAUUUAAUCUAAGCAUUUCUAGGAUCGUGUAGGAAUUCACGGAUCAUGAAUCGGAACCCCGGAUGUUCCGAUUUAAUAAUUUAAAGUUUAUGUUUAUAUUAACUGUCAGAUCGUGCAAUCGUGAGCGAUCCGACCUUCCGAUCCGGACCAAACGUGCAGGACGUAUAUCCUAAACCUUGUGGAACCUAUAGGAACUUUCGAAUCAGAAUUUAGAGGUCGUGGGCCUAGUGGCCCCGUUUGACCAAGUGUGGAUAGUUUGACCCUUGGUUGACCUUGAGUCUUCCAAGGUAGUUUUCCUUCCUAGAAGGAUUAUAAUGACCCUAAUGACAGGUCUUGAGCGUUGUUGAGCCAUGUUGACUAGGUUAAGAUUUUUAGAGUGUUUAUUAUUGUCGUAGGAAACUCUUGGACAUUAUUUUAAUAAUUGGAAUUAUAAAAGUGAGUUUUGGGUUCGGCUAUGACUUUAGUGAAUGGACUUUAUUUUUAAAUGAAUAGCAUGGCUUUGUGAUGGAAUUUUUAGGCAUGUGAAUUUAAUGGUUUAUUGAAAUUCAUUUUUAUAAUUAAUAGUUAAUUUAGCAGUUUUGGUAAAGUAUUAGUGAUGUGUGGGGUACUUGGGAUUUUGUUGAGGUUUAUACAAUAUUAGAGAUUAACUUAUAUAUUUAAAUAUAGGUAUGAAUGUAUGAAAAGAGUUUAGAAUGUCAGUUUGAAGUACUAUACGCACUACCCUAGGUACCUCAUCGGAUUUUGAUUACACUAUAAGUACCACCCUGUGAUUGUCAGGUCACCCAUGGCGUAGGAUUUUCCGGCGGAAUGACAGACCCCAUACGUGACGUUGGAAUUUCCGGCGUAUGGGGAGAUGAUAUUAUGAUUGUUAAGUCACACGUGGCAUAGGUUAUCCGGAGUGCUGACAGACCCCAUAUGUGGCGUUGGAAUUUCCGGCAUAUGAGGAGAUUAUGUGAUUGUUAAGUCCCACGUGGCGUAGGUUAUCCGGCGGGAUGAUAGACCCCAUACGUGGGGUUGGAAUUUUCGGUGUAUGGGGAGAUGAUAUAAUGGUUAGGUCACAUGUGGCGUAGGAUUUUCCGGCUUGAUGACAGACCCCAUACGUGGCAUUGGAAUUUCUGGCAUAUGGGAGAUUAUGUGGUUAUUAGAGAGAUGAAUUAAGAUUAUUAUACUGAGUUGGGAACGAAUGAUGUUUGAAAAAGAUUUUGUUUGGGAUUUCUGCAAUUGAUUGCAUGUUGAUGGACUUGGAAAUUUUGUAUGAAAGAACUACGUGUGGCUUGAUCCCUUAGUAAGGGUACAUAUGCAGCUUAGGGUAGUGCCUAGGUGCAGCCGUGUGCUAAACUUUACUCAUGUUGUGUGAUGGAGAUUCGUUCGGACCUUGUUGUUAGUCCUGAAUUUUAGGUGAAAAUGAGAUGCAGUCUUGUUAGGAGGUUUAAAUUUUCUACGUUUAAUAUUUGGGAAUUUAGAUGAUGGAAAUCGCAUUUGGCGUUCAUAAAUGUGUUUGAGUUUAUAUUUGCAUUGUUUAGAGUUAGUUGGUGGUUUCGUUUCGAAUUAUUUGAAGGCCGAAGGCUGAUUAUGUGAUUUAUAUGAAAUUAUCUUGUGCAUACUGCCAGUUGUGAAUAUCAAAUGUGUUUUAUGCACGUUGAAAUUUUUAGGAUUGUUCAACUUACAGGGGAGACUGCCGAAAUUUCGGCAUAAAAUCUCGUGCCCUUAUUCCUUAUUGGGAAAAAUGAUUUAGUUUUAGAAGUGGGUUCGACAUCGGGGUGAUGUCGGGAAUUUUCACAGGAUUCAUCUCGGGUUUCGGGAAAUUCGGGUCGGGUCCUGUCAAACACCACGUAUUAGGUAAGGGUAAAGGCUCAAUUCAGGCCCAGUCAAUCAACCCAUUAUGAUAUCAUGUUAAAUUUCAGAUAGACGGGCCUGUGGCCCACCACUAGUAACAUUGAUAUUGUCCCCAACUUAACUACAUGUUUAGUAGGUGUGGAGUUCUAUACAAAAGAUCUCGAUGUUUUUAGGAGUGAAACCACUUAUUAUAAGUUGUAAUUUAUUUAGUCAAGUUUCCAGUCAACCUGACUUUGAUACCAUGUUAAGAUUUUAAAGGGACGAACUCUUGGCCCACCAUUAGCAAUAUCGACAUUGUCCCCAACUUAACCACCUGUUUAACAAGUGUGGGGUUUUAUCCUAAAGAACUCGAUCUUAUUAAGAGUGGAGCCAUUUAUUAUAUGAAACUUUCUAUUUUGUUAACUCUGUGUAUUCUUCAUCAAUGUGAACACCCCUAAACCAAUCAUACCUGAUACGGAUUGAAACACAAGUUUGUUUUUUGCCUUUGGUAGAUGAGUAGCUAGAAAAGCUCAAUGCACUUGCUCUUCUUCUGCUACAUUUCAAUAUAAGAACAAGGUUUGGAAGCCAGGUCAACUCCUCAUAGUUUCCUUGCCUUUGCUUUGACAUGUCUAUGCACUUCUUGGGGAAGUUUGAAUAAUCAAUUGCAGGCCCCACGACAACUAAGGAACCAACAUUUUGUAGAAGGUUUUGUCUACACCUUUUGACUAUAAGUAAAAUCUUUUGUAUCUGCUCUUAUGUUUCGGUGAAGUUUCUAUGUGUCCUUUGUUGAACGAAAAAAUGAGGUUGUUUCUUACUAGAUUCAAAUACUUAAAAGAAAAAAAGAAAUUAUUGUUUCUUAAUUGAUUUUAUGGUGAACAAUAUCAAACUCUCCUCUUAUACGUCUUCUUCGUUGGACUUGGGGUUGUUUUCCUUAUAUGUCCCUUAUAUAUAUAGGGCCUUUGGUUGAGCCCACAAAUACCUUCAGUUAGUUUUUGGGUUUAGGGGCCUACAGAACCUGCACUAAACAAUAAAAGAAAAUACCUAAUUAGUUUAGUACGAAUUCUAUAAUGAAGGCUUUAUUAGGUAAGAUUUUAUUUCUUAAUCGUUAGAUCAAAUUUGACAGGACCCGUUCCUGAAUUUCUCGGAAAUCAGAGCGAACCCCGUCCUUGUUUCGACAUCACCCCGAUGCAGGGUCCACUUACUAAAAACCGAGACUUUCUACCAAAAUUUUGAUAGAAUCUCCCUUGUAAAUUGAGCAAACCCAACAAAAAUUUCAGCCUGCAACAUACAUAAAAAUAAUCCCAACCAGCAGCAUGCUUACAACAUACAACAAAACGUACUAAAUGGCCUCCGGCCUCACAAGUAAAAUUUAACAUGGGUAAUCUACUGAUGUAAACGAUUCGGCCUUCGAACACUGCUUGCAACCUUCCUGAAGCGACUACUGGCUAAGGGGCGCAAAACAGAAAACAUGUGAGUGGACAAAAACAAGAUUCAAUUAAAACAACAUAGUAACCCCACCGUGUAAAAAUAAUGCUCAAGACAUGUAGGUUUACAAUUCAUAAUUAAAUAUUCAAAAACAAAUUUCAUUUAAAAUUCUUUAAAACCACAAAUCACUCCAUCCAUAAAACCUCAUGCCCACAAUUUUACUGCUCCUACCAACCCACUGUAUAGACUCUAAUUUCUUCACAAUCACAACUAUAUAUAAAUAUAUAAAUUGUAUCAUACAACAUACUCCUCACACUACUUAGGUACAGGGGAAACAAUCCAACCGGAGGAUCGUUUAACUAGCCCGCAGGAUUUUCAGGUGCUAUCCUGAGUCUAGGAAUGAGUGGUCCAACCAGGGGACGAAACUCUAUAGCUCACACACCGGAACAUCCAACGCCACGUGUAGCUCCAAUACUAAGUCCUACAGGCACAGACUGGAUCACCACACACCGGAACAUCCAAUGCCAUAUGUGAUAAUCCCAAGCAAUAUACAGAGUCUUCCCAUACGUCGGAACAUCCAACGCCGCGUAUGGAAAGUGUUCACACGCCGGAACAUCCAACGCCACGUGUGGGAAGCCUAUUAACUGGGGAAAGUACUUACAUAGUGUAAUCAUACAAUUUCUCUCAACAACUCCUCAUACUCAAGUUCUUCCACAAACUCACCUCAACAAUCCCAAGUACCCCACCUAUAGACAAUAUAUAUAUAACUUCCCCAAAAUCUAUACAAAACAUACUCUCGAUAUCCAAAUAUGCCAAACUCACAAUAUAUUGCCAAAGUGCAAUACAAACAUCAAAAUCAACACAUGAAUAUAAUAUAUAUUCAAUAUACCAUUUAAAACAUUAUGCGUAAAUCUUUCAUCAAUAAAACCAUGCGUAUGAUUGAAAACAAAGUCCACUCACAAGUAUUCCUACGCUGCUUGACCACGAGAGAGUCCUGCCUGCUGAGUACGUGCAGUAGGAGCACCUAUUUUGAGAUACAAACCUUUAAUUAAUAUAAAAUUACUUCAAAACGGAAAACACAAAUUAAAUACUUAAAUCCCCAAGUUCCCAGUACAUGUACGUUGAACGAGGUAUCCUAAGGUCUAGUUACAAGUUUGGGAAUCGCUCACGAUUGGACGGUUAUCGCUAACCCACAAAUUUUGAAUUAUUGAAUCGGAACAUUCGGGGCUCCGAUUCACGAUCCGUGAAGUCCUACGUGAUCCUAGGAAUACCUAAAACAACAUAUUUUAAUUGGAAAACGCACAAUAUGCGAAAAUCCGUUCGAUAGUCAAACGAUGUCCGAAUUGAGAUUCGCAAAAUGCUACGCACUCGUGACAACCUGAGGAUCUCAUCAGGACAAAGUGCAACUUCACCACCCUCACCCACGCGCCGGCAGCGCGUGGGUGUGUAGAGUAAAUUCCGGCGAUGGAAAAACUCCACACCUACUUGAGGUCAGGAUCUCAUCACUCAACUACAGGGAGGUUCAAUUAGGACGGCAACUGGCCGGAAUUUCACUUUGAAAUCCAGCCAAAACUUAGGUUUUCUAAUCGGUUCCUAGACAACAAAUCGAUCUAAACCUAUGCAACAGUCAGCUAGACUAAGGAAAAAGAGGAAGAAACCUCACAUUUUUCACUGGAAUCGGAAGGGAGAGGCGACGGGGCGACGUCGGGAAGACUCGGGUUUGAACCAGUCGAUGCCGUUGACGAUUCUCGCAUUUUUCGGGGGGACUUUGGGUGGUUCGGGUUAGUGGCUUCACGACGAGUCGAACGGGACCGGUCUCGGGGGCUGGGGUGGUCGGGUGUGGUGGCGGUGUGGUGGUUUUCGUCUCGGUGAACAGUAACAGGGGAGGGUUUCGCACGCGCAGAGAGGGACUCGGGAGAGAGAGAGAGAGAGAGAGAGAGAGAGAGAGAGAGAGGAGAGAAAAGAAAAAUUAGAUUUUUACUCUCCUCUUUUCAAAAUAUUUACAAGUUUGCCACUAAUGAUGUUUUGAUCGCCAUUUUCUUGUUACAACUCCGAUUCAAGCCUACCGCAUGUCUAGGAAUUCAUCUCAGUACCACCUACCCAAAAUUACCAGUCAUGGUCCCAAACUCUUCCCGUAACAGAAAAUGACUAAAAUACCCCUACCCCAAGGGUAAAUUCAUAAUUUCACUUAAAUAAAUUAAAAAUAGGAAUCAAAUUUGGAGUCGGGGUGUUACAAAAUUGGUUAGUACGAUCCAACGGUUAAUAGAUAAAACUUUACAUAAAAGUCAUAUAUAAGGCCCUCACUAUAGAAUGACUCGUUAGUUUAGUCUCUUGUUACAUAUCAACUGUUAGAGAUAUUUUUUUAAUAAGGAUCUACCAUACCACAUAGUUGGAUAAGACAUUAUACACAACUUUUGUAAGAGCAUCUCCAGCGAGCCAGGCCAGCCCAAGCAGCAAGGGGCCUUAAGCCCGGUAAGCAGCUCCAGCGCUCAAGAUUCAGCCCAGGCAAGGUGUGGAACCCACAAGGAGAUCUGGCCCGUCACCUUGCCUUUGGGUUUCAGUCAGGCUGAUGUCAACGAAAGAAUUUCAAAAAAAUUUUGCCGUUGCAAUGCACGCGCCAACGAUAAAUUUUCUUUGGAUUUCUUGCGUUGAUCCACAGCUACCAAAAACCAACGGCUACAAGCCACGUGGCUUCUCCAAGAGCCUCUGAUCCAAAAAUCUUGUCAAAUCUAACGGCUGUCCAUUUUUUGGCUAAAAAAAUAUCAAAAAAUUAUGGAAACAUUUUCUAUAAAUACCUACAAAUAUUAUUCACUUCCCACACCAAACCUUCAUACAAAUUCAUAUCCUUUCAAUAUUUUUCACUUUCCACACAAGAUUUUCUACUACUAAAUUUCAUUUGUGUAAAAAUACAAGUGGCCUCUUCUAUCAAAGCCGGAGGCGCGUGGACAACCGUGGAAGAUAUUUUGUUGUGUGAGUGUUGGGUCAAAGUUGGUCAUUGCCCGAUCACCGGCAAUGAGAUGAAGUCCUCUCGUAGGAGUUUCUGACAUCGCAGCGAAAGUAAGAUGUGAUAUGAGAAUGUAAGGAAUUUGAUGAGAGGAAUGGGAUUUGAGGAGUUUGAUGUAGGAAUUGAUGUUGAAUUGGAUUUGGGAGGUAUGUAUAUAUGAUUUGAGAGUAUGUGUUUAGGGAUUUUGAUAGGAGGAUUUGAGGAAUUUAGAUUUGAGGGAUUUGGAUUUGGGGAAUUUAAAUAUGAGGAAUUGAUUUAGGGUUUGGGUUUGAAUAUGAGAAAUUUGAUAUGAGAGUUUAGAGACAACUGAUGAUUGAUUGCUCUAAUACCAUGCUAAAAUAUAAAUAUGGUUUGAAUACUUUAGGUUGAGUUUUAUUCUUUUCCAUAAGGAGGUAUAUAUAGCAGUUUACAUGAGUGUUUUACAAGGAAAUAGAUACAGUAAUCAAUUAGGAUAAUAUCUCCUAAUUAUACAAUAAUUUGUCAACUAUAUAGAAUAGGAAAGUAAAUUCCUUAAUUAAUCAAGAAAAUAAAUCUCAUUGAUUAAUUAAGAGACUAACGUCAACAUUUAUAAGCCAUGGAAGAGCAGAAAAAGAGGUACUUAGGAGAUUUUAUACGUCGGACUAAGGUAAGCUUAAAGGACUAUAUCAAAAAAAUAAGGGACCAAGAAGCAAGACUGAGAAGUUGUUAUGCAAACCCAUUAAGUUUAGCAGUGAUGAAUUUGUAAAAAUCAUUCUAGUGGAUGCUGCCUUCACUAUUGAGUUCUUAUUGAGGUUCUAUCUGAAAGGAUGUAGACAUGAAGGAGACCGCUUAUUAAACAAAUCAGCUCCCAUUCUUUAUUCUUGAGGAUCUUUAUCACACAUACAUAAUAACCGACUCUUUUAGGAAUUAUUACAGUACUCAUGAUCAUGAGAGGCUUUCAAUAAUUAAUAUUUCUAAGAAUUUCGUCACAGCUGGAAUAUUGAAUUUGGAGGGGAAGGGAGACAAAUGGAACAGAAUAUCAUCUUCUUCUAGUGUUGGAAAUUUUAUAUUAUUUAAUAAUAUUUAAUUUCUAUUGUGAAUGAAAAAUAAGUUUCUUUAAGAAACGUGUGUCUUAGGCCAGUUUUUCUAACUGGUCGGCUUCCUUAGAUUUGUGCCUAUUGCUUUUCAAAGUAUAAUGAUGCAAUGGUUGUAUCUCGUUCAGGCAAAUGGAAGGUAUAUAGCAAUUUAUAGAACAAUACAGUAAUCCAGAAGAAAUAUUAUGAAAUGAAAAGAAUAAAAAGUAAAAAAAGAGAAGGAAAGGAAUUCCCACCUGCAAUGUAUAUGUAUGAAAGGAAGGACCAAGUUUGUUUUAAAAUGGUAAGAACAAGUUGAUUUAUAAUUGGGUUCAGAUCAACUCAUGGAUUUCUUGCCUUUUCUAUUCUCCUUCCUUGGACAUGAACUGUUUAAUCUUGGCUCUUCCCCAUCAUGUUGGGCCUAUCUUCUUCUUGAGGAUUGUAUAGGCCCAGGAAAUGCUUCAAGAUAGUUUUUGUGUUUUGGGCAUUGGGACCUAACUUCACAAAAAGAAAACAGAUUUGGCCAAAAAACAAAUUUGAAGGACAUUGAAAUUGUACCUGUAGGAUAGGUUAAAACACUGUAAGGGAGGUAAAUAGUACGUUUACAUAGUUUAAGUGUAAUAAAGGAAUAAAAACAUGCCCAGAGGAUUGAUAAGUGAUAUCAAUUCUUGAAUAUAGAGAACGUAAAAUAAAGGAACACGUAUAAAAUUAUUUUAUGUGGUAAAACCCCAUCUCUAGGGAAAAUCCACGGGACUUCUUAGUCCAAAACAAAUCUAUUAUAGAACGAUGAUUACAAGAAGUACUCACACACUUAUCCUAGACACAUUCUAGAUAAUGUUUACUGACCUCUUCGUAACUCAACUUCUGUCACAGGAUGAUCUUUCGACACUUCUUAUGUUGAACGCAAUACUAGUCACGAUUUCUUUCAAGCUCAUUGGAGAAAAACCGCCACAACAGUCUCGGUGCCCUCAAUCUUAUGAGUCACUGAACAUGCAAAUGAAUACAAUAUGAAUGAUAAAAGUGUUUGAUAAAUCACCAAGUUAUGGAACACUUGAUGAUUUAUUUCAAGUAAAAAUUCAGCUUUCCAAAGUUUAUGAAUUGAAAAUAUGAUCGUUAAAGCUCUCUAAACAAAAAAAACGAAGGUCUUAUUUUAUAGACUUUUUCUUUACAAGAAAGAAAACACGUUGAAAACCAAAUCUCCAAUUUCAAGGCUUGACAGAAAAUCACAAAAGUAUCUUUCCUAUUCUAGAGAUUGGUCACAUGAAGUCCAACCAAUAGGAAAUGAGAUAUUUAAGAAAGGAAGAUUUUGAUCAAUAUCAAUAUCAAAUGAAUUCUUAUAUGCCUAGUCAACUAUUAAGGGUAUCUUAACUACUUGAUAUUAUGAUAUGAUUGAAACAUGAUUUCCACGUUAGAAAAUUAAGGGGAUUUUAAAACAUGAAAGUAAUAGGAGAAUCAAAUUGAUUUGGACCAAAAUUGCCUAAAAAGAAAACACUCCUAAAUAAACUUCAAUUCACUUUUAAAAACAGUAAAACUUGAUUGAAUCGUUCUUUAAAACAAUUCCCUAAUAUACAUGCAUGAUAGUGACAUCACUUACCUCUGAAUCAGAUGCCUUUUACGAGUCAAGCCACAAGUUUGUGUUUUGGGGAUUGCUGAGCUGCAUCAAUCCUGCCAAUGUCAAUUCUGCCCCUAGGCUCUCUCAAAGCACGUUUACAAUCUAUGCUAAUAUAUACUAGAGUUUAUGCUAGUAUCUAGAAAAUGCCAACACUAAUUUCGUAACACGUAGAAAUUGUUAGAGAUUGGAAGUUUUUUUCAUUUUUUUCUUCCAGACUCUCCACCACUCACUAAUACAGUUUACUCAUGUGAUGAAUUUACAAAACCUAUUUCUCUACUCUCACAAAGACUAUACUUAGGGGGGGUGUAUUCAAUUAGGAGUCUAGAGCGUUUAAAAAGAUUUUGUUUAAGUGCCAGCUUUCAUAGAACUUGAUGGAACUUUAUAAUUCGUAUAGAACUUGAUAGACUUUCAGAAGACUUCUGUAUAAUUUGUUAAUAAAACUUUCUUAAGCUUUCAUAGAACUUGAUAGGCUUUUAUUCCAGAAUUAUGUAGACAGUAUAUUUCAUUUUAUCCCCAUCCUUGUCAUUUAAAGAAAGAAACUUGAAUGUUUUCAAUCAAAUUUGUUUUUGUUACCAAAGCAAAAACAAAAAGUACUUGUUUGCGAAGGAAGAACAUAUGCACAGUUCAAAAUGAAAAGAAUAAGAAGCAAAGUACCUAUUGGACCAAUGAAUGCUGUGUCAACUAGAGAAGCAAUUGGAUCGGCUGUCAAAGCCAAUGCUACAGGCAAUGCAUCGAUGGUCCAAAUUGCAAUAAAAAAUAUUUUGUAUAAUGGUUCUUGCAGACAAAGACCACAUAAAUUCUGGACUGGUCCAGCUUGAAUAAUAAGGUUAGAUUAGCCGAUGGAUGAGAGUAAAAGCAAAGAAAGUUGAUGAAUUCAUCACCAAUUAUUUAAUAACUGUAACAUCCCACAUUGACCAACGGAGAGGGGGUGAUGUGCCUUAUAUGUACAUGCCCACUUCCAUCUAGCAUGAGUCCUUUUGAGAGCUCACUGGCUUCGGAGUCAUGGGAACUCUGAAGUUAAGCGAGUUGGGGCUAAAGCAAUCCCAGGAUGGGUGACCCACUGGGAAGUUGCUCAUGAGCUUUAGAAACAAAAAUCAUGAGGGCAUAAAGGGAGGCCCAAAUUGGAUAAUAUCGUGCUACGGCGGAGCCGAUCCCAGGAUGUGACAAUAACCAAUAGAGUAUUUAAACAUAAACAACAAUGUUUGAUAAACAAAACAAAUAGUCCAAAUAUUAUCCAAAAAACAAUUCUAAAACCAAUCAUUCCAAACAAACUAGUCAUUCCCAAAAACUCUCAAAAAACCCACUCAUUCCAAAUUAUAGGAUAUCCAAUUUGAGCGCUCCUCAGGAGACAUUUUCAAAAAUGCAUCCUUUUUUGUGUUACUAUGCAACAAAGAGAGCGCUUUAUAAUGAGCACGUUCAUCCAAAUUUGAGGUCUCCUUAAUGGCAUCCCACAUAUAACUCUGCUGCUCUCGCUCUUUUCCCCUUUUUGCCAAUAGGUUAUGGACCUCCCGGAAGUCGGUGACAAUUGAAUCAAUGCUAAGGCUAAUUCUUCCCAUAGCUUGUUGGGUGGUCACAUUUGAGAUGGCAUUCCCUUCCAAAUCUAUUCUAGUUCGUUUCCUCUAGUAACAAGCAUAAAUCCUAGUAACAAGCAUAAACCCUAAUCCCAACCUAUAACCUAAUAACAAGAAAAACACGAUGAAAAAAAAAUCAUGGAAAAAGAAAACCCAACGAGGUAUUGAUCAAAAAAAAAAAUAGGGAGCAUACCUUCACAGAUGGAGGAAGGAAGCUGUUUGUCUUCACAGAGAGAAAAGCUAGGGAAAGAGAAAAACGUCUGAUGAAAUACUUUGGGGGGAGGUUGGAUUUCUUUUGGUCUUUGAUAUUUAUAACUCUCCCCUUAAAACCUACAAAAAUUUAUCACUUAAUGAAAUCCUUCCAAAUAUAUGACCUUUCGAAUACACCUAGAUUUGAUUCAACUUUUUUAUAAUCCUAAUUGAAUACACCCAUAUUUGAGUGGACUUUUUAAAAGUUCAUAUAAGUCCGAAUUGAAUACACCCAGACUUGUAAAACCUCUUUUAAAGUUUGUAUAAAUCCAAAUUGAAUACACCCGGAUUUUUAAAAUAUUUUUUAAACGCUUUAUAAUCCUAAUUGGUACAUCCCCCUUAUUCUCAAAAGACUAUAUCACUUUACCUCUAUCUCUGUGAAAUGUAAAAAGUUGAAACUUUAAUGUCAAACCUCGACAAAAGAUGAACUUCCAUCAGUUGCGUUGAAUUUGGAUUUGUUGAACUAAAGUGGUUUUACUUUCUCUGUCAGUGUUUGAUGACUUAAUUUGGUAUUUACUUCUUUUUUUCCUUGGAAAUGUGUUCCACCAACGUGAGGAAGAAAAAUGUGCACAAAUUAAUAUAUUUAAUAAAAGCCCAAGAUUUCGGAAGCACAUAAUUUCUACAAAAAUCUAGAAAGUGUUCUACUUUACAAACUUCUUAUGUCUAUCAAUUUCUACUAAAAUUAAUUUCUCUGUGGUGCUCAGAUUCAUCAUAUGUGUGUCCUUAAUUUUAUUGGAAAUUAGAAGUUUCCAUAAUUUUUAUUUUUUGGGAAUUUUCUGAACCAAGAAAAAUCAAGUAAAAUUAAUAAAGCUUAAAUUGGAAAGGGAAAAUAUCUAGAGGACGCAUUGUAGGAUUUCUCAUGCCGAUAAUUGUACCCUCUAAAUAUAUAGGGACAUAUUUUUUUUGUUUUCAUGACAUGUGGUCCUAAAAUUAUUGUUCCUAGCGGGCUCUCCACCCCCUCUCAAAUUUACGUGGUCCAUUAUGAUUAACCAUAUAUUUUAUUGACCAUCCAGCUGUGAGGUUUUAUCCCAAAAACCUUAGGUACAUUUCUCAAUUAUGUCUGAUACAUCACAUCAUGCCACAAUUGUAUAUUCACAAUUAUGUCUGAUACAUCACAUCAUGCCACUUGCCUCAAAUGAAUUUAAGUGAGUGUGGCAGUGGGAAGUAAUUACUUCUAGGUGCCCCUCAUCAUUCGUCUAUAAAAUGGUGAAGCCAGUGGCUAUAAGAGCCAGCUCCAACUUUCUUUUAUUCGUCUAUAAAAUGGUGAAGCCAGUUGCCAAGUUAAUUUCAGUCCUAAUGGGGUUUCAUCUCCCACUCAUCUUUGCUAUUCUCAGUGUAAGCUCUGCAAUUUGAUUAACUUUUCCAUUCUCUCUCAUUGUACUCUAUAUAAACGAAAGUUUUGUGUUCCUAUAAUUCUCUUUGAUUUUAUUUAGUACGUACUUAAGUGUCGUCCACUAAUUAAUUACAGUUUGUGAGAUUUGAUUUUAAUUAGAGUUCGAAUUAAUGUUGCAGCUAGCAGUGGUUGCACUGGCAAACCAUGCUGCUCAACCAGCACCUCAACUUUACUGGAACUCCGUCCUGCCAAACACACAAAUGCCAAGAUCUAUCAGUGAACUUCUGCAUCCUGGUUUGUGUUGAGCUCUUUAGAAUCUUAGAUAUCUCUUCUACCUGCCAUUUUACUAAAAUAUGUUCGACCACAUAUUUAUCAGUUAACUACUGUCAUUACAUGAGUGACACUUAUUCACAAAUCGGCUGAUCACUUAUUUUCCAUUUUACAUGAGUGAUAUAUAAUUUGCAGACUCCACAAAUGAAGAAAAUAUCGUGAAUGCUGUUGGGAAUGGAAAGCGCAAACCUGAAAUUUUCCCAUUGAGAAAUAUAAAUUACGUUCAAAGCCAUUAUGGAGUGUUAAAUAGAAAUUACGUUCAAAGCCAUUAUAAAAAACGUCCUCCUCCACCUGAAAAUAUCCCAUUUGCAAAUCGAAAAAAGUACGCACUAGGUUCUCCUCCAUCUGACAAUCAACUACUCCAUUAUAAAGAGUUAGCUAUUUUCUUCUUCGAGAAGGACAUGCGCCCUGGCGCAACAAUGAAGUUCCAAUUCCCUAGAAAUUCAAACACGGCUACUUUCCUGCCACGCGAAAGUGCUCAAUCGAUCCCCUUCUCCUCUAACAAACUACCAGAAAUUUUCAACCAUUUUUCAGUGAAGCCAACAUCUGUGGAAGCCAAAACAAUUAAGCAAACAAUCGAAGAGUGUGAAGCUCCAGGCACUAAGGGAGAGGAAAAAUAUUGCGCCACAUCUUUAGAAUCAAUGGUUGAUUUUAGCACUUCGAAGCUUGGAACAAGAAACGUUGAAGCAGUCUCGACGGAGGUAUUGGAAAAAGGAGCCACCAUGUCCAUGCACAACUAUACAACAAUGCCGGGACUGAAGAAGUUGGCAGGUGACAAAGUCGUUGUGUGUCAUAAGGAGAACUAUCCCUAUGCUGUGUUUUUCUGCCAUGCAAUAAAACAAACAGCAGCUUAUGUUCUCUCCCUGAAAGGCGAUGAUGGGGAGAAGGUUAAAGCAGUAACCAUCUGCCAUCUAGACACAUCAGAAUGGAACCCAGAGCAUUUGUCCUUCCAAAUCCUCAACGUUAAGCCCGGAACCGUUCCCAUCUGCCAUUUCAUUUCCACUGAUGCUAUUGCCUGGGUUCCAAAACACAAAUUUGCAUGAUCAUCACUUAGCACUGUGGUGUAAGAUAUAUGAUGAGAUAAAGUUUUUGGUAUUAGUGGUCGGGUUGCCUGAAAAACACAGAUUACAGAAACUGCUUGAAAUUAACCCGAUCAUGUUUUCUCUUGUAAGACUUCAACUUGUACUCCUAAAGCAAGUUAUAUUUAUGAAGAGAUAUUAAUCUAUAUAUAUUUUAUGUAUAUAUAUAUAUAUAUAUAUAUGCUUUGGCUUUGUGGUUCUACCCAGUGUUUGAGUGUUGAAUUGUUACGUUGGAAUAGGCUGAUAAUGCGUGUAGUUAGAGAAGCCUUCAUUUAUAUCAAAGUCCUCAAACUAUCAAGAACUAAUGUAUCCAGAAACAUAUACCAAGACGCAAAACAACAUAUUUUCCAUGCUCUGUCUGUAACGCCAAAGCAAACUUCCUUUAUCACAUCAUUUAAAGGAUCAAAUUCCAGUACUAAUCUAAUCCAUCAUGUAAAGCAUACAAGUGCCUCCCUAAAUUUGUCCAUUGGAUAUAAAUGUUGAGAAAAUUAGAGUACACAACUCUAAUAUGAUAGUUGUACACAACUCUAAUAUCAUAAAGCAAACAAAAUUUCUAAGUUAGUUUGCUUUAUGAUAGUUGUUUUUUGAAGGGGUCCUUAGAUCCUAUCUCAAAAAGUUUGGCUUUUAUUAGGUUUAACUCUGGUUUUUAUCUCUACCCACUAACUUUUAUCUCUCAUUUUUAUUACCCAUUUUACCCUUUAAAAUAAAUAGGGCAAUAAACUAAAAAUUCUGAUUUAAUGCAUGUUUUACUCAUAAGAGAACUAAAAACUAAAAAUUCUAUACUCUAACACAAAAAAUGAAAACUAAAAACUAAAAUUGAAAUGGUUUCAAGCAAUUGCAUGUCAGGCGCUAUAUAUAAUGUAUUAGCCAUGGUUUGUUUAAUACGCGGUCAUUCGUCAUUUUCCCAUUCAAAAUAUUGAAAUUACGAACUACAUACCAUGAAAGAUAAGAAACUAAAAGCUUCAAGCAAAUAGAAAUGUGCUACAAACAUAGUAAUGAAGAUGUGGAAGCAUUAUCUCAGACGAAUGAUUCUGAAGUGGAAAAAACAAGAACAAAAAAGGAAGUGAGUUAAAUUUGCACCUGCUAUGUUCAAACGACAAAGUUGGUUUCCCUUUGGUCGAUUACAAGAGAAGCUCAAUGCAGCUUACUUGGUUCCUCUGGUAGAUGAAAAUAUAAUUUUUCUCCUAAUAAUAAGGGUAUAGUGCAAUCAAUGAUGGGCUGUAUAGAACAACUUUUUUGUUUUAUGUGUUUAUGUGAGACAUGUUUUGCCAGAUUGAAUUAAUGUCUUCUAGCCAUGUACCUUAUCUUUUUGCCGGGCCAUGAGUUGAAUGUAGAGGCAAAGUAUGGACUUGGGGUCAAGUUUGACUUGUAAAAUAAUUAGGAAUUGAAUGGCUCCUACGUUCAAUUAUUUUAAUUUUUUUUCCCGAGCCAUUCAAUUCCUAAUUAUUUAGAUUUUCGAUUUAGUGAGCAUCCACAAUCAUGCUCUCUAUUUUUAAGUUAAAUUUUAGUUAAAAACAUAUAAAAGUUAUUUAGGAGCUCUCUAUAAAAUUUAAACUUCAAUCGUUUUCUAUAGUUUAGGGAGUCAUAAAUGUCAUAACUCUUUUUUGAUUGGUCCAUCUCUAUUAAAAAAUAAAAUAAAAAAUAGUUAGCAUGAAAUAAAGGUUUGAAAUACUCAUUAAAUAAAGCAGCAUUAAAUUAUAGGGAGCCACUAAGAGUCCUUUCUCUCUCCUCAAGUUUAGGAGCUCCUAGAGGUCUCCCUAUUUUAAGAGGUGGAUAGGGAGUAUGGUUGGAAUUGUAUUUUUACAAUUCCUCCCUAAAAAUUUUCUAUGGAUAGGUGGUUUUAAGGAACCCAUUGUGGAUGCUCUGAUCUCAAAGAAAGAAAACCUCGAGUUUGCAAGCAAGUUUUCUACGUAUGUAUAUAUGAAAAACUGACAUUUAUGAAAAUAAUAAAUCCAUAUUUUUAUGUAAGCCAACUUUCUAAAUCCAUGUACUAUAUUUAUUAGGGAAAUAUUGGAGAAACUGAUUAUUUUGAAAAAUUAAAUGUGAAAAACUGAACAAAAAUUUGACAGGUUACAUAUUUCAACUCAUUCAGCAGCUUAGGUUGUGAAGACCUCAGAAGAGGCUAUGCAAUGAGCCUAGCUAGUGCACUGUUGAUCACUUCAGUGUUUACCGAUCUGUAAUUUUUCCAGAUUGGUUAUAUUUUCCUUUACAUAUUCUUAUAUUUUUCCCAGUUGGGGAGACUUAUAAAUAAACCCAAAAUGGGUACAAUAUCUAUACAGAAGGACAAAAUUAAAGUGUUUGGACAAUAAUCCCCUAUUCAUUUUGGGAUUGCCUAAGGAAUUCUUUUUCUGAUUUUCAAUGAUGCAAAGGACUGUUGUUUGAUGCUUGCCGUAUGGAGCUAAGAAAACUUGCUUUGAUAGUUUUGGACAGAUGCAAGCUACUGUUGUUGGUAGGGGUGGGCACGGUCCGGAUUGGUUCGGUUUUACUCUCAAACCACAGCUGAACCAAUAAGAAAAUAACGGUUCGGUUUGGUUCGGAUUAGCCUAAAAUCAUAAUGGAAACCGAACCAAUCCAAACCACUUGUAAUCGGUUUGGUUCGGAUUGGUUCGGCCGGUUUGUGCCUAACACAAAACCAUGCAUUUUUCAACCUGCUCUUACAUUAUAAUGCUAACAUUUUGCCAUUAUAUCAUUCCAUUCCAUUCCAUCAAAGGCUAAUACAACAUCAUUCCAUUUAUUCAAAGGUUGUCCAAUGUCUAGCAUGCAUCUAAGUUCACAAUUUCCAUCAAAACAAACAUAUACAUAAUUUGCAUUAACCAAGUAGCAUUACAUUUACUCAUUGCAUUCAUCACAAUUCAUAAGAGAUGAGAACGAAUCAAUUUUACUUUAACAUAUUAAACAAAUGCAUUCUUUGUAAUAGUUAAACAUUCUCACAUCAUGAAUAUCGGCAAGCUUAUAAAGCUGCUGCACCAACUUGCUAAUUGAUUCGUCUGUACCAGGAACAACAGUAGUAAUGCGAGAGAACCCCUCAACUUCUGCAUGGCCAACAGCUAAACUCUGGAAACGAGAAACCAGCUCAAUUAUAACAAAUGCCUAAAACUUCUACCUUAACAGAAGACAAAGGAGGAAAUAACAGCAGAAGGAAACCAAAUUUCUCAAUUUAAUAACUGAUAUUUCCAAAGGAUUCUUAAGUCUAAAAUUCGACCAAGACUUGAUUAACUAUUCCAAUGUCUAGCAUGCAUCUAAGUUUAUAACUUUGUUCCUUCUUUAACAAAAAGAACAAGGAGAAAAAGCUAAUAAUAAGGUAUCCUUCUUUAACAGGCAUCAAGCAUAUCACAUAAGCAACAUUUUAUAUACAUUAUUCUAUGAACAAAACUAAAUCAAAGCAAGGUAUGCUACAGUCUUUUUGUACAAUAAAAUAGAUUAACAUAUUUUAUAACCAUAAAAAUGAAAAAUUAGGCCUCAUAGAAAAUACCAUUUUAUUUUUCAACUCUCUAACUUUUUAUAUAACCAGUUAUUGGAGACAAUACAAAAAAUAAAGUAGUAGACAGAACUAGCAUAUUUUACAAACCCAGCUGAUGAUGACGAUCCACCACCAACAAUAUUCCCAUAAUCAAUCCUUGCAUAACCUGAUGGUCGAUGAUGGAACUUGGGUUUUGUAGAGAUGGAUUUCGCUGAGGACAAAUGGGUGGGUUUCGCCGAGUUCGAAUCAUGUUGGCUUGAGUUAGCGUCGAGGGAGAGGGAGAGGGAGAUGUAGCAGAGAGACAAAGAGAGAGGGAGAGGUAGCAGAGAGAGAUGGAGAAAUAAUGAGAGGGAGUUGCGGCUAGGGUUAAGAGACGAAGGAAGGGAGAUAGGAGAGAGGCUCUUCUGAGGGAGAGAGAAUGGUUAGAUAACUUAGAUGUGUCCGUGAGUUGUAGUUUUGGAGUCCAAUCAAGUGUUGCAGGGUACAUGGUACACUCUUAAAUAACCACUCAAACCUUGCCACAUGUAAACUAAAUUAAAUAAAUAAUAAAUUGAUUUAUAAUCGGUCCGGUUCGGUUUAGGACAGUUUUUAAAACUCUCAAACCACAGCUGAACCAAACCAAACCGGUUCGGUUCGAUUUUUCAAAAUGUUGACUUUUUCUUUGGUCAAAACCAAACCAAACCAAUCCAAUAUAAUCGGUUCGGCUGGAUUGACCUGAUCGGCCAGAUUGAUGCCCACCCCUAGUUGUUGGGAUGAUCUUUUCACGUGAAAUGAGGAUGACGAUACUUCUACACUACACAAUCCAACGAAUUCACAUUUCUAUUUCAGAUACAUGUAUAAACAGACAAGGCUUUAAAAUAUGGGAUGCUGCACUGUUGUUGCUGCUGCUGACACUGUUACUGUGUUGCUGCUACUGUUACUGCGCUGCUACUGGAAGAAGGACAAGGACUUCACAUGUUGCUUUCGUCCUUUGUGGAGGAGAGAGACCUAGGACUUGCAUGUCUUAGAUAUUUAAGAUAAGGGGCUUUCGUGCCAUUUUGAAAAUACUUUGGGUGUUUUUGAAAGCUGCUUGUUUCUUUUGGGUUUCUCACUAAAUUUCGCUAUUAGAAGGGAAAAUAAUAAUAAUAAAAAUACAGCUCUUAUUAGCAACAGGGUUACAAAUUCUUCUACAACACACCAACUGUUGUAAAAGUUUGAAGGUGGAGCCCACAGAGGAAGUUUCCUUGCAUCUUCCAGGAACUUUCCCUUCCCUGUAUUUAUCAAUUCAGGAAGUUUCCUUGCAUCUUCCAGGAACUUUCCCUUCCCUGUAUUUAUCAAUUGAGGAAGUUUCCUUGCAUCUUCCAGGAACUUUCCUUCCAUGUAUUUAUCAAUUCAGGAAGUUUCCUUGCAUCUUCCAGGAACCUUCCCUUCCCUGUAUUUUACCAAAACCUUAGCCUAUAAAUAGGCUUGCUCAUUCACUUGUAAUACACACCAAAAUGAAGAGAAGAAUGAGUGAGGAAAGAAAGAAAGGAAGAGAAGGAAGAAAGAGGGUGAGUAAGUAGAGAGAAAAAUAGAGUGGAGAGAAAUUAGUGAGCCACAUAUAUUGUAAACACUAAAGUUGUAGCCCUAUUAUUUUACAUAGUGGAAAAGUUACUACUGCUGCUCUCCGGGGACGUAGGCAUAGCCGAACCUCGUUAAAUACUGUGUCUCAUUUACUUUACGUGCAGCUCAAUAUUCAUACAUAUUCCAGGUUAUUUUUAUAACACGUUAUCAGCACGAGAAGCUCUCAGGUAUAAUUUUUGUGCUGCACUAUUAUCUAUACUACUAACCACUAACAAAAAUGGACCCUUGGUAAUACUAAACAUAUUAUCAGUGGGAGACCGUUACUAAUACUAACUUUUUCUUAUUUUAUUCGGUGGUGGUUUUAACCCCACAUUUAUUUACUGUAUGGUGUAGGUUUAUUACCCAUACAUGCACCUUUACUUUAUCGCAAAUUUAUUUUACCGCAUAUUUAUUUUAUUUACUGUAUGGUGUAGGUUUAUUACCCAUACAACAGUAUUUAUUUAAAAGGGUGGUGCGAGUUUAUCGUCCACGCCUUUGCUUUUAUUUAAAUGUAUGGAGCAGAAUUAGUGCCCAUACAAGCACAAUUUACUUUACCGCACAUUUAAUUUUAUUUAAAGUAUGGUGCGGGAUUAACGUCCAUACAGCAAGCAAUUUAAUUUAUGAAUUUAAUUUACCGCACAUUUACAUUUAUUUAAAAGGGUGGUGCGGGUUUAUCGUCCACGCCUUUACUUUUAUUUAAAUGUAUGGAGCAGAAUUAAUGCCCAUACAAGCACCUUAACUUUAUGAAUUUAAUUUACUGCACAUUUACAUUUAUUUAAAGUGUGGUGCGGGUUUAUCGUCCAUACCAGUAAUUUAUUUAUCAGCAAUUUAUUUUAUGGAUUAAUUGUUUAUUUAUCAGCAAUUUAUUUUAUGGAUUAAUUGUGCUGUAUGAUGAGUUUUUCCAGUAUGCAGAUCAGGACCAGAAGUUCCUUGAUCCUCAUCAUACAAUUACAUCAGGACUUGAAGAUCCUUGAUGAUGAUAUUAAAAUGAGAGCUGGCAGUCUCACCGGUACUGUAUUUGUAAACAUGUGAUUGGACUUAAAGGUCCUUGAUCCCUGACAUGUAAAUAAGGACCUAGAGUUCCUUAAUGAUGUAACAGUACCGUAUUGGUUCAUAGUGCCGUACACAUUGAUGAUAACUGUACUGGCAGAUGAAUAGAUACGUAUUCAUGACUUGAUGAAUAGUACUAUUCACAUGAAUAGUGACGUAUGCAUAAAUAUUAACCAUUUUGGGUAAACCGUCACUAUAUACAAAAGGGAACCUGCAGUUCCUUAAACUCAUGGAUGAGCAAUUAAAUGAGAUGCCAGAAGUUCCUCAAAAUAUGGACAAUUAUGUAAGGGCUUGAAGUCCCGAAAUAUGUACAGAAAAUUGUAAAAAUGUCCAUACCAUGAGAAUAUGUGGCUUUGGCCUGAAGUUCCAAAUUUAACAGUGUUGAGAACCUGAAGUUCCAACAAUUAAAUGGACAACCCUUGAGGUAUUAUUGCAAAUUGUGGUAUGCCACAUAUUUCUUUGGCAUAAGAAGAUGAUGAAUUUAAUAAAGUUCGAUUUUGUUAUAAUCGACACCUCAAGGAAGAAAUAUAUUUUGUGAAUUCCGGUUGUUAAGAAUACACCGCGAAAUGGAUAAUAUUAAUAUAAACCUCAAAUAAUGAAUUGAGACUCCCCACAUAUUUUGUUAUAUCUGGGCCGGAAGCCCAUGGAUCCAAAUAUAUGAGAGAUCCUAAACUUGAAGUUGUGGGUAUAUAGUAGUUAAUGCUCUUCACUACUAUAUUGCGAUAUUAUCAUGGCUUUUACUCAAUUCAUAUUUCAUGUCCAUUUGAAAAGGGCAAAUAAAUUCUGAGUUUGUGCCCAGGCCAUAAGUUCCGGGCUACCAUACGUUGAAAUAUGAAAUUUGGGAGAGUCGAUGUGGUUAUUUGAACCUAUAAGGCACAAGGUUCCAAAUCGUCAUUUUGAAAAGACGUAAAAACCAAAGGUGCAAGUUUAAGAAUGUGCGCAAUUAUUAUUACAGGAACAUACAACAGAUAGAUUUUUUCCACUUGCAAUGAAGGUGCAGGCCCUGUAAAAUCUAUAAAAUUACAUUAUGUUCUGGAAGCCUCUGAAGGAAGAGGACGGCGCCUCUUAAGCUUAGCCAUGAGCUUCUCAUGGUCUCCCAAAAUUCUUUCAUUGGAGACCUGCAGCAUGUCUAGCCUUCUCAGUGUAUCAACAGAGUACGAACUCACCAGUUUCAACAAGGAAUUAUUCUCUCCUUUAAGUUUCUCAACCUCCUGUUGAGACUCAUGAAGCAUUCUUUGGAGAGACGAAUUUUCAGUUGUUAAAUUCUCAACCUCGUUUGCUCUGGCACGCAAACGAUCAGCCAUGUUAGAAACAGAAACAGCACUCUGAAUGCUAAAAGCCAUUGAGUCAUCAAUAGCCUCUUCCUCUGAUCUCCCCGUCAACAACAUUUCAUCCAUUGGAGUAAUGAAAUUCCUAGCUACUAUGACAGCAGUAGCAUCAUUCAUCAUCACAGAAUCAUUAACUGUGAGAUGACGAUUUUUGGAUACAAAGGAUGGACGCCAAACUUGGGCGUCACUGGUAGUUGUGGGAGUAUCAUUUAAAUUGAAAUAAUUUGGGCAGGAAGAAGAGGAAGCCAUUUUUAAGAAGGUUUCGAAGAAAGCCUUAGGAAAACUAAAGUUUCAUAAAAUGAAGGAAGUUAAGUUGAAACGCAAUUGCUCCAAUCAAGUUUUGCAAAGGCAAUAUCUAUAGACGAAAAUAUGGCAAUAUCUUCAGGAUUCCAAUAUCUUCUCGAAUCCCCAUAUUAUCUUUUUCUUUCCCAGAGUCCAAAACUUCACGUGGCCUCUAAUAAUGCCUGUCGGCACUUUCGGCGUUUUUCAAAGUAUUAUUUUCAAAGCCGAUCUUGCUUUACGGAUUUCACGGAACUACUUUUUCAAAAGUAUCCCGAGAAUCUCGCAAUUUUCCUAUGGUUAAUUUGAAAUUCACCGGUUCUACCUAUUUAUUGUAUUUAUGUAUAAAUGUGUUACUAACGAAAUUUUCUUUGCAAAAGACAUCCAGUUUUCUCCAUACCUAGUGAUGCGAUAUCUACUUAUUUUUCUUAUCAGUGAGCACUUAAUAUGCCUGAGAAGCAAGACUAUCUCUGAUCAUACAUUCAGGAAGCAAGACUAUCCCUGAUCAUGUUUCCGCUACAUUAGGGAACUGUGAAGGUGACCUUAUGCUCCAAUCUCCUGAGGUCUUUCUAGACUAGGAGAAAUGAGAGCUUGUUGUUUGCUCCCACCAGCUUCCUUCCUUGAUUGCUUACCUUACCUUGCAAUCAAUAUCACAAUCUUUUUGCAUUUUUUCUCUUUUUAUAACUCUCUGUUCAUAAGAGAUUUUAUUUCUUUAGAAUGAACAUCUGAAGAAUGAAUCCAUGAAGUAAUCCUAACUAUGAGGGUUAUUUGUUUUGACAGAGGCAAAAGAGUUGUGAUUUUUGCUCUUGCAGGAUAUAACUAGAUCAUCAAGCGCUACAUUAUAUUUACUGGGCUGAUAUGAGCUUGAAUGAUACUUGAGAAAAGUUUCUCCCACCUAAGGAUGUAAGCAAUACUUGUGUUAUUUUAUGCUUAUAUACCUAUUUGAUAUUUUAUCUUGAAAGGUAACUAAAUGGGGAGAUAAGUCCGUUCCAAAAGAAUGACUUGUAUGUAUCCAUGAAUUAUUAAUGCAAAUUUUACAGAUUGCAAGUUGGAUACAUUGAUAAUACACUGCACAGAUUAAAGUCCCAUAAGAACAGAAUAUGGGUAUAGCAGUGAUCAAUAUGAUGCACGCCUAUUGCGUAGCAAAUGAUAUGGAUUGAAGUCCCGAAAGGACAAUCCUUUGACAUUUCAAUAUUGAUAUUAUGCACGCCUAAUGCGUAGCAAAUUAUAUGGGUUAAAGUCCCAUAAUAUGGGUUAAAGUCCCAUAAAUUAAUUGACAUGUAUGUAUUAAUCUGUGGCAUGCCUGCAGCAUGACAGAUAUAUGGGUUCUAAAUGUUCCAACUCCCUAAAUGGAGAUUAUCCACGCCCUACUAUAAAAUAACGCUCCAUUGGAGGUUAUAAUCCACAUUCUCACAUAAUAAAAGCCCCCUGCAGUGGCUUGGGUACCCAAAAGCAAAGAAAUGCUUAUAAUUGAUGCAUGCGCAUGCACAUGAGAAUGGUGGGAUCAUGAAUUGAUGAAUGACAAUUUUUGAUCAUGAAUUGAUGAAUGACAAUUUUUGGUUUUAGAGUAGCUACUCAAAUCAUCAAUGGGCUGUGUUGAUUGGAACCACGUUCAAUUAUUAAAUGUCGACAAUAUCAUUGGCCAAAAUGGAACGAGGUAAUUCCAUUAUAAAUGAGAAUGAACGUGAAAGAACAAACCCACAAUACGAACCCCAAAAUUUGUUAAUACUAAAAGUUAUACUUGGGUGUUCGGAAUAAAAGGAAAUAUAUCUACUUUGUAUGACACACUGUUUCUGGCAGAAACAAGGAAUGUUGGGUUUUCUCCAUAUUUACAGAUUCAAUUGUGCCCCCCUUAUUACACAAUUACGGAGACCAACAUAUUAUCUUUAAGGGUUAUUAAUGCACAGAGCAUAUCGCCAGAAGCGAUUUCCUAAAGAUGUAUAAAUAGCUGGGUAAAAGCUAUAUAAUGUGUCAUAAAGUUUAAUCCCUUUUAACCAAAAUCUGUUGAGAGGAUUGAUAUUGCAUAGAGCAAGUCCCUAAAGAACAUGUGCUUGAAGCACAAAAUUUGUACUCAAUAUUAAUAUGCAUAAAUUACCUCAGUGAGUACAUUGAUUAUAAUGUGAUUGCAACACAUUAAAGCUUCUGCAGAAUUCAUGAAAUAUUUGUCUCGAUCGAGCAUUAUGCCAACGAGAUUCUUGCUUAUACUAAGAAAGUAUUAAAGUAUUUUUAUGAGGAUUAUCCGUUGGACACUUUAAUGAUUUUCCGGAAGUAUAUUGGACCGGACAUCAUAUUUUCCAGAUAGGGCUCAACUCCAUCACCAUCAUUUUGGGAUGAUGUGAGGUAUAUUUGAUGCUAUCUAAGCAUAACACCAUAUAGGGGCAUAUUUUUUUAGUGAACUUAUAAAUAGCCCAAGUGUUCUAAGAUAUGCGGACUCAGGAAAUCUCUAUGGUCGCUUACUGGAAAAAGCUAGUCAUGAAGUUUUCAGGGGGAGAUAUUCAUCAGGGAGAGCAUGGUAUUAAUAAAGACCUUCAUACACUAUUGACUCACAGCAGCAGUGUCAACUAUGAUAUUCAGACAGAUGAUCAACAGUAUGGCUUAAAGAUAUUUUGCCAAGCAUCAGGGGGAGCGUGCUGUCAAUACAGACCCUUACCCACUGUACUCUUUUUCCUUCGUCCAGGUUUUUAUCCCACUGGGUUUUUCCUGGCAAGGUUUUAACGAGGCAGUGUCGCACGCGCGUCAAUAUACACAGAAUUUUAUGUUACACGUGAUUAUGUACUCUUUUUCCCUUCGACCAGUUUUUGUCCCACUGGGUUUUUACUGGCAAGGUUUUUAACGAGGCAUAUUCCAUAUCAUUUGUGGUCUCCAAGGGGGAGUGUUGUAAAAGUUUUAAGGUGGAGCCCACAGAGGAAGUUUCCUUGCAUCUUCCAGGAACUUUCCCUUCCCUGUAUUUAUCAAUUGAGGAAGUUUCCUUGCAUCUUCCAGGAACUUUCCUUCCGUGUAUUUAUCAAUUCAGGAAGUUUCCUUGCAUCUUCCAGGAACCUUCCCUUCCCUGUAUUUUACCAAAACCUUAGCCUAUAAAUAGGCUUGCUCAUUCACUUGUAAUACACACCAAAAUGAAGAGAAGAAUGAGUGAGGAAAGAAAGAAAGGAAGAGAAGGAAGAAAGAGGGUGAGUAAGUAGAGAGAAAAAUAGAGUGGAGAGAAAUUUCUCCAAGAGAGAAAAAUUAGUGAGCCACAUAUAUUGUAAACACUAAAGUUGUAGCCCUAUUAUUUUACAUAGUGGAAAAGUUACUACUGCUGCUCUCCGGGGACGUAGGCAUAGCCGAACCUCGUUAAAUACUGUGUCUCAUUUACUUUACGUGCAGCUCAAUAUUCAUACAUAUUCCAGGUUAUUUUUAUAACACCAACAUCAAUCUAGCCCUGAUCCACUCUUUUACAUACUUGAAAACAAAACAAAACACGAAAAACAAAAAACAACAGGGAGAAAAUGGCUCCGGAGAGACUUACUGCUAAUACUUGAUCAAUAACAGAGAUAAUAGAGCACACUGUUUGUAUGGCAGUGAGUAUCAGAAGAAUAAUAGCUGCCCAAGGUGUGUUGAAAUACUUUUGUCUCAAAUUUGCCUUCCAUAUGUUCGUGGUCUUCUCGCAAUACUCGUUUAGUUUGCCAGCAAGAUCACCAAAAUAGUAGUUUCCCUGGUUAAUCAUAAUGGAAACCUUACUGUUGUCACCUAGCGUGUUUACAACAAUUCCAUUGUCAACAAGCAACUCUACAUCCUUUGGGGUGUUUACAAAUUUAUCCAGGAUGAAAACAUAAUCGCUUAAUUAUUUAUUAACGCAAUGGCAUUGUUCAAAGGCAAUGAGAUUUCUAAGUGUAAGCUCUGUGUAAUCAUGUAUUUCAAUUUUUGGAAUUUCCAAGGUGUUUUUCAAGAACUGUAUAUCGAAUAAGUUCUUGCUUGAUUCAACGUUAAACUUAACUCCGGCCUGGUGUAGUUUUGUCAUGCCGGGUGUACUUUGGAGCCCUACAUUUUCUUUUAGGGUUGGAUCUGGCAGAUGUAAAGUUCUAAUAAAAUCAACAAAUUGUACAGGUUUUUUAGGAUCAGGAGGCAUAAAAGACUUACGGAAGGCUGGUGAGUUCUCCAAGUUUUCUAAACGCAGUGCCUGUUGGAAGAACCUGUAAGAGAGUUCAAUUAUUGAAGGCUCCCCAGUCUGGGCACCUGUAAGAUUGUAAAGAUCCUCGAGAAUGAAAAAUGGCAGCUGAUUUUCUAGCAUAAGCAUGUCAGGCAAUAUAUUUUGUAGCACCCAUGGUUUUUUAAAUAUCCAAGCAUUAUCAUCCGGCAAUUUUUCUUCCUGAAAUUUUUCUUCGGAUUUAUUCCUCAACAAUAGCUCAAUGACAAAGGCGGCAUCAACUAGAAUGAUAUUCACAAAAGCGGCAAUGUUAAACUUCUUAGUGUCUUCAUAAUAAUGACGGAGUUCAACUUCUCUCUCCUUUAGGUACCUGAGUUUGUGAUCUUCCAUGGCUUCUAAGUUUUUGCUGCCAUGGUGAAGUGGGCCUAUUGAGACUACUUGUGGUGUGUAGGCCUUUUGUUUUACGUUCCGUAGUCGCUCAGGCACCCUGUAGAUACUGCAGGCAGGGGACAGGGCACGGAAGUUUGUCAACUGAUUUUCCAUGGAAGUUGCUUGGUUUUCUAUGUCAAAAGAAGCUUCAUUGCUGCUUUCUUCCACUUUCUUCCUCCGCAUUAUGUGUUGUUCUGAUUGUAAGUGACGAGGAUGGUGAUGAUUCUAGACACCAUAAUCAACAAAUGUUUCAAUCAUAAUUGACAUUUCAAGAUGCUCCGACAAAAAAUUAGAAAACAUUCAUCACAAAAUGCGAACUCAUACAACAGAUGGGUUGAGAAGAUCCACACAUUGCAAUCAUACAAUCCAAUUGAACAGGGAUUACUCCCUAUUCUCCUCUCUCUCUAAAAAAGAUUUUCAUAUCGAUAACAUCUUAUUGCAAGGGACUUGUACAUCAAGUGGUGAAGAACAGAAAUUCAUAUUCUUUCAAUCAACAAAUUUCGAAGAAGUUUGUUUGUUUUAUUUUUGGGGGAAAAAAAUCUGAGCAUAUAUAGAUGCAUAUUAUACGUAGACCUAAGGUGAAAACAUACCAGAUUUUUACUCCAUUUUUCAUGAGGUUUAAGUUCUUGAUGUAUAUAUUUAUCUCAAGUGUAACAUCCCACAUUGAUCAACGGAGAGGGGGUGAUGUGCCUUAUAUGUACAUGCCAGCCUUCAUCUAGCACGAGGCUUUUUGGGAGCUUAUUGGCUUUGGAGUCAUAGGAACUCUGAAGUUAAGCGAGUUGGAGCUAGAGCAAUCCCAGGAUGGGUGACUCACUGGGAAGUUGCUUGUGAGUUCCCAGAAACAAAACCGUGAGGGCAGAGAGGAGGGCCCAAAGCGACCAAUAUCAUGCUACGGCGGAGCCGAUUCUGGGAUGUGAUAAUUUGGCAUCAGAGCUACUCUGCCGUGUGGUGUGAGUGUGCCGACGAGGACGCCGAACCCUUGAGGGGGGUGGAUUGUAACAUCCCACAUUGACCAACGAAGAAUGGGUGAUGUGCUUUAUAUGUAUAUGCUUGCCUAUAUCUAGCACGAGGCCUUUUGGCAGCUUACUGGCUUCCGAGUCAUAGGAACUCCGAAGUUAAGUGAGUUGGUGCUAGAGCAAUCCUAGAAUGGAUGACCUACUGGGAAGUUGCUCAUGAAUUCCCAGAAAAAAAAAGCUGUGAGGGCAGAUAGGGGGGCCCAAAACGGGCAAUAUCGUGCUACGGCAGAGCCGAUCUUGGGAUGUGACAUCAAGAAUUUAUAUCCUCCCUUUUCAGAUCUCAUGUUCCAGUCAAUACAUAACGAAACAUAAGAAACUAAAGUCUUGUUUAUACCCAUCCUCCCACCCACCCACGGCCAUCCACCCCUACCCCCUAUCUCCAUUAAAUCUACAAGUAGCUCAUCAAUUUCUCCACCAUCCCAAGUUCAAUAUACCACCCAACAACCAUCUUACCCAUCUUCUCAUUGAUCUUCCACCCAACAUCCAACACUAUCUUCAUAAACUCUUUAGCUUAAUCUCUCUGUUGCUUUUGUUUUUUGUUUUUUAGAAAUUAAAUUUUUUAGUUUAUUUUUUUGUUGGUACAAAUUCAAUGAUAAAGAACAUCGAACUCGUCGCAACAUCCUGUUCUAGAUCCAAGCUCUACCACCAUCACAACCCUCUCUUGACCUCCGACCAACCUUAACACCCAACUUCAAAUCUAGGUUGUUUGAAACCCAGCCCCCAACAACCCCCCCAAGUCAUCCCAUUGCAACUGACUUGUAGAUGAAGUAGUAAAGAACAAAAAGUCAUAUUCUUCCAAUCAAAACGUAUCAAGUCAAACAAAAUUUCUAGUUAGUUUGCUUUAUGAUAGUUGUUUUUUGAAGGGGUCCUUAGAUCCAAUCUCAAAAAGUUUGACUUUUAUUAUGUUUAACUCUAGUUUUUUGCAAUUUUUUUUUAUCUCUACCCACUAACUUUUAUCUCUCAUUUUUAUUACCCAUUUUACCCUUUAAAAUAAAUAUAGUAAUAAACUAAAAAUUCUGAUUUAAUGCAUGUUUUGCUCAUAAGAGAACUAAAACCUAAAAAUUCUAUACUCUUACACAAAAAAUAAAAAAUAAAAACUAAAAUUAAAAUGGUUAUCAAACAGACCCUUAUAUUACAAAAAACCUUAACUGACCACCUUAUAUGGCAACUGAUNNNNNNNNNNNNNNNNNNNNNNNNNNNNNNNNNNNNNNNNNNNNNNNNNNNNNNNNNNNNNNNNNNNNNNNNNNNNNNNNNNNNNNNNNNNNNNNNNNNNUAGCAUUCUAAAAAAAGUGGCCUCAUGGCAGCAUUCAUUAAUUGACAUGGCAUGACACAUCAGUUGCCACAUAAGGUGGUCAGUUAAGGUGGUCAAUGUUGUGUGUCCAAAUAGCAUUACUAAAAAAAAAUCAAAUAUUGAACUCAUCAUAAGAGAACACAGAAAAACCUCACUGCUUGCAACUCUUACACCACCACUACACGAACAGAACAACUGCUAAUUAAAAUGAGUCACAUGUCACAUGUCACAUGUGGUACUUAACUCUAAAAACUUAUUUAGAUUAUAUAUCCAUAUUUAUAUAUCCUACUCCUCGAUCAAAACAACCAUGAAACAUAAGUGACUUAAACCUCUAGGCAAAUGGACGGUAUAUAGCAAUUUAUAGAACAAUACAGUAAUCCAGAAGAAAUAUUAUGAAAUAAAAAAAAUAAAAAGUAAAAAAAGAGAAGGAAAGGAAUUCCCACCUGAUAUGUAUAUCUAUGAAAGGAAGGACCAAGUUUGUUUUGCCUUUGGUUAAUGACUAGAAAAGCUCACUUGUAUAUUGCUUUCUCCGGCCGUAGAUGCAAGAGAAAUUUUCUCUUAAUAAUAGCACAAUGAUCGGGUAAUCGUAAGAACAAGUUGAUUUAAAAUUCAGGUCAACUCAUAGAUUUCUUGCCUUUUCUAUUCUCCUUCCUUGGACACGAGCUGUUUAAUCUUGGAAUCUUCCCCCAUCAUGUUGGGCCAGUCUUCUUCUUGAGGAUUGUAUAGGCCCAGGAAAUGCUUGGAGGUAGUUUUUGUGUAUUGGGCCUUGAGACCCAACUUCACAAAAAGAAAACAGAUUUGACCAAAAAAACAAAUUUGAAGGACAUUGAAAUUGUACCUGUAUGAUAGGUUAAAACACUGUAAGGGAGGUAAAUAGUACGUUUACAGAGUUUAAGUGUAAUAAAGGAAUAAAAACAUGCCCAGAGCACUACUACAAUUUUUCCCUGUCCUGGCAACCCUUUGUGAUCGGUAAAAACACCAUUAUUGACGGAACUUCGUCAGUAAUUGCUUCUUGACGACUGCAGCGACGAAAAUGAGUAUAGUCAGUAAAAGUCCCGUCAGUGUUACUAUUACUGACCAACUUUUGCAACUUAUUCGUCAGUAGAGGUGUGUCUCUGACACAAGUCAUGAAGUGACUCUAAAUUAUUACUGACAAAACAAAUAGCCACUAUUAAACAAGCUUUUGUCAGGAUUAUUAUUUUAGGAUGGAGUACUAGUGGCAAAGAUUUGUCAAUAUUGUUUUCAACAAAAAAAAAAAUUCAGUCAAUUUGCUUCUGAGCUGAUGCGCCUUUAGAUAUCCUUUUCUGAAAUGUCUUUUGUUUUCUAAUAUAAUGGAUGUUUUUCUUUAAUAAAAAUUUAAUGGAUUCUGAAAAUGUAAUAACAAUUAUAAAUACUCAUAGAUUGAACCAUUCAACCCCCAUCCUUAUAAAUAUAAACUACCAAUGUCGAUUACAAUAGCCAAAUAUUACAAAGUCUGCCUACAUCAGUAGAGUUCAAAAACUUUAGGUGCCCUUACUAUACAAAAGUAUGCAAUUCCAAAUAUUCAACAAAUACACUACAAAAGCAUGCAUACCCCAAUAGGGUCCAAAAUACAACGUCAGCAACUAUAUAUACCAAAAAUGCAUAACACUAAGUAACUGCAUCUAUUCAAGUCCAUGAGUACCUUGAUCUGAUUCUAAAAAGUCUGUCUCACUUGGGUAUGCAUCCCCCCUCAGCAAUCCAGUUAACCCACCAAUAGGAGUAACUGACCUGGCUUGAUAAGGCAUUUGAUGGAACAUCUGCGGCGAGUAAUAUGACAUAUGGAAUGGGUUUGGCAGCUGCUGGUACAAUGGGUGAUGCGAAGCUGACGAGCACGAUAACAUCUGCCUCAUUUCCUCAAUCUCUUGCUGGUUAUGCUUCAGCAACUCUUGCGUCGCCUUCAAUUCAGAACGCCAAUGAUCCUGGUCAUGUUUGUACCUUUCUUGUAACUCUACAUACUGUGACUCAAGGUGAACAUAGUCGUGCCCUCGCAAUCUCUUGGAUGACCCUGCUUUCGUUUGAAUCCAAGGCACCUGAUGGGGUUUCACCCCAAGUCCUUCACCACGAACACUAUUAUUUGUCUCAGGACCCAUUGCCUCAACAUAAGCCCUUCUUCGUGUCUCUAAAUUAUCAGGACAUUCAUCUUCAACCAAUUCCUUCAACUUUUCCUGCAUUUCAGCCUAACAAAAACAAAAUAUAUAUCCUUCUCCAUCAAAUUGUGGUCAUCAUAGAACUAGCCCAAUAAACUCUACAAUGAUGAAUUGCAUUAUGUAAUAAAAAUUUAGGCCAAUUAGUCUUCUGGACCUCUACUGUUUUGUUUUUCAUAUGCUUAAACAAAUAAAAGAACAUAAAGAAUAGUGAACAAGAAAAAAAAACUACCUCCAAACAACUUUCCAUAUGCUUAAAAAAAAAAAAAAAAAAAAGUCAACCAAAACAAAAUAAGAGAAACAUCCUGGACUAUGGCUAACAAUUCCUCAUGAAAAUGAACUUAUAUAUAAUUAUUCCAAUAUAUAGUCCAUAUGCUUACAUAUUUCUGCUCAGCCACCAAGUUAACCCAUGAUCGAUCUUCGUCACGCCGUGUAUGCUUAUCUUGGAAAAACCAAAUAGGAUCGGGGUCUUCACCAUGUUUCUUAUUCUUAGCAUGCAAUCAAUAAAAUAAAAUAAGAUAAUCAAUUAGCUAACACGACCUCAUAUGCUCAAUAUUUGAAUAUAGUAAAGAGUAAACAUUCAAGUGCAUCAUCAAAACUGACAUAUUGUGCUUUGCUGCGAGCAUAAGACUUUGUUCUAGAUGUGUGAUUCAAUGUUUGUUUACUCCGAUUUUCAACAUUUCUUUUAGCUUGCUCCUUUUAUUAGCAAAAACAAAACAUACUUAAUCAUUGCACAGAUUAUAUAUACUGAGUGUUGUGUAAUAAUACGUACUGCAAUCUCAUCUUUUUCCCAAUGUUCAACCAACACCCUCCAUUGAUCUGGGUCUACACGAGAAUCCCCACAUUGCCACCGUCUUUUACUUCCUGUGAAAGGCUUAUAAUAAGCUUUCUUCAAAUCACUCUUGAAACUUCUCCACAAUUUUUCAAUAUUCUUCAUUGUUACAUCCUUGAAGACAUGAAUCAUAGGUUGUUGUUCAGGACGAAAUUCAAUGGUGCCCUGCAUCCACAAUAAGGUAGUCUUACAUCAAGUUGAAAUAUACCUAUUAAACUCAAUUUCAUGCAAUAAGUAUUCAAUAAUUUUAGGAAAACCAAACCCGUAGAGUGUCCCAGACAUCAAGUUUGCAAGAGUCUGGUACUUUUUCCCAUUUUAAAUACUUGAUCGGAAUUAGAUUGGCAUCCCGCGCCAAAAUACCCAUGUAUCUAGAAAAAUGGGGACUAUUGUCACUAAUAACUCUGCCAAAUGGAGAUAAAUCAACUGACUCUUUUUUGUUAUUUAGAAACCAGUUGCAUUUCCCUUGACCUCGACCUUGCUUCGCCUCCUUGCCUACAUGAAAAGUUAAUUUUAACUGAUCAAUACAACAAGAAAAUAAUAAGAAACUGUAAGGUAAUAAGUUUCUCACACAUUAUUCAAAUGAAAAAUUAGCAUAGCUAUUUGGAGAUGAUGUGAUCGUGAAACAUCCCAUAUUCAAUACAUUUGUAUAUGAUUAAAACAUACCAAUUUAUUAAAAGAAAAAGGAAAAGAAAACCAACAUACCAGUAGCACUUAUAGAACCAUCUCCCUCUAGACUAUCCCUAAAGUCAGCGUUGGGCCCUUCUUGUGAACUAUCUUGAGAACUGCUCAUCUAAAAAAUUUGAUAUGCAUAACAGUGAAGGGGUAACAAAUUAAUCAGACAUCAUUGGUAAAAGAAACUAUUACUUCAACAUUCUAAUACAAAACAAUCUACUAAAGAAAUUCUUGUACAAUAUUCUUAAAAUUACGUAGUCCAUUUAAGCUGACAGCUCAUCAAAAUACAUGAAAAAUUCAAUACUCCAUGUCAUCAUAAAGCUCAUCCUCGUUUUCAGUAGAGAGAUCGUCUGAAGACUGUUCAUCUUCUUCAUCCUCAUUUCCGGGCUCAUGCUCAUCUACCAUCUCAUCCAUAUCAACCCUAAUAUGAAAUUCCUCAUUGUCUAGCAGCUGAUCAUCAAGAUUCGGAAUGGCAUAAUUAUCAGUAGCACUUAAAAGGGUUAUCUAUAGUUGGAGCUAGAUCACUAUCUUCUAGCACAUCAAAAAAAUCUCUUGGUUGAGUUUGGGUUGGCACAUGCCAAUGACUGUCUUCUGGAUCUACAACAUAAAACACUUGUGUAGCUUGAGAAGCCAAUAUGAAAGUGUGUCUUUCGUUUGUCGCAACCGAUUGAAACUAACCAAAGGGAAACCAUACCCAUCAAACCUCAUCCCCCUAUCACUAGCAGUAUCAACCCAAUCACAGUUAAAUAAUGUAAUUUUCCGACCAUUAUCAUUCUGUUCUAUUUGACCCCCGUAAUUAAGUUCAUAAAUCUCUUUAAGAACACCAUAAUAAUCAACAUUGCCAAUUACUGGAUUGCGAUCUCUUGCGCUUGAGUAACUAGAUGUCUCUGCACAUUGAAAUACACCACUAUUCUGAUUCUUCUUUUUAUCGUCUACUGAUUUAAUCCGGAACCUACACCCAUGAAUUAUGUGAUUCUUAUACUUGUUCACAAAUCUACUAGGACCAAUUGAUAGCCAACGCAAGUCCUCAGAUAUUGACAGAUCAUGGGCUGUGUACAAUUUAGUAACCUAUAAUUUAAAACAACAACUAAAGUAAAUAACUUUAAUUAAAAAUAUGGUGCAGCAACAUAAAAUGAAUCAUAUUACAACUAAACAUACUUACAUGAUCCUUGAACCAAGUUGGAAAUAUCUUAUUUCUCAUCCCCUCAAUUUCCUGUAUGGUCUUCCGUCGAUUACUUUGUCUCAAUUCUUGGAAGCAUUUUCUGUUUUACAAUAUAAUAUAAUGACUUGUUAGUUAUUAAUUCAUAAUUGAGGAUUGAAAAAAAAAAAUAUCAACAACUUGCUUGUUUUUAUUCAUAAAUAUCUUACUCUAAAAAAGGGGAAACUUCAUCGCAAUUGAACAAGACCACUCUGCGACAUUGGUCCCAAACAUCUUUGUCAAGAUAUAUUUGUUCAGCUGAACCCUUAGAAUGACAUGAAGAGUCAAAAACUUUUAGCUCCCCAAUGACACCACGACCAAUACCAUCAGCAUUUCGACCCUUUCGAUUCCUUCGAGUCUCAACGUUGCUAAGAUACAUGGUACACAUAGCUAAUCCCUCGUCGACAAGAUAUCCUUGUUCCAUACUUCCUUCAGGAUAACUCUUAUUCUGAACAUAUUUCUUUAAUGUUUGUAGGUAUCUAAAGAUAUGGCAAAAUUGAACAUGUUAAUUUACAAUUAAAAUGGAAAACUAGAAAUAAUAAAUAAGAUUUGAACUAAUUACCUUUCAAUGGGAUACAUCCACCGGUAUGGGGCAGGCCCUGCGAUUGCAGCCUCAUCUGCCAAAUGCAUGAUUAAGUGUACCAUCACAACAAAGAAGGAAGGAGGGAAUAUCUUUUCCAUCUGGCAUAAUGUCACUGCAAUCCGAGGUUUUAAAGCCAUGUAUGACGCUUCAUAUUCCUUCUUACUACAUAACCGUCUAAAAAUUGCACUUAGCUCAAGCAAAACAAUGGUAACAGCUUUUGGUAAUACUCGUCGUAUUGCAAGGGGCAGCAGCUGUUGCAUUAUAAUAUGAUAGUCAUGACUUUUCAAUCCGUGUAUUUUUCUCUCAUUCACAUUAACACAUCUAGACAGAUUUGCAGAAUACCCAUCAGGAACUCUCACAUUUGCCAAGACUUCGCAAAACAUUGUUUUUUCCCUUUUCCUCAUGUCAAAAAGUGCUGGAUCAAAAACUUCCUUACCUUUCCCAUUUAUAUAAGGGUGCUGUUUUCUCCUUAUAUUCAAAAUUUGAAGGUCCUUACGAGCUUUUAUUCCAUCCUUUGUCUUCCCAGGAAUAUUUAACAGUGUACCUAAAAUGUUUUCACAAACAUUCUUUUCAAUAUGCAUUAGAUCAAGGUUAUGCCGUAUCAAAAGAUAUUGCCAAUAUGGUAACUCAAAGAAUAUGCUUUUCUUCUUCCACUGAACUUUGUUACUAUUUAUAUUCGUUGUGGGAUAGGUAUUUGUAUUCCUAAUGGGACAAGAACAUUUUUUGGGUUUUCCUUGCCCAACAAAAACAGCUGACUUCUUUUUGGGUUUUCGAAAUGUGAAUGUCAAACUUGACAAUUUUUCUAAACACUGUGAACCUGUCAAGGGAAUAGGUGGAAGAGCAUGUUCUUCCUUACCGUUAAAGGCUGCUUUAUCUCUUCGAAACCUAUGUUGUAUAGGUAGAAAUCUCCGAUGACCCAUAUAACACAUCUUACUACUAUUUGCCAAAUGCAUUGAGACUGUAUCAUCCAUGCAAUGCGGACACGCUUUCUUCCCCUUCGUGCUCCAUCCUGAAAGAAUUGCAUAUGCGGGAAAGUCAUUAAUCGUCCAUAACAAUGCAGCCUUCAUUGUAAAAGUUUGGUUGGCAAACACAUCAAACGUCUUAAUACCAACCUCCCACAACUCUUUCAACUCAUCGAUUAAAGGCUUCAAAUACACGUCAAUAUUAUUGCCAGGCCCAUCAGGACCAGGAAUUAUUAACGAUAACAAUAAAUUUGGUUGCUUCAUACACAUCCAUGGAGGCAAAUUAUAAACUGACAGUACAACAGGCCAUGUACUAUGGGGUUUGUUCAUAUUUGAAAAGGGAUUAAACCCAUCACUUGCAAGCCCCAAUCGCACGUUGCGUAUCUCCGAAGAAAAUUCAGGGUAUAAGGAAUCUAAAUGCUUCCAUGCACGAGAAUCUGAUGGGUGCCUCAUGAAUCCAUCUUUAGGACAUUCGGUUGCAUGCCAUCUCAUAUCUUCAGCGGUAUGCUUCGACAUAAACAAUCUUUGCAACCUUGGUUUUAAUGGAAAAUACCGAAGAACCUUGGUUGGAACCUUAGCUGAUGUGUUCUUACUCAAAGAACCUCCCACAAUAUUGACUUUGUACCUUGAGGCACCACAAAGUGCACACUCAGUCAAGUCUGAUGUAUCUUUCCAAAACAGCAUACAAUCAUUGGGGCAAACAUCAAUCCUCUUGACUGUAAGUCCCAACUCCCUAAUGAUUUUUUUAGCAUCAUAAUUAUUUUUUGGUAAACAAUUCCCCUCUGGCAACAAUUGUUUAACCAAUUGUAACAGCAUUGUAAAGACAUUAUCGCUUCCCUAAACAUUUAAUCUGGAACAGUCUUACAACAGAAUACAAUUUCUUAUAUUUACACCUAGGGUACAACUCCAUAUCUGCUUCUUCAAGUAACUUAUAAAAUAUUUCAGCCUCAGGUGUUUGGCCAUCAAAGAUAGGUGGCUCUGUCGAAGUCCCAACAGUUUCUCCAAUUAUUGGUUGCACAAAGGCUUCAUUGAGAAAAUCAUGAAUGUCAUCUAUACAAACUUCUUCAUUAUGAACUGAUUCUAUAUCCUCUUGGAAUGGUAAAUUUGUCAUGGGCUCCCCAUGAUGCCUCCAAGGGCCAUUCAUAUAUGUGGGAUCCAUUCCUUUUUCUAUAAGAUGAAGCUGGAUGAUGUUUCUUUCAUAGUGAUAACGGUUACAACAUUUUUUGCAAGGACAUAUGACCCUCUCUCCAAAACCCACUUUGGCAAAGACGUCAUCUAAAAACAUUCUCAUUCCGUCUGCGUAUUCCUUACAAUUUCUCCUUAAAUGUACCCAACUUUUAUCCAUAGUUCACCUAUAUUGAGUGCAAGGCACCAAAUACAAUUAUUCAGCACAGAUCAUCCCUCAUACUUAUUGUCUAUAAAUUCCUAUCAGGUGGGUCAAUUUAUUAUCCAUUAGAUGACCCUCAUGACCAUCUACAUCAAUUCACAAGAAAAACCAAAUUAAAAUAACAAAAACCUGAGUCUAAAGAAUAUAUUAACUAAGAAAUUGCACAUUCAUUCAACUGAAGAAAAGAACUAUAACACCAAACAACUAGACCCACUUAAUAGCUAAAGAAACUCACGUCAUAACAACAAAGUAUACAUAUUAAACAACAUAUCAACUCAUAGAUAAAAGCCCGAUAAUCUCAAUACUAUGAACAAUCUUAUUCAAAAAUAAUAAGAUAACAGCAACAUAAUAGAAAAAAGUAAAGGGAAACACACCUGGAUUCUAAGUUUCCAACAACAAUUCAACACUCCUGCAGUAGAUUAAUACAUACAUACCCACAUAUCAAACUUCACCAACAAAUAAUAAAAAAUUAAAACAAGAGCUUUGAAAAAUCAAAGGAUUCGUGUCACAUCCCGGAAUCGGCUCCGCCGUAGCACGAUAUUGUCCGCUUUGGGCCCCCCUCUCUGCCCGCACGGUUUUGUUUCUAGGAGCUCACGAGCAACUUCCCAGUAGGUCACCCAUCCUGGGAUUGCUCUAGCCCCCAACUCGCUUAACUUCGGAGUUCCUACGACUCCGAAGCCAGUGAGCUCCCAAAAGGCCUCGUGCUAGAUGGAUGCGGGCAUGCACAUAUAAGGCACAUCACCCCCUCUCCGUUGGUUGAUGUGGAAUCUUACAAUCCACCCCCCUUAAGGACCCGACGUCCUCGUCGGCACACUCGCACCACACGGCAGAGUGGCUCUGAUACCAAAUUGUCACAUCCCGGAAUCGGCUCCGCCGUAGCACGAUAUUGUCCGUUUUGGGCCCCCCUCUCUGCCCGCACGGUUUUGUUUCUAGGAGCUCACGAGCAACUUCCCAGUAGGUCACCCAUCCUGGGAUUGCUCUAGCCCCCAACUCGCUUAACUUCGGAGUUCCUACGACUCCGAAGCCAGUGAGCUCACCCCCUCUCCAUUGGUUGAUGUGGGAUCUUACAAUUCGUUUAUAUCUUGGAAUAAAAUCAGUAUUCUAAUUUUUAUAUCUAAUUGGAAGGAUUCAUGGGUCAUUACCUACACUAAAAUACUUGAAAAAAUAAAAUAAACAAACAAAAUAAGAACAAAAAUUUCACCAGAACAGAGGCACAAAAAUCUCACCAAAACAGAGGGCCUCUUUAAUGAAGGACAACCAAGUCAGCCCCAAUUGAAAAGAGCAAAGAACCCCCAGAUUUAAUCUCUCUCUCAAUCUGAAUCAGCAACCCCAAUUGAGAAAAGCAAGGAAAACCCCCCAAAUUUAAUCUCUCUCUCUCAAUCUGAAUUAGCAACCCCAAUUGAGAAGAGCAAGGAAAACCCCCCAAAUUUAAUCUCUAUCUCUCUCAAUCUGAAUGAGCAGACACGAAAAUCACUACCACACAUGACUCCAACUCCAUUAGCUAUGAGGAAGAAUACAAUUCAUUCUUCAAUGAAAAGAAGAGGGAAGAGAUGGCCGGUUUGGAGGAAGUAGAAAAGCUCAAGUAAACAAUUGAAGUUUUUUAUAUAUCAAUAGGAAAAUUUUGAAGUUAAAAAUUAUAUUUAAGAAUAGUAUUGGCAAUCGAACUCGUCAGAAAAAAAGUUGGCUUCCUGGUGUCUGAAAAUUUAGGCGCUUAUGUUUUCACUUCCCGCGUUAAAAGAGACUGGCGCAGUGUCUCGUCAGUAAAGGUAGUAAUGACAAAAGACUUUGUCAGUAUUAUUUACUAGUGAAAAAUCACUUUAUUUUGCUAGUAUUUGGUCUCAGUACUGACUAAGCUGCUCUUUCAUCAGUAUUAGUCCGUCAGUAUAAGCUAAAAUUGUAGUAGUGAGAGGAUUGAUAAGUGAUAUUAAUUCUUGAAUAUACAGAAUGUAAAAUAAAGGAACACGUAAAAAAUUAUUUUAUGUGGUAAAACUCCAUCUCUGGGGAAAAUCCACGGGACUUCUUAGUCCAAAACAAAUCCAUUAUAGAAUGAUGAUUACAAGAAGUACUCACACACUUAUCCUAGACACAUUCUAGAUAAUGUUUACUGACCUCUUCGUAACUCAACUUCUGUCUCGAGAUGAUCUUUCAACACUCCUUAUGUUGAACGCAAUAUUGGUCACGAUUUCUUCAAGCUCGUCAGAGUUCUUCCAACUCUCCUAAUAUUGAAUCCGAUACUAGUCACGAUUGAUUCAAGCUCAUCGUAGAAAAACCGUCACAAUGGUCUUGGUGCCCUCAACCGUAUGAGUCAUUAAACAUGCAAAUGAAUACAUAUAUGAAUGAUAAAAGUGUUUGAUAAAUCACUGAGUUAUGGAACACUUGAUGAUUUAUCUCAAAUAAAAACUCAGCUUUAAUGCUUUCUAAACAAAGAAGACGAAGGUCUUACUUUAUAGACUUUUUCUUUACAAGAAAGAAAAUAAGUUGGAAACCAAAUCUCCAAUUUCCAAGGCAAAAUCACAAAAGUAUCUUUCCUAUUCUAGAGAUUGGUCACAUGUAGUCCAACCAAUAGGAAAUGAGAUAUUUAAGAAAGGAAGAUUUUGAUCAAUAUCAAUAUCAAAUGAAUUCUUAUACGCCUAGUCAACUAUUAAGGGUAUCUUGACUCCUUGAUAUUUUGAUAUGAUUGAAACAUGAUUUCCAAGUUAGAAAAUUAAGGGGUUGUUAAAACAUGAAAGUAAUAGGAGAAACAAAUUUAUUUGAACCAAAAUUGCCCAAAAAGAAAACACUCCUAAAUAAACUUCAAUUCACUUUAGUAAAACAUGAUUGAAUCGUUCGUUAAAACAAUUCCCUAAUAUACAUGCAUGAUAAUGACAUCACUUACCCCUGAAUCAAAUUUGUUAAUGUAUGCAUUUUGAGUUUUUUUUUCUUUUGGCUUCCCUUGACAAUUUUGUAAUAGGAAAAUCAUUGUAGUUUCUCAAGCUCUAAGUUUAGAUUAAGAAUUACUUCUCUAGGUGUUCUUAUCUGCCUACAUUCUGAUGGAAAACAAUGCGUUUGACAAAGGUAAAUUCUGCAUUACACUACAUUGCAUUCACUAAAUUUCUUAAGAUUAUGACUAGUCAUCUUUCUUUCGUAUGACUAGUCAUCUUGCAUUCGUAUGACUAGUCAUCUUUCCUUCGUAUGACUAGUCAUCCUUUGUUUCAAUUAGGAUUUCCAGCUCACUGUUUCCAGCUGGGGCUUAAGCAUUUUUUUGUCCUUUUCUACGAAUUUCUCAGCUUCCAUGUGUCUAUUCUGACCUAGGAAUUUUUGGUAAAAGCCAUAGAAUUCCUCAUUUGGCAGCCGUCACUUUUGGGGACAAGUUGUGGAAAGUUUCAUAGCAAACUUUCGCUUCUUCUUCCUCAAGAGUAACCUUCAUAUUUUUCAUCUUUGAGUUCUCUAAAUUGUUUCUUUUUGAAAACUGCAUUUGAAAUAUGAAAACUUCAUCUUGCUAGAUCAAACACUCUAUCAUAUACAUCUAGGUCAGAUUCAAGAUUGAUUUCUUCAAGAGUAUGGUUUCUUGAAGAAAUUGGUCAUUUUCUCCAUGAAUCCAAAUUUCAUUUCUGUCUGAGUUAGAGCUUGCAAGCUGGUGCCAUGGGAUGAAUGAGCUGAAGAAGGAGCUGCCAUUGCCAUGAAGAACUGAGCUUCAAGCUUUGCUAAGUUGGAGAAGAAGAUUGCACAAAGGAGAUAUAGCAUCUUCCUAAAUAGACCUAGGAAUUUCUUGAGCUUGCUAGUGUUCUUUGUAAGAAUCUUUUUGCUUAGUGGAUUGCCUGGUCGGUUGAUGACCCCCAGUUUUUCCCAAUGGUGGGUUUCUGGGUGAACAAUAUCUGGUUUCCAUCUCUGUAGAUUUUUUGGGUUUGUGUUCUUGAUAGUUGACUAGUCAUCUGAAUUUGUGUGGUUGACUAGUCAUCUUUUUCUGCUGUUUGGUGUUUUCUUGAUUAUGUUGUCUUCACACACUUUUACCAUAGUUGUUGCUAGCACAAGGGAUGCCUAGAUUGAUGGGUCCUUCUGAGUGCCUAGGUUGUCACUAGUAAUUCUCUAGGCCUGCAGGUACAUCUUGGUAUGCUUUGUGUAUGUUAUUGUUUGGUUUAAUUCAUAUCUAACAGUUGACUAGUCAUAAGAGUAUUUGGUCAAGGUCUAGAGUGUGUGAAGUUUGUUGCGUUCUUGAUUGAAUAUCUUUUAAAUUUACCCUUCGUCACCUAAUUACCAAUUUGCAGACUCCACAAAUGAAGAAAAGAGCACAAAUAUCGUGAAUGCUAUUGGGAAUGGAAAGGGCAAACCUGUUCAAAAAGGGUAUGGAGGGGGCGUUAGACUUUACGUUCAAAAAGGGUAUGGAAAACGUCCUCCUCCAUCUGACAGUCAACUACUCCAUUAUAAAGACAUAGCUAUUUUCUUCUUCGAGAAAGACAUGCGCCCUGGCUCAACAAUGAAGUUCCAAUUCCCUAGAAAUUCAAACACGGCUACUUUCCUGCCACGCGAAAGUGCUCAAUCGAUCCCCUUCUCCUUUAACAAACUACCAGAAAUUUUCAACCAUUUUUCAGUGAAGCCAACAUCUGUGGAAGCCAAAACAAUUAAGCAAACAAUCGAAGAGUGUGAAGCUCCAGGCAUUAAGGGAGAUGAAAAAUAUUGCGCCACAUCUUUAGAAUCAAUGGUUGAUUUUAGCACUUCGAAGCUUGGAACAAGAAACGUUGAAGCAGUCUCGACGGAGGUAUUGGAAAAAGGAGCCACCAUGUCCAUGCACAACUAUACAACAAUGCCGGGACUGAAGAAGUUGGCAGGUGACAAAGUCGUUGUGUGUCAUAAGGAGAACUAUCCCUAUGCUAUGCUAUGUUUUUCUGCCAUGCAAUAAAACAAACAGCAGCUUAUGUUCUCUCCCUGAAAGCCGAUGAUGGGGAGAAGGUUAAAGCUGUAACCAUCUGCCAUCUAGACACAUCAGAAUGGAACCCAGAGCAUUUGUCCUUCCAAAUCCUCAACGUUAAGCCCGGAACCGUUCCUAUCUGCCAUUUCAUUUCCACUGAUGCUAUUGCCUGGGUUCCAAAACACAAAUCUGCAUGAUCAUCACUUAGCACUGUACGUAUAAUAAGCUUGGUUGGGUUGCACCCCUGUAUAAUUAUCUCCCUACUUAUUUCUGCCUCUUCAUCAUGUGGUGUAAGAUAUAUGAUGAAAUGAAGUUUUUGGGAUUAGUGGUCGGGUUGCCUGAAAAACACAGAUUAUAGAAACUGCUUGAAAUUAACCCGAUCAUGUUUUCUCUUGUAACGAUAUAGACUUCAACUUGUACUCAUAAUAAAGCAUGCUAUAUUUAUGAAGAGAUAUUAAUCUAUAUAUGCUUUGGCUUUGUGGUUUUACCCAGUGUUUGAAUGUUGAAUUGUUACGUUGGAAUAGGCUGCUAAUGCAUGUAGUUAGAGAAGCCUUCAUUUAUAUCAAAGUCCUCAAACUAUCAAGAACUAAUGUAUCCAGAAACACAUACCAAGACGCAAAACAACAUAUUUUCCAUGCUGUCUGUAACACCAAAGCAAACUUCCUUUAUCACAUCAUUUAAAGGAUCAAAUUCCAGUACUAAUCUAAUCCAUUAUGUAAAGCAUCAGGGACAGACUCAAGAUUUCAAAAUGGAGUGGGCUAGAUUUUAGGUCCGGCUAAACUUUAUAGGGAGACUUAUGAAAUUAAUCAUAAUAUUAUAUAAAUUUAAUUUAAAAACAUAUCAUUUUUAUUUUAUUUAUUUAAAGAGUCCAAUUUUACACCAACAAUGUCAUCAACAAUUGAUUAUAUAUGCUUAAAAUUAACAUUAGUUGACAACUCACAACUCAUAUUGCAACUUAUUUAGUAUAUGUGUUUUAUACUAACAAUAACAAAAGAAAAACACUUGACUGGGCUAUAGCCCAGUUUGUACACAUUGCAGGCCCGUCCUUAUAAAGCAUACAAGUGCCUCCCUAAAUUUGUCCGUUGGAUAUAUAUAUGUCACUUUUUAUUUUUUGAUAGAGAUAUAAAUGUUGAGAAAAUUAGAGUACACAACUCUAAUAUCAUAAAGCAAACAAAAUUUCUAAGUUAGUUUGCUUUAUGAUAGUUGUUUUUUGAAGGGGUCCUUAGAUCUAAUCUCAAAAAGUUUGGCUUUUAUUAGGUUUAACUCUGGUUUUUGCAAUUCUUUAUCUCGUAGUGGCAAUGUUCAAAUGCGAUGAGAUUUCUAAUUAAUACCUCUGUAUGAUCGCUUAUUUUCAAUCUUGGAAUUUCAAGAGUCCGGUCAGCAAAUCUAAUAAGGUAUUCGUUGAUCCCUCAUUCAACUUGAUCCCUGCCCUGUGUAGCUCUGUGAUGCUGGGUGUGUUUAUAGUUAUGAGUUUCCUGUCAUCAAUUUUUAGGGCUAUUCGUUAUAUGAGUCCCUGAACUUAGACUCGAUUUGCAUUUUAGUCCCUCAAUUUCCAAAAUCGUUUCAGUGGUCCUUCAACUUCAGUUUCGUUAGGACAAAUGGUCCUGCCAUCAAACGAUUAUAAAGUGGAAAAAACAAGAACAAAAAGGGAAGUGAGUUAAAUUUGCACCUACUAUGUUCAAACGACAAAGUUGGUUUCCCUUUGGUUGAUUACAAGAGAAGUGAAAGGACCCGCCCGAAUUUUCUCAAAAUCCGAGACAAACCCUUUGGAAUUCCUGACAUCACCCUGAUGCCAGGCCCACUUACUAAAAACCGAGACCUCCUGCCGAAAUUUCGGCAGAGUCUCCCCUAUAAAUUGGACGUUUCCCAAAAUUUAUACCUGCAUAAAAACGCAUUUAAUAUUCCCAACUGGCAGCAUGCACAAUAUAAUUUCAUGCAAUUCACACAAAUGGCCUUCGGCCUUUCAAUAAUUCAUAUCCAACUACCAAACCAUUCAAAUACCAAAUAUGACUAACAUUUAGUCUGCGGCUGCACCUAAUAACCCUAGGCUGCCUACGUACCCUCCUUGAGGGAUCAAGCCACACGUAGUUCUUCCCUAAAACCCAAUUCCACACUUGGGCGAUACCUUAUUUCAUUUCUCUGGAUUUCAUAUAAUCUCCCCAUACGCCGGUACAACCAACGCCACGUAUGGGGCCUGUCAACACGCCGGAUAACCUACGCCACGUGCGACCAUGCCAUACUAUCAUAAUAUCUCCCCAUACGCCGGUACAACCAACGCCACGUAUGGGGCUUGUCCCAACGCCGGAUAACCUACGCCACGCGGGACCUCAAUAUUCAUAUCACAAAUCUCCCCAUACACCGGUACAACCAACGCCACGUAUGGGGUCUGUCGACACGCCGGAUAACCUACGCCACGUGCGACCUCACACAAUAUCACAAUAUCUCCCCAUACGCCGUACAACCAACGCCACGUAUGGGGUUUGUCUCAACGCCGGAUAACUACGCCACGUGAGACCUGAAACAUCAUAUUACAAAUCUCCCCAUACGCCGGUACCACCAACGCCACGUAUGGGGCCUGUCCCAACGCCGGAUAACCUACGCCACGUGGGACCUAACUUUCACUUGGUGGUGCUUGUAGUGAAUCCAAAAUCCGGGGAGGUAUCUAAAGUAGUGCGUUUAGCACUCCAAACUGACACUCUAGACUCUGUUGUACCCUUGUACAACCAUAUAUAAUUAUAGUUAUAUAAAUUAAUUCUAAUAUUGUGUAACCCUCCACAAUAGUCUAGCUCCCGAUAAUCCCCCCCUUAGAAAGGUGAGAUUACUCCGGGAGACUCACGGUCAACCAAGGGUCAAACUACUCUAACCCUGGUCAACCGGACCUGCAGAACCCACUACCUCCAAUUUCCGAUCCGAAAGUCUCUAUGGGUUCUACCAGGUAUAGGACACUUGUCCUGCAAGUUUGGUUCAAAUCGGACGGUCGGAUUUCUCACGAUCGCACGAUCUGACGGUUAAUAUAAGAUAUAAAAUUAAAAUUAUUAUUCGGAACAUCCGGGGUUCCGAUUCAUGAUCCGUAAAUUCCUACACGAUCCUAGAAAUACCUAGAUUAACAUAUAUUAAAUUUGGGACCAUCCAACGGUCCCAACCUAUCGAACUCGGAUAACGCACACUAUGCGAUUAUCCGUUCGAUAGUCAAACGACGUCCGAAUUGAGAUCCGCGAAAUCCUACGCACUCGUGACAACCUAAGGAUCUCAUCGGAACACAUCGCUACAUUUUCUACAGUGCCCACGCACCGGCAGUGCGUGGGUGCCCAAAGCGAUAACGCUUCGCCGGAAAAUCUCAAAACCACGGCUCCAAACUCCUACCCUAGGUAUAACACCCUAUUUGGAGCCACUUUUGUUUUGGACCUACCCCAAAAAGUGGCCGGAAAUGGCCAAUCACGGCGGCCGAAGUUUCGGCCGAUUUUCAAUUCGAAAAUUGAGUUGCCUACGCUAAGAAUCGAUCUAAUCCUACCCAACCAUCAGCUAGAGCAGCUCGAGAGGUUCAAAAUCCAUACCUGGGUCGACGGAUUUGGUGGCCGGAGGAGGAGGAUCGACGGCGUUGAAGUUCCGGCGACAUCUGGGCGAAAAUCGCCAUUUUCCGGCGGCUGGAGCGGCGGCCGAUGGCGGGGAUGGGCUGGGUCGUGACGCCGAGGUCGAGCCGGUUCUUUUGACACCGGCCCCGUCCGCAGCCGCGGCCGGUGGCCGGAGUUACGAAGAGAGAGAGAGGAGAGAGAGAGAGGAGAGGCCGACGGGAGAGAGAGAGAGAGGAGUCUCGCAGGAGAGAGAGAGAGAGAGAGAGAGAGAGAGAGAGAGAGAGAGAGAGAGAGAGAGAGAGAGAGAGAGAGAGAGAAACCAGAUUUUAUAAAAAAAAUCCCAUUUCGAAAUAUUUACGAUUAUGCCACUGGACUUCUUUUGACCAUAUCUCUCUCGUUACAACUCCGAUUCGAGCCCACUACGUGUCUGUGAACUCGUCUCAGUACGACCUAUCCAAAAAUAUAAGUCACGGUCCCAAACUCUCUCCGGUUAAAAAUAUGACUAAAAUACCCUCAAAGCAGCUUACUUGGUUCCUCUAGUAGAUGGAAAUAUAAUUUUUCUAGCUAAAUUUCUCAAAUGGUCCUCAAACUUGUACGCGAUUUACAUUUUGGUCCAUCAAUUAAAUUAUUAGUCCAAAUGGUACAUAAACUCUAUUUUAAUCGCCCAUUUGAUCGAACCGUCUAAUUUUCUGUUAGAUUUAACCAAAUUUUAGGGUAAAUAUGACUUUUCAUAAUUAACAAAUAAAAUAGGAUUAAAAUAAUUAAAUACAAAAUUAGAAAAAAAAAAUGAAGAAAAGGAGGAAGAACAGAAGAGGAAGAAACCCAGAAGAAGAGGAAGCGGACAAGGUUAUUGCAAUGGCUUUCUUAAGUAAAAUUGGGAAUAUACUCAGAUGGACUGCAAAGAAGCAUAUCUGAUCUGAAUUAUCUCCUUUCAAACUAUCUAUCCAUCAAGCAGUAAGAUGCAUGUCAAACAUGGUGAGUUCAAAACUCUUAUUGGAGGUAUUUCGUACCAAACAGAUGAGCAGAGUCUGAAGGAAGCUUUUGCAAAAUAUGGUGAAGUUAUUAAUGCAAGAAUCAUCAGUGACCGUGAAACUGGUAGAUCUAGAGGAUUUGGGUUCAUCACUAGCGAGGAGGCAUCCAGUGCAAUCCAGGCCUUGGAUGGGCAUGAACUUCAUGGCCGUCGAGUAAGGGUGAAUUAUGCUACUGAUAGACCUCGCCCUAACUUCGGUGAUGGAGGUGGUUUUGAAACUGCUAGCACUGGAGGUGGUUUUGGCAAUAACAUCAAUUUGGGUGUUGCUGUUGCUGUUGGUGGUGCUCAUAACUUUGUUGGCGGUGCUGACAACAGCUUUGGCAGUGGUGGAGCUCAAUUGGGAGAGAACAAAGGUGGUUUCAGCUUGCAUGAUCCCUUGAAAGGAAAUGAUAAGGAUGAUGAUGAUGAUGCCGGCAACUUUCUCAAGAGGGCUUGAUAAUAUUUAGAUAAGAGGAGCGAUUUAGUUUGCUUCUAUGCAGAGCUACUAGUAGAUUGUCUUUUUGUUACAGCUGCAUGUCCCCCCUCCCCGUCUUUCUAAACUAUUAAUUUCAUUUGGCGGAAUUUUCUGUGAAUUUCAUGCACCUUUUAGUGUGCUUUGUCAACUAAGGACCUGGAUUGUGGGAAAAAAAGAAGCAAAAAAAGAAGAAACCAGGAAGAAGAAGAAGAAACCCAGAAGCAAAAGAAGAAGAAACCCAGAAGAAGAAGAGAGAGAGAGUUGGUGGAUGCAAUGACCAAGUUGCCCUCAUAUUUAACGGAAAUAUUGAUAGAAUGUAACGGUAGGAUCAAUGAAGCGAAUAAUAUAGAGUUGAUGUACCAUUUGGACUAAUAAUUUAAUUGAGGAACCAAAAUGUAAAUCGAGUAUAAGUUUGAGGACCAUUUGAGUAAUUUACCCUAAUUUUUCUCCUAAUAAUAAGGGUUUAGUGCAAUCAAUGAUGGGCUGUAUAGAACAACUUUUUUGUUUUAUAUGUUUAUGUGAGACAAGUUUUGCCAGAUUGAAUUAAUGUCUUCUAGCUAUGUACCUUAUCUUUUUGCCGGGCCAUGAGUUGAAUGUAGAGGCAGAGCAUGGACUUGGGGUCAAGUUUGACUUGUAAAAAAUUAGGAAUUGAAUGGCUAAUACGUUCAAUUAUUUAUUUAUUUAUUUAUUUUUGUCCGAGCCAUUCAAUUCCUAAUUAUUUAGAUUUUCAAUCCAGUGAGCAUCCACAAUCAUGCUCUCUAUUUUUAAGUUAAAUUUUAGCUAAAAACAUAUAAAAGUUAUUUUAGGAGCUCUCUAUAAAAUUUAAACUUCAAUCGUUUUCUCUAGUUUAGGGAGUCAUAAAUGCCAUAACUCUUUUUUGAUUGGUCUAUCUCUAUUAAAAAAUAAAAUAAAAAAUAAUUAGCAUUAAAUAAAGAUUUGAAAUACUCAUUAAAUAAAGCAACAUUAAAUUAUAGGGAGCCACUAGGAGUCCUUUCUCUCUCCUCAAGUUUAGGAGCUCCUAGAGGUCUCCCUAUUUUAAGAGGUGGAUAGGGAGUAUGGUUGGAAUUGUAUUUUUACAAUUCCUCCCUAAAAUUUGUCUAAGGAGGUGGUUUAGGGAACCCAUUGUGGAUGCUCUCAUCUCAAAGAAAGAAAACCUCAAGUUUGCAAGCAAGUUUUCUACGUAUGUAUAUAUGAAAAAAUGAUAUGAAAAUAAUAAAUCCAUAUUUUUAUGUAAGCCAACUUUCUAAAUCCAUGUACUAUAUUUAUUAGGGAAAUAUUGGAGAAACUGAUUAUUUUGAAAAAUUAAAUGUGAAAAACUGAACAAAAAUUUGACAGGUUACAUAUUUCAACUCAUUCAGCAGCUUAGGUUGUGAAGACCUAAGCAACAAAUCUGCUACUGGGGUGUUGGGGUUUUCUACGUCAUGUGGAGCUUCAUUGCUGCAUCCUUCCACUUCCAUUAUGUGUUGUUCUGAUUCUAAGUGAUGAGGGUAUUAUUGGCACCAUAAUAAACAAAUCAUUUCAAGAUGGUUCCUUCAAAAAUUUAGAAAACAUGCAUCACGAAAUUUUUUAGAAAACAUGCAUCAUGAAAAAAUUACGUGAACAAUAUACUUACACCAUGGGAUCACUCCCACAUAUUGUAACACCCCGACUCCAAAUUAAAUGAUUAUUUUAAUCGAUUUUUAUAAAAUUACGAAUUUACCCUUGGGAUAGGGGUAACUUGGUCACUUUCUUCUUCGGAAGGAUUUUUGGACCAUGAGUGGUAUUUCUGGGUAGUUGGUACCGAGACGAAUUCGUAGACAUGCGGUAGGCUUGAAUCGGGGUUGUAACGAAAAAGUUACGGGCAAAAUAGUGUCAGUGGCAAACUUGUAAAUAUUUCGAAAAGGGUUAGGGUAAAAAUCAGAUUUUUCCAGUUUUACCUCACUUUCUCUCUCUUCCUCCCGAUUCUCUCUCUCUCUCCCGCGUCUCUCUUCCUUCUCCGAUCUGCAGAUCGCAGAGCCGCCGCCACAGGCCACGGCUAGCCCCGAGACCGGACCCAAAACGAUCGGCCAAACCUCGCCGACGUCCCCCGACCCAUCUCCAGCCGCCAGCCGCCGCCUCGUCGCCGGAAACCACGGAUUUCAGGCCGAUUCUUGUCUGAGCUUCCAGUCGAUCGUUCUCUCUCCUCCGAGCACUAUUUCAGACGGGUGAGGUAUGGUUUCUCAUCCAAUUUUUGAGUUCUAGCUGAUGAUGGUAUAGGUUUUCAUUGAUUUUGAGUCUAGAAAACCGAUUAGGAAUCUAGGUUUUGGGCCGAAUUUCAAAAUGAAAUUCUGGCCAGUUGCCGGCCGAAUUGGAGCUUCUCGUAGUUGAAUGAAGUGAUCCUGACCUCGAGUAGAAGCUAGAGUAGGAAGGGUGAGCUCGGGUGUGGAGUUUUUCCGUCACCGGAAUUACUCUGCACACCCACGCGCUGCCGGCGCGUGUGGCGGUGCGUGGGCGAGUCUGGUGAGGAUGUAAAUUGACCCGAUGAGAUCCUUAGGUUGUCACGAGCGCAUAGGAAUUCGCGGAUCUCGAUUCGGAUGUCGUUUGGCUAUUGAAACGGAUUUUCGCAUAUUGUGCGUUAUCCGGGUUCGAUAGGUUCCGACCGUUAGAUCUUUCCCAAAUUAAAAUAUGUUGUUCUAGGUAUUCCUAGGACCGUAUGGGACUUCACGAAUUCUGAAUCGGAGCCCCGGAUGUUCCGAUUCAAAAAUGCAAAGUUUGCGGGUUAGCGAUAACCGUAAAAUCGUGAACGCUUCCUAAACCUGUAAUCGGACCUUAGGGUACCAUCUUCGACGUGCACGUAUGGGAAUUUGGGGAGUUAAGCAUUUAAUUUGUAAUUUCCGCUUAGACGUGGUUUUUAUAUUAAUUAACGGUUCGUAUUUCGAAAUAGGUAUUUCGACUGCACGCACGCAGCAAGCAGGACCUUCACGUGGUCAGGCAGCGAGGGAAUACUUGUGAGUGGACUUUGUUUUAAUCAUAUGCCUGGUUUUAAUUAAUGAAAGAUUUUGCAUAAUGUUUUAAUGGCUUCUGGAUUUUAUGUAUUAUAUGCAUGAAUUAAUUUCAAUGGGUGUAUAGCAAUUGGCAAUAUAUUAUGAGUUUGGCCUUUUGGGUUUUGAGAGUGUAUUUCAUGUAUAGAUUGGGGAAGUAUAUUUUGAUAUAUAUAUAUUCUUUUAGAGGAGAUAUUUGGGUUGUUGGAGAGUGAUAUGGAAGAAUGUGAUUAGAGAGGAGUUGUGGGAUUACACUACGUAAGUACCUUCCCCGGUUACUAGUCUCACUCGCGGCGUUGGAUGUUCCGGCGGGUGAGACACUUUCCGUAUGCGGCGCUGGAUGUUCCGGCGUACGGAAAGACUGUGUAUAGAGUUUAGGGUCAUCACCAUGGCGUUGGAUGUUCCGGUGUGUGAUGAUCCAGUCUGCGCGCGUAGGACAUAGUUUGAGAGCUACACAUGGCGUUGGAUGUUCCGGUGUGGGAGCUUUGGAGUUUCGUCCCCCGGUUGGACCGCUCAUCCCUAAACGCAGGAUAGCACCUGGAAAUCCUGCGGACUAGUCAAACGAUCCCCCAGUUGGAUUGUUUUCCCCGGUACCUAAGUGGUGUGAUGAGUAUAUCAUAUAGCUAUUUAUAGUUAUUUAUAUAUAUAUAUUUAUGUGUAUAUUUAUUGAAUAUGUAUAGUUGAGUGUGAAAGGAAUUGGAGUUUGUUUAAUAGUUGAUAGGAGUGGUGAGUUUGAGAGAAUGGGGUUCUUUUUGAAAGAGAUAACUGAUGUUUUUAGAUGAGUUUUACUGAAGCAUAUUUUGAGUAAUUUCUUAUUGAAUUGUGAACCUGCAUGACUUGAGCAUUAUUUUACAUGGUGGGGUUACUAUGUUGUUUUUAACUGCAAACCUGGUUUUUGUCCACUCACAUGUUUUCUGUUUUGCGCCCCCCCAGCCAGUAGUUGCUCUUGGAAGUGCAAGUGGUGUACGAAGCGGAAUCGGUGCAUCUUUCUAAUUAGGAAUUGUGUAAAUUCUUCUACUCAACUGUUCUUGUAAUCUAAAUUCAGUAGAUGCUCUGUAUUUGCCAUGGUAGAUUUUACUUGUGAGGCCGGAGGCCACUCUAGUAUGACUUAUGUAUGUAUGAAAGCAUGCUGCUGGUUGGGAUUAGUAUUACUGUGUGUGCAGGUUGAAUAAAUUUUGUUGGGUUUGUUUAAAUUGCAGGGGAGACUCUGCCAAAAUUUUGGUAGAAAGUCUCGAUUAUUUAGUAGUGGGCCCGGCAUCAGGAUGAUGUCGGGAUCAAGACGGGGUCCGCCUCGGUCAACGGGAAAUUCCGGGGCGGGUCUUGUCACAUAUUUGAACACAUAACACGUGUUCAAGGUUAUAUAUUUCAUUACCUUCACAAUAGGUACCAAACCGUACCAUGGGAACAUUCAUAUACGCACAACAUACUUAUAACAUACUUACACUCGUGUAUAUUUGAACACAAGAAGACGUGUGCACCACCGUGCACGGUUCACAUGAAGUAAGAAGAUGAAGAGGAAAUAAAGAAGAAUACAAAAGAAAAUGGAGAUGAGAAGAAAAAAAAAACACGAAUAAUGAAAAAUGAGUUGACAAUUAUAUAUGGUUGACAUUAGAUGUAAUAUUAUAUGUAAUAACUAAUGAUCUAAAAUAAACAUUUAAUCUAUUCACUCGUUUCGUGUUUACUCCUGUGAUGGAAGGGCAAAGUUCCCCAUUGCCUUGAAAACCAUUGACUGGUCAACAAGACAACUUUCUUUGGUGUGCGAGCGUGCCACUACUAGCAAUAAAAAACAUAGCAGACUUCUUUGAAAUAUAUAACUUGCGUCCUAAGUUACUAAUUUCUAAACAAGCGAUCGUGAAUUUGGGUGAGGAAUAUCUCCCAAGUAAGUUCUUUUCUUGCCUCAGACUGGUGAGGACUUCACAAUUUAUCUUAGUACAAGAUUGGUAGUUUUGGCCAGAAUAAAUGAUAAUAAAGUGGACUUUUUUAGGCAGAACUGCCUUUUACAAAACUAGAAAGGAAAAGAUCAACUCUAGAAAGACAAAAAAAUGGCUGAAAUUCCAUUUCUGCCUGGAUAGAAGCUUCUGAUCCGGGCUGGACUGGGUAUGUUUGUUCUGGACUGAAUUGUCAACAACUUCAACUACUAAGCUUCAGCUGUAAAUCGAUACCAAAGUUUGAGUUUGGCAGAGUUUUAAUAUAUUUCAAGCCCUGGAAGGCUUUUCGAACGGGCAGAACUGCAACUUCUUUGGUCUGAACGGGGCAGAAGUGGCUGGACUUAAGGAUUACUAAGCCGGAACUGCACUAUGGUACCUGUUCUGCUUGAUCCGGGCUCUCUAUAAAUUUGUUGAGGUUUCCAUAUUUGUGAAAACUCAAACUCGGCUUGUCUUGGCUUUUGCUGAACCAAAUUUGUAACGCGAGAAGUCUCGUUUUGAAUGACUUAUUUAUCUGAGUAUGAACUUGGAAGUUCGAUCUAUAGCUGGCUUCUUUUGUGGCUCGAAUGAGUUUUUGGUUGCUCUAGUUUGUUUUGAAGGUUCUCAAUGAUCAAGUGAUCAUUUUGAGUUUUUGCCUUUGGUUGAUUUUUGAUUGUUUGAUUGAUUGUUGAAAAAUGAGUGUGUUUUGCUCUGUUCACCCUCUCCUAUAUUUAUAAGAAAUGCUUUGGAGUAGGGUUUCUAAUUUUUUAGAAAUCGGCGGCAGAUUUUCUCAAAAGAUCUUUCAUUUUUUAAAAUGUAAAGAAAUAGGGGUUUUAUCAAUUCUGGUAGAUAAGCUCUCAAUGGUCAGUUUCUUUAAGUCAAUCACUUCUCUGUUUUUUGAAAGAAAACUUAAUCCCUCUUUAAUUCCAACUGCCCCUUGUGAGAGCUCAAACUGUGAUGGUUAGUUUGAUUUUCCAGUUUAAACAACUUCCUGUUUCAUGCUUUAUCUUUUUUUAGAAAACACAGUCUGCGUAUCCUGAAAGAUGGUGCCUUCUUUGGAGUAUAAACAAUAUCUCUGAAUAUAUAAAAGGGUUUUGAUCUUCUGGUGGCAGAGAUUUCAGAGACAUCCCUUCUUUUCGCCUGCCUCUGUCAACUCUUUAUUAACCUAGUUGAAAUUGUUGACUUUCCUAAAUCAGAGAAAAAGAUUCACUUUGGUAUGUUUCCUUUUGGGCUCCUUCUUCUCUUUUAAUAUGCCCAAACCCUUUUGUUUUUCCUGGAGCCAUGAGCUGAUUGCUCUUUUUUUCUUUUUUCGAGGCCCAAGUUUAUUUGCAGAGUCCAGACUGCUUGGGCCCUGUGGUUUGUCUUUGUUGUUUUUGGGCUGGGUGUGUCAAAUUAGGCCCAAACAAAGUCAAACAAUAAUUAAAAGAUUUGACAAUAUAAAAAUAUAUUGAGAACAAAAAAAGGCAAAAACUUUUGAAAAAUGGAAACAAUAAAUAUGAAUUGAGUCAUCAACUCACCAAGGUAAGUUUGCUGAUGUGUAAAAAUAGUCAAUGGACUACAUCGAAAAAUAAUUGGCUUACAUCAAAAAUUAAAAUCACGUGGUUUAUUCUUAAGAAACCUUAAUAUUUUUGGGUUCAUAUAUUUUUUGUAUUUUAAAAAAAAAGAAAAAAAAAAUCUGACCAUGUAUGUAUGAUGAUGAUAUGCAUGUUAUUUUUAGACCUAAGGUAAAACAAACAAACUUUUUACUCCAUUUUUCGUGAGGUUUAUCAAAAGAAUUAAACUGUUAUAUCCUCCAUUUUAGAUUUCAUGCUUCCAUUUAAAGAAAAGAAUAUCAACAACAAAAAAAGAAUAAAGUUACAACAUUGAUCAAUUCAAAUGUCCAACUAUCGGAUCAUGAGCCUCUGCACUUAGAGACUACGCAUUUACCCGUAUUUCGUUAAAUUUAGACCAUUAUAAUAAUCUAACCCCUUAGAAUGGGACACAUCAUCAAGUUUUUUUUCCUUUCACUAAACAGAAGAGUUAAGUUUUAUUUGUGGGUAACUAAACUCUUGUUUAGAGCAUGUUUUUUAUUUAUUUUUCUUUGUUCUGUGUAAAUUAUAAUAGGUUAGAUUAUUAUUUGUGGGUGACUAAAAUCUUGUUUAACAAUAAUAGUUAACGUUUGUUUAGAGAAGAAAAAAAAUUUGAUGAUGUGUCAUGUUCUAAAGGGUUAGAUUAUUAUAAUGGCCUAGAUUUAGCGAACUGUAGAUAAACGCGCAGUGUCUUAAUGCAGAGGCUCGAGAUCCCCAACUAUCAUUGAAACAUAAGAAACUAAAAUCUUCAAGAAAAUGCUAUCAAUUGAAAAAACAAUAAUUAAAAAACAAAAAAAGGAAGGGAAUUCGCAGCUGCUAUGCAAAAAAGAGCAAGUCGGUUCAAUGAUUUUUUCUUCUUCUUCUUUUUGUUAUGGAAAUGAAAAGCUAAAUGAUGGGCUAUAUAUGGGAAGAAGCUCAAUGAUUGAAUUAAUAUCUUCUAUCUACAUUCUACCCUCUUCCUCGCUACAUACACAAAUGGUGCACGUACAUGGACAUGGGUUGACAUGAAUAAGAACAGCGACGCGUACUUGUUUUUAUUUUUGGUUCUUUAGAUCCAGUUGCACGUACCAAAGAAAGAAAACCACAGGUAUGCAAUGCAAGCUCUUUUCCCAUGUUUUCCUCUGUUUUCUCCUAUUUUUCUCUCUUUUUUAAAAAAAAAAAAAAAGAUAUACGGAAGUGAUUAAAAUACUCCUCUAACUAAGCUUGUUUUGCGUUCGGUGGCCGACUGUAAAAGCUCUGCUCAAACCUAACGUACUAGGUAUUUAUUUUAUUGCUCUGUUCAGACCUAGUGAUUAAAAUGCACUUGCGAUUUUGUGUUUCAAUUCCCUCUCCCCUAAUAUUGCUUGUAUAAAAAUAAAAACUUUUAAAAAGACAUUAAUAUUGUAUUCUAUAUUCUAUAAAGUGUUGGACAUGUUUUAUAUUGUUGACAACCCCCUAAUAUUUUGGUGGUGCCCAGUUAUAUUCAAUUCGUAUGUAUUUAAUUUGCCACUUACAUUCUUGCCUUAAUACAUUUAGGCUUAUUUUUAUACAAAUUUCUCUAACAUAACUUUUGCACAUUCUUUUAGUCUCUAAUAUAUAUAUAUAUAUAUAUAUACAGAGAGCUUCCAUUGAGGGAUCCCUCAAAUAAACUUAUUUGAGGGACACUCCUUGUAGGCCCCACUCCGAAUUGUAUUUCACUAAUACAAACCGUCUAUUUUGUAGAUACUCAUUCAAAGAUCAUCUCUACAAAAAAUCACUUGAAUCCGAUAUCAUUUGACCACUCAAUUAAGUUAUUGAAAUUUUAGCAUUUUCUUGAAGCACCGUGUUCAUUGAUUUUGUAAGACACAAUUGGAUGUCGAAACGGUUUCCGAUUUGUCUAAUUUUUUGUAAGGAUGAUCUAUGAAUGAAAACCUAAAAAAUAGGUAGUUUGGAUCAUUGAGAAAAAAAUUGUAUGGUACCUUAAAGGGCGUCCCUCAAAUAAAAUUAUUUGAGGGAUCCCUCAAUAGAAGGGGACUGUAUAUAUAUAUAUAUAUAUAUUUUCUAAUAAAUAAUCUUACCCAUUUGAGUUAUCAGCUAUUUUCUUUUAGCCCGGAAAAUCGACAUUUUGACAGAGAGUUGAAAAGAACUCCCCAAUUUUAAUGUCAGCCACUUGAAAAAAAAAACAUAAAUUUAAUGACAACAAUUACAUUUAGCAAUGCAACCUAAAAACUCAACCUUUGCGCCCCUUUCACAACGUAGAUAGCAGAGUAAGGAUAUUCGGAUAAGAACCAAGACAUAAGCCAGAGAAACUACGAUAGCCAACCAGGGCCUUCAUUUCUUACCAUCUGAACAAUGCCACCAUUUUGUUUGGUAAGUAUUUAAUAACAUUUCUUGCUCUUCAUAAAGUAAUAUUAAAACGAAAUUUGCCUAAAUUUUUCUUACCAACAAUGCAUACGAAAAAAAAAAAGGAAGAUUCACUAUUAUACUCAAUAUAGGAGCCCAAAUUAUUUAUAAUUAAAAAAAAAACCUUACAUGAAAUGGACUUUAGAAACACACUCAAAACCUAUUUACAACAAAACAAAGACUUUUAACUUCUUUUAAAUUACAAAACUAUCAUUGAUUUCUUAAACAAACCCAACCCCAAUACCUCAUAAAAAAACCCAAAAUACUUGAUAAAGCAUCAAAGUAAUUUAAUAAUCAAAAUUAAAUUCAAUAGGACCAGCAGUUAUUUUUUGGGUUUUUUUUGUUUGUUUAUAGAAAUUAAAUGGUGUAGGAUCUAUCUAUAUUAUUAGUGCUAAGAAUGGAUAUGUGACUAAAUAAUUCCAAAAAAAAAUUAUAAUAAAUCUACAAUUUUUCUUUUUAUAAAAAAAUUCUACAAAAAUUUAUUAGAUUAAUAGGCACUACUAGAAAAUCUCCAUAUAAGCCACUAAUACACCCAUGACAGUUGUCCAAGCGUAGUGUUGUCAUUCAAUAUUCCCCACAGCAACCAGCAUCCAAUAAAGGGUUGCCUCUCUGUAUGUAGCUAUUUGAGAAUAUAAAAGAAAUAUUUUUUAUUCAACAUGGACGCAGAAACUGUUGCUAAACUGCAAACUUCUUAAAAUAUUUAUCUAACUUUCUAGAUCCAUGUACUGAGAUUUAUUAGGGAAAUAUUGUAGAAACUGAUUAUUUUGAAAUAUUAAAUGUGAAAAACUGAACAAAAAUUUGAUGGGUUACAUAUUUCAACUCAUUUCAGCAGCUUAGAUUUUGAAGACCUCAGAAGAGGCUAUGCAAUGAGCCUAGCUAGUGCACUGUUGAUCACUUCAGUGUUUACCGAUCUGUAAUUUUUCCAGAUUGGUUAUAUUUUCCUUUACAUAUUCUUAUAUUUUCCCAGUUGGGGAGACUUAUAAAUAAGGGAAAUAGCCCUAAAUGCCACCAAUUUUAUAAUUUUUUGUCAAAAUACCACCCCUCCCCAAAAUUUUUAAAACUACCACCUAUAAAUACAUCUUUAUUGUAAAUUAAUUGCACCCAUAUCACUUUUUCAGAAAUUGGGUUCUCCCUCAACUCUCUUGGCUCUGUCUCUCUCUUUAGCCUAGCUCUCUCUCUCUCUCCGACAUAGUCAUCUUCCUCCCUCAGCCAUCCAAGCUUAACUCCACAGUUCACAUCCACGAGGUACUGUUCACGUUCCUUUUCUUAGAAAUUUGGGGUUUUUGUGAAUUUGGUUUAUGAUGUAUGGAUUUGUAUGAAAUUGGUUUAGGGGUUUCUUCCAAAUUGGUUUGGUAAGAAGGUGAUGUUGUUGUUGCUGUCACUGACAGACUAUUUUUCCUGGGUUGUGGUUGGUGGGUGUUACUGCGAAUGCUUACAAGGUUGCUGAUUCUCCUUCUAAGGUCUCUCUUUCUCUCUAUUUCUACAAAUUCUAAGGUUUUUUUUUUUUUUUGGGUUACUUUUUUUUUUUUUUUUAUUUCUUUUGCUAAUUGUAAUUGGGCCUUUGUUGCAGAGGUGGAUUUGUUUUGUGCCCAAAAGAUUGUGACUUUGUUGAAAGUUCGUAAAUAGAAAAGGCAGCUGCCCCCUGCGGCUUGGAACGCUCAAUUCGGAGGUAUUAUGCCUUGAAUUUUUACAAAAGAAGAAUUGAAACUACCUUAUAGAAGGCAAAACAAAAAUAUAUAAGAGGAAAAAAGGAGAAAAUUUAUCUAAUUUCCCUUUUUUUAGUUGUAUUUUUNNNNNNNNNNNNNNNNNNNNNNNNNNNNNNNNNNNNNNNNNNNNNNNNNNNNNNNNNNNNNNNNNNNNNNNNNNNNNNNNNNNNNNNNNNNNNNNNNNNNNNNNNNNNNNNNNNNNNNNNNNNNNNNNNNNNNNNNNNNNNNNNNNNNNNNNNNNNNNNNNNNNNNNNNNNNNNNNNNNNNNNNNNNNNNNNNNNNNNNNNNNNNNNNNNNNNNNNNNNNNNNNNNNNNNNNNNNNNNNNNNNNNNNNNNNNNNNNNNNNNNNNNNNNNNNNNNNNNNNNNNGGGGGAAGGGACACCCUAUUUCGUUACAGGGUUUAUUGACUGCAUUCUUCCUUGUUCUAGAAGACCUCCUCAGUUCCAUUGAGCCGACAAACCUUAUGAAGUUGAAUGUGAAGUGUUACCUUGCAUCUACAUGUUUCAUCUUUUAACUUUAUUUUCAUGUUUCACACUGAUGCUUGUAGUUAUUUCUAGUUUUGCAUACAGAUUAGCAAAUAGGUUAUGCAUUUACUGUUUAGUCAUCUAAUGAUUUGAUAUCUAAUAUUUAGGCAUAUGGGAAUUUAUAGAUGUACCGAUUAUGCAUACAUAUAGGUUUUGUGCUUGUAUUAGGAAGUUAGAUUCUUGUGGUUCCUCUUCAAUGGCAUGAAUUUAAAUUGUUGUGCUUCAUGAUUAGGGUCUGAAGAACAACCAUGUAGUAAGAAAGUUGGAGAAACGUCAACAGAUUUGCACCCUUGACCAACAUAUUGAAGAGUAAUUUGGUGGUGGUCGUCUAUUGGCUUGUAUCUCAUCACGACCUAGAUAGUGGCUGUGCUGAUGGGUAUGUGACUUUAUUUGCCUAUGUCUGUUUCUAGUCAGCCGAUAUGUCAUUGGCAUAUUAGUGUAGUUACCAUAUUGCAAGGGCUGAAAUCUGGAUGAUAACAGCUUCUUUUUAUUGUUGUUUUAAAGUGAAGUAUGUAUGGAUCUUAUGAAAUUUUUACAGAAAUAUAUUGGAGGGCAAAUAAUUUUAUUUUAGUUUUUUUAUUCCCAAAUGAUACCCAAAACAUGUAAGCUUCACACUAUGUUAAUUUCUGCAGGAUGGGAAAACAUUGGACAAUGAGUUGGAGGUUGUUAAGGGAAUGAAGCUAGACAUGGGCUACAUAUCCCCUUAUUUCAUCACCAACCAGAACAAUUAGAAAUGUGUAAGUUUUGGUUUGAUUCAGGGAUGACUAUGUCUUGAAACUGUUAGAGGGCUGCUUGUUAAAGUUAGUAGCACCUCAAGUCCCUUUUUUAUUGAUGCUGAUUAUCUUCAAACUUGUGUAUGUGCUGAUAGGAAUUGGAAAAUCCUCUAAUCAUAAUCCAUGAGAAGAAAAUCUCAAGUAUUAAUGCUGUGGUUAAAGUAUUGGAGUUGGUCUUGCAGGUUAUCAUUUCUCUGGUUAGGUUCACUAGUUUCUUCUUUUUUAUCAUGAAUUGGUUGACAAACUUUUGCUCUUUUUCAAAAGCAAAGGUCUUUGCAUUUUGUUAUAUCUUUCAGAACCAAAGUUAUAAAAGAAAAUGGUUUUCCUCUUUGUUAAUUGAGAAUCAUCUGCAGUUAUGAUUUCAGAUCUAUAGAUAACUUGUUGUUGCUGAUAUUGCUACACGGGAGGAGAAUAGAACAGCUUGAAAAAUGUGCAAGAAGAGAGAGCUAACUCAUACACCGAAGAACAAAUUGGUGAAGUUAAGAUCAAAUUAGUAGAAUUUGUGAGCUCUCCAUUAUUUAUAAUUAUAGGUAGGAAGUAUGUAUGUAAUAGAGUAAAGAUUGGUUGACUAUGUAAUAACAAUUGAAUUUUCAAGUUUUAUGAAAGAAAUAAUUUUUGAGCAUAUAUAUUUGUUAAUAAAGCAUUAUAAUUGGUUUUCUAGUUAAAAUCGUUGUAUAGAAUCGUAGGAAACAAAAACCUAAAUAUAACAGCUUGGGAACUUAUUAGACGACAGAUUUAAAGAUAAUAAAAUGUAGUCUGAAUUGUUAGGGUUCGGUGGCGAUUUAUUUUGCAUGUCUAAAUUGUAGUCUGUAAUAUAUGUGUGUGUAUUGUAUGUAGAUUGACUUAAUAUUGCUAUCCUAUUGCAUGCGUAUUGUACUAAUAUUGCCUUUGUAUUGCAUACAUAUUGUAUGCAUAUUGCCACCCUAUUGCAUGUAUAUUGUGAUGUUAUUGCUGUUGUAUUGCCGUUAUAUUGCCCUAAUAUUGCCUCUCUAGUGUAUGUAUAUUGGCCUAAUAUUGCCAUUAUAUUGUAUGUAUAUUGACUAUGACUCAUCAAUGGGUUUACGGUUUAGGCCCUACUUCAUUCAAAAAGAAGACGACGACGAGAAAGAAACAAUGUGCCUUUCAAAAACAAGCAGUCAGGUGCAUUAUAAUUGCACCGUAAGACAUUGUAAGAAAUUAUUUUAAAAGAUAAUAACAACUAAAAAAUAAUUUACCAAAAAAGGAAGGUAUGAAUAAAUAUGCAAAUGCUUCGUCAUGGGUUGAAGAAAAGGAUGAUUACAUUUGGUGGUUUGAUUAUGUUUGGUGAUAUGAUAUGUUGUUCGUCUGAAUCUUCAUAUAUGUAAUUGUUAUGUUAAUACUUGACACAAAUUCAUCUCGUAAUCAUCCAAUUAUUAAAGCUAAGUAAAUGAAAUGAAACAAAAGAAGAAGCCCAAAAUAAACAGAAACAGCAAUUUCUAGCACCCAUUUAUCGCUUCUGUAUUACCACUGUAUCACCAACGUAUCACCAGCUUAGCGUUGAUGACCAUUAGUUCAAACAUUAUGUGAUCUAAUAGGGAUAACUAAUUUUUGGAACAACUAAUGAAUCUUCAAAAAGAUAAAGAACAACUAGUAAACUAAUGUAUGCAGUUUAACUUUGCACGGGUCAUAGUGCUCAACAUGAUAUUUGGCAACCAUCUCUACACUUGGUGUAUAUUGCAGGCUUCUAUGCAUUCCAAACCUUCAUUCUUCUGUGAUAAAACUGUUAAAUUACCAAGAUUUCUAACACAUGGAAGUAAACAAACGAAUCUGCACAUUUAUUUGUACAUACACACUGCGUAUUGCACAUCUGCGCAUCUAUUAAUCACCACACCAAUGUUUCAAAGAUUGAUUCAGAGGGCAAAAUGAUUGAUUACAUAUUUCAAAUUAGUCAUCUGCUCAUAAGAACUUGGCCCUAAAACUGUACUAAUGGUAAAUAUACUGACAUAAUAGCUAUUAAUGAAAAAUUCUAAACAAACGAGGGACUUAUUUUUCUAAUAUUGUAGUGGAAGCAUGUUAAGUGAUUUUCCACAUUUGUUCAUGGGGGUAAAGUAUAUCUUACCCCUUUCUAAACAUUAUGAGGUUUCAAAUUUCAAUAACAACAGAAUGCUAAGCAGAAAAGUAGAAUUGCUACAUAAAUUACUUAGAAGGAACAAAGUCAAAACUAAUUUGACAAAUCUUAAGAAAGCUGUAUGCUUCACUAAGUCAACUAACAGAUUCCCAGUGCAGGAAAUGAAAUAUACCUAUAUCACAUAAAUUGCAAAGAAAACCACAGAGACUAAAUGUUAACAAUGGAUACAAAAAUGAGUAGAAUUCAGUGGAAACGAACACAUCGUUUCAAACAAGUAAAUUGUUAUAUGUCCAUAAAGAGCAACUAUGUUUAUAUAUGGAGGUGUACGAAAUAGUUCAACUUCAAAAUGGAAACAGUUUAUGUGCCAUGUAAGGCAAUGAACAUAUAACAAGGUGAGUCUUCAACAAAUUAAAAGUAGACAAUUAUUUUCAAACAAUCUGACAGCUGCCCGAGAAAACUGAGGGAGUUAAGGCAUGAGAUGCAAACAUGAUAAACACUGUUAAGCACUCGGACGAACCCAUGCUAUAAUACAAGCCAACAGACAAUCACCACCACCAAAUUGCUCUUCAAUAUGUUGGUCAAUGGUGCAAAUCUGUUGAUGCUUCUCCAACUUUCUUACUACAUGGUUGUUCUUCAGACCCUAAUCAUGAAGCACAACAAUUUAAAUUCAUGCCAUUGAAGAGGAACCACAAGAAUCUAACUUCCUAAUACAAGCGCAAAACCUAUAUGUAUGCAUAAUCGGUACAUCUAUAAAUUCCCACAUGCCUAAAUAUUAGAUAUCAAAUCAUUAGAUGACUAAACAGUAAAUGCAUAACCUAUUUGCUAAUCUGUAUGCAAAACUAGAAAUAACUACAAGCAUCAGUGUGAAACAUGAAAAUAAAGUUAAAAGAUGAAACAUGUAGAUGCAAGGUAACACUUCACAUUCAACUUCAUAAGGUUUGUCGGCUCAAUGGAAUUGAGGAGGUCUUCCAGAACAAGGAAGAAUGCAGUCAAUAAACCCUGUAACGAAAUAGGGUGUUCNNNNNNNNNNNNNNNNNNNNNNNNNNNNNNNNNNNNNNNNNNNNNNNNNNNNNNNNNNNNNNNNNNNNNNNNNNNNNNNNNNNNNNNNNNNNNNNNNNNNGAUAUGAAGAAACAAAAUGAAUCUCCCACAAGCCUAACAGGCUAAUACCAUUAACAAGGUCUGAAAUUGACUCUAUAUCAUGUACAUAUAUAUAUAUAUAAACUCCAUCUUUACAUAUUGGAACUACAUCAAUGUAAACCAACUAGAUCGACCCUGCAUCCUGAACACCACCCCCCCUCCCAAAAAAAAGACCGAGAAAAAAAAAAUACAACUAAAAAAAGGGAAAUUAGAUAAAUUUUCUCCUUUUUUCCUCUUAUAUAUUUUUGUUUUGCCUUCUAUAGGGUAGUUCCAAUUCUUCUUUUGUAAAAAUUCAAGGCAUAAUACCUCCGAAUUGAGCGUUCCAAGCCGCAGGGGGCAGCUGCCUUUUCCAUUUACGAACUUUCAACAAAGUCACAAUCUUUUGGGCACAAAACAAAUCCACCUCUGCAACAAAGGCCCAAUUACAAUUAGCAAAAGAAAUCAAAAAAAAGUAACCCAAAAAAAAAAAAAAAAAACCUUAGAAUUUGAAGAAAUAGAGAGAAAGAGAGACCUUAGAAGGAGAAUCAGCAACCUUGUAAGCAUUCGCAGUAACACCCACCAACCACAACCCAGGAAAAAUAGUCUGUCAGCGACAGCAAAAACAACAUCACCUUCCUAUCAAACCAAUUUGGAAGAAACCCCUAAACCAAUUUCAUACAAAUCCAUACACCAUAAACCAAAUUCACAAAAACCCCAAAUUUCUAAGAAAAGGAACGUGAACAGUACCUCGUGGAUGUGAACUGUGGAGUUAAGCUUGGAUGGCUGAGGGAGGAAGAUGACUAUGUCGGAGAGAGAGAGAGAGAGCUAGGCUAAAGAGAGAGACAGAGCCAAGAGAGUUGAGGGAGAACCCAAUUUCUGAAAAAGUGAUAUGGGUGCAAUUAAUUUACAAUAAAGAUGUAUUUAUAGGUGGUAGUUUUAAAAUUUUUGGGGAAGGGUGGUAUUUUGACAAAAAAUUAUAAAAUUGGUGGCUUUUAGGGCUAUUUCCCUAUAAAUAAACCCAAAAUGGGUACAGUAUCUAUACAGAAGGACAAAAUUAAAGUGUUUGGACAAUAAUGCCCCUAUUCAUUUUGGGAUUGCCUAAGGAAUCCUUUUCCUGAUUUUCAAUGAUGCCAAAGGACUGUUGUUUGAUGCUUGCCGUAUGGAGCUAAGAAAACUUGCUUUGUGUUAUAAAAAUAACCUGGAAUAUGUACGAAUAUUGAGCUGCACGAAAAGUAGAUGAAACACAGCAUUUAACGAGGUUCGGCUAUGCCUACGUCCUCGGAGAGCAACAGCAGUAACUUUUUCACUAUAUGAAAUAAUAGGGCUACAACUUUAGAGUUUACAAUAUGUGAGGCUCACUGAAUUUUCUCUCUCUUUCUUCUUCUCUCUUUUCUUUCUUCUUUUUCUCUUCUCCCCUUUCUUUCUUUUCUCCGUUGGUCACACUCCCCUUUACAAUUGGUAUGCCUAUUUAUAGGCUAAUGUUUAGGCAAAAUACAGGGAAGGGAAGGUUCCUGGAAGAUGCAAGGAAACUUCCUGAAUUGAUAAUGUCACACCCCGGACCGACUCCGCCGUAGCACGAUAUUGUCCGCUUUGGGCCCUCCUCUCACUGCCCGCACGGUUUUGUUUCUGGGAGCUCACGAAGCAACUUCCCAGGGUGGUCACCCAUCCUGGGAUUGCUCCAGCCUCCCACUCGCUUAACUUCGGAGUUCUUACAACUCCGAAGCCAAUGAGCUCCCAAAAGGCCUCGUGCUAGAUGGAUGCGGGUGUGCCAUAUAAGGCACAUCACCCCCCUCUCCGUUGGUUUGAUGUGGGAUCUUACAAUCCACCCCCCUUAAGGGUCCGACGUCCUCGUCGGCACACUCGCACCACACGGCAGAGUGGCUCUGAUACCAAAUUGUCACACCCCGGACCGACUCCGCCGUAGCACGAUAUUGUCCGCUUUGGGCCCUCCUCUCACUGCCCGCACGGUUUUGUUUCUGGGAGCUCACGAAGCAACUUCCCAGGGUGGUCACCCAUCCUGGGAUUGCUCCAGCCUCCCACUCGCUUAACUUCGGAGUUCUUACAACUCCGAAGCCAGUGAGCUCCCAAAAGGCCUCGUGCUAGAUGGAUGCGGGUGUGCCAUAUAAGGCACAUCACCCCCCUCUCCGUUGGUUUGAUGUGGGAUCUUACAGAUAAAUACAGGGAAGGAAAGUUCCUGGAAGAUGCAAGGAAACUUCCUGAAUUGAUAAAUACAGGGAAGGGAAAGUUCCUGGAAGAUGCAAGGAAACUUCCUCUGUGGGCUCCACCUUCAAACUUUUACAACACUCCCCCUUGGAGACCACAAAUGAUAUGAAAUAUGCCUCGUUAAAAACCUUGCCAGUAAAAACCCAGUGGGACAAAAACUGGUCGAAGGGAAAAAGAGUACAUAAUCACGUGUAACAUAAAAUUCUGUGUAUAUUGACGCGCGUGCGACACUGCCUCGUUAAAACCUUGCCAGGAAAAAUCUAGUGGGAUAAAAACCUGGACGAAGGAAAAAGAGUACAGUGUGUAAGGGUCUGUAUUGACAGCACGCUCCUCCUGAUGCUUGGCAAAAUAUCUUUAAGCCAUACUGUUGAUCAUCUGUCUGAAUAUCAUAGUUGACACUGCUGCUGUGAGUCAAUAGUGUAUGAAGGUCUUUAUUAAUACCAUGCUCCCCCUGAUGAAUAUCUCCCCCUGAAAACUUCAUGACUAGCUUUUUCCAGUAAGCGACCAUAGAGAUUUCCUGAGUCCGCAUAUCUUAGAACACUUGGGCUAUUUAUAAGUUCACUAAAAAAAUAUGCCCGUAUAUGGUGUUAUGCUUAGAUAGCAUCAAAUAUACCUCACAUCAUCCCAAAAUGAUGGUGAUGGAGUUGAGCCCUAUCUGGAAAAUAUGAUGUCCGGUCCAAUAUACUUCCGGAAAAUCAUUAAAGUGUCCAACGGAUAAUCCUCAUAAAAAUACUUUAAUACUUUCUUAGUAUAAGCAAGAAUCUCGUUGGCAUAAUGCUCGAUCGAGACAAAUAUUUCAUGAAUUCUGCAGAAACUUUAAUGUGUUGCAAUCACAUUAUAAUCAAUGUACUCACUGAGGUAAUUUAUGCAUAUUAAUAUUGAGUACAAAUUUUGUGCUUCAAGCACAUGUCCUUUAAGGACUUGCUUUAUGCAAUAUCAAUCCUCUCAACGGAUUUUGUCUAAAAGGGAUUAAGCUUUAUGACACAUUAUAUAGCUUUUACCCAGCUAUUUAUACAUCUUUAGGAAAUCGCUUCUGGCGAUAUGCUCCGUGCAUUCAAUAACCCUUAAAGAUAAUAUGUUGGUCUCCGUAAUUGUGUAAUAAGGGGGGGCACAAUUGAAUCUGUAAAUAUGGAGAAAACCCAACAUUCCUUGUUUCUGCCAGAAACAGUGUGUCAUACAAAGUAGGUAUAUUCCCUUUUAUUCCGAACACCCAAGUAUAACUUUCAGUAUUAACAAAUUUUGGGGUUCGUAUUGUGGGUUUGUUCUUUCACGUUCAUUCUCAUUUAUAAUGGAAUUACCUCGUUCCAUUUUGGCCAGUGAUAUUGUCGACAUUUAAUAAUUGAACGUGGUUCCAAUCAACACAGCCCAUUGAUGAUUUGAGUAGCUACUCCAAAACCAAAAAUUGUCAUUCAUCAAUUCAUGAUCCCACCAUUCUCAUGUGCAUGCACAUGCAUCAAUUAUAAGCAUUUCUUUGCUUUUUGGUACCCAAGCCACUUCAGGGGGCUUUUAUUAUGUGAGAAUGUGGAUUAUAACCUCCAUCGGAGCGUUAUUUAGUAGUAGGGCGUGGAUAAUCUCCAUUUAGAGAGUUGGAACAUUGAGAACCCAUAUAUCUGUCAUGCUGCAGGCAUGCCACAGAUUAAUACAUACAUGUCAAUUAAUUUCUGGGACUUUAACCCAUAUUAUGGGACUUUAACCCAUAUAAUUUGCUACGCAUUAGGCGUGCAUAAUAUCAAUAUUGACAUGUCAAAGGAUUGUCCUUUCGGGACUUCAAUUCAUAUCAUUUGCUACGCAACAGGCGUGCACCCAUAUUGAUCACUGCUAUACCCAUAUUCUGUUCUUAUGGGACUUUAAUCUGUGCAGUGUAUUAUCAAUGUAUCCAUCUUACAAUCUGUAAAAUUUGCAUUAAUAAUUCAUGGAUACAUACAAGCCAUUCUUUUGGAACAGACUUAUCUCCCAAUUUGGUUACCUUUCAAGAUAAAAUAUCAAAUAGGUAUAUAAGCAUAAAAUAACACAAGUAUUGCUUACAUCCUUAGGUGGGAGAAACUUUUCUCAAGUAUCAUUCAAGCUCAUAUCAGCCCAGUAAAUAUAAUGUAGCGCUUGAUGAUCUAGUUAUAUCCUGCAAGAGCAAAAAUCACAACUCUUUUGCCUCUGUCAAAACAAAUAACCCUCAUAGUUAGGAUUACUUCAUGGAUUCAUUCUUCAUAUGUUCAUUCUAAAGAAAUAAAAUCUCUUAUGAACAGAGAGUUAUAAAAAGAGAAAAAAUGCAAAAAUAAUGUGAUAUUGAUUGCAAGAGAAGGUAAGCAAUCAGGGAAGGAAGCUGGUGGGAGCAGACAAUAAGCUCUCAUAUCUCCUAGUCUAGAAGGACUCCCGGAGAUUAGACCAUAAGAUCGCCUUCACAGUUUCCUGAUGUAGUGGAAACGUGAUCAGGGAUAGUCUUGCUUCCUGAAUGGAUGAUCAGAGAUAGUCUUGCUUCUCAGGCAUAUUGAGUGCUCACUGAUAAGAAAAAUAAGUAGAUAUCUCAUCACUAAGUAUGGAGUAAACUGGAUGUCUUCUGCAAAGGAAAAUUUCGUUUAGUAACACAUUUAUACACAAAUACAAUGAAUAGGUAGAACCGGUAAAUUUCAAAUUAACCAUAGGAAAAUUGCGAGAUUCUCGGGAUACUUUUGAAAAAGUAGCUCCGUGAAAUCCGUAAAGCAAGAUCGGCUUUGAAAAUAAUACUUUGAAAAACGCCGAAAGUGCCGACAUGCAUUAUUAGAGGCCACGUGAAGUUUUGGACUCUGGGAAAGAAAAAGAUAAUAUGGGGAUUCGAGAAGACAUUGGGGUCCUGAAAAGUUGCCACAUUUUCGUCUAUAGAUAUUGCCUUUGCAAACUGCGUUUCAACUCAACUUCCUUCAUUUUCCGAACCUUUAGUUUUUCUAAGACUUUCUUCGAAACCUUCUUAAAAAAAUGGCUUCCUCUUCUUCCUGCCCAAAUUAUUUCAAUUUAAAUGAUGCUCCCACAACAACCAGUGACGCCCAAGUUUGGCGUCCAUCCUUUGUAUCCAAAAAUCGUCAUCUCACAGUUAAUGAUUCUGUGAUGAUGAAUGAUGCUACUGCUGUCAUAGUAGCUAGGAAUUUCAUUACUCCAAUGGAUGAAAUGUUGUUGACAGGGAGAUCAGAGGAAGAGGCUAUUGAUGAAUCAAUGGCUUUUAGCAUUCAGAGUGCUGUUUCUGUUUCUAACAUGGCUGAUCGUUUGCGUGCCAGAGCAAACGAAGUUGAGAAUUUAACAACUGAAAAUUCGUCUCUCCAAAGAAUGCUUCAUGAGUCUCAACAGGAGGUUGAGAAACUUAAAGGAGAGAAUAAUGCCUUGUUGAAACUGGUGAGUUCGUACUCUGUUGAUACAUUGAGAAGGCUAGACAUGCUGCAGGUCUCGAAUGAAAGAAUUUUGGGAGACUAUGAGAAGCUCAUGGCUAAGCUUAAGAGGCGCCGUCAUCUUCCUUCAGAGGCUUCCAGGACAUAAUGUAAUUUUUAUAGAUUUUACAGGGCCUGCACCUUCAUUGCAGGAAAAAAUCUAUCUGUUGUAUGCCCCUUUUCUGUUAUAAUAAUUGCGCAUAUUCUUAAACUUGCACCUGUGGUUUUUACGUCUUUUCAAAAUGACGAUUUGGAACCUUGUGCCUUAUAGGUUCAAAUAACCACAUUGUCUCUCCCAAAUUUCAUAUUUUAUCGCAUGGUAGCCCGGAACUUUUGGCCUGGGCACAAACUCAGAAUUUAUUUGCCCUUUUCAAAUGGACAUGAAAUAUGAAUUGAGUAAAAGCCAUGAUAAUAUCGCAAUAUAGUAGUGAAGAGCAUUAACUACUAUAUACCCACAACUUCAAGUUCAGGAUCUCUCAUAUAUUUGGAUCCAUGGGCUUCCGGCCCAAAUAUAACAAAAUAUGUGGGGAGCCUCAAUUCAUUAUUUGAGGUUUAUAUUAAUAUUAUGCAUUUCGCGGUGUAUUCUUAACAACCGGAAUUCACAAAAUAUAUUUCUUCCUUGAGGUGUCGAUUAUAACAAAAUCGAACUUUAUUAAAUUCAUCAUCUUCUUAUGCCAAAGAAAUAUGUGGCAUACCACAAUUUGCAAUAAUACCUCAAGGGUUGUCCAUUUAAUUGUUGGAACUUCAGGUUCUCAACACUGUUAAAUUUGGAACUUCAGGCCAAAGCCACAUAUUCUCAUGGUAUGGACAUUUUUACAAUUUUCUGUACAUAUUUCGGGACUUCAAGCCCUUACAUAACUGUCCAUAUUUUGAGGAACUUCUGGCAUCUCAUUUAAUUGCUCAUCCAUGAGUUUAAGGAACUGCAGGUUCCCUUUUGUAUAUAGUGACGGUUUACCCAAAAUGGUUAAUAUUUAUGCAUACAUCACUAUUCAUGUGAAUAGUACUAUUCAUCAAGUCAUGAAUACGUAUCUAUUCAUCUGCCAGUACAGUUAUCAUCAAUGUGUACGGCACUAUGAACCAAUACGGUACUGUUACAUCAUUAAGGAACUCUAGGUCCUUAUUUACAUGUCAGGGAUUAAGAACCUUUAAGUCCAAUCACAUGUUUACAAAUACAGUACCGGUGAGACUGCCAGCUCUCAUUUUAAUAUCAUCAUCAAGGAUCUUCAAGUCCUGAUGUAAUUGUAUGAUGAGGAUCAAGGAACUUCUGGUCCUGAUCUGCAUACUGGAAAAACUAAUCAUACAGCACAAUUAAUCCAUAAAAUAAAUUGCUGAUAAAUAAAUUACUGGUAUGGACGAUAAACCCGCACCACACUUUAAAUAAAUGUAAAUGUGCGGUAAAUUAAAUUCAUAAAGUUAAGGUGCUUGUAUGGGCAUUAAUUCUGCUCCAUACAUUUAAAUAAAAGUAAAGGCGUGGACGAUAAACCCGCACCACCCUUUUAAAUAAAUGUAAAUGUGCGGUAAAUUAAAUUCAUAAAUUAAAUUGCUUGCUGUAUGGACGUUAAUCCCGCACCAUACUUUAAAUAAAAUUAAAUGUGCGGUAAAGUAAAUUGUGCUUGUAUGAGCACUAAUUCUGCUCCAUACAUUUAAAUAAAAGCAAUGGCGUGGACGAUAAACCCGCACCACCCUUUUAAAUAAAUACUGUUGUAUGGGUAAUAAACCUACACCAUACAGUAAAUAAAAUAAAUAUGCGGUAAAAUAAAUUUGCGAUAAAGUAAAGGUGCAUGUAUGGGUAAUAAACCUACACCAUACAGUAAAUAAAUGUGGGGUUAAAACCACCACCGAAUAAAAUAAGAAAAAGUUAGUAUUAGUAACGGUCUCCUACUGAUAAUAUGUUUAGUAUUACCAAGGGUCCAUUUUUGUUAGUGGUUAGUAGUAUAGAUAAUAGUGCAGCAUAAAAAUUAUACCUGAGAGCUUCUCGUGCUGAUAACGUGUUAUAAAAAUAACCUGGAAUAUGUACGAAUAUUGAGCUGCACGAAAAGUAGAUGAGACACAACAUUUAACGAGGUUCGGCUAUGCCUACGUCCUCGGAGAGCAACAGCAGUAACUUUUUCACUAUAUGAAAUAAUAGGGCUACAACUUUAGAGUUUACAAUAUGUGAGGCUCACUGAAUUUUCUCUCUCUUUCUUCUUCUCUCUUUUCUUUCUUCUUUUUCUCUUCUUUUCUUUCUUCUUUUCUCUUCUUCUUCUCUCUUCUUUUUCUCUUCUCCCCUUUCUUUCUUUUCUCCGUUGGUCACACUCCCCUUUACAAUUGGUAUGCCUAUUUAUAGGCUAAUGUUUAGGCAAAAUACAGGGAAGGGAAGGUUCCUGGAAGAUGCAAGGAAACUUCCUGAAUUGAUAAAUACAGGGAAGGGAAAGUUCCUGGAAGAUGCAAUGAAACUUCCUCUGUGGGCUCCACCUUCAAACUUUUACAACACUUUGAUAGUUUUGGACAGAUGCAAGCUACUGUUGUUGGGAUGAUCUUUUCACGUGAAAUGAGGAUGACGAUACUUCUACACUACACAAUCCAACGAAUUCACAUUUCUAUUUCAGAUACAUGUAUAAACAGACAAGGCUUUAAAAUAUGGGAUGCUGCACUGUUGUUGCUGCUGCUGACACUGUUACUGUGUUGCUGCUACUGUUACUGCACUGCUGCUUGAAGAAGGACAAGGACUUCACUUGUUGCUUUCGUCCUUUGUGGAGGAGAGAGACCUAGGACUUGCAUGUCUUAGAUAUUUAAGACAAGGGGCUUUCGUGCCAUUUUGAAAAUACUUUGGGUGUUUUUGAAAGCUGCUUGUUUCUUUUGAGUUUCUCACUAAAUUUCGCUUUAGAAGGGAAAAUAAUAAUAAUAUUAAUAGUACAGCACUUAUUAGCAACAGAGUUACAAACUUCUUCUACAACACACACCAACAUGAAUCUAGCCCUGAUCCACUCUUUACAUACUUGAAAACAAAACAAAACACGAAAAACAAAAAACAAGAUAGGGAGAAAAUGGCUACGGAGAGACUUACUGCUAAUAGUUGAUCAAUAACAGAGAUAAUAGCGCACACUAUUUGUAUGACAGUGAGUAUCAGAAGAAUAAUAGCUGCAAAGAGAGAAAUAGCUGCCCAAGGUGUGUUGAAAUACUUUUGUCUCAAAUUUGCCUUCCAUAUGUUCGUGGUCUUCUCUCAGUAACUCGUUUAGUUUGCCAGCAAGAUCACCAAAAUAGUAGUUUCCGUGGUUCAGAGCAACUUUACUGCAAAGCUUGUUAAUCAUAAUGGAAACCUUAUUGUUGUCACCUUGCAUGUUUACAACAAUUCUAUUCUCAACAAGCAACUCUACAUCCUUUGGAGUGUUUACAAAUUUAUCCAGGAUGAAAACAUAAUAGCUUAUGUAUUUAUCCACGCAAUGGCAUUGUUCAAAGGCAAUGAGAUUUCUAAGUGUAAGCUCUGUGUAAUUAUGUAUUUCAAUUUUUGGAAUUUCCAAGGUGUUUUUCUUGAACUGUAUAUCGAAUAAGUUCUUGCUUGAUCCGGCCUGGUGUAGUUUUGUCAUGCUGGGUGUCCUUUGGAGCCCUACAUUUUCUUUUAGGGUCGGAUCUGGCAGAUGUAAAGUUCUAAUAAAAUCAACAAAAUGUAAAGGUUUUUUAGGAUCAGGAGGCAUAAAAGACUUACGGAAGGCUGGUGAGUUCUCCAAGUUUUCUAAACGCAGUGCCUGUUGGAAGAACCUGUAAGAGAGUUCAAUUAUUGAAGGCUCCCCAGUCUGAGCACCUGUGAGAUUGUAAAGAUCCUCGAGAAUGAAAAAUGGCAGCUGAUUUCCAAGCAUAAGCAUGUCAGGCAAUAUAUUUUGUAGCACCCAUGGUUUUUUAAAUAUCCAAGCAUUAUCAUCCUGCAAUUUUUCUUCCUGAAAUUUUUCUUCGGAUUUAUUCCUCAACAAUAGCUCAAUGACAAAGGCGGCAUCAACUCGAAUGAUAUUCACAAAAGCAGCAAUGUUAAACUUCUUAGUGUCUUCAUAAUAAUGACGGAGUUCAACUUCUCUCUCCUUUAUUUUCUCGAAAUAAUCCUUCAAUUUUACAUUAGUCCAAUCAAGAAAACACUUUAGGUACCUGAGUUUGUGAUCUUCCAUGGCUUCUAGGUUUUUGCUGCCAUGGUGAAGUGGGCCUAUUGAGACUACUUGUGGUGUGUAGGCCUUUUGUUUUACGUUCCGUAGUCGCUCAGGCACCCUUUAGAUACAACAGGCAGGGGACAGGGCACGCAAGUUUGUCAACUGAUUUUCCAUGGAAGUUGCUUGGUUUUCUAUGUCAAAAGAAGCUUCAUUGCUGCUUUCUUCCACUUUCUUCCUCCUCAUUAUGUGUUGUUCUGAUUGUAAGUGACGAGGAUGGUGAUGAUUCUAGACAACAUAAUCAACAAAUGUUUCAAUCAUAAUUGACAUUUCAAGAUGCUCCGACAAAGAAUUAGAAAACAUUCAUCACAAAAUGCGAACUCAUACAAUAGAUGGGUUGAUGAUAUAACCAUUAUUUCGUACAUUUUUAUUAUCUUUCUCUUAGAUUCUUGCUAUGGUUCUUGAGUGAGUUUAGUCCAUUUUUACUUAGUUUUGUGUUUUACUAGGUUUGAAGAGUAAAGAUGGAAAAGCAAGCAAAAGGUGCAAUUUUGGUAUUGAAAUAUAAUGUGAAAUCCUAGGAGCAGAAUGUGUUGUGCGGAUCGGACAACUUUACAGAACAUACUGUACUUCCUCAGAGCGAACCAGAUGUUGAACCUUAUAUCAUUGGAAAGAUACGGAUGUUCGCCUUCUGUAGAAUUUCGCGGUUCAUGAUUCGGACGUGUGUGGAGAGAGUUGUGGCCAUUUUAGUACGGACAGUUCGGGCAGAAUGUGUUCUGCGGGUUUUGCAAAAUAAUCCAUUUGAAGUCCAAUCCUUGGAGUUUAAUUUGUGUCAAUUACAUUUGGGAAGUGUCUACAAGGAUGUGGAGUUAUUUUCUGAAGUCUGACCCUUUAUUUAGUAGGAUUAUGGAUGCCAACUCAUCAAAGACAAUGAAGCCAAACUAGGAAAACAUAGUUACCAAGUCAAAAGAGGAUUUGUUCCUUAUUUAAAGAAGACCAGAAAAUAGGGUUCUCUCAUGCUGGAAUUUGAAGGAGAGUUAAAGAGCCGCUGCCAUCGUCAAGUUCUCAAGCAUCGUCAUAAUCCAUAAGUUCUAUUUUAUGUUUUCUAGUUUUUCAAUUAUGUUUUCUUUGAACAUGAGUAACUAAAUCAUUCUCUAGGGCAAGGAUGACGCCCGAGCAUGGAUAGUUAUGAUUUUUAAUGCUAUUUAAUGAAUUCCAAGUUUCUUUUAGAUGAAUGUUUAAUCACUAUUUUAAUUGUUGCUAUUUGUUUAAGUUCUUUGAUUGAUCACCUUAUGACAUGACCCGCCCCGAAUUUUUCGAAACACGAGACGAAUCUUGUGGAAUUCCCGACCACACCCCAAUGCCGGGCCCACUUACUAAAGACCGGGACUUUCUGCCGAAAUUUCGGCAGAGUCUCUCCUGUAAAUUGAACAUUUCCCACAAUUUCAACCUGCAUAAAACACAUUUUAUAUUACCCAACUGGCAGCAUGCACAAUGUAAUAACAUGCAAUUCACAUAAACGGCCUUUCGACCUUCCGAUAAUCCACAACAAACCACCAAGCACGCUAUCAAAUCAAUUCAUACCUUAAACAAGGCAAACAAUAAAUUCAAUCACACUUAAGAAUGUCAAAGCAAUCCACUACAUUUAAUUUUUCUCAACACCCAACAUACGAGGUUUUAACAUCCUAACACAAUCACAUCUAUGUCUGCGGUUGCACCUAAUAACCUUAGGCUGCCUAUGUACCCUCACUGAGAGAUCAAGCCACACGUAGUUCUUCCUACUAAAUUCCGAUUUCCAAACACAUACAAUACCUUUAAUCAUCUCUAUGAUAAUCACAUACUCUCCCCACACGCCGGAAAUUCCAACGCCACGUAUGGGGUCUGUCAUCACGCCGAAAAAUCCUACGCCUCGUGUGACCUAACCAUCAUAUCAUCUCCCCAUACGCCGAAAAUUAUAACGCCACGUACGGGGUCUGUCAUCCUGCCGGAAAAUCCUACGCCAUGGGUGACCUGACAAUCACAUAAUCUCCCCAUAUGCCAGAAAUUCCAACGCCACGUAUGGAGUCUGUCUCAACGCCGGAAAAUCCUACGCCACGCGAGACCUAACAAUCACAUAAUCUCCCCAUAUGCCAGAAAUUCCAACGCCACAUAUGGGGUCUGUCAGCACGCCGGAUAACCUACACCACGUAGGACCUAACAAUCAUAGCAUUUCCCCGUAUGCCAGAAAUUCCAACGCCACGUAUGGGGUUUGUCCUCAUGCCGGAUAACUUACGCCACGUGGGACCUAACAAUCACAUAAUCUUCCCAUAUGCCGGAAAUUCAACACCUCAUAUGGGGUCUGUCAGCACGCUGGAUAACCUACGCCACGUGUGACCUAACAAUCAUAGCAUAUCUCCAUACGCUGGAAAUUUCAACGCCACGUAUGGGGUCUGUCAUCAUGUUGGAUAACCUACGCCACGUAGGACCUAACAAUCACAAGGUGGUACUUAGGGUAGUGCGUAUAGCACUGACAGAAAAUCACAAAAGUAUCUUUCCUAUUCUAGAGAUUGGUCACAUGUAGUCCAACCAAUAGGAAAUGAGAUAUUUAAGAAAUGAAGAGUUUGAUCAAUAUCAAUAUCAAAUGAAUUCUUAUACGCCUAGUCAACUAUUAAGCGUAUCUUGACUUCUUGAUAUUGUGAUAUGAUUGAAACAUGAUUUCCAUGUUAGAAAAUUAAAGGGAUGUUAAAACAUGAAAGUAAUAGGAGAAUCAAAUUGAUUUGGGCCAAAAUUGCCUAAAAAGAAAACACUUCUAAAUACACUCAAUUCACUUUUAAAAACAGUAAAACAUGAUUGAAUCGUUCUUUAAAACAAUUCCCUAAUAUACAUGCAUGAUAAUGACAUCACUUACCUCUGAACCAAAUGCCUUUCACGGGUCAAGCCACAAGUCUGUGUUUUGGGGAUUGCUAAGCUGCAUCAAUCCUGCCAAUGUCAGUUCUGCCCCUAUGCUCUCUCAAAGCAUGUUUACAACCUAUGCUAACAUAUACUAGAGUUUAUGCUAGUAUCGAGAAAAUGCAAACACUAAUUUUGUAACACGUAGAAUUGUUAGAGAUUGGAAGUUUUUAUCAUUUUUUUCUUCCAGUCUCUCCACCACUCACUAAUACAGAUUACUCAUGUGAUAAAUUUACAAAACCUAUUUCUCUACUCUCACAAAGACUAUACUUCUUCUCAAAAGACUAUAUCACUUUACCUCUAUCUCUGUGAAAUGUAAAAAGUUGAAACUUUAAUGUCAAACCUCGACAAAAGAUGAAUUUCCAUCAGUUACGUUGAAUUUGGAUUUGUUGAACUUAAGCGAUUUUACUUUCUCUGUUAGUAUUUGAUGACUUAAUUUGGUAUUUACUUCUUCUUCUUUUUUUCCUUGGAAAUGUGUUCCACCAACGUGAGGAAGAAAAAUAUGCACAAAAUAAUAUAUUUAAUAGAAGCCCAAGAUUUCGGAAGCACAUAAUUUUUUCAAAAAUCUACAAAGUGUUCUACUUUACAAACUUCUUAUGUCUACCAAUUUCUACUAAAAUUAAUUUCUUUGCGGUGCUCAGAUUCAUCAUGUGUGUGUCCUCAAUUUUAGUGGAAAUUGGAAGUUUCCAUCAUUUUUGUUUUCUGGGAAUUUUCUGAACCAAGGAAAAUCAAGCAAAAUUAAUAAAGCAUAAAAUGAAAAGGGAAAAUAUCUAGAGGAUGCAUUGUAGGAUUGCUCAUGCCAAUAAUUGUACCCUCUAAAUAUAUUGGGACAUAUUUUUUUUUGUUUUCAUGACAUAUGGUCCUAAAAUUAUUGUUCCUAGCGGGCUCUCCACCCCUCUCAAUUGAAAACCUAUUGUGUAAAUCUUCAAUCCUGAACGAUGAACGAUGCACCUAAAACACAUGUUGCAAUACACAUCCACCCAUUCUCAGGCCAAUUAUUGUUCCUAGCGGGCUCUCCACCCCCUCUCAAAUUUAAGUGGUCCAUUAUGAUUAAUCAUGUAUUUUAUGGACCAUCCAGCUGUGAGGUUUUAUCUCAAAAACCUUCGGUACCUUUCUCCCACAUGCCACAAUGGUAUAUUCACAAUUACGUCUGAUACCUCACAUCAUGCCACUUGCCUCAAUUGAAUUUAAGUGGGUGGAGUGUUACUUCUGGGUACCCCUCAUCAUUCGUCUAUAAAAUGGUGAAGCCAGUUGCUACUGUUACCAUAAGAGCCAGCUCCGACUUUCUUUAAUUUCUUGUUUCGUAUCCACUAGCUACAUCUGUUGCCAAGUUAAUUUCAGUCCUAAUGGGGUUUCAUCUCCCACUCAUCUUUGCUAUUCUCAGUGUAAGCUCUGCAAUUUGAUUAAGAUUUCCAUUCUCUCUCAUUGUACUCUAUAUAAACGAAAGUUUUGUGUUCCUACAAUUCUCUCCGAUUUUAUUUAGUAUGUACUUAAGUGUCGUACGUCCACUAAUUAAUUACACUUUGUGAGAUUUGAUUUUAAUUAGAGUUCGAAUUAAUGUUGCAGCUAGCAGCAGUGGGAAACCAUGCUGCUCAACCAGCACCUCAACUUUACUGGAACUCCGUCCUGCCAAACACACAGAUGCCAAGAUCUAUCAGUGUACUUCUGCAUCCUGGUUUGUGUUGAGCACUUUAGAAUCUUAGAUAUCUUUUCUACCUGCCAUUUUACUAAAAUUUGUUCGACCACAUAUUUAUCAGUUAACUACUGUCAUUACAAAUCGGCUGAUCACUUAUUUUGCAUUAUGACGUUGAUAUAUAAUUUGCAGACUCCACAAAUGAAGAAAAGAGCACAUAUAUGAAUGCUGUUGGGAAUGGAAAGGGCAAACCUGAAAUUUUCCCAUUGGGCAUUAGACGUUACGUUCAAAAACGGUAUGGAGGGGGCAUUAGACGUUACAAUCAAGAACGGUAUGGAAAAGGUCCUCCUCCAUCUGACAAUCAACUACUCCAUUAUAAAGACUUGGCUAUUUUCUUCUUCGAGAAGGACAUGCGCCCUGGCGCAACAAUGAAGUUCCAAUUCCCUAGAAAUUCAAACACGGCUACUUUCCUGCCACGCGAAAGUGCUCAAUCGAUCCCCUUCUCCUCUAACAAACUAUCAGAAAUUUUCAACCAUUUUUCAGUGAAGCCAACAUCUGUGGAAGCCAAAACAAUUAAGCAAACAAUCCAAGAGUGUGAAGCUCCAGGCCUUAAGGGAGAGGAAAAAUAUUGCGCCACAUCUUUAGAAUCAAUGGUUGAUUUUAGCACUUCGAAGCUUGGAACAAGAAACGUUGAAGCAAUCUCGACGGAGGUAUUGGAAAGAGGAGCCACCAUGUCCAUGCACAACUAUACAACAAUGCCGGGACUGAAGAAGUUGGCAGGUGACAAAGUCGUUGUGUGUCAUAAGGAGAACUAUCCCUAUGCUGUGUUUUUCUGCCAUGCAAUAAAACAAACAGCAGCAUAUGUUCUCUCCCUGAAAGGCGAUGAUGGGGAGAAGGUUAAAGCAGUAACCAUCUGCCAUCUAGACACAUCAGAAUGGAACCCAGAGCAUUUGUCCUUCCAAAUCCUCAACGUUAAGCCCGGAACAAUUCCCAUCUGCCAUUUCAUUUCCACUGAUGGUAUUGUCUGGGUUCCAAAACACAAAUCUGCAUGAUCAUCACUUAGCACUGUACGUAUAAUAAGCUUGGUUGGGUUGCACCCUAGGCCUGUAUAAUUAACUCCCUACUUAUUUCUGCCUCUUUAGCACUGUACAUAUAUAGACUUCAACUUGUACUCGUAUAGCAUGCUGGAAAAAAAAAGGACCAAUAGGGAGAAAAUGGUGAACUAAGGAGAGACUAAUACUUCUGGUUCUUAGAAGGCAUAACAGAAAUAAUAGAGCACACUGCUUGAAUGCAAGUCAAUAUUGUUAGAAAAUUAGGAGAUUUACUUCCUAAUAUAUUAUGAUUCUAUUUAUUUCCUUUUGUAUUGAUAUUAUGUAAUUAGGACUUUAUCUUAGUUUCCUAGUAUAACCCUACUAGGGUUUGUACUCUUGUAUUAUAAAUACCUCCUUUUGGAGAAUGAAGUAUAAUCUGAAAAUAUUCUAUCCACUUUGUUUGACAUGGUAUCAGAGCAAACUUUUCUAGUGACCUGUGUGUUGUGCCAACCCGUAUUCUAGCCCCAUAUUUUUUCUCUACCUAUGCCGUGUGUGCCCCCCCUCUGGGUUUGUGGGUUGUGUUGUCGUGUUGGUGUCAUUCCUAUCUUCGUGCAUCUGCCGUAUUUGAGCCUUUGCUGUGUUCCGCUGUGUACUCUGUUGUGUUCAUACCUCUAUUGUGUUCGUGCCUGUCUUCGUGCAUCUGCUGUAUUUGUGUCUCUAUUGUGUUCCAUUGUACAAUCUGCCGUGAUCUGUUGAAUUUAUGAUGUAAUCAUAGGUGAUAACUCAUUUGUUGGUGUUGUUGUUGCUGUUUCUGGAAAUUUAUGUGAUUCAGACUCUAUUCCAUUUACUGGCUACAAUACUUAGAUAAUUGAUACUGGUACUUAUGAUCAUAUUGACAGGACUCGCCCCGAAUUUCCUGAAACCCGAGACGAAUUCUGUGGAAAUUCCUGACAUCACCCCGAUGUCGGGCCCACUUCUAAAACUAUAUCCUUUUUCCCCAAAAGGAAUAAAGGCAUAAGACUUUCUACCGAAAUUUCGGUAGAGUCUCCUAUGUAAAUUGAACAUUGCCCAAAAUUUUAACCUGCAUAAAACACAUUUUAUAUUACCCAACUGGCAGCAUGCAUAAAGUAAUAACAUGCAAUUCACAUAAACGGCCUUCGGCCUUCCGAUAAUUGGCAACAAACCACCAAGUACGCUAUCAAAUCAAUUUAUACCUUAAACAAGGCAAACAAUAAAUUCAAUCACACUUAAGAAUGUCAAAGCAAUCCACUACAUUUAAUUUUCUCAACAGCCAACAUACGAGGUUUUAACCUCCUAACACAAACACACUUCGUUCUCACUCAAAUAGCAGGACCAACUUCAAGGUCCGCAUCAUACUCAAUAAUACACAAGUAAAGUUUAAACCGCGGCUGCACCUAGGCACUACCCUAGGCUGCCUACGUACCCUUAUUGAGGGAUCAAGCCACACGUAGUUCUUCCUACUAAAUCCUGAUUUCCAAACACAUACAAUAAUACCUUUAUUCAUCUCUCUGUUAAUCACAUAAUCUUCCCAUACGCCGGAAAUUCCAACUCUACGUAUGGGGUCUGUCAUCACGCCGGAAAAUCCUACGCCACGUGUGACCUAACCAUCAUAUCAUCUCCCUAUACGUCAGAAAUUCCAACACCACGUAUGAGGUCUGUCAUCCAGUCGGAAAAUCCUACGCCACGGGUGACUUGACAAUCACAUAAUCUCUCCAUACACCAGAAAUUCCAACGCCACAUAUAGGGUCUGUCUCAAUGUCGGAAAAUCCUAUGCCACGCGAGACCUAACAAUCACAUAAUCUCCCCAUACGCUGGAAAUUCCAACGCCACGAAUGGAGUCUGUCUCAACGCUGGAAAAUCCUAUGCCACUCGAGACCUAACAAUCACAUAAUCUCCCCAUAUGCCGGAAAUUCCAACGCUACAUAUGGGGUCUGUCAGCAUGCCGGAUAACCUACGCCACGUGUGACUUAACAAUGAUAACAUCUCCCCAUACGCCGGAAAUUCCAACGCCACGUAUGAGGUCUGUCCUCACGCCGGAUAACCUACACCAUAUGGAACCUAACAAUCAUAGGGUGGUACUUAGGGUAGUGCGUAUAGCACUUCAAACCGACAUUCAAAACUCUAUUUAUACCUUUAUAAAUUUAUAUAAAAAUAUAUAUAUUAAGUUCUAAAGUUGUAUAAGCCUCAACCACAAUCUAGCAUCCGAUAAUCCCCCCCAAUUUAAAACAAUAAAUUAAUAUCAUAAACCCACAUAAUCAACAUAACUUAACAACGCUCAAGACCUGUCACUAGUGUCAUUGUAAUCCUCCUAGGAAGGUAAAACUACUUCGGAAGAGUCACGGUCAACUAAGGGUCAAACUACCCAAACUUGGUCAAAUGGGCCCACGGGCCCCACGACCUUCAAAUUCCGAUUCCAACCUACCGAAAUUUCUUAUGGGUUCUACAAGGUUUAGGACACUCGUCUUGCAAGUUUGGUCCAGAUCAGACGGUCGGAUCGCUCACGAUCGCACGAUCGGACGGUUACUAUAAACCUAGCCCUAGGGUUGGUAUUUUCGGAGUAUCCAGGACUCCGUUUUACGAUCCGUCGAAUCCUAUACGAUCUUGAGGAUGUCCAAACUAACAUAUAAUAAAUCUAUGACUAUCCAACGGCUCAAACCUAUUGAACCCAGAUAACGCACAAUAUGCGAAAUCUGUUCAAUAGUCAAACGACGUCCGAAUUGAGAUCCGCGAAAACCUACGCACUCGUGACAACUUGAGGACCUCAUUAGGACAAACUGUAGCUUCACCACCUUUGUCCACGCGCCUGCAGCGCAUGGGUGUGUAGAGUAAAUUCCGAUGAUGGAAAAACUCUACACCACCGCUCACCCUUCCUAUCCUAAAUACUACUCGAGGCAAGGAUCACUUCAUUCAACUACGGGGAGGUCCCAUUUGGACGGCAACUGGCCCAAAUUUCACUUUGAAAUCCGGCCAAAACCUAGGUUUUCAAAUCGGUUUUCUAGACAUCAAAUCGAUCCAAUCCUAUCCCAUAGACAGCUAGAGCUCAGAAAAUAGAUGACAAACCAUACCUCACCCGACGGAAUUGGUGGCUGGAGGAGAAAGAUUGAGCGAUGAGAAGUUCUGUCAAAACCGACUCGUUUUCGACUGAUUCCAGCGAGCACAGUUGACGAUGAUGGCUAAGACUAGUCGGGAAAAGACAAGGGAGAGGUGGUGAUUCGAACGGGACCGGUCUCGAGGCCAGUCGUUGACUGUGGAGGCUGCAAUAGCCUUGAAGGGUGGCGGCUGUAAAAACGAAGGGGAGGGGGGCUGUUCACGAUGGAGGAGAGAGAGAGAUAGAUAGAUAGAUAGAGAAAAAUCUGAAUUUUAUAAAAAUUCCAUUUUGAAAUAAUUACGAUUGUGCCACUGAGUUUCUUUUGACCGUAACUUCCUCGUUACAACUCCAAAUCAAGCCCACUAUGUAUCUAUGAACUCAUCUCGUCGAGCUCUACGCAACGGUAGAGCUGAAAUUCUCAAAUUUCUUCCUGAUCAAAAAGUCAACUUUAAACCCAAUAAAAUAUUCUAUGGGUAUAAUGGUCUUUUAUCUACAUAAAUUAAUAAUUUCCAAUUUAUUUAGGACCGGGUCGUUACACAUAUGACUUAUGAUGCUAUAUUUUUUUAUGAGUUGUCUAGUAAUACUCGUGACCCAUACAUAACUAGUGCUAAUGGCUUGCCCUAUCCAAUUACUGGCGAGGGCAUAAUCUCUCACUCCUACUCUGUCCUUGUCUCGUGUGUUACUCGUUCCCAAUAUCCAUUGUAACUUGUUGUUUGUUGGCCGAUUACUUGAUACACUUAAUGCUUAUGCUACUUUCUAUCCUACACAUUGCUCUUUUCAGGAUCUCAAGACUUGCGAGACGAUUGGGCAUAGUAAACGGAUAGGGGGCUUAUAUUAUUUGACAUUGUCUUCUGCACCAAUUCGUGGUUGUGUCAUUCAUACUGUUCAAAGUUGUAGUGUCAAGGACAAAUAACAAAUUUGGUUAUGGCAUCGUCGCUUGGGACACUCGUCGUUCGGCUAUCUUAAGCGUCUGUUUCCAUCUUUAUUCCGCUCUUGUGACGAGUCCAGUUUUAAGUGUGAGACAUGUAUUUUGGCCAAGAGUCAUCGCACUGUGUUUCUUUUAAGUGACAGUAAAGCUGCAAAACCUUUUGAUUUAGUAUAUUCGGAUGUAUAGGGACCUGCUCGUGUGACUUCUAAUGGUUUCUAUUGGUCUAUUACUUUUAUUGAUGACUGCACUCUCCCCAUAGUCCGGAAUUACCAACGCCACGUAUGGAGCCUGUACGCACGCCGAAAAAUCCUACGCCACGUGGGACCUCAUCAUCAUAUCACAUAGUCUCCCCAUACGCCGGAACUACUAAAGCCACGUAUGGGAUUCGUCUCAACGCCGGAAAAUCCUACGCCACGUGAGACCUUACAAUCACAGGAUGGUACUUACACAAUGUAAUCAAACCAUCUUUAUCUCUUUAAUAUAUAUAUAUAUAUUCCCAAUUUCCCCAAGUUUAAAACAAUAAACUAGUUCCUUAAACCCACUAAUUAACAUAACUCAACUAAUGAUCAAGACCUAUUGAAAGGACUCGCCCCGAAUUUUCUCAAAACCUGAGACGAACCCUUUGGAAGUCCUGACAUCACCUCGAUGCCAGGCCCACUUACUAAAAACCGAGACUUCCUGCCGAAAUUUCGGCAGAGUCUCCCCUAUAAUUUGGACAUUUUCCAAAAUUUAUACCUGCAUGAAAAUGCAUUUAAUAUUCCCAAUUGGCAGCAUGCACAAUAUAAUUUCAUGCAAUUCACAUAAAUGGCCUUCGGCUUUCCAAUAAUUCUUAACCAGUUACCAAACAAUUCAAAUACCAAUUAUGACUAACAUUUAGUCUACGGCUGCGCCUAAUAACCUUAGGCUGCCUACGUACCCUCCUUGAGGGAUCAAGCCACACGUAGUUCUUCCAUAAAACUCAAUUCCACACAUAGGUGAUACCUUAUUUCAUCUCUCUGUAUUUCACAUAAUCUCCCCAUACGCCGGUACAACCAACGCCACGUAUAGGGCCUGUCAACACGCCGGAUAACCUACGCCACGUGCGACCAUGCCAUACUAUCAUCAUAUCUCCCCAUACGCCGGUACAACCAAUACCACGUAUGGGGUCUGUCUCAACGCCGGAUAACCUACGCCACGCGAGACCUGCACAUCAUAUCACAUAACUCCCCAUACGCCGGUACAACCAACGCCACGUAUGGGGCCUGUCCCAACGCCGGAUAACCUACGCCACGCGGGACCUCAACAUCAUAUCACAAAUCUCCCUAUACGCCGGUACAACCAACGCCACGUAUGGGGUCUGUCGACACGCCGGAUAACCUACGCCACGUGCGACCUCAACACAAUAUCACAAUAGCUCCCCAUACGCCGGUACAACCAACGCCACGUAUGGGGCCUGUCUCAACGCCGGAUAACCUACGCCACGUGAGACCUAACUUUCACUUGGUGGUGCUUGUAGUGAAUCCAACAUCCAGGGAGGUACCUAAAGUAGUGCGUAUAGCACUCCAAACUGACAUUCUAGACUCUGUUGUACCCAUGUACAACCAUAUAUAAUUAUAGUUAUAUAAAUUAAUUCUAAUAUUGUGUAACCUUCCACAUUCAUCUAGCACCCGAUAAUCCCCCUUAGAAAGGUGAGAUUACUCCGGGAGACUCACGGUCAACCAAGGGUCAAACUACUCUAACUCUGGUCAACCGGACCUGCAGAACCCACGACCCCCAAUUUCCGAUCCGAAAGUCUCUAUGGGUUCUACCAGGUAUAGGACACUUGUCCUGCAAGUUUGGUUCAGAUCGGACGGUCGAAUUUCUCACGAUCGCACGAUCUGACAAUUAAUAUAAAAUAUAAACUUUAAAAUUAUUAAUCGAAACAUCCGGGGCUCCGAUUCACGAUCCGUGAAUUCCUACACGAUCCUAGAAUUACCUAGAUUAACAUAUAUUAAAUUUGGGACCAUCCGACGGUCCCAACCUGUCGAACCCGGAUAACGUACAAUAUACGAUCGUCCGUUCGAUAGUCAAACGACGUCCGAAUUGAGAUCCGCGAAAUCCUAUGCACUCGUGACAACCUAAGGAUCUCAUCGGAAUACAGUGCUACUUUUUCUACAGUGCCCAAAGCGAUAACGCUUCGCCGGAAAAUCUCAACAUCACGGCUCCAAAAUUCCUACUCUAGGUAUAACACCCUAUUUGGAGCCACUUUUGUUCUUGGACCUACCCCAAAAAGUGGCCGAAAAUGGCCGAUCACGGCAGCCGAAGUUUCGGCCGAUUUUCAAUUCGAAAAUCGAGUUGUCUACGCUAAGAAUCGAUCUAAUCCUACCCAACCAUCAGCUAGAGUAGCUCGAGAGGUUCAAAAUCCAUACCUGGGUCGACGGAAUUGGUGGCCGGAGGAGGGAGAUCGGCGGCUUUGAAGUUUGGACGACGUCGGCCGCUUCAUCUCCAGAUUCCGGCGAAUCCGCGGCGGCUGGCGGCGGGAGGUGGCUGGGGUAGGAAGAGGACGACGGCCCGGUCAUUUUGGUACCGGUCCCGUCGUCAUUGGUGGCCGGAGGAGAGCACGGCCGGCCAAAACGUGGCCGGCGGUCGUCGCGCGCGAGAGAGGAGAGAGAGAGAUCGCGCGGAGGAGAGAGAGAGAGAGAGAGAGAGAGAGAGAGAGAAAACCAGAUUUUUAUAAAAAAAAGUCCCAUUUUGAAAUAUUUACGAUGUGCCACUGGGCUUCUUUUGACCAUAUCUCUCUCGUUACAACUCCGAUUCAAGCCCACUACGUGUCUAUGAACUCGUCUCAGUACGACCUAUCCAAAAAUACAAGUCACGGUCCCAAACUCUCUCCGGUUAAAAAUAUGACUAAAAUACCCUUAAAUAAUGAAAUAAUUAAAUAAGGGUUAAAUUUGGGGUCGGGGUGUUACAUCUAUCACCAGGAUCAUUAUAAUCCUCCGAGGGAGGUGAAACUACCUCGGAAGACUCACGGUCAACCAAGGGUCAAACUACCCAAAUUUAGUCAAACGGGCCCACGAGACCCGCGACCUCCCGAUCUGAAAGUUCCUAUGUGUUCUACAAGGUUUAGGACACUCGUCAUGCAAGUUUGGUCCAGAUCGGACGAUCAGAUAGCUCACGAUCGGACGGUUAUUAUAAACAUAAACUUUAAGUUAUUAAAUCGGAACAUCCGGGGCAAAGAUUCACGAUCCGUGAAUUCCUACACGAUCCUAGAAUUGCCUAGAUUAACAUAUAUUAAUUUUAAGACUAUCCAACGGUCUGAACAUGUCAAACCCGGAUAACGCCUAAUAUGCGAUAUGCGAUAUCCGAUCGAUGAUCAAACAAUAAUCAAAUUCAAAUUCGAGCAUACCGUCACGCUCGAGACGACGAGAGGGUUAUUUUAGAACUCUAAGACAAGCCACCACAUGGCCCACGCGCUGACAGCGCGUGGUUGUCUAGAGAAAUUUCCAGCGGCGGGAAAAACUCCAAACCGCCAGCCAAGACUCCCAGGUUAGGUAAAUCACAUGUAGUGGAACAACUUUUGUUCUUGGACCUACCCCAAAAAGUCGACGGAAGUGGCCGUCGGAGGCCGAAACUGGCCUAAACUUCUAUCGCUUAAUUGACAACCAAAAUGCAGCAAUUGAUCCUAAAUAACCCAACCAGCAGCUAGAUCAGAUUGAGGGGAUGGAAAAGCAUACCUAGAUCGCAUGAUUUGGUUACCGAAAACGUCCGAACGAGCUUCCGAAAAAUCCGCAAAAAACCUUUCGGAUUUCUGCAAUUUCCGGCCAGCACCAGCAGUUCCAGCAGCUGAGGUUGGUCGGAAAAGGAAGAGGAGGUGGCAGCGGUUUGAACAGGUCCGGCCUCGUUGCCGGUGGUGAUCCGUGGUGGCAACUGUGGCUCUUGGAAGCCACGGCUGUGCAGAAAAAUGAAGGGGGAGGGGGCUGCGCGCGUGGGGAGAGAGAGAAAGUGAGAGAGAAUCAGAUUUAUCAAACCUUUUUUUGCCAAAAGUACGAGUAUGCCACUAAGGGUAAUUUGAUCGUAUCUUCUUCGUUACAACUCCGAUUCGAGCCCAUUACGUGUCUACGAACUCAUCUCGCUGUGCUUUACACAACGGUACGGUUGAAAUUCCCAAAUUCCUUCCCAGUCAAAAAGUCAACUUUAAACCUAAUAAAAUAUUCUAUGGGCAAAAUGGUAUUUUCUCUGAAUAAAUUAGUGUUUACUAAUUUAUUUAGGACCGGGUCGUUACAAUACCCAAAAAUUUCCUGUGUCAGAAUCAACACAUGGCAGCAGAGAAAGAAAGGGGAAUAGGACAAAAUAGUUGGUUAUCCAGCUGGAAAUCCUACAGAGCAAGGAUGACUAGUUAUACGAGAAACAGAUGACUAGUCAUCAUUUUAUGAAAUCAAUUUAAUGCAAUGUGAUGGAAUGCACAAUUUACCUUUGUCAAUUUGCUUGAACCUCUAUACGAUAGUUGUUAGUUAAGAACACCUAGAGAAACUAUUCUUAAUCUAAACUUGAGCUUGAUAAAAAUAAUAAAAAUCUUAUUACAAGAUUAUCAAGGAAAGUGUUGUGUCUACCCAAGUGCAAGUAGUCACACGUAGUAAUAAUCUUGGAAGUCCAAGUAUCGUAUCCUCAAGGAGCAGGUAGGCAAAUAUCUGCACACAAAGAAAUAAUUAAACAUACCACAAUAAAAGUGACAAGCAAAAUGGAAAAGUUAUUUAUUUGAUUGUUGUGAAAAUUGAAUUUAAAAAUGAAAUAUCAAUAAUGGAAAUGCUAAGGCAUCAAGGUUCAAUUCUUUAAACAAAAUAUGUUUCAUGCUCUUUACUCCAGAUUAUAACUCGAUUAAAAUCAUCAUCGAGAAACUUUAACCGGAAGAUAAAGAAAUUAAAACCAAUUUAAUUUUUCAAUGUAAUCUUUUAUUAAUGAUUGUUCAGAAAAUGGAAUUGCUUAAUAUCUACUCUUUUAAUUUAAAAGCAUGCCAAGUCAGUUCUUAACAAUGAGAAAAAUAAAAUUGAACUCAUGAAAAGGUAAUAGCACUUAACAUCAAUCAAAAUAAAAGGAUAUGAAAAUAUUGAACAACCAAAAAUAAAAGAAUUUAGCAAUUCAUACCGUAUAUUGGAUUAAAGAACAAUUCACAAACUUACUUAAAGAACAUUCCCUUUAGCCUUAGCUAGAGUUCUAGCAACUCAAUUACAAAGGAAAACAUAAACUAAAUGGAUAAAGAAAUCAGUCAUAGUGGUGCCCUUGCCAAAGAAGUUGAUGGGUAAUUUAUAGUGAAUGAGGUGAGUGGGAAGUUAAUACAUGGGUAAUGAAGGGUUUAAGUAAGGGAUUAAUUGGAUUAAACAUUGGUUGAUGGUGGAGAGUUAGUGGAAAAGAAAUAACGGUGAGGUAAAUAGGCGUUAAAUGGCUAUGAAUGACAUGAAAUAGGCUCUUUAGCUUCAACGGUUGUGUCUUCUCUUCUCCCUCUUUACUUCUCUUUAUAAUCACAAUAAUCCAACAAUCAAUUCUUCAAUAAAAUCCGCCAGCAAUUCUCUUCACACCUAGCUUGAACUUGGACAAAUGUAUGUCUUCAUCUUUUGGCUUUCUAACUUCCUACCGAAGAUAAAUUCACCUAAUAAGUUCACCAAAUUAAUAUAGAAAAUUCAUAAAUCCAGUUGAUGAGAAUAAAAUGUAACAAUAAGUGAAAUUAUAUUUAUUAAGUCAAAAUUAUAUCAUAAAGUCUCCAAAAUAAUAUUAAAAAUAUAUAAUUUAAGACUCUCAUCACAAAGCCAAAAGAAAAACUCAAAAUGCAUACAUUAACAGUUUUGCCAUAUUGAAUUAAUGUCUUCUAGCUAUGUACCUUAUCUUUUUGCCGGGCCAUGAGUUGAAUGUAGAGGCAGAGCAUGGACUUGGGUCAAGUUUGACUUGUAAAAUAAUUAGGAAUUGAAUGGCUCCUACGUUCAAUUAUUUUAUUAUUAUUAUUAUUUUUUGUCCGAGCCAUUCAAUUCCUAAUUAUUUAGAUUUUUGAUCUAGUUAGCAUCCACAAUCAUGCUCUCUAUUUUUUUUUUUUGGUCAUAAAUGCCAUAACUCUUUUUUUAUUGGUCCAUCUCUAUUAAAAAAUAAAAUAAAAAAUAGUUAGCAUUAAAUAAAGGUUUGAAAUUCUCAUUAAAUAAAGCAGCAUUAAAUUAUAGGGAGCAACUAGGAGUCAUUUCUCUCUCCUCAAGUUUAGGAGCUCCUACAGGUCUCCCUAUUUUAGGAGGUAGAUAGGGAGCAUUGUUGGAGUUGUAUUUUUACAAUUUCUCCCUAAAAUUUGUCUAAGGAUGUGGUUUAGGGAGCCCAUUGUGGAUGCUCUCAUCUCAAGGAAAGAAAACCCCAAGUUUGCAAGUAAUUUUUCUACGUAUGUAUAUAUGAAAAACUGACAUUUAUGAAAAUAAUAAACCCAUAUUUUUAUGUAAGCCAACUUUCUAAAUUCAUGUACUGAUAUUUAUUAGGGAAAUAUUGGAGAAACUGAUUAUUUUGAAAAAUUAAAUGUGAAAAACUGAACAAAAUUUUGACGGGUUACAUAUGUCAACUCAUUCAGCAGCUUAGGUUGUGAAGACCUAAGCAACAACCCUAGUGCACUGUCGAUCACUUCAGUGUCUACCGAUUUUCCUUUCCAUAUUGUUAGAUUAUUCCCUGCUGUAACACUUGCAUUUAGAAAAUAAUAGUACAGCUCUUAUUAGCAACAGUUUUACACACUUGCAUGAAUCUCACUAUGUUAAAGCAAUCACAUAGCACACCUUUAUUGAAAACAAAGCUAGCCCUGAUCCACUCCUUUACAUACUUAAAAACAAAACAAAACGAAAAAAAGAUAGGGAGAAAAUGGCUACGGACUUACUGCCGACAAAAAGAGAUAAUAGCGAACACUGUUUGUAUGACAGUGAGUAUGAGAAGAGUAACCGCUGCAAAGAGAGAAAAAGCUGCCCAGGCCCAGGGUGAGUUGAAAUACUUUUGGCUCAAAUAUGCCAACCAUCUGUUCCUGCACUUCUUGCAGUACUUGUUUAGAUUGUCAGCAAGACCACCAAAAUAGAAAUUUUGCUGGUCCGGAGCAACCCCCUUGCAAAGUUGGUUAAUCAUAGUAGAAACCUUAUUGUUGUCACCUAGUGUGUUUACAACAAUUUCACUCUCAACAAGUAAAUCUACAUCCCUUUUGGUUUUUACAAAUUUAUCCAGGAGGAAAACAUAAUCGCUUAAGUAAUUGUCUGUGCAAUGGCAUUGUUCAAAGGCAAUGAGAUUUCUGAGUAUAAGCUCUGUGUCAUCACGUAUUUCUAGUUUUGGAAUUUUCAGAGUUCCAUUAUGGAACUGUAUCGCGAAUAAGUCGUUGCUUGACUCCAGACGACUUGAUUCCGGACGAAACUUAACUCUGGCCUGGUGUAGUUUUGUCACGCUGGGUAUACAUGGGAGUUCUCCAGCUUCUGAGGUACCGGUAUCCAAAUAUUGCACAUGUAAAGUUCUAAUAAAAUCAACAAAAUGUAAAGGUGGUUCAGUCCCCUCCACUUCGUCUUCCGACCUCUGUAAACCCACUACCUUUUUGAAGAAAUGGUAAGAGAGCUUAAUCAUUGAAGGCCUCUCAGUCUCAGAAUUCUUAACUCUGACUUUGCUUGCAUCGAAAAGAUCCUCAAGAAUGAAAAAUGGCAGCUAAUUUUCGGGCAAAAGCAUGUCGGGCACUAUAUUUGUUAACAUUUAUGGUUUUUUAAAUAUCCAGUCAUUAUAUCGUCUCGCAAUUCUUGGAAAUGGUACCUCAACAAUAGCUCAAUGACAAAGGCAGCAUCAACUAGAAUGAUACUUACAAACUUGUCGCUACUCUUGAAGUGCUGAGCGUUUCCAUAACGACCACGGAGUUCAUCUUCUUGGGCCUUUAUUUUCUCUGCAUAAUCCUUCAAGCUAACCUUAUUAUUCCGAUGAAGAAAAUUUUGUAGGUACCUCGGUUUGUACUCUUCCAUGGCUUCUAAUUCUUUGUUGUCAUGGUGAAUUGGGCCUAUUGAGACUACUUCCGGGGUGUAAGCGUUAUUUCUGCCCCGUAGUCACGAAGGAACCCUGUAGAUACAGCACUCAUCAGAGGGCCUAUUGAGACAAACUAUCCAACCGCCGCUUCAAAUCUGCUACUGGGGUUUUGUGGUUUUCUACGCCAUGUGGAGCUCCAUUGCUGCAUCCUUCCACUUCUAUUAUGUGUUGUUCUGAUUGUAAGUGAUGAGGGUUAUUGGCACCAGGGGCGGAUCUAGCCCUUUUUUGGCUAGGCAGCCACCCAGUCGAGAAUUUUCAUAAAAACAAAAUAGGUACGUAUUGUUGUAAAUGUAUGAGUUGGUGGAUGACCACCAUACCUCUUAGCAUUCACCUUUUCUAAUUCUAUGUAACUAUACACUAAAUGCCAUAGUUAUGGACUUGUAACUUAUGAGUUGUUAAUGUUUUCUUACGUGUAAGCCUAUAAAUAAGAGGGCUAUCUUGGCAUAUGUGUUCGUCACUAACUAUAUAAUUUAAGUUGUUUUCAGUGACUAAUUUAAAUAAUUGUCAGAAAAUUUGGUCAUUAAAAAUUAAAAAAUAAGGGUCAAUUAUUUUAGUGACCAUGAAGUAUUAUUAGUCAUUAAAUUCAUUGUAUUUGUGACCAUUAUUUAUGUGGAAUUGGUCACUACUGACCUUUUUUCUUGUAGUGUACAUUCUUGCCUUAAUACAGUUAGGCUUAUUUUUAUACUAAUUUCUCUAACAUAACUUUUGCACAUUCUUUUUAUAUUAUAAUAAAUAAUCUUACCCAGUUGAGUUAUAAACCAUUUUCUUUUAGCACGGAAAAUCGACAUUUUGACAGAGAGUUGAAAAGCACUCCCCAAUUUUAAUGUCAACCACUUGGAAAAAAAAAACAUAAAUUUAAUGACAACAAUUACAUUUAGCAAUGCAACCUAAAAACUCAACCUUUGCGCUCCUUUCACCACGCAGAUAGCAGGGUGAGGAUAUUCGAAUAAGAACGAAGACAGAAGCUAAAGGAAUUGCGAUAGCUAACCAUAGUCUGCAUUUCUUACCAUCUGAACAAUGCCACCAUUUUGUUUGGUAAGUAUUUAAUAACAUUUCUUGCUCUACAUAAAGUAAUAUUAAAGCGAAAUUUCCCUAAAUUUUUCUUACCAACAAUCCAUACCCAAGAAAAGGGGAGAUUCACUAUUAUACUCAAUAUAGGAGCCCAACUUAUUUAUAAUAAUUAUAAAAAAAAACCCUCUAUGAAAUGGACUUUAGAAACACACCUAAAACCUAUUUACAACAAAACAAAAAGACUUUUAACUUUUUUUAAAUUACAAAACUGUCAUUGAUUUCUUAAACAAACCCAACCCCAAAACCUCAUAAAAAAGCCCAAAUACUCAAUAAAGCAGCAAAGUAAUUUAAUAAUAAAAAUUAAAUUCAAUAGAGUCAGCUGUUAUUUUUUGGGUUAUUUUUUAUUUGUUUAUAGAAAUUAAAGAGUGCUGCUAAAAGAACCCUAACAUUAACUAAAUACACCAAAUGAUCUAAGUACACCCUAAUAUUUUAAUUAAAAUACAAAAUUAACUAAGUACACCUUAUUUAACUACCAAAAUUACCCGUGUUACACCCUAAUACACUCUAUCACUGUUCACCCGUUUAGUUUUUGCUCCUGUGAUGGAAGGGUAAAGUUCCCCACUGCCUUGGAAACCAUUGACUGGUCAACAAGUCAGCUUUCUUUGCUAUGUGAGCGUGCCACUGUUAGCAAUGAAAAUCCUAACAGACUUCUUAAAAUGGAUACUUGCGCCCAAGUUACUGAUUUCUAAACAGUGAUUGUGAUUUGGGUGAGGAAUAUCUCCAAGUAAGUUCUUUUCCUGCAUCAGGCUGGUGAAGACUUUAUAAUUUUCACAGUAUAAAUUGGUAGUUCUUGCCAGAAUAGAUGAUAUAAAGUGGACGGUUUUUAGGCAGAACUGCGUUUUACAAAAUUAAGAAGGAAAAAUCAACUCUAAAAAGACAAAAAGAUGGCUGGAAUCCCACUUCUGCCUGGGUAGAAACUUCAGAUCCGGGCUGGACCGAAUACAUUCAUGAUGGACUGAGCUGUUAACAACUUCAAUUGCUUAGCUUUAGCUGUAAAUCGAUACCAAAGUUCAAUUUUGGCAGAGCUUUAAUCUACUUCAAGCCUUGGAAGGCUUUUGAGCGGGCAGAACUGCCGUCUCUUCUGGCUAAAAGAGGCAGAAAUGGCUGAAUUUGAGGUUUACUGAGCUGGAACUGCACUGUUGUACCUGUUCUGCUUGGUCAGGGCUUUCCAUAAAUUUGUUGAGGUUUUCAUAUUUGUGAAAAACUCAAACUCUGCUUGUUUUGGCUUUUGCUGAACCAAAUUUGUAACGAGAGAAGUCUUGUUUUGAAUGACUUUUCUCUAAGUUUGAGCUUUUGAAAUUCUAGGAGAGAGAGAGAGAGAGAGCUUUUGAUUGCUCCAGUUUGUUUGAAGGUUCUCAAUGAUCAAGUGAUCAUUUUGAGUUUUUGCCUUUAGCUUAUUUUUGGUUGUUUGUUUGAUUAUCCUUUGCUCUAUUCACCUUCUCCUAUAUUUAUAAGAAAUGCUUUGAAGUAGGGUUUCUUUCUUUUAAUAAUGGGCGGCCAAAAUUCUCAAAAGGUCUUUCAUUUUUUUAAAUACGAAGAAAAAGGGGUUUUCUCAAUUUUGGCAAAUAAGUUCUCAACAGUCAAUUCCAUUGAAAGAGAACCUGACUUUUCUUUAAUUCCCAACUGCCCUUGUGAGAGCUCAAUCGUGAUGGUCAGUUUGCUUCUCCAUUUUGAACAACUUCCUGUUUCCUGUUUAUCUUUUUAGAAAAUACAAUCUGGGUAUCCCUUGAAAGAUGGUGCCUUUUUUGGAGUAGAAACAAUGUCUCUAAAUAUAAAAGGGUUUUUUUUUUAUCUUUUGGUGGCAAAGAUUUCAAAGACGUCCCUUCUUUUCGCCUGCCUCUGUCAACUUUUUAUCAACCCAGUUGAAAUUGUUGACUUUCCUAAAUCAAAAAAAGAGAUUCACGUGGGUCUGUUCCUUUUGGCUCCUUCCUCUCUUUUAAUCAUGCCUAACCUCUUUUGAUUUUACUGGAGCCAUGGGCUGAUUGCUUCUCUUUUCGAGGCCCAAGUUUAUUUGCAGAGCCCAAACUGCUUGGGCCCUGUGGUUUUGUCUUUGUUGUUUUUGGGCUUUUUAGGCUGGACGUGCCAAAAUUAGGCCCAAACAAUGUCCCCUAAGUUUGAAUCGUUUCUAGAACGGUUCGAGAUUUAAUGAUUUUGGCCAUUAAUUCGUGCGCGCCAACUUCUUUCGUUUAAUGCACGUCUGCCUACCACGAGCUAGACUUCAUGGGAAACUGUUUUGUUACUAGCUAGUUACUUAGCUAGUUAUUAUCAUAUGGCGUCUCGUCUUCCUCUUCCCACGAUUUCAAGCCCCUUUUUUAAGAAAUUCGAAACUCCAACUUCUGUUUAUUUCAAAAACUAGCUUCUUUUUAGACCUCGACAAUUCUUAGUUUUCCCCAGAAUUCUCACUUUUUCUUCGACCAGACUCUGCCUUUCUUAUCAUUUCCUUUCCUAGUUCAACACUUCUGAUCAUGUCUUCUCCCAAGACUCGUGCUCAAGGUUGGUCCUCCUCAGUUCCUCCUAAUUACAUCACUGGGACUGGGAUUGACAAUCACGCGAUAGAGGUUAGAAGCAAACUGAUAGGACCCGCCCCGAAUUUUCCAAAACCCAAGGCGAAUCCUGUGAAAUUUCCGACAUCACCCCGAUGCCGGGCCCACUUACUAAACACCGAGACUUUCUGCCGAAAUUUCGGCAGAGUCUCCCCUAUAAAUUGGACAUUUCCCAAAAUUUCAACCUGCAUAAAAACACAUUUAAUAUUCCCAACGGGCAGCAUGCACAAAAUAAUUUCAUCCAAUUCACAUAACGGCCUUCGGCCUUUCAAUAAUUUUCAACAAACUACCAAGCACACUAACAAAUCAAUUCAUGCCUCAAACAAGGCAACCAAUAAAUUCAAAUAUGCAUUAUGACUACCAAAUUUCGACAUGCAUCAUUUUGCUUUUCCAAUCUCAAUAGAUGAGGUUUUAACCUCCUAACACAAUCACAUCUAUGUUCGCGGCUGCACCUAAUAACCUUAGGCUGCCUACGUACCCUCACUGAGGGAUCAAGACACACGUAGUUCUUCCUUAAACCCAAUUCCACACAUAGGCAAUACCUUUAUUCAUUUCUCUGUAUUUCACAUAAUCUCCUCAUACGCCUGUACUACCAACGCCACGUAUGGGGUCUGUCAACACACUGGGUAACCUACGCCACGUGCGACCUCACCAUAUUAUCACAUAAUCUCCCCAUACGCCUGUACUACCAACGCCACGUAUGGGGCCUAUCGACACGUUGGAUAACCUAUGCCACGUGCGACCUCAACAUAAUAUCACAUAAUCUCCCCAUACGUCAAUACAACCAACGCCACGUAUGGGGUCUGUCUCAACGCCGGAUAACCUACGCCACGCGAGACCUGAACAUCAUAUCACAAUAGCUUGCCAUACGCUGGUACAACCAACGCCACAUAUGGGAUCUGUCGACACGCCGGAUAACCUACCCCACGUACGACCUCAAUAUAAUAUCACAUAAUCUCCCCAUACGCCGGUACAACCAACGCCACGUAUGGGGUCUGUGUUAAAGCCGGAUAACCUACGCCACGCGAGACCUGAACAUCAUAUCACAAUAUCUCUCCAUACUCCAGUACAACCAACGCCACGUAUGGGGUAUGUGGACACGCCGGAUAACCUACGCCACGUGCGACCUCGAUAUAUUGUCAGGUAAUCUCCCCAUAUGCCGGUACUAUCAAUGCCACGUAUGGGACCUGUCCGCAAGCCGGAUAACCUACGCCACGUGGGACCUAACUUUCACAGGGUGGUACUUGUAGUGUAACCAAAAUCCGGAAAGGUGCCUAGGGUAGUGCGUAUAGCACUUCAAACUGACAUUCUAGACUCUUUAUACCUUUACAAACAUAUAUAAACAUAUAUAAUUUAAUUCUAAUUGUGUAAACCUCAACAAUAGUCUAGCACCCAAUAAUCCCCCUAGGAAGGUGAGACUACUCCGAAAGACUCACGGUCGACCAAGGGUCAAACUACCCUAACAUUGGUCAAACAGGCCCACGGGGCCCACGACCUCCAAAUUCUGAUCCGAAAGUUCCUAUGAGUUCUCCGAGUUAUAGGACACUCGUCCUGCAAGUUUAGUCCAGAUCGGACGAUCAGAUCGCUCACGAUCGCACGAUCUGACGGUUAAUAUAAAACAUAAACUUUAAAUUAAUAAAUCAAAACAUCCGGCACUCCGAUUCACGAUCCGUGAAUUCCUACACGAUCCUAGAAAUACCUAGAUUAACAUAUAUUAAAUUCAAGACCAUCCAACGGUCCCAACCUAUCGAACCCAGAUAACGCGCAAUAGGCGGUAUCCGUUCGAUAUUUCCCUUUAAUAAUUUAAAUAAGGGAUUUAAUUUGGAGUCGGGGUGUUACAAUCUACCCUCCUUAUAAAAAUUUCAUCCUCGAAAUUUCAUACCUGCUAGAAGAGGAAUCUGCCAGAACUGACUUUAGGAAGAAGUUCCUGAGUGUCACUCUGCCAAGAGAUCUGCCCCACGGAGGUGGGAAGCCUCCAAACUAUCAUUUGGGAGCAGAAGUCUAUCAUCGCAACUUCUGUGCAAGGCAACUUGGCUGCCCCAGCUUAUUCCACUAAAAUCAUACAGAAGCUGCAAUCGGGCCACUUCCUUGAGAGAUGCGGAUGAUCUGGAAGUGCACAAAGAUGCUAGAUGUGCAGUAAACAAGAUAAAUAACAGCGCAGAUGCCCUCUAUCCAGCCUGGGAACUGAACUCCUGCAGUUCUGCCGAUUUUGACGCUUGGUGGAAAUCCAGGUUUCAUGGUCUGCCAGCCUCCAUUGCUGCACUCAAGGUGAUUUUUGAGGGCUGGGACUCCUGGACUGUCUACGCGGAGGUGGAUGCCAAGAACUUCAUGGUGCAGACCAUCAAAGACAUUAAUGCCCAGGGUAUAGAAGGUAACUUUCAAUUCUGUCUGUCUUGCCUAUUCUGUCUCUUAGUGAUGAUGCCUAACAGUUUUGUUCUGUAUAUAUCAGACCCUUAUUUGACAGAAAACAUAGGUGGACAGUCUGUCCAAGCUGGAGAUGUGAUUGGUAAGUUUUUCACUAUUCUGUUCCUUUCAUUAUUUUCUUGCUUGAUUGACUUCUGACUUUGUCUAUUUCUUGUGUAGUCAUUGCUGUCAUUGCUGCUGGGACUUGGAGCUUCCCUCUGGAGAUGAAGAGGAUCUAGCUGCUGAGGCUAUUCCUUUUGGCAGAACAUCCAGCUGCUGAGGCCAUUCUUUCUAGCAGAAGGAAGAGAAAGGAAAUUUCUUCUGCCCAGCACAGUGCUGCUCAGCCUGCGACUUCAGGUAAGUUCUGACAGUUUGAGCUUUUCGUAAUUCUAUUUUGUCCUAUUCUGCCUUAUGUUCUAAUGGUUUAUUGUCUGCUUAUUGUAGCUGAAAGUUCCUCUCCUCCUCCUACUAAGUCAAAAAGACUUAAAAAGAGGACUGUGGUGGAAUAUAUGGCCAUGGAGGAGUCUGCAGCAGUUCCCACCAACACUUCUGGGACGGAUGAAGAGCUGAGAGAGGCCUUCAAGACAGUGGAAUAGGAGAAAGAGCUAGAAGAAACAGAAGAAGAACCUCAAGAAAAGGCAAAAGAAAUGGAAGAAAAUGUGAGUAUUGUUUUCUGGCUAUGUCAGCUUUUCUUUUGUUUCUUCAUUUCCUCUGUUCUGACUUCUGUCUAUGUAUAGAAGGAAAUCCCCGCUGAAGUGAUUGCAUAGAGCAUUGCUUUGGCGCAGAGGCAGCAGGAGAAUCAAAGGGCAGAGCUGACCAGCUCGGAGUUGGCCCUUUUUGAAGACGCAGAGGCAGAACACUCAACUGUUGUUCCAGCAGCUGAGGAGCAGGUGGAGCAGUCUGCAUCAGAGCCUGUGGAGCGAGCAGAACUACCUGUUGCAGUCCCAGCACCUGGAGUGGAAGUGGCUGCUGUUGUUCCCGAAGUUGUGGUAAUUUUUAUUCUACUUCUGUCCACCUGUUUCCUGCAAUUCUGUUCUGUCUGUGCUUCCUUAUCUAUUAGUCUUUUCAGGUAGAAGUGCCUAGGCCUGCUGGGGUUUUGGCAGUGGUGACCAGCCCCUUGAAGCCUCUCAUCGUUGCUGUAAGUGUUAAUGCAUUCCUGGGCUUUUUCUUUUCUGUCUCUGCCUAGUUCCUACUCUUGUUCUUUUCUGCAUAUGCCUAUCCAUUCCCUUCCAAGUUCAUCUGCCACAGCUUCCUAUGCUGAUUCGGAGCUGGCAGAAUUUGAGGCUCUGGAUCUGAACGCCCAGCUAGACAAGCUGAACCCUAAACCCUUGAGAAACUCAGCUCCACUCCUUGCAAGGCAAAGUCCAAGGCAGUGGAGGAGGCUAUGGAGAGACUGAAGAUCUGGCAAUCAACUGAUCUGGAGCUGGAUAAGGACAGGGAAGCUGUUGACCAAUUGAUGAAGGAUCUGGACCUUCUGCACAGACAGAACAUGGCCCCCAAACCCAUACUUGAGAUGAGCCUUGGCUUGGGAAGAGAUGUGCUCAACCUCCACGACCGUUACGAGGAUCUCAAGCCCACCUUCAAGACCUCUGAGUUCUGCAAAGCCACCCAUAAAGCCAACUUGGCUGACUAUGCAAAGCAGAAGGCAGAACUGGACCAGAUGGUUGCAGGAUACAAGGAAGCCAAAGCCACUAUAGACAAGUUGGAGAAGCAGAUUGAAGAGCUUCAAAAACAAUUGGCAGAGUGCAGAGAGGUGCAGAGCAGGCUCGGGGCUAGACUGAGCUCUAAGACCAAGGCCACCUUCCUUGUGUAGAAUAUGGUUUCAGCUUCUAGGCCAGCUUUGGAAAUUGCAGAGGCUUCAAUCCACCAGGGGUGCUACUUCAGAAGGAACUCUCCAUUAAAAAGGCCAACUUGCAAGAAACCCUUAGGAAAUUAGGGUUUUAGAUUCUAGUUUUUUUUUAAAGAAAUGUAAUAAAUAAUUUAGCCAUAAAAAGUGGCUAUAUUUAAAUAAAAGUUCAUUUAUUUUUGUGGGAAUUCCAAAUUCUUUCGACAAAAAGAAAAGAGAGAAAAAGUAAUUUAAAGCAUACUUAACAAAUUACAACGAAAAUGAAAGUGAUCAGAAAUUCAAACAACAGUUUUAUCUUGCUGUCUCUCUAUUCCGGGAUCUGUCUGUACCGCCUGUGAAUCCCACAUAGUUGGAUAGAACUUUUUUAACCAUUUGUCAUUAAUUGGUGCAGUAUGGACAUCUCCAUCUCGAUCAUGUAAUCUGUAUGCCCCCAUUCCAAGGAUCUGAUUAAUUAUGAAAGGACCUUCCCAUGUAGGUGACCAUUUUCCAUAACCAUCUAUAUGCGUUCCAAGGGGCAGAACUGCUUUCUAGACUAUUUCCCCCUCUUCAAAACUCUUGUUCUUGACUCUUUUGUUGUAAGCCCUUGAUACAGCUUCCUUUCCUGCUAAGAGUUUGUUGAGGGUAUCGAUCCUGCUUGUAUCCAAUCCUUCCAGUUCUAGCAUCAUAGCUUGAGAGUAGUCUUCUCCAACCAAACUGUGUUGAUGAGCAAUUCUGAGGGAUUGGACUGCUAUCUCCAUAGGCAGAAUUGCAUCGUGGCCAUAGGUGGUCAUGCCAGUUGCUUCUCUUCUUGAAGUUCUAUAUGCCCACAGAGUUUCUGACAACUUCUCAUGCUACUAUUUUGGAUUUUUCUCAAGCAUUUUUCUGAUAAUGUUGAUGAUCACCUUGUUACUUGAUUCUGCCUGCCCAUUAGCUUGGGCAUAAUAAGGGGUGGAUUGAAGCAGUUUGAAUUUAAAUGCUCCUGCCAUUUCCAACAUUUCUCCAGAUAUGAAAGAAGAUCCCCUAUCAGUUGUGAUUGAUUCUGGAAUGCCAAACCUUUGUAUAAUCUGCUCUUCUAUGAAAGUGAUGAUUUCUUGAGAUGCUGUGGACUUAACAGGCUUGGCUUCCACCCAUUUGGUAAAAUAAUCUGUAGCUACAAUAAUAAAACAGUGUUGUUUGCUACUGGCUGGAUAAAUCUUACCAAUGAGAUCCAUUGCCCAUCCUCUGAAAGGCCAUAGUUUUACUACUAGAUUCAUGGGAACUGAAAGAGCCUGCUGGAUUAGCCGAGCCAUUUCCUUUUAUGCUACCGAUUUCUUUUAUGCUACUGAGCCGGGCAAAACCAAUAAAAUAAAGAAAGGCAACGAAUUUAUUAACCGAGUAUAAAGGAGAGAGAGGGAUUCGAACCCUCGAUAGUUCUUUGUUUCGAACUAUACCGGUUUUCAAGACCGGAGCUAUCAACAACUCGGCCAUCUCUCCGAAAUAAAAUUUAUAUUUUAUUCCACCUAAUAGAACAUGGACAUAUGAGUUGAUACGAUUACUAUCUAUAGAAAGAUAUCAGGUGUGAGUCUAUAGGUCUAUCUAUCUGUAUAUAUAUAUAUAAUAUAGAUGCAUGAUCCAGCAAGCAUGCCCCUGAAGUUGACUUACGCUCAAAUGUAGAAGAAUCAGCCAUGGCAAAUAGGUAGCUGAAUUGCAGCGGAAUAGAUGAGCAACGGUGUCACUCCCCCUCAUAUCCAACGAUGUAUAAGAGUCGAGAUUUGGAGAAAGCAAUACCGAAAAAUAAAGUUGCAGAACUCAAAUAAAGUUGCAUCUAUCUCCCCAUCAAAUCCGACACUGGUAAAGGGUCGAGAUUUGAAAGAGGAGAAAUUGAAAUAAUAGUAAAGAGACUCAAACAUGCAGUCUCAUGGCAGAAACAAAUGCAAGAGGGGAAGAUGGUAGCAUACGGUUGUCCCAUGAAGAAAAAACUUUAGAAAAGGAGAAUAGUAAGGGAGGAAACCCAGCAAAUCAUGAACAGAGACAAAGACAAAGAUAAGGUACUCAAACUGAGAAGCGGAAAGGCAACUCAAGAGAGCAACCGAAGAAGACAGAGGCCCGCAGAACAGUCAAAGGAAAGGCUCGGCGAGUGGUGACGAUGCUCGCGGAGGAAAGCAACGGCUCGGUGAGCAGUGACGAGGCUCACGGAGUAAAGAGACUUGUUAUGAAGUUUCAAAGAUAGAGAAGCUGAGACAUCAAGAAAGACCAUCUGGCAUACAAAGAUGAAAAAUAAAAUUUUUGGAACAGUAGCAAAGAAGCAUGUGAAGGCUAGGUGCGGUGAAAACACAUAUGAAAGGAUGAACAAAAGAAGAUGACUAUACAAGAUGAAGACCCAUGAUGGGUUAGAAAUGAGGAGUGCCAACGACUCUCAAUUUGGCAGAGGCUAUCACAGGUUAGGAACCUGGCUCUGAUACCAUGUCAAACAAAGUAGGGUAAAUAUUCAGUUAUGCUCAGAUAUGCUCAUAUUAUUAUUCUUCUCCAAUAUGGAGAUAUUUAUACAAGUACAAAGAUGUGUUAACCCUAAAUAAAAUAGAAAAUAUAUCUAAAUUACAAUUGGAAGUAAAUCUCUAUUACAAUAUGAGUAAAUAAUAAUUGAUAAGUAACCAAAAUUCUAAUGAAAUAAGGAACUAAAAUCCUAAGUAAGUAAGGACUCGCCAACGAAUAAUAGUACAACUCUUAUUAGCAACAGGUUACAAACUUCUUCUACAACACACCAACAUGAAUCUAGCCCUGAUCAAUUCUUUUACAUACUUGAAAACAAAACAAAACACGAAAAACAAAAAACAAGAAACAAGAUAGGGAGAAAAUGGCUACGGAGAGACUUACCGCUAAUACUUGAUCAAUAACAGAGAUAAUAGAGCACACUGUUUGUAUGACAAUGAGUAUCAGAAGAAUAAUAGCUGCAAAGAGAGAAAUAGCUGCCCAAGGUGUGUUGAAAUACUUUUGUCUCAAAUUUGCCUUCCGUCUGUUCGUGGUCUUCUUGCAGUACUCGUUUAGUUUGCCAGCAAGAUCACCAAAAUAGUAGUUUCCGUGGUUCGGAGCAACUUUACUGCAAAGCUUGUUAAUCAUAAUGGAAACCUUAUUGUUGUCACCUAGCGUGUUUACAACAAUUCCAUUGUCAACAAGCAACUCUACAUCCUUUGGGGUGUUUACAAAUUUAUCCAGGAUGAAAACAUAAUCGCUUAUGUAUUUAUCCACGCAAUUGCCUUGUUCAAAGGCAAUGAGAUUUCUAUGUGUAAGCUGUGUAAUCAUGUAUUUCAAUUUUUGGAAUUUCCAAGGUGUUUUUCUUGAACUGUAUAUCGAAUAAGUUCUUGCUUGAUCCCACGUUAAACUUAACUCCGGCCUGGUGUAGUUUUGUCAUGCUGGGUGUACUUUGGAGCCCUCCAUUUUUUUUUCUUUUGGCAGAUGUAAAGUUCUAAUAAAAUCAACAAAAUGUAAAGGUUUUUUAGGAUCAGGAGGCAUAAAAGACUUACGGAAGGCUGGUGAGUUCUCCAAGUUUUCUAAACGCAGUGCCUGUUGGAAGAACUUGUAAGAGAGUUCAAUUAUUGAAGGCUCCCCAGUCUGAGCACCUGUGAGAUUGUAAAGAUCCUUGAGAAUGAAAAAUGGCAGCUGAUUUACGAGCAUAAGCAUGUCAGGCAAUAUAUUUUGUAGCACCCAUGGUUUUUUAAAUAUCCAAGCAUUAUCAUCCUGCAAUUUUUCUUCCUGAAAUUUUUCUUCGGAUUUAUUCCUCAACAAUAGCUCAAUGACAAAGGCGGCAUCAACUAGACUGAUAUUCACAAAAGCAGCAAUGUUAAACUUCUUAGGGCUAGUUUGGCGUUGCUGUGUUUUAAAAAAAAAUAUGCUUCUGCUGUGCUGUGAAAAUAAUCAGCUGUGAAAAAAAGCUACUAAGCGUUUGGUAAACUGUUUUUGAAAAACUGUUGUGAGUAGUCAAAGUGUUUGGUAAAUUUUUAUCAGAAGUGUUUUUAGUGUGUAUAAUGACCAAAAAGGACAUGAUGAUGAAAUUGUUUGUUAUUUUCUUCAUUCUUUUUCUACUUUUUUUUUUAAAAAAAAAACCCAAUUUCACUACAUAAAUUUUUAUUCUUUUUUAAUUCACACCUUUUUAUCAAAAAAUUUAAUCUACAAUUAACAUACAUAUUUUACCAUAAAUUAUAAAUUACUAUUAUAACAAAAGUAAUUCUAAAUAUUGUUAUAUUAAUAUGGGCUUCGGACAUGACAAAAAUACAAAAAUUGUUCAAUUUUAAAAUGCCCCAAUAGAUCACUACAAUAUAAAAGAAGCUAAUUAGAUGCAUUCAUUAAACUUGUAGCGAUGCUAUUUCUUAAUGCAUUCAUUAGCUUCUUUUUUUGGUUUCCAAUGGUUCUCUAACAAUUUUAACUAAAAAAACAACCAUAAUGCUUUGUGAACAAUAAAUUCAAGUCCAAAUCUACUAAUGCCCACACCAUACAUAUAUACAUAAUUGUUUCUUUCAUAAAACUUGAAGAUUCAAUAGUAAUUACACAGUUUACCAAUCUUGAUUCCAACUAUAUCCAUAAAAUUAAACUAUAAUUAGAAACAGAGGAGCUACAUGUGAUUACUUAUAAAUGUUGCCCACUCUCAUCAUCAUCUUCUUCCUCCUCUGUACUUUGCCUUUCACAAAUGGACAAGACCAGAUGGUAACGUACACGACAUGGUCCACAUAUAGAUAAAUUUUGGGUUCACUGGAGAACAUAAAAGAGUUUUUACACGAAUACAAAGUUAGUUAAGUAGUGAAUAAGGUAAAACUAUUCUGUACAAUUCUAGCUGAUGCAGUCCAAAAAGAAUAUAUGUCUAAUAACUUAAAUAACAAUAAAGAGAAACAAAAACCUCAUGAAAAAUGCUAGAGUAAAAGUUACAUAACUGAAUCGAUGGACAGAGAACUCCACAGGCAGAGAAACAGCAACAAAAAUUGUCAAAACAGUAGCAAGACCAUGUUGGAGUCAAGGCCAAAGAUCAUAUUUCCUGUGUAUCUUCUUCCAUUCUGAAUUAUUCUCGUAUUCAAAUACUGUAACUCUAUUUCAAGUGCACCCCAAAAUACUUAUCUAAGGCCAGUACAUAGGACUUCAUAAAGGGUGCCAUAAAAAAUAUUGCCCCUUAAUUGAUAAACAGAACCAAGAUCCCAAUGGCACACCAAAACUAUACCAACCACACCUACAUAAUAUGGACAGAAAAUCCUGUUGUUCUGACCUCUAACCACACCAAUGACAUUCAUUAGGAAAAUACAAAAGAUGGGUACCCUGCAUUUCUAACAUUUAAGAUAAAAUUCACUGCCAGCUAAUCACAAAUUUGAAAAGAUGGCAAGAAAAUUGGCUAUGCUUUAACAAAAACCAGAGCAGUCCUUGCAUAGACCUGACUUUUUGCUCCAAGCUUUAGCAGAUCACUUACUGGUAGAGAGCAGAGAACAUGUAUGUGAAUAUCUGAAGUUGGAAGGGUAAGCCAUCACAAACACCAAGAGAUCUGAUUCUCAUCUCUUGUUACAACAACAAAUCACAAACACCAAUACAUCUGAUUCAGAAUCUCAUAAACAAUGGAGGAACAAACACAUAUUCACACACAUAUAAAUCCCUAAACCGAAAAAAAAAAAAAAAAAAAAAAAAAAAAAAAAAAAAAAAAACAUGAAAGUAAUAGGAGAAUCAAAUUGAUUUGGGCCAAAAUUGCCUAAAAAGAAAACACUCCUAAAUAAACUUCAAUUCACUUUUAAAAACAGUAAAACGUGAUUGAAUCGUUCUUUAAAACAAUUCCCUAAUAUACAUGCAUGAUAAUGACAUCAUUUACCCCUAAAUCAAAUGCCUUUCACUGGUUAAGCCACAAGUCUGUGUUUUGGGGAUUGCUGAGCUGCAUCAAUCCUGCCAAUGUCAAUUCUGCCCCUAGGCUCUCUCAAAGUGCAUUUACAACCUAUGCUAACAUAUACUAGAGUUUGUGCUAGUAUCUAGAAAAUGCCAACACUAAUUUCGUAACACGUAGAAAUUGUUACAUAUUGGAAGUUUUUAUCAUUUUUUCUUCCAGUCUCUCCACCACUCACUAAUACAGAUUACUCAUGUGAUGAGUUUACAAAACCUAUUUCUCUACUCCCACAAAGACCAUACUUUUUCUCAAAAGACUAUAUCACUUUAUCUCUAUCUUUGUGAAAUGUAAAAAGUUGAAACUUUAAUGUCAAAUCUCGACAAAAGAUGAACUUCCAUCAAUUACAUUGAAUUUGAAUUUGUUGAACUUAAGUGGUUUUACUUUCUCUGUCAGCGUUUGAUGACUUGAUUUGUUAUUUACUUCUUCUUUUUUCCUUGGAAAUGUGUUCCAUCAACGUGAGGAAGAAAAAUAUGCACAAAUUAAUAUAUUUAAUAGAAGCACAAAUUAAUAUUUACAAAAAUAUGCACAAAUCAAGUAAAAUUAAUAAAGCAUAAAUUGGAAAGGGAAAAUAUGUAGAGGAUGCAUUGUAGGAUUGCUCAUGCCAAUAAUUGUACCCUCUAAAUAUAUAGGGACAUAAUUUUUUUUGUUUUCAUGACAUGUGGUCCUCAAAUUAUUGUUCUUAGCGGACUCUCCACCCCUCUCGAUUGAAAGCCUAUUGUGUAAAUCUUCAAUCCUGAAUGAUCCACCUAAAACUCAUGUUGCAAUACACAUCCACCCAUUCUCAGGCCAAUUAUUACUCCUAGUGGGCUCUCCACCCCCUCUCAAAUUUAAGUGGUCCAUUAUUAUUAACCAUAUAUUUUAUGGACCAGCUAGCUGUGAGGUUUUAUCUCAAAAACCUUUCUCUCACAUGCCACAAUUUAUGUCUGAUACAUCACAUCAUGCCAGUUGUCUCAAAUGAAUUUAAGUGAGUGAGGCAGUGUUACUUCUGGGUACCCCUCAUCGUUCGUGUAUAAAAUGGUGAAGCCAGUUGCUACUGUUACCAUAAGAGCCAGCUCCGACUUUCAAAAUAAAAAUUCCAACAAUGAUCUUAGUGCCUUCAAACGCAUGAGUUACUGAACAUGCAAAUAAAUACACUAUGAAUAAUAAAAGUGUUUGAUAAAUCACCAAAUUAUGGAACACUUGAUGAUUUAUCUCAAAUAAAAAUUCCAAGGCUUAUUUUAUAGAAUUUUUCUUUAUUACAAGAAAGAAAACAUGUUGAAAACCAAAUCUCCAAUUUCCAAGGCUUGACAGAAAAUCAAAAAAAUAUCUUUCCUAUUCUAGAGAUUGGUCACAUGUAGUUCAGAAAAUCAAAAAAAUAUCUUUCCUAUUCUAGAGAUUGGUCACAUGUAGUUCAACCAAUAGGAAAUGAGAUAUUUAAGAAAGCAAGAUUUUGAUCAAUAUCAAUAUCAAAUGAAUUCUUAUACGCCUAGUCAACUAUUAAGGGUAUCUUGACUCUUUGAUAUUGUGAUAUGAUUGAAACAUGAUUUCCAUGUUAGAAAAUUAAGGGGAUGUUAAAACAUGAAAGUAAUAGGAGAAUCAAAUUGAUUUGGACUAAAAUUGCCUAAAAAGAAAACACUCCUAAAUAAACUUCAAUUCACUUUUAAAAAUCGUAAAACAUGAUUGAAUCGUUUUUUUAAAACAAUUCCCUAAUAUACAUGCAUGAUAAUGACAUCACUUACCCCUAAAUCAAAUUGUCACGCCCCGGACCUGGGGGUCAGUGGAAAUCCCGCGCCCGGUGCGUGAGAAAAUAAAAAGUAAAAUAAAAUAAAAAGAAAGCCGAAACAAGGGUUUAAAAUAAACUUCUCUUAUAAAAAUAACUCUAAAAUCUUAUAACUUUACAAGAAAUAAAUAAAGCUCUAUCAUUCUUAUCUAAUUCAGACUCAACUGGUUUAGUCCUUGUCUUGCCCACUAAUUCAUCUGAAAAAUUAAGAGUGUUGCUAAACGAACCCUAAAAUUAAUUGAGUACACCAUACUACCAAACAAUUUAUUGAAUUUGUCAAGGUUUUGUUUCUGGGAACUCACGAGCAACUUUCCAGUGGGUUACCCAUCCUAGGAUUGCUCUAGCCCACAACUCGCUUAACUUCGGAGUUCCUACGACUCCGAAGCCAGUGAGCUCCCAAAAGGCCUCGUGCUAGAUGGAUGCGGGUGUGCACAUAUAAGGCACAUCACCACCUCUCCGUUGAUUGAUGUGGGAUCUUACAAAAUUACUAAUUUAUUCUAAUAUAAAAUGAUCAAAAAAGAUAAAAUAAUAUUGGUAUCUAUUGCUUUGAAUCCAUGCCUUCAAACAAAUUGACUUAAUUUUUAACAAACAACACGGAGUCCAGGAGAAGUGUAUUGAUCCAAGUUGAUUUUUGUAUGCAUAAAACUUAAACAAUCAAUAACACAAAGCAGUUCAUGCUGAAAUAUUGGAAACCCACACCCAAAGAGUUCUCCGCUGCGAGGUUGAAGGCAGGAGAGAUGGGUGACAGAUUUUACUUCCACUGCGAAGUUGGAGGCUAGGAGAGUCUGUGACUGCCAUGGUUGAGGGAGAAGAUGCGUUCAAAAUGCCUAUUGAUAUUUUACAUUAUUUUCUAUACAAGUUAACAGUGUUUGUGUAUUGUUAAAGGUGGAGAGACGUGUCAAAAUUUUAGACAAAGGACAGGAGGAGAUAGGGAAUUUGGGGACAGCAGAUCUCAACUCCCUUGAGACCCUAUUCUCUACGCCACCCCUCCCCCUCAACAACCCUAGUCACCAUUUCUCCUUCAACUCCAACGGCAACUCAUUAAAACCCAAUUCUCAAAUGCAACAAUCUAAUCCCAAUCCCAAUUCAGAUGUUUCUAAAAAACCAAUGGUUGUCGUGGUGGAGAACUGCAAUUCCAGGUGGUGGUGGUACCACAUGGGAGAGAGAAAAAAGAAGAAGAAGAAGCAGCAGAGAGAGAGUUUUUUAUUAUAUUAUUAUUUUACUGUAAUUUUUUAAUUUAAAAAAUUAAAAAAAUUAAAAAUUAAAGAGGAUGUACCAUGGGUAUUUUUGGUAGUUAAAUAGGGUGUACUUAGUUAAUUUUCAAUUUAAUUUAAACAUUAGAGUGUACUCAGUUAAUUUUAGGGUUCAUUUAGCAGCACUCAAAAUUAAACAAGGUAAGGGAUGAGCAAGUAGGGACAUGAGACCUUGCCACAGUAGAUUGAUAUAACUAAAUAUUAUCAUAAACAUCGAAAUAUAUAAAUAUUAUUAUGAUAGGAUUCAUAAUAAUUAAUAUAAAAGUAUAACAACAAGAUUUACAUUUAUGUACCAAGAUAAUUACACAUAUAAAUAUAACCAAUAUAUAUUUUUAUAUAUUUUAAAAUACAAGUCUUUACGUAAAUGCCCUUCACGGGUCAAGCCACAAGUCUGUGUUUUGGGGAUUGCUUAGCUGCAUCAAUCCUGCCAAUGUCAAUUUUGCCCCUGGGCUCUCUCAAAGUACGUUUAAAACCUAUGCUAACAUAUACUAGAGUUUAUGCUGUAUCUAGAAAAUGCCAACACUAAUUUCGUAACACGUAGAAAUUGUUAGAGAUUGGAAGUUUUUAUCAUUUUUUCUUCCAGUCUCUCCACCACUUAUUAAUACAGAUUACUCAUGUGAUGAGUUUACAAAACCUAUUUCUCUACUCUAGCAAAGACUAUACUUCUUCUCAAAAGACUAGAUCACUUUACCUCUAUCUCUGUGAAAUGUAAAAAGUUGAAACUUUAAUGUCAAACCUCGACAAAGUGUUCUACUUUACAAACUUCUUGUGUCUACCAAUUUCUACUAAAAUUAAUUUCUCUACGGUGCUCAGAUUCAUCAUAUGUGUGUCCUUAAUUUUAGUGGAAAUUGGAAGUUUCCAUAAUUUUUGCUUUAAGUCACUCUUCUGAAGGAAGUUGAGGUUCCACUCCAUAAUCCAAAAUGUCAGGUUGACUUAUGGCAAACAAUGUAAAUAUGUAGGAGUACUAUGACCUUUUAUAGCAUUUUUAGUUUGAAUUUGGGUUUUAUACAUAGAUUUCGAAAUUAAUAGGUUGAUGCCUAGGAAAUAGAAAUUGUAAGGGCCUAUAUUAGACUAGCCCUCUUAAAAAAUAUAUUAAUUAAUGAAUAUUUGUUCUUCUUGUUGUUUUGAAGUAGUGGUGGGAGGCAUACCAACAAAAAAAAAAAUAUAGUGAAGGCUUAUAAGAGCAUUUACAAUCAUGCUCCCUAUUUUUUAGUUAAAAUUUAGCUAAAAAUAGAAAAAAGUUAUUAUAGGAGCUCUUUAUAAAAUUUGAACUCCAAUCAUACUCCCUAGUUUAGGGAGUCAAAAAUACUAUAGUUAUUUUUUAAUUCAAUUUGAUUUUGGUUAAUCUCUAUAAAUAAAUAAAAAUAUGAAAAAAUAGUUAACAUUAAUUAAAAGUUUAAACUAUGCAUAAAACAAAGAAACAUUAAAUUAUAGGGAGCCACUAUGAGUCGUUACUCUCUCCUCAGAUUUAGGAGCUCCUAGAGGUCUCCCUAUUUUAUGAGGUGGAUAAGGAGCAUGGUUGGAGUUGUAUUUCUUCAAUUUCCUCCCUAAAAUUUGUCUAAGGAUGUGGUUUAGGGAACCCAUUGUGAAUGCUCUAACUCUGGUAAAACACGAGUGACAUGGACAACAUAUGUUACGUCGUACAGAAGAUUUUUGGGUUUCUUUAAUUGGUUAAGUAGCAUCCACAAUGAGCUUCCUAAAUCAUCUCCUUAGACAAAUUUUAGGGAGGAAUUGGAAAAGUACAAUUCCAACUAUGCUCCCUAUCCACCAACUAAAAUAGGGAGACCUCUAAGAGCUCCUAAAUCUGAUGAGAGGGAAAGGACUCUUAAUGACUCCUUAUAAUUUAAUGUUGCUUUACUUUAUGCAUAUUUUGAACUUUUAAUUAAAUCAAAUUAUUAUUUUUAUAUUAUUUUGUAUACAGACGGGUUAAUUAUAUUAAAUUAAAAAAUAAUUAAAAUAUUAAUGACUCUCUAAACUAGGAAGCAUAAUUGUAGAUCAUCUUAUAUACCUUAAUUUGAAGAUUCUUUAUUUGGGUUUCUUUCAAGACUUAUCACCUUAGCCACACCACCUACACGUCUGCAAGCUUCCGUAAUCUAACAAGGAAGGGGAGGCUGCGCAAUACUUAUCACCUUAGCCACACCACCUACACCACAAGACCAAUAUGUGUAGUCCAGCAGGCUUUCCAAUUUUAAUAUAUAUUAUAAAAUAAAAUAAAAAUCAAUCUAUUAUCAUAUAUAUUAUAAAAUAAAGAUUAUUGCUCCAUCCUCCAUGCACUUGCAUGCCCUCUUACAAAGUGUGAAGUAGAUUUUGUGUGCUCCAAGUCAUUGACGAGAGCUGUAACAUGGUUAGCUGGAUUUAUAAGAUCUUUUCUUUUCUGGGAAUUUUCUGAAUUAAGAAAAAUCAAGUAAAAUUAAUAAAGCAUAAAUUAGAAAGGGAAAAUAUCUAGAGGAUGCAUUGUAGGAUUGCACAUGCCAAUAAUUGUAUCCUCUAAAUAUAUAGCGACACAUUUUUUUUGUUUUCAUGACUUGUGGUCCUAAAAUUAUUGUUCCUAGCGGGCUUUUCACCCUCUCUCGAUUGAAAAUCAAUUGUGUAAAUCUUCAAUCUUGAAUGAUGCACCUAAAACUCAAGUGUCCCAGGCCAAUUAUUGCUCUCAUACCACUUGUUGUAAUAAACAUUCACCCAUUCUAAAGGAAAGAUAACCAUCGAUAUUAUCUGAAAUUUAACCACUUAAGUUCAUUAUGAUUAACUAUGUAUCUUAUGGACCAAUCCAAUCGUAAGGUUUUAUACUCAAUUAGAUCGACCAAUACAAAGUUCACACUGGAUUAAAAAGGGCUAUCGGUAGGGGAGUGUUCGGCACCCUUUACUGUGGAGCGCAACACAAGACCCCUUGCAUGCCCUCACUAAGUUGAGCCCAACUAUUUUUGAGCAUUAACAAUAUAUAUAGAUUGAAAAAAUAAAAUAAAAAUCAAUCUAUUAUCAUAUAUAUUAUAAAAUACAUAUUAUUGCUCCAUCCUCCAUACACUUGCAUGCCCUCUUACAAAGUGUGAAGUAGAUUUUUUGUGCUCCAACUCAUUGACUAGGGCUGAAACAUGGUUAGUUGGAUUUAUAAGAUCUUUUGUUUUUUGGGAAUUUUCUGAAGCACGGAAAAUCAAAUAAAAUUAAUAAAGCAGAAACUGUACCCUUUAAUUAUAUAUGGACAUAUGUUUUUUUGUUUUCAAGUCUUAGAUGACAUGGGGACCCCUCUCAAAUUUAAGUGGUCCAUUAUUGUUAACCACAUAUUUUAUGGACCAUCCAGCUUCGGUACAUUUCUCCCACAUGCCACAAUUGUAUAUUCACAAUUACGUCUGAUACAUCACAUCAUGCCACUUGCCUCACAUGCCACAAUUGUAUAUUCACAAUUACUUCUGGGUACCCCUCAUCAGUCGUCUAUAAAAUGGUGAAGCCAGUUGCUACUGUUACCAUAAGAGCCAGCUCCGACUUUCUUUAAUUUCUUGCUACAUCUGUUGCUAAGUUAAUUUCAGUCCUAAUGGGGUUUCAUCUCCCACUCAUCUUUGCUAUUCUCAGUGUAAGCUCUGCAAUUUGAUUAACUUUUCCAUUCUCUCUCAUUGUACUCUAUAUAUAUAAAUGAAAGUUUUGUGUUCCUAUAAUUCUCUCCGAUUUUAUUUAGUACGUACUUAAGUGUCGUCCACUAAUUAAUUACACUUUGUGAGAUUUGAUUUUAAUUAGAGUUCGAAUUAAUGUUGCAGCUAGCAGCGGUUGCACUGGCAAACAAUGCUGCUCAACCAGCACCUCAACUUUACUGGAACUCCGUCCUGCCAAACACACAGAUGCCAAGAUCUAUCAGUGAACUUCUGCAUCCUGGUUUGUGUUCAGCUCUUUAUAAUCUUAGAUAUCUCUUCUACCUGCCAUUUUACUAAACUAUGUUCGACCACAUAUUUAUCAGUUAACUACUGUCAUUACAAGAAUGACACUUAUUUUCCAAUAUAAUUUGCAGACUCCACAAAUGAAGAAAAGAGCAAACCUGAAAUUUUCCCAUUGCAGGGCAAUAGAGUUUACACUCAAAGCCAUUAUAAAAAACGUCCUCCUCCUCCAUCUGACGAGGGCAAACCUGAAAAUUUCCCAUUGCAGGGCAAUAGAGUUUACACUCAAAGCCAUUAUAAAAAACGUCCUCCUCCUCCAUCUGACGAGGGCAAACCUGAAAAUUUCCCAUUGGCCAAUAGCUUUUACACUCAAACCCAUUAUAAAAAACGUCCUCCUCCUCCAUCUGACGAGGGCAAACCUGAAAAUUUCCCAUUGGCCAAUAGCUUUUACACUCAAAGCCAUUAUAAAAAACGUCCUCCUCCUCCAUCUGACGAGGGCAAACCUGAAAAUUUCCCAUUGGGCAAUAGCCAUUACACUCAAAGCCAUUAUAAAAAACGUCCUCCUCCUCCAUCUGACGAGGGCAAACCUGAAAAUAUCCCAUUGGCACGUUCAGGUUACCAACGAAAAAAUUAUGGAGCAAGUCCUCCUCCAUCUGACAGUCAACUAAAGCAUUAUAAAGACUUAGCUAUUUUCUUCUUCGAGAAGGACAUGCGCCCGGGCACAACUAUGAAGUUCCAAUUCCCUAGAAAUUCAAACACGGCUACUUUCCUGCCACGCGAAAGUGCUCAAUCGAUCCCCUUCUCCUCUAAGAAACUACCAGAAAUUUUCAACCAUUUUUCAGUGAAGCCAACAUCUGAGGAAGCCAAAACAAUUAAGCAAACAAUCGAAGAGUGUGAAGCUCCAGGCCUUAAGGGAGAGGAAAAAUAUUGCGCCACAUCUUUAGAAUCAAUGGUUGAUUUUAGCACUUCGAAGCUUGGAACAAGAAACGUUGAAGCAAUCUCAACGCAGGUAUUGGAAGAAGGAGCCACCAAGUACAUGCACAACUAUACAACAAUCCCGGGACUGAAGAAGUUGGUAGGUGACAAAGUCGUUGUGUGUCAUAAGGAGAACUAUCCCUAUGCUGUGUUUCUCUGCCAUGCAAUAAAACAAACAGAAGCUUAUGUUCUCUCCCUGAAAGCCGAUGAUGGGAUGAAGGUGAAAGCAGUAACCAUCUGCCAUCUAGACACAUCAGAAUGGGACCCAGAGCAUUUGUCCUUCCAAAUCCUCAACGUUAAGCCCGGAACCACUCCCAUCUGCCAUUUCCUUUCCACUGAUGCUAUUGCCUGGGUUCCAAAACACAAAUCUGCAUGAUCAUCACUUAGCACUGUACGUAUAAUAAGCUUGGUCGGGUUGCACCCUAGGCCUGCAUAAUUAUCUCCCUACUUAUUUCUGCCUCUUCAUCAUGCGGUGUAAGAUAUAUGAUGAGAUGAAGUUUUCUCUUGUAACUAUGUAGACUACUUCAACUUGUACUCAUAAUAAAGCACGCUGUUGGGGGGUUCUACUUAAUUUCGUUCUCUCCAAUGUUUGAGUGUUGAAUUGUUACGUUGGAAUAGGCUGCUAAUGCAUGUAGUUAGAGAAGCCUUCAUUUAUAUCAAAGUCCUCAAACUAUCAAGAAUUAAUGUAUCCAGAAACAUAUACCAAGACGCAAAACAACAUAUUUUCCAUUCUCUGUCUGUAACACCAAGGCAAACUUCCUUUAUCACAUCAUUUAAAGGAUCAAAUUCCAGUACUAAUCUAAUCCAUCAUGUAAAGCAUACAAGUGCCUACCUAAAUUUGUCCAUUGGAUAUAUAUGUCACUUUUUAUUUUUUGAUAGAGAUAUAAAUGUUGAGAAAAUUAGAGUACACAACUCCAAUAUAGACUUGUUGGAGACAAAACAAGUAAACAAAUUACUUGUAUUAGACUCACAAAAUAUUACAACAAGACAACUCUCAAAGAAAAGACAAACUCUCACACUUCUCACAAGGACUACUUAACUUUAUAGCUUAUUGCAUAUAGCAUAUGCAAACACAAUUAGAACAUACCUACGUACACUAUGGGAACACUCGUGUAUAUUUGAACACAAGAAAACAUGUGCGCACCGUGCACGGUUCACAUGAAGUAAGAAAUGAAGAGGAAAUAAAGAAGAAGAAUACAAAAGAAAAUGGAGAUGAGAAAAAAAAAACACGAAUAAUGAAAAAUGAAUUGACAAUUAUAUAUGGUUGACAUUAGAUCUAAUAUUAUAUGUAAUAACUAAUGAUCUAAAAUAAACAUUAAAUCAAACAAUAAUUAAAAGAUUUGACAAUAUAAAAAUUUACACGUCAGCAAACUCACCAUGGUAAGUUUGCUGACGUGUAAAAAUUGUGAAUGGACUACAUCGAAAAAUAAUUGGCUUACAUCAAAAAUUAAAAUCACGUGGGUUAUUCCUAAGAAACCUUAAUAUUUUUAGGUUUAUAUAUUUUUUGUAUUUAAAAAAAAAAAAAAAAAGAGAAAUCUGACCAUGUAUGUAUGAUGAUGAUAUGCAUGUUAUUUUUAGACCUAAGGUAAAACAGACAAACUUUUUACUCCAUUUUUCAUGAGGUUUAUCACAAUAAUUAAACUGUUAUAUCCUCCAUUUUAGAUCUCAUGCUUCCAUUUAAAGAAAAGAAUAUCAACAACAAAAAAAGAAUAAAGUUACAACAUUGAUCAAUUCAAAUGUCCAACUACCGGAUCAUGAGCCCUUGCACUUAGCGAUAUGCAGAUAAAUGCGUAGUGUCUUAAUGCAGAAGCUCGGGAUCCCCAAUUACCAUUGAAACAUAAGAAACUAAAAUCUGCAAGAAAAUGCUAUCAAUUGAAAAAACAAUAAUUAAAAAACAAAAAAAGGAAGGGAAUUCGCACCCGCUAUGCAAAAAAGAGCAAGUCGGUUCAAUGAUUUUUUUCUUCUUCUUUUUGUUAUGGAAAUGAAAAGCUCAAUGAUGGGCUAUAUAUAGGAAGAAGCUCAAUGAUUGAAUUAUUAUCUUCUAUCUACAUUCUACCCUCUUCCUCGCUACAUACACAAAUGGUGCACACCAGUAACUAAGCUUGUUUUGGGUUUGGUGGCCCACUGUAAAAGCUCAAUGGAGAUGGUUUGAGGUAGAAUUUUCUCCUAUUUCAAUAGGACAAUGAUGAGAUCUAUGUAACAACAAAUUUCUUUAAUAAUGAUAACUAAAAAAAGUGUGAUUCAUUGAAUAUUUGCGGGGUUUUGUUCUAAGUCAACACCUCAAAUUCCUUUUACACCAUCAAAUUCAAAAAGUUUUAUUCAACCAUCUCGACCUUAUGCUAAAAAUUUAUUUUGUUCAUACUUAACGUACUAGGUAUUUAUUUUAUACCAACGAGUACGAUGGUCCAUAUAAGUAUUCUAAUCAUUCACUCCAGUUGCAGGCCCCAAUAAUUUAGAAGGGCCGAAGGUCUUUCUUUUUUUCUUUUUUCUUUUUUGAGAAAUUCUAUGAUUGCAUUCAUAAUUCAGGCAAAAAAGUCACUAGCCACAAAAGGGCCAGUACAACAACGGAGCGGUCUAAUAUCAAAAUUAAGACAAUCUAGUGUGUCUCCACUAACGAUCAGGCGAGCCGAUGGUCUUUCAUUGGAUGAAAGCUUCUAUCUACCGACCCCACUAUAUGAACUAUGCAAUGGUGAUGAUGUUACAUUGCAAAAAAUAAAAAGUCAAGGUUUCUUAUUAAUGUUAAUGAAGGCAUAGCAAAAAAUUUAUAGCUCCAAUGGUUCAAAGCAGUUACCCAUGCACUUGAGAUUCUGUGUUUGAAUGCCCUCUCCCCUAAUAUUGCUUGUAUAAAAAUAAAAACUUCUAAAAAGACAUUAAUAUUGUAUUCUAUAUUCUAUAAAGUGUUGGACAUGUCUUAUAUUGUUGACAACCCCCUAACACUUUGGUGGUGCCUAGUUAUAUUCAAUUCGUAUGUAUUUAAUUUGCCACUUACAUUCUUUCCUUAAUACAUUUAGGCUUAUUUUUAUACUAAUUUCUCUAACAUAACUUUUGCACAUUCUUUUAGUCUCUAAUAUAUAUAUUUUCUAAUAAAUAAUCAAGAUCUAAUAAAUAAUCUUACUCACUUGAGUUAUAAACUAUUUUCUUUUAGCACAGAAAAUCGACAUUUUGACAGAGAGUUGAAAACGACUCCCCAAUUUUAAUGUCAACCACUUGAAAAAAAAAACAUAAAUUUAAUGAAAACAAUUACAUUUAGCAAUGCAACCUAAAAACUCAACCUUUGCGCCCCUUUCACAACGUAGAUAGCAAGGUGAGGAUAUUCGGAUAAGAACCAAGACAGAAGCCAAAGGAACUGCGAUAGCCAACCAGAGUCUCCAUUUCUUACCAUUUGAACAACGCCACCAUUUUGUUUGGUAAGUAUUUAAUAACAUUUCUUGCUCUACAUAAAGUAAUAUUAAAACGGAAUUUGCCUAAAUUUUUCUUACCAGCAAUCCAUAUGGACAAAAAUAAAAUAAAAUAAAUAAAUUUACAAUUAUACUCAAUAUAGGAGCCCAAAUUAUUUAUAAUUAAAAAAACUUAUAUGAAAUGGACUUUAGAAACACACUUAAAACCUAUUUACAACAAAACAAAAAAACGUUUAACUUCUUUUAAAUUACAAAACUAUCAUUGAUUUCUUAAACAAACCCAACCCAAAAACUUCAUUAAAAAAAAAAAGCUCAAAAUAUUAGACUCACAAAAUAUUACAACAAGACAACUCUCAAAAAAAAGACAAACUCUCACACUUCUCACAAGGACUACUUAACUUUAUAGCUUAUUGCAUAUAGCAUAUGCAAACACAAUUAGAACAUACCUACGUACACUAUGGGAACACUCGUGUAUAUUUGAACACAAGAAAACAUGUGCACCGUGCACGGUUCACAUGAAGUAAGAAAUGAAGAGGAAAUAAAGAAGAAGAAUACAAAAGAAAAUGGAGAUGAGGAAAAAAAAAACACGAAUAAAUGAAAAAUGAAUUGACAAUUAUAUGUGGUUGACAUUAGAUCUAAUAUUAUAUGUAACAACUAUUGAUCUAAAAUAAACAUUAAAUCAAACAAUAAUUAAAAGAUUUGACAAUAUAAAAAUUUAUUGAGGACAAAAAAAGGCAAAAACUUAUGAAAAAUGGAAACAAUAAAUAUGAACUGAGUCAUCAACUCACCAUGGUAAGUUUGCUGACGUAUAAAAAUAGUCAAUGGACUACAUCGAAAAGUAAUUGGCUUACAUCAAAAAUUAAAAUCACGUGGUCUACCUACUAUAUAGGAUGAAAAAAUUAGGUGAACAAUAUACUUACACCAUGGGAACACUCCUAUAUAUUUGAACACAUGAACACGUGUUCAAGGUUAUAUAUUUCAUUACCUUCACAAUAGGUACCAAACCGUACCAUGCGAACAUUCAUAUACGCACAACAUACUUAUAACAUACCUACACUAUGGGAACACUCGUGUAUAUUUGAAAACAAGAAGACCUGUGCACCACCGUGCACGGUUCACAUGAAGUAAGAAGAUGAAGAGGAAAUAAAGAAGAAGAAUACAAAAGAAAAUGGAGAUGAGAAGAAGAAAAAAAAACACGAAUAAUGAAAAAUGAAUUGACAAUUAUAUAUGGUUGACAUUAGAUCUAAUAUUAUAUGUAACAACUAAUGAUCUAAAAUAAACAUUAAAUUAAACAAUAAUUAAAAGAUUUGACAAUAUAAAAAUUUACACGUCAGCAAACCCACCAUGGUAAGUUUGCUGACGUGUAAAAAUAGUCAAUGGACUAUAUCGAAAAAUAAUUGGCUUACAUCAAAAAUUAAAAUCACGUGGGUUAUUCCUAAGAAACCUUAAUAUUUUUGGGUUUAUAUAUUUUUUGUAUUUUUUUUUUAAAAAAAGAAAAGAAAUCUGACCAUGUAUGUAUGAUGAUUGUUGGUAAAUUUUAACAACAAUAUUAAAACCUUGCAAGUGCACAAAUCAAAUGAUAGUAUAGUAAGCAAGCAAGGGUCGAUCCCACAGAGAUUGUGAUCUAAAGAGAUGUUUAUCAAUGUCACGCAAUGAAAAUCAAAACAAAGGACUUCCAAACACAAGCCAACACCAAGGGGGGUUUUGAUUUGUUUUUGUGAAUCAAACAAAAUAAGGAAAAGGAAACAAAAGAGAAUUUAAAUUAGAGUUUAAGAGAAAUUGGUUUAAAAACAAUCAAGAACAAUAGCUAGGACUUACUAUCCACCUCCAAACAAUCAAUCAAUCCAUAAACAACAAUAGAUAAUCAAUUUCUAGCAAGCAUAUGAUGACGACACUCACAACAAGAUCAUGGCAUUUGACUCGAGUUGUAUGAUUCUCUCUUAAGUGUAUGUAAAGUGUAUGGCAUUUACAUCAAUACGUGUAUUCUUAAUUAAAAUCUAGUAUGACAUUUACUCAAAUUAACAAUCAAGAAUCCAUUAAGAUCAAAGAGAAUAUGAGUGUCACAAAAACCCUAAAACAUGACAUUUGUUAUUAGGAAUUCAAGAAUCGAUUUCUCAUAACUAGUUCUUAACCCAAUUAUUCGUUGCAAACAAGAACACAUUCAAUAUGGCAAUUGACCUAUGUUCUACAACAAUUUAAUUCCAAUACAUGCUUCUAAGUUAGCUACUCAAAGAAACAAAAUACCAGAAUUCACAUAACAUAGAGAAACCGAAAUCAUCACGCUUGUAGAAACUAAAAAUCCAUUAAACUUGUUUAUAAAAUUGAAAUCAUGUCUAGGGCUUCAAGAUUAAGCCCUAACUAACAAGAAAUUAGUUACUCAUGGUCUUGGAUGAACUCAAAAAUAAAUACAUAAGAACUGAAAAUUAAAAGAAGGAAGGAAAAGAAAGAACUCGUUCGCAGCUUUCUCCUCUUGCGCAGUUGACCUCUUUAGGACGUGAAUCCUUUUUAUCAGGCCUUGGCUCGUCUUUUAUAUCACUUAUAUCAGAGUUCUAAACCCUAAAAUUGACUGAAAAGUCGUCCAAGAAGUCUUGAUAAACAAGGAAUCCAAAUAGGAAAGUAAAAAUCACAAUUCCUAACUCCACUGGGAUAUACAGCUCAGCCCAAUGUUCACACGAUUUGGGGAUCUUCGACCUUGUAGAAAAAUUAUUAAAAAUAUAUUUUAGAAAGAUAAAUGUCUUAUCUUUCCAACAUAUAUAGCACGUAACUUGAAAAAUUUGGAAAGGCUUCCGUUUCUUCACAUUCACGUAACAUGUACGAAACUGUCCUGUCUGCACGUGGGCUAACUUUACUUGUAAUACUGUACCAAUUGGCUCGGUAGAAAAUUCUAGAAAAAUAAUAGAUUGAACUUCAAGAUGUUAGCUUUCAUCUCCAAUUGGUCUUGUGCUAAAAUUCCUCCGAAAAGUUGAUUUUCCCUUAAAAACCUUCUAAGAGCGCAGAAAAGCUGAAAAUCAGAAGAAUAAAGUAAUAAGCCCUUUUUAAAUCUAAUUCUCUUACAAAACCAAAGUAAAAAGAGUACAUAAAUGAGUAUAUUUAUGGACUUAUCAAUGAUGAUAUGCAUGUUAUUUUUAGACCUAAGGUAAAACAGACAAACUUUUUACUCCAUUUUUCAUGAGGUUUAUCACAAUAAUUAAACUGUUAUGUCCUCCAUUUUAGAUCUCAUGCUUCCAUUUAAAGAAAAGAAUAUCAACAACAAAAAAAAUAAUAAAGUUACAACAUUGAUCAAUUCAAAUGUCCAACUACCAGAUCAUGAGGCCCUACACUUAUAGACUACGCAUUUUCUCGUAUUUUGCAAAAUUUAGACCAUUAUAAUAAUCUAACCCCUUCAAAUGUGAAACAUCAUCAAGUUUUUUUUCCUUCACUAAACAGAAGAGUUAAGUUUUAUUUGUGGGUAACUAAACUCUUGUUUAGAGCAUGUUUUUUAUUAUUUUUUUCUUUCUUCUGUGUAAAGUAUAAUGGGUUAGAUUAUUAAUUGUGGGUGACUAAAAUCUUGUUUAACAACAAUAGUUAACGUUUGUUUAGAGAAGAAAAAAAACUUGAUGAUGUGCCAUGUUCUAAAGGAUUAGAUUAUUAUAAUGGCCUAGAUUUAGCGAUAUGCAAAUAAAUGCGUAGUGUCUUAAUGCAGAGGCUCGGGAUCCCCUACUACCAUUGAAACAUAAGAAACUCAAAUCUUCACGAAAAUGCUAUCAAUUGAAAAAACAAUAAUUAAAAAACAAAAAAAGGAAGGGAAUUUGCACCUGCUAUGCAAAAAAGAGCAAGUCGGUUCAAUGAUUUUUUUUCUUCUUCUUUUUGUUAUGGAAAUGAAAAGCUCAAUGAUAGGCUAUAUAUAGGAAGAAAAAAAUGGUGCACACCAGUAACUAAGCUUGUUUUGCGUUUGGUGGCCCACUGUAAAAGCUCAAUGGAUGUAACACCCCGACUCCAAAUUAAAUUCCCUAUCUAAAUUAUUUAAUUUAAUUAAAUAUGGAAUUUCCAAUUUACCCUUGGGGUAGGGGUAUUUUGGUAAUUCUCUUAUCCAGAGAGAUUUUGGAGCAACAAGUGGUAUUUUUAGGUAGAUCAUACUUAGACGAGUCCGUAGAUACGUAGUGGGCUCGAUUCGGAGUUGUAAUGAAGAAGUUACGAUCAAAACAAGUUUUUUUUUUUUUUUUUGGAGAAAUUCUAUAUGAUUGCAUUCAUAAUUCAGCCAAAAAAGCCACUAGCCACAAAUGGUCAAUACAAACUAGCAACAAAAGGGCCAUUACAAUAACGGAGCGGUCUAAUAUCAAAAUUAAGAAAAUCAGGUAUGUCUCCACUAACGAUCAGGCAAGAUCGAAGAAACUCUGGCAUAGGCAUCCCAACUAAGAUUGCAAACUUAGAAUAAUAAAAAAGAGAUAAAGCUUGAAAAAACCAAGCCAUAACAAUACAAAUAAAACUCUCACCAAGGAUAGAUGAAAAGCUGUCACAAAGGAGAAAUGAAAAACUCUCACAAAAGGAGAGGUGAAAACUACACAGACAACCCAAAGAGUCUCUGCAACUUAUUCCAAACAUAAAGAAAAUGCAAAAAAGAUGGUGGUGGAGAUCCGACGCCGAAAUGCAGGUGAAGAUCCAACGUUGAGCCGCAGCCGCCUAUAAUGGUUGGAUGAAAAUCCUAACAAAACUAAGAAAAUAGGGACAACCAUUUAUCUUUGAAAAUGGGGGAAGAGGUGAAAGGAGGAAGAAAGGAAGAGAAGAGGGGAGAGGAGGGAAGAACAAUGGCUUUCUCCCCCUUCAAAGUGGAAAAGGCUCUAAGAGUGUUUUUUGGGAGAAAGGGGGCACGAUCAAAACAAGUUUAAUAGCACAAUCAUAAUUAUUUCGAAGUUGGUUUUUAAUAAAUCAGAAAACACACACACACACACACACACACACACACACACUCUCUCUCUCUCUCUCUCUCUCUCUCUCUCUCUCUCUCUCUCUCUCUCCCGUGCGAUUCUUCCUCCCUCGUCAAACAGCAGCGGUGGUUUUUUCCACCGCCACUGCCACACGCCACCAUACGAGGUGGCACCGGUCCCAAAAGGACACCCAGCUCAUCCUCUUCCAACCCCAGCCAAGCCACGCCGCCAGCAGCAACGAGAUUUGCUGGAAACCGCAGAAAAUCCUGCCGGUUUUUCCUAAACUUCAAACCUCUCGUUCUCUCUCAUUUCUCCACCGAUUUGGAUGUAUAGGGUAUGGAUUUCCACCUAUUUUUCAUGAUCUAGCUGAUGGUAAGGUAGGAUUUCAUUAAUUUUGAGCUUAGGUUAGUUGAUUCUCUAUUUGAAAUUCUGCCGGUUUUGGGAUCGCGUUUUCGGCCAUUUCCGGUCACUUUUUGGGGUAGGCCCAAGAACAAAAGUAACUCCAAAUGGGGUUUUACACCUAGGGUAGGAGUCUGGGCCUGAUAUUUUGAGGUUUUUUCGGCAAGUGUUAUCGCUUUAGACACCCACGCACUGCCCGUGCGUGGGCACUGUAGCAAAGGUGCAUUUUUACCCCAAUGUGUUCCCCUACUUGUCACGAGUUCGUGGGUGUGCUCGGAUUCCAAUUCGUAUAUCGUUUGACUAUCGAACAGAUUUACGCCUAUUGUGUGUCAUCCGGGUUCAAUUUGUUCGGACCGUUGGAUCGAGUUCAAAUUAAUAUAUGUUGAUCUAGGCACUCCUAGGAUCGUGUAGGAAUUCACGGAUCGUGAAUCGAAGCCCCGGAUGUUCCUAUUCAAUAACUUAAAAUUUGUGUUAAACGAUAACCGUCCGAUCGUGCAAUCGCGAGCGAUCCGACUGCUCGAUCGAGACCAAACUCUUGGGAUGUGUUUAGGAAACUCUGUUGGACCUUUAGGAACUUUUGGAUUGUAAUUGGGAGGUUGUGGGCCCCGUGGGCCAGGUUGAUUAUCGGUUGACUAAUUUGACUAGUGGGACCGGAUAGUUGACCACGAGUCUUUGGAGAACAUUUUGUCUCUUGUUAAGUACUAAGAUGGCCUUAGGGUUUUACAAGGACGUGCACCCCCUGUGAGUCCUGAGAGUUAGGAUUUUGAAUUAAAGUUCAGUGUUGGAUUUGAGUAUUCAGUUAAUCUUGGUAUUCUCUCAAAUAGGUUCUUUGGCGCUAGGAAUCGUUCUUGACAAAACCGCGGAGGGUUGAAUGCGCUUUGGACCGUGUGUGAGUAGACAUUUAUUUUCUAAAUGGUUUUAUGAAACUCUUGGAUUGUGAUUAUAAUUUGUGUUGUUUUAUGGAUUUGAUGAUUUAUGGUUAUUAGUUUUCUAAUAGAAUAUUAUGCAUAUUCGAAUUUAGUUUGAAAACUAUUUUGAAAGAAUUAUAAAUGGUUUGAAUCAAAUAAUGAAAUUGGGGUUUUAUCUCGGUUUUAAAGAGAAUUUUGAUUAAUUAAUUAAUUAUAAUGCAUACUUGGAACUUUAUUUGGUUUUGAAAGAUUUGUGUUUUAUUUGAGAUAACUAAGAAGGGAUUUGAGAAACAGUGUGGUAAAUAGGGAUUUGUGGAAAAAAGAAAAGAAAAAAAAAAGGGCUUUUAUGAUUAAGUGUUGGAAUUGGAUUUCAAACCCACCCUAGAAACCUAUCCCUGGUUGCCUACAAAAUGUAUGAGAUGCCUUGGGAAUAAAUGAGUUGCCUCGGAAAAGAUAAAAAUGGUUGCCUUUGGAAAAAGUGUAAUAAGUUUCCUUCGGAAAUUAUGGUUGCCUUCGGUUAAGUCUGUGCACAUAACUAAGAUUGUCUAUACCUACAUAGAGACUACUCUGUAGGUAUCCGGCCAGAGUAUAUUGUCUGUACCUGUGUUGACUAUGCAGGUGUCCGGCCAGUGAUUUGCCUGUACCUACAUAGAGAUUACUUUGUAGGUGUCCGGCCAGUAUUUUGCCUGUACCUGCUUAUGUGGUUGUUCGGCCAGGAUUUUCCCACUACACCUAUCUGAUUGUCUAUAUAGGUGGUUGAUGUAACACCCAGACUCCAAAUUUAACUCUUAUUUAAAUUAUUUAAUUAUUUAAGGGGAAUUACAAAUUUACCCUUGAGAUAAGGGCAUUUUGGUUAUAUUCUUAACCGGAGAGAGUUUGGGGUAGGUCCAAGAACAAAAGUGGCUCCAAAUAGGGUGUUAUACCUAGGGUAGGAGUUUGGAGCCGUGGUUUUGAGAUUUUCCGGCGAAGCUUUAUCGCUUUGGGCACCCACGCGCUGCCGGUGAGUGCGGCGGCGCAUGGGCACUGUAGAAAAAGUGGCAUUGUGUCUCGAUGAGAUCCUUAGGUUGUCACGAGUGCGUAGGAUUUCGCGGAUCUCAAUUUGGACGUCGUUUGACUAUCGAACGAAUAUCGCCUAUUGUGCGUUAUCCGGGUUCGAUAGGUUGGGACCGUUGGAUGGUCCCAAAUUUAAUACAUGUUAAUCUAGGUAUUUCUAGGAUCGUGUAGGAAUUCACGGAUUGUGAAUCGGAGCCCUGGAUGUUCCAAAUAAGAAUUUUAAGUUUAUAUUUUAUAUUAACCGUCAGAUCGUGCGAUCGUGAGCGAUCCGACCGUCAGAUCGUGCGAUCGUGAGUGAUCCGACCGUCCGAUAUGAACCAAACUUGCAGGACGAGUGUCCUAUACCUUGUAAAACCCAUAGGGACUUUCGGAUCGGAAAUUGGAGGUCGUGGGCUCCGCAGGUCCGUUUGACCAGGGUUAAGGUAGUUUGACCCUUGGUUGACUGUGAGUCUCCCGGAGUAAAUCUCACCUACUUUUCAUGCUCUAGCUGCCUGUUGGGUAAGAUUGGAUCGAUUCUUAGCGUAGCCAAUUCGAUUUUCGAAUUGAAAUUCGGCCGAUUUUGGGAUCGCGAUUCCGGCCACUUCCGGUCAGUUUUUGGGAAAUGUCCAAUUUAUAGAGGAGACUCUGCCAAAAUUUCGGCAGGAAGUCUCGGUCUUUAGUAAGUGGGCCUGGCAUCGGGAUGAUGUCGGGAAUUCCAAAGGGUUUGCCUCGGGUUCUGAAAAAUUCGGGGCGGGUCCUUUCAGUUGAUCAGUUUUCCCCUAUUCUCGGUUACCUCAGUAUAUUGUCUGUACUUGUAUCACAAAUGCGAGUGUCCGGCCAGUGAUUUUUUCCCAGGAUGUUCCCCUGCCACCCUGCCGAUUUAUUACACAGGGUAGGCCAGUUAUUUUCCCCAUAGGUGUACUUGCAUGGAGAGAUUUCGUAUAACUUGGUUUGAGAUUGGAUUUUUGGAUGAUUUGUGUUUGAGCUUGCUUGAUUUAUUGGAUUCAAAUGAUGUUUUGAAACUGGAUUUUUAUGAAAUUAUAUUUUGAGUUGUAUUGGAUUUAAAUGUUAUUUGAAGUACAAAUUUGGGUCAAUGAUAUUUUAUUUACUAGAGUUUAUUUUACUUGCACAUGUAUUGAUUAUAUUUUGUUCCUGUAUAUAUACUUAUGUGUAUUAAUGAGUUUUCCAAAGGUUUGCAAAAACAGAGGGGUUAGUAUGUUCUGUAUAAUUACUUUCAAGAAAAACUUUCUUUUUGUCUACUCAUGCUUUUACUGUUUUGUGCCCCCAUGAAGUAGAUAGCUCAGCGUUCGGACAUCUACAUAAGCUACUCCGACGUCGGUGAAGUCCUUAUAAUUCUAAGUAUGAGACUUCAUCUUUCGUUCUCAUGGUUCAUUUGGAAAAUAAUUUUGUAAAUUCAACUUCUGUAGUUGCUCUGAUAUUUCCCACUUAGGAUUGAAAUUGAGGCCGGAGGCCAUGUGAAUUUUAUGUGUGCCUUAACUUGUGUGUGCUGCCUGUUGAGAUUAUUAGAUUGUCGGUAAUUGCAGGUGUUAAUUUGGAGAAAGUCCAUUUUAGAGAGGAGACUUUACCGAAAAUUUCGGUAGAAGUCUCGACCCUUUUAUCUUAAAAGUUUGGGUGAAAGGUGUAAAUUUAGUAGUGGGUCCGGCAUCUCUUAGGUGUCGGUCAGAUAGCAGGAUUCGACACGAGUUCCAAUGGGAAAUUCGGGUCGGGUCCUGUUAAUGGAGAUGGUUUGAGGUAGAAUUUUCUCCUAUUUCAAUUGGACAAUGAUGAGCUCUAUGUAACAACAAAUUUCUUUAAUAAUGAUAACUAAAAAAAGUGUGAUUCAUUGAAUAUUUGAGGGGUUUUGUUCUAAGUUAACACAUCAAAUUCCUUUUACACCAUCAAAUUCAAAAAAUUUAUUCAACCAUCUCGACCUUAUGCUAAAAAUUUAUUUUGUUCAAACGUAACGUACUAGGUAUUUAUUUUAUAUCAACGAGUACGAUGGUCCAUAUAAGUAUUCUAAUCAUUCACUCCAGUUGCAGGCCCUAAUAAUUUAGAAGGGCUGAUGGUCUUUUUUUUUUUUUUUUUUUUUGGUUGAGAAAUUCUAUGAUUGCAUUCAUAAUUCAGCCAAAAAAGUCACUAGCCAAAAAAGGUUGUUACAAUAACAGAGCGGUCUAAUAUCAAAAUUAAGACAAUCUGGUAUGCCUCCACUAACAAUCAAGCGGGCCAAUGAUCUUUCAUUUGAUGAAAGCUUCUAUCUACCGACCCCGCUAUAUGAACUAUGCAAUGGUGAUGGUGUUACAUUGCUAAAAACAAAAAGUCAAGGUUUCUUAUUAAUGUUAAUGAAGGCAUAGCAAAAAAUUUGUAGCUCCAAUAGUUCAGAGCAGUUACCCAUGCACUUGAAAUUCUGUGUUUGAAUGCCCUCUCCCCUAAUAUUGCUUGUAUAAAAAUAAAAACUUCUAAAAAGACAUUAAUAUUGUAUUCUAUAUUCUAUAAAGUGUUGGACAUGUUUUACAUUGUUGACAACCCCUUAACAUUUUGGUGGUGCCUAGUUAUAUUCAAUUCGUAUGUAUUUAAUUUGCCACUUACAUUCUUUCCUUAAUACAUUUAGGCUUAUUUUUAUACUAAUUUCUCUAACAUAACUUUUGCACAUUCUUUUAGUCUCUAAUAUAUAUAUUUUUUAAUAAAUAAUCUUACCCACUUGAGUUAUAAACUAUUUUCUUUUAGCACAGAAAAUUGACAUUUUGACAAAGAGUUGAAAACCACUCCCCAAUUUUAAUGUCAACCACUUGAAAAAAAAAACAUAAAUUUAAUGAAAACAAUUACAUUUAGCAAUGCAACCUAAAAACUCAACCUUUGCCCCCCUUUCGCAACCCAGAUAGCAGGGUGAGGAUAUUCGGAUAAGAACCAAGACAGAAGCCAAAGGAACUGCGAUAGCCAACCAGAGGCUCCAUUUCUUACCAUCUGAACAACGCCACCAUUUUGUUUGGUAAGUAUUUAAUAACAUUUCUUGCUCUACAUAAAGUAAUAUUAAAACGAAAUUUGCCUAAAUUUUUCUUACCAGCAAUCCAUAUGGAAAAAGAAAAAAAGAAAAAAGAAAAAUACAAUUAUACUCAAUAUAGGAGCCCAAAUUAUUUAUAGUUAAAAAAUCCCUAUAUGAAAUGAACUUUAGAAACACACUCAAAACCUAUUUACAACAAAACAAAAAGACUUUUAACUUCUUUUAAAUUACAAAACUAUCAUUGAUUUCUUAAACAAACCCAACCCCAAAACCUCAUAAAUAAAAAAAGCUCAAAAUACUCAAUAAAACAUCAAAGUAAUUUAAUAAUUAAAAUUAAAUUCAAUAGGGACAUCUGUUAUUUUUUGGGUUUUUUUGUUUGUUUAUAGAAAUUAAAUGAUGUAGAAUCUAUCUAUAUUAUUAGUGCUAAGAAUGGAUAUGUGACUAUAUAACUCAAAAAAAAUUUAUAGUAAAUCUACAAUUUUUUUUUAAACAAAAAUCUAUAGAAUCUUUUAUUAGAUCAAUAAUCAAUAGUCACUACUAGAAAAUCUUCAUAUAAGCCACUAAUACACCCGUAACUUAUACAAAUGUGAGCUACUGACAAACCUGUAGCCAAAGAGUAUUGGCCACCUACCACACGACAGUGGUCCAAGCAUAAUGUUGUCAUUCAUUAUUCCCCACAGCAACCAGCAUCCAAUAAAGGGCUGGGCCCCACCCAUAUUCCACCUCUCUUUGUGAAUAUAAAAGAAAUAUUUUUUAUUCAACAUGGACGCAGAAACUGUUGCUAAACUGCAAACUUCUUAAAAUAUUUGUCUCACUUUCUAGAUCCAUGUACUGAGAUUUAUUAGGGAAAUAUUGUAGAAACUGAUUAUUUUGAAAUAUUAAAUGUGAAAAACUGAACAAAAAUUUGAUGGAUUACAUAUUUCAACUCAUUUCAGCAGCUUAGAUUUUGAAGACCUCUGAAGAGGCUAUGCAAUGAGCCUGGCUAUAGUACACUGUUGAUCACUUCAGUGUCUACCGAUCUGUAAUUUUUCCAGAUUGGUUAUAUUUUCCUUUACAUAUGUAUGCUUAUAUUAUUCCCAGCUGUAAGUGUUUUAGCAACAGGGUUACAAACUUCUUCUACAACACACCAACAUGAAUCUAGCCCUGAUCCACUCUUCACAUACUUGAAAACAAAACAAAACACGAAAAACAAAAAACAAGAUAGGGAGAAAAUGGCCUUGAUCAAUAACAGAGAUAAUAGAGUACACUGUUUAGGGUGAGUAUCAGAAGAAUAAUAGCCGCAAAGAGAGAAAUAGCUGCCCAAGGUGUGUUGAAAUACUUUUGUCUCAAAUUUGCCUUCCAUCUGUUCGUGGUCUUCUUGCAGUACUCGUUUAGUUUGCCAGCAAGAUCACCAAAAUAGUAGUUUUCGGAGCAACUUUACUGCAAAGCUUGUUAAUCAUAAUGGAAACCUGAUUGUUGUCACCUAGCGUGUUUACAACAAUUCCAUUGUCAACAAGCAACUCUACAUCCUUUGGGGUGUUUACAAAUUUAUCCAGGAUGAAAACAUAAUCGCUUAUGUAUUUAUCCACGCAAUGGCAUUGUUCAAAGGCAAUGAGAUUUCUAUGUGUAAGCUCUGUGUAAUCAUGUAUUUCAAUUUUUGGAAUUUCCAAGGUGUUUUUCUUGAACUGUAUAUCGAAUAAGUUCUUGCUUGAUCCCACGUUAAACUUAACUCCGGCCUGGUGUAGUUUUGUCAUGCUGGGUGUACUUUGGAGCCCUACAUUUUCUUUUAGGGUCGGAUCUGGCAGAUGUAAAGGUUUUUUAGGAUCAGGUGGCAUAAAAGACUUACGGAAGGCUGGUGAGUUCUCCAAGUUUUUUCUAAACGGAAGAACCUGUAAGAGAGUUCAAUUAUUGAAGGCUCCCCAGUCUGAGCAGCUGUGAGAUUGUAAAGAUCCUCGAGAAUGAAAAAUGGCAGCUGAUUUUCGAGCAUAAGCAUGUCAGGCAAUAUAUUUUGUGGCACCCAUGGUUUUUUAAAUAUCCAAGCAUUAUCAUCCUGCAAUUUUUCUUCCUGAAAUUUUUCUUCGGAUUUAUUCCUCAACAAUAGCUCAAUGACAAAGGCGGCGUCAACUAGAAUGAUAUUCACAAAAGCAGCAAUGUUAAAACUUCUUAGUGUCUUCAUAACAAUGACGGAGAUCACCUUCUCUCUCCUUUAUUUUCUCUAAAUAAUCCUUCAAUCCUACUACUUUAGUCCGAUUAAGAAAGCAUUUUAGGUACCUGAGUUUGUGAUCUUCCAUGGCUUCUAAGUUUUUGCUGGCAUGGUGAAGUGGGUCUAUUGAGACUACUUGUGGUGUGUAGGCCUUUUGUUUUACGUUCCGUAGUCGCUCAGGCACCCUGUAGAUCCAGCAGGCAGGGGACAGGGCACGCAAGUUUGUCAACCGAUUUUCCAUGGAAGUUGCUUGGUUUUCUAUGUCAAAAGAAGCUUCAUUGCUGCUUUCUUCCACUUUCUUCAUCCCCGUAUGUGUUGUUCUGAUUGUAAGUGACGAGGAUGGUGAUGAUUCUAGACACCAUAAUCAACAAAUGUUUCAAUCAUAAUUGACAUUUCAAGAUGCUCCGACAAAAAAUUAGAAAACAUUCAUCACACAAUGCGAACUCAUACAAUAGAUGGGUUGAGAAGAUCCACACAUUGCAAUCAUACAAUCCAAUUGCACAGGGAUUAGUCCCUAUUCUCCUCUCUCUCUCUCUCUCUCUCUCUCUCUCUCUCUCUCUCUCUCUCUCUCAAAAAGAUUUUCAUAUCGAUAACAUCUUAUUGCAAGGGACUGGUACAUCAAGUAGUGAAGAACAGAAAUUCAUAUUCUUUCAAUCAAAAUGUAUAAAUUUUGAAAAAGUUUGUUUUAUUUUUGGGGGAAAAAAAUCUGAACAUAUAUGUAUGUGCAUAUUAUACGUAGAUCUAAGGUGAAAACAGACCAGAUUUUUACUCCAUUUUUCAUGAGGUUUAAGUUCAUGAUGUAUAUAUUUAUCUCAAGUGUAACAUCUCACAUCGAUCAACGGAGAUGAGGUGAUGUGUCUUAUAUGUACAUGCUCGCCUCCAUCUAGCACAAGGCCUUUUGGGAGAUCACUGGCUUCGGAGUCAUAGGAACUCCGAAGUUAAGCGAGUUGGGGUUAGAGCAAUCCCAUAAUGGGUGACUCACUGGGAAGUUGCUCUUGAGUUCCCAAAAACAAAACUGUGAGGACAGAGAGGGGGGCCCAAAGCGGCCAAUAUUAUUCUACGGCAGAGCCGAUCCUGGGAUGUGACAAUUUGGUAUUAGAGCCACACUGCCGUGUGGUGCGAGUGUGCCGAAGAGGACGUUGGGCCCUUGAGGGGGGUGGAUUGUAACAUCUCACAUCGACCAACAGCGAGGGAGUGAUGUGCCUUAUAUGUACAUGCCCGCCUUCAUCUAGCACGAGGCCUUUUAGGAGCUCACUCACUUCGGAGCCAUAGGACCACCAUCCCAAGUUCAAUAUACAACCCAACAACCAUCUUAGCCAUCUUCUCAUUGAUCUUCCACCCAGCAUCCAACACUAUCUUCAUAAACUCUUUAGCUUAAUAUCUCUGUUGCUUUUGUUUUUUGUUUUUUUUAAUUUAAAUUUUUUAGUUUUUUUUUUUGGUUGGUGCAGAUUCAAUGAUAAAGAACAUCGAACUCGUCGCAACAUCCUGCCCUAGAUCCGAACUCUACCACCAUCACAACCCUCCCUCUCUCGAUCUCCAACCAACCUUAACACCCAACUUCAAAUCUUGGUUGUUUGAAACUCAGCCCCCUUCUCAAACCCCACCCUCUCUCUCUCUCUCUCUCUCUCUCUCUCUCAAAAUCAACAAGAUUUUCAUGUCAAUAAGAUAAGAUCUCAUUGCAAGUGACUUGUAGAUGAAGUGGGAAAGAACAAAAAGUCAUAUUCUUCCAAUCAAAACGUAUCAAGUCUAACAAAAUUUCUAGUUAGUUUGCUUUAUGAUAGUUGUUUUUUGAAGGGGUCCUUAGAUCCAAUCUCAAAAAGUUUGACUUUUAUUAUGUUUAACUCUGGUUUUUGCAAAUUUUUUUUUUUAUCUCUACCCACUAACUUUUAUCUCUCAUUUUUAUUACCCAUUUUACCCUUUAAAAUAAAUAUGGUAAUAAACUAAAAAUUCUGAUUCAAUGCAUGUUCAUAAGAGAAUUAAGGCCCCGUUUGGGAUUGCUUUUUUUCGUCAAAAACUUGUUUCACUUUAAAGUUAAGCAGUUUAAGGUGUUUGGUAAAAAUAAAAUAUCCUGAUUAUUUUAAAAGCAGUGGCCUUUUGACAGCUGCUUUUAAAAGCAGGUUCUGGGUUGCUUUUCAAAGCUGCUUUCAAAAGAAGCAAAGAUGAACUUUUAAUGAAUGUUUUUUAAUUCCCAAAAUACAAUCAUUCAUUUUAAAAAAUGACACCACCUCCACUUCCACAUCCAACUCCACCACUUGCACCACCACAUUCACUACCUCCACAACCACCGCCAUUACCACCACCACCACAUCCUUCUCCUCCUCAUCCUCCGCCACCACCACCAGAAGCAGAUCCAGAAAUUUUUCAGGAGAGGGGCAAUAAUGAUUUUGAUACUGCCCAAUUAAAAACAUAUUAUGAAAACCAGACCCUUAGUUAAUUUAAAGAUUAAUUAGCACGAUAAAAUAAAUACAUAAUUAAUAAUAAAAAUAUAUUAUCACAGUGAAAGAUUAGAUCAACAAACAAGUAGUAUCAAUCAAAUCCUAAUUAAACAAAAACUCUAAUAUCAAAGUGUGAUUUGAGAUCAUUGUGCAAGGACUCUUCUUCGUUGUUGUUUUUUAUUAUUUAAUUUUUUUGACAGAUGGGCUUCUUCAAAUUGGGAGCAUUGAGGUAAGCCUUUUGGUAUUACAUUAUUAUUAUUAUUAUAAUGAAAUAUUUAUUAUAACAACCAAGUAAUUGAAGCCAAACAAUGAAUCUUGAAACGGUUUGCACAAAAAACGAAGAGUUUGAAUUUUUGAAAAACACUUCAUUUAAACCAUUAAACAUAGAUCAAGGACGACGCCGUUUGUGACAAAUAAAAAUAGGGUUGUCUUCUUCAUUCGUGAACCAGAGCCUCCAUCAGGACACACCUCUACAACUCCUCCUCUACAACACAGUGUGUGCCUCAAUCGUGUAACUUGCCAUUUGCGAUUCAGGAGGCCUUAGAUCGUCGCACUCACGAGAUGCGCCUUGAUACACUUUUAAACGCUAGANNNNNNNNNNNNNNNNNNNNNNNNNNNNNNNNNNNNNNNNNNNNNNNNNNNNNNNNNNNNNNNNNNNNNNNNNNNNNNNNNNNNNNNNNNNNNNNNNNNNNNNNNNNNNNNNNNNNNNNNNNNNNNNNNNNNNNNNNNNNNNNNNNNNNNNNNNNNNNNNNNNNNNNNNNNNNNNNNNNNNNNNNNNNNNNNNNNNNNNNNNNNNNNNNNNNNNNNNNNNNNNNNNNNNNNNNNNNNNNNNNNNNNNNNNNNNNNNNNNNNNNNNNNNNNNNNNNNNNNNNNNNNNNNNNNNNNNNNNNNNNNNNNNNNNNNNNNNNNNNNNNNNNNNNNNNNNNNNNNNNNNNNNNNNNNNNNNNNNNNNNNNNNNNNNNNNNNNNNNNNNNNNNNNNNNNNNNNNNNNNNNNNNNNNNNNNNNNNNNNNNNNNNNNNNNNNNNNNNNNNNNNNNNNNNNNNNNNNNNNNNNNNNNNNNNNNNNNNNNNNNNNNNNNNNNNNNNNNNNNNNNNNNNNNNNNNNNNNNNNNNNNNNNNNNNNNNNNNNNNNNNNNNNNNNNNNNNNNNNNNNNNNNNNNNNNNNNNNNNNNNNNNNNNNNNNNNNNNNNNNNNNNNNNNNNNNNNNNNNNNNNNNNNNNNNNNNNNNNNNNNNNNNNNNNNNNNNNNNNNNNNNNNNNNNNNNNNNNNNNNNNNNNNNNNNNNNNNNNNNNNNNNNNNNNNNNNNNNNNNNNNNNNNNNNNNNNNNNNNNNNNNNNNNNNNNNNNNNNNNNNNNNNNNNNNNNNNNNNNNNNNNNNNNNNNNNNNNNNNNNNNNNNNNNNNNNNNNNNNNNNNNNNNNNNNNNNNNNNNNNNNNNNNNNNNNNNNNNNNNNNNNNNNNNNNNNNNNNNNNNNNNNNNNNNNNNNNNNNNNNNNNNNNNNNNNNNNNNNNNNNNNNNNNNNNNNNNNNNNNNNNNNNNNNNNNNNNNNNNNNNNNNNNNNNNNNNNNNNNNNNNNNNNNNNNNNNNNNNNNNNNNNNNNNNNNNNNNNNNNNNNNNNNNNNNNNNNNNNNNNNNNNNNNNNNNNNNNNNNNNNNNNNNNNNNNNNNNNNNNNNNNNNNNNNNNNNNNNNNNNNNNNNNNNNNNNNNNNNNNNNNNNNNNNNNNNNNNNNNNNNNNNNNNNNNNNNNNNNNNNNNNNNNNNNNNNNNNNNNNNNNNNNNNNNNNNNNNNNNNNNNNNNNNNNNNNNNNNNNNNNNNNNNNNNNNNNNNNNNNNNNNNNNNNNNNNNNNNNNNNNNNNNNNNNNNNNNNNNNNNNNNNNNNNNNNNNNNNNNNNNNNNNNNNNNNNNNNNNNNNNNNNNNNNNNNNNNNNNNNNNNNNNNNNNNNNNNNNNNNNNNNNNNNNNNNNNNNNNNNNNNNNNNNNNNNNNNNNNNNNNNNNNNNNNNNNNNNNNNNNNNNNNNNNNNNNNNNNNNNNNNNNNNNNNNNNNNNNNNNNNNNNNNNNNNNNNNNNNNNNNNNNNNNNNNNNNNNNNNNNNNNNNNNNNNNNNNNNNNNNNNNNNNNNNNNNNNNNNNNNNNNNNNNNNNNNNNNNNNNNNNNNNNNNNNNNNNNNNNNNNNNNNNNNNNNNNNNNNNNNNNNNNNNNNNNNNNNNNNNNNNNNNNNNNNNNNNNNNNNNNNNNNNNNNNNNNNNNNNNNNNNNNNNNNNNNNNNNNNNNNNNNNNNNNNNNNNNNNNNNNNNNNNNNNNNNNNNNNNNNNNNNNNNNNNNNNNNNNNNNNNNNNNNNNNNNNNNNNNNNNNNNNNNNNNNNNNNNNNNNNNNNNNNNNNNNNNNNNNNNNNNNNNNNNNNNNNNNNNNNNNNNNNNNNNNNNNNNNNNNNNNNNNNNNNNNNNNNNNNNNNNNNNNNNNUACAAACCACAACCACCAACUCCACGUUCAUCACCACCACUACCUCCACUCCACCACUACCAUUACUACUACCACAACAUGAUUAGUACAUAACACUUUUAACAUCAUGUCUAUUUUAGUCAUUAUUCACAUUUACAACAAUUUUAUAUUAAAAUUUACCAAACGGUUUUGACACUGCUUUUUGUACUAACAGCACUUUAAAAAUAUUGUUUAUCAAACAUGGAGUGCUUUACUUUACAGCUAAUUAUUUUCAAAGCACAGCAAAAGCAAAUUUUUUUAAAAGUGACAGCAAUCCUAAAAAUUCUAUACUCUAACACAAAAAAUAAAAACUAAAAACAAAAAUUAAAAUGGUUAUCAAACAUACACUUAUAUUACAAAGAAAAUAUCAAAUAUUGAACUCAUCAUAAGAGAACACAGAAAAACCUCACCGCUUGCAACUCGUACACCACCACUACACGAACAACUGCUAAUUAAAAUGAGUCACAUGUGGUACUUAACUCUAAAAACUUAUUCAGAUUAUAUAUCGUACUCCUCGAUCAAAACAACCAUGAAACAUAAGUGAUUUAAACCUCUAGGCAAAUGGAAGGUAUAUAACAAUUUAUAGAACAAUACAGUAAUCCAGAAGAAAUAUUAUGAAAUAAAAAGAAUAAAAAGUAAAAAAAGAGAAGGAAAGGAAUUCCCACCUGAUAUGUAUAAGUAUGAAAGGAAGGACCAAGUUUGUUUUGCCUUUGGUUAAUGACUAGAAAAGCUCACUUGCAUAUUGCUUUCUCCGGCCGUAGAUGCAAGAGAAAUUUUCUCUUAAUAAUAGCACAAUGAUCGGGUAAUUGUAAGAACAAGUUGAUUUUAAAUUCAGGUCAAGUCGUAGAUUUCUUGCCUUUUCUAUUCUCCUUCCUUGGACAUGAGCUGUUUAAUCUUGGACUCUUCCCCCAUCAUGUUGGGCCUGUCUUCUUCUUGAGGAUUGUAUAGGCCCAGGAAAUGCUUCAAGGUAGUUUUUGUGUUUUGGGCCUUGAGACCCAACUUCACAAAAAGAAAAUAGAUUUGACCAAAAAACAAAUUUGAAGGAUAUUGAAAUUGUACCUGUAGGAUAGGUUAAAACACCAUAAGGGAGGUAAAUAGUACGUUUACAGAAUUUAAGUGUAAUAAUUGAAUAAAAACAUGCCCAGAGGAUUGAUAAGUGAUAUCAAUUCUUGAAUAUACAGAACGUAAAAUAAAGGAACACGUAGAAAAUUAUUUUAUGUGGUAAAACUCUAUCUCUGGGGAACAUCCACGGGGCUUUUUAGUCCAAAAUAAUCCAUUAUAGAACGAUGAUUACAAGAAGUAUUCACACACUUAUCCUAGACACAUUCUAGAUUAUGUUUACUGACCUCUUCUCAACUUCUGUCUCGAGAUGAUCUUUCGACACUCCUUAUGUUGAACGCAAUACUGGUCACGAUUUCUUCAAGCUCCCUAGAGUUCUUCCAACUCUCCUUGUAUUGAAUCCGACACUAGUCACGAUCGAUUCAAGCUCAUUGGAGAAAAACUGCCACAACGGUCUUAGUGCCCUCAAUCGUAUGAGUCACUGAACAUGCAAAUGAAUACAAUAUAAAUGAUAAAAGUGUUUGAUAAAUCACCAAGUUAUAGAACACUUGAUGAUUUAUCUCAAAUAAAAAUUCAGCUUUACAAAGUUUAUGAUGAAUUGAAAAUAUGAUCGUUAAAGCUAUCUAAACAAAGAAGACGAAGGUCUUAUUUUAUAGAAUUUUUCUUUACAAGAAAGAAAACACGUUGAAAACCAAAUCUCCAAUUUUCAAGGCUUGACAGAAAAUCACAAAAGUAUCUUUCCUAUUCUAGAGAUUGGUCACAUGUAGUUCAACCAAUAGGAAAUGAGAUAUUCAAGAAAGCAAGAUUUUGAUCAAUAUCAAUAUCAGAUCAAUUCUUAUACGCCUAGUCAACUAUUAAGGGUAUCUUGACUCCUUGAUGUUGUGAUAUGAUUGAAACAUGAUUUCCAUGUUAGAAAAUUAAAGGGAUGUUAAAACAUGAAAGUAAUAGAGAAUCAAAUUGAUGUGGACCAAAAUUGCCUAAAAAGAAAACACUCCUAAAUAAACUUCAAUUCACUUUUAAAAAACAGUAAAACAUGAUUGAUCGUUCUUUAAAACAAUUCCCUAAAUAUACAUGCAUGAUAAUGAUAUCACUUACCCUUAAAUCAAAUUGUCACGCCCCGGACCCGAGGGUCGGGUGGAAACCUCACCGCCCAGUGCGUGAGAAAAUAAAAAGAAAAUAAAAUAAAAAGAAGCCGAACAGGGUUUAAAAUAAACUUCUCUUAUAAAAAUAACUCCAAUCUACAACUUUACAAGAAAUAACUAANNNNNNNNNNNNNNNNNNNNNNNNNNNNNNNNNNNNNNNNNNNNNNNNNNNNNNNNNNNNNNNNNNNNNNNNNNNNNNNNNNNNNNNNNNNNNNNNNNNNNNNNNNNNNNNNNNNNNNNNNNNNNNNNNNNNNNNNNNNNNNNNNNNNNNNNNNNNNNNNNNNNNNNNNNNNNNNNNNNNNNNNNNNNNNNNNNNNNNNNNNNNNNNNNNNNNNNNNNNNNNNNNNNNNNNNNNNNNNNNNNNNNNNNNNNNNNNNNNNNNNNNNNNNNNNNNNNNNNNNNNNNNNNNNNNNNNNNNNNNNNNNNNNNNNNNNNNNNNNNNNNNNNNNNNNNNNNNNNNNNNNNNNNNNNNNNNNNNNNNNNNNNNNNNNNNNNNNNNNNNNNNNNNNNNNNNNNNNNNNNNNNNNGAUUUCAAUUGGUAUUCAGAGCGUCAGCUCUUAAUACAAAUAGAGAGAUCCUAGGAUUUGUUUUGGUGUUUAGGUGUGCUCACUGUGGAACGGGAUCGAGUUGCUGGAUCUUGCAACUCCCCUCCUUAUUUUGAUGGAAACAACUACGCUGCUUGGAGAGAAAAAUUUGAGAUAUUCCUUGAUGCUCUUGAUGAGUACGCAAGUGAGUAUCUCACAAAAGAGUGGGUUGCUCCUGUCAAGACUGUUGAGAGUAAUGUUGUGCCCAAGCCUAGGUCGGAAUGGACUGAAGCUGAGGUGUUUGCUGCAUAUUCAAACAAGAAGGCCAGAAAUGCCUUAGUUACAGCCUUGUCUAGCACACAAUUUUCACAUAUACAACACAUCCUAAAUGCGAAACAGGCUUGGGAUAAACUAAGGGUGGUUCAUGAAGGGGAUGACCAAGUUAGAUCCCUAAAACUUCAGAUGAUGCCUGCACAAUUUGAAGAACUUAGGAUGUCUGAAACUGAGUCUAUUUCUGAGUUCUAUGGGAGAGUUGAGAUGAUCACUAAUGAAGCCAUGAGUCUCGGUCAACCUAUUGAUGAGCUUCUUGUUGUUCAGAAAAUCCUUCGUGUUCUACCAUCUAGGUUUAGAGCAAAGAAAACCGCAAUCAUGGAGGUCCAAAACUUAAAUGAAAUUAAGCUUGGCAAGCUCGUAGGAAAAUUGAAAACCUAUGAGAUGGAGUUGAAUAUGGAAAAGAAUGACACUAAAAAAUCAAAAAAUGUUGCACUUCAAGGAGUGAAUGAUUCCUCUCUGAAAGGUGGUGAAAAAUCCUCAGGUUUUGAGGAUGAGAUGGCUUUGUUUGUCAAAAAAUUUAGGAGAAUUCUUAGGGAUAAAGGAAAGUUUGCUAGAAAGGGCAGCUCUGGUAGUGAGAGACAAGUUAGACCAUCAACUGAUCAGUCUAAUGAGAGGAACAAGGAUGUCAAACCUUUCACUAAAGAUUUUAGAAAAUCUGUCAAGUGCUUCACAUGUGGAGGCAUUGGGCACUAUGCUGCCCAUUGUGCAAACAAUCAGAAAAAAUACUCCAAAGGAAAGGACAAGGCCAUAAAAGUUAGCUGGAGUGAGAGUGAAAGUGAAGUGUCUCAAGGGGAUUCAUUUUUCUCUGAUAAUGAUGACCAACAUGUUGCUUUUGUUGCCUCUGUGCAGUCAGUGUCUGAUAAAUCUGAUUCUGAGUCAGAUGACCUGUCAUACGAGUGAUUAGGAAGAAAAUAUGAUUGUUUGUUCAAAGAGACAUUGUCUUUGAAAGAAGAGAGCCUCAAACUUGAGGCCAACAACCAUGAACUUCAACAUGAAAUCCUCAUCUUAAAAGAAACCAAAAAGGAGUUGAGUGACAAAUUUGUGUCUCUAGAAAAAGAAUUUGUUGCACUUGUGUCAAUUAGGAGUAAUCUUGAAAAUCAAGUUAAUGUGCUCAAGGAAAGUAACAUUGGUUUCCAGAACUCAAACAAAUUGCUCCUAGGUAAAUUGAAUGAAGCAAAAAAGUAAGGUUAUAUCUAUGACCAUUGGUGCCUCAAAAAUUGACAAAAUGUUGACUAUGGGAAAACCUCAUGGGGACAAAGGUGGUCUUGGAUUUAAUCAUUUUGAUUCUAGUUCGUCUAGCUCUACCACUAGGUUUGUCAAUUCAAAAACUCCAACCAUGGCUUCUCUUGAUGCUCAGCCGGUAGUCAAGAAACCUAAGUUUGUUCCAACUUGUCACUGGUGUGGGUUGACUGGUCAUAUUCGAUCAAUCUGUCUUAUGUACAAAAAGGAUAAGACUAGAAAAUUGUCUUCAAAAUCUAAAAAUCCAAGAUCUUUGCAAGAUCAGGUUGAUCAUUUGCUAAAAGAAGUAACUAAGAUUGCAAAACUUGUCUCCCUUAAAAUGUGUUCACCUAUUGUGCCUAAGUCUACUUGGGUUGAAAAAGGUCAUACCAAAUGUCUUGUUGUGCUAAAUGCUUUUGCUGCAUCAAACACCAACUCUUGGUACUUUGAUAGUGGCUGUUCCAAACAUAUGUUUGGUGAUAAGAGUGUCUUCUCAUCUCUCAGUCCUUUUGAUGGAGGCACUGUGACUUUUGGUGGAGGUCACAAGUCUCAAGUUUUUGGAAAAGGUACUGUUUGUAUCCCUGGUUUACCCGAGCUUAAGAAUGUUAGAUGUGUUAAGGGUCUUACAUCCAAUCUCAUUAGUGUGAGUCAGCUGUGUGAUGAUGGAGUAAUAGAAGUUAGAUUCUCCAAGCAUGGGUGCAAAAUCGUUGGAAAAUGUGGCAAUGAGAUUGUGAGCGUGACUAGGUCUAGGGACAAUUGCUAUUGUAUUGAUGGUGUCAAUGAUGAAAAAGAAGUAGUUUGCAAUAAGGUUGUGAAUGAAACAAGUGUCUUGUGGCAUCAAAGGCUUGGACAUGUGAACUUUAGAGACUUGCAUAAAUUGUCCAAGAAAGAGUUAGUGAGUGGAUUACCAAAGCUUGACAAAUCUGAUCAACAUGUUUGUGAAGGAUGUCAAUUGGGGAAGCAAGUUAGAGUGUCUCAUAAGAAGGUCAAACACAUUCAAACACAAGUAAGCCUUGAACUUGUUCACAUGGACAUUGUUGGUCCUAUCCAAACCUUGUCCCUUGGUGGAAAGAAAUAUAUUCUUGUCAUGGUUAAUGAUUUCUCUAGGUUCACUUAAGUCUCAUUCUUACGUGAGAAAUCUGAAACUUUUCUAAGGUUUAAGUCUGUUUGUCAUCUUUUGCAAAAAGAAAAGAUGACUAGUCAUCUGCCUCUUGUUAGAAUUAGAACAGAUCAUGGUUCUGAGUUUGAGAAUUCUCAGUUUCUGAAAUUUUGUGAAGAAAUGGGAAUUAAGCAUGAGUUCUCUGCACCUAUUACACCUCAACAAAAUGGUGUUGUGGAGAGAAAGAAUAGAGUUCUUGUUGAGAUGGCUCGGGUGAUGCUCAAUAGCAACAAUCUUGCUAAACAUUUUUGGGCUGAAGCUGUAAGUACAGCUUGUUAUAUCUCAAACAGGGUAUUUUUGAGGUCUGGUACCAAACAAACUCCCUAUGAGAUUUGAAAAGGAAAGAAGCCUAAUGUGUCAUAUUUUAGAGUCUUUGGUAGCACAUGCUAUAUUUUGAAAGAUAGGGAGCAUCUUCCUAAGUUUGAUUCUAAGUGUGAUAAGGGAAUAUUUCUAGGGUGUUCCACUUUAAGCCGAGCUUAUAGAGUGUACAACUGUAGGACCAGAACCAUCAUUGAGUCCAUAAAUGUCAAAAUUGAUGAUUUUGCUGCCUCUACUGAGAUGGCAUUAGAUGAGAAUGGUCUUUUUUCUCCUCAUCUCGUGCAAGAAUCUCUAGGUCUGGAUCUUGUAGUUGACCUGUCAACUUUCGGAAAUUUUGUCCCAGUUGACCUGUCAACUCCUUCAACCUCUAGUUCCAUCUCAUCUAUCCAAGUUGUCAGCUCCCAUGCUGAUCAUAGCCCUCUCACUCAAACUGAGAGUGUCAUUAUUGGUCCUCUUAAUCAGGGAGUGAGAACUAGGAAAUAAUUAGCUCAAGAAAUUAGUCAUGUGUGUUAUGUCUCAAAAGAAGAACCUAAGAAUGUGAAAGAGGCGUUGAACCAUGGUGAAUGGUUUCUUGCAAUGCAAGAAGAGCUGAAUCAGUUUGUUAGAAAUGAUGUUUGGUACCUUGUUCCCAGACCUACCAAUACAAAUGUUGUAGGUACUAAGUGGAUUUUCAAGAACAAAACUGAUGAGCAAGGUAAUGUUGUUAGAAACAAAGCUAGAUUAGUUGCUCAAGGUUACACUCAAAUGGAAGACAUUGACUUUGAUGAAACUUUUGCCCCUGUUGCAAGACUAGAAUCAGUUAGAUUACUUCUUGCUAUUGUUUGUCACUUAAAAUUCAAACUUUAUCAAAUGGAUGUCAAAACUGCUUUUUUGAAUGGUAUUUUAAAUGAAGAGGUCUAUGUUGAACAACCAAAGGGUUUUGAAGAUCCACAUCAUCCAAAUGAUGUGUUUCAGUUAAAAAAGGCACUCUAUGGUUUGAAACAAGCUCCUAGAGCAUGGUAUGAGAGGUUAUCUUCUCAUCUUCUAAGAAAUGACUAUGUUAGAGGGUCAAUUGACAAAACUUUGUUUGUCAAAAGGUUCAAAAAUGAUGUCUUGAUUGCUCAAGUGUAUGUUGAUGAUAUUAUGGUUGGUUCUACCUCUGACUUGCAUGUUCAAGAGUUUAUUCAUGUCAUGACUAGUGAAUUUGAGAUGAGUCUUGUAGGUGAGCUUAACUAUUUCUUAGGUCUUCAAAUCAAACAAAGCCAUGAUGGGAUCUUUGUAUCUCAAUCGAAAUAUGCAAAAAAUCUUGUGGAAAAGUUUGGUUUUGAGGAUGCAAAAUCUGCAAGAACUCCAAUGAGCACUAGUGCUAAAAUUCAUAGAGACUUGCAUGGCAAAAGUGUGGAUCAAACUCUCUAUAGAAGUAUGAUAGGAAGUCUUCUCUACUUGACUGCUAGUAGACCAGAUAUUUCUUAUAGUGUUGGAGUGUGUGCUCGGUUUCAAAGUGACCCAAAAGAGUCUCACUUGUUUGCUGUUAAGAGAAUCAUAAAAUAUGUGAGUGGGACUGUUGAGUUUGGGUUGUGGUAUACCUAUGACACUUGUGUCAGUCUGGUUGGUUAUAGUGAUGCCGAUUGGGCAGGUUGUAGAAACCCCUCCCGGGGGGGGGGGGGGGGGGGUCUUUUAUGUAGGCAACAACCUUGUUGCUUGGCAUAGCAAAAAACAAAAUUCUGUCUCCUUAUCCACUACUGAAGCAGAGGAUGUUGCAGCUGGGAGUUGCUGCACUCAACUCCUUUGGAUGAGACAAAUGUUGGAAGCUAUGGUCUUGCUCAAUCAUGCUUUCUCAUCUAUUGUGACAACAUGAGUGCCAUAGACAUUUCUAAAAAUCCUGUUCAACACUCUAGGACUAAGCAUAUAGACAUUAGGCAUCAUUUUAUUAGAGAUCUUGUGGAAGAUAAAAUUCUAUCUUUGGAAUUUGUUCCCUUUGAGAAACAGCUAGCAGAUAUACUCACCAAGGCCUUGGACUUUCAGAAACAUGUCACACUUAGGCAGUCCAUUGGCCUUUGCUCAAUUGAUUGAUUAGCUUGUCUGUUCCUUAUCUUCAGCACAUUGCAGAAUUGUUGACUAGUCAUCUUCGUUUUAGUUGACUAGUCAAAUAUUUUUUUGGUGUGUAAAUGUCUAAAACAUAUGCUUCUUCUGAUCUCUGGUGGUAUGAAGUUUGAAUCAUUUUAUGCUUUGCCUGAUUUGUGGAUAAUUCCCCCCUUCUUGUUUGGAGCCAUUAGAUGAAAUCUUUUGGUGUUCUUUCGUCCUCUUGUUGAGACAAGUGUUGUGAUCCAUUAUGGACAAUCAUUGUUAUAAUCUCCUAUCUUUUCUCACUCUCUUAGGCAAUUUGUUUAGCAUUAAACAAAAAAUAAAAAAUAAACAAAAAAUAAAAAAAAUAAAAAAAAGUGUGACCAAUGUAGUCACGACUCUAGGAAGGUAUAAGGUGUUAUGAUUGAAGAAUCUAGAGCAAGAGCCGCAAAAUUGGGCCACUCAAGCACUUAAGUCUAGGAUGUGCAAAUAACAAGGAUAAUAAAUGGCCAGAUUGAGUGAUGAAAAUCAAAUAGGUUGGGUUUAUGCCUUGAGUUUGUCUUGAAGGUUUAUUAUAUACUUGUCUCUCCAAGAGGGGUAUUUCUUCUUCUCUUGUGUUCUUCUUUUGGCUCUGAACCUCCUCUGUCCAUUUUGCCUUAUCUCUGAGCAUGAAAUCUAAUUCAUAUUCUAUCUAUCAGAGUUAGUUGCACUUGUUUUUGUUUGCACAUGUGGUUAUCUUCUCUCUCUCUUCCUUCCUGUGCUUGAAGAUUUGGACUAGGCUAUAGUAGCUAAUAGAUCGUUGAUCACUUGAUAUAUUUGCUAGUUCAUGUUUGUGUUUUUUUUUUAAAAACCCACAAUCUUGUCUUCCACAGGGUCGAUACUAACUUUGAUGCGUGUCAUGAUAUUGCCUUAGUUGACUAGUCAUCUAUGCUUAUGGUUGACUAGUCAUCCGGUUGUGUUAUAUUUGAUGCCCGUCAUGUUAUUGCCUUAGUUGACUAGUCAUCAUUUUUGUGGUUGACUAGUCAUCUAGUUCUGCCUGUUUUUGUUAUUGCCUUGGUUGACUAGUCAUCAUGCUCAUUGUGGUUGACUAGUCAUCAGGUUUUUCUCCUGAACAAUACGUCCUUUUCUUUAGCGGUUAUUCUUAUUAUUUUAUUUUUUUUUCAUUUUUUUUUCUUCUCUUUUUUGUGUUUUGAGCGGUUCUUUUUCAUUGGGGUCAGUUUUCGCAUUUUUUCCUUUUUAGGUCUGUUUCCCUCUUCUUCGUUAGAGUCUACUUUCACUCCCGUUCUCUCUCUGUUCUCUUCAGACACAAACCCAGGCCCCCGCUUCCCUUUCUCCCUCUGUGUUAGUCUCUUCGCCCCUUCUUCCCUCUGUUUUUCUCUUCCAAUUUCUUCCCGCUGACCACCAUGUCGUCCUCCGCGCCCUUCCUCACUUACCAGCGCCGCUCCAAAUCCAAAUCCAAUGACAGAGUGGAUUUUAUACCCUCCAUUCCUAGGGCUCCUAGGACUCGCUCUUCUCACUCUGUUCCCGCUGGAGACUCCUCCCCGUUUGUGUCUCCUGAGGCAGCCUCGUUCUUCGAUGGUGUUGUCUCUAAAAGGAAGUUUGUGCCUGAGAGAGCUUACCAAAUUGAUGCUCCCCCCUUAGCGGCCCAGGGUUCUGCAACUCAGAUUUUUGAGCACUGCCAUCUCCAUUCUCUCAACACUCUGUCUGGUAAGUUCAAUGCUUCUGUCGUUAAAGAGUUUUACUCGAAUUUUCCUGCUGAUCCUAAGGGGUCUAAUUAUCAGUGUGUUGUUCGUUAUGUGCCCAUUACUCUGAGACCCUCUGUCAUUAAUAGGGUUUUAGGUUUUCGGUCUUGCCCUGGUUUUGAUUCUGAUCAGUUUGCUCUUGCCUCUUCUCAAUACACUAUUGAUCUAUUUAAAACCAUGGCCUAUACUGAUCAAACAAUGCCCCUGACUUCUAAAGGUGUUCCUAUGAAGUCUUAUCUGUCACCAUUCUACAAAUUUCUAUGGGAUUUUAUCUGUCACAAUGUUCUCCCAACUAGAAAUAAUUCAAACCCCACUUUGGCUGGCUGUCAACUCAUGAUUUCAAUGGUGAAUCAUGAUAAAAUUCCCUUUGGGGAUAUUCUUUAUCAUGCAAUUCUUGGCAAAACCAUAGGUCAUGGUACAAAACACAAAGGGACUCUUGUCUUCCCAUGUCUUAUCCAGCGUCUCUGUGAGAGAAACCAGGUGGUUUUUCUUGACUCUGAUCAGUGCACUCCUCCUAUUGCUCCAUUUGGCAAGGCUUUUGUUGCCCUUAGCCAAAAAGUUUCAAAAACUUUUCUCACCUCUGUGUCAUCUACUUAUGAAAAUGACUAUCUUAGAUCUCAGCUUGCUACCAAGGAGAAACAUAUUCAACAUCUGUUAAGCCUCAUUCCAUCCUCUUUGGUUCCUGCUGCUGCUGCUGCUGAAGUACAUCCUCAGCCGACUCCUGCCACGGAGGUCUCAGAUGAUUCUGUAGAUUCUGAUGAGUCUGCUGAUUCUCUUGUUUUUUAGCUACAGUGAUCUUGUAGGCAAUGUCCUAGAUAGGGGGAGUAUUUUUGGACAAGUAUAUGUUUGUAAUUCCCUUGUGGAAAUUUGUUUUUGCUUGGGUAGUCUGUGCAUCUUGAUAGGGGGAGUUGUGUUGUAUUAUUUUGAACAAGUGAUUUUUGCUUUGUAAUCAACCUAUGCUAUGUGUUUUUCACUUUGUUCAAAUCUGAUUAUCUGCCUUGUGUUUCAUCCCCUUGUAUGCUGACUCUCUCUCCUUGCACUUUCCUUAUCAACAAGGAGGAGAACACUCUCAACCCCCAUAUUGCAUAUUGUUUCAAAAUUCUGUGAUAUAAUAUGCCUGUUUUUGUGCCUGGAAGAUUGGUUGUUCUUGCAGGUAUCCUCACUUCAUCAUCUCCUUAGGCUUGGUUUUGGGUUGAGUGUUGUUAGAGAGUGUGUUGUCAAGGAAAGCCAAAAAGGGAGAGAUUGUUAAUGUAUGCAUUUUGGGUUUUUCUUUUGGCUUCCCUUGACAACUUUGUAAUAGGAUCUCUAUUGUUAUUUAUCAAGCUCAAGUUUAGAUUGAGAAUAGCUUCUCUAGGUGUUCUUAACUAACAACUAUCAUAUGGAGGUUCAUGCAAAUUGGCAAAGGUAAAUUGUGCAUUGCAUAACAUUGCAUUAUACUGUUUUCAUAAAAUGAUGACUAGUCAUAUGUUUCUUGGAUGACUCGUCAUCCUUGCUCUCCAGCUUGAUAACCAACUUUUUUGUCCUAUUCCUUUUUCUCUCUCUGCUGCCACAUGGGAUUCUGACCUAAGGGUAUUUUUUGGUCUGUAUAGGCCUUGCGAUUCCUCUUUUGGCAAGCCGUCUCUUUUGUGUAGAAUUGGAGGAAAGAUUGGUUUUCUAUAUUUCCGUUCUUCUUCCACAAGAAAGAACAAUAUUUCAUCUAUGAGUUUUUCCAAAUUGAUUUCUUUAUGAAAAAACUGCAUUUGAAAUAUGAAUUUGCAUCUAGCUUCAUAAAAACAUUCUCUCAUUUAUAUCUAGGUCAGAUUCACUACUGAUUUCUUCAAGAGUAUGGUUUCUUGAAGAAAUUGGUUAUUCUCCCUUGAAUCCAAAUUUUGGUUUCUGUUUGAGUUGAGCUUGCAAGCUGGUGCCAUGGGAUGAAUGACUGAAGAAGGAGCUGCCAUUGCCAUGAAGAACUGGGCUUCAAGCUUUGCUAAGUUAGAGAAGAAGAUUGCACAAAGGAGGUAUUGCUCAUCUUCCUAAAUAGAUCUAGGUUUUGCUUGAGCUUGCUUGUGUUCCUUUGUAAGAAUCUUUUUCUACUUAGUUGAUUGCCUGGUCGGUUGAUGACCCCCAGUUUUUUCCCAAUGGUGGGUUUCUGGGUGAACAAUUUCUGAUUGCAUUCUUGUAAUUUUUCUGGGUUUGUGUUCUUGGUGGUCGACUAGUCAUCGUAUGAAUUAUGGUUGACUAGUCAUCAUUAUCUGCUGUUUGGUGUUUGCUUGAUUAUGCUGUCUUCACACGUUUUCACCAUAGUUGUUGCUAGCACAGGGGAUGCCUAGAUUGAUGGGUCUUUCUGAGUGCCUAGGUUGUCACUAGUAAUUCUCUAGGCCUGCAGGUACAUCAUGGUAUGUUCUAUGUAUGUUGUUGUUUGGUAUAAUUCAUAUCUGACAGUUGACUAGUCAUAAGAGUGUGUGAAGUUUGUUGCAUUUUUGGCUGAAUAUCUUUUAAGUUUACCCAUCGUCACCUAAGUACCGAUUUCAACAUGAGACCUUGCCACAGUAGAUUGAUAUAACUAAAUAUUAUCAUAAACAUAGAAAUAUAUAAGUAUUAUUAUAAUAGGAUUCAUAAUAAUUAAUAUAAAAGUAUAACAACAACAUUUACAAUUAUGUACCAAGAUAAUUACACAUAAAAAUAUAACCAAUAUAUAUUUAUAUAUAUUUUUUAAAAUACGGAUCUUUACGUAAAUGCCUUUCACGGGUCAAGCCACAAGUCUGUGUUUUGGGGAUUGCAGAGCUGCAUCAAUCUUGCCAAUGUCAAUUCUGACCCUGGGCUCUCUCAAAGCACGUUUAAAACCUAUGCUAACAUAUACUAGAGUUUAUGCUGUAUCUAGAAAAUGCCAACACUAAUUUCGUAACACAUAGAAUUGUUAGAGAUUAGAAGUUUUUAUCAUUUUUUCUUCCAGUCUCUCCACCACUCACUAAUACAGAUUACUCAUGUGAUGAGUUUACAAAACCUAUUUCUCUACUCUCGCAAAGACUAUACUUCUUCUCAAAAGACUAGAUCACUUUACCUCUAUCUCUGUGAAAUGUAAAAAGUUGAAACUUUAAUGUCAAACCUCGACAAAGUGUUCUACUUACAAACUUCUUGUGUCUACCAAUUUCUACAAAAAUUAAUUUCUCUACGGUGCUCAGAUUCAUCAUAUGUGUGUCCUUAAUUUUAGUGGAAAUUGGAAGUUUCCAUAAUUUUUGCUUUAAGUCACUCUUUUGAAGGAAGUUGAGAUUCCACUCCAUAAUCCAAAAUGUCAGGUUGACUUAUGGCAAACAAUGUAAAUAUGUAGGAGUACUAUGACCUUUUAUAGCAUUUUAAGUUUGAAUUUGGGUUUUAUACAUAGAUUUCGAAAUUAAUAGGUUGAUGCCUAGGAAAUAGAAAUUGUAAGGGCCUAUAUUAGACUAGCCCUCUUAAAAAAUAUAUUAAUUAAUGAAUAUUUGUUCUUCUUCUUGUUUUGAAGUAGUGGUGGGAGGCAGACCAACAACAAAAAUAUAGUGAAGGCUUAUAAGAGCAUUUACAAUUAUGCUCCCUAUUUUUUAGUUAAUAUUUAGGUAAAAAUAGAAAAAAGUUAUUAUAUGAGCUCUUUAUAAAAUUUGAACUCCAAUCAUACUCCCUAGUUUAGGGAGUCAAAAAUACUAUAGUUAUUUUUUAAUUCAAAUUGAUUUUGGUUAAUCUCUAUAAAUAAAUAAAAAUAUAAAAAAUAGUUAGCAUUAAUUAAAAGUUUAAACUAUGCAUAAAACAAAGAAACAUUAAAUUAUAGGGAGCCACUAUGAGUCAUUACUCUCUCUUCAGAUUUAGGAGCUCCUAGAGGUCUCCCUAUUUUAUGAGGUGGAUAAAGAGCAUGGUUGGAGUUGUAUUUCUUCAAUUUCCUCUCUAAAAUUUGUCUAAGGAUGUGGUUUAGGGAGCCCAUUGUGAAUGCUCUAACUCUGGUAAAACACGAGUGACAUGGACAACAUAUGUUACAUCGUACUGAAGAUUUUUGGGUUUCUUUAAUUGGUUAAGUAGCAUCCACAAUGAGCUUUCUAAAUCAUCUCCUUAGACAAAUUUUAGGGAGGAAUUGGAAAAGUACAACUCCAACUAUGCUCCCUAUCCACCAACUAAAAUAGAGAGACCUUUAGGAGCUCAUAAAUCUGAUGAGAGAGAAAGAACUCUUAAUGACCCCCUAUAAUUUAAUGUUGCUUUAUUUUAUGCAUAUUUUGAACUUUUAAUUAAAUCAAAUUAUUAUUUUUAUAUUAUUUUGAAUACAGCCGGAUCAAUUAUAUUAAAUUAAAAAAUAAUUAAAAUAUUUAUAACUCUCUAAACUAGAAAGCAUGAUUGUAGAUCAUCUUAUAUACCUUAAUUUGAAGAUUCUUUAUUUGGGUUUCUUUCAAGACUUAUCACCUUAGCCACACCACCUACACGUCUGCAAGCUUCCGUAAUCUAACAAGGAAGGGGAGGCUGCGCAAUACUUAUCACCUUAGCCACACCACCUACACCACAAGACCAAUAUGUGUAGUCCAGCAGGCUUUCCAAUUUUAAUAUAUAUUAUAAAAUAAAAUAAAAAUCAAUCUAUUAUCAUAUAUAUUAUAAAAUAAAGAUUAUUGCUCCAUCCUCCAUGCACUUGCAUGCCCUCUUACAAAGUGUGAAGUAGAUUUUGUGUGCUCCAAGUCAUUGACGAGAGCUGUAACAUGGUUAGCUGGAUUUAUAAGAUCUUUUCUUUUCUGGGAAUUUUCUGAAUUAAGAAAAAUCAAGUAAAAUUAAUAAAGCAUAAAUUAGAAAGGGAAAAUAUCUAGAGGAUGCAUUGUAGGAUUGCACAUGCCAAUAAUUGUAUCCUCUAAAUAUAUAGCGACACAUUUUUUUUGUUUUCAUGACUUGUGGUCCUAAAAUUAUUGUUCCUAGCGGGCUUUUCACCCUCUCUCGAUUGAAAAUCAAUUGUGUAAAUCUUCAAUCUUGAAUGAUGCACCUAAAACUCAAGUGUCCCAGGCCAAUUAUUGCUCUCAUACCACUUGUUGUAAUAAACAUUCACCCAUUCUAAAGGAAAGAUAACCAUCGAUAUUAUCUGAAAUUUAACCACUUAAGUUCAUUAUGAUUAACUAUGUAUCUUAUGGACCAAUCCAAUCGUAAGGUUUUAUACUCAAUUAGAUCGACCAAUACAAAGUUCACACUGGAUUAAAAAGGGCUAUCGGUAGGGGAGUGUUCGGCACCCUUUACUGUGGAGCGCAACACAAGACCCCUUGCAUGCCCUCACUAAGUUGAGCCCAACUAUUUUUGAGCAUUAACAAUAUAUAUAGAUUGAAAAAAUAAAAUAAAAAUCAAUCUAUUAUCAUAUAUAUUAUAAAAUACAUAUUAUUGCUCCAUCCUCCAUACACUUGCAUGCCCUCUUACAAAGUGUGAAGUAGAUUUUUUGUGCUCCAACUCAUUGACUAGGGCUGAAACAUGGUUAGUUGGAUUUAUAAGAUCUUUUGUUUUUUGGGAAUUUUCUGAAGCACGGAAAAUCAAAUAAAAUUAAUAAAGCAGAAACUGUACCCUUUAAUUAUAUAUGGACAUAUGUUUUUUUGUUUUCAAGUCUUAGAUGACAUGGGGACCCCUCUCAAAUUUAAGUGGUCCAUUAUUGUUAACCACAUAUUUUAUGGACCAUCCAGCUUCGGUACAUUUCUCCCACAUGCCACAAUUGUAUAUUCACAAUUACGUCUGAUACAUCACAUCAUGCCACUUGCCUCACAUGCCACAAUUGUAUAUUCACAAUUACUUCUGGGUACCCCUCAUCAGUCGUCUAUAAAAUGGUGAAGCCAGUUGCUACUGUUACCAUAAGAGCCAGCUCCGACUUUCUUUAAUUUCUUGCUACAUCUGUUGCUAAGUUAAUUUCAGUCCUAAUGGGGUUUCAUCUCCCACUCAUCUUUGCUAUUCUCAGUGUAAGCUCUGCAAUUUGAUUAACUUUUCCAUUCUCUCUCAUUGUACUCUAUAUAUAUAAAUGAAAGUUUUGUGUUCCUAUAAUUCUCUCCGAUUUUAUUUAGUACGUACUUAAGUGUCGUCCACUAAUUAAUUACACUUUGUGAGAUUUGAUUUUAAUUAGAGUUCGAAUUAAUGUUGCAGCUAGCAGCGGUUGCACUGGCAAACAAUGCUGCUCAACCAGCACCUCAACUUUACUGGAACUCCGUCCUGCCAAACACACAGAUGCCAAGAUCUAUCAGUGAACUUCUGCAUCCUGGUUUGUGUUCAGCUCUUUAUAAUCUUAGAUAUCUCUUCUACCUGCCAUUUUACUAAACUAUGUUCGACCACAUAUUUAUCAGUUAACUACUGUCAUUACAAGAAUGACACUUAUUUUCCAAUAUAAUUUGCAGACUCCACAAAUGAAGAAAAGAGCAAACCUGAAAUUUUCCCAUUGCAGGGCAAUAGAGUUUACACUCAAAGCCAUUAUAAAAAACGUCCUCCUCCUCCAUCUGACGAGGGCAAACCUGAAAAUUUCCCAUUGGCCAAUAGCUUUUACACUCAAACCCAUUAUAAAAAACGUCCUCCUCCUCCAUCUGACGAGGGCAAACCUGAAAAUUUCCCAUUGGGCAAUAGCCAUUAUUCUCAAACAGGGUAUGCAAAAGGUCCUCCUCCUCCUCCUAAAAUUUUCCCAUUUUCAGGUUACAGUCGAAAAAGGUAUGGAGGAAGUCCUCCUCCUCCUUCUCCAUUCGUUCAAAAAGACUAUGGACAGAACGAUAAACAUUACGUUCAAAAAAACUAUGGAAAAGUUCCUCCUCCACCUGACAAUCAACUACUCCAUUAUAAAGACUUGGCUAUUUUCUUCUUCGAGAAGGACAUGCGCCCUGGCGCAACAAUGAAGUUCCAAUUCCCUAGAAAUUCAAACACGGCUACUUUCCUGCCACGCGAAAGUGCUCAAUCGAUCCCCUUCUCCUCUAAGAAACUACCAGAAAUUUUCAACCAUUUUUCAGUGAAGCCAACAUCUGAGGAAGCCAAAACAAUUAAGCAAACAAUCGAAGAGUGUGAAGCUCCAGGCCUUAAGGGAGAGGAAAAAUAUUGCGCCACAUCUUUAGAAUCAAUGGUUGAUUUUAGCACUUCGAAGCUUGGAACAAGAAACGUUGAAGCAAUCUCAACGGAGGUAUUGGAAGAAGGAGCCACCAAGUACAUGCACAACUAUACAACAAUGCCGGGACUGAAGAAGUUGGAAGGUGACAAAGUCGUUGUGUGUCAUAAGGAGAACUAUCCCUAUGCUGUGUUUUUCUGCCAUGCAAUAAAACAAACAGCAGCUUAUGUUCUCUCCCUGAAAGCCGAUGAUGGGAUGAAGGUGAAAGCAGUAACCAUCUGCCAUCUAGACACAUCAGAAUGGGACCCAGAGCAUUUGUCCUUCCAAAUCCUCAACGUUAAGCCCGGAACCACUCCCAUCUGCCAUUUCCUUUCCACUGAUGCUAUUGCCUGGGUUCCAAAACACAAGUCUGCAUGAUCAUCACUUAGCACUGUACGUAUAAUAAGCUUGGUCGGGUUGCACCCUAGGCCUGCAUAAUUAUCUCCCUACUUAUUUCUGCCUCUUUAUCAUGCGGUGUAAGAUAUAUGAUGAGAUGAAGUUUUCUCUUGUAACUAUGUAGACUACUUCAACUUGUACUCAUAAUAAAGCACGCUGUUGGGGGGUUCUACUUAAUUUCGUUCUCUCCAAUGUUUGAGUGUUGAAUUGUUACGUUGGAAUAGGCUGCUAAUGCAUGUAGUUAGAGAAGCCUUCAUUUAUAUCAAAGUCCUCAAACUAUCAAGAAUUAAUGUAUCCAGAAACAUAUACCAAGACGCAAAAUGUCACAUCCCGGAAUCAGCUACUUCCCAGUGGGUCACCCAUCCUGGGAUUGCUCUAGCCCCCAACUCGCUUAACUUCGGAGUUCCUACGAUUCCGAAGCCAGUGAGCUCCCAAAAGGCCUCGUGCUAGAUGGAUGCGGGUGUGCACAUAUAAGGCACAAUACCCCCUCUCCGUUGGUUUGAUGUGGGAUCUUACAAUCCACCCCCCUUAAGGGUCCGACGUCCCCGUCGAUACACUCGCACCACACGGCAGAGUGGCUCUGAUACCAAAUUGUCACAUCCCGGGAUCAGCUCCGCCGUAGCACGAUAUUGUCCGCUUUGGGCCCCCCUCUCUGCCCUCACGGUUUUGUUUCUGGGAGCUCACGAGCAACUUCCCAGUGGGUCACCCAUCCUGGGAUUGCUCUAGCCCCCAACUCGCUUAACUUCGUAGUUCCUACGAUUCCGAAGCCAGUGAGCUCCCAAAAGGCCUCGUGCUAGAUGGAUACGGGUGUGCACAUAUAAGGCACAAUACCCCCUCUCCGUUGGUUUGAUGUGGGAUCUUACACAAAACAACAUAUUUUCCAUUCUCUGUCUGUAACACCAAGGCAAACUUCCUUUAUCACAUCAUUUAAAGGAUCAAAUUCCAGUACUAAUCUAAUCCAUCAUGUAAAGCAUACAAGUGCCUACCUAAAUUUGUCCAUUGGAUAUAUAUGUCACUUCUUAUUUUUUGAUAGAGAUAUAAAUGUUGAGAAAAUUAGAGUACACAACUCCAAUAUAGACUUGUUAGAGACAAAACAAGUAAACAAAUUCCUUGUAUUAGACUCACAAAAUAUUAAAACAAGACAACUCUCAAAGAAAAGACAAACUCUCACACUUCUCACAAGGACUACUUAACUUUAUAGCUUAUUGCAUAUAGCAUAUGCAAACACAAUUACAACAUACCUACGUACACUAUGGAAACACUCGUGUAUAUUUGAACACAAGAAAACAUGUGCACCGUGCACGGUUCACAUGAAGUAAGAAAUGAAGAGGAAAUAAAGGAGAAGAAUACAAAAGAAAAUGGAGAUGAGAAAAAAAAAACACGAAUAAUGAAAAAUGAAUUGACAAUUAUAUGUGGUUGACAUUAGAUCUAAUAUUAUAUGUAACAACUAUUGAUCUAAAAUAAACAUUAAAUCAAACAAUAAUUAAAAGAUUUGACAAUAUAAAAAUUUAUUGAGGACAAAAAAAGGCAAAAACUUAUGAAAAAUGGAAACAAUAAAUAUGAACUGAGUCAUCAACUCAUCAUGGUAAGUUUGCUGACGUAUAAAAAUAGUCAAUGAACUACAUCGAAAAGUAAUUGGCUUACAUCAAAAAUUAAAAUCACGUGGUCUACCUACUAUAUAGGAUGAAAAAAUUACGUGAACAAUAUACUUACACCAUGGGAACACUCCUAUAUAUUUGAACACAUGAACACGUGUUCAAGGUUAUAUAUUUCAUUACCUUCACAAUAGGUACCAAACCGUACCAUGCGAACAUUCAUAUACGCACAACAUACUUAUAACAUACCUACACUAUGGGAACACUCGUGUAUAUUUGAACACAAGAAGACCUGUGCACCACCGUGCACGGUUCACAUGAAGUAAGAAGAUGAAGAGGAAAUAAAGAAGAAGAAUACAAAAGAAAAUGGAGAUGAGAAGAAGAAAAAAAAAACACGAAUAAUGAAAAAUGAAUUGACAAUUAUAUAUGGUUGACAUUAGAUCUAAUAUUAUAUGUAAUAACUAAUGACCUAAAAUAAACAUUAAAUCAAACAAUAAUUAAAAGAUUUGACAAUAUAAAAAUUUACACGUAAGCAAACUCACCAUGGUAAGUUUGCUGACGUGUAAAAAUAGUCAAUGGACUACAUCGAAAAAUAAUUGGCUUACAUCAAAAAUUAAAAUCACGUGGGUUAUUCCUAAGAAACCUUAAUAUUUUUGGGUUUAUAUAUUUUUUGUAUUUUUUUAAAAUAAAAAAAAGAAAAGAAAUCUGACCAUGUAUGUAUGAUGAUGAUAUGCAUGUUAUUUUUAGACCUAAGGUAAAACAGACAAACUUUUUACUCCAUUUUUCAUGAGGUUUAUCACAAUAAUUAAACUGUUAUAUCCUCCAUUUUAGAUCUCAUGCUUCCAUUUAAAGAAAAGAAUAUCAACAACAAAAAAAAGAAUAAAGUUACAACAUUGAUCAAUUCAAAUGUCCAACUACCGGAUCAUGAGCUCCUGCACUUAGCGAUAUGCAGAUAAAUGCGUAGUGUCUUAAUGCAGAGGCUCGGGAUCCCCAACUACCAUUGAAACAUAAGAAACUAAAAUCUGCAAGAAAAUGCUAUCAAUUGAAAAAACAAUAAUUAAAAAACAAAAAAAGGAAGGGAAUUCGCACCGCUAUGCAAAAAAGAGCAAGUCGGUUCAAUGAUUUUUUUUCUUCUUCUUUUUGUUAUGGAAAUGAAAAGCUCAAUGAUGGGCUAUAUAUAGGAAGAAGCUCAAUGAUUGAAUUAUUAUCUUCUAUCUACAUUCUACCCUCUUCCUCGCUACAUACACAAAUGGUGCACACCAGUAACUAAGCUUGUUUUGGGUUCGGUGGCUCACUGUAAAAGCUCAAUGGAGAUGGUUUGAGGUAGAAUUUUCUCCUAUUUCAAUAGGACAAUGAUGAGCUCUAUGGAUUUUUUUUGUUUGUUUAUAGAAAUUAAAUGGUAUAGGGUCUAUCUAUAUUAUUAAUGCUAAGAAUGAGAAUAUGACUAAAUAACUCAAAAAAAAUUUAUAAUAAAUCAACAAUUUUUUUUUUUUAAAAAAAAAUCUAUAGAAUCUUUUAUUAGAUCAAUAGGCACCACUAGAAAAUCUCCAUAUAAGCCACUACUAAUACACCCGUGACUACUGACAAACCCGUAGCCAAAGAGUAUUGGCCACCUGCCACACGACAGUGGUCCAAGCAUAAUGUUGUCAUUCAUUAUUCCCCACAGCAACCAGCAUCCAAUAAAGGGUUGGGGCCCACCCAUAUUCCACCUCUCUUUAUGAAUAUAAAAGAAAUAUUUUUUAUUCAACAUGGACGCAGAAACUGUUGCUAAACUGCAAACUUCUUAAAAUAUUUAUCUAACUUUCUAGAUCCAUGUACUGAGAUUUAUUAGGGAAAUAUUGUAGAAACUGAUUAUUUUGAAAUAUUAAAUGUGAAAAACUGAACAAAAAUUUGAUGGGUUACAUAUUUCAACUCAUUUCAGCAGCUUAGAUUUUGAAGACCUCGGAAGAGGCUAUGCAAUGAGCCUAGCUAGUGCACUGUUGAUCACUUCAGUGUCUACCGAUCUGUAAUUUUUCCAGAUUGGUUAUAUUUUCCUUUACAUAUUCUUAUAUUACCGAUCACUUCAGUGUCUACCGAUCUCAUAUUUCUGGCAGAACAAUAAAUCUUUCAACAUUAAAAGUUUAAAACUCCAAGAUGCUAAAUUUAACGUUAAAAUAAAUAAUUAAAAGGGCUAAUGAAACCUAUAUGCCCAGGUGAGGAGCAUGCCACAAACUUAUUUCAACCCCAAAACUUCAUUAAAAAGCCCAAAACACUCAAUGAGGCAUCUAAGUAAUUUAAUAAUUAAAAUUAAAUUCAAUAUGACCAGCUAUCAUUUUUUGGGUUUUUUUUUGUUUGUUUCUAGAAAUUAAAUAGUAUAGGAUUUAUUUAUAGUUUUAGUGCUAAAAAUGGGUAUAUGACUAAAUAUCUCUAUAAAAAAAAUACCUAUAUGUUUGAGAAACAAAAUAAUAAAACUACAACAUAGGUUAAAAACAUUCUAAUAAACUCAAUACAUAUGGUCUACGUACUAUACAGGAUGAAAAAAUUACAUGAACAAUAUACCUACACCAUGGGAACACUCCUGUAUAUUUGAACACAUAAACACGUGUUCAAGGUUAUAUAUUUCAUUACCUUCACAGUAUUCAUCAAAACCCACCAUGGGAACAUUCAUAUACACACAACAUAACAUACCUACACUGUAGGAACACUCGUGUAUAUUUGAACACAAGAAGACAUGUGCACGGUUGAUGUGAAGUAAGAAGAUGAAGAGGAAAUAAAGAAGAAUAAUACAACAGAAAAUGGAGAUGAGAAAAAAAACACGAAUAAUAAAAAAUGAAUUGACAAUUAUAGAUAGUAGACAUUAGAUCUAAUAUUAAAUGUAAUAACUUUUGAUCUAAAAUAAACAUUAAAUCAAACAAUAAUUAAAAGUUUUGACAAUGUAAAAAGUUAUUGAGGACUAAAAAAGGCAAAAACAUUUGAAAAAUGGAAACAAUAAAUAUGAGCUGAGUCAUCAGCUCACUAUGGUAAGUUUGCUGACGUGUAAAAAUAGUCAAUGGGUUAGAUUAUUAUUUGUGGGUAACUAAAAUCUCGUUUAACAACAAUAGUUAACGUUUGUUUAGAGAAGGAAAAAAACUUGAUGAUGUGUCAUGUUCUAAAGGGUUAGAUUAUUGUAAUGGCUUAGAUUUAAUGAAAUACAGGUAAAUGCGUAAUGUCCAAAUGUAGAGGCUCGGAAUCCUCAUCUACCAUUGAAACAUAAGAAACUAAAAUUUUCAAGAAAAUGCUAUCAACUGAAAAAACAAAAAACAAAAAACAAAAAGGGAAGGGAAUUUGCACCUGCUAUGAUGGGUUGAAUGAUUUUUUCUUCUUCUUCUUCUUUUUCUUUUUCUUUUUGGUUCUUUAGAUCUAGUUGCACAUUCCAAAGAAAUAAAACCUCAGGCAUGCAUGCAAUGCAAGCUCUUUUCCCAUGUUUUCCUCUGUUUUCCUCCUAUUUUCCCAUGCAAACUCUUUUCUUAUAUGGAAGUGAUUAAAGUGUGAUUCAUUGAAUAUUUGCGGGGUUUUGUUCAGACCUAACAAAGUUCUAAGUGAGCACAUCAAAUUUCUUUUACCCAAUCAAAUUCAACUAGGUUUAUUCUACGACCUUAUGCUCGAUCAUUUUCCACAAGCAACCGUCCACGUACCAAGUAUUUAUUUUAUAUCAACGAGUACGAUGGUCCAUGUAAGUAUUCUAAUAAUUCACUCCAGUUGCAGGCCCCAAUAAUAUAGAAGGGCCAAUGGUCUUUCAUUUGAUGAAAGCUGCUAUCUACUGAUAACAAAGUUCAAUGAAGACGUAGGAAGAAACUUUGAGAAGAAGCUUGCAAUUUCUUUUAUUGAUUUUCUCUCUUUUUCGAUCUACUUCACAAUGAACAGUAUCUAAUAUUUAUAUGACAGAAGCACUUAGCUUCUCAGCUACGACUUAACAAACACGUGAACCCACGUGAACUUCUAACUAACUAAACGCAUUAUAUACAUGUCUUUUGCCAAUCAUCCCCCCUCAAUCGCAGUGGUGGCUGGACCAACACUAAGAUUGUGACAGUGUUUCAAAAACAAUGGACUAUGCAGGCCCUUUGUGAAAAUGUCGGCAACUUGUUCUUCAGUAUUGACAUAUCGAACCACCAAAUCAUGACGCUGAACCCGUUCUCUGAUAAAGUGAAAAUCAAGUUCUAAAUGCUUUAUGCGAGAGUUUAAAACUGGAUUACUACUUAAGGCCAAUGCUGAUAAAUUGUCACUAUGUAAGACUGGAGCUUCAGGAACAAUAAUAUGUAAGUCUUGAAGAACAUAUCUGAUCCAAGAGAUAUCAGCAGCACAGUUGGCAAGAGCUCGAUACUCUGCCUCUGUAGAACUACGAGAGACAGAAGAUUGCUUACGAGAGGACCAAGAGAUAGGAUUCUGUCCAAGAAAUACAACGUACCCUGUAGUAGAGCGACGAGUAUUGGGAUCCCCAGCCCAAUCUGCGUCACUAUAGCCAACCAAAACAGAAGAACCAGAUGUAAAUGUCAAACCAUAAGAUAAAGUGCAUUGCACAUAUCUCAGUAUACGCUUAACUAAAGUCAUAUGAAUAUCAGUAGGAGCAGUCAUAAACUGGCAUACGGUGUUCACAGCAUAUGCCAGAUCUGGGCGUGUGAAUGUGAGGUAUUGAAGAGCUCCAACCAAGCUGCGAAACAUUGUAGGAUCAGGAAGUAAUGUACCAUCAGUUGUCAGAACAUGACAAUGAGGUUUACAAGGUGUAAUUGAUGGUUUACAAGUUUCCAUGCCAGCUCUCCUAAGUAAAUCACGAGCAUAUUUAGCUUGGUUGACAAACAAAUCACCAUUGGACUGAUAAGAAACCUCCAAGCCCAAGAAAUAAGUAAGCUGGCCAAUAUCUUUCAUAUCAAACACUUGUCCCAAAUCAUCAAUCACAGAUUGCGCUAGGGUAGAACUUGACCCCGUGAUGAUAAUGUCAUCCACAUACAGCAAAAGAAUAACCACAUUAAGACCAUCAUGCUUCACAAAGAGACUAGGAUCGGAGUGUGAAGAAACAAAGCCCAAAGCUGGAAGAUAUCCAGUGAACUUGGCAUUCCAAGCACGUGGUGCCUGUUUAAGACCGUAAAGAGACUUUCGUAGCCGACAUACAUAAUCUGGAUAAUGAUCAUCAAUGAAUCCCAAAGGCUGUUUCAUGUACACUUCCUCCUGUAGGUCACCAUGAAGAAAGGCGUUUUUAACGUCCAAUUGGCGCAAACACCAUCUAUGAGAUGCAACCAAACUUAAAAUCAAUCGAACUGUGGUAUGACGAACUACAAGACUAAAGGUUUCGUCAAAAUCUAUACCUUGUUCUUGACUAAAACCUUGUGCAACUAAACGAGCUUUAUAUCGAGCAAUACGUCCAUCAGCAUGUCUUUUAAUUUUGUAAAUCCAACGACAACCAACAAUAUUCUUAUCAGAGGGUGAAGGAACUAAAUUCCAUGUACCUUGAGUUUGUAAUGCUUUAAUUUCCUCUGUCAUAGCCUGCUGCCACUCAGACUUUGUACUAGCUUCUCGAAAAGUAUGAGGCUUAUCAAGAGCAGUAAUUGUAGAUAAACAAGUGGAAAAACAUUGAAAAUCACCAAAAUCUUUCUUCUUGCUAAUACCACUUUUAAGACGAGUUUGCAUAGAAUGACCAUGCUGUGGAAUGGAAAUAUGAGAAGAAGAACUAGAGGCAUCUGUGACAGAGAGAGGAAGCAAAACCUGUAAUUGAGCAGGAUCCAAAAUAGGUUGCAUAGUCUGAGCAGAACCUAAGACCUCUUGAGCCUCAUAUGUAGAUACUGAAGAAGAUGAAUUCUCAUUUGAACAUGGGAGAGGAGAGUGAUCAGACUCUGUGGUAGUAACAUAUCUAUAAGGCAAUGAAACUGCUAUAGCUGAGGGAGACAAUUGUGUCAUGACAGAAGAAGAUUAGGUUGAGGAUACUGAAUAAUUCUUCAUUGGAAACUGAGUUUCAUCAUAAAUCACAUGUCUUGAAAUAACCACUUUAUGAGUGUCAGGAUGAAAACAAAUAACACCCUUAUAACCAAGAGAAUAUCCAAGGAACACAUGCUCUGCUGAUCGUGGCUCUAACUUGUGAGAAUUAUAGGGUCGAAGAAGUGGAUAUACUGCAGAUCCAAAAACCUUUAAUGAUUGAAGCUCAGGAUUAUGACCAAACAAUUUGAAGUAUGGAGAUGUCAUUUGAAGAAGCUGACAAGGCAUACGAUUUAUGAGAAAGGUAGCAUGAGCUGCAGCAUAGUACCAAAACUUGUCAUUCAAGGCAGCAGUAGCAAGUAAUGUAAUUGUGGUUUCAAUAAUUUGCCUAUUCUUCCUCUCAGCAACCCCAUUUUGCUGAGGGGUAUAAGGACAUGAAAUCUGAUAGAAGCCAAGAAAUCUUUAAAUGCUUUACUAUUAUACUCCCCACCACCAUCAGAUUGAAAAUAUUGCACAGAAGCUUGAAAGUUCUUAGUAAUAUACGCAUGAAAUUUCACAAGUGUGGGAAAAACCUCAGAUUUAUUGAUUAAUGGAAAAAUCCAGAGAAAUCGAGUACAGUCAUCGAUGAUUGACACAUAAUGUCUUUUCCCAUGUUUUCCUCUGUUUUCCUCCUAUUUUCCCAUGCAAACUCUUUUCUUAUAUGGAAGUGAUUAAAGUGUGAUUCAUUGAAUAUUUGCGGGGUUUUGUUCAGACCUAACAAAGUUCUAAGUGAGCACAUCAAAUUUCUUUUACACCAUCAAAUUCAACUAGGUUUAUUCUACAACCUUAUGCUCGAUCAUUUUCCACAAGCAACCGUCCACGUACCAAGUAUUUAUUUUAUAUCAACGAGUACGAUGGUCCAUUCUAAUAAUUCACUCCAGUUGCAGGCCCCAAUAAUUUAGAAGGGCCGAUGGUCUUUCAUUUGAUGAAAGCUGCUAUCUACCAACCCUGCAAUAUGAGCUAUGCAAUGGUGAUGGUGUUACAUGACGUCAGAAUGUCGUAGGGAAAAUAAAAAAUAAAAAGUCAAGGUUUCUUAUUAAUGUUAAUAAAGGCAUAGCAAAAAAUUUGUAGCUCCAAUUGUUCAAAGCAAUUACCCAUGCACUUGAGAUUCUGUGUUUGAAUCUCCAAUUUUCUCUAAUAUUGUUUGUAUAAAAAUAAAAACUUUUGAAAAGACAUUAAUAUUGUAUUCUAUAUUCUAUAAAGUGUUGGACAUGUUUUAUAUUGUUGACAACCCCCUAAUACUUUGGUGGUGCCUAGUUAUAUUCAAUUCGUAUUUAUUUAAUUUGCCACUUACAUUCUUGCCUUAAUACAUCUAGGCUUAUUUUUAUACUAAUUUCUCUAACAUAACUUUUGCACAUUCUUUUAGUCUCUAAUAUAUAUAUUCUAAUAAAUGAUCUUACCCACUUGAGUUAUAAAUCUUUUUUUUUUAAUCAUGAAAAAUCGACAUUUUGACAGUGAGUUGAAAAGCACUCCCCAAUUUUAAUGUCAACCACUUGAAAAAAAAAACAUAAAUUUAAUGACAACAAUUACAUUUAGCAAUGCAACCUAAAUACUCAAAACCUUUGCGCCCCUUUUGCAACGCAUAUAGCAGGGUGAGGAUAUUGCCAAAGGAACUGCGAUAGCCAAUUAAAAAAAAAAGUAAUGAAGGCUUAUAACUCUGGGUUAAGAGAUUGGUCGUGGAGAAUUUACAUAAUUGGAGAAUGUACCAUCCCACAUCGACCAACGGAGAGAUGGUGAUGUGCCUCAUAUGUACAUGCCCACCUCCAUCUAGCACGAGGCCUUUUAGGAGCUCACUGCAUUCAGAGUCAUUGGAACUCCGAAGUUAAGCAAGUUUAAACUAGAGCAAUCCCAGGAGUGGUAAUCCACUGGGAAGUUACUCGUGAGUUCCUAGAAACAAAACCGUGAGGGCAAGGGGCCGAAAGCAGACAAUAUCGUGCUAUGCCCACCUCUAUCUAGCACGAGGCCUUUUGGAAGCUCACUGGCUUCGGAGUCAUGGGAACUCUGAAGUUAAGCGAGUUUGGGCUAGACCAAUCCCAGGAUUGGUGACCCAUUGGGAAGUUGCUCGUGAGUUCCCAGAAACAAAAUCGUGAGUGCAGGGAGCCCAAAGCCUACAAUAACGUGCUAUGGCGAAGCCGAUUCGGGGUAUGACAGAGAAUAUUCAAAUAUUCAAAAUAUUUAUUUCUUUGGAGUGGAGAUUUCAGCUUGAAGACCAACAAUCAAUGAUCAUGAUUUUAAUCCAAGAAGGCAUAAAUUCAACGACAAAUUUUUGUCAACCCGGGGAGAAUGAUGCAGAUAAAAAGCCAUUAAAGUUUAUGGGGCAUUUGAAUCAAAAGCAUUAAUAAGUUCAAUGCAUGAACGUUUUGUUUUGGCUUCUAAUAAAUUCUAUGUAUUUGGAAUGGAAUAGCUAGAGUCGUAAUUAUUUGGAUGGGGCUUAAUGUAUUUGGAUUAAUAGGUUAAUUAAUUUAGGUGCUAGUUCAAUGUGUGCGGUGAGAGAUUAAGUCUUUAAAUACUUGUAUGCUCAUAUUUCUCAAAGGAGUGGUUGUUGAUAAUUGAAAUUGAAAACAAAGAGAAUGUUCUCUCAUCUUUGCUCAUAAUCUGGAUAUUCUUAGAAUUAACGGGUUUGAGUAUUUUAUUCUAUCUUUUAUGCCAAGUUUCGGGUAUUCUUAGACUAAACGGGGCUUGGUGGUUCGUGGUUCGUGUUUUCCAAUAUCCUUGCUCUUUCCAACAUCCUUGCUCGAGUGCCGCUGCACUAGUUGGUAUCAGAGCGGGAUUCAAUUGCAAAACUGAAAUCCUGUGGAGGAACUGCACCCUAGUUGUGUAGUUAGUCAAAUCUACAUCAGCUGUUAUUAGAAAUGGUUAGUGGUGAUCAUACAUUUGAUCAUUUAUUAGAUUUGGAUCUCCCUCCAGUAUUUGAUCAAUGUUCAGAUGGUUCUUGCGAGAUUUGUUGUGAUUAACAUUUUAUAGUGGAAUGCAUUGAAGAAGUCGUGGAAAAUUAUGUCAACCUUCAUAUUGCAAAUGUCGAUGAUUCCAUCGCUUUAUUCAACUCUCAUGAUACUUUCGAAGUUGUUGAAUAUAUUGAUUUCACGGGGGUUGAAAAUUUCAGUCAUCGUAGUGCAACCACUUUGGUUGAUACCAUAAUUCAUAAUAUCUGGGUUAAGAGAUUGGCAGUGGAGAAUUUACACAAAUGGAGAAUAUUCAAAUAUUCAAAAUAUUUAUUUCUUUGGAGUGGGAGAUUUCAGUUUGAAGACCAACAAUCAAUGAUCAUGAUUUUAAUACAAGAAGGCAUAAAUUCAAGGACAAAUUUUUGUCAACAUGGGGAGAAUGAUGCAAAUAAAGAGCCAUUAAAGUUUAUAGGGCAUCUGAAUCAAAAGCAUUAAUAAGUUCAAUGCAUGACCGUUUUGUUUUGGCUUCUAAUAAAUUCCAUGCAUUUGGAAUGGAAUAGCUAGAGUCAUAAUUUUUUGAAUGGGCUUAAUGUAUAUGGAUUAAUGGGUUAAUUAAUUUAGGUGUGUUUAUAUCGGAAAUAAACGGCCUAUGAUCACCGAACACGUGGACAGGAUUGAUAUUGAUCACAGAACCCCUUCGGCAUGCUUCCUACCGAAGCCAUCUAUCUUGGCCCUUUUUACCAUCGGACACGUGUCAUGCUCACAAUCCAUGUCCACAGUCCCACAUCGGAAAUAUGAGCACAGUGCACACCUCCCAAGGCCUAUUUAAGAAGACCCCUAUCCUCAAAAGGAGGAGAUCAGAACGAACGGUACGCUACCGAUUGAUCUAUCAGUUAACAUUACUAAAACUGUACUUACUAAAGCAUCGGAGAGCCUUCGGCCGGUACCACACCGGUACCCCAAGGAAUUACCGAACGUGUCCUUUUGCAGGUACUUACCCUUCUGAAGUAGAACAUCUUCCGAAGACAGUCACCUGCCGAAGGCAUAAUAUCACUAAGUUGGCGAAAUACGUGCCGAACCACUUUUUCGCAUCAACAGUUUGGCGCCGUCUGUGGGAAUCCAGAAAAAUCAUCAACCCACUAUCUCCAAAACACAUGGGGACCACUUCAGUACCCACGUUCUUAUCGGAAGAAGGGGUACCGUUCGGAAGGUAGACCGGAGCUAGCCCAGCGCUACCCCCAUCCACUCCCUUCGGAAACGCCCCCGCAACCCAAACAACCGCCGAAGCCGAGCUGUUAGUCCAAAUCGCGUCCCUACGGAAGGACAUAGCGAGACUUCAGGAACACAACAACCUUCUUUCGUCCAAAGUGGACGAAACCCAGCAGCUGCUCCACCAGCAGCACACGCAGAACAUCCAAGCAACUCACUCUUCCCAGAGCUUGCAGACCCCCCAUAGGAAGAAGAAACACGAGAAGGUAGCGAGGGCAACGCCCGCACCUUCCAAACAGUUGGUAGUUCCGGCACCCAGGGAUCAGCCGCACAUCCCCAAGAAAGUCUACUCCGAUUGCCGACAUCGGAUUAACGAUCGGGAGGCAGAGAGACAGAGGUCUCCGAUCAGGAUUAGCGCUCGACUAAGGGACUCACGGAUGAAAAUCCUAGGAAGCAAGUCGCCUAUUCGGAAGGUCAGAGGGCUGGACUCCGCAGAGGAGUCAGAAUCCGAAUAUAUCCCUUCCAGGACGCAAGCUUCCACCUACCGUUCGACAACGCCUUCACGGUACUCGGGGGUUAAUUCAUUAAGUCUAGAAAGACGAUCGGAAGAUUAUGGUUCCAAGGAAAUCUCUAGUCGAGACCCUGUUGUCCGACUCCUUUUUCAGAAAGUCCAAAAAAUGGAAAACGACAAAGCUCGCUCCCAAGAACCGGAAUGAGGAAGCUUCGGCCCGGACCAUUCACCAGGCGCAUCCGAGACUCUCGGUAGGAUAAGAAAGUGCAGCAACUGCGUAUACCGUUCUAUAUGGGAACGGAGGACCCCUUAACACACCUCCACUCAUUUCAGUCCGCCAUUGGAUGCAAGGGCCUGAGCGAUGAAAGGCAGUGCCUGCUAUUCCCGUCUUCCCUUACCGAAGCAGCCCUGAACUGGUUCUACCGGUUGGAGCCGGAAACGGUAAAUUCCUUCGACGAGCUGAAACAAAUUUUCCUCAAUCACUUCAUGAUCCAAACGGAUCGUCUUUACUCUGCCGAUGAUCUGUACACGAUUCGGCAAAGAGAGGAUGAACCGUUGAGAGAAUACGCGGUGCGCUUCAGUCACGAAUACUCAAGGUGUCCGAAAACAGACGAUAGGGCAACCUACGGCGCCUUCAAGAGUGGCCUUCGGUCCUCGCAUUUCCGAUACCUAGUACACAGCAGCAACUGGCGCACGUACGAUGAACUGAUGCAGGCAGCAAUCCAUGCCAAAGCCGAAUACUUCAACUCGAAACCCGCGGUUUCGGCACGGCGAGGAGAUGCCGAACCAAGUGCUUAUCCGGUAAAGGCGCCACCCUACGAGAGAGUCGACCCAUAUUUGGCAGGUCAUAAGAGGAAAGACGACCGUGCCGAUCGAAGAGAACACCCGAAGAAGGGAAAAGGGAGGUAUGGUCGCAACGACCACCGAGCGCCCCUGCCGAAUCGUGACCACGGCAAUGAAGUCUUCACCCUAUUGAACACUACCUACGAGGCCGUCCUAAUGAACGAACAAGAAAUAAUACCAAAGCCGAACCUGCGAAGAUCCAAUCGGCAAGACAACCGGGAUACCGGUAAAUUCUGCCGAUACCAUCAGCAUAACAGCCAUAAUACGGAAGACUGUAUAAGCCUAAGAAAAAUUGUCGAACGGUUGAUCAGAGAGGGGAAGCUAGAUCAGUAUAUCGCCCGGCAGCCACCGGCGCCGGUACCGAAUCCAAUUCGGCAGAUAAACAUGAUAAGCACUAUCAGCGGUGGCCCCACCAUCGCAGGAAUGAGCAACCGUUCAAUGAAGCAAUACGUGCGCGCCGCACAAUUUCCGCAGGUAUUCGGCAUAGAGGUGAAUCGGUAUCAUGAAAUACCGAAAGUUCAUUGGGAACCAAUCACAUUUUGCGAAGAGGAGGAAGAGGGCAUCCUCUAUCCCCACGACGACCCAAUGAUCAUUCGAGCAGAAAUUACCGACUACGAUGUAGGACGGGUACUGAUCGAUACCGGGAGCUCGGUGAACAUGAUUUUUGCCGAAGCUUUCCGAGAGAUGGGAAUAAAGGACAGCCAGGUCAACCGGCAGUUGACACCUUUGUUAAGUUUCUCUGGGGACCUGGUCCAACCGGUCGGUAGUGUAAAACUGCCAAUUACCUUCGGCACCGCGCCAAGGAAAACGACGGUAUACAAUCAGUUCCUCAUCAUUGACUGCCCGACAGCGUACAACGUCAUAGUUGGAUGAACGGCACUCACCAGGGUCAAGGCACAUCUUUUCCCCCACAUGCUAUUGAUGAAGUUCCCGACCCCCAACGGCAUAGGAGCUGUCAAGGGAAAUCAGCUAAGCGCGCGGACUUGCUACGCCACGGCCCUCAAGUCAACCUCUUUCAAAAUCCCCAACGAGACCAUGUCUGUACAGGGGAUACCGAACGGUACGGGACCCGUUGACGACCCAAGAGAUGAGCCCCCGACUCCUCACACACAACCCGCCGAGGAACUGGAGACGAUAACCCUGAGCGAAGAGCAGCCCGAUCGUUGGGUUAGAAUCAGCACCAGACUCACCCCUGCCCUCCGAACGCAGUUCAUAGACUUCUUGCGGCGCCAUUCGGAAGUAUUCGCAUGGUCCUACGAAGAAAUGCCCGGCAUCGCCCCAGGGGUCAUCAGCCAUAAACUCAGCAUCUCUCCCGCUUAUAAGCCUGUAAGACAGAAGCGCCGUUCGUACGAUACCGAGCGAUACGAAGCCAUGCGUAAGGAGGUUGACAAACUUCAAACCAUCGGCUUCAUCAGGGAGGCUACGUAUCCGGUAUGGCUGGCAAAUUCGGUGAUGGUCCGGAAGGCUACAUGCGGGUGGUGAAUGUGCCAAGACUAUACCGAUAUGAACAAGGCCUGCCCAAAGGACAGCUUUCUGUUGCCACGGAUAGACCAGCUCGUGGACGCCACCGCCGGCCACGAGCUGCUCAGUUUCAUGGACGCCUAUUCCGGAUACAACCAAAUUUUCGUGCACCCUUCCGACAGCGAACACACCGCCUUCAUAACGGACAGAGGGUUGUACUGUUACAAUGUCAUGCCGUUCGGCCUGAAGAACGCGGGGGCAACAUAUCAAAGGCUCGUCAACAGAAUUUUCGCCAAAUACAUCGGCAGCAUCAUGGAGGUUUACGUUGACGACAUGUUAGUAAAAAGUAGAACUGCCGAAGAACACCUGCACAAUUUUUCAAUCAUGUUCGACACACUGAAAGACUACCGGAUGAGGCUGAACCCGAUGAAAUGCGCCUUCGGUGUAUCUUCCGGGAAAUUCCUCGGAUUCAUGAUUAGUCACAAGGGUAUCGAAGCGAAUCCCGAAAAAAUAAAGGCAAUCAUCGAUAUGAAAGGUCGAAGACGACGAAGGACAUUCAAAGCCUUACCGGACGCGUGGCGGCCUUAACUCGCUUCAUAUCCAAGGCUACCGACAAAUGUGUACCGUUCUUUAAAGCCUUGAAAGGGGAUAAACAGAAUAUCAUAUGGACUGCCGAGUGUGAUAAAGCGUUUCAAGACUUAAAGGACUACAUGGGCAAAGCACCCCUUUUAUCAAAACCACUACCUGGGGAGAUUCUCUCCCUAUACCUUUCGGUAUCUAGCACUGCCGUCAGUUCGGUAUUGAUUCGAAAACCAGAGAAAGCAGAGUUACCGAUUUUCUAUGUCAGUAAGGCACUCCAGAGUGCUGAACUUCGGUAUCCCCCAUUAGAGCAGCUUACACUAGCCCUUGUGGUCUCGGCACGAAGACUUCGGCCAUACUUUCAAGCACACAGAAUCAAAGUUCUGACUAACCAACCGCUCCAGCAAGUGCUCCAAAAACCAGAGACUUCUAGCCGAUUGAUCAAGUGGGCGAUCGAACUCGGAGAGUUCGAUAUACAAUUCAUGCCAAGGCCCGCCGAAAAGGGUCAAGCCAUUGCCGAUUUCAUCUCCGAGCUCACCCCAUCAACAGCACAGGAGAUACCCGAGACCGGGUUGCUAGAGGAACUUGACACCGAGCGCUUUGGUGCCUCAACUCCCGUAUGGAGUCUGCACGUUGAUGGUUCGGCAAACCAACAAGGAUGCGGAGCGGGCUUGGUACUGACAACACCGGACGGACUCAAGAUCGAGUACGCCCUCCGAUUCGACUUCCGAACCUCCAACAAUGAAGCGGAAUAUGAAGCUCUCCUGGCCGGCCUUCGGCUAGCCAAUAGCAUGAAUGCAAAACAAAUCAGAAUUCAUAGCGACCCCCAGCUCAUUGUGAACCAGGUAACGGCGGACUUCGCUGCCAAAGACGCCUCCAUGUAUGCCUACCUUUCGACUACCCAUCAACUGCUCUGAAGCUUUCGAGCCUACGAGAUCAAGCAGAUCCCCAUAAGCGAAAACAGCCAUGCCGAUGCAUUGGCACAUCUGGCUUCGGCAAUUAACGACAAAAUCGGAAGAAAUGUGCCAGUAGAGAUUCUUGCCCAACCGAGCACGGUAGCCUCCGAAACAUGUACCGUACGGUACGAAGAUACAUGGAUGUCUCCUAUCUACUCGUACCUGACCAACGGCACCCUUCCAGAAGACAAGGCCCAGGCCCGAAAGCUUAGGCACCGAUCAGCAAAGUACACCGUCAUCAACGAUGUCCUUUACAAACGUGGCUACACAACUCCAUAUCUCAAAUGCCUUACGGCAGAACAGGGGGACUACGUCCUUCGGGAGAUCCAUAAUGGUGUGUGCGGCGACCAUUCUGGGUCCCGGUCACUCGCCCACAAAGCCUUUCGGCAAGGAUACUUUUGGCCGACCAUGCACCAGGACGCUAAUUCGCUAGUGAAAAAGUGUGAUAAAUGCCAGCGCUUCGGUAACAUACAGCAUAUCCCUGCCGAACCCCUGACACCGAUCGUGAGUCCUUGGCCUUUCGCACAAUGGGGACUAGACCUGAUCGGUCCGAUGCCACAAGGUAAAGGCCAGGUAAAAUAUGCAGUGGUUGCCGUCGACUACUUCACCAAAUGGGUAGAAGCCAAACCUUUAGCAACCAUAACGGCAGCAAAGAUGGAGGAUUUUGUCUGGACUCACAUUUCGUCUGGAUUUCGGUAUCCCAUAUGCUAUCAUUAUCGAUAACGACAGGCAGUUCGAUUCGGAACUCUUCAGGCAAUUCUGCACCGGCCUGAAAAUCAACUUGUUUUUCGCAUCACCAGCUCAUCCCCAAUCGAACGGUCGGGUCGAAGCAAUAAACAAAAUCAUCAUGAAACUACUGAAACGGCAGCUGGACAAAGCCAAAGGAGCUUGGUUGGAGAAGCUUCCUGAAGCACUAUGGGCCAUUCGGACAUCUUACCGAACGUCCACUGGAGAAAUCCCUUUUUCCCUGACUUUCGGUUCGGAGGCUGUGGUGCCUGUGGAAAUUGGCGAACCUUCCUACCGAACGAAAACCUUCGCACCAAAGCCGAAUGAAGAAGCACUUUCUCUAAGCCUUGAUCUUCUUAAAGAGCACCGGGCACAUGCCAACCUUCGGAAUGAAGCCUACAAGCAACGUGUCUCUCGGUACUACGACUCUAGUGUCAGGCACCGCUCCUUCCGAAUCGGAGACUGGGUCAUGCGCAAGGUAUCCCUAGCAACCAAGGAUGCCACGGAAGGAACCCUCGGACCUUAAUGGGAAGGACCCUAUGAGAUCAUCGGGAACCUACCGACUGAGAGACUCCAACGGCAAGACCCUCGGUCAUCCUUGGAACGUGGAACAUCUCAAAUACUACUACAAGUGACCUAGCCUACGGCAGGCCCGAACUGUAACCGCUCAGAAUGUAUUUGUCCUUCAACUGAAAAUAAUAAAAGUCUUCAGCACUAUUACUUCAGAACCUCUUUUUAAUUAGUCUACUAGCCCACGACUGCCAAUAAUGUCGAGUUAACGUUCUACGGCAUCUUUAUUAGCCUACGGCAAUAAAUGACUUUCGGCGACAAUACGUUCGACAAUUUAAACACAUGUUCAGAUUGUUCAAACAACAGUAGAUAAAAACAUGCAUUUGAAUUAGAGAUGCCCUCGGCAUCAAUGUGUUCGGUACACAAAAUAAAAAUAGAAAAAAACUAAUUCUACUAUUAUAAAUAAACGGCAAGGAGCCUCAAGUUUCAUCGGCGGCGACAGCCUCGGCAGAUCCGGAGCCCUCGGCGGCAUCUUCCCCUCGUAUUCUUCAAUCAUGUCCUCCGUCAGCCCUUCCGGUAGAGGAGUAGGAUCAGCGAUGAAGUUCAGAUUCAGCUUCUUCCCGAGGUUGUACCGUUUGAACCGGUACAACAGGUCCGCCAUCUCCGAGCCCACUUCCUUAUCCAGGAGAACAGUGAACUCUUCAGACGAGCGGUACCCCCGGAUAGUUGACCGAAUGGCAGCCUCAAUCUCCGCAGCCUUGGCCCGCUCCGACUCCUCCAAGGCCACCUGCACCGCCUCUUUGGCAGCCUCGGCAUCCCUCGCUGUCGCCAGCGCUGCCUCCAGGAGACCCUUCAUCUCCUCCACCUUCGCCUCCGAAGCGAGACCCUUUUCAGCAGAUGGGCGUGGUCCUGGAGCGCUUUGCCAGCCUCGGCAACCUUGGCCCUGCCGUCCUCGUACGCCUUCUUGGCACGCUCGGCAGCAGCAAUGGCCCGCUUGACGCAGAGCCACAUGUCCAUGGACGCCUACACAAAACAAACAAAGUUAGAAGCAUGCCCCACUUACCAAAAAAAAAAGGACGAAGGAAGAAAGAAAAUCUUAUCGAGGCUUGAAGCCGGAAGGCGCGUCCGGCCUCCUCCCGAAGAAGCUUCUUCGGUAGUUCGUCGAUCUCCAGCAGCUCCAUCUGAGAACCGAGGAUCAUAUGGUUGACGAACUGGACCGUCUUCGCGGGGCAGGCGAUGGUGACGGCUUCGGAAGGACCGUCCACGUCCUCCACCGCAAGGAAAGCCCUUGGGACCUCCGAUUGGCGAGGGCGUUUGGGGACUGGCUCGGCUUCCAGAUCGACUGUCUCCGGCCGCUUGCCGGCAGCCUUGGAAGCUGCGGCCUCGGUAUCCCGAUGCCUCGGUGCAGAGACCUCACCGGCAGUGCGCCCCAGAACAGGCUCGGUGCCCAGCUGUCGCAGGCGCUCCGCGAGGGUCUGAUCCUCCGGAUCCACCACCGCCUGCCGGACGGAAGCUGCCUCGGGCUGCUUUUUCUUUUUCUUGCCCUCCAGGCCCAUCAUUAGGCGCCUCCUGGAGGACUCGUUCAUCUUCUUCGCCUCGGCAGCCUUCUUGCGUCCGUCACUGGUCAAAAGUGUUUGGUCAGUUGGCAAACAAAAGCAACACACAAAAACAAAAAAAAAAAACAAAAAGAGAGAAGGAAAGAUAUACUUACUCUCGGCAGGGUGGACGAGGCCGGCUCUGACAAGGUUGUCGGUGGAGAAGAAGCGUGGGUAAACUCGCUCGGCAGCAGGUACUCUCAGCCUCACUCUGUCGAGCUGCCGGAUCUCACUCUGCUUGGGGCUCGGCUGUUUGAGUUUACCUGUCGGAAGAAGGAAAAUUAGUAAAAUAAAGCAAGAAAAAAGAAGAGAGAAGAGAAGCCAGCCUAUCAAUCGGUAUUUCGGAAACCUACCGGCAAUCUGAAAUGUCGUGGGGACCGGGAAGCGAGGAGGUGUUCCCGAUGGCGAUUCCCAAUCGCCGGAGAGUAGCACCCGCCGAUUCCUCCACGACUUUUGAGAAGUCGGCACCGAGCUGAUGAAGUGCCCCUGCUCGGAAGUCUUCAGGCAGUUCGCCUGAACCCAGCCGCCGUGAUCGGCGCUCUUGGACUUAGUAAUGCUGUAUAAGUACAAGAACUGCUCGUAGGAAGGCUCCCCCUCCUCGGCAAUCCCGAACGCAGCAAUUACCCCGAUCAAGGCCACCCAGAAGUUGGGGUUGUACUGGCCGGGAGCGUACCCGAUCUGGGCAAGGAACUUCUGCACGGCAGGUUUCAACGGCAACCGAACCCCUUGUAGAAGAACGUCGGUGAAGAAGGUCACUUCACCGUUCACUGGGUCGCUGAGGGACUCGACAGGGCUCGGUAUCCUCAUCUUCACCGAGUCCGGAAUGAGGUACUCGGCCCUAAUCCUCUCCAGCUCUCGUUCGGUGAUCUUGUUGGGCUCCAAUUAGUCGACCCCGAACAGAGUCUUCCUAGGCACACCCACCGGUAUCCUAGGCUGCUCUCGAUGGACGAUCGUCACCCUCGGCCGGGAGGGACCGGCAAUGCCCUCACCACGACCGGAGGUGGAGGCCUCAGGCUGAUGCUUAAACGGGCCGACGCGGGUACCGUCCUUGUACACCACGGUCAAGGGUAGCGGUUGCCCCGUCAUAAGCCCCUUGCCGAUGCCAUGGGUGGGAAUGGAGUUCACCUCCUCACCGAAUAACUCAACAUCGGUGUCUUCUCCACCCUCAGCGUCGAGGCUCACAGCCCCGCUGGACGUAUCCCAGCCCGAUGACAACUCCCCAUCGAACGCGUUGGGCUCACUUCCGAACGGCGACUCGCUAUCAGACAUCUACAAAACAAAGAAAGGGAAGCUAAGGCCCGUGCCACAAACUACUCUACCGAUGCCUACAUCGCUACCUAUGGCCACUAGACUACCGAAGAAAAAUUCUAUUUUACGUUCGGCUAGCCUACGCCAUGAAAAGACGUACAAUUAAAUAAAUUGAGAGUAUUUUGAGGGGUACCGAACGGUAUCUUACCUUGAGUAGUGUGGGAUGAGUUGAUCACCGAUCAGAGACUUCGAAAAUUGCCCUGUAUGCCGAGAACCGCUGUAAAAAUCGCCUUGAUUGCCGUUCACUCUCUUCGGAAAUCGCCCGCACAGAGCUCUCGCGUCAACUCACAAUUGCAAAGUGAGCCUUACAUCCGGAGCAACCUCUAUUUAUAGGGAGAAAGCUGUAACGGUACACCUCGGAAGACUAAACGGCUCUUUAAUGCGUCGUCAGACGUGCUGUUGCUGGCCACGUGUCACCCGACGAAUGGCGCCGCUGACUGCACGCCAGGCACGGAAGACGAAGCGUCUCUCUGCCCUUUUGCUCUCAGCAUCGACGACCCCUCAAGUCCCAGGUCAAUCUCCCCCGAACGAUCCUACCGAACGGCAGGUCAACCUCCGAACCGCUAUAGAGAACUAAAUUCCCUUCCGAAGGACCUUCGGAAGAGAACUUGGGGGACUACUGUUUAUACCGGAAAUAAACGGCCUAUGACCACCGAACAAGUGGACAGGAUCGAUAUUGAUCACAGAACCCCUUCGGCAUGCUUCCUACCGAAGCCAUCUAUCUUGGCCCUUUUUACCAUCGGACACGUGUCAUGCUCACAAUCCAUGUCCACAGUCCCACAUCGGAAAUAUGAGCACAGUGCACACCUCCCAAGGCCUAUUUAAGAAGAUCCCUAUCCCCAAAAGGAGGAGAUCAGAACGAACGGUACGCUACCGAUUGAUCUGUCAGUUAACAUUACUAAAACCGUACUUACUAAAACAUCGGAGAGCCUUCGGCCGGUACCACACCGGUACCCCAAGGAAUUACCGAACGUGUCCUUUUGCAGGUACUUACCCUUCCGAAGUAGAACAUCUUCCGAAGACAGUCACUUGCCGAAGGCAUAAUAUCACUAAGUUGGCGAAAUACGUGCCGAACCACUUUUUCGCAUCAACAAGGUGCUAGUUCAAUGUAUGCAAUGAGAGAUUAAGUCUUUAAAUACUUGUAUGCUCAUAAUUCUCAAAGGAGUGGUUGUUGAUAAUUGAAAUUGAAAACAAAGAGAGUGUUCUCUCAUCUUUGCUCAUAAUCUGGGUAUUCUUAUAAUUAACGGGUUUGAAUUUUUCAUUCUAUCUUUUAUGCCAAGUUUCGGGUAAUCUUAGACUAAACGGGGCUUGGUGGGUCGUGGUUCGUGGUUCGUGUUUUCCAACAUCCUUGCUCGAAUGUUGCUGCAUCAAAGGCAGACCAAUAAAAAAAAGAGUAGCAAAGGCUUAUAACUCUCGUAAAACAAGAGUGACGUGGACAUAAUAUGUUACGUCGUACUGAAGAUUUUUGGGUUUCUUUAAUUGGUUAAGUUUAUAUACAUUCAUUUGAAGAUUCUUUAUUUGGGUUUCUUUCAAGAUGAAAACCAUAUCCACAACCAUAACCACAACUUGCCAGGGGCGGAUCCACAGAGGAGCAAGGGUGGUCAAUUGACCCCUACAACCUCUGAAAUCUGCCAUUAGAGGAGCAAAAAUUGACCCUCGCAAGAUGUUCGAUGAAAUGCCCCAAAGGGGCAACUUGUCUGUCCAUGCGCUCCAGCGCUGCUUGCGCGCAGCGCGCGAGCCUUUUUUUUUUUUUUUUUUUGUUUCUCUCGACUUCAAAGGUCGGGUGAGGUUGUUGAGUUCCAACUCGUCUCCCAUCUUGAUUGGAAGUGUAGCUUGCUUACUUUUAUCUUGACGGAGAUAACGAAGUGUGUUCUCUAGUUUAGGGUCAUAUGGUAUAAGCUCGUGACUCUGCGAACGACGACCCAGCAUAUACCUGAAAUUGAAAACAAAACUCAAUUAGAUUGACAAUCCCCGGCAACGGCGCCAAAAACUUGUUGGUAAUUUUUAACAACAAUAUUAAAACCUUGAAGUGCACAAAUCAAAUGAUAGUAUAGUAACCAAGCAAGGGUCGAUCCCACAGAGAUUGUGAUCUAAAGAGAUGUUUAUCAAUGUCACACAAUGAGAACUAAAACACAAUUAAACACGAAAACAAAAUAAAGAUUGAAACCACAAGGACUUCCACACACACGCCAACACCAAGGGGGGUUUUGAUUUGAUUUUGUGAAUAAAACAAAACAAGGAAAAGAAAAGAAAACAGAAUUUAAAUUAGAGUUUAAGAGAAAUUGGUUUAAAAUCAAUCAAGAACAAUAGCUAGGACUUACUAUCCACCUCCAAACAAUCAAUCAAUCAAUCAAUCCAUAAACAACAAUAGAUAAUCAAUUUCUAGCAAGCACAUGAUGAUGACACUCACAACAAGAUCAUGGCAUUUGACUCGAGUUGUGUGAUUCCCUCUGAAGUGUAUGGCAUUUACAUCAAUACGUGUAUUCUUAAUUAAAAUCUAGUAUGAUAUUUACUCAAAUUAACAAUCAAGAAUCCAUUAAGAUCAAAGAGAAUAUGUGUGUCACAAAAACCCUAAAACAUGGCAUUUGUUAUUAGGAAUUCAAGAAUCAAUUUCUCAUAACUAGUUCUGAACUCAAUUAUUCGUUGCAAACAAGAACACAUUCAAUAUGGCAAUUGACCUAUGUUCUACAACAAUUUAAUUCCAAACAUGCUUCCAAGUUAGCUACUCAAAGAAACAAAAUAUCAGAAUUCACAUAACAUAGAGAAACCAAAAUCAUCACGCUUGUAGAAACUGAAAAUCCAUUCAAACUUGUUUAUAAAAUUGAAAUUAUGUUUAGGGCUUCAAGAUUAAGCCCUAACUAACAAGAAAUUAGUUACUCAUAUUCUUGGAUGAACUCAAAAAUAAAUACAUAAGAACUGAAAAUUAAAAGAAGGAAGGAAAAGAAAGAACUCGUUGGCAGCUUUCUCCUUUUGCGCUGUUGAUCUCUUUAGGACGUGAAUUCCCUGUAUGAGGGCCUUGGCUGGCUUUUAUAUCACUUAUAUCAGAGUUCUAAACCCUAAUAUUGACUGAAAAAGUCAUCCAAGAAGUCUUGGUAAAUAAGGAAUCCAAAUAGGGAAGUAAAGAUCACAAUUCCUAACUCUAUAGGGAAAUACAGCUCAGCCCAAUUGUUACACGAUUUGGGGAUCUUCGGCCUUGUAGAAAAAUCAUUAAAAAUAUAUUUUAGAAAGAUAAAUGUCUUAUCUUUCCAACCAUAUAUAGCACGUAACUUGAACAAUUCGGGAAGGCUUCCGUUUCUUCGUAUUCACGUAAUAUGUACGAAACUGUCCUGUCUGCACGUGGGCUAACUUUACUUGUAAUACUCUACCAAUUGGCUUGGUAUAAAAUUCUACAAAAUCACAGAUUGAACUUCAAGAUGUUAGCUUUCAUCUCCAAUUGGCCUUGCACUAAAAUUCCUCUGAAAAGUUAAUUUUCCCUUAAAAACCUUCUAAGAGCGCAGAAAAGCUGAAAAUCAGAAAAGUAAAGUCAUAAGCCCUUUUUAAAUCCAAUUAUCCUACAAAACCUAAGUAAAAAGAGUACAUAAAUGAGUAUAUUUAUGGACUUAUCAAAUUUCUGGCGUGUAAGGCACUUCCCAUACAUGGCGUUGGAAUUUCCGGCUUAUGGGAAGAUUAUGUGAUUAUUAGGUCUCACACGUGGCGUUAGAAUUUCCGGUGUGUGAGACACUUCCUAUAGGUGGCGUUGGAAUUUUCGGCAUAUGGGAAGAUUAUGUGAUUAUUAUGUCUCACACGUGGAGUUGGAAUUUUCGGCGUGUGAGACACUUCCCAUACGUGGUGUUGGAAUUUCCGGCGUAUGGGAAGAGAAUAAGGAGAGGAAAAAAUAAUUAUUUUACUAUAUCGGGGAAAGAUUGAUGCUUAAAAGAAUAAUGUCUUGUGUGUUGUGAUUUAAGGAAAAGGAAUAAUUCUAUAAUUUACUAUUUUAUUUUGCUGUAAUGGAUUGUAUGUUAUUGGAAUCGAGAUUCUUGUAGAAAGAACUACAUGUGGCUUGAUCCCUCAGUAAGGAUACGUAGGUAGCUUAGGGUCUCACCCAGGUGCAGCCGCGAAAUAACUAUAUAUAUAAAAGGUUUAACCGGUUUUGAAUGUGUGAAUGAAUUUUGAGGUGGUUGCGGGAUUUGAAUCCUAAUUAUUACUACUACUAGGUUCAGUUUUGAUUAUGAUGGAACGCCUGAAGCUCGACUCAAACUUGAGCGAGAUUAAAUGCUUGUUUAUUUCUCGAUUAACUUGAUUGGACUUUAUUAAAUAGAAUAUGUGGUUCUGAUAUGUCUGAGAUCCAUUUCGAAAUAAAUGACUGAUAUUAGGUUGAUUAUAUUGAGUAAUGGGCUUGAGGCCCCUAGAACCGAAAAUCGCGUGCCCUUAUUCCUUUUUGGGAAAGGAGGCUAUAGUUUUAGUGACUGGGCCCGACAUCGUGGUGAUGUCAAAUUUUCCACAGGAUAUGUUCUGGGUUCCGAGGAAUUCGAGGCAGGUCUUGUCAACUAAUCAAUCGUCACAUCCCAGGAUCGGCUCCGCUGUAGCACGAUAUUGUCUGUCCGCUUUGGGCCUCUCUCUCUACCUUCACAAUUUUAUUUCUGGGAACUCACAAGCAACUUUCUAGUAGGUCAUCAAUCUUGGAAUUACUCUAGCCCCAACUCACUUAAUUUCGGAGUUCCCAUGACUCCAAAACUAGUCAGUUCCCAAAAGGCCUCGUGUUAGAUAGAGGCGGGCAUGUACAUAUAAGACACAGCACCCCCUCUUCGUUAAUCAAUGUGGGAUGUUACACCUCCCUUCUAAUCUUGUACUAAAAAAAAACUUACACUGAGAAGAGCAAAGAUGAGUGGUAGAUGGAAACCCAUUAAGAUUGAAAUACUUAUGCAACAGGAAGGUGAUGAAUAUGAAGGAAAAAUAAAACUUAAUAUAUAUAAGAUCAAGUGAAAAACAAAAUUAAGUCAUCAAACACUGACAGAGAAAGUAAAACCACUUUAGUUGAUCAAAUCCAAAUUUUAUAUAAUCUGUAUUAAUGAGUGGAGGAGAGACUUGAAGAAAAAAAUGAUAAAAACUUUCAAUCUCUAACAAUUUCUACGUUUGUCCUUCAAAUUUGCUUUUUGGCAACUCUUUUUUCUUUUUGUGAAGUUGGGUCUCAACUUCCAAGGCCCAAAAUGCAAAAACUACCUCAAACUCAAAGCAUUCCCUGGGCCUAUACAAUCCUCAAGAAGAAGACAAGCCCAAUGUGAGGAAGAAGAAAAGAAAAAGGCAAGGAAUCUAUGAGUUGACCUGAUCAUUAUGCAAUUAUUCAGAGAGAAUUUAUGUCACAUCUACAGCCGGAGAAAGCAAUCUGCAACUGCAAGUGAGCUUUUCUAGUCAUUAGCCAAAGGCAAAACAAACUUGGUCCUUGCAUACAUAGCUUAGCAGGUGCGAAUUCCUUCACUUCUCUCUUUCUACUUUUUUUUCUUUUCAUUUUCAUAAUAUUUCUUCUAGAUUAAUGUAUUGUUCUAUAAAUUGAUAUAUAUGUUUCCACAUGUCCAUUUGCCUGAAGGUUUAAGUCGCUUGUGUUUCAUGGUAUGUUUUGAUCGAGGAGUAGGUUGACACACUGGUCAAAGUUGAGGGGGUUCUUUGUAUCUUAUACCCUAUCGAUUUUCUUAGGGGUGUCCUUUCGUGCCGUCACUAUGGUUUUGCUCAGCAUAGCACAUCAACAGGAAAAUGGAAGAAUGCAAUCAUGCUGGUCCAAAUGACACAAUUAACAUGCCAUACGUUCCAUUAGAAACUUCAUUGAGGGAGGAGUUAGAUAGCUUGCCUGCCUUGUCCUCUUCGUGUUGUAUCUACAGAGUUCCCAAUGACAUACGACGUCUGGAGGAAAAGGACUACACACCUCAAGUCAUCUCCAUAGGUCCACCUCAUCAUGGCAAGGAAGGUUUAGAAGCCAUGGAAGAGCUGAAAAGAGGUACCUACGAGAUUUUAUGUGUCGGACUAAGAUAAGCUUGAAAGACUAUAUCAAGAAAAUAAGGGACCAAGAAGCAAGACUGAGAAGUUGUUAUGCAGAACCCAUCAAAUUUAGCAUUGAUGAAUUUGUAAAAAUCAUUCUAGUGGAUGCUGCCUUCACUACUGAGUUCUUAUUGAGGUUCUAUCUGAAAGAAUCUGGACAUGAAGGAGACCGUUUGUUAAACAAUCCGUGGAUGUUCAGGUAUGUACAGCCUGACAUGUGGUUGCUUGAAAAUCAGCUCCCAUUCUUUGUUCUUGAGGAUCUUUAUCACACAUACAUAAUAACCGACUCUUUUAGGAAUUAUUACAGUACUCAUGAUCAUGAGAGGCUUUCAAUAAUUAAUAUUUCAAAGAAUUUCUUCACAGCUGGAAUAUUGAAUUUGGAGGGUAAAGGAGACAAAUGGAACAGAAUAUCAUCUUCUUCUAGUUCUAUUAAUGUGCAACACUUUGUUGAUCUUAUAAGAAUUUUCUAUCUACCAUUGGAAUCAGAAUUAAGAGAUGCAGGGGAGCUCAAAACCUUGAACAUACCUAGCAUCAAAGAGAUGCACCAGGCUGGAGUCAAAAUUAAGGUAGGAUCAAGCAAAAACUUAGUCGACAUACAAUUUGCAAGUGGAACUCUCAUAAUUCCUAAAAUAAUGAUAACUGGUGACAAACUGCGGACCCUGGGAAAUGUCCUUGCCUUUGAACAAAGCCAUUGCAUGGAAGACAACUACUUAAACGAUUAUGUUAGCAUCAUGGGUCGUUUUGCGAACACUCCAAAGGGUGUGGAGUUGCUUGUUGAGUUUGGAAUUUUUCAAACUGCGGGUACCACCAGCGUGGUGUCAUCUAUGAUUACCAAACUUGCCUCUGAGGCUCUUUUCUUUGUCGAUAGAUUCUGUUACGCGACUCUUUGUGAAGAGCGGAACAACUUCUGCAGAUCGUCCUGGAACAAAUGGAAGGCAAAUUUGAGACAAAAUUAUUUCAACACACCUUGGGCAUCUAUUUCUGUCAUUGCCGCUGUUGUUCUCCUCACACACACUCUCAGACAAACGGUGUGCUCUGUUAUCUCUGCUACUUAACCAUUAAAGGGUAAGUCCCUGCUUUGCCGCUUUCUCUUCUGACAAUAAUAUGUAGACUCAUCUCUGUUUUUAUUAUUUAUUUAUUCACUCACAUGGUUCUAGCAGGAACACUUUCGGGAAACUAGUAGUAUUUCAGGUCCUCAUCAAGUAAAGGGAUCCGAGGAAAGCCUGUGAACUCAAGUCCAGAUGAUGAAUGUAAUAUUUCUAUUGUUUGUCCAAAUUUUCACAGUGAAUGAAUUCAAACUGCAGGUUCUUCCUAUCCAGAUUGUUUCUGAUGAAAUAUUAUUUAUUUCUGUGCUAUAAAUUUUUUAGUAAUGAAAAAAGAGAGAAAAAAAAACUUCCAAUGUCCACCAAUCUCUGUAAAAAUUAAUUUGUUUUAUGAUUAAUUUCUCCAUGGUGGUGAUCAAAUCUUUAUUCUUUUUGUGGUUAAGUUGGAUCCCAAGGCCCAUAAACACAAAAACUAACUCAAAGCAUUCCUGGGCCUAGAAACCGCUUGGCAUCCUCAAGAAGAAGACAAGCCCAACAUGAUGUGGGAAGAGUCCAAGACUAAACGGCUCAAGUCGAAGGAAAAAGCAUAUAAAGAGAGUUUGAUAUUUUUCAUCAUCAAAUCCGUUAAGAAUUUUAUGUAUUUAUUAUUAGUAAAUUUAGGUUUUACCCAUAAAAAAAUUUUCAUUUUUGGAAAAAGCCAAAGCUUUUUGAAAAAAGACAGAAUAACCUCUUAACUUUCAAACCAAAGACAUGCAAAUGUAAAGGAUUUCUUAGGAAAUCAAAAAAUAAAUAAGGGCAAUUUUGUCCAUUUUUGCUUGUUUUAAAAAUUUUCUCUCUCCUUUGGGCUUUUCCAAAGUCUCCCUUUAUUAUUUUAUAUUUUUUUAGUACAAGCGAUAGGGAGGGGUUUCUCACACACACAACUAAUGUCAUGGGGGUUUGAACCUGAUACCUCUCUGGUCUACAAAUCAAAACCCUUUUUCACUCCACUAGACCCUGUUGGCUUUUUUUUUUCUUCUUAAGAGCAUUUUAAAUCUAGUAAGAAACAACCUAAUUUUUUCCGGAACAUUUUCAUGGAAUAAGCAUUGCACACUCCGCACAAAGGACACAGAAACUUCACCGAAACACAAAAGCAGAUUUUACUUAUAGUCGACAAACCCUUGUACAAAAUGUUGAUUUUUAGUUGUCGUGGGACCUGCAAUGGAUUAUUCAAACUUCCCCAGGACGCGCAUAGACAUGUCAAAGCAAAGGCAAGGAAGCUACAUGAGGAGUUGACCUGACUUCCAAACCAGAUUCACUAGUUCUUAUACUGAAAUCUAGCAGAAGAGCAAGCUAUCUGCAUUGAGCUUUUCUAGCUACUCAUCUACCAACUGCCAAAAAAAAAAAAAAAAACUUGGGUUUCAAUCCAUAGCAGGUAUGUUUUCAAUGCCCAAACUCCUUUCUCUGUCUUUCUUUAUUUUUCUAUGUUUGCUUGCACAUCCAAUUUCUUGAAGCUUUUUAAGUGUCUUGUGUUUCAUUUUAGUUGGAAAUUGGAAUUGAGCAAAAGGUUAUGUAAAUGUCGUAUAUAAUUUUCUUCUCUUGUAAUGGGAUUUUGGUUUGUCUAUGUUUUGACUGGAAGCAUAAUCUACUAUCUGAUAUCAUUACACAAAGAAUUUGUUUUAUUAGAAUCUCCAAUAAUGCAGAACACGAAAAAGAUUUUUUUUUUAUUUUUUAUUUUUUAUUUUUAUAAAUGUAAUAAUUCAUUCAAGACUUUCAAUUCUUUUCCUUUCGAACAAAUAAAAAAAAUGGUGUCUCUAUGUUAAUGUGAAUUAAACUUUCGUACUGAUUCACAUGAUUAGUAGGAAUUUUUCAAUCAAAACUGCAUUAGAAUCUUCCAAGAAUAAUUACAAGAAACAGAGUUGACCAGAAGAGUUUUGAAUGAAUUUGGUGCAUUCAAAUCAAAUUCUUAAGGCACUAGUGUGGUAUGUAAGAGUUACAAGGAUCAAAAGUCUUUGUGUGUUUGGUCUUAUAGUUGCAAUGUUUGUAUUAAUUUUCUCAACCAUCUUGAAAAUUUGUUUAUUGUUGUGUCAGUGACUAUCAUUUCAUUAUCAUCCAUUACGAUUGACAACAACAAACACAUCAGCGGAAAAUGGAAGGAAGCGAUCAAGCUCCACAUGAUAUUGAAAACCCCUGCAUUCCAUUAGUAACUUCAAUGGGCGAGGAAUUGGAUGGCUUGUCUCCCCUCUCCUCUCUGUGUUGCAUUUAUAGAGUUCCUGAACGACUACGGCGUGUGAGUGAAAAGGCCUACACACCUCAGGUAGUCUCUAUAGGCCCACUUCAUCAUGGCAAGGAAGGCCUAAAAGCCAUGGAAGAUCACAAAAAGAGGUACUUACAAGAUUAUAUACGUCGGACCAGGGUAAGCCUAGCGGAUUAUGUACAGAAAGUAAAAGACCAAGAAGCAAAACUGCGCAGUUGUUAUGCAGAAACCAUUCAGGUUAGCAGUGAUGAAUUUGUGAGAAUCAUUCUGGUGGAUGCCGCCUUCAUCAUUGAGGUCUUGUUGAGGUAUCGUUUCGAUGAAUUGCAGGAUGAAAAUGACUGCAUAUUUAACAAACCAUAUAUGUUGCAGGAUGUAUGGCCUGACAUGCGGUUGCUUGAAAAUCAGCUGCCCUUCUUCAUUCUUGAGGAACUUUUUGACCCCGACAAAAUCGAAGUCUCUUCUAACAAUAACAAUAUUGAAAGGCUUUCGAUACUCAACCUUUGCCACAAUUUCUUCAAAAAUCUAAUGCAUAUAGAGGGAACAGAUGGCAAUAUGGAGAAAUUAUGUGCUUCUAAAGUUGAACACUUUGUAGAUUUUUGUAGAAAUUUGCAUCUACCUCUACCAUUGAAACCACAUGCUAAAGGGCGACUUGAAACUCUAAACACACCCAGCAUCACAGAGUUACACAGAGCAGGAGUCAAGUUUAGGGUGGGAUCACCCAAAAACUUAUUCAACAUAAAAUUCGCUAAUGGGAUUCUAAAAAUUCCAAAAUUAGCAAUAAGUGAUGAGACAGAGCUUACAAUCAGAAACCUCCUCGCUUUUGAACAAUGCCAUUGCAUGGAGAAUUACAUAAACGAUUAUGUUGUCAUCAUGGAUCGCUUUGUGAACACCGCAAAGGAUGUGGAGUUGCUUGUUAAGCAUGGAAUCGUCGAAAAUAGUCUCGGUGACAGUAGUGAAGGGUCUACUCUGAUUAACAACCUUGCGGAUGGGGUCAUAGUGGACCCUAAUGACUUCUAUUUUGCUAUUCUUUGUGCAGACCUCAACAAGUACUGCAGAACGUCUUGGCACAAAUGGCAGGCGAACUUGAGACAAAACUAUUGCAACACACCUUGGGCAACUAUUUCAAUUGCUGCGGCUAUUUUUCUCCUCAUACUCACUUUUAUACAAACAGUGUGCUCUGUUAUCUCUGCUCUGCCUUCUAAGCGUUGAGAGUAAGUCUCCUCUUAGCCGUUUUCCCCUUGUCAUUUCCUUUUGGUCCUCCGCAUGACACGAGCUGGGUUUGUCACCAGCCUAGAGGUGCAAGAGAGCUGGAGAAAGAAAAAGUUAGUGUAUAUGUAGAAAAUAUAGCCUCUGUUAGUGAAAGUGAGCUGUGCAUGUAGAGUGAUGGAAGCAAUGUGGUUGUUUUAUUUGUUUCUCCAUGCUUGUUCGGUAUGAAACUGUUCAAAUUUUAUAACUUUAUUGUUAAUCCGAGAGCUGUUAUGUUGGGUACUCCAAUGUAACAAAUCAUUGAAAAUCUCAUGUCGGUAGAUACUAGUCUUUAAUCUAAGACAUCCUUUGUCAAUGGAGGUUUUGUGCAAAAACUAUUUUAUACACAUAUUUUAUACCCUAAGUGAAGCCCCUAUUUUAUACCCUAAGUGAAGCCCCUAUUUUAUACACAUGAAAAACAAUUUUUGAUCUUCAAAAAAAGCAAUGCAUAUUCGAAAUAUAACUGAAAAAAAGUGUAUUGUCUAUGAUUUUAUUUUUGUAUUUUAGGUGCAUACAAUUGGAUCUAAAAUUGCCACAUAACUAUCAUAAACUUAGAAGCCAUAUAAUUACGCUUACGAAAUAUGCUAGCGUGCGUCGCAUGUGGGCAUGUGUCACCCUAUUACCAUACUGUAUGUCCUGGACGGUAGAUGACUGGACCUUUGCCUCCGACCAAAAUAUACAUAUAUUUUCCUCCUUUUCUUGAGCUUUAUAAGCGUCCAACUCCAUUCAUAGUUGAUUUCGAACCAAAACAAAGAAUUCAUAAUUGAUUUAUUAUUUUUCCAACUAUAUGCACAAGGACCUAUAGCCUUUUCGAGUGUAUAAUUAAUUAGCAUGAAGAAAAGGAUAGAAUUCUUUUCUUGCAGACCCAUACAUAAAUGUAGAUUCGAUACAUUUACGCAGUCCACCCGCACCAAAAGAUUGCAAAAAGUUCACAAUAUUUUUAAAUGUAGAUUCGAUACUUUAAUUGAUUGCUAUGAAAACCUUCUCUGGUGAGGCAUUAGUGGUCUUCAGCUCUUCACCUUGGCAUUGGUGGGUGAAGUCACACCACAUCCCCUACCCUCGGGUUUAGUAGAGUCUCCCGACCACAAAGGUUGGGCAGCGCAAGCAAACCAGAAAAAUUAUAGUUUUGGGAGCUUCUAAUUUAUUUUAUUUUUUUACACUAAACAAACACAGUUGAUUUAAGUAGAAAUCAAUUUAGUCCUUUAGCCAAGCUUGAUGGUAAAGUGGGGCCAAUCACACAGUCCAUAUCCACCCCUUGGAAUCUCCAUAACCCCCAAAAAAGUUUCAAAAAAAAAUUUUUACAAAUAAUUUGAAAUGUUUGAUAAUGAAUGUACACAAAUUAUAGCUCUGGGAGCUUCUAAUUUUUACACUCUAUAGCAACCAAAAAAAAAAAAACCCAGUUAAUUUAAGUAGAACUCAAUGAAGUGCUUUAUUUCACUAAGCCAAGCUUGACGGUGAAGAACUGAUCAACUAACAUUUCUUUUGCAGGUUCUGAAAGAAAAAGUAGAGAGGAAAAAGAAAACGUUGCUUUUCUGCUUUUAUUAUUAUUUGAACCAAUUAAACCGGGGUUGCAUAAGCGCUUCUAUUAUAAAAAUGUUGAAAUCUUCAUAAGAAAUCCAAGUGCCUCCUGGUAAAACAAUUGGGAGUGCUAGCUUAUUUAGAAAGCGCUUCUAAAGGUUUAAGCCAAAUACUGUCAUAAGCGCUUUUGGUUGUUAAAAAAGCACUUUGAGCUAUUCUAGAAGCAUUCACAAACAUGCCCUGGCUAUCUAUGGACUUCUCCUUUUUAUACCCUUGGGAGAGCUACGAACCCACUAAUUUAUAAUAAGUAAAUUUAGGUUUUACCCAUAAAAAAACUUUCACUUUUGGAAAAAGCCAAAGCUUUUUCAAAAAAGACAGAAAAACCUCUCAACUUUCAAACCAAAGACAUGCAAAUGUAAAGGAUUCCUUAGGAAAUCAAAAAAAAAAAUAAGGGCAAUUUUGUCUAUUUUGGCUUCUUUUAAAAAUUUUCUCUCUCCUUUGGGCUUUUCCAAAGUCUCCCCUAAUUAAUACAACAUGCCAAGCCUUAGAAAGGUAAAGCCAGGUUAAGCAUAACAUGAACAGUGAAAACCAGGUUUCACUACAUAUGGAUGUCAUUGCAGCUGUUGUUCUUCUCAUACUCACUAUCAUGCUGUCUGCCUGCUCUGUUGUCUCUGUUACUUAACUUAAUGUUAAAGUAUUUUAGAGAUCGAUUCAACCAAUGUUGUGCCUAUUGUUUUCUUAUAGUUCGUUUGUGUGAGUGGUGGUGGUAUUCAAAUUAUUUGUUUGAUGUAAGACUAAAUAUAUAAUUUUUAACAAAUGUAUCAGGGGUAAUUCCCUUCGCACUGAGAGUUUGAAUAGCUUAUUUAUAUACAAACAGAAGAACCUCCACUUCCCUAGUUUAUUUCUUUUGACUCUGUGGACCAUUCCUCGAAAGAUGAUUCUCGAUCCUGUUCGUAAAAAAAUUUCUAUUUUUAGUUUAAAUUUUUUUUAUAGGUUUACCAUAAUCUUUUUUAAAUUUAUUACUUAAAUAGUGGUAGUGGACAUUGAACAACCGGGAGCAAUUUACUUAUGAUACUUAGUUGACAUUCAUAAAAAGUAUCUAAUGAAUUAUGAGUUCAAUACAUCUAAAUUUUAAAUCAGUAAAAUAUUUAAAUAUUCACUAAAGAAAUAAUAAUUAAAACAUAAUUACUAAUUAAAGUAAUUAAAAACGGCUAAGGUAUUACUUAUUAAAUUAAAGAAGUUGGCCAAAAAACAAAAGUAAAGGAACAUAUUUUAUAUUUUUAAAAUUUAAAGAUAAAAAUAAAAUAAAAUAAACCAAAACAACCUCUCUCGACAAAAUUUCGUCGGCACAAGUUUAUACCGGCAAUAUUUGCCGAAUUAGACCUCUCUCGACGAAACUCACCUCUGCUGACGAAAUUGCGUUGGGAGAAAUCUAAUUAGGUAAAAAGUUGCAUGCAUAUACCCGUGCCAACUAAGUGUAACAUCCCACAUCGACCAACGGAAAGGGGGUGAUGUGCCUUAUAUGUACAUGCCCGUCUCUAUCUAGCACGAGGCCUUUUGGGAGCUCACUGGGUUCGAAGUCAUGGGAACUCCGAAGUUAAGCGAGUUGGGGCUAGAGCAAUCCCAAGAUGGGUGACCCACUUGGAAGUUGCUCGUGAGUUCCCAGAAACAAAACCGUGAGGGCGGAGGCCUAAAGCUGACAAUAUCGUGCUACGGCGGAGCCGAUCCCAGAAUGUGACAAUAUCGUGCUUAUCACUGGUGGAAGACAGUCCGCAGACGGUAUGCUAACCCUGUUCCCUUACUUGGGAAGAGUUUCAGAGGGUAUUCUUCGAUCAGUUCUACCCGCAUUCUUACAAGAAUGUGAAGAAGUCUGAGUUCUUGCAUUUGAAACAGGGACAGAUGUUAGCACUGGAAUAUAAGCAUAAAUUAGGAUUUCUCUAGCCCAAACUCGCUUAACUUUAGAGUUUCCAUGACUCUGAAGCUAGUGAGCUUCCAAAAGGUCUCAUGCUAGAUGGAGGCGGCAUGUACGUAUAAAGCAUAUCACUCUAUCUCCGUUGGUUGAUGUGGGAUGUUACACUUCACCCCCGUUAGUGGCUCGACGUCCUCUUCAGCACACUCGCACCACACAGCAGAGCAGCUCUAAUACCAAAUUGUCACAUCCCGGGAUCGGCUAUGCCGUAGCACGAUAUUAUCCGUUUUGGGCCCCUCCUCUCUGCCCUCACGGCUUUAUUUCUGGGAACUCACGAGCAACUUCCUAGUGGGUCACCCAUCCUAGGAUUGCUCUAGCCCCAACUCGCUUAACUUCGGAGUUCCCAUGACUCCGAAUCCAGUGAGCUCUCAAAAGGCCUUGUGCAAGAUGGGGCCGGGCAUAUACAUAUAAAGCACAUCACCCCCUCUCUAUUGAUCGAUGUGGGAUGUUACAAUAUGUCACAAUUAUAAAUAGGAACCCAAGAAGAACAUAUAUCAUAUAAACUAUUCAACCAGUCAUCAUUAGCCAAUUCACAUUCUUUCAUCAAUUCCUUCCACUUUUCUUCAAAUUCCUCUAUCUUGUAUGUUGACAGAAUACAUUUCUUCAUCUGAAUUUUGAAUUUGGACUUCGUGAAGUACACAUGUGACAAUUUUUCUACAAACUUCUUCUUAAUAUGCCAGAGGCAUAACCGAUGGCGAGUGUUAGGAAAAAUCUUGACAAUUGCUCCUUUCGUUGCCAAGUCUUGGUCAGUAAUAAUGGAAACUAGAUGACGUCCUCCCAUUGCUUCAAGCCAUGUCUCAAACAACCACAAAAUGUCACUUCUGUCUCAUCUUGUAAAAGUGCACAUCCAAAUUGUAUUGAUUGCAAAUGGUGGUUUACUCCUGUGAAUGGUGCAAAUGGCAUAUCAUACUUGUUUGUCCUAUAGGUUGUGUCAAAUGUGACUACAUCUCCAAAAAGUGGUACGCCAUGCAUGAUCAAGCAUCCACCCAAAAGAAAUUAGCUGCCCUUCCGUUUUCAUCACAUUGAAUGGCAUAAAAAAAAAAUUGAGGAUUCUUAGCUUGCUUCUUCCUAAAGUAAGUAAGGACUGGUUGUGCAUCACCUCCAUCCAGUUGUCUAUGCCGGACAUUUCUCAAGUGGUUAUAACAAUCUCUAUUGUUAAAACCAAUAUGCAAUUGGCAAAUUUUCUUCAUGAAAUGUUUCAGUCAGAAUUUUAGCUGUUUUCGGCAUAACCCUAUUUGACUUCAUUUUUAUUCUUCUUUCCGGUGUAACUAGCUUGUGAUUGUGAGAGUCUUGGAAACUUGAAACUUUCCAUUUGUUUGACCAUCUAUCAAGCUUAAUUCUCAUACUUGCUUUGCAUCCACAUUUCACCGUAUAACAAUUUUUACCCGUUCUCUUCAUAUUCUCAAUCUCACUUAUGUCUCUCUCAUCAUUCUCUUCUGAAGCCUUCUGUGAUGUAUUUUUGGGCACAUAUUUUCCUUCAUGUGCACAAACAAAUUAUCUACUCGUUACCUCAUCUAAACGCCUUCUUGUCUUGGAGGAAGAUCAAGUUCUAAUCCAGAAUCCCUCUUGCCGGCCAUACUCUUCAUAAUAGUUUCUUGCUUCUUCCAUUCUGUCAAAUACCAUCCCUGUAUAUGGUGCUUUUAAUUGUGUCACUUUCUUUUUUGGAGUACUUGUUUCACCAUUCUCCACUUGAAUUAUCUCCUCUACCUAUUGAACAUAUUUAUCAUUCUUAACGAUGCAACUUAGAAAAAUAUUGUACAUAUGUUAAUAAGAUAUAUAUGAAAAUGAAGAAUAUGAUUAUCUCUGCAUCAAAAUAUUAAUGCAAGAUGAAAUAUAAUUGAAUAAACUUUCAUAUUGAUUUUAAAAUUUAAUUCUUAUGUUAAAAGACAAUCAUUAAUGGCACUACGAAUUAUUUUUUAACAUAAGAAUUCUUAAUGGCCCAAUAAUUCAGCAAUCCUAACAUCGUAUAAACUUUCAUAUAACAUCGUAUUUAUAAAUAUAUAAAAAAAAUUGCAAUCCUAAUUGUCUACAGGAAGAGCUACAACAAAGAUAAAAAAAUCUCAGAUGAAAGUAACAUACCAAAGAUAUGCACUAAGAGUUGGAGGAAAUAUCUUGUGUGCGCUCCAACAUUUUGAUGAGGCAAUAUUGUAUUCAGAUAUGAGAAAUUGCUUUGACAUAAAAGAACUAUACUGAAGAUGAAUUCAUGGUUGCGUAUAUGCUGUGCAUGAAGAAGAAUAAACUGAAAAGAGUCCUUAUUAGACCUUAAUAAAUAUUUGAGAUUAAAGAGGAGAGAGAGAGAGAGAGAGAGGCGUGCGAAUGUGAUUGUGGUUUGGGUAUUUAGUUUUUGGUGAAAUUUUUUAUUUAUUAGAUCCUAAUAAAUAUUUGAGAUUAAAGAAGCAGGAGAGAUCCUAAUAAAUAUAUUUGUUUGAUGUAAGACCAAAUAUAUAAUUUUUAACAAAUGUAUCAGGGGUAACUCCCUUCGCACUGAGAGUUUGAAUCGCUCAUUUAUAUACAAACAAAAGAACCUCCACUUCCCUAGUUUAUUUAUUUUGGCUCUGUGGAGCGUACUUCUAAGUAAUUUUCAUAGGCACAAGCCAUCACUCUUUUUUUUUUUUUUUUUUUAAAUCAGUAAAAUAUUUAAAUAUUCACUAAAGAAAUAAGGACAAGGACACUGUUACUGUGCUGCUGUUACUGUUACUGUGCUGCUGCUGGAAAAAGGACAAGGACUUCACAUGUUGCUUUCGUCUUUUGCGGAGGAGAGAGACCUAGGACUUGCAUGUCUUAGAUAUUUAAGAUAAGGGGCUUUUGUGCCAUUUUGAAAUUACUUUGGGUGUUUUUGAAAGCGGCUUGUUUCUUUUGGGUUUCUCACUAAAUUUCACUUUAGAGGGAAUAAGGGAAAUAAUAAUAAUAAUAGUACAGACCUUAUUAGCAACAGGGUUACAAACUUCUUCUACAACACACACCAACAUGAAUCUAGCCCAGAUCCACUCUUUUACAUACUUGAAAACAAAACAAAAAACAAGAUAGGGAGAAAAUGGCUACAGAGAGACUUACUGCUAAUACUUGAUCAAUAACAGAGAUAAUAGAGCACACUGUUUGUAUGACAGUGAGUAUCAGAAGAAUAACAGCUGCAAAGAGAGAAAUAGCUGCCCAAGGUGUGUUGAAAUACUUUUGUCUCAAAUUUGCCUUCCAUCUGUUCGUGGUCUUCUUGCAGUACUCGUUUAGUUUGCCAGCAAGAUCACCAAAAUAGUAGUUUUCGUGGUUCGGAGCAACUUUACUGCAAAGCUUGUUAAUCAUAAUGGAAACCUUAUUGUUGUCACCUAGCGUGUUUACAACAAUUCUAUUCUCAACAAGCAACUCUACAUCCUUUGGAGUGUUUACAAAUUUAUCCAGGAUGAAAACAUAAUCGCUUAUGUAUUUAUCCACGCAAUGGCAUUGUUCAAAGGCAAUGAGAUUUCUAUGUGUAAGCUCUGUGUAAUCAUGUAUUUCAAUUUUUUGGAAUUUCCAAGGUGUUUUUCUUGAACUGUAUAUCGAAUAAGUUCUUGCUUGAUCCCACGUUAAACUUAACUCCGGCCUGGUGUAGUUUUGUCAUGCUGGGUGUACCUUGGAGCCCUCCAUUUUUCUUUUCUUUUGGCAGAUGUAAAGUUCUAAUAAAAUCAACAAAAUGUAAAGGUUUUUUAGGAUCAGGAGGCAUAAAAGACUUACGGAAGGCUGGUGAGUUCUCCAAGUUUUCUAAACGCAGUGCCUGUUGGAAGAACCUGUAAGAGAGUUCAAUUAUUGAAGGCUCCCCAGUCUGAGCACCUGUGAGAUUGUAAAGAUCCUCGAGAAUGAAAAAUGGCAGCUGAUUUUCGAGCAUAAGCAUGUCAGGCAAUAUAUUUUGUAGCACCAUGGUUUUUUAAAUAUCCAAGCAUUAUCAUCCUGCAAUUUUUCUUCCUGAAAUUUUUCUUCGGAUUUAUUCCUCAACAAUAGCUCAAUGACAAAGGCGGCAUCAACUAGAAUGAUAUUCACAAAAGCAGCAAUGUUAAACUUCUUAGUGUCUUCAUAAUAAUGACGGAGAUCACCUUCUCUCUCCUUUAUUUUCUCUAAAUAAUCCUUCAAUCCUACUACUUUAGUCCGAUCAAGAAAACAUUUUAGGUACCUGAGUUUGUGAUCUUCCAUGGCUUCUAAGUUUUUGCUGCCAUGGUGAAGUGGGCCUAUUUAACUACUUGUGGUGUGUAGGCCUUUAGUUUUACGUUCUGUAGUCGCUCAGGCACCCUGUAGAUACAGCAGGCAGGGGACAGGGCACGCAAGUUUGUCAACUGAUUUUCCAUGGAAGUUGCUUGGUUUUCUAUGUCAAAAGAAGCUUCAUUGCUGCUUUCUUCCACUUUCUUCCUCCCCAUUAUGUGUUGUUCUGAUUGUAAGCGACGAGGAUGGUGAUGAUUCUAGACACCAUAAUCAACAAAUGUUUCAAUCAUAAUUGACAUUUCAAGAUGCUCCGACAAAAAAUUAGAAAACAUUCAUCACAAAAUGCGAACUCAUACAAUAGAUGGGAUGAGAAGAUCCACACAUUGCAAUCAUACAAUCCAAUUGCACAGGGAUUAGUCCCUAUUCUCCUCUCUCUCUCUCUCUCUCUCUCUCUCUCUCUCUCUCUCUCUCUCUCUCUCUCUCUCUCUCUCUCUCAAAAAGAUUUUCAUAUCGAUAACAUCUUAUUGCAAGGGAAUUGUACACCAAGUAGUGAAGAACAGAAAUUCAUAUUCUUUCAAUCAAAAUGUACAAAUUUCGAAAAUGUUUGUUUGUUUUAUUUUUUGGGGAAAAAAAUCUGUGCAUGUUAUAUGUAGACCUAAGGUGAAAACAGACCAGAUUUUUACGCCAUUUUUCAUGAGGUUUAAGUUUGUGAUGUAUAUAUUUAUCUCAAGUGUAACAUCUCACAUCGAUCAAUGGAGAGGAGGUGAUGUGUCUUAUAUGUAUAUGCUCGCCUCCAUCUAGUACUGGGCUUUUGGGAGCUCACUAGCUUCGGAGUCAUGGGAACUCCGAAGUUAAGCGAGUUGGCGCUAAAGCAAUCCUAGGAUAGGUGACUCAUUAGGAAGUUGCUCGUGAGUUCUCAAAAACAAAACUGUGAGGGCAGAGAAGGGGGCUCAAAGCAGCCAAUAUUGUGCUACGGCGGAGCCGAUCCUGGGAUGUGACAAUUUGGUAUCAGAGCCACACUGCCAUGUGGUGCCAGUAUGCCGACAAAGACGUCGGGCCCUUGAGAGGGGUGGAUUGUAACAUCUCACAUCGACCAACAAAGAGGGGGUGAUGUGCCUUAUAUUUAUAUGCCCGCCUCCAUCUAGCACGAGGCCUUUUAGGAGCUCACUGGCUUCAGAGUCAUAGGACCACCAUCCCAAGUUCAAUAUACAACCCAACAACCAUCUUAGCCAUCUUCUCAUUGAUCUUCCACCCAGCAUAUAACACUAUUGUUGGAGCAUGAAAUUUCAGAUCCUCCAACAAGUAAUUUUUUAUUUCCAUGUUGAGAAGCCGAACACCAUCUUCGAUUAUCACCAUUGAGUGAGGAGGGGGGUACCUGCAAGAAAACACUCCGACCCUCAAGUCAGUGUUCGUUCAUGAAUACCGCAAUAGAAUCAAUCGUAACUCCCUCCCCCUAUGCUGGGGGAUUAGUUAGCCUUUUGUAGCCAUUGAACCCUUGGACUCUAAGUCCCAUAUCCUUAUUUAUCUCCAUGCUCAAUGGUAGUGGAUAUCAUGUUAUUUGAUUCACUCCACUCCAUAAAUUUAGGGUUCAUGGGAAGUGGCUUGUUAUGUGGGCCUUAAUUUUUGCUCCCAUGUCUGCCCCCUUUUCUCUCGCUGGACACGUGUCUCGGGUGUAUAGAGAGAAAAUAUUCUUUGUGGGAAUUCAUUAUGUGUAGAAUUUUAUGUGGAGACUUGACUUAUAUUAUCUUUGAUCACGAAUUCGGCCUUUAGCCAUGAGUAUGGUCUUCGACCAUGAAUAUGAGCUUCGAUCACGAGUUCGAGUUUGGGCUUCGGCCGUAUAGUCUUCAACUAUGUAUUUAACUUUCAGUCACGACUAUGGCUUUCAGCCACAUGAGCUUGAAUUUCUUUCACAAUCGUGGUCUUCAACCACUUGAAUUUGACUUUCAGUCACAAGCAUGAGUUGAGUAUUGGCAUGCCCCCCAUUGGUUUAGAAUGCAUGUGUUUACUAACUAGACAUUGUGGCUCUUGUUUAUCCUCUGUUUAUGUUGAUUUUGUCGUUAGUUGGGCUUCAUAAAUUGCCACCAUAUAGAAAUAGGCUUAUGGCUUAUCUUGAGUGGUGCAGUAGCUGCCUCCACCACGCAAAUGUAGUCAAGAGGUUAACAAGCUGCCAAAUUCUAACCACAAGAUAAUAAUGUUAAUUUCGUCAACAAAAAUCAGAAUACGCAGGCUUAGUAGUAUCUAGAUAUUGAGCAGCAUAUGACUACAUUCAAAUUCAGGCAUUUUAGAGAGCCAUACAUGCAACUGUUCUCAUCUCCCAAAUGCAAGAGAAAUAAGUAAAAUACCUUGGCAUGUGUCAGAUGUAUAUAUAAUCAAUUUAAAAGCUUCUGAUCAUACAUCCUUGAGGCAUGAAUAUAUGCAUUGAUAAAAGAUGUAAGGAUGUUCCAUGCUAUAAUUCGUGGAUCCUGAAAGUGACAAUAGAAAACUUAUCUGUUUGCAGUUCGGCUCGUGCCCCCAUAGAAAUUGGUUUUUUGCCCAAUUCCAAAUUCAUAAUUCAGUGUUAUGACUUCUUCAACUACAUAACAUGACUGCGUACUUGAUGCUGCUAGGUCACGAAACUACCAAAAGCAUGGGGUAGAAAUUCUUCUCUAUUUGGGGCAAAAAUUCAUGCCCCCAUUCGUGCCCCUAAUUCAACCGUUUUGUCACAAACGGUUGCAUACAUCCCAAUAAAAAUUGGAUACUAACCUCUGAAAAUUGAAGGCUCUUUUCACGAAAAUUCUUUUGUGAGAUUUUGGAGCCAUGCGUGAUUGGUAUAGUCCAAUUCAUAUUGUUUUUAUGGCAAGAAGAUGCACUGUGAUAAAAAUUUAUAGUCGUGAAAUGAUAAAAGAGAGUAUAGAAUUCUUCUCUGUUGGGGGAUUUAAUUCAUGCCCCCAUUGUAGCUCCUAAGGCAAGAGUGUAUCCAUGGCUUCUAAUUAUGACUUUUUGUACGGUUUCCACAGACGGCGCCAACUGUUGGAGCAUGAAAUUUCAGAUCCUCCAACAAGUAAUUUUUUAUUUCCAUGUUGAGAAGCCGAACACCAUCUUCAAUUAUCACCAUUGAGUGAGGAGGGGGGUACCUGCAAGAAAACACUCUGAUGCUCAAGUCAGUGUUCGUUCAUGAAUACCGCAAUAGAAUCAAUUGUAACUCCCUCCCCCUAUGCUGGGGGAUUAGUUAGCCUUUUAUAGCCGUUGAACCCUUGGACUCCAAGUCCCAUAUCCUUAUUUAUCUCCAUGCUCAAUGGUAGUGGAUAUCAUGUUAUUUGAUUCACUCCACUCCAUAAAUUUAGGGUUCAAGGGAAGUGGCUUGUUAUGUGGGCCUUAAUUUUUGCUCCCACAACUAUCUUCAUAUACUCUUUAGCUUAAUCUCUCUGUUGCUUUUGUCUUUUAUUUUUUUCAAAUUAAAUUUUUUAGUUUAUAUUUUUUUUUAUUGGUGUAGAUUCAAUGACAAAGAACAUCGAACUCGUCGCAACAUCUUGCCCUAGAUCCGAACUCUACCACCAUCACAACCCUCCCUCUCUUGAUCUCCGACCAACCUUAACACCCAACUUCAAAUCUAUGUUGUUUGAAACUCAGCCCCCUUCCCCAACCCCCCCCCCCCCCNNNNNNNNNNNNNNNNNNNNNNNNNNNNNNNNNNNNNNNNNNNNNNNNNNNNNNNNNNNNNNNNNNNNNNNNNNNNNNNNNNNNNNNNNNNNNNNNNNNNUGUCAAUAAGAUAAGAUCUCAUUGCAAGUGACUUGUAGAUGAAGUGGUAAAGAACAAAAAGUCAUAUUCUUCCAAUCAAAAGGUAUCAAGUCAAACAAAAUUUCUAGUUAGUUUGCUUUAUGAUAGUUGUUUUUUGAAGGGGUCCUUAGAUCCAAUCUCAAAAAGUUUGACUUUUAUUAUGUUUAACUCUGGUUUUUGCAAUUUUUUUUUAUCUCUACCCACUAACUUUUAUCUCUCAUUUUUAUUACCCAUUUUACCCUUUAAAAUAAAUAUGGCAAUAAACUAAAAAUUCUGAUUUAAUGCAUGUUUUACUCAUAAGAGAACUAAAACCUAAAAAUUAUGUACUCUAACACAAAAAAUAAAAACUAAAAAUAAAAAUUGAAGUGGUUAUCAAACAGAUCCUUAUAUUACAAAGAAAAUAUCAAAGAUUGAACUCGUCAUAAGAGAACACAGAAAAACCUCACUGCUUGCAACACCACCACUACACGAACAACUGCUAAUUUGACAGGACCCGCCCCAAAUUUUCUGAAAUUCGAGACGAAUCCUGUGGAAUUCCCGACAUAAUCCUGAUGUCGGGCCCACUUCUAAAACUAUAUCCUUUUUCCCAAAAAAGAAUAAGGGCGCGAGACUUUCUACCGAAAUUUCGGCAGAGUCUCUCCUACAAAUUGGACAUUUCCCAAAAUUUUAACCUGCAUAAAACACAAUUUAUAUUUCCAAUUGGCAACAUGCACAAGAUAAUUUCAUGCAAUUCACAUAAACGGCAUUCGGCCGUCCAAUAAUUAUCAACAAACUACCAAGCACGCUAUCAACUCUAUUCAUACCUUAAACAAGGCAAACAAUAAAUUCAAUUAUGAAUACUAAAUACAACAUGCAUCAUCUAACUUUUCCAAUCCCAAUAUACGAGGUUUUAACCUCCUAACACAAUCACAUCUAUGUCCGCGGCUGCACCUAAUAACCUUAGGCUGCCUACGUACCCUCACUGAGGGAUCAAGCCACGCGUAGUUCUUCCUACUAAAACCCGAUUUCAAACACAUACAAUACCUUUAUUCAUCUCUCUGUUAUUCACAUAAUCUCCUCAUACGCCGGUACUACCAACGCCACGUAUGGAGUCUGUCAACACGCCAGAUAACCUACGCCACGUGCGACCUCAACAUACUAUCACAAUAUCUCCACAUACGUCGGUACAACCAACUCCACGUAUGGGGUAUGUCAACACUCCGGAUAACCUACGCCACGUGCGACCUCACUAUAUUAUCACAUAAUCUCCCAUACGCCGGUACAACCAACCCCACGUAUGGGGUCUGUCAAGACGCCGGAUAACCUACUCCACAUGCGACCUCAACAUAUUGUCACAUCAUCUCCCCAUACGCCGGUACUACCAACGCCACGUAUGGGGUGUGUCCGCACGCCGGAUAACCUACGCCACGUGGGACCUAACAAAUACAUGGUGGUACUUAUAAUGUAACCAAAAUUCGGGGAGGUACCUAGGGUAGUGUGUAUAGCACCUCAAACUGACAUUCUAGACUCUUUUUCAUACAUUUAUACCUAUAUUUAAAUAUAUAAGUUACUCUAACAUUGUAUAAACCUCAACAUCAUCCCAAGUACUCCACACAUCACCAAUACUUUACCAAAAAUGCUAACUUAACUAUUAAUUAUUUAUAAAAAAAAAAAGGUUUUCAAAAAAUCAUUAAAUUCAUAUGCCUAACAAUACCAUCACAAAGCCAUGCUAUUCAUUUAAAAAUAAGGACCAAGAGUUUCCUACGAUAAUAAUAAACACUCUAAAAUCUCAGCCCAGUCAACAUGGCUCAACAACGCUCAAGACCUGUCAUUAGGGUCAUUUUAAUCCUUCUAGGAAGGUAAAACUACCUCGGAAGACUCAAGGUCAACCAAGGGUCAAACUACCCACACUUGGUCAAACGGGCCCACGGGGCCCACGACCUCCAAAUUCUGAUCCGAAGGUUCCUAUGGGUUCUACAAGGUAUAGGACACUCGUCCUGCAAGUUUAGUCCAGAUCGGACGGUCAGAUCGCUCACGAUCGCACGAUCUGACGGUUAAUAUAAACAUAAACUUUAAAUUAUUAAAUCGGACAUCCGGGGCUCCAAUUUACGAUCCUUGAAUUCCUACACAAUUCUAGAAAUACCUAGAUUAACAUAUAUUAAAUUCAAGACCAUCCAACGGUCCCAACCUAUCAUACCCAGAUAACGCGCAAUAAGCGAUAUCCGUUCGAGCCUCAAACGGCAUCCAAAUUGACAUAUGAGCACACCUACGCACUCGUGAGAACCAGGAGUGCCCUUUUUCUACAGUGCCCACGUGCCUCCGCACGUGCCGGCAGCGCGUGGGUGCCCAAAGCGAUUACGCAUCGUCGGAAAAUCUCAAAAUCACGGCUCCAAACUCCUACCCUAGGUAUAACACCAUAUUUGGAGCCACUUUUGUUCUUGGACCUACCCCAAAAACUGACCGGAGGUGGCAUGAAUCGCAAUCCUAAAAUCGGCCGAAUUUAAAUUCGUAAAUCAAAUUUCCUACGCUAGGAAUCGAUCGAAUCCUACCCAACAGGCAGCUAGAGCACAUUAAAAAGAUGAGAAAGCAUACCAAGAUCGAGGAAAAUGGUGGCCGGAGGCAUUCUAACGAGCUCCUUGAAUUUUGGGUUAAAACUGGUCGGAUUUUUACAUUUUUCGGCGAUCACAGGUGGUUCCAGCAGCUGAGAUUGGUCAGGAUGGGAAGAGGGAGAUGGCCCAGUUCUUUUGGGACUGAUGCCACCCCACGCAGUGGCCGGAUGCGACAGUGGUGGCCCAAAAACCACCGCGGUGAACAGUAACAAGAGGGGCUGUUUCUGCGCGCAGGGAGAUGAGGAAGAAGAAGAAAAAUAAAAAGAAAAAGGAAAUUUAAAACUGCCCGGUUACUAUAGCACGGCACUGUUUGCUACAGUACAAAAUUUUAAAAUUUCCUCCUUCGUUACAACUCGGAAUUGGGCGUGCCACAUGUCUACAAACUCAUAUCGACGAGCUCUAAUGGUGCUACUUAAUUCUCCAAAAUCUUUCCGAAUCAAAAAAUGACCAAAAUACCCUUACCCAAAGGGUAUAUUCCUAAAUUCAUAUUUAAAUUAAUUUAAUAAUUUAAUUGAGUAAACAAAUUAGGAUCGGGGUGUUACAUAAUUAAAAUGAGUCACAUGUGGUACUUAACUCUAAAAACUUAUUUAGAUUAUAUAUCCAUACUUAUUUAAAUGAGGUAAAUAGUACGUUUACAGAGUUUAAGUGUAAUAAAUGAAUAAAAACAUGCCCAGAGGAUUGAUAAGUGAUAUCAAUUCUUGAAUAUACAGAACGUAAAAUAAAAGAACACGUAGAAAAUUAUUUUAUGUGGUAAAACCCCAUCUCUAGGGAACAUCCACGGGGCUUUUUAGUCCAAAACAAAUCCAUUAUAGAACGAGGAUUAUAAGAAGUACUCACACACUUAUCCUAGACACAUUCUAGAUAAUGUUUAUUGACUUCUUCGUAACUCAACUUCUGUCACGAGAUGAUCUUUCGACACUCCUUAUGUUGAACGCAAUACUGGUCACGAUUUCUUCAAGCUCCUAAUAGAGUUCUUCCAACUCUCCUUGUAUUGAAUCUGACACUAGUCACGAUCGAUUCAAGCUCAUCGUAAAAAAACCGCCACAACGGUCUUGGUGCCCCCAACCGUACGAGUCACUGAACAUGUAAAUGAAUACAAUAUGAAUGAUAAAAGUGUUUGAUAAAUCACCAAGUUAUGGAACACUUGAUGAUUUAUCUUAAAUAAAAACUCAGCUUUCCAAAGUUUAUGAAUUGAAAAUAUGAUCGUUAAAGCUCUCUAAACAAAGAAGAUGAAGGUCUUAUUCUAUAGAAUUUUUCUUUACAAGAAAGAAAACACGUUGAAAACCAAAUCUUCAAUUUCCAAGGCUUGACAGAAAAUCACAAAAGUAUCUUUCCUAUUCUAGAGAUUGGUCACAUGUAGUCCAACCAAUAGGAAAUGAGAUAUUUAAGAAAGCAAGAUUUUGAUCAAUAUCAAUAUCAAAUGAAUUCUUAUACGCCUAGUCAACUAUUAAGGGUAUCUUGACUCCUUGAUAUUGUGAUAUGAUUGAAACAUGAUUUCCAUGUUAGAAAAUUAAGGGGAUGUUAAAACAUGAAAGUAUUAGGAGAAUCAAAUUGAUUUGGACCAAAAUUGCCUAAAAAGAAAACACUCCUAAAUAAACUUCAAUUCACUUUUAAAAACAGUAAAACGUGAUUAAAUCGUUGUUUAAAACAAUUCCCUAAUAGACAUGCAUGAUAAUGACAUCACUUACUCCUAAAUCAAAUUGUCACGUCCUGGACUCGGGGGUUGGUGGAAACCCCGCGCCCGGUGCGUGAGAAAAUAAAAAGUAAAAUAAAAUAAAAAGAAAGCCGAAAUAAGGGUUUAAAAUAAACUUCUCUUAUAAAAAUAACUCCAAAAUCUUACAACUUUACAAGAAAUAAAUAAAGCUCUAUCAUUCUUAUCUAAUUCAGCCUCAACUGGUUUAGUCCUUGUCUUGCCCACUAAUUCAUCUGAAAAAUUAAACAGGGUGAGGGAUGAGCAAGUAAGGACAUGAGACCUUGCCACAGUAGAUUGAUAUAACUAAAUAUUAUCAUAAACAUAUAAAUAUAUAAGUAUUAUUAUAAUAGGAUUCAUAAUAAUUAAUAUAAAAGUAUAACAACAAUAUUGACAUAUACGUACCAAGAUAAUUACAUAUAUAAAUAUAACCAAUAUAUAUUUAUAUAUAUUUUAAAAUACGGGUCUUUACGCAAAUGCCUUUCGCGGGUCAAGCCACAAGUCUAUGUUUUGGAGAUUGCUGAGCUGCAUCAAUCCUGCCAAUGUCAAUUCUGCCCCUAGGCUCUCUCAAAGCAAGUUUAAAACCUAUGCUAACAUAUACUAGAGUUUAUGCUGUAUCUAGAAAAUGCCAACACUAAUUUCGUAACACGUAGAAAUUGUUAGAGAUGGAAGUUUUUAUCAUUUUUUCUUCCAGUCUCUCCACCACUCACUAAUACAGAUUACUCAUGUGAUGAGUUUACAAACCUAUUUCUCUACUCUCGCAAAGACUAUACUUCUUCUCAAAAGACUAGAUCACUUUACCUAUAUCUCUGUGAAAUGUAAAAAGUUGAAACUUUAAUGUCAAACCUCGACAAAGUGUUCUACUUUACAAACUUCUUGUAUCUACCAAUUUCUACUAAAAUUAAUUUCUCUACGGUGCUCAGAUUCAUCAUAUGUGUGUCCUUAAUUUUAGUUGAAAUUGGAAGUUUCCAUCAUUUUUGCUUUAAGUCACUCUUCUGAAGGAAGUUUAGGUUCCACCCCAUAAUUCAAAAUGUCAGGUUGACUUAAACAAUGUAAUUAUGUAGGAGUACUAUGACCUUUUAUAGCAUUUUUAGUUUGAAUUUGGGUUUUAUACAUAGAUUUCGAAAUUAAUAGGUUGAUGUCUAGGAAAUAGAAAUUGUAAGGGCCUAUAUUAGACUAGCCCUCUUAAAAAAAAUAUUGAUUAAUGAAUAUUUGUUCUUCUUAUUGUUUUGAAGUAGUGGUGGGAGGCAGACCAACAAAAAAAAUAUAGUGAAGGCUUAUAAGAGCAUUUACAAUCAUGCUCCCUAUUUUUCAGUUAAAAUUUAGCUGAAAAUAGAAAAAAGUUAUUAUAGGAGCUCUUUAUAAAAUUUGAACUCCAAUCAUACUCCCUAGUUUAGGGAGUCAUAAAUACUAUAGUUAUUUUUUAAUUCAAUUUGAUUUUGGUUAAUCUCUAUAAAUAAAUGAAAAUAUGAUAAAAUAGUUAGCAUUAAUUAAAAGUUUAAACUAUGCAUAAAACAAAGAAACAUUAAAUUAUAGAGAGCCACUAUAAGUCAUUUCUCUCUCCUCAGAUUUAUGAGCUCCUAGAGGUCUCCUUAUUUUAGGAGGUGGAUAAGGAGUGUGAUUGGAGUUGUAUUUCUUCAAUUUCCUCCCUAAAAUUUGUCUAAGGAUGUGGUUUAUGGAGCCCAUUGUGAAUGCUCUAACUCUGGUAAAACAUGAGUGACAUGAACAACAUAUGUUACGUCGUAGUGAAGAUUUUUGGGUUUCUAUAAUUGGUUAAGUAGCAUCCACAAUGAGUUUCCUAAAUCAUCUCCUUAGACCAAUUUUUAGGGGAGGGAAUUGGGAAAAAGUACAACUCCCACCCAUGCUCCCUAUCCACCAACUAAAAUAGGGAGACCUCUAGGAGCUCCUAAAUCUGAUGAGAGAGAAAAGACUCUUAGUGACUCUCUAUAAUUUAAAAUUACUUUAUUUUAUGCAUAUUUUGAACUUUUAAUUAAAUCAAAUUAUUAUUUUUAUAUUAUUUUGUAUACAAAUAGACUAAUUAUAUUAAAUUAAAAAAUAAUUAAAGUAUUUAUGACUCUUUAAAUUAGAGAGCAUAAUUGUAGAUCAUCUUAUAUACCUUAAUUUGAAGAUUCUUUAUUUGGGUUUCUUUCAACACUUAUCACCUUAGCCACACCACCUACACCAAAUUGACGUCUGCAAGCUUUCGUAAUCUAACAAGGAAGGGGAGGCUGCGCAAUACUUAUCACCUUAGCCACACCAACACCACAAGACCAAUAUGUGUAGUCCAGGAGGCUUUCCCAUUUUAAUAUAUAUUAUCAAAUAAAAUAAAAAUCAAUCUAUUAUCAUAUAUAUUAUAAAAUAAAGAUUAUUGCUCCAUCCUCCAUGCACUUGCAUGCCCUCUUACAAAGUGUGAAGUAGAUUUUGUGUGCUCCAAGUCAUUGACUAGAGCUAUAACAUGGUUAGCUGGAUUUAUAAGAUCUUUUUUUUUUUGGGAAUUUUCUGAACCAAGGAAAAUCAAGUAAAAUUAAUAAAGCAUAAAUUAGAAAGGGAAAGUAUCUAGAGGAUGCAUUGUAGGAUUGCACAUGCCAAUAAUUGUACCCUCUAAAUAUAUAGGGAAAUAUUUUUUUUGUUUUCAUGACAUGUGGUCCUAAAAUUAUUGUUCCUAGCGGGCUCUCCAUCCCCUCUCAAUUGAAAACCAAUGGUGUAAAUCUUCAAUCCUGAAUAAUGCACCUAAAACUCAAGUGUCCCAGGCCAAUUAUUGCUCUCAUACUACUUGUUGUAAUAAACAUCCACCCAUUCUCAAGGAAAGAUAACUAUCGAUAUUAUCUCAAAUUUAACCACUUAACUUUAUUAUGAUUAACUAUGUAUCUUAUGGACCAAUCCAGCUGUGAGGUUUUAUACCCAAUUAGAUCGACCAAUACAGAGGUCACACGUGGAUUGAAAAGCGUCAUCGGUAGGGGAGUGUUCGACACCUUUUACUGCCGAGCGCAACACAAGACCCCUUACCAGGAACUUACCUGCUAAGACACGUGGAGACCCCACAUGUAAUAUCAACAGUCCCACAUCGAAAUUUAACACAACAUGCACACACCUCAAGACUUAUAAAAGUGGGCACAAGUCCCAAAAAUAGGGGAACUUGGUCUUUUGGCAAUUCAGCCAUUACUUUAUCCAUAUUAUUAUACACUCCGUACUUAUUCUAAUUUCAGCAUUGGAGAGCCCUCAGCCCAAGGAAUUACCAAGCAUUCUCCAUCUUGCAAAUUAAUUGCUCUACCGAAGCCCAGAAGGAGCCAAAGGCCAAGAUAGCACUAAGUUGAACCCAAAAAUGUUAAACUAUUUUUUAGCAUUAACAAUAUAUAUAGAUUUUUAAAAAAAAAAAAUCAAUCUAUUAUCAUAUAUAUUAUAAAAUAAAUAUUAUUGCUCCAUCCUCCAUACACUUGCAUGCCCUCUUACAAAGUGUGAAGUAGAUUUUGUGUGCUCCAAGUCAUUGACUAGAGCUAUAACAUGGUUAGCUGGAUUUAUAAGAUCUUUUUUUUUUUGGGAAUUUUCUGAACCAAGGAAAAUCAAGUAAAAUUAAUAAAGCAUAAAUUAGAAAGGGAAAGUAUCUAGAGGAUGCAUUGUAGGAUUGCACAUGCCAAUAAUUGUACCCUCUAAAUAUAUAGGGAAAUAUUUUUUUUGUUUUCAUGACAUGUGGUCCUAAAAUUAUUGUUCCUAGCGGGCUCUCCAUCCCCUCUCAAUUGAAAACCAAUGGUGUAAAUCUUCAAUCCUGAAUAAUGCACCUAAAACUCAAGUGUCCCAGGCCAAUUAUUGCUCUCAUACUACUUGUUGUAAUAAACAUCCACCCAUUCUCAAGGAAAGAUAACUAUCGAUAUUAUCUCAAAUUUAACCACUUAACUUUAUUAUGAUUAACUAUGUAUCUUAUGGACCAAUCCAGCUGUGAGGUUUUAUACCCAAUUAGAUCGACCAAUACAGAGGUCACACGUGGAUUGAAAAGCGUCAUCGGUAGGGGAGUGUUCGACACCUUUUACUGCCGAGCGCAACACAAGACCCCUUACCAGGAACUUACCUGCUAAGACACGUGGAGACCCCACAUGUAAUAUCAACAGUCCCACAUCGAAAUUUAACACAACAUGCACACACCUCAAGACUUAUAAAAGUGGGCACAAGUCCCAAAAAUAGGGGAACUUGGUCUUUUGGCAAUUCAGCCAUUACUUUAUCCAUAUUAUUAUACACUCCGUACUUAUUCUAAUUUCAGCAUUGGAGAGCCCUCAGCCCAAGGAAUUACCAAGCAUUCUCCAUCUUGCAAAUUAAUUGCUCUACCGAAGCCCAGAAGGAGCCAAAGGCCAAGAUAGCACUAAGUUGAACCCAAAAAUGUUAAACUAUUUUUUAGCAUUAACAAUAUAUAUAGAUUUUUAAAAAAAAAAAAUCAAUCUAUUAUCAUAUAUAUUAUAAAAUAAAUAUUAUUGCUCCAUCCUCCAUACACUUGCAUGCCCUCUUACAAAGUGUGAAGUAGAUUUUUUGUGCUCCAAGUCAUUGACUAUGGUUGAAACAUGGUUAGUUGGAUUUAUAAGAUCUUUUGUUUUCUGGGAAUCUUCUGAACCGCGGAAAAUCAAGUCAAAUUAAUAAAGCAGAAACUGUACCCUUUAAUUAUAUAUGGACAUAUGUUUUUUUGUUUUCAAGUCUUAGAUGACAUGGGGACCUAAAAUUAUUGCUCCCAGUGGGCUCUCGACCCCUUUCAAAUUUAAGUGGUCCAUUAUUAUUAACCACAUAUUUUAUGGACCAUCCAGCUGUGGGGUUUUAUCUCAAAAACCUUCGGUACAUUUCUCCCACAUGCCACAAUUGUAUAUUCACAAUUACUUCUGGGUACCCCUCAUCAUUCGUCUAUAAAAUGGUGAAGCCAGUUGCUCUGUUACCAUAAGAGCCAGCUCCGACGUUCUUUAAUUUCUUGCUACUUCUGUUGCCAAGUUAAUUUCAGUCCUAAUGGGGUUUCAUCUCCCACUCAUCGUUGCUAUUCUCAGUGUAAGCUCUGCAAUUUGAUUAACUUUUCCAUUCUCUCUCAUUGUACUCUAUAUAAACGAAAGUUUUGUGUUCUUAUAAUUCUCUCCGAUUUAUUUAGUACGUACUUAAGUGUCGUCCACUAAUUAAUUACACUUUGUGAGAUUUGAUUUUAAUUAGAGUUGGAAUUAAUGUUGCAGCUAGCAGCGGUUGCACUGGCAAACAAUGCUGCUCAACCAGCACCUCAACUUUACUGGAACUCCGUCCUGCCAAACACACAGAUGCCAAGAUCUAUCAGUGAACUUCUGCAUCCUGGUUUGUAUUUGAGCACUUUAGAAUCUUAGAUAUCUCUUCUACCUGCCAUUUUACUAAAAUAUGUUCGACCACAUAUUUAUCAGUUAAAUACUGUCAUUACAAGAAUGACACUUAUUUUCCAAUAUAAUUUGCAGACUCCACAAAUGAAGAAAAGAGCAAACCUGAAAAUAUCCCAUUGGCACGUUCAGGUUACAGUCGAAAAAGGUAUGGAGGAGGUCCUCCUCCAUCUGACGAGGGCAAACCUGAAAGUAUCCCAUUGAGAAAUUCAGGUUACCAACGAAAAAAUUAUGGAGGACGUCCUCCUCCAUCUGACGAGGGCAAACCUGAAAGUAUCCCAUUGAGAAAUUCAGGUUACCAACGAAAAAAUUAUGGAGGACGUCCUCCUCCAUCUGACGAGGGCAAACCUGAAAGUAUCCCAUUGAGAAAUUCAGGUUACCAACGAAAAAAUUAUGGAGGACGUCCUCCUCCAUCUGACGAGGGCAAACCUGAAAGUAUCCCAUUGAGAAAUUCAGGUUACCAACGAAAAAAUUAUGGAGGACGUCCUCCUCCAUCUGACGAGGGCAAACCUGAAAGUAUCCCAUUGAGAAAUUCAGGUUACCAACGAAAAAAUUAUGGAGGACGUCCUCCUCCAUCUGACGAGGAAAAACCUGAAAGUAUCCCAUUGAGAAAUUCAGGUUACCAACGAAAAAAUUAUGGAGGACGUCCUCCUCCAUCUGACGAGGGCAAACCUGAAAGUAUCCCAUUGAGAAAUUCAGGUUACCAACGAAAAAAUUAUGGAGGACGUCCUCCUCCAUCUGACGAGGGCAAACCUGAAAGUGUCCCAUUGAGAAAUUCAGGUUACCAACGAAAAAAUUAUGGAGGACGUCCUCCUCCAUCUGACAGUCAACUACUCCAUUAUAGAGACUUAGCUAUUUUCUUCUUCGAGAAGGACAUGCGCCCUGGCUCAACAAUGCAGUUCCAAUUCCCUAGAAAUUCAAACACGGCUACUUUCCUGCCACGCGAAAGUGCUCAAUCAAUCCCCUUCUCCUCUAACAAACUAUCAGAAAUUUUCAACCAUUUUUCAGUGAAGCCGACAUCUGUGGAAGCCAAAACAAUUAAGCAAACAAUCGAAGAGUGUGAAGCUCCAGGCCUUAAGGGAGAGGAAAAAUAUUGCGCCACAUCUUUAGAAUCAAUGGUUGAUUUUAGCACUUCGAAGCUUGGAACAAGAAACGUUGAAGCAAUCUCGACGGAGGUAUUGGAAGAAGGAGCCACCAAGUACAUGCACAACUAUACAACAAUGCCGGGACUGAAGAAGUUGGCAGGUGACAAAGUCGUUGUGUGUCAUAAGGAGAACUAUCCCUAUGCUGUGUUUUUCUGCCAUGCAAUAAAACAAACAGAAGCUUAUGUUCUCACCCUGAAAGCCGAUGAUGGGAUGAAGGUUAAAGCAGUAACCAUCUGCCAUCUAGACACAUCAGAAUGGGAUCCAGAGCAUUUGUCCUUCCAAAUCCUCAACGUUAAGCCCGGAACCACUCCCAUCUGCCAUUUCAUUUCCACUGAUGCUAUUGCCUGGGUUCCGAACCACAAAUCUGCAUGAUCAUCACUUAGCACUGUACGUAUAAUAAGCUUGGUCGGGUUGCACCCUAGGCCUGCAUAAUUAUCUCCCUACUUAUUUCUGCCUCUUCAUCAUGUGGUGUAAGAUAUAUGGUGAGAUGAAGUAACUAUGUAGACUUCAA